RNAcentral lists this long non-coding RNA (424061 nucleotides) under Eucalyptus grandis. Its description in RNAcentral is "long non-coding RNA (EGRA_LNC000982)". The record is from RNAcentral. Lineage: Eukaryota; Viridiplantae; Streptophyta; Magnoliopsida; Myrtales; Myrtaceae.
CAGCACUCCCCUGGCGGCCCUUGCUUGCCUGGCAGCCCUUGUGGCCCUGGCGACCCUUUUGGCCCCGGCGGCCCCUUCUCCCCCUGUGGCCCCGGCGGCCCCUUCUCCCCCGGCGGCCCCUUUUGCCCAGGUGGCCCCUUCUCCCCCUGCGGUCCCGUCGGCCCCUCUGGCCCCCGCCAUCGGAUGCAAUAGAAAAGGAAACCACAAAGCAUGAUGGUAACAAUGACUAAACCAACAAUAACGACAAUAACCCACGUUGGGAUGUUAUUGUCAUCGGAUGAUAUGGGAUUCGGAUCGAUCCAUGGCGAUGGAUGAGGAAAGUAUUGGAAACACGGAGUUUGUGGACAGUUAUUGUUCUCCAUCAAGAAAACUCUGUGGAGGUAGUUCAAUGCGAGCGGUGAGUCUACAAACAUAUUAUGAAGCAUCAAUCCAAGAGCCAAUUUACCUUUUCAUCAUGAUGAAUUGAUCAUAUGAUCUGAGUGCGAGAUCAAAAUGAUUCAACACGGAAUUCAAUGAUAUAUAAUGUGAGUGGAAGUAGAUGCUUGCACAUAUACCCUCACAAGAAGAAUCGAGCAAAUCCGUGAAUGAUGUUGGGCCAAUGCUUAUGCAACCUGCAAAGAAGUGAGAAUUUUCAUCCGGUGGCCUCCUCGUCCUAAUAACUCUCUAUUGCUGCCCCAAACCCACCACUCCCCCGCCCCCCUUCUCCCUCCUCUUAUGGGGUGGGUGGGGUGGGUUAGGUAAAAUGUUUUAAUCAAUGCAUUACUCAUCCUGACAACUCCCUAUGAGGGUGAGUUAGGUAAAGUGUUUUAAUCAAUCACUCGUCCCGUCCUGAUGACUCUCUAUUGCUACCCCCAAACCCCCCCUCCCUCCCUUUUUAAUCAAUGCACCGCCUCUCUUUUUUAAGGAUGUACUAUAACGAUUGAAGACAUAUGGACAAAAAGCUAGGAAAUUUCAUUCAUGUGCCAAAGAUCCAAAAAAUUAUCAAAAUAAUUAUAAAUUUAUUAUAAUUGUGUCAAUUUAAUUUUAAACAUUUUUUUACCAAUUAAGUAUUAAACCUUUUAUAUUUAUGUCCAUUUAGUUCGUCCGAUCAAAAUUGACCGGCCAGCACUAACAUGAACACGAGGCAUCUUACAUGGCGCCAUCGACCCUAACAUAGAUAUUUUUUAGUAAUAUUGUAACAUUUUUCUCGAUUUUUAUUCCUAUUUUUUUAUAUAUUUUAUUUUCUUUUUUUCUUUCUUUCGUUUUAAUUUUUUUCUUCACUCCCUUCUUUCUCCAGCUAGUCACCAGUGACCACUGGGAAGGAAGCUUCAGGAAGAAUGGAGCGAGCUUCAAAUACUGUCCAGACUCGAUCAUGUCUUCAUGGGUGAUGUUCGGGAGCUAGGAAUUAGGCCCAUUGAAAUGAUACACGUGUUUGACUAUUCAUGGUCUAAGGUGGUAAGAUUUCGGUGAAGGGCCAAGAAAACUAAUCAGGUUCGAAAUGAGAAAUUAUUAUAUGCUCUACAAAACGUGUGACCCAAUAUCAUCUCAAUCAUUAAUCAAGUAGAUCUUGCUAUGAGCCCCAAGAUCAAUUGUUGGACUGGGUUUCGACAUAAGAUUUAUUGAACAUACAAUAACAUUUCAUGCAAAACAGGCAAACAUGGCUUGAAAAAUAAAAUUCACUCUACUAUCCAAAGUCAAGUCCACAAAAACUUAUUUUAGAGCCAAACUGUUAAGGAUAUAAGUGACCCACUGUCAAUUUGUUUCUAUUUCGAGUAUUCUAAAAACGUAGGAAAAUGUUCUAAGAUCCUUCUGAACUUAAACUGUCUUAGAUGGACACAUAAAAAAACCACUAAUCUCAGUCCUCGCGUUGGUCUGUUCUUGUCCCCAUCUCUCUUAUGGUCACGUCCUGUCCAAACGAUAUUAAAAGACAGCCAUGUGGCCAGCUAAUUAGAACGGUGGAAUUAAAGAAGAAACGUGGGCAAAACGACGUAAAGGCAAAGUCCGUCAUCUCAUCACCAUGGCCAUGAUCGUGCAUUUUUAGAAUCUUGUCCCUCCGACUUUAUUCGCCAUCACAUCGUUUUCUUCCCCCAACUGCGGGACUCUUGAGUCCGUCGCUACCCUUUCGUCGCAAUGAUGGUUCCAAUGCCAUAACAAAAGACGAUGGAUAGACCCAACAAAUGCACAAAUUGAAUCUAGUCGAAAAUGGACAAAUUCAAAUUAACACAUUUCAUUCAUUUUGAUUUAUUUUCAUGCAAUACAAAUUAUGUUACUCAUACUUGACCUAAUUCAUAUCUGAUUUGACUCAUAUUUCUUAAACACUUCCAUAUUUAAACUAAUUUAAGAAAAUCCAAAAUGAAGUGAGUAAAUUGUGAACUUAUUUAAUACCCAUAUUAUUUUGAAUUUAAGUCAUUCAUAUAAUAAAAAAAAAUAGUCUUAUAACCCAUUUUAACAAGUCUACUAUCAGAUAAACAUGAUAUCCCGACAUUUAUGAAAAAUUGUCCCAAUUAUGUCACAUCGCAUAUACAUGUAAGAAGGAAGAUUGGGACAUCUCCCAAAAAUCAAGUACGUAAUCGACAUUGCAUAGGUUGAGAAAAGAGCAAGAAGAACUAUAAAUUAUUCCUUUAAUUCUACUUGAUUCAAAGGAAUUGAUAUGGAAAAACACAAAAGACUAGCGACUAAUUAAGAUAUGGAAAAACACAUAAUGGAAAUAUUGUGUCGGAUUCCAAGGAAUUGAUAAUGUUCAGAAACCACAUAAAGAAAAAGGCGCCUUUUGUGUUGAGAACCGCACUCCUUUCUCAAGAUAAGUCGACAGCGUCCUCCACAGUGUCCGCAACCUGCAUAGGUAAGCAUAAAAGAGUUCAACCGGGGUAAGCGAUUUUUGGAUACACUUUUAACCUUGGAAAAUUUGGAGGGAAGUCAAAUUCCCCAUAAAAGUUGCUUUCAAUUGGGCAUAUUUUGGAAAUACUGACAUUUUGCUAGGCUGAAGAAGGAAAAGAUUCAAUCAUGUUUCAUCCAACCGAUUUAGAAUUGACCGAUCACCCAGAGCAUAGCAAAUCAAGGUAUGUAAGUAUGGGAGGGUUUUUUAUGAUGACAGCUCAAAACCACUUGAGGCCAUGUCUGGUUCAUGGCAUGGAAUCAUGAAAAGGAAUCUCAAUCAAGCAAUCGAAUUCCUAGAUGUGGGGUUCAUUCUCUAUUGUUUGGUUUCAAUUUAAAUAUGAAGGGAGAAAUGUCCGAUGUGAGAUGCAAUUUGAGAUAAAAACAUGUCAGAAAUGGAAUGUGUAAAAUAUUUCUUCCAUCCACAUAUCUAAAGUGGCUAAUGAAAAGGUAGGGAUAGAAACAGAAUGAAGAACCACAAAUGAUGCCCCGACAAUUUCCUGAUUAUUGUCAUCUAAAAUGAUCAUACAGUUCACACAAUCAUUUCACAAACACAUUACAUACAGUUCCUCAAAAUUGAGUAAAGCAUUUCACACAGAAUCUGCAACAAUGAAGAUAAAGUCAUUCCCGCAUAACUUCAAACUACUUCACAGCUGUUACCUCAAGCCAUUGUGAUAUUCUUGUCCUUAUUGUGUUUAGAGUCAGACCCACUCACGAGAACAAAUGGAGUGACAGCAACUCAGCCAAGUGUGUUAAUGAAACUUUAUAUCCCCACCCAAGCCAACGUGAUGCUCGUAGUUGGCAUCUCCAUUAACAGACCAGACAAGUUUCGUAAUAGCGAGAAAGAGAAAUAAUCUCACCUUGUAGAGGAAUGUGAGCGCCAUGGAAUCAAGAGGCAGGCGAAACUCCCAUGGAAGGAUUUGAAGAUGAUGAAUGGAGAGAGAGAGAGAGAGAGAGAGAGAGAGAGAGAGAGAGUUAUGGCUUUGUAGGAUUUGAAGAUGAUGAAGCUCAAGAGUACUGAGCGUGUUGGGCUCCUGAAUGUUUUUUCCUCCUAGAAAUCCCAGUACCACCUCUACCUGAGCAAUCCAGUUCUGCAUUAGGAGUAUCCGUUAACUAGGCACUUUGAUUCUAUGAUCAUAAAUCCAUCCAAAGAUGAGCUGCAAUGGCAUUCCACUUCCUCUUUAUUACUCCAAGGUGAACCAAACAAGGCCUAAGUGAUUACACGAUGCACUAUACUUCUGAAUGUUUUCAUGGUGGAAUCAAUGAUCUGCAGUCUCAACCAUGACUUUCCAUAGGAUCACGUAUCUAAAAUCUCUAAACCAAAGAAGUGAACAUGCUGGAAUGCACACAAUUCGCUUACUUAGGAACCUACCAUCAACUCACCCCAACGUACAUGCAAGGAGAGAUGGGAGAGACAGAUAGAGAAAUGUCUGGAUUUUGUUAAGAGUACGAAUACAUACCACGUCCAUGAGAAGUUCUGAAUGAUUAUCUUUUCCCUUGAAUACCCCAGUUCUUGUUAAUAUAGAAAACCAAGGAUCUCCUGCCUGAAGGAGUUGUUAUCAGUACUAGUGAUUGUGUUCGGAAAUAAAAUUACUGAUAACACAAUUCUCAGUAUGAAAUAUACCUGUCGUGCACCUCUAAUGUCGAUUUUGGAUUAUCCCCUAUCAUGUAUAGUGUUCUGAAACAACGAAUUCCAGAGUAUGUAUAAUUCUCCACAUCUAGGUUGCUUAACAAAGAUGGCAUAAGAUUCCUUAACACGGUCUCAGCAUUUCCAUAGACAAAUGGAUUUGGCCUCCCAUACGAUGUAUAUGCCAGCAGAAUGGGAUGUAUUCUGCAGGACAAGGACAAGUAAACAAUGCAUAACACAAGAUUGAAGAUUAAUGCAUGUCACUUUGCCGCAUUGAGGUAAACUAGGCCCACACAAGGAUCUUAUGGGCCUUUCUUUAAUUUUUUGUGCAGAAUAUUAGAUCAAACUCCGUGCAGAACUAACAUUGAGAAGCUGAAACCUCACUAUCUUACCUGUUAUAGAUUGCUUCUAACGCAAUCCUGAACGCUCCCAUACCCAGACAUUCGGCAGGAAAAGUAGCCUGCCUUUGACUUUGUUAGCUAGUCAUCAGCCAGUCUUUAGUUCCGCCAAGGCUUCAAAAACUCAAGAUUGCAGCUGGCGUCACAAAUGGCAUAGCUUACCUGGUAUUCGAGGUCAUUAUUUGCAAAAACUAGGUGCGGUUGCUUUCCAGCCUCCCUUCCAGGAAGCCCCCCAGUUCUUAAUAUGUCACAGAGCACCUAAACCCAAACUUGAGUAUCACAGAAUUGUUUUUAAUACACACACACAGACAGAUAGAUGAUUACACUCCAUUUUAUCACUUUUUCCAAACUCGAUGUCAACACCCACUAGACUUUUAAAAAGAUGAUGACUAAAGUUGCAGAGCAGUUACCGAACAACCAAACAAAGCGUUGUCUUUUGAUAAUCAGUUCAAAGAUUUAGAACUAGCGUGAUGAAAAGCCCAGUAUGGACUCGACAGCCGAAUUAGAUAAUCUAAGAAAGGACAAGAUCCUUUAGAGUGGUUACAACCUAGACAUCUCUGCUCCGGUCAACAGAAUCACUGACUACAAAUGCUGCCUGAACUCUCUGCGUUUGCACAGCAAUUUAAUUCUUUCCUAUCAUAUUAGAAGUGCUAUAAUUUAUGUCUAGAUAUUUUUUGUGGAAGGUAAACAAAUUUUUAGUUCGUUUAUUUUUAUAAGCAAUAUAAAUAAUUAUUUUUAUGAAAUGUAUUUAAAUCAUUCUCUUAAUCAAAGAUACACUCCCUUUACAUCUGUGUUGUAGUUCCAUCUUCACUCUCGAUUGUAUUAAUUAAUCAUAUGAGCCAAAAGUAAAGCAAAAUAUAUUUGUGCUCUAUAGGCAAUUUUAUUCUAAACAGCUUUUCAUCAGCCAACAUUUAGUUUUUCUCAUGGACUAAUGGCAUCUGUUUUUAUGGUCGUGGUAGUAAAAAAAUUAAAUUGGAAAUUAGAACAGGUUUUGAAUAGAGGAGAUUAUGUAAAGCCAAAAGAAGCAACAUGGAUGGACCACUUUUCUUAGCCGUCGCAUCAACAAACAAACGGAGAAAAUGAUGGAGGUGCAAUCCUAUUUUGAUGACAGCUUAGCAGCGUACUAUUGCGGGCCAACGGAAGCAUGUGAUCAUCGUCUUUUACCGAGACAAUGAAUGAUUUGAUAGCCCAACGGAAGCAUGUGAUCAUCGUCUUUUCGUCUUUUACCGAGACAAUGAAUGAUCAGGUAGCCUCGUUGAUGACAUGGAAGUGACAAGCGGUCCUUCCACUAGUGCAUCUACUUUCGGACAACGAUGGAUUCCCAUUAUAUUAUUUCGUGCCUUGGCCUGCAAUCAGGCAUAAGGGAGAGCAUUAAAUUCCAAAAAUAAGCCUAUUGACAUUCUCUUCCGGGUGCUUAAUUCAGAAGAAAAACAGCUUCGUCUUAUCAUGUCAUGCUGUCAUCGUUACACUUAAGUAGUUGAAAAUAAUUGAAACGCCACGUUAGAUGAUUUCAAUGAGAUUUAGCUAAAAUGUUUUAUCGCAUUUUCCCUUCUAAGUUGAAGACUACGUUAUUUUAGUAAAAAAAAUUUAUUUUUUUAUAUGACCAAGGAACCAUCAAAGAUCACUCUGUCAUACGAUCCUCUAGGCACUGUUAGACCUCGUCGAGAACCCCAACACAAUGACCUCCCGCUUACAACACUUUAGCAACGAGAGAGUUCGAACCCUCGACCUCUGCGAUGAGAGAAAGAACUCAUAUCAACUGCGCUGCUCGUGAUUGUGUUAUUUCAGUUAAAAAGUUUAUACCUUGAUAGGUUUGAAAUUUCGUUAUAAUAAUUUUAGGAGAGAUUGUACAAUUAUCUCGGAAAUAUGACAAUUCGAAUUUCUUAAUCUCGUGCUCGCACUCAACUCAAUACAAUAUAUAUACUCGCAUUAGACUCGAUCCAACUCUAAUAUUAAAAACUAAAUUAUAGUGUAAAGCUUCAAACUCCAUCUCAAGUUCUCAUAAAAAAUUUCAAAAAUAAUGAUUUUUUUCUAUUGUCCUUAGUAAAAUCCUUUUAAUUACUGUAGUAUUACAAAAUUUGACACCUCCGACAUGGCAAUCCAUAUUGUUGGUCCAAAUACAUAAAAGAAGGGGUGAAGUGUUUUUUAUACAUAUAAAAAUAUUUAUCUUUCUAGAACCAGCACCUUAUUUAAAAAAAAGAAUAUAUGCAAUUAAACUGUUAAUUUGCAAUAAGAAACUUAUCGAGUUUAGGGAAAAAUGAAUUACAAAAGCUAUUUAUAGAGUUUCAAUUAGGAUAUGCUUUCUCUUCUAGCUCUAGCUGCCCCAUUAGAUUGAAAUUCACUACUUUGGCCAAUAGUGCAAUUGCCAAGAACUUUGUAUCAUGCGGACUCGACUCCUCCUAUGGCUAUCUCACUAUAGACUAAAUAAUUAUUAGAUCUCUUUCAAUAGUUGUUCUCACACCUUGUGCACACAACACGGUAGACAUAUUCUCCCCCAAAAUUAUUUAACCUCAUUUCUAAGUGUUUACAAAUAAUCAUUUGCAUAUUUCGUCUCUUACCUAAACAAUUGCAGUCUCUCUAAGCACAACCACUUCUUCCGUGUGCAUACAAAUGAUAUUGGCACCCUUGCUAACUUUUAGGAUCAAAACUAAAUAGAUUAUAAUGAAACAACAAAGAGAUGGAUCUCAAGAACACUCAAUGUGUUUCGAUUUUUCUUGUUGCAAGCACUCAAUCACAAGUUACGUUUUACUCGUAGUUUGUCCUUAUAGGCAUCCAAAAACAACCCUCCUAUUCCAACCAUUUGAUUCGAGUUGAUCACAUAUUUCAUUUCAGCACACAGAAAAGAGACAUUUGGAGGGGGUACUUAGAGAUCAUCGACAAAUGAAAAAAUCAAAAUGAUAAGGAGAGUGAGCAGAAGUUGGUAAGUUUAUAAAUUGACUUAUUAUAGUGUUUGCAAUUUAUUGAUGAUGCUUGUGAAAUUUCCAAAGAGUUGGUUAUUCUUUAAUUUAUUUCAAAGUUGGUAAAUUUCUAACGGCAUUGAUAAGUUAUUGAUAGGUCAUUGGGCAAUCAAAUUGACGGUCAUGCUUUUCUUUUAUCGACUGUACUAGAUCUUAAUGUUGGCUGGGUCUACCUGUGUGGGGCCUGGUUAAUGUUAAUAAAUAAAAGAAAAGGUCAAAAAGUCAAAAAAUGCAAUAAAGGAAAAGAAAGGCGGGCUGCUUAUUCGGAGAAGAUAGGAAAUAGGCUGCCAAAUAUUGUCAGAGUUGACUCAAAUUUCGAUAUGUUGUUAUAAGACUGAGACAGAUGAGUCGAGACAGGCGAGUCCAUAAGUUUCAUUUGUCAAUCCGUUUUGUUCACUGAACACUUUUUCUAAAUUAUCUCAAAUUUCUCCAAUUGCGAUUAGGGUUUCUUACUUCAUAUAUAUUAAUUCGCUUUUACAGUGACGAAAUGUCAUUAUUGUUGAUAUUGAAUCUCUAAUAUAUUACUAAAGAAGAACCUCUGUGCAUCUUACUAUUUUUUUGUGAUUAGUAAAAGUUUUUGAAUCGUCCAUAUUUUUUUCACAUUGAAUUUUCCACGUAAACUUGUUGUGUUUGCUUUUGUCUGUUUUUAUCAUUUUGGCAUUUUUUUUAUUCAUUACGAGAUUAUAUUGUGGGAAUAUAUUGCCUGUUAUUAUAGGGGUUGAGUCGAUUUUGGUCCAUUUAAUCUUGGGAAGAAAUUGAUACAAGAUUAAGUUAAUUUUUGAUGAAUUGUUGCCGGUUCUCUCGAACUUUGUAUCAAUAAUUUUGGAAAUCCAUCAAGUAAGGGAAAUUUUCCGCAUUUUCCUUUGACUACCCUGCACUCAGUCCCGAAAGCUUGGGUUAGCCACAUCUUUGAUUUUUUGUCUCAUCGACCAAUAGCAUUUGAUUUUAUGGUGUUCGUGGUCGUGAAAAAGUAUGAUUUCUGUCCCAAUCGCGUCCUCAUCGGCAUCUUUGAUUUUUUUUGUCUGAUCGACCAAUAGCAUUUGAUUUUGUGGUCUCCGUCGUCGUGAAAAAUAUGAUUUCUACCCCAGUCGUGUCCUCAUCAGCCCAAAGCAUUUUACUUGAUUUUCCCAGAACUGCCCCAGUCAAUAACACUUCAAUUCGUGUUAUAUUAUGGGGUUGUUUGGUUCAGCAUUCCCAAGGGGCUUUCAGCCCCGAAAGCCCCUUGGGAAAAAUUUCAGCCGUUUGGUUAAUCAUUUAGAGCUAUACUUUGGGGAUGCUAGCAUUUGGAAUGCUCUAGAAUGCUGAAAGCCCAAAGCAGGUCCCCACCUGCUUUGGGCAUUCGGCAUUUUCGGAAUGCUGAAGGGGGGUUUAAUGAUUUUUUUUCUUCCGAUAUUGCCCUCACUGAUAAUUGAGUUUUCUUAUUUUACCCUAAAAAAUAUUGUUCAUCAUCUUCCUCGCCUUCCUUGUUUCUUCAAGACCAAAGCUCAUCUGGCGGAGCUCAACCGGCCGGAGUUGGUCUCCCACGCAUGGCCAUCGCCACACACCGCCGUGCCCACGCACCACCGUCGCCACACACCGCCGUGGCCACGCACCACCGUCGCAUGGGUCGUGACCUCAGCGGCGUCGCUUAGGUCGCGCAACCCACGCGACGGGCUGAGUGGUGCUCAGCCGACCAGAUCCGGUCGCCACGCACCACCGUUGCGUGGGUCACGGCCUCCGGCAGUGUCGCACGACCCACGCCACGGCUCAGCCGCCCAGAUCCGGUCGCCACGCACCGCCAUCGCGUGGGUCGCGCCUCAGGCGGCGUCGCGCGACCCACGCGAUAGGCUGAGCGGUGCUCAGCCGGCCAGAUCCGGUCGCCUUGAGGCCGCGCGACCCAUAAGACGGCGGUGUGUGGGUCGCGCGACCCGCAGACGGCGGUGCGUGGGUCGCGCGACCCGCCGCCUCCCCACCACCACAGCCACCAGCCGCCUCCCCCACCACAGCCAUGCACCGCCGUCGCGUGGGUCGCAGCCUCAGGCGGCGUUGCGCGACCCACGUGACAAGCUGAGCAGUGAGCAGUGCUCAGCCAGCCAGAUCCGGUUGCCUCCCCACCACCACAGCCACCGGCUGCCUCCCCCACUAGGCUCUGAUUGCCUCCCACUCGCUCCCCUACUCUGCAUCAACCUCUCCUCCUCCUUUUUCCUUUUUCUUUUCAUCUCAAAGCUAUUUUGCAAAAUGCUACACCAAAAUAAGAGUUCCCAAACACUUCAGCAUUCACCAAAUGCCCAUUCUUCUAAAGAUACUUGGGGAAAUGCAAAGCCAUUUCCCCAAAGUUGAACCAAACAGCCCCUAUGAUCUGAGAAAUGGAUGUUUACUGCGGGGUUCGUCCAAAUCGAUUUCGUCCAGCGGCACGAUAAGAAGAGAUGCUCCAAUAUUCCUUUUUUCAAACUUUCUUGCAAGAUUGAUUGUAGUUUUAUUUUUUAGGAGUCGUGCUUGGAUUGGAUAUGUUCAUGUUUCGGAGGAGGUUCAUGAAAUUUUGAAGACGACUCGCAUCAUACUUGUCAGCAUGUAGGGAUGGAACUAUCAUAUAUUUUUAGUGGGGUCAAUGCCCUAAAGACUGUAAAAUAAGGUAUUUCAUUUAACAAAAAAAUUAUAAAGAUGCGAUCGAGCUAUUUAUUGAUUUGAAGUAGUUUUUCUACGCGAAGUCUGACUUGAAAUCAAAGCUUUGACAUUGAAUCGUGAAUGUGAACAAAAUUCGGUCUCAAAUCCUUGUGCUCGAGUUCGACUCAAUAUAUUAUAUAGGGCUCGAAAUUGAACUCGAUUCAAUUCCAUUAUUAAAAGCUCGAUUGUACUCAUUUGACUUGUUACGUAGGAUGUUUCUUUCUAUUUUUCCUAAUCAUAUAUUGUACCUUCUGCAUAGCCUGGUCAUGCCAUUUGAUUGCUUUAUCUUCUGACUCUAUCAAUCAUUGUGUUUGAUUGGUGGUGUGGUUGUCUAGUAGUGCAAUGUCUAAGCCCGAUAAUUUUUUUAUAAUUGUUUAUCUUUUUACUUUUCUGUUUUUUGCGUCAUAAAGAAGUUUAUAGUACAUGGAAAGACAAGAUACUGGUUUUGAUUUCUUGCAAGUUAGCGCAUGGUCCCUUAGAGGGCGACGAGGCUAAGCCUAAUUACAUCGAUGAACAAUGGAAAUUACUAAAAAGGCAAUGUAGGGUUUCAUUAGGCAUCAUCAAUUGGAUUUUAUUUCUUUAGAUAAACUAUAAAGAUCCCAUCCCACUGCUCCUUUUGCUCUUCCGAUUUCCAUCUUUUGGCAGUGGAAAACUGUAGCCACAACAACACCGAUAUAAAUUAAGGAAUUGUUAUGCUAGCCGGAUCCUAUGAGAAACAAUCGAUGUCAUCUCAUCCAUUGAUCGUCAGACUUUCAGGAUUAUAUGUCACAAUUGCACUUCCAUUUGUUGUAGAAAACUUCCUUAUUUGUUUUGAAGCUGACAAAACGUUUCCAUCAUUCUAGUCUGAAGACUUAUAGACUCUUUCGUCAAAGUCUAAAGACUGUCAUACCACCAGACUCAAGAUUUAAAUUCUGCCAUUAUCGACAGUUUCUAGACCGAUGAAGAAGACUUAUCCAGAAUUGAGUAUUUCUUUAAGGAUUUGAUUCGAGUGGCUAAAGAAGUUCUCACGGCUGGAGAUAGCAUCUCAAGAUUUAUAAUUCGUUUUGAAUUUAAAUCGAGUAAUUUGGAUCUAUUGAUUGGCGAAGUAUACUUGGAAAGUUCUACUUAUGGAAACCUAAAUUUGAUUGUAUGGGCGAGCAAAAUUGGUGGGCUAUCAUCACAUUCCUUAAGUAACUCGAGAUCUCCUUAAUUGAUUCUGUUCAACGGGUAGAUUGGAAGAACUCAUUUGGAAGGUGCCAACAGUUAUGAAGGCAUGGAGAAGUAUAUAAGGAAGACGCUCUAGUUAUUUGAGUGUGCACGUGAUAGAAAAAUUCCAAAGUCUGAAGUUCAUUGUUCUUUGCCGAUUCAAUCGUUGAGCGUAAAUAUGUAAUCAAAAGAGAGUUUUAAUACUUGUGAAACCUUGAGGAAGUGUAGCAGAGUCUCUACACCGUGGAAUCAAUGAUGUGAUACUGUAACAACUAUUUUGAUUCAUAGUGAAAUCUAGCCGGUGGGUUGUCAGUGCGGGAGAGUGGACGUAGGCUUAGAUUAAGCCGAACCACUAUAAAUUUGUGUUCUUAUUUCCUUCCCUAAACUCUUUUAUCUUGCUCGUAACUCUAUUUAAUUGUUAGAAUCUAAUUUCCUCUACAAAGUCUGUCGUCAACCAGAUUCAGGUUAAAAGUUUUAUACUAUAUUUUGCAAAAGUUGCUUUUGCAUCUAUUUACCCCAUCUAGGUGCUCGUACUAGCAUUAUCAAUUGGUAUCAAAGCAUGUGUACUCAUUUAAUUGAAGUGUUUUUACUUUAGAGUUAAAGAUCCGUGGCUAGUAUGUUGGCUCCAAGUUUGGUUGAAGGGCAAAGUAAUACCAGACCGCCCUAUUUUGAUGGAAGGGCAUAUAACAUAUGAAAAAACAAGAUGAAGGCAUUCCUAAGAUCGAAAUACCCUCUAGAAUGGGAUGUGGUAGAAAAAAGAAUCAUUCCUAAAGCUGCAUCAGUCUCAAGAAGGGGAAAAGAAGUUGCAAUGGCUAGUGAGAUGGCUCAAGAAGAGAUAACCAAGAGACAAGCUCUUGAUGCAAAAGCAAUUUAUUUCUUAUAUUGUAUAUUAUCUCAUACUAAAUAUAAUAGAAUAUUUUCUUGUGAAACAGCUAAAGAAGUCUGGGAUAGGUUGCACAUCACCUAUGAAGGAACUGAUCGAGUGAAAGAAACCAGAAUCAAUAUUCUGCUCGGUCAAUAUGAAGCCUUCAAGAUGAAGCCAGGAGAAUCUAUCACUGACAUGUUUAGUCGCUUUACAGAAAUCGUGAAUGGUCUUGAGUAUCAAUGUUAACCAGUCUAAAGACCCAUGAAGGUUAAUAAAUUGCUGCGUGGACUUUCCAAAGAUUGGAAUCACGUAAAGAAACAAAGGAUCAUGCCACUCUCCGUUGAUGAAUUGGUUGGCACACUUUAAUCCUAUGAAGUUGAGCAAAUCAAUGAAGAUGAAGAUCCUAAAGGUAAAAAAUCUAUUGCUUUAAAAUCUAAUGAUGAUUCUAAUGUUACAGAUUCUAAAGACGAUAUGGACGAUGAAGAGCUUGCUCUCAUUAUAAGAAGGUUUAGAAAACUGAACAAAAAGGGAAGAGGAUUCAAUUGAAAGAAACAAAGUUCUCAAAAGUUUCAAAAUAAAUCAGCUAAGGACGAUGAAUCCAAUAAAGAUAUGAUUUGUUUUGAAUGCAAGAAAAAGUGACACAUCAGACCCAACUGUCCCUUGCUGAAGAAAAAGAAAGGAAAAUUUGAGAAAUACAGAAAGCCAUUCAAAGCAUAAACUUGGAAUGAUACCGAAUGCGAAGAGAGUGAUGAUGAUUAUGAUAAUAUUUGUUUAAUUGCAAAAUCGGAAUCAGAUUCAGACUCUAAGAUAGAUACAGACUCAGACAGUGAAUUCGAGGUAAGUAAUUUAAAAAUUCCUACUAAAGUUUCAAAAUAUAUUAAUGAACUGUGUCUUAGUCUCAAAACCUCUCUCAAGAGGAUUUCCGAGUUAAAAAGGGAAAAUUAUACACUGAAGCAACAUGAGAUUGUUUGGAAAGAAAAGUUCAAAAAUUUAAAUAAAAUUUUUAUUACUUUGAAAGAAAAUGCAGACUCUCUUUCAAAAGAAAAUACAUUUUUGAAAAAUGAUAUUUCAAGUAUUUCAAAAAGGUUUUCUAUAAGAUCUGAGAAAUUGGAAAAAUAUUCUUUAAGCACAAAGACCUUACUUUAACAAAUCAAGCUUGGGAAUAACUUCUGAAACCAUUCCUCUAAUUGAUUUUCCAAAAGUAAAGGAAAGAAUCAAACAAAGACCUACAAAAGCAUUCUAUAGAAAUCAUUUUCAAAAAGUCUUUGUAAAACCUAUUGGCCAUAGUACUCUUAAAUGUUCUAAGUGCAAUAGCUUAGAACACUUUGAGAAAGAAUGUCCCAUGAUUUGGAAACUUGUUAAGAAGGAUUGGGCAAAGACCGUAUAUUGCACUAACUCCAUUGGACCCAAGAAAGUGUGGGUACCUAAGAAAGUUUGAGUUUCUUUUUUAAAUGUAGGUCACUAUCAAGAAAAAGGUCAAGUAGUACUUGGAUAGUGGAUGCUCAAGACAUAUGACAGGGGAUUCAAGUUGUUUCAUAAAGCUUAUGCAAGUUAAUGGUGGAAAAAUUUCUUUUGGUGGAAACAACAAAGAAAAAAUUGUUGGAUGUGGAACAGUAAAGAUUGGAAGUCUCACAAUCAACGUCUCCUUAGUAGAAGGACUCAAUUACAACUUGCUAAGUAUCAGCCAACUGUGCGACACAGGUUUCAAAAUCAAAUUUCAAGAAUGAAUAUGUUCGAGAACCAGUAAAGACUUCUCUCAGACUUUCACAGGGCGAAGACAUGGGAACAUCUAUCUUUUGGAUAUCAAACCAGAAAAAUCUCAUUGUCUAAUUCCAAUUCAAGAGAAAGCUAAUCUCUGGCAUCGAAAACUUAGCCAUAUCAAUAUGAAGCAAAUAGCCAAGAUCUCUGCAAAGAAGCUUGUUUGUGGACUACCCAAUUUGACAUUUCAAAAAUUUGAAUUAUGCAUACCAUGUGUGUUGGGAAAACAGGUUAUAAGUUCCUUUAAACCAAUAAGUCAAGUUUCCACUAAUCGUGUGCUGCAGCUCCUACAUAUGGAUCUCUUUGGAUCAACUAGGACUCAGAACAUUGGUGGAAAGAAAUAUUGCCUAGUAGUAGUGGAUGAUUAUUCACGAUUUACUUGUGUAUACUUUUUGGCGAGUAAGUCUGAAACCUUUUCUUAUUUUAUAAAGUUUGCUAAGAAAGUACAAAAUGAGAAAGGGUAUGUUAUUUUGAGUAUACGGACAGACCAUGGAGGUGAGUUUGAAAAUCAAAAUUUUACUAAAUUCUGUGAUGAAUCUAGUUUUCAGCAUAUGUUCUCCUCUCCAUACACUCCCGAACAAAAUGGAGUUGUGGAAAAGAAGAACAAAUCGUUGCAAGAUAUGGCUAAAACACUUUUAAUUAAAAGUAACAUUUCUUCUCAUUUUUGGGUUGAAGCAGUUUCUACAACAUGUUAUAUUAUUAAUAGAGUCUUCUUAAGGCCUAUUUUGGAGAAAACUCCCUAUGAAUUGUUCAAAGGAAAGAAGCCAAUUGUUUCCUAUUUUCAUGUGUUUGGCUGCAAAUGUUUUAUAAUGCAAAUGAUUGAAUUGGUAAGUUUGAAGAAAAAUAAGACGAAGGCAUCUUCCUUGGAUAUUCAACCACCAGCAAAGCUUACAGAGUAUAUAACAAAAAGACUCAAUCUAUGGAAGAAUCGAUGAAUGUCAAAUUUCAAGACCUUAUACAAAAUCAAUCAAUCUACACUCAACUUGAAGAAUUUGAACCUACUCUAAUCUCUAUAAAGUCUAAAUCCCCAGAAGCAGCUCAGACUUCAGAAGAUCAACAACAAAUGAUCAUUGAAGAAUCAUAUGAAGAAAAAGAUCAAAAGUCUGUCAGACCAACCAGCAACUGGAAGCACAAGUUCAGUCAUUCUAAAGAACUUAUUAUUAGUGACAUUGAUGAAGAGAUUCGUACAAGAUCCAAAAGGCAUGAUGAGUCUAACGAUGUGGCUCUUAUUUCUGAAAUAGAACCCAAAAGCAUAGAAGAAGCUUUAACUGAUGAAAGCUGGAUUGAAGCUAUGCAAGAAGAACUCAGGCAGUUCAGUAUUAACGAUGUUUGGGAACUGAAUCCUAAACCAAAAGGUAAAUAUAUUAUUGGAGCUAAAUGGGUUUUCAGGAAUAAGAUGGAUGAGAAAGGAAAAGUUAUAAGGAACAAAGCAAGACUCGUAGCCAAAGGAUAUACGCAAGAAGAAGGGAUAAAUUAUUAUGAGACUUACGCACUAGUAGCAAGAUUAGAAUAAAUUAGAUUAUUACUUGCUUUUACUUGUUAUAAGAAUUUCAGAUUAUUCCAAAUGUACGUCAAAAGUGCAUUCUCGAAUGGAUUUAUCCAAGAGGAAGUUUAUGUGGAACAACCUCCCUGUUUCGAAGGCCCAAGGAAACUAGACUCUGUAUUUAGAUUGAAAAAGGCGCUAAUGGUUUAAAGCAAGCACCUCGAGCUUGGUACGACAGGUUAAGUAAGUUUUUAAUUCAAAAUGGCUUUGUUAAAGGUAAAGUAGACACUACUUUGUUUAUUAAAAGAGAAAGUAAAAACUUUUUACUUGUUCAAAUCUAUGUUGAUGAUAUUAUUUUUGGAUCACCUAACGAAAAUCUAUGCAAGAAAUUCUCUAAGUCUAUGUAGGAUGAAUUCGAGAUGAGCAUGAUGGGUGAACUAUCCUUCUUUCUCGGACUACAAAUGAAACAAUUGAAGGAAGGAAUUUUCAUUCACCAAGAAAAAUAUGCUAAAGAACUUGUUAAAAAGUUUGGUGUGGAGAAUUGCAAAAAGACUGAUAUACCAAUGUCAAGUUCUUCAAAGCUGGACAAAGAUGAAGGAGGAAAGCAAGUUGACCAGAAGUUGUACAGGAGUAUCAUUGGUUCACUUCUUUAUUUUAUUGCUUCUAGACUUGACAUUUUGUUUAGUGUUUGCAUUUGUGCUAGAUUUCAAUCAAAUCCUAAAGAAUCUCAUCUAAGUGCUGCGAAACACAUCAUCAAAUACGUUGCUACAACCUCCAAGUUAGGUCUCUGGUAUCCUAAAGAAGAAGACGUUACUCUCCUUGGAUAUUCAGAUGCAGAUCUAGCAUGAUGUAGAGUUGAUAGAAAGAGCACCUCGGGCACUUGUCAAUUGCUUGGUAACAGGACAAUAUCUUGGUUUUCAAGGAAGCAAAGUACUGUAGCUCUUUUAACAGCAGAAGUAGAGUAUGUGGCUCUUAGAAGUUGUUGUUCUCAAAUCUUAUGGAUAAAACAACAACUGAGAGACUUUGGAAUAGAAGAUUCAUGCAUUGAGAUCAAAUGUGACAACACUAGUGCGAUUAAUCUCACCAAGAAUCCAGUUCUUCAUUCAAGAGCAAAGCAUAUAGAGAUUCGACAUCAUGUUAUUAGAGAUCAUGUUCAAAAUGGAGAAGUAUUGAUUCAAUUCAUUGACUCAAAGAAUCGGCUGGCGGACAUAUUUACAAAAUCUCUGGAGAAAAGUCAAUUUGAGUCUAUUCGAUCCAGUCUUAAUAUCUUAAAGUCUGAAGAAGUUCAGACUCAGGGAUAAAAGUCUAAAGAUGCUCAGAUUCAGAAGAUCAAGAAUCACGACUGUAAGUUAUUUCGGUUUUAGAAACUUAUCUUUCGGAUAAAAACUCAAAAAGGUAUGAUGUUAUCUUCCCAAGUUUUUGUAAUUAUAGCAAUCAUUCCUUUUCGAAAAAGAAGUUAUCUUUUUGAAAUGACAGUUAUCUAUUUUCAAAAAGAUAGUUAUUUUUUGAAAAUGCAUUUUCUAUUUUUCCUUUUACGACAAUCUGUAUACCCCAUUUCGAUUGCCUUAUAUACUGAUCAUCUUCUUCACGAAUCCUAGAACCAAAGAACUUUACUUUCUUACUUUUUCUCUAUAGUUUAAUCCUUAAAGUUUUCAUCUUUCUCGUGAAUCGAAUUCGGAAACUCUCUCAAAGAUUGUGAUAAUGUCUUCUCAAAGAAAGUCCUCAAGGAUUGCAAGCAGGGGACCACAGCAUAUGCAUGAGGAUCCUAUGCAUUUUAACUUGACCGAGGAAGAAGAAUCUCCAAGGCAUCAGCAGAGUCCACAACAUUCUCAACCGCGCCAUUCUCCUCAGGCUAGACCACAGCAUGUUCAGUAACAAUAAGCAUAGGAAGAAAUUAUUGAGGAUGCCAAACCUGUAAGAACUCUAAGGCCCGCUUUUACCUUCAAACUCUACUUUACCUUAAUGGAUGGAGGUUUUCCAUUAAACUUUAUUGAUGAAUUUUUGAAAGAAAAGGGGUACCGAAAUGAAACCCAUUUCUUACGAACGAUGGAACGUUUGGGAAUUGCUCAUGUGGGCUUGGCAGAAAGAGCUUUUGCGAAUAUCCCAAGUGAUCCACAUGUUAGAGGACUUAGUCAACCUGAUGGAAAUGAUGAUGAAAAGAUGUUCACUCAUUUUAAGCCUAGAAUGGGUGUUGCUGCGAAUAUUCGAGGAAAAAGAGCAGAUCUGUUUCGUUCUGAGGAACAUAAGCGAUUUUACUCUAAGUUGCUGAAGCGAGGGGUGAUGAACCCAAGGAGUGUGGGUUUUGAUUUUCUCGACUCUCUGAACGUGAAGUUGCGAGAGAAAUUUACUUUACUUCAACUUGAACGAUUUUGCUCUAAGACAACAGUGGCUCAUCCAAAACUUACUGCUUAUUUCUAUUCCAAUCUACGCUUUUUGGAUGCGAAUAGAUUUUCUUUCAGUGUUAGAGACUAGGAUUAUGUAGUUGAUAUGGACAUUCUGGCUGAUGUGAUUGAAGUAGAGAGAGGGAUGUUCCAAUUAAUUAGUGUGUCUAUUGGUCAUGCAACUGUGGAGCUUGUUCAGGAUGGAAUGGCAGAAGGCCGGAUUUUGUACUUGAGGAUGAAUGCCUCAAAUGUCUUGCUUCACAAGAUUGUGAUUAACUAUCUUAGACCCAAAUGUACAUCAAAGAUUAACGUCUCCAAUUCAGAAGCAAAGCUGAUGUAUGCUAUCAAUACUGGUAAAAAGUUCUCUCUGCCACACACUUCUUUAUUUAGCACUUGUUACUCAGCUAUUCAGACAUUUUAAUAUUCAACUUCCCAAAAUUUUGUGUGUUCGAACCUGUAAUCAAAUGGUGGUGGGACUAAAGAUGGUUUCAAAAAUGCAUCUAAAGGAGCUAAACAAGGCUUUAGAGCGCUUUAAGAAGAAGACCCCUAUCAAGACUCGUCAAGACUCUGUGGCUGCAAAACGCAAAGGCAAGGAGCCCAUGACAGCUCCAUCCAAGAAAAGGAGAGCACUCAUCUUGCAGGAUGAAGAAGAUGAGGAAGAUAUCACCAUUUCCGCUCUUGCCUUAAGGAACUUACAGCGUUUUGUUCCAAAGACAGAGGAUAGAGAGGAUCAAGACAGAGAAGAAACAGAGCAGAGGAGUGAAGAGAGGGAAACGAUGUGGAAAACAGCAGAGGAAGAAAGAACUGUAGAAGAAGAGGAAAGAGGAGAACAAGGUCAUCAUGUCACUGAAGAAGAGACAGAGCAUGAAGAGUACUUCUCUCCACCUGAAGGCAUUCAAACAGGAGGAGCUGCUGAGAAAAGAGGUAUUUCUUCACUUGCUUUUACUAGUGAUGAUGUUAGUUGUUCUCUUGCCGAUCCAGAAGAUGUAUAUGCCUCUCAAUUUCCUAAAGAAGGUAAUAAGGUUUCAUCUUCGAGCCUGGCUGCUCAUGCUGAAAUGCCAUCAUUUGCCAAUACUCCACAAAUUGAUCAUGCUGAAGCAAGCACUCAAACUGACAACUCAACAGACUUUAGAAGAUUGCUUGAUGUUCUUAUGGAGAAGAGAGGUCAGAUUUAUUCCUUGGGAUGUGAAUUUCAAAAUAUGUAGAAUGUCAAUCAAGCCUCUUCAGUUUCUUUGCACAAUCAAGUUCAAGUAAUUGCCAAGGGUGAGGAAGUAGCGCAACUGAAGGAGGUUCUGAGAAAGUUGGAGGAGACUAUCAAGUCGAUGGGAGAUUUCCAGCUUGUUCACGUUCCAAAACAAUCUUAAUUUUUUUUCCAAAUCUUUAUUUCGUCUCUACCUUUUUAAUGCUGACAAAAAAGGGGGAGAAGUUGGUGCAUAUUUGACUUUAUUUGACUUUACUUUUUUACUUUACUUUUGUUUGGUUGUGAUUGGUUUGGACUAUGUUUUGAUAGGUUUAGACUAUGUUUUGAUCGUUUAAUGCUUGCAGUAUCUUAAGCAUUGGUAUUCAUGGUUGGACUGUGUUUUGAUCGUUUAAUGCUCGCAAUAUCUUAAGCAUUGGUAUUCAUGGUAAAGAUAGUUGUUUUUACAGGACUAAUUCAUUUCCUGUGGAUGCAGUCUGACUUGCAUGUGUUAAGCAUGCCGCCAGUGUUCAUCCUGAGCCAGGUCUCCAACAAUUAUUCCAAUAAUUACAUAUCCGAUUUGACCUAUGGACGAAUAUGCAAGCAUACGUUUCAUGCUUGUUUGAGUAAUAGCAAUGAGAUUCCCCAAUAUCAUGCUAAGAAUAGCUAGGAUUUCCAGAAGAAGAUGCCAUUCGUUUGAUGAGAAAUAAAAAGGAAUAUCGAAAAUAAUACUGAUUAGAAUCAGGGACCAAGUUUCAUUAUUUGAUACUAUAUUUAUUCUAAUCCAUUUAUCUUUCAUGAGGUAUCCUUGUUUGCUUGAGUAUUGUCUUGCAGGUCAAAAGUAUCCAAAUUUGCAGAAAAGUUUUGUCAUUAUCAAAAAGGGAGAGAUUGUUGGAGAAAACUAACUUAUUUGUUUUGAAGCUAACAAAACGUUUCAAUCAGUCUAGUCUGAAGACUUGUAGACUCUUUCGUCAAAGUUUGAAGACUGCUAGAUCGCCAGACUCAAGAUUUAAAGUCUUCCCUCAUUGACAGUUUCUAAACCGACGAAGAAGACUUAUCCAGAAUUGAGUAUUUCUUUAAGGAUUUGAUUCGAGCGGCUAAAGAAGUUCUCACGGCUAGAGAUAGCAUCUCAAUAUCUAUUAUUCAUUUUGAAUUUAAUUCGAGUAAUUUGGAUUCGUUGAUUGACGAAGUAUACUUGGAAAGUUCUACUUAUGGAAACCUAGAUCCUGAUUGUAUGGGCGAGCAUGAUUGGUGGGUUAUCAUCAUAUUUCUUAAGUAACUCGAGAUCUCCCUAAUUGAUUAUGUCCAAUGGGUAAAUUGGAAGAACUCAUUUGGAAGGUGCCAAUGGUUAUGAAGGCAUGGAGGAGUAUAUAAGGAAGACGCUCUAGUUAUUCGAGUGUGCGCGUGAUAGAAAAAUUCAAAAGUCUGAAGUUUCUUGUUCUUUCCCGAUUCAAUCGUUGAGCGUAAAUUUGUACUCAAAAGAGAGUUUUGAUACUUGUGAAACCUUGAGGAAGUGUAGCAGAGUCUCUACACUGUGGAAUUAAGGACGUGAUACUAUAACGACUCUUUUGAUUCAUAGUGAAAUCCAGCCGGUGGGCUGUCAGUGUGGGAGAGUGGAUGUAGGUUUGGAUUAAGCCGAACCACUAUAAACUUUGUGUUAUUAUUCUCUUCCCUAAGCUCUUUAAUUUUGCUUGUAACUUUAUUUAAUUGUUAGAAUCUGAUUUCCUCUACAAAGUCUGUUGUCAACCAAAUUCAUGUUAAAAGUUUUAUACUAUAUUUUGCAAAAGUUGCUUUCGCACUUAUUCACCCCCCUCUAGGUGCUCGUACUAGCACUAUCACCAUUCACUCGCGGAACACUUCUUAGAUAUGUCCUUCCUCAGCACUUCAUUUCGAGUAGGGAUUAAUAGUGCCCCCAUACAGAUUGGAGUAUGAAGCCCACCCAAAAAAUCAAAUAAAAUAUCCGUUCUAUUUUGCCGGUAUCACCAACUGACUUAGUUCCGAUGAUUCUCUUCGGAAUAUGAGGCAAUAAUAGAGCAAAUCUGUCAAACGGUUCUCCACCAAGAGCAGGAACUCUUUUAUUAUGUAUGUUGGAUUCAUUGGUCAAUUUAUGACAUUUUUGUAUAGAAAUUACGAAAAAAUGCAAAUAGUUAUAAUUCGUUAUAACUGAAAAAUUUAUUUAUCGAUGACCAUAAAACUGCUCAUGUAUUAUAAGAAGAAAUUCGAAAAACCCUCCAACACAAAAGUUAUUCAUCACAUCAAAUCUCCAACAUUUUAUAGUAGAGUAGACAAUGUAUCACCGUGCAUCAUUCAAGUUUCACACACAAACAUAAAUAGAAGCUUCUAAAUUCAUAAGCAUACAAUAAGAUAAGAAAAACUAUUGUAAUUUAUGUCUCAUUUAUUGUCUAGAUUAGACAGGCCACUCCGUCCAGUGCCCACAGUUAGGGCAUUUUUAAUUGAAAAAGCUAGUACUCUUCCAUGCUUGCACUUCUCACAAAUAAAUGGGCCAUCUCUGCUGGCUAAUUGCCCCACCGCAGCCGUUGCCACCCCCACUUUGCCGCCGCCACCCCCACUUUGCCGCCGCCGCCUCCACCACCCUCGCCACCGCCGCCCUCAUUCCUAUGGAUACCACUCCCACGAAUGCCGCCCCUGCUCGCACUUGUUGCACUUGUUGCACUUGUUGCACUUGUCGCGCUUGUCGCGCUUGUCGCGCUUGCGCUUGUCGCGCUUGUCGCACUUGUCGCGGUUAUCGCACUUGUCGCGUUUGUCGCACUUGUCGCACUUGUUGCACUUGUCGCACUUGUCGCCCUUUUCGCCCUUGUCGCCCUUGUCGCCCUUCUCCCCCUUGUCGCCCUUGUCGCCCUUCUCCCCCUUGUUGCCCUUGUCGCCCUUCUCCCCCUUGUCGCCCUUCUCCCCCUUCUCCCCCGGGUCGCCCUUGUCGCCCUUCUUCCCCCGCCGCAGGAUGCAAUAGAAAAAGAAACCACAAAGCAUGACGGCAACAAUGACUAAACCAACAAUAACCCACGUUGGGGUGUUAUAGUCAUCGGAUGAUGCGGAAUUCGGAUCAAUCCAUGCCGAUGGAGGAGGAAAGUACUGGAAACACGGAUAAGUUUGUGGACAGUUACUGUUCUCCAUCAAGAAAACUUUGUGGAGGUAGUUCAAUGCGAGCGGUGAGUCUACAAACAUAUUAUGAAGCAUCAAUCCAAGAGCCAAUUUACACUUUUAUCAUGGUGAAUUGAUCAUAUGAUCCAAGCACGAGAUCGAAAUGAUUCAAGACAGAAUUCAACGAGAUAUAAUAUGAGUGGAAGUAGGUACUUGCACAUAAACCUUCACAAGAAGGACCAAGCAGACUAGUGAAUGAUGUUGCUUCAAUGCUUAGGCGACUCGCAAAGAAGUGAGAAUUUUCAUCCGGUGGCCUCCUCGUCCUAAUAACUCUCUAUUGCUGCCCCAAACCCCCCCCCCCCCCCCGCUCUCCCUCUUCUUAUGGGGUGGGUUAGGUAAAGUGUUUUAAUCAAUGCAUCACUCAUCCUAAUAACUCUCGAUUGUUGCCCCCAAACCUACCCCCCUCUCCCUCUUCUUGUGGGGGUGGGUUAGGUAAAGUGUUUUAAUCAAUGCAUCACCUCUCUUCUUUGAGGAUGUACUAUAAUGAUUGAAGACAUCUGAACAAAAAGCUAGGAAAUUUCAUUCAUGUGCCAAAGACCCAAAAAGUUAUCAAAAUAAUUAUAAAUCUAUUAUAAUUGUGUCAAUUUAAUUUUAAACUUUUUUUUUACCAAUUGAGUAUUAAACCUUUUAUAUUUAUGUCCAUUCAAUUCAUCCGAUCAAAAUUGACCGGCUAGCACUAACAUGAACACGAGGCGUCUUACAUGGCGCCAUCGACGCUGACAUGGAUAAUUUUUAGUAAUAUUGUAAUAUUUUUUUCGAAUUUUAUUCCUAUUUUUCUUUUUAUAUUUUCUUUUCUUUUUUCCUUUUUUCUUUCUUUCGUUUUUAUUUUUUCUUCACUCCCUUCUUUCUCCGACUAGUCACCAGUGACCACUGGAUAUGAAGCUUCAGGAAGAAUGGAGCGAGCUUCAACUACUGUCCAAACUCAAUCAUGUCUUCAUGCGCGAUGUUCAGGAGAUGGGAAUUAGGCCCAUUGAAAUGAUACAUGUGUUUGACUAUUCACGGUCUAAGGUGGUAAGAUUUUGGUGAAGGGCCAAGAAAAACAAUUAGUUCCGAAAUGAGAAAUUAUUAUAUGCUCAACAAAACGUGUGACCCGAUAUCAUCUCGAUCAUUAAUCAAGUAGAUCUCGCUAUGAGCCCCCGGGAUCAAUUGUUGAAUUGGGUUUCGACGUAAGAUUUAUAGAACAUACAGUAACAUUUCAUGCAAAAAGGGUUAUAGACGUGACUUGAAAAAUAAAAUUCACUCUACUAUCCAAAAUCAAGUCCACAAAAACUUAUUUUAGAGCCGAAUUGUUAAGGAUAUAAGCGACCCACUGUCAAUUCGUUUCUAUUUCGAGUAUUCUAAAAACGUAGAAAAUGUUCUAAGAUCCUCCUAAACUUAAACUAUCUUAGAUGGACACAUAAAAAAACCACUAAUCUCAGUCCUCGCAUUGGUCUAUUCUUGUCCACAUCCCUCUUAUGGUCCCGGGACUCAUGUCCGAACGAUAUAAAAAGACAGCCAUGUGGCCAGCUAAUUAGAACAGUGGAAUUAAAGAAGAAACAUGGGAAAAAGGAAAAGUCCAUCGUCUCGUCACCGUCGACCACAAUCAUGUGUUUUUAGAAUCUUGUCCCUCCGAAUUUAUUCGCCAUCACAUCGUUUUCUCCCCCCAACUGUGGGACUCUCGAGUCUGUCGCUACCCUUAUGUCGCAAUGAUGGUUCCAAUGCCAUAACAAAAGAUGCUGGAUAGUGGAUAGACCCGACAAAUGCAUAAAUUGAAUCUAGUUGAAAAUGGUCAAAUUCAAAUUAACAUAUUUCAUUCAUUUUGACUUAUUCUCAUGCAAUACAAAUCAUGUUACUCAUACUUGACCUAAUUCAUAUAUGAUUUGACUCAUAUUUCUAAAACACUUCCAUAUUUAAACUAAUUUAAGAAAAUCCAAAAUGAAGUGAGAGUAAAUUGUAAACUUAUUUAAUACCUAUAUUAUUUUGAAUUUAAGUCAUUCUUAAAAUAAAAAAAAAUAGUCUUAUAACCCAUUUAACCAGUCUACCAUCAGAUAAACAUGAUAUCCUGACAUUUAGGAAAAAUUGUCCCAAUUAUGUCACAUCGCAUAUACAUGUAAGAAGGAACAUUGGGACAUCUCCCAAAAAUCAAGUAUGUUAUUGACAUUGCAUAGGUUGAGAAAAGAGCAAGAAGAACCAUAAAUUAUUCCUUUAAUUCUACUUGAUUCAAAUGGGAUGUUGACUGCCUUUGGGGAGCGACAUAUGUGAAAUGCAAUAAGCGAAAUACAUAGAAGACUAGCGACUAAUAGUCACUAAUUAAGAUAUGGAAAAACACGGAAUGGAAAGAUUGUGUCGGAUUUGUUGACACCUAAUUUUUUUACCCAAAUUAUUGCAUAUAGAUUAUCUAGGUGUUUAAAAUGGAAGAUGUUUUUCCUAAAAAAAAAUUUAAAAAAUUAAAAAAAAAAGAUAAAAAAAAAGUUGGAGCUGAUGAUCUGAAUGUGACUAGCCAAGGCCAGGAGGUCAGAUUGGAAUUAAAAUGACAAACUGGGGCCAAAAUGCAAUUUCCAAAAGUUGAGGGACCAAUUUGCAAAUUUUGCAAAAUUUCACCCGAGCCCUUAAAUCAUCAUCUUAGCCCCCAAUUAAGUUGAAAUUGAGCUUGGGCCAGGUCGAAUCAAUCAAAUCGGGCCAAAAUGACCAAAUUUGCAUUAAAUUGGGUAUUUUCGGAUAAGAAAAUGGCUAAUUUUGAGGGACUUUCUUGCAAAAUUGGAUGGGCACAAUUGCAAAAUCUGAUUGAGGUCUUAAGCUACUAUACAUGAAAUUACUAAUUGAUUAAAAACCACAGCCAAGUUAAUGGAUUAAAGCACCCAAACCAGCUGCCAAAUCUCAGUCCAUGAUUUAGCCUCAUUUUGAAGCUACUAAGUAAGCUUAUUUGUGGCCCCACCAUAUCCUACUCAGCAUCUCAAUCAGCCUGAUCUUUGCACGUGAUGGAAGACCAUAUAUAGCAGUGCAAGUAGACGGAAAUUGGCCAGGGAUAAGCUGCCGAAAGUAUGGGAAAAUCGCAGCAAAGUCCGCACACUCAAUAGCUGCAAAAGUUAAAAAAUUGGCCAAGUCAGAAGAGUAGGUGAACCAGCUCAGUUUGCAGGCUUGGUAGGUGGAUAAAAGACUGACCAAAAAUCCCUUAAUUCGGGGAUAAGAUCACUGAAGCAAGUUCUUUCAAGGGAUGAGAGAGAGGAGACAAGAAGGGGAGGGGAGAGCUGGGAAUCGUUCCCUAAAGACACCUUCAGAAGCAACUCCAGAAAGAAAAAACUUGGAAAAUCCAUACUGACCUUGAGAGAGAAAAGUGAGAUUUUCACAUACCUGCGGCCAAAAUUAACCAAAACCUUCAACUAGAGAGUGAAACUUCACUCAAAGAUAUUUCCAACCAUAGGUCUCACGUCCCAAAUGGAGAUUGGGAAAGCCUCCUAAAGCCCACCGAAAUAGUGCCCUCCUGGCAGGCCAAGAAAGUCCGAAAUUUUUUUUAGGUGUCAAGACUGGUUGGUCACGAGUGAGGAAAGCCAGUGUUUUUGAGAAAUUUUAGAGACAAAUGAGGAAAAUCUUGACUUUUAACCCAAACUGCAAUACCUAUAGUUUGGUGUGGUGUCAAUUUUUUCAACAAAAUACGUCUUGAAGUCUAAUGUUAGAGGUCAACGAAAACCUUCGUUGUCAGUUCUUUUUUUUGCAUAUCUCAUUUCCAGUUGAAGAAGCCAACUUCGAUAGGCCCCCGAGGAUAAUUUGUCGGUUUCAUUGGCCAAGAAUCACUUGAAAAGGAAACUAGGAAGAAAAGUAAGCAUCCUAGAUGUAUUUAUUUUCGAGUUUGAGCAUGUUUUGAUCAUGAAAAUAAAGAGGAAAACCAGCCCGGAAAACUAAUUUCUGAGGCUAAAAUUUUUCCAAAUGUUUGAAAUCUCUUCAAGAGUUUUGCAUGUGUGCUUCUUGGAGAGGUCGUUUUGAUGUUUUUCGAUGGGUCAUUCUCUAUGAUGUUUGUUGCAUUUGAAAGCCCAUGUUACCUACUUUCACGCGGAUUAAGUAGCAUUUGCCUUAGAUCUCGUAUGUGAUGAGUGUCGGGGCUUGAAUAUGGGCAUGCAACCUAUUUGCUUGACUUGGGUUCAAACCCAGAUUUGCAAAAUCUCAAACCCGUGCAUUUGAGGACGAUUUUAGCUUGGUUCUAGUGUAUUUUUAGCUAUGAUUUCUAUCUAAUCUUGUUCUUUGCAUGUGGUAGUAUAAUAUUGAUACUUUAGUUCCACAUGAGAUUGCUUAUGAGUGGAGAUUGAAGGCUGCAAACAUGGCUCGAGGAGGCUAUUAGGGAUAGUUUAAUGCACACCAAGUGUUCGACAAAAUGCUCAAACUAAGCUUCAAUCUUGAAACGGUCGAUUUGAGCUUGAUUAUUGUGAUAUUCAUGUGCUGUGUUACUCCAUGUUAGCAUAGAUCGAUUUAAGGAAUUAUUAUUAAUUUAAAAAAAUUAAAAAAAAAGAGAAAAAUAUGAAAAUUUCAAAAAUAUUAGAAAAAUGUUAGAUAGCAUCAAAUUAGGAUAGAAAUGACAUAUAUGAAAUUUUCCUAAUUUUAAAAGGUCAUUUUCCUAAUUUAAUGCUAUUUUGGUAUUUUAUAACCAUUUUUGUAAAUAAUCCAUUUUGCAUAGAUUAAAACUAUUUAAAGUAAUUUCAUGCAUAUAGAGCAAUUUCAUGCAUAUUUGAAUUCUCAUUUUGCUCAUGGGGGUCCUGCCCGGGGCGUGAUAACAAAGCCAUGUAAUAUUGUUUGCUCGACUUGUAUCGGGUUGACCUUUUCCGCGUUUAUUUUCAAGUCAUUUCAAUUUCUUGGAUGUUUACUUAUGCGCCCUUUUUCAUUAAUUUGAGUGUAAAUUUCUCUUCUAAAUUAUGUUAGGAUUAGUCUAGACAUUAAAAAAAAACUACAAAAACAUUUGCAUGGACACUUAGUGAUUUGAUAAAUAUCAAAAUUGGUAAUUAAGAUUGUGUGGCCAUUUAGAUAAACAACCUUCCAAGUUAGUGGUACUGCAAGGGCACUCAUAGAAACAUUGGCGUAAAGAAGUCCCCGUUCCUAGAAAUCUCUGGUUGCGUAGGAAUCGAGACAACACUCCCGUGUCUUGAUUGGUUUCUAGCCGACCCCAAUAGGCUAGUGGCGACUCCUAGAAUUACAUAGAUUGUUAAGAACUAAAAUUCAAAAUCCAAUGUCGCGUGAGGUAUGGGCUAGGGAGAGCUCGCGCCUAAUUUAGGGCCAUUGGUCCACCUCUUUAGGCAAAUACCCCUAAACCUUCUUCUUUUUCCUCGGGCGGAAAAAAGGAGGUCGUGACAGCUUGGUGACUCCGCUAGGGACUUGGUCGCAAACCUUAGAGAACUUAGGCUGUAAUAACUUGGUUGGUUGUUCACUAACAUGGUCUUCAUUUGAUAGCGCGUGUCAAAGUCGCGUGGAAAACAAGGUUAGCCCGCUAACAAUGUGUUAAAUGUUUUUGUAGGUUUGGAGUAUUAAGGGGUUGAGUGUUUGUUAACCCAUCUCUUUUGUAUGGAGGCGUAGGAAUGUAUGCCUAUAUGGAUGAAAUUGAAGUGUUGUUUGGAUAGCAAUCGAUGUGUGUGCAUUUAUACUUAUCUUAGCACUACACAUUUACACACUCCACCCGUGAUCUAAAACCCUGAUUGCAUUAGGAAGCCCAUAGGAGGUGCCAAAAGAUGGAACCCGUGCGGGAAAUGACCCAUGGUUAUCCACUUUUGGUCCCGCUCAUUUUGAUUAAUGAUAAAGAGAACUGUCCGACGUAAGUGCGGAGUGGGGAAAACUCUUUUGAUCUAAUCAAAAUGGGGACUUUAAGCCUUUAGAAUUCCACCUUUAUGCAUCAAACCUCACAAGUUUACAUUCGCAUGUCUAUGUGAUUGAAAAAAAAUGUCUCUUCACCCACUGUAAGUAUGAUUUCUCCAUCUACUUGCUCACCUCGGAUUGAAAUUUUCAUUUUUUGAGAUUCAUAGAAAUCAAUGGAAUGCCCUUGAAAAUAUAGGCUUGGCACUCACUUUUGAUAAAUAAGCAUUUCAAAUACCUAUGAUCUACUGAACAUAUGUUUUUGUUUAAAUUUUCAAUUAUGAACUUAAAGUCACAUUUUGUAUAGGAAUUCUUCCAAAUCAAGAUUACAUUUUGGGGCAUAGAAUUAAAAUCAAAUUUCUAAUAAAACUCUUUAUUGGUCACAUUUCAAAAUUCAAAUUCAAAUCCCUUGUAUUGGUCACAUUUCAAAAUUAAAAUUCAAGAGGCAGGCGAAACUCCCAUGGAAGGAUUUGAAGAUGAUGAAUGGAGGGAGAGAGAGAGAGAGAGAGAGAGAGAGAGAGAGAGAGAGAGAGAGAGAGAGAGAGAGAGAGAGAGAGAGAGAGAGUGUGUGUGUGUGUGUGUGUGUGUGUGUUCUGGCUUUCUAGGAUUUGAAGAUUUAUGAAGCUUAGGAGUACUGAGCCUGUUGGGUUCGUGAAUGUUUUUUCCUCCUAGGAAUCCCAGUACCACCUCUAGCUGAGCAAUCCAAUUCUGCAUUAGGAGUAUCCGUUAACUAGGCACUUUGAUUCUACGAUCAUAAAUCCAUCCAAACAUGAGUUGCAAUGGCAUUCCAUAUCUUGUUUAUUACUCCAAGGUGAACCAAACAAGGCCUUAGUGAUUACACGAUGUACUAUACUCCUGAACGCUUUCAUAUUGGAAUCAAGGAUUUGCAGUCUCAACCAUGACUUUCCAUAGUGAUGGUUUUAUUAAUUAUUGUGAUGGGCCUAAGUUGGCCCGUUUGCCCAUGUUGGGCCUAAAAGCCCGGCCCACAAGAUUAGUGCCCAUGGAUGAAGGGAUAUGAUGAAGGGACAUGUUUCUUUUUGGAGGUGACGUAUAUAAAGGGAAAUAAAGAGGGAGGAACGCACCUUUUGGCAUAACGUAUGUUCCUCCCCCUUCUCUCCCUAAAAAACGCUCCAAAAGAAAGAACAGUGCACAAGAGGCGACACCCAUCUUCCCUUCAAGGUGAAUUGGUGUCAUCGGAUCGAACAUGGCCAAAUUCUCUUUCUCAUAUCGGCGUCGGUGUUUAAUUUAUGGCUAACAAGGUACAUUCAAUUCUAUGAUGUGCCUUAGGAUCGGUGAUGCAUGUGUUUUUUUCCCGGGCUCGUCUUCCGCACAAGUUUUUGAGUACAUGGUUAUAGGCAUGUGUGGUUCAGUGAUUAAGGGAAUCACUAGUGAAAACGGCGCCUUAAAGAACACACACAAUUGUCUAUUGAUCAAAUCAUUGUAGGCAUGUGUGGUUCGAUGAUUUGGGAUAUCACUGGCGAAAACGGCGCCUUAAAGAAUGCACACAGUUGUCUAAUGGAUACGUCACCUUAGCGAAGUUGACGCCCGAGAGCAUUGAGAUGGCUCUGUGACUAAGAGUGUUAUUGAAGGUUACAUGGUAUGAGAUGAAUGACCUAGUGAGGAUCCGAUUGAAAUGUAAUCGACUAAGUCGAUUAAUCAUUGCCUUGAUUUGAUGUUGUGAAUUGAUUGAUUGAAUGGGAAUGACCAUGAGAUAGUCCGAUUGACAUGUAAUCGACUAGGUCAAUUUGAUCGAUGCUUCGAUUAGUUAUGUGAUUGUUUGGAUGCCUAUUUGAACUGUGCUAAUAUGCAGGUGGAAUCUGAGUCCAAGGUAAGUCCUCUGACCUGUGCGUGUUUAGGCAGCCUAUAGUAUAAUGGUUUACUAAUCGGGCCUUAGUGGGGUAGAACUCACUGAGACGUAGUCUCAUCCCAAUUUGGGGAAAACAUUUCAGGACCCCGAUGAGGAGAAAUCUGAGAAAGAGAGUUCAGAGGUGAAACCUGAGGAGGAAAAUUUUGGAAGAAGAAGAUAAUCCCGAGAGGGGCUUGAGUACGGCCCGGAUGGACUGAGAUUCUAUCUUCUUUUGAGAUCUCUAUUUUGAUUUGAAUAGAGAUAGAGUAAAAAGUGAUAUUGCUAGUAUGAGUACCUAGAGGGGGGUGAAGAGGUAUAUAAAAGAUUUUUCUUCAACAAUUGCACAAUACUAGACAGUUGAAGGAAACGAUAAUCAAAGUAAGACUGAGAGAAGAGAAAAUUGAACACGCAGUUUAUAGUGGUUCGGCUUAUAUCAAGCGUAUGUCCACUCUUCUUCACUGACAGCCUAUUGGCUGGAUUCCACUAUGAACAAAAGAGAAGUUACAGCACAUCUUUGCCUUGAUUCCACAGUGUAGAUGUUCUACCACACCUCCUCAAGAUUUCUCACAAAUAUAGACUCUCUUUUGUAUACAAGUAUUCGCUCAAAGGAAUUUUCUAAACAAAAAGAACUUCAGACUUUGGAAUUCUUCUAUCGCGAACACCUUGAACAACUAAGACAGUCUUCCUUAUAUACUCCUUUAUGCCAUCAUACCCGUUGGCACUUACCAAAGGAAUUCCUCCAAUCUACCCGUUGGACGGAAUCAAUUAGGAAGAUUGUUCAAGCUAUUAAAGGAACGUGUUGAUAGCCCAUCAAUCAUGUUCGCCCAUACAAUCAGGAUCUCGGUUUCCAUAAGCAAAACCUUCCAAUAAUAUUUAGGCAAUCACUGGAUCUUCAAUUAUCGAGUCAAUCUUCGAUCAAUCAAAGGACUCCGUUAUGUCUUCUCCAGCCACAAGAUCUUCUCCAGUUGAUAAGGUUAAAUCCUUAACGAAACAUCCAGUUCUGGAUAACCUUUCUUCAGCGGAUUAGAGACUGUCAAUGAGGAUAGACUUUGAGUCUUGAGUCUGGCUGUUCGGAGGUCUUCAGACUUUAAAUAGCAUAGUCUGCAAGCCUUCAAACUAGACUGAUAGAAACGUUUUUGUCAACUUCAAAACACUUCAAUAAGAUUUCUCCAACAAUCUCCCCCUUUUUGAUGGUGACAAAACUUUCCUGCAGAUUUGGAUAUCUUUGACCUGCAAAACAUUUCUCAAACACAUAUGCAUAUCUUAUAGAGAUAAAUGGCUAACAGGAUAACACUAGAAUCUGCAACCACAGAAAAUAAGUUAGUUCAGUAUAUGAUGAAGCCAUUCAUAAGAUAUCAAUAUUAGUUAAUAGAAGCAGUCAAGUCCAAGUCUAGUUCAGUUCUCAUCCAGACACAAAACAAAGUCAAACAGAGUUCAAACCACAAAGCAAUCCAACAAACAAUUAAAAGUUUAAUGAAUGAAAAGUUUUUGUUCAAAUCUUGCAUCUCUCCCCCUUUUUGUCAUCAUUAAAAAGGAUGAGAUGAAGUCAAGAUUGCUUGGGAACGCGGACAAGCUGGAAAUCUUCCAUAGACUGAACGAUGCCUUCCAGUCUUCCUUUAGUUGUACAAUCUCCUCACUCUUGGCAUUGGCCUGAUUCUGAACAGAUAGGGCUUGCAUUUUAUCAUUCAAUGAACAUGAAGAAGCUUGACCUUCAUUCUUCAAGCUUUGAACUUCGCAUCCCAAGGCAUAAAUUUGACCUCACAUCUCCAAGAGAAUAUCCAUGAUUCUGCGAAAAUCUGCUCCAUUAUCAGUAUAAGUACUUGCUUCGGCUCGAUCUGAUGGAGUAAAUGCAGACGAUGGUAGAUCAGCAUAAUCUCGCAGGUUUGGCGAUGAAACUUCAUGACCUUCUUCUGGAAACUGAGAUGCAUAAACAUCCUCUGGGUCUACUGGUGAGCGACUGACUCCUUCACUUGCAUCAGGACAUGAAGACUUCACUCAUUUCUCCUGAUCUCCCCCUGUUUCCAUGCCUACAGGUGGAGAAGAGUGUUCCUUAGGUUCUCCUUCUUCUCUUCUUUCUUCUUCUGGUCUUUCCUCCUCUGUUUCUUUUUCAGCUUCUAUUUCUUCUUCUUCCUUCUCCUCUGCUUCUUUCGUCAUUUGUUCCGAUUCUUUCUAUGGAACAGGACGACUUAAAUUCUUCAAAGCCAAUGCAAAGAUGGUGAUGUCUUCCUCAUCAUCUUCAUCCUCAACGAGGAGAGCUCUUCUUCUCUUGGAUGGAGCAACCAUGGGCUCCUUCCCUUUUCUUUUAGCUGCAGAAGAGAUUUGAUGAGAUUUUGUAGGAGUCUUCUCCUUGAAUUUCUCCAACUCCUUGCUUAGUUCCUUCAGACGCAUUUUGGUCACCAUUUUCAGUCCUACCACCAUAUUAUCGCAUGGUCGAACACAAAAGAUUUGUGGAGGCUGAAUAUUCAGAUGUCUGAAUAACUUCGUAACAAGGCUUAGGUAAGGGAGUUGACCUCUGUCCUUCAUCAUUGCUCUAUACAUGUGAAACAUCACAAUGUGAGGGAGAGAAAACCUUUUUCCAAAGAGAAUGGCAUACAUCAGCUUGGCCUCUGAACUUGAAACAUCAGUCUUGGAAGUUGAUUUCGGUCGGAGGCAAUUAAUCACAAUCUUGUGAAGCAAGAUGUUGAAUGCACCCAUCCUUAAGUAGGUGAUCUUUUCAUCUGUUCUCCUGUACUUCACCAGUUCAAGUGUGGCCCGAGCAAUGGAAACUUUGAUUGGUUGAUAUCUUCCUCUUUCGACUUCUAACACAUCUGCCAGCAUAUUCAUAUCCACAACAUAGUCUUGGUCUUUAACGCUGAAAGAGAAUCUAUUCGCAUCUAAAAAGCUUAGAUUUGAAUAGAAAUAUGCAGUUAAUUCAGCAUAUGCCUCUGUAGAGUCAGAGCAGAACUUUUCAAGUUGAAGAUAACUGAACUUUUCCCUCAAGUUCAUAUUCACAGCAUCCAGAAAAUCAAAAUCAACACUCCUAGGGUUUAUUACCCCACGCUUCAGCAAUUUCGAGUACAGAUCCUUUUGCUCCUUCGAUCUGAACAAAUCUCCCAUUUUUCCUUGAUUUUCAAUCGCAACACCCAUUUUUGGUUGAAAUUGACUGUAUAAUUUGUCAUCAUCAUUCCCAUCUGCAGGAUUCGGCCCCCAGUCACGAGGAUCACUUGGGAUAUUUGCAAGGGUUUCCUCAGCCACCCCUUUUCGAGCAAUUCCCAAACUUUCCAUUUUUCGCAGAAAGAUAUAUUCGUUCCCAUGUCUUUUGUCUUUAAGAAACUCAUAAAUGUAGUUCAAAGGAGUACGAAUUCCUUUUAAGGCACGAUACAACUGGUAAAUAUAAGCGGACUUUUGAACUCUUACAGGGUUUGCAUCCUUGAUGAUUUCUUCCUGUUGUUGUUGAUCAACGCCUUUAGGACUAGAUGGAGGAGAAUGACGCUGCUGAGAAUGUUGUGGGCUUGCUUGCUGUUCUAGAGUCACUUCUUCUUCAGUAAGAUCGAAGUGCGUAGGCCCCUCACUCAUCCGCCGUGGUCCCCUGCUUGCGAUUCUUGAAGACUUUCUUGAAGAUGACAUCUUUCUCAGUUUUUGGAAGAUUCCUUGCUUGACUUUCCCAGGAAAGAUGACAACUUUUUGAGUAUUAAACGAAGAAGACAAAUGGGAAUGGAGGAUCGAUGCUUUCUAGGGUUUUUGAGAGAAAAGUGAAGAGGAAUCGACAGUGCACGAUCGGUUAAAAAGAGGAUAAACGAACCGUCACAAGGAAAUAAAAAAUAUGCCUUUUCAAAAUAACUAUCUUUUUCCGCAAAAAUAGCCAUUUCAAAAAUAACUUCCUUUUUGAAAAUGAAACGAUGCAAUAUUUACGUCAAUUAAAUAUAGCAACAAUUUAAACACAGUCUGACGAUCGUACCUUUUUAAGAUGAGAUUCAAGAGAGAAAGACAGUCUGACUGACGUACCAAGACUGUCUUUCAAAUAAAUUCUUGUAAGUCUGAGUCUAAAAGUCUUUAGACUUUGAUAUCCUCAUACCUCAAAAUGUUGAGUCUGGAAUGUAUAGACUCAAAUUAAUUUUUCUCCAAAGGCUUUGUGAAUAUAUCCGCCAGUUGAUUCUUUGAGUCAACAAAUUGAAUUGAAACAUCUCCAUUUUGAACAUGGUCUCUAAUAAAGUGAUGUCGAAUCUCUAUAUGAUUUGCUCUUGAGUGGAGAAUUGGAUUUUUGGUGAGGUUGAUAGCGCUGGUGUUGUCGCAAUUAAUCUCCGUGCAUGAGUCGUCAAUUUCAAAGUCUCUUAGCUGCUGUUUUAUCCAUAAAAUUUGCGAACAGCAGCUUCCAAGGGCUACAUACUCUGCUUCUGUUGUUGAAAGGGACACAGUGCUUUGUUUCCUUGAAAACCAAGACACUGUCCUGCUUCCAAGCAACUGGCAGGUUCCCGAAGUGCUUUUUCAAUCAACUCUGCAACCGGCUAGAUCUGCGUCUGAAUAUCCCAGAAGAUUAAAGUCUCCCUUCUUAGGAUACCAAAGACCGAUGCUUGAUGAUGAAGCAACGUAUUUAAUGAUGCGUUUCGCAGCACUGAGAUGGGAUUCUCUAGGAUCUGAUUGAAACCUAGCACAGAUGCAAACACUCAACAAAAUGUCAGGUCUAGAAGCGGUAAGAUAAAGAAGUGAACCAAUGAUGCUCCUGUACAGCUUUUGAUCAACUUUCUUCCAUUCUUCAUCUUUGUCUAUCUUCAAAGAACUUGACAUUGGUAUGUCGGUCUUUUUGCACUUUUCCAGUCCAAACCUUUUGACAAGAUCAAUAACAUAUUUUUCUUGAUAAAUAAAAGUUUCUUCCUUCAAUUGUUUUACUUGAAGACCUAGAAAGAAUGUUAACUCUCCCAUCAUACUCAUUUCAAAUUCAUCCUGCAUAGACUUAGAAUAUUUCUUACACAGAUUUUCAUUAGAGGAUCCGAAAAUAAUGUCAUCCACAUAUAUUUGAACAAGUAAGAAACUUUUGUUUUCCUUUUUGAUAAAUAAAGUCGUAUCUACUUUACCUUUGACAAAACCAUUUUGUAUUAAAAACUUACUUAAUCUGUCGUACCAAGCUCGAGGUGCUUGCUUUAAACCAUACAAAGCCUUUUUCAGUCUGAAGACUGAGUCUAGCUUCUUUGGGUCUUCAAACCCUGGUAGUUGUUCCACAUAAACUUCCUCAUGGAUAAAUCCAUUUAGGAAGGCGCUUUUGACGUCCAUUUGGAAUAGCCUGAAAUUCUUAUAACAAGCAAACGCAAGUAAUAGUCGAAUAGCUUCUAACCUUGCUACUGGAGUGUAAGUCUCAUCAUAGUCUAUUCCUUCUUCUUGCGUAUAUCCCUUGGCCACGAGUCUUGCUUUGUUUCGUACGACUUUUCCUUUCUCAUUCAUCUUGUUUCUGAACACCCAUUUAGCUCCAAUAACAGUUUUACCUUUUGGUUUUGAUGUCAAUUCCCAGACAUCAUUAAUGCUGAACUGUCUGAGCUCUUCUUGCAUAGCUUCAAUCCAGCUUUCAUCAGAUAAAGCUUCUUCUAUGCUUUUUGGUUCAAUUUCAGAAACGAGAGCCACAGCACUAGACUCUUCUCGCCUUUUGGAUCUGGUGCGAAUUCCUUCAUUAAUUUCGCCGAUUAUAAGAUCUUUGGGAUGGCUGGACUUAUGCUUCCAGUUACUUGUUGAUUUGUCUGGUUGAUGAUCUCUCUCUUUGUUUGGAUCUUCACGAACAUCCUGAUGCUGGUUUUCCAGAGUCUGAGAUGCUUCUUGAGUUGUAAGCUUUGGAAGGUCUGGAGCAGGUUCAGACUCUUCUUGAUGAGUCUGAUUUGAUUCAUCUUGCGUUGAGUCUUGAAAUUUGACAUUCAUUGACUCCUCCACAGACUGGCUCUUCUUGUUAUAGACUCUGAAGGCUUUGCUUGAUGUAGAAUAUCCAAGGAAGAUACCUUCAUCUGAUCUUUCUUCAAACUUACCAACUCGAUCUUUUGCAUUUUUCAAUAUAAAACAUUUGCAACCGAAUACAUGAAAGUAUGAAACAAUAGGCUUCUUAUCUUUGAACAACUCAUAAGGGGUUUUCUCUAGAAUAGGUCUUAAGAAGACUCUAUUGAAGAUAUAACAUGCUGUUGAAACAGCUUCAGCCCAAAAUUGUGAAGAAAUCUUGCUUUCAAUUAAAAGAGUUCUAGCCAUUUCUUGAAGAGAUCUAUUCUUUCUUUCCACAACUCCAUUUUGCUGAGGAGUAUAUGGAGAUGAUAACACAUGAUUAAAGCCAGAUUCAUCACAAAAUUUUGUAAAAUCUUGAUUUUCAAAUUCACCUCCAUGAUCUGUUCUUAUACUUGAGAUAACACAUCCUUUUUCAUUUUGAACCUUUUUAGCAAACUUUUCAAAAUACGAGAAGGUUUCGGACUUACUUGCAAGGAAAUAUACCCAAGUAAAACGGGAGUAAUCGUCCACAAUUACUAGGCAAUAUUUCUUACCUCCAAUACUCUGUGUUUUGGUUGGUCCGAAGAGAUCCAUAUGCAGCAACUGUAGUACAUGAUUAGUAGAGACAUGAUUUAUUGGCUUAAAUGAAUUUCUUACCUGCUUUCCCAGAAUACAUGGAGUGCAUGGAUCAGUCUUUUGAUAAGGUAAUUUGGGUAGUCCUCGAACAAGCUGCUUUGAUGAGAUUUUGGCUAAUUGCUUCAUGUUGACAUGACCAAGCUUUAUGUGCCAUAAGCUUGCUUCAUCUUGAAUUGAGAUAAAACAUUGCGAUUCAUUUGGUUUCACAUCCAGAAGAUAGAUGUUUCCAUGUCUACGACCCAUGAAAGACUGAGUAGAGUCUUUACUGAUUCCAGAACAUAUUCCUUCUUGAAAGAAGAUCUUGAAACUAGUAUCACACAAUUGACUAAUGCUCAGAAGAUUGUAAUUGAGUCCUUCCACUAAGGAAACAUUUCUUAUUGUGAGAUUUCCAAUUUUCACAGUUCCAAAUCCCACAAUACUUCCUUUGUUGUUUCCUCCAAAUGAAACUUUUCCACCAUUUACUUGAGCAAGCUUUAUAAAACAAUUUGAGUCUCCCGUCAUGUGUCUUGAGCAUCCACUGUCAAGAUACCACUUUACCUUUUUCUUGACGGUGACCUGCAUUUAAAAAAGAGUCUCCAGCUUUCUUUGGUACCCAAACUUUCUCGGGUCCUUUGGUGUUAGUAACAUAAGCAGUAUUAGCCCAUAUUUUCUUAACAGGUUUCCAAACCAUAGGACACUCUUUUUCAAAGUGAUCCGGACUGUUGCAUUUUGAACAUCUUAGAGCAUUUUUACCUACAGAUUUUACAAAAACUUUCUUGAAGUGAUUUUUGUAAACCUCUCUCGAGAGUCUUUUCUUAAUUCUUUCUUUUACUUUAGGAAAAUCAAUCAAGGGAAUUGUUUCUUCUGACAUACCUAGACCGGACUUAUUGAAGUAAGGUCUUUGAGCUGAAAGAAUUUUCUCAAGUUUUUCAGACUCUAUUGAAAAUUUCUUUGAUAUAUUUGAUAAGUCUGUUUUUAAAAAAGCAUUUUCUUUUAAAAGAUUAUCUUCAUUUUCUUUAAGAUUAGAAACAGUCAAGUCUAGACUUUUAACUCUUUCUACUAAAACAUUUUCCUUUUGUUUUAGAGCUGAGUUUUCCUUUUUCAGUUCGGAAAUUCUUUUGAGAGAAGUCUUAAGACUAAAACAUAGUUCAUCAAUGUAUUUAGAAACUUUGACAGGAAUUUUAAAAUUACUUGCCUCAAAUUCACUGUCUGAGUCUGAUCCAGAGUCUGAGUCUGAUUGUGCCAUUAGACAUAGAUUGGCAUAUUCAUUAUCACUUUCUUCACACUCUGUAUCACUCCAAGUUUCGGCUUUGAGAGCUUUUCGAAAUUUUUCAGUUUUUCCUCUCUUCUUCUUCAGAAGAGGACAGUUGGGUCUGAUGUGUCCCUUUUUCUUACAUUCAAAGCAGACUACGUCUUUGUUUGGUUCAUCAUCAUCAACAGACUUGGUCUGCUGUCUUUGAAAGCUUUGUUUCUUUGAGUUGAACCUUCUUCCUUUUCUAUUCAGUUUUCUGGAUCUUCUUAUCAUGAGAGCAAGCUCCUCAUCGUCCAUAUCAUCUUCAGAAUCUGUAUCAUCAGAAUCAUCAUUUGAUUUUAAUGCAAUGGAUUUCUUACCUUUUGGAUCUUCAUCUUCAUUGAUCCGUUCCAUUUCAUAAGACUGAAGAGUUCCAAUUAGCUCGUCGACAGAUAGUGGCAUAAUUCUUUGCGUCUCUCUUAUCGAAGUCUUUAUGUGAUUCCAAUCCUUGGAGAGUCCACGCAGUAGCUUGUUUACCUUCAUGGGAUCAGAAGUUGGUUGACCUUGAUUUUCAAGACCAUUCACAAUAUCUGUAAAACGACUAAACAUGUCAGAUAUAGAUUCUCCUGGUUUCAUUCUGAAGGCUUCGUAUUGACCGAGAAGAAUGUUGAUUCUUGUUUCUUUCACUCGAUCUGUUCCUUCAUAGGUGAUAUGCAAUCUGUCCCAAACUUCUUUUGUUGUACCACAAGAAGAUAUUCUAUUAUAUUCAGUUGGUGAUAAAGCACAAUAUAAGGAGUAAAUUGCUUUUGCAUCGAGUGCUUGUCUCUUGAAUAUUUCUUCUUGAGACAUUCCGCUGGUUUCAUCAAUUUCUUUUCCUCUUUCAGAGACUGAUGCAGUGGUAGGAGUAAUUCAUUUUUCUACAACGUCCCAUUCCAAAGGAUCCUUUGAUCAUAGGAAAGCUUUCAUCUUGUUCUUCUAGAUGUUGUAAUCCUUUCCAUCAAAGUAGGGUGGUCUGGUAUUGCUUUGCCUUUCCACAAGCCCUGGUGCUAGCAUACUAGCCAUGGAUCUUUUACUACGAAGUAAAACACUUCAAAUAAAGUAAGUACACAGGCUCUGAUACCAAUUAAUAUUGCUAGUAUGAGUACCUAGAGGGGGGUGAAUAGGUAUAUAAAAGAUUUUUCAACAAUUGCACAAUACUAGACAGUUGAAGGAAACGAUAAUCAAAGUAAGACUGAGAGAAGAGAAAAUUGAACACGCGGUUUAUAGUGGUUCGGCUUAUAUCAAGCCUACGUCCACUCUUCUUCACUGACAGCCUAUUGGCUAGAUUCCACUAUGAACAAAAGAGAAGUUACAGCACAACUUUGCCUUGAUUCCACAGUGUAGAUGUUCUACCACACCUCCUCAAGAUUUCUCACAAAUAUAGACUCUCUUUUGUAUACAAGUAUUCGCUCAAAGGAAUUGUCUAAACAAAAAGAACUUCAGACUUUGGAAUUCUUCUAUCACGCACACCUUGAACAACUAAGACAAUCUUCCUUAUAUACUCCUUUAUGCCAUCAUACCCGUUGGCACUUACCAAAGGAAUUCCUCCAAUCUACCCGUUGGACGGAAUCAAUUAGGAAGAUUGUUCAAGCUAUUAAAGGAACGUGUUGAUAGCCCAUCAAUCCCGUUCGCCCAUACAAUCAGGAUCUCGGUUUCCAUAAGUAGAACCUUCCAAUAAUAUUUAGGCAAUCACCGGAUCUUCAAUUAUCGAGUCAAUCUUCGAUCAAUCAAAGGACUCCGUUAUGUCUUCUCCAGCCACAAGAUCUUCUCCAGUUGAUAAGGUUAAAUCCUUAACGAAACAUCCAGUUCUGGAUAACCUUUCUUCAGUGGAUUAGAGACUGUCAAUGAGGAUAGACUUUGAGUCUUGAGUCUGGCUGUCCGGAGGUCUUCAGACUUUAAAUAGCAGAGUCUACAAGCCUUCAGACUAGACUGAUAGAAAUGUUUUGUCAACUUCAAAACACUUCAAGAAGAUUUCUCCAACAAAAAGUUGUGAAGUACUCUGGUUUGUGUUUUGUAUAAAAAUUUGGUUAUAAGUUUCAAUAUGAAAAAUAUGGCCCUGCUUUUCUAUCCCAUCGUUUUAUUGUCUGGGGAUUUUAACUGCUUUCGCAUGUGCUUAAUAAAUGAAAGGGUUGGCAAUACAUAGUCCUGGGAUAUCGCAUUAUUAAAAUCGACCAAAAAAGAAGGAUGUGUGCGUGCCCGAGGAUCAGGGCGUGACAGGGAGGAACGUACCUUUUUGCAUAACGUAUGUUCCUCCCCCUUCUCUCCCUCAAAAACGCUCCAAAAGAAAGAAUAGUGCGCAAGAGGCGACACCCAUCUUCCCUUCAAGGGGAAUUGGCGUCAUCGGAUCGAACAUGGCCAAAUUCUCUUCCUCAUAUCGGCGUCGGUGUUUAAUUUGUGACUAACAAGGUACGUUCAAUUCUGUGAUGUGCCUUAGAAUCGGUGAUGCAUGUGUUUUUUCCCGGGCUCGUCUUCCGCACAAGUUUAGGGGUUCGAUUUAGUGUCGAAUCCGGUUUUUGGGAAUUCGACAAUCCCUACACAUAGGAUCACGUAUCUAAAAUCUCUAAACCAAAGAAGUGAACAUGCUGGAAUGCACACGAUUCGCUUACUUAGGAACCUACCAUCAACUCACCCCAACAUACAUGCAAGGAGAGAUGGGAGAGACAGAUAGAGAAAUGUCUAGAUUUUGUUAAGAGUACUAAUUGUUGGAGAAAUCCUCAUGAAGAGUUUUGAAGUUGACAAAACGUAUCCUUCGGUCUAGUCUGAAAGUCUGCAGACUCUGUCAGUUUAAAGUCUGAAGACUUCCGGACAGCCAGACUCAAGACUCAAAGUCUAUCCUCAUUGACAGUCUCGAAUCCGUUGAAGAAAGGUUAUCCAGAACUAAGUGGUUUGUUCAGGAUUUAACCUUAUCAUCUGGAGAAGAUCUCGUGGCUGGAGAAGACAUAUCAGAAUCCUUUGAUUGAUCAAGAUUGAUUCAAUGACUGAAGAUUCGAUGAUUAUCUAUAUAUUAUUGGAAGGUUCUACUUAUGGAAACCGAGAUCCUGAUUGUAUGGGCAAACAGGAUUGAUGGGCUAUCAACAUGUUCCUUUAAUAACUCGAACAAUUUUCCUAAUUGAUUCUGUCCAACGGUUAGAUUGGAGGAAUUCCUUUGGUAAGUGCCAACGGAUAUGAUGGCAUAAAGGAGUAUAUAAGGAAGUCGUUCUUAGUUGUUCGAGGUGUGCGCAAUAGAAGAAUUCCAAAGUCUGAAGCUCCCAUUUGUUUAGAUAAAUCUCUUGAGCGAAUACUUGUAUACAAAAGAGAGUCUAUAUUUGUGAGAGACCUUGAGGAGGUGUGGUAGAACAUCUACACUGUGGAAUCAAGGCAAAGCUGUGCUGUAACUUCUCUUUUGAUUAUAGUGAAAUCCAGCCGGUGGGCUGUCAGUGCGGAAGAGUGGACGUAGGAUUGGAAUAAUCCGAACCACUAUAAAUCCUGUGUUUAAUUUUCUCUUCCUUACUCUCUUUACUUCAAACGUAUAUCAAUCUGUUAAGAAUUGCUUCCGUAUUCAAGAAUAAUUGUUUGUGCGCCUAUUCACCCCCCUCUAGGUGUUUAUACUAGCUAUAUCACUAAUACCUACCACGUCCACAGGAAGUUCUGAAUGAUUAUCUUUUCCCUUGAAUACCCCAGUCCUUGUUAAUAUAGAAAACGAAGGAUCUCUUGCCUGAAGGAGUUGUUAUCAGUACUGGUGAUUGUGUUCGGAAAAAUUAAUGAUAUGAUAAAAUACAAUUCUCAAUAUGAAAUAUACCUGUUGUGCGCCUCUAAUGUCAAUUUUGGAUUAUCUCCUAUCAUGUAGAGUUCUAAAACAACGAAUUCCAGAGUAUGUAUUACACUCUUCGCGAGUGUAAGUUCUUGGUGCCGAGUCCUUGUUGUAUAGCUGUAUAGCUUUUGGUUAAAGUCAAUAUAUUUCUUACCUUUACCAAAAAAAAAAAAACAAACAAACAAACAAACAAAGAUGGCAUAAGAUUCCUUAACACGGUCUCAACAUUUCCAUAGACAAAUGGAUUUGGCCUCCCAUACGAUGUAUAAACCAACAGAAUGGGAUGUAUUCUGCAAAACAGGGACAAGUAAACACUACAUAACACAAGAUUGAAGAUUAAUGCAUGUCGCUUUGCUGCAUUGAGGUAAACUAGGCCCACACAAGGAUCUUAUAGGCUUUUCUUUAAUUUUUUUGUGGAGAAUAUUAGAUCAAAAUCCAUGCAAAACCAAACAUUGAGAAGUUGAAACCUCACUAUCUUACCUGUUAUAGAUUGCUACUAACGCAAUCCUGAAAGCUCCCGUACUCAGACACCUAGUAGGAAAAGUAGCUUGCCUUGGCACUUUGUCAGCUAGUCAUCAGCCAGUCUUUAGUUCCACCAAGGCUUCAAAAACUCAAAAUUGCAGCUGGCAUCACAAAUGGCAUAGCUUACUUGGUAUUCGAGGUCAUUAUUUGCAAAAAAAAAAACAAGUGUGGUUGCUUUCCAGCCUCUCUUCCAGGAAGCCCACCCGUUCUUAUUAUGUUGCAGAGCACCUAAACCCAAACUUGAGUAUCACUGAAAUUUUUUAAUAGACACAUACAAACAGACAUAUGAUAACACUCCAUUUCAUCACUUUUUCCAAACUAGAUGUCAGCACCCACUAGACUUUUAAAAAGAUGAUGACUAAAGUUGCAUAGCAGUUACUGAAUAACCAAACAAAGCGUCGUGUCUUUUGAUAAUCAGUUCUAAGAUUUAAAACUAGCGUGACGAAAAGCCCAGUAUGGACUCGACAACCGAAUUAGAUAAUCUAAGAAAGCACAAGGUCCUUUAGGGUGGUCACAACCUAGAUAUCUCUGCUCCAGUCAAUAGAAUCACUGACUACAAAUGCUGCCUGAACUCUCUGUGUUUGCACAUCAAUUUUAUUCUUUCCUAUCAUAUUAGAAGUGUUAUUUUGGUCAAUGUCUGGCUUAGUUGUCCAUCUCUUGUACGGUGCCGGUGGAUCAAUGGCAUCAAAGUAGGAAGUGUACUCGUCAAUUGGCAUAACGUUUUUGCAUAGAAAAUACACGAGCAGAAAAAGGGUCAACCAGAGGAGAGAGAGAGAGAGAGAGAGAGAGAGAGAGAGAGAGAGAGAGAGUCAAGUUGUUGGAGUUCUCAUUCUGGAUGAAACAGUGUUGAACACAGACAACUAAGAAGAUUUAUGUAGAGGACUUCUACGUGAUUACUCAAGUCCCUAAGAACUUGAGUGAUUGUUAUUCACUUUGCUUGCUCCUAUAUAUUACCUAGACAUCUUCAAUAGCAAUUUUAUUAGAUACAUAACUUUAUCCUUAUAACUUUUGAAAGCUUUCAAUAAACUUGACACCAUAUACUUUCAAAAGCUUUCAAUAACCUUGACACCAUAUAACUUUUGUCGAACUAUUGUUGUUUAAAAAUUUUGUGUAGACAUUAAAUAGCAAGGGUAUGUGUGGGCUUGCUUUUAUUUCUCUUUUCAGUGAUCUACCUUAACCAUUUCUAGCAAGCCUUUUUUUUUCUUGAGAAUGCAUUGAACUCCUUGUCUACUAAGCUUCUAAAGUAGUUUUGGAUGGUUGUGCAGCCUAAAUUAUACUUGUGGCAACUUUGUCUUUUCCUGUUCUAAAUAUGAGGUUUGCUGAUGGACUAGAAGUUAUGAACAAUUGCCAGAUGCACAAAUUUAUUGAUUAUGUUUGGUUGUGGCAAUUUUAUAUCGAUUUACAAAUUAAAAAUGCCCCACAAUAUGUAGCAUUUUGGUAUCUCAGGUUUGCUUUUUGGAAAGUUGUGUGAUUGAUUGAUCUCUUGCAUCGAAUAAUAGGGAGAAAUGGAUCUAGCUUGUAAUACUCUAGCUGACCAUUUAAGCUUGAAGUAAAUAAAGUGUGAUCACUGCUUCGAGGAAAUUUUAACUCUGGCUAGGUGCUACAAUGGGCAGGAAUUUAUGUGGCUAACUGAGCAUUAGUACAUGCAUUGGCAUGCCGGAAUAGUUUUGUUAUGAGGGCACUUUGAGCAACUAAUGAUGUUGAAUUUAUCAAAGAAAAUAAGACAGUAAUUUAGGUUUGUUUAGGUAAAUCAACUAACACCCUUCAAUCUCCCAAUAUAAAGAUGAGGUUUUGUGAUAAGGUAAAAAUGUGUAGAAAGACUAGAAGGAGUUUGUUUUUUGAAUCUAUUGGAGACAGAGGUAGUUAAUUGUAGUGCGAAGUGAAAUUAUAUGUUUCUACAUUACUUAUCAAAGUGACUUGUUACUGUUGAUUAUGCUUCUACUAUUUUUGUAGUCAUCAUGUGUUCUAGAUGUUGAUUGCUUGUAUAUUUAGAUCAUAAUAUUGCAGAGGCAUUGGUAAUUCCAUCUUUUUUGGUUGUUAGUGGAACUUCCUUUUAGUAGAUCUAAGACCUCUCUUUGUUUUGCAACUUCUUUGGAGUGAAAUUUUCCUCCGUUUUUCUUAAUUCCAUGAUGAGACACAAAAGAGGUAAGAAAACACUUUGUGGUGCUCGACACAUUAAUUUAGCAGGGCUCUCAUCAGUCAGCUCUUCAGUUCCUGCUAUGACAUCUGAGGAUGAAUGUGGUAGAAUUCUUGAUUUCUUUUCCAACUUAGCAGUUAGCACUGCAUAUCAGUAACUAAAUUCGGUUUUUAUUGUGCUUUGAUGAAUGUCUUUUUCCUGUGAUAGAGCUGGCUCUAAUGAAGCAAAAGAGGCAUUGAAGAAACUUGGCGCUGAAGAAGUGUUCACUAAGAGCCAAUUAGAAGUAAAGAAUGUCAAGAGUCUACUGGAACUGUCCAUCCAUUAACCCAUUCUACCAUAUUCUUAUGCAUGGACACAUCCAUUUUUGGCCAUUGGCACUUGAGUUCUUUAUUUACAUCUUAUUGACCUUGUACUAGGGUGAUCUAAAAGAACCCGCCCUUGGAUUAAACUGCAUUGGUGGCAAUGCUGCUUCCUUGGUGAUGAAGUUUUUUAGGUGCAACAAGUGUUAACUUUGUGUCGAGUGCUUCCCUUAUCUUUCUAAAGAGAGCUGAUUUAGUUUUGUUCUCUGGUGGAGAGGAACCAUGGUGACAUAUGGUGGGAUGUCUAAGAAACCGAUUACAGUGUCAACUUCAUCUUUUAUCUUCAAGGUAAAUUAAGAAGCAGCAAACUAAAAUUUCUGCCUAUGGUUAUGAGGUUAUUUCAGUCAAGCCUUACAAUUUGACUUGUCUAUGUCUAGGUCUCAGUCUUGGCAAUGCCCUAUAGUUUUAUUUUUAGUUUAAAUUUGGCCCAAAAUCUCAAUUUCAGUAUUUGAUGCAACCAAAUUUGAGCAGAAAAAAAAUUUAUCCCUGGAAUUGAGACUAAGAGGAAUGUAUAAACCAAUGCAAUAAUGGUCCUUAUGGUUUGCAGGAUCUUUCUUUGAGGGGGUUUUGGCUGCAUAAUUGGAUCAGUUCAAAUAAUGUAACAGAGUGUAGAAGAACCAUAGAUCACUUGCUGGAACUAGUGCGUGAUGGAAAGUUAAAAUACGAGUUCGUCUUUUGUAUACGACUAAUCAAAUUGCUGUAUUUAGGUUUCCAUUUCUUUAUAGUAAUUUUCAAUAGUAUUCAUCCUCAAGAUAGUGUGUUGGGAUUGUGGUGCAUAUGAAUUUCUCCAAAACUGCAGGACCGAGCUUGUUCCUUUUAGUGAUUUCCACGUUGCAUUGGAUAAAUGACCGGGAAAACAUGGGAGCCAUCCUAAGCAAGUCCAAAAGUUCUAAGGCUACUGAAUAUAUAAGGGCGGUAAGAAGAUGGAAAAAUUCUGUGUCAUAUCCUUCAAGCAAUCAGCUUGUUCUGAAGUUCUGAGGUGCUGGAUCAACCGAGCACGAUAAAUAUGUAUCUUUUCCCUUAUUAUUAUUUUCUCUUUGCAUAAGUGAUGCAUCGUUUGCGUUGAGGUAAUUUCGUUGCUACUUAUUUUCACCAAUUUCCAUUCUGAAUUUGUUUUGCAUCAUGCCAUCCAAUCUCAAACUAAUCUCAUGCAACAUGAGGUCCACCUACUACGGCUGAAUUUGGAGAACCAAACAUCGCCCCAUUUGGUAAGGGUCCAUAAAGGUUUCAGAUUUGCCAAUUACAAUUCUCAUAUACAUGUGACCAAGAACAUUGGGAUACUUUUCCAAAAAUCAUGUAAUCGACAUCACAUGCAUUGAGAAAAGAGUAAGAAGAACCAUAAAUUAUUCAUUUGUUUUAACCUAAUUCAAAUGGGAUGUGGACCGCCUUCAAGGAACGUUAUACAUACAUGAUGGGCAAAAUCAAUAGAAGACUAGCUAAUGGUAAUUACUUUUUAUGAUAGGGAAAACACAUAAUAGAAUAUCGUACUGGCUUCCCCCCGACACUCCUGGGGUACCUCUGGGGCACUGUGGACCCCAGGCAUCCAAAGGGCAUCAACCCUUGCGAUCCUUUGGGUAUCCCGACUCUCGGGGCAUUGUCGACCCGAGGGUUCGACGGCAUCAAUAACACAUCAAUCAUAAUGUAGCUAACAAAACAUUUUAAAUGCCAAAAACAUUUCUGAAUCACCAUUAUAGAAAAUCCUUUGGGUUCUUGAAAAUUCCCUUGUAUGGUAUCAAGUAAUGUGAAACGAGGUUUUCAAUGACGCAUCAAUACAACAACCAUAGUCUUUAAAAAUAGAUCAAUCUCAUAUCAAUGAAAUCAAUUCAUAAAAUCGAAAGCAUGAUACCAAAUCCAUAAAAAUCCAUUUUCACGUUUAAAUUUCAAAUGCAUUUCAAAAUCCACAUAAAUAGCCUCGAGUCGCACUUGCACAUCACGGCUCGAAAUAAAAUAAUUUAUUAAAAUCAUAAGUAAUUUGAAAUCAGCACGUUGGCAAAUCCAAAUCUCAAUCCCAACUCUAAUGGUUUGGAAUGUUUUCUGUAAAAAGUUCAGAAAUCUUUAAAAUAUAAAACAUUUCUUAAAGCAUUUGGGUACGGUGUCACAGUACCCACAAAUUUUGAUGCAAAUCAAGAGAUUUUCUAAAACGAUUUGUGAACAAAACCUCAAGGUGCUACCACCUCAACAUUUGGUGUAAAAAUCGAAGGCUUAAAUUGAGGUACUCACGAAAACUUCUCAAUUUUCCAAUCUAACUGGACUACAUUUGACAACAACGGCGGUGCAUUACAUAGGUUAGUAGACUUUCACUUACCUUAGGUCCAAAGGCUUUGACGGCAAGAAAUUGGAAGCUCGUGAUUUCGCGGAUGUGGCUGAGGCUGUGGGACGGCUGAAUCAGCGCGACAGGGACGGCGGCUGCUCAUGCACGGCGAAGGGAACAGUCCCUUUCUUUCCCUCGCUGCUCACUCUCCUCGGUUUCUCUCUCUCUUUUGCUCGGUUUUGCUAUUCCCGUCACUGGUUUUGUUGACAAAAACCAGUCAACAAAAGGAAAGCUUCGGCGGCAGAAGGAGGCGAGGACAGGUGAAUGGGAACGUGGCUUGCAUGCUGUCCCGGACGCUCUCUCCGCUGGUCACCGAAGAGGGAGAGAGAGACGUGGCUUGCAUUCGGUCUUCUCUCGCCAGCUCGAAGCCGUUGUUGCGUGUCUUCAGCUGCUCGAACGGCGUGGCUUCUCCUCGGUCAACUUCUCCAUUUAGUUGACCCUGAAUUUGUUGCCGCUCGCCACCUCGCAUGCUGCAUGCGGACGUGGCCUUUGCUGGCCGCUCGAAGCAACUCACAGCUGCUUCCUUCGGUCAACAAUUUCCUCAAUUGUUGACCGUCCAAAGACGUGGACGUAGGCUGCAUGGGUCAAAGGAUGUGCAUGGUUGACCGGCCAAAGAAAUAAACGAAAACGUGGCCGUUGGUGAGGCCAUUCGCCGGGCUAUCCAAGGAGAAAAAUCGUGUACGAAGCUGUGUUGAUCCGCGGUCCGUUGCGGGGUAAACGAUUGGGAGGUCUUCGACAAUUUUCGUUGUAAACUUUCACAUACGCAUGGCCAUUGCAUGCUACGGGCCUUCAGCUCAGUCAAUUGAAGAGGCCGCUCGGGAUUAAUAUUGGACGUGUGCAAGGCCGUGCAUGGGAAAUUUCUCUCCGAAAGUUGAUGUUUCGGAACAAUGGGUGGUGAUGAAAGGAUGGCCUAAUGCUAUAGUGACGAUGACUGUAACAUCACGGGCCCCACUGUGUAAUAUUGUCCGCUUUGGGUCACAUGCCCUGGCGCGGACGCACCGCCAUCCCAGCCACGGUCUUUUUCCCUCACGGCUUUAAAACGCGUUACACAGAUUAGAUGGACCAAAGCCUUAUAAGCUAACCAAGACCUUCCUCCCUAGGCGAUGUGGGACAAGAGAGGAGGUUGUUACACUCUCCACCUCUUAACAGAAUAGCGUCCUCGCUAUGGCCCCACGGGCAUCAGAACAGCAUUCAAGCUGUGGUCCCACACACGGUCGGGAGUCGGCUCUAAUACCACUUGUAAUAUCCCGGGCCCCACUGUGUAAUAUUGUCCGCUUUGGGUCACCCGCCCUGGCGUGGACGCACCGCCAUCCCAGCCACGGUCUUUUUCCCUCACGGCUUUAAAACAGAGGAGAGGGAGAAUCGAAGAUGGCAACGCAUGAAAGGAGGGGCGGCGGUCAAGACGUGCAACGGAAGCUUGAAGCCAAAAGCCAAAAUAAAUAUUUCGUUUCAUCAUUAAUUUGGUCCCCACAAGCUCCCAAGAUUAUCUUCAUGCCCCCUAAUACUUUCUCAACAUUUAAUCCCACCAAUAAUCCAAAUUGAAGCCAAAAAUGCAGCUCUCUUCCAUUGCUCCGAAUUUAACCAAAAUAAACUUCAAUUUCCUCACUCAAUUCCCCAAAUCGAUGUCCAAAUAUUCCAAGGAAAAAGCCCAUAAAUUUUCUGUAAGUCCCCAACACCAUAUAGCUCGGCUUUGAAAUCUAAAUUUUCUUCAAUUGAGCCCAUCCGAAUUUAUGCUAUUUUUCCGCAACGACCGAAUCGAUUUUCUGUAAAAUCUUGAACUCAACAAAAUUACUCCGAAAGACAAGACGACAUCCUAUAAUUGAAUUGUCAUAUGCUCGAACAUCCGAUUUCCGAAACCGAAUUCAAUUUCGUGGUUAAAAUCGAUCGAACAUGAUUUUAGUCUUAUCCGACCUAUCGGGUAGCUUUUAGGGAUUUUACCGCAAUUAUAUCCCUUAACGGCUUCACCCAAUAGAUUGGUUAACUCGUGAGUGAUCAACUCAGAGAAAAAUGACCAUAGACGCGCCGGCGAAAUGCCCAUUUCAUAUAUUCGGGACGGGGUUGAAAUUUGGGAUGUCACAACUCUUCCCCUCUUAUAAAAAUUUCGUCCUCGAAAUUUAAACCUUUACCAAUCCUUAAAAAAAAAGAUGGGGGUAUUGUCGUCUCAUCUAGUCUCACUUUCCUCGGUUGCUUCUUCAGUCCCGUGGUGUUGUCAGACCAUUUUGACCAAGGGGACUGUCUUGGUUCACUGAAUCUGAUCUUUCUGAACCAACAACUAAACCAACUUCUCACGUACGACACUUUGUCAUUCACGUCUGAUUCUUCAAGAUUUAGCACGUGAGUCGAGUUAGGUUCGUACGUCCUCAACCUCGACACGUGAAAGACGUCAUGCAUUUGUGCCUACCCCGGUGGCAACGCAAGACAAUACAUUAGGAUCUCGAUUCUUUUCAGAAUCUCAAAGGAAACUACAUACCUCGGUUCCAGAUUUCUCCCCUCCUUGCUGAAGCGCAAGGUAUCCCUCAUUAGUGACACCUCCAAAAAUAUGUAAUCACCAAUUUGGAACUUUCAAGGCCUUCAAUGCUCAACAAUACAACUUUUCUGGCGACACUGAUCGGUCUAUAAUAUGAUUCUGAUCAUAACAACUGCAAUCACUGACUGCUGAAUUGACCUUCGGCCUGUGAUCUUUCUUUCUCUAAUCUCAUCUCAACAAACUGAAGUUCUGUACACUCUGCUCUGUUCUACCUCAAAAGGAACUAUCUGACUGAUAUGCUGAAACUGGAAAUCCUUGAUUCUAAAUCUGAUAUAGGUUUGUCACUGGUACCCACGCAGACAAACUGUCUGACACACAUACACUUAUGCAUGUCUAUUCCAAUCAAGAUCCUUCCAUACGGUGAUAAAGUGAGUCGACUUCAUUAGUCUAUCGACCACUACCCUAACUUGAGUCAUUAUUCCUCUAACUCCUUAGUAAACCCAUCACAACAUUCUAUCGUGAUAUACUUCCAUUCCUACUCGGGACUCUCGAGUGAUUAUAAAAGUAUUCCUGGUUUGCUUUACUGAACUCCCACUCACUAGCACAUCUGACACUUACAACCUGUCCGGCGAUAUCUAUCUUCAUAUCGGUCUACCAAUCGAGCUAACGUUGAUUCUGACCUUCCUCGCAUUAUAUGGUCAAAUACUGCAAUACCAUAGCGAAUUUCCUAACAAGGUCUUCCCCUCAAGUUUCGUACUGUCUGCCACCUAUCAUCACCCAUGAUACUUCAACGUUCCAUCUUUCGAAAUUUGAAAGUCAACUUUUCCCUUAUCGAUAUCCUCUUACAGGAUAAUCUGAACAUCCUGAUUUGUCAACUGAAGCAUAUGAUUCUAACUUGAAUAUCCGAUUCAAUUUUGAGGGCGGCUAUAGAGUUCAAAAGGUAGCCUACCUCAAAUUUGAAAACCAAAUUUCAAACUUUCUCAGGUAAGUUCCAUACUUUAACCAGUAUAUAUUAAAGACUCUUGACUCAACGCAUCAGUGACUUCAUUCUUUCCCCCAAGGUGAUACCAAAUAGCACCAUCCUAGUCCUGCCAAGGUUCCGGUUCACGACACCGUCUCAUAUUCAACCCAUUAGGUCUCAACUGGCGGGACGCAUAUACAAUAAUCUUAUCAUGUUGCAUCAGUACGCACCCAAUCCUCCGCACAACACCUCACUAUAGAUGUCGCUUCACUAAUAAUUGUUUCGGUCUUCAUAGGGUCCACGAAAAUUCUUUCACCUUUUUCAGGUGUCUCUCUAGCUCCUCAGCAUUUCUUGAAUACACCAAAAUAUCGUUGAAAGAUACGAUCACAAACUGAACUCGAUAUUCCUUGCACACUCGGGUUGUCAAAUCCAUGACAGCAACUGGAAUGUUCACCAGGCCAAACAAUCUUACAAUACUGUCAUAAAGAUCAUAUCAAGUACGAAAAGCUGUCUUCAGUAUAACCUCCUUCCUGGUUCGUAACUGACGACAUCUUGUUCUCAAGUUGAUUCUUGAAAAUAUCAACACUCUUGAUGUCUGGUCACCCAAUUCAUCGAUCUUUUACAAUGGACAUUUGUCCUUGAUCGUCACCUAAUUGAGUUGAUGAUGGUCGAUGCACACUCGUAACAAACCAUCUUUCUUUUUUCUCACAAACAAAACUGAUGUUUCCCUAAAGUGAUGCACUGAUAUGCAUGAAUUCCUUAUUCAUCAAUCUUCACAUCUGCAUCUUCAGUUCUACCAAUUCAGACAACAACGAAGCCUUCGAGAGUGGCUCUAUCAUGGUGCUAGCUCGAUCGCAAUUUCUAUCUCUUUCUCUGACGAUGGUCUGACAGUUCUUGUGACAACACAUCUAGAAAUUCUUAGACCACUGAGAUGUCCUCCAUCUCUAGUUCUCCAAUUUGUCCUACCCAAGACAAUCGCCAAGCAACCUUGGCAACCUCCGUCUAACAAACAAGUUGCCUUCAGCCAACGAGAUUAAUGAAAUCAAAGAUUCUUUUCGACACUUUCACAUGCUAAUGGACUAAACCGAAUUACUCCAUGACCAUGAUUCAUUAUCACAAGAUGCUCCAUGAACCCACACUAUUCACAUGGUGUCAAACUCACACCUCAGCAACUAGUCAAGCACAACUAUUGCUAGUGAUUCCCCUCUCUUUCACUUUUACUUCAACAAUUUAAAUUCUACCAAUUCAGCACAAAACUCUACUGCGCUACUCUUAUAAAAUCACCUCCAACACAUUCUAGUCAUUCUCAGACACUGGAUUUAUCCAUGUUUCCUUCUACAAAUCCAACACCUAUCUAGUGAGUCUUCUACCUCCUGUCAAGUAACAGCAUGCACUCUUUUUGGUUGUCCCAUCUAUCUGCUAGGACCACUUCUGUCCAAAUAUCCAUGUUGGCUACACUCCAAACAAUUUCUCAUCCUAGGAAGGACAUAAGAUCGAUCUCUGUCAUCAUGUCCAGAAACAAUAUGAUCCAUUUGACUCAGUGCUAACCUGACUGCCCCACCCUUCCUAUUGGGUGAAAUAGGAUACUUUUCACUCGACCUCGGUCUUUUCCCUGACCGAUUUCCAUUUCUACAUGUAUUGAAUCUAUACCUCGACUCGAAUACAACGGCUCGCUCCCAGAUCAUAUCUUCACACUAGACCUCAGCAAGUGCGACAACAACGGCGGUAGUGGCAGCGACAACAACGGCGGCUCGGUCCUGAGCUUGCUGGCUCAACCAAUUCCAAGGACACUAAUGCCUGAACGAUCCUAUCGAACCUAGGAUCGCUCGAUGCUGCUACACUAGUACCAAUCUGCUAUGGUACUCUUACACUCGAGCUGGCCAGAGCCAACACUCUGCCAUAACCACCUCGGGUACCGACCUUUGUCGAUGCUUUAUCUCGAGUCACAGAGGACACUGCCCUCUUACUAGGAGUACUCAACUCCUGCUCACUCAUGAUCAGUCUUUACACUGAAACCCGUCUUCCAAAUCCACACUAGAUUAGAAGGUGAGCGAUUCACAUACAACAAACAAUUCUAGCAUUCAGCUAACACAGACAUGCACCGGCAUGAACUUAAAGGCCUUUCUUACUACUAUCCCAAGACUCAUCGCUCCUUAUCACCCUAAUCUUGAACUUCGCUCUGAUCCCACAAAAAGGGGAUGUCACGCCCCGAUCCUUGGGCACGGACACAUCCUUCUACUUGGUCGAUUUUAUAAUGCGGUAUCCCAAGACUACGUAUUGCCGACCCUUUCAUUCUUAAUAGCACAUGCGGAAGCAAUUAUAAAUCCCCAGACAAUAACACAAUGGGAUAGAAAAAGCAAUGCCAUAUAUUUCAUAUUGAAAUCCACAACCAAACCUUUAUACAUGGCAUAACUCAAAGUCUAUUCACAAGACUAUUCAUAACAUUCUAGUUUCACACUAUUCACAUUUAGACAAGAUUCACAAAAGAGGAUAGGAUCUCAAUCCUCAUCCGGGUCGUACUCAGGAUCAUCCUAAUCCUCUUCUGACUCUUCUUCACUAAGCUCACAUCCUUUAAGCUCUUCAUCUUUUACUGGCUCAUCGUCCUCUUCUGGUUCCUCCUCCACAGGCUCAUCUACAGGCUUGAAAUGUUGUCCCACAACCGGGAUAAGACUAUGUCUCAGCAAGUUCUACCCCACUAAGACUCGAUUAGGAAACCAAUACGCUAACCGGGCUACCUAUACACGCACGAGUUAGAAGACUUACCUUCGCCUCAAAUUCCACAUGCAUAUUAGCACAAAUCAAUAGGCACCCUAGCAAUCACAUCACAGAUCGAUAUCUCGAUCAAUCGACCUAGUCGAUUACAUGUCAGUCGGAUUAUUUCUAGGUCAUUCAUUUCAUCCCAUAUAACCUCCAAUAGUACACUUAGUCACAAAGCUCCAUUAAUACUCUCGGGCGUCGUUUUCGCCAAGGUGACAUAUGUAACAGACGGUCUACGUACGUUCUUUAAGGCGUCAUUUUCGCACGGUGAUAUUCCUCAUCACAGAACCACGCCCGUCAUAGGUCACAGACAGUUUACGUGUGUUCUUUAAAACACCGUUUUUGCACAGUGAUGUCCUUCAUCAUCGAACCACGCCUGUCACAAGUCAUAGGCAAUCUACGUGCGUUCUUUAAGGCGUCACUUCCGCACAGUGAUAUCCUUCAUCUCCGAACCAUGCCUGCCACAAGUCAUAGACAGUCUACGUGUGUUCUUUAAGGUGUCGUUUUCGCACAGUGAUAUCCUUAAUCACCGAACCACAUUUGUUUAUACUUCGUACCUGAUCGGUCUCAGCCAAUAGAGUUCCCAGUUCACUCUCACGAUUCUUUCCGCUUUACAACUCAUCAAAGCAUUAUAAAGGUUAAAGAACCAAACUCGGCCAUCUACCGAUCAAUCAUUCAAUUCCACUCAAUUCCUAUCAAUUAAGGAAUAAUUUAUCAAAUUGCACAAUCAAUUCAAUUAAGCACAAUGUGGAGCUCAAAUAAAUAAACGGACUACACCACGACAAUCAUCACAAAAUUUCAGUCGUCGGCUAUCCUUGCCUAAUUUUCGAAAAAUAAAUAAUUAAAUAAUUAAUUUCGAAAAUUAAUAAAUAAAUACAAAAAAAUCCAAUUUAGGCCCGUAAUGCCUAAUUGAAGCCCGAUAAGGGUCGGGAAAAAUCCGGAGAUGCAUUCAAUAAAUAGUAUAGGCAGUUCUCUAACUAAGUACACUAACCACCUAACUAAUAUGCAAUGCAAUUAACUAAUAAUCACUAAUCCAUGCUAAUCUAACCACCUAAUUGCACUUAAUUAAAUCUAAUCAACCAUUAAGCAUAAUUAGUCUACUAAGCAAGGAUUAGUGAGAUUACUUACUUGAUUAAAAGCGGGGACCAGGACACCGCGACAACGGCCGAAAUCGGACUUUCGACAACACCGGCGGGCUUGGACCGGGCCUUGAACUUGGCCCAUGCGCUGUACUGGGCUCACUCUUGGGCUUUUCUAUUUUGAAAAUGGGCUAACUUCGCUGGGCUUGAAGACUUCAACUGGGCCGAAAACAGGAUGGGCCCAAAGUUGGGUUGGGCCUGUUGAAGAUGGGCUUGAAAUAAAGUUGAACCGGGCCUGUCUUUGCUGGAGCUGGGCCGAAGAAUCAAUUCUCUGAACUCAACAGGGCUAAUGGUGGGCCGAAGACGCUAGAAUCCACGGCUGCUUCGUGCGAUUCACAUGGCCAGAUGGAGACAGCAAGCUAGGCAGGAGGAUUGAAGAUGGCGGAAGCAGCUGCUGGCAUCCGUUGGUGGGUGUCGCAGUCAAAGAUGGGGAGAAGUAGCUGGUUCGUUGACCGAUCUGUGGGUUGAAACUUCCGUGAUGCUGGCCAGAAGAGGGGAGAUCGUGGGCGCUGGCAGCUGGCGUCGAGCUGGGGCAAUGGACGUUGCUGGAAUCGCUCGCCAAAGACACGAGCUGGAGGAAGCAGUAGCUUCAACGCCGCGUGGAGAGGCGCACAAAGAGGAGUCAGCGAAGUGGCGCCGCUUAAAGACUUAGGCUGAAGAUCUUGCUGGUUGACCGAAUGGGAUUCGGUGGAUUGAAGCCGCGUGGGCUUCAGUCUUCGUGGGCAGAGAAGCGAAGCGGUGGAGGACGUGUGGCUGCAGCUUCGUGGGAUGAGGGUUGACCAUAAGCAGAGGAGAGAUUCGGUUGAGGGGGGGGGGGGGGGGGGGGGGGGGGGGGUUCUCCGGGGGAAAAAAAUGAAAAAAAACAAAGCAGGGGGGGGGGGGAAAUCAAAAUGGGAACCCCGAAAGGGGGGGGGGGGGGGGGGGCAAAAAUUUGCACCGGAUUUUUAAACCCAAAGCCCAAAAAAAAUUUUCCUCCCCCCUUUAAUUUGGUCCCCCCACAACCCCCAAAAAAUUUUUUUUAGCCCCCAAAAAUUUUUUCCACUUUUAACCCCCCAAAAAACCAAAAUGAAACAAAAAAUGCAGCUCUCUUCAUUGCUCCGAAUUUACAAAAUAACUUCAUUUCUCACUCAUCCCAAAUCGAUGUCCAAAUAUUCCAAGGAAAAAGCCCAUAAAUUUUCUGUAAGUCCCCAACACCAUAUACCUCGGCUUUGAAAUCUAAAUUUUCUUCAAUUGAGCCCAUCCGAAUUUCUGCUAUUUUUCCGCAACAUCCAAAUCAAUUUUCCGUAAAAUAUUGAACUCAAUGAAAUUACUCCGAAAGACAAGACGACAUCCUAUAAAUGAAUUGUGAUAUGCUUGGACAUCCGAUUUCCGAAACCGAAUUCAAUUUUGUGGUUAAAAUCGAUCGAACGCAAUUUUAGUGCAAUCCGACCUAUCGGAUAGCUUUUGGGGAUUUUACCGCGGUUAUAUCCCUUAACGGCUUCGCCCAAUAGAUUAGUUAACUCAUGAGUGAUCAGCUUAGAGAAAAAGGUGAGAGUGCUAGUAUGAACAAAAUAAAGGAGUUAGGGAAGAGAAUAAAAACACAAGAUUUAUAGUGGUUCGGCUUAAUCCAAGCCUACGUCCACUCUCCCACGAUAACAGCCUUCUUGGCUGGAUUCCACUAUGCAAUCAACAAGAGAUUACAACUUCGAGUGCAAACACUUAGUAGAUCACACUAGCUCACUAAGUCACUCUCUUGGUAUUUCUCUCACGAUUACAAACGUUUAAGCUCUCAAGAGACAAGUAUAUGAUCAAAAGUCGCUCAGACUUUGGAAUUAUAAAUUCUACGCUCCGUCUCUUACUUGCUCAUCGGUCCAUGAUCUCCUUAAAUACUCCUCCACUUCCAAACUACCGUUGGACAGUAUCCCGGAGAAUCGUCUUCCAAUAUACCCAUUGGACAGCUCUGUAUUUAGAAGAUUUGGUAGCCAUUGAGUGACAAAGGUAGAAUCCCAAAUUGAUUCCGAUCGCCCAUACAAACGAAAUCUUGGUUUCCAUAAGUAAAGCUUCUUCGUAUAGAAAGUUCUUGUCUUCAACAUCCAAUUGCCAAUCAAAUAGAUUGAGUCAAUCAAAUCAAUCUUGAUGUGGAAUCCAAACCAGAUCACUAGCCGUUGUACGAUUGGGCUUGAGUUACGAUUCAUCGAAUCUGGAUGUAAAGUCUGAGUCUGUAGACUUUACAAUAUGAGUCUGUAGACUUUACAAUCUGGGUUUGAACAUAUCUGCUUCUGAACAGAUUUAGCUUUAAGGUCUGUACCCAGUUCAGCUUCAGCAUAGAGUUUGUCUUCUGGUUCAUCAUUCACGUUCAGUCUGGAAUUAGUCAGAGUUGACAGACUUCUGAUGUAGAACAGACUUUGACACUAAAGUCUGGCAGUCUUCAGACUUUGAGUCUUGAGUCUAGCAGUCUUCAGACUUUGACACAGAAGUCUGGAAAUCUUCAGAAUAUACUCUGGACAUAUGUUACGUUCAGUCUUCCGGUCGUCUUCUGACUUUGAUAAUAUCCUUUACAUGUUCUAUUAUCUGCAUGGUCUAUUACUCAACCAUUAAACAUGUUAGUAGCCUUUGAUUUAUUUUGUCAUCUUCAAAACAUCAUAAGGGAUUUCCCUAACAAUCUCCCCCUUUUUGAUGAUGACAAAACAAUCUCUGAAUAUGCAGAUUUGUAAACAUGCUUUUAUUAAUUUAAAUCAAAGGAUAUCAGAAGAUAACAAAUAGAUUGAGCAUAAUAAUAUUUAGAAAAUAAUCACAGCUCAAUAUUAUGCAAUAAAUAAUAUCAACCAAUCAGCACAUAUGCAUAUUCAUAUCUUCUCCCCCUUUUUUUCAUAAUCAAAAAGCGAUAGUAAUGGAUUCACGUAGAGAAUGAUAACAAAUAUCUUGCAUGAAUCACAAUUUCCACAAAUCAGCUUUUAUCGAAUAUUAAAGAUAUGCAAUAUAGCUUACUUCGAUCAUAUCAGCAAAUAUCCAAUAAAAAUCAUGGAUGCAUCAUGAAAUUCACGUACACUUUUUGUCAUAAUAAAAUGAUAAUAUCAGUAAGAGAUUUAUUAAUGACAAAAGGUAAUAAAAGAUGCACUAAUCAGAUUUUUUGAACAAAUUCUGACACAUUUACCUUUCAUUCCAUCCAUAAUAAGAUCACGAUCAAUUCAAAAAGAUUUUUCCAAAAUUGAUCAAAGCUCCCCCUCAAUUUGUUGCCUUUUUGAGAUGAUCACGAUUCUUUUCCUUUUCUUUUGAAUUUGCUUUCUCCCCCUGUGAUCAUGGCAAUAUUUGCGAAUAGAAAUAAUUGUUGCUUGUGCACGUUGAAUAGAAUAUUUUUCCAGUAUUUCCUUUGUAGCAACAACAUCCGCAACGAUCAUUUGCAUUUUGAAAUUCGAGGCAAAAAUUUAUUUUUUUCAAUCAAGCUCAUCUUGAAUUCAACCUCCAGAAGAUAGAAUAAAAUCUUCAUGGUUUUCUGAUCAGUUUUCCAAAAUCCAUAUGGAAGAUUCUUUUGUGACCUGCAAAUUCUUAUAUAACAGAUAAUAAUCUUUGCAAAAAUGUCACAUAAUAUCUUCCUUUGAUUUGCGGAUCUAACUUGCUAGAUAUAAUAUAUCUUCUAAGAAUAUAGCAAGAAUAUCCAUGAAUAUGCAGUAAUAUCUUUCGAGAUCAAAGAGAUUUCCUUGAGCAUAAAUUUCAGAUAUGCAUUUUGCAUAAAGAAAAUAGAUAUUUCUGUCACGUGCCAAAAAUUGCAAUAUCUUAUAUUUAUGACAAAAUAUAUUCGCAAUAUAAUAAACAAUCAUCCAAAAUCAUGAUAAAUGCACGUAGAAAGUUGUAAGGCAUGAUGAAAAAAAAUUUCUCUUACCCAGGUAUAUGUUUCAAAUAUACCAUUUGAUUAAAAAAAAUCAUUACCAAUUGUCGCGGGAGAUAUUUUCUGAUUGAACCAAAAUUUGCGUAGAUUCGCAAUCAUCCUUCCCUUAAAGAAUUUCCUGCAAUCAACUCAUUUCCUUUUUGGUAUCCAUCAAUUUGGAUCCUUCCUUGACGUUAGAGUAAAAUAUGAAAUCUCCAUAAUCAAAUAUUCUUUCUUAAAUCAUCAUAACAAGGUAUUCAAAGAAAGAAUAUUAUGCACAAUAAUAUCUUGCAUCAUAAAUUAAUGUCACGUAAAAGAGAUUUUUAUUUGGCAAAAUAUGAUAAAAUCUGAGAGUAUAAAAUUAAACCAAAUAAAUUCUUUUGUCUUUAAGCAUGAUAUCAAAAAUGAUCACACGUAUCAAAUUAAAUUUCGAACCACAAAUCACACAAUUCUUUCUUCAAUAAAGCAAAUCAAAAAAAUAUGAUCAUUAUAAAAUCUGAAUCAAUCAAUGAUAUAUCGAAUUUCAAGCAUAAUGAGAAUUAUGUGCCCAAAAACAUUCCUUACCAACUUCUUCUUUUCCUUUAUUUCCUUGAUUUCCUCAUCGGAUUCUGAGUCUGGUUCUGAAUCAGACUCUGAUUCUGAGUCUGUGUCUGAGUCAGACUCAGAUUCUGAAUGUGCCAUCAAACAUAGAUUUCCUUGGUCAUCGUCUUCUUUUAUUGGUCUUUUCUGGCCAUUCUGCUUGUAUUUUCUUCCAUCGAAUUUCCUUCCUUUUCUACUCAGCUUUUUGAAUUUCUCGACCAUAAAGGCAAAUUCUUCAUCGUCCAUGUCAUUUUCUGAGUCUGUUUCAUCAAAAACAGCAUUAGAUAUUAAAGCAAUGGACUUCUUACCUUCAGGGAUCUUCAUCUUUGAGUUGCUCCANNNNNNNNNNNNNNNNNNNNNNNNNNNNNNNNNNNNNNNNNNNNNNNNNNNNNNNNNNNNNNNNNNNNNNNNNNNNNNNNNNNNNNNNNNNNNNNNNNNNUGGUUCCAAUCUUUUGAGAGACCUCGCAAGAGUUUGUUGACCUUCAUUGGAGAAGAAAAUUGCUGACCUUGAUAUGCUAAACCAUUUACAAUUUCUGUAAAACGGCUGAACAUAUCUCCAAUUGACUCUCCUUGCUUCAUCUUGAAGGAUUCAUAUUUGCCGAGCAAGAAGUUUACUUUUGUCUCUUUUACACGAUCGGUCCCUUCAUAUGUAACAUGAAGUUUAUCCCAAACUUCUUUUGAUGUUUCACAUGAAGAGAUUCUGUUAUAUUCAACAGGAGACAAUGCGCAAUAUAAAGAAUAAAUAGCUUUUGCAUCAAGCGCUUCUCUUUUGGACAUCUCCAUCCGAGACAUAGGAGCGGGGAGUUUCGUUUCUUUGUCUUUGCUAUUCUUAUUUGAUGUAGACGCAAUAGUGGGAUUGAUUCCUCUUUCCACAACAUCCCAUUGCAAGAGAUCUCUGGAUCUUAUGAAUGCUUUCAUUCUGUUCUUCCACACGUCGUAUUCCUUUCCAUCAAAAUAUGGUGGCCUUGUGUUGCUUUGCCCUUCCAUAAGUCCUGGUGCCAACAUACUAGCCAUAAAGAAUCUUUAGCUCAAAAGUAAAAACACUUUUAUAAACCGAGCACUUGGCUCUGAUACCAAUUGAGAGUGCUAGUAUGAACAAAAUAAAGGAGUUAGGGAAGAGAAUAAAAACACAAGAUUUAUAGUGGUUCGGCUUAAUCCAAGCCUACGUCCACUCUCCCACGAUAACAGCCUUCUUGGCUGGAUUCCACUAUGCAAUCAACAAGAGAUUACAACUUCGAGUGCAAACACUUAGUAGAUCACACUAUCUCACUAAGUCACUCUCUUGGUAUUUCUCUCACGAUUACAAACGUUUAAGCUCUCAAGAGACAAGUAUAUGAUCAAAAGUCGCUCAGACUUUGGAAUUAUAAAUUCUACGCUCCGUCUCUUACUUGCUCAUCGGUCCAUGAUCUCCUUAAAUACUCCUCCACUUCCAAACUACCGUUGGACAGUAUCCCGGAGAAUCGUCUUCCAAUAUACCCAUUGGACAGCUCUGUAUUUAGAAGAUUUGGUAGCCAUUGAGUGACAAAGGUAGAAUCCCAAAUUGAUUCCGAUCGCCCAUACAAACGAAAUCUUGGUUUCCAUAAGUAAAGCUUCUUCGUAUAGAAAGUUCUUGUCUUCAACAUCCAAUUGCCAAUCAAAUAGAUUGAGUCAAUCAAAUCAAUCUUGAUGUGGAAUCCAAACCAGAUCACUAGCCGUUGUACGAUUGGGCUUGAGUUACGAUUCAUCGAAUCUGGAUGUAAAGUCUGAGUCUGUAGACUUUACAAUAUGAGUCUGUAGACUUUACAAUCUGGGUUUGAACAUAUCUGCUUCUGAACAGAUUUAGCUUUAAGGUCUGUACCCAGUUCAGCUUCAGCAUAGAGUUUGUCUUCUGGUUCAUCAUUCACGUUCAGUCUGGAAUUAGUCAGAGUUGACAGACUUCUGAUGUAGAACAGACUUUGACACUAAAGUCUGGCAGUCUUCAGACUUUGAGUCUUGAGUCUGGUAGUCUUCAGACUUUGACACAGAAGUCUGGAAAUCUUCAGAAUAUACUCUGGACAUAUGUUACGUUCAGUCUUCCGGUCGUCUUCUGACUUUGAUAAUAUCCUUUACAUGUUCUAUUAUCUGCAUGGUCUAUUACUCAACCAUUAAACAUGUUAGUAGCCUUUGAUUUAUUUUGUCAUCUUCAAAACAUCAUAAGGGAUUUCCCUAACAAAAGGACCAUAGGGGCACUGGCGAAAUGCCCAUUUCAUAUGUUCGGGACGGGAUCGAAAUUCGGGAUGUCACGGAACUUGACCUGAUAAAACAUUUGUAUGCAUGUACAAUUUCUAAUAGAAGAGAGACGAUUAAUAAACAACAAAGAGGGAAAGAGGAGGAGGUAAGGCUUUUCUACUUGAUUUUACUAAGAGAAUUUUCAAUUGGAUGACAUAGUUAAUAUGAUAAGGCUUUGUGAACUUGAAAUGUGUAUUCAUGAGUAAUUCAUUAAAUAUAUAUAUACUUUUUCCAAAGCAUGGCCUUGCCAUUGAUUGCUUUAUUUUGGGCUAAGAACACCACAAGUGUGGUAGCUUUUGUACAAUGCUCACUUGAGUGCUAUAACUUAUUUUUCGACCACUUAUGUGCCAUAACUUCCAAUAAGUCUUUACUUGAGUAACAUAACUUUUAAUCGAUCACUUAAGUGUCAAAAACUUUUAGAAACGUUCACCCAAGUGCCGAAAAUCCAAUGUGGCAUGAGACUUGUGAAGAACGUUUUUAAAAAGUUUUGUCACUCAAGUGAAUGCUAUACAUAAGUUAUGGCACUCAAGUAAGUAUUAUAUAAAAGUUUUGACACUUAUAAUAUCAUUUUCCCAUUUUGUUUUUUGACUCCAUCCAACGUGAUGUUUUGUUGGUGGGGUGGUCAUUUAGUUUGAGAAAAUAUUGCGUGGUCCAGGAGCUCCACAUCAGCGUGGUCCCCGGCCACUCAUGCGGCGCCACGUGGAAAAGUGGGUCCCCUAGCUGUUUUCUCCAUUUUUUCUUUCUUUCUCUUCUUCGUAGCUUCUUCGUACCCUCUCUCCUAGCCUGCGCACGUCCAUUCUCCCCCUAGCCUGCACAACCUGCACAUUCUCGGGAAUUUGCAAUCCAUUUAUCAUGGAAAGAGAAGCAAAGGGCUUUUUCUCUUUCCUCUUCAAACGAAGGAAAGAGAAGCGGGACUUUUCUCUUUCCUCUUCAAACGAAGCAGAGGCUCCACACGUUUACUCUCAAGCAGCUGCAAUUCUUUCACCCAACAGUCGUCGCUGCUCCGCCGUGCGUCAAGUCGUCGUUCCCUGCCGUUGCCGACAACCUACAUUACAAGCGCCCUGCUCGUACGCCGCUCGCUUCUCUCUCCGCUCUCAUUUCUACUCUGGCGUUUGUUUCGGCGUUCGUCAAGCGGUUGUCCCCCCGUCGACAUCAACGAAGUACGUUGCUCCUCUGCCUUGCUCCGGCGUUGGCUCAUCUUCGCUCUUUACCUCAAAGCUCGUUGCUUCUUCGGCUUGUGUCGUGUUCCUUCUCCACUCUGCUCCGAUAUGGGUUUCUCUGCGCAAGACAGCGAGGAAUGUUCUUGUUGUAAGUCGCAGACUCCAAGUGAUAAGAAGUUCCAGCUCUCUCCGAUUCGACUUCGGAUCUGCUACAUGUUAGGGAAAUCUCUUAUGAAAUUUUGAAGAUGAAAAAAUAAAUCAAAGGCUACUAACGUGUUUAAUGCUUAAGUAAUAGACCAUGCAGAUGAUAGAGGAUGUAAAAGAUAUUGUCAAAGUUUGAAGAUGGCCAGAAGACUGAACGUAACACAUGUCCAAAGUAUAUUCUAAAUAUUUCCAGACUUCUGUGUCAAAGUCUAAAGACUGUCAAACUUUAGUGUCAAAGUAUGUUCUACAUCAGAAGUCUACUCGCUCUAACAAAUUUAAGAUUCUAUGUUGAAGCUGAACCAGAAGACAGACUCUAUGCUAAAGUUGAACUUAUUCAGACUGUGUUAAGACCUUAAAACUAAAACUGUUCACAAGCAGAAUAUGUUCAGACUCAGAUUGUAAAGUCUAUUGCACUCAGACUUUACAUCCAGAUUCAACAGAACAUAACACAAGCCCCAAUCAUAUAACGACUAGUGAUCUAGUUUGGAUUCUACAUCAAGAUUGAUUUGAUUGACUCAAUCUAAUUGAUUGACAAUUGGAUAUUUAAGACAAGAACUUUCUUUUACUCGAAAUUUAUUUAAUUCGACAUAUAUUUGCCAAGGUUUAGUUUAAACACCUAUUCACCCCCCUCUAGGUGUUCAUACUAACAUUCACAAUUGGUAUCAGAGCCAAGUGCUCAGUUUAUAAAAGUGUUCUUACUUUUGAGCUAAAGAUCUUCUAUGACUAGUAUUUUGGCACCAGGACUUAUGGAGGGACAAAGCAACACAAUGCCACCAUAUUUUGAUGGAAAGGAAUACAAUGUGUGGAAAAACAAAAUGAAAGCAUUCCUAAGAUCUAGAGAUCCCUUGCAAUGGAAUGUUGUGAAAAGAGGAAUCAAUCCCACUGCUGCGUCUACAUUAAAUAAGAAUGGCAAAGACAAAGAAACCAAACCCCCGGCUCCUAUGUCUCGAACAAAGAUGUCCAAAAGAGAAGCUCUUGAUGCGAAAGCAAUUUAUUAUUUAUAUUGUGCUUUGUCUCCUGCUGAAUAUAACGGAAUCUCUUUAUGUGAAACAGCAAAAGAAGUUUGGGAUAGACUUCAUGUCACUUAUGAAGGGACUGAUAGUGUAAAAGAGACAAAAGUAAACUUCCUUCUCGGCAAAUAUGAAUCCUUCAAGAUGAAGAAGGAGAGUCAAUUGGAGAUAUGUUUAGCCGUUUUACAAAAAUUGUAAAUAGUUUAGCAUAUCAAGGUCAGCCAAUUUCUUCCCCAAUGAAGAUCAACAAACUCUUGCGAGGUCUCUCAAAAGAUUGGAAUCAUGUUAAGACCUUAAUCCGGGAGACUCAGAAGAUUAUGCCACUUUCUAUUGAUGAAUUGAUCGGCACUCUUCAAUCCUAUGAAGUGGAACAACUCAACGAUGAAGAUCCUGAAGGUAAGAAGUCCAUCACUUUAAUAUCUAAUGUCGUUUUUGAUGAAAUAGACUCAGAAAAUGACAUGGACAAUGAAGAACUUGCUUUUAUGAUCGAGAAAUUCAAAAAGCUGAGUAGAAAAGGAAGGAAGUUUAGUGAAAGAAGACAAUACAAGCAGAAUGGCCACAAAAGAACCAUGAAAGAAUAUGAUGAGUAAGGAAAUAUAUGCUUAAUGGCACAUUCAGAAUCUGAGUCUGACCCAGACAUAGACUCAGAAUCAAAGUCUGACUUAGACACAGACUCAGAAUCCGAUAAGGAAAUCGAGGUAAGCAAUUCAAAAAUUUCUAUCAAAGUUCUUAAGUAUAUAAAUGAGCUCUGCUUAAAUCUCAAAUCUUCUCUUAAAAGGAUCUCCGAACUUAAAAAGGAGAAUUCUCGGCUUAGGCAAUAGGAUCUUUCUCAAAAAGAAAAUUUUGAAAUUUUGCAAAAAGAUUUUCUACAAACAAAAGAAAGUCGAGAUUUACUUGUUAAAGAAAAUGAUUCUUUAAAGAAAGAAUUUUCCAAUAUUUCAACAAAAUUUUCAAAUGGAUCAAAAAUAUUAGAGCAUAUUCUUUCCUUAUAAGUACCUUACUAUAAUAAGUCGGGACUUGGUUUCAAUAAGAAAAGUGAUUUUCUAAUUGAUUUUCCUAAAGUCAAGGAGAGACUUAAACAAAGACCUUCUAGACUUGCGUACAAGAAGCAUUUUCAAAGAAUCUUUACAAAAUCUAUUGAUCGAAAAGCUCUCAAAUGUUCAAAUUGUGGAGAUUUGGAACACUUUGAGAAAGAAUAUCCUAAAAUCUGGAGACCUAUUAAGAAAGAUUGGAUAAAAGUAGCAUACUCUACUAACUCUCAUGGAUCCAAGAAAAAAUGGGUACCAAAGAAAAGAUGAGUUAUUUUUGCAGGAAAUAAAGGAAAAGAAGAAAGAGAAUUCGGUAAGGAAUGUAUAUUUGAUUUGAGUACAUAAUUCAAAAAUUCUCAUUAUGAUUGAUAUUUGAUAUAUCCUUGGUUGAUUCGGAUUUUAUAAUGAUCAUAUUUAUUGAAGAAAGAAUCGUGUGAUUUGUUUUUGUGAUUCGAGAUUUGGUUUGAUACGUGUGAUUAUGUUUUAUAUUCUGCUUAGAGACAAAUGAAUUUAUUUGGUUUGAUUUUAUACUCUCAGAUUUUAUCAAAUUUUGCCAAGUAAAAGUCUGUUUUACGUAAUAUUAAUUUAUUAUGCAAGAUAUAUACUCAAUGAUUUUAUUCUCUCUGUUUUUAUCGUACUAUGACAAAGUGAGAAUUUAUUUUUCAAGAUAUCAUUGUGCAUAAUAUUCUUUCUUUGAAUACUUUGUUACGAUGAAUUAAGAAAGAAUAUUUGAUUAUGGAGAUUUUAUAUUUUGCUCUAACGAAAUGGAAGGAUCCAAAUUGAUGGAUACCAAAAAAGGAAAUGAGUUGAUUGCAGGAAAUUCUUUAAGGGAAUGAUGAUUGCGAAUCUAUGCGAAUUUUGGUGCAAUCAAAAAAUAUCUCCUGCGACAGUUGGUAAUAAUUUUUUUAAUCAAUGGUAUAUUGCAAAUAUAUACCUUGGGUAAGAGAAAAAUUUUAAUCAUUCGGCCUUACAAAUUUCUACAUGAUUGUUUAUAUCUUUUGUCAUAAAUAUAAGGCAUUGCAAGUUUUUAUUUGAUUUGGCACAUGAUAGAAAAAUCCGCUUUAUUUUUGCAAUGUGCAUCAAUAAUAUUUUGAUAUUUAUGCUUAAGAAAAUCCUUUUGAUCUUGGAAGAUAUUAUUGCAUAUUUAUGGAUAUUAUUGCAUAUUUAUGGAUAUUCUUGCUAUAUUCUUAGAAAGUAUAUUAUAUCUAGCAAGUUUGAUCCGCAAAUCAAAGGAAGAUAUUACGUGACAUUUUUGCAAAGAUGAUUAUCUAUUACAUAAGAUUUUGGAAAGCUCAAUCUAAAAAUUAUGAAGAUUCUAUACAAUCUUUUGGAGGUUAAAAAAUUCCCUUCCUUGUGCAAAGUUUUUGCAAAUUGUUAAGGAAAUCCCUUAUGUGUCAUACGGAAGGUUGAGUAGUUCUGAAUUUUAAUUUUACAUAUGCUAUUCAAUUUAUUUAUUUGAAGAAAGGGCAUUAUAUAUUACAUGGAUAUUAUUACAGCUUAUUUGUGGAAAAAGUUUGUUAAGUUUAUGCAGAUUGAAUUCGAGAUGAGCUUGAUUAAAGAAAAUAAUUUUUUGCCUCGAAUUUCAAAAUGCAAGUGAUCGUUGCGGAUGUUGUUGCUACAAAGGAAAUACUGAAAAAUAUGCUGUUCAACUUGCACAAACAAUUGUUUCUAUUUGCAAAUAUUGUCAUGAUCAUAGGGGGAGAGCGUGAAUCUAAAAGAAAGGAAAGAAUCGUGAUCAUCUCAAAAAGGUAACAAAUUGAGGGGGAGCUUUGAUCAAUUAUGGAAAAAUAUUUUUGGAUUGAUUGUGAUCUUGUUAUGGAAAGAAGGAAAAGGUAAAUGCGUCAGAAUUUAAGUUCUACAAAAUCCGGUUAGUGCAUCUUUUAUUACCUUUUGUCAUUAACAAAUCUCUUAUUGAUAUUAUCAUUUUAUUAUGACAAAAAGGAUAAGUGAAUUUUAUAAUGCAGCUAUGAUUUUUAUUGGAUAUUUGCAAAUAUAUAUGAUCAAAGUGAGCUAUAUUGCAUACCUUUAAUGUUCGACUUACUUUAUAAAAGCUGAUUUUUUGAAAAUUGUGUUUCAUGCAAGACAUAUUUAUUAUCAUUUUAUAUUCUCUACAUGAUACUAUUUCUAUUGUUAUCGCUUUUUGAUUAUGACAAAAAGGGGGAGAGAAUAUAAAUAUGCAUAUGUGUUGAUAUUUGUUGAGCUGCGAUUAUCUUUACAUAUAUAAUUAUAUGCUCAAUCUAUUUGCUAUCUUGAAUUACAUUAUUCUUUGAGAUUGCCUUGAUUUAUUAUUAUCUUUAAAAGCAUGAUUACACAUCUGCAUAUUCAGAGAUUGGUUUGUCAUAAAAAAAAAUGGGGAGAUUGUUAGGGAAAUCCCUUAUGAUGUUUUGAAUGUGACAAAAUAAAUCAAAGGCUACUAACGUGUUUAAUGGUUAAGUAAUAAACCAUGCAGAUGAUAGAGCAUGUAAAGGAUAUUGUCAAAGUUUGAAGACGGCCAGAAGACUGAACAUAACACAUAUCCAAAGUAUAUUCUAAAGAUUUCCAGACUUCUGUGUCAAAGUCUGAAGACUGCCAAACUUUAGUGUCAAAAUCUAUUUUGCAUCAGAAGUCUGCUCACUCUGACAAAUUUCAAACUCUAUGCUGAAGUUGAACUUAUUCAGAUUGUGUUAAGACUUUAAAGCUAAAACUGUUCAAAAGCAAAAUAUGUUCAGACUCAAAUUGUAAAGUCUAUUGCACUCAGACUUUACAUCCAGAUUUGACAGAACAUAACACAAGCCAUAAUCAUAUAACGGCUAGUGAUCUGGUUUGGAUUCUACAUCAAGAUUGAUUUGAUUGACUCAAUCUAAGUGAUUGACAAUUGGAUAUUGAAGACAAGAACUUUCUUUUUACUUGAAAUUUAUUUUAUUCCGCAUAUAUGAUUGGGGCUUUUGUUACGUAACACAAGCCAAGGUUUAUUUUAAACACCUAUUCGCCCCCCUCUACGUGUUCAUACUAGCAUUCACACUACGUUCGUGGCUCAUAACAAUGAGUUGAUUUGGCAAGUGCUUGCCGUGACCGGCUGCAGGAGCUACUGGUGAAGGAGAUAGAGGGGAGAGCCGGCAUGUGCAGCGACGGAGAUGGACAGAGCGAGUGGAGGAAGGUGAUGGAGGCGUCGUUCAGAAAGAUGAAACGAGGAGGUUGGAGGGAAGGGGGUGGACGCGUCGAUAAGGACGGCAGGGUCGACGGCGGUGGUGGGGAAGGAGGAGCAUGCCCUUGUCUGUUGAUCACAAGGUGAGCUCUCGCUUCUUGUUUGUUUGUUUCCAUUGAAGCUGUGUAGCUCAGGGGAUCUGUUCUUGUUCUUCCACCUCCACCCCCCCCCCCCCCCCCCGAAGACACUUCAUUUAUUGGAACAUUUUGCCAGAAAUCUUGAAGUGACAAGACUAAUCUGAUCUACAAGUCUUAUCCUUUUUGUCUACUUCGUGUCAUUUAUGGGUUAUACUUCCAAAAGUUCACUUGGUGUUCUUUCAAAGGUGCUUAAUUUAUCUUAUGGUGUUGGUUUUAUAUGAAAGCAUGUGCAAGAUAUUCCUAGAAUGUCUGAUUAAGAUUAGGUUGACUUUGGGUCAUGUUUUGCAGGGUUGACAUCCUAUGAUUAGGGGAACUUACUACACUGCCAUUCUUUGUUUUUUGUUCAUGGUUAUGUAGACAGGCUGAAGCCCAUCUUGCCCUGUUGGUUUAAUCGGUGAACUAAAAUCCGUUCCUGUGAUCUUUUGUGGUCAGCCACGCUUUGUUCAUUCUGCAAUUCUUUGAUUGAACACUGCUGAAAUCACUUCAAGUCACCACAAACGGGCCCCGUCACAAUAUGGCAUGUUACCAGGUUGAUAAAUGAACGCAAAAAGCUCUUGCCAAUACUUUUAUACCAUCUCUUCUUCAAUGACAUGUCUAUUUUCUGAUAUUGAAACAGUAACAAGGUCUUCAGCAAGUGAGAGCGAGUAAAUUCAUCUUCAUAUUGAAAUGGUACAAUUUGAAAGGUGGCAAGAUUUUCCUGAGCAACAUCUUUAUAGCAUUUGUCACAGUAGAUACUCGAUUAGUUGCCAAUGCUAGAUCAGUAGCAGACUAAAUUACUUGAGCUAAAGUGAAAACAGUUAUGUCCUGUCAUGCAUCAUAUCUUGAGUUAAAUCUCUUGGAUUUUGAUUAAAAUGGCUUAUUGACUCCCCUAAAUAACCUAACAGGCUUGCUGAGAAGGAGAGUGGAAGCAGCUAGAGGAAGGGUCAUAGAUUGGAAUGGAUCCUAUGUCCUAGGCGUGCUUGCUACAUUGAGGUCAAUGGGUAUGUGGAACUUUAUCAAUCAAAUGGCACUAAUGAUGGACUUUAUUCAAUGCUUUUAUGCAUGGAAUGUUGGUUUCCAAUUGCAUUGGUUACUACAACAAGUGCUGAGUAAGUCGAAUUUGUGGUUCACAUUAGUACUAUUGUGGUGCUAAACCUCUGUGCUUGAAGGGAACAUAUUAAAUCACUGAGAUUCUAGUUUGUUAACAAGUUGUUUGAGUGCACCUUAGAAUUGGUAACUUCAGCCUUUCGACAUGUACUGGAGACAAUGUUGAGGGCAAAUUACAAACAGGGAUCAAUAACCAACACCUCUCAUGCAGAAGUUUUAGCUGGAAACUGGCUUUUUCUCUUGUACGUGUGCCAUUGUGUGGUGUCUGUAUCCGAUAGCAGCAUUUACUUGCUGCAGGAGAUUAUUGUUUAAAGCAAGAGAACAGAGUUGGACAACUUCCUCGUGAUAGCAAGCGAUGGGUUAUGGGAUGCGCUCUCUAAUGAGGCUGCCUGCCAAGUUGUGAGGAGGUGCCUUGACAGAUAUAUAAAGAGGAGGUUUCCUGAGGAGCUGAGAGGAAGUAAUGCCGUCGAGGUGGCUGCAGUGCUAGCCAAACUGGCCAUGGCUCGAGAUAGCCAAGACAAUAUCAAUGUGAUUAUGGUCGAGUUGAAGAAAACUAAACUAAUAAAAUGUAAAUAGGUAUUGUGCAACUGAGAAUGUUUCUUUAUGGCCAGUGUUGGGCUAAUCAAUGUUCAUCUUGUAUAAUCUAUUGUACGGACUUCUAAUUGGUAUUAAAAUGCCAGAUCCUCCAUGUCAUUGCUUCGUGGUGUUUAUUGUUUAAGCCUCAAAUGAUGAACUUUUUUCCCAAGAUUGACAAUUACAACAUCAACAUUGUAUUAAUCUCUACUUGUGAUAGAUACUCUCUAUUCGUCCAUUAGGUGGAGUCCACUUGAGCUUACUGUUUCACAAUGAUAUGCUAGACUUGUUCAAUUGGUGAACUUGAGAAUGUUGAGGUUGAGGUACGAGUGGUUCCCAACUACAAAAAAUAAUGAAAAUAGAUUGUGUAGAGCUGGCCUUACUAUCCGAUAUACAGAUCCUCUGCGUGCGUAAUGAAAAAAUAAAGUAGAGAGUGCACGAAAGUCAUGAACAAAGUCAACAUGGGAAGAGCUCUCUCCAAAUGAGCAAAAGUAGACUUUUAUACCUUAAAUUCUUUAAAAGCUGAAUAGAUACAACUGUUUUGUAGAAGGCUAUAUCCUAACAAACACAGAAAUUGUUGCAAAGCAAGAAGGAAAAAAUUCAAGAAACAAAAGGGACCCCACGAACUCUAAGGAAGCCCUUUCUUUUCUCACUUCUCAGCAAACCAUCUUUGCUGCGGCACAUCUCAGACUCUCUCUUUUAACCAGCGAAGUUGAGGGGAAAGAGGAUAGCACUCGUUUUAUAAUGUCUCUUCACUCCUUUUGUCCUCCGAUCUUCACCCUUAUUCAGCUUGGAAGCAGGUUCUGACAUCAUGAAGCGAAGACGAAAAUUUUUUAAAAGAAAGAAAGCGAGAACUUUCGAAGGCCGUAUCCAAUAGGUAUUGCUGCACAAUCCUUUACAUCCCUGAAACCCAGAAAAACUGUGCAAUUACAUAUGAAGCUGGAGUAUCUUCCUAUGCCAAAGUGUAGCUUGAGAAUGGAGAUGUCCGCUAGAGGCAAAGUAUGGAUGUACACAAACCCGAGGCUCUUCCCUGAAGGUAAGGAUUAGAUCCAGGAAGGGAACACGUCCAAGUCGUUGGACUUGGUUAGUCCCCACAGAGGACCGUAGAGCUUGGAGAUCGACAGGUUGACAUAUUUCAGCAUCUUGUCCGAUUUGUUGGUCACCACUGUCUAGCAUUUGCGAUAAGUUCUCCUGUUAGCAGUCCAUGAAGCCAUUAGCUUCUGCUCAAUGGACAGCUUGUUGGAAGCUGUUACUGCAAUCAAAAAGGCAAAAGCAAAUGAGUGAGGUAAUGGAAUCACAGAAUUAAUCAAAGAAAAAAGGGAAGGCGGAGGAAAUUGUACCAGGAGCUAGACUUGGCUUGGCCUGGCUGCUUUCAGCGCAGGAACAACCACUGCAUUGAAUAGAAACCCAUCCAUCUGAUGCCGAAAUAUGUCAAGACAUUGCUUUUGUCUGGAAUAACAACACAUUUCAAAGAUCAAAUACCUAGAAGGAGUUGACAGUAACCGCUGUGACCACCACUCAACCAGGCUAAUAUGCCAAGGAGUGGAGCGUUGUUGUAAGUAGCAGGUUCCAUUUGCUUGUAAUUGUCUCUUUGAUCAGCAAAGUUAUCAUAUGUAUCGGGGCCACUGAUGAUAGCACUAGUGAGGAGAUUGGGUUCACUUGCUUUCCGGCUAAACCAGGCGGCGUAACCGCCUCAGCAGCUGAUGAAGGACGAAUCCUCCUUGAUGGACACGAUGGAAGUCACCCAGUGAUGGACCUGCCUUGGGUAGUUGUUCCUGUACCCAACCAUGUAGCUCGUGGCUCUGGGGUUGUCUCCCAGGAUAUAGUCCACCUGCAUAUGUUCGUUAUUCAUGGCAAAAAUAUUAUUCCAUUGUAUCUUGAAGCUAAGGAAAGAAAUUGAGAUUUUCCAAGCACAAACAUCGAAUUGUCACGUUUUCCUUGACUAACUGAUUGUAUUAGUGACUAGGACACGAUCAGAAGGAAUGUAUUACCUGAGAUUUCGCAAAGGAGAGGAGUUCUGAUGGUUGAAUGCUGCCGGAUGAGCACUGCAAGCUUUUGCCUGAGGAAGAACAAGAAGGCAUAAGUCAUAAUGAUCAGCUAAAAUAUAACAAUAACAGGGAAGAACAGGCCCUUCCACAAAAAGCACUGGAAUCACCAACCAGGACUCUCGCUUCUUGAAAACCUUGUUGCAGAGACUAACAACUCGAGAGGGGUUGACAAAGAAUGGACUUCAAAACUCUUCAUCAUAGAAACCACUGACUACAGUAAGUCGCCCCGAACAUGAAGAUGGCUGGUCAAAUCCAUCAUUUGAUAGUGGAAAAUUAGAAUAAAGUUCGAGAGGGCUUGAUAAGUCAUCAACUAUAUCUUCUUCAACAUCAUCAACAUCUAGAAACAAAACCAGGACGCCAAGGUCUGCACAUAACUGAAUUGCACGUUUUCAUUCCUUUCAACUCCUACUUAAUUUCAUUGUUCUUUUACCAUUGCCCCACCAUUCUUGACCUAUCAAUCCAGCAUAUUGAUGUACACAUCAACAGCAAGUAAACUAGUUCCAUGCAAUUAUUCGCAAUCAAAUACACAGGCAGAUAAAUGGUCGAGCCAAAGUACCAGGGACGUAGCCAAAGCUCUUAAGGCGUUCCUCGAGCUGGGCGAGGUCACUCUGGUUUUCUUGGAAACCUCGUUGCAGAGACCUAACAGCUCCUCAAACGACACGGUCCCAAACUGACAUGGAGUCGAGCAAAUUGAGAUUGCUGCUCGCAGUCGACACGCGUCGGUUCAGGCACUGAAUGAAGGUCGAAGAAGCUGAAUCUGUGAUGAAAACACCAAAAAAUCAAUCGGCUGAGAGGAAGGAAAACGCACGACCCGAAAUAAAAAUCACCCCUUGCAACUUUUCUCGGCUCAAUAUCCAAAGGAAACGCAAAGUAACUAGCAAUAGCAAGUGAAAUGAGAAGAGAUUAAACUCAGUGAUGCGAUUCACAGCUUUAAGAGCUACGAGAAUCAGAAGAAGGGGGGGAGAUAGAGAGGGAGGGAGGGAGGGAGAGAAAGAGAGAGAGGGGACCGAGAGGGAUGGGACGGGGAUCGAUGGAUUGCUGGAGGUCGUCGACGCUGCUCUGCAGGUGGUUACAGAAAUGGGAAAUUUCAAAUCUCGGCUGCCCUAGCAGAUUAAUGCGCGAAGGAAAGCGGCGCCGGAGAGCGAGCAACGGAGCAAAGAGCGAGCGCCGAAGCAGAGACAGAGGAAGCGACAGGAGCAGCGAGCGAGCGAGAGAGCGCCGGGCGACGGCAGGAACGGCCGCUUGACAAACGCAAUGCCGGAGCAGCAGCAACAACAAGCGCGGACGGAGUAGCAAACGAGAGCGAAACCAGAGAUUUAAAAUUUGAAAGCUUCGCUCGCUUGGAAUGGCUUUCGUUUUCUCAGAAGGAAAGAACGAGUAAGAAUCAUUACCCUUUACCAAAAAAAAAAAAAAAAAAACGAGUAAGAGGAAAGAGGAUACAAUGAAUGCUUGCAGACUCUGCAGAGGAGAGAGAGCGCAGGGCUAGCGUGCAGGCCAGAGGAGAGAGAAAGAAGAUUAUUUUACCCGCAGAAAUUCCAUCUUGGCGACCCGGCCCACGGCGCCUCAUCGGUCCACGUGGCGCUCCAUGAUUGGUCCUGGACCACACUGGCAUAGCGCUCCCGGACCACCAAAUAUUUUCUCCAUUUAGUUUAGCAUUGUCUAGGCUUGAUAAUUUUUCAAUACUAUGACAUUGUUUCUCAUUUUUCUUUUCUUUAUUUUUUGUUGUGUCAUGAGGAUAUUCAUAUAUUCAGUGGAUGUCAUACCCAUGAAAUAUCCAAUUAGCCUCAUGGAGCUAGUAAGGUUUGAGCCAAAACUUGGUUUGUUGGCGGCAACAUGAAUUGUUUCUACCGGUUAGUGAGGAAAACUAAACUUGUGUCGUGCACAUUACCUACACACAUUUGUCUCUUCCUUAAUUAUUGCUUAAGAUUUUUUAUUCUAAAAAAAAAAUGGAAAUCUAAUUGGUGGAUGAUGUAUUUCUGCAUUCUCCCUAUUUUUUACAAUUAGAUUAAAAAUCACUUAAAUAGGAAUUAAAGUAGUUGAUCUCCCAGGUAUUUAUUUUUUCAAUCAUGAAGAUUUCAUUUCAGGCAGAGUGUAAAGUCAAUCUCUGCCACUCAUUUAACUUUUGAUGCGUAGGUUGACUCUUGAUAUUAACAUCUUCAAUAAUUUAGUCGAUUGUGUACUUGAAAAGUUCUUAAUUUAGCUGGCUUGGGAACAAAAUCAGUUUUCAUCAAAAACAUAUUGUUUCAUCAUCCUUCUUCGAUAACUGCGCUAGAUUAAAAAAGGGAAAAAAAAAAGAGGAGAGAAGGCUUAUCUAUUGAUUUAUAACUAGCCUUGGUCAUUUUUUUGGUAAUAACAUGUUUCUCUAUCUUGGAAGCUUUUAUCUAAGGCAAAUUAGGCAUCGAGCACGUAGAAUAUCUUAUUGAUCUCAUGUACCGGGUAGGGGAUGAGUUAAUGACCAGGUGAAUGUUGCUUAAUGUAAAAAUGUUUGCAUUUGGUAUGUGAGAAAAUGAAAUGAUUUGAUGUGCAUAAUCCAAGUACACAAUUUCUUUCCUUAAUUCCUAGAGAUUCCCGUGUGAUUUAUGAUAUUUGUCAUAUGAUACCGGUUCCCUUUAUAUAUAGAUCAUUUGUUGUAUUUCAAUCUCAACAAACGUUGUUGGACCUACAUAUUUGACUUUCAUCAGUAUCUUUCGAGGAAUUUAGAAGAGCCUCUCUCUAUGUUCAUGCAUAUAUUAUACAUUGACAAAGAGAUUAAACAUGAUAGACAUUAGUUGAUAUGCAUUACCAGUUGAUUUGACUGCAUAAUUUUAUCAUCUUAUUCACUUUUUGAAACUUUCUUGCAAGAUUGAUUGUGGUUUUAUAUUUCAGGAGUCAUGCUUUGAUUGGAUAUGCGCAUGUUUCAGAGGAGGCUUAUGAAGUUUUGGAGACAACUCGCAUCAUACUUGCUAGCAUGCUGAGAUGGAACUACCACAUAUUUUUAGUGGGGUUAAUGCCUGAAGGCCGGUAAGAUAAGGCGUUUCAUUUAACAAAAAAAAAAUAUAAUGAUGCAAUUGGGCUAUUAAUUGAUUUGGGGGAAAAUUUCCAAUAAGCGCUCAAAGUGGAGCCGUUUUCUCAAAAAAAGGUCCAAAGUGGAUAAUGUCUCAAAUAAACGCCUCAAGUGGUCUACUUAGUCUCGAAUGUGUUUGGCUUUACCAAAUAACCAAACCUUGUCCGCGUAUAGGGGCAUCCUCGUCCAAGUACUUUUUUGCUUUCUUUUCUUUCUUUUUUCUUUCUGCAUCUUUCACGCCUCUUUCACUCUGCCUCACAUCCUUCUUCAACGCCAUAAUCAGCCCCCUUCUCUUUGCCAUCUCGUUGUAUGAUCAGCACCAGCUUUUCUUCGAAGCAAGUCAUUACAGCAGAACCGAGCUUAUUGGAGAUUCUCAGUUUCACUCCUCAAUUUGGUUUGUCGAAGAUUCCACGAAACAAAAGCAGGUGAACUUACAAAAUUGAUUCCUUUAUUUCAAGAUUCAUUGCAAAUUACGGUCUGAUUUGAGCCUCUUCCUUUGAGGCACCCCACGCGCCCCUACAGAUGUUUGAAAUGCCUGAAUGGGUCUAUUAUGUUUUAGCAAUGCAUGAUUUCAAAUUUCUAAUGUGAUUAUACCUUUGUCCAGGGCUUCAGUAUAUCAAAUUGCCUGAAGCCAAUAAGUUGUUGAGCAAAAUAGGGAUUGCAGUUGCUGGGUUUGCGGAAGACUUAGGAUACAUCAAGUUUGAUGCACAUUGAAGGUGAGAGAAGAGAUGUCGCUGAAGGGAGAAGUUGCGUUGCCAGAGAGUUGGACAAAGAGGUGGUUGCGGAGUCUUGGCAGGGAAGAUGUUGCAAGGAAGAUGAAUCAGUUGGUAAUGAUAUUAGCUAUAGGCUUAAAAGGAGUUGUAGUGUUAUUGCUAGGAACAAGAGUGCACGAUAAUCAUAUAGGCAUAACAUUCACAACAGCUUGCGACCAACUUCUAGAAGCAAAUCAGAAAGGAUGUAGGCUGUCCGCUGAAAAGCGUUCUGUGAAACUGUCUCGCCAACUCUUUACUUGUUGAAGUUAAUGUAAAGCUUGAGUCUGUUAUAUUCAGUGUAUUUUCUCCAUUCUCUGCAAUUCAUCGUCCUGGAAAAAAAAAUCAAUGCCAAGUACAAAUCUCAUAGUUCGAAUGGUGCUGAAUAUCGCGUUUGCCACUAGUUAUUGAAAAUUACUAAGGGGUCAAGAUAACUGUCUGGUUCAAUAGUGUGGUUUGCUCCAUGGUCCGAGCUUUUCUGGCCUCUAAGGCACUUGACAUGAAUGCUUUCUAAUACGUUGCCUUUGGUUUUGGUAUGUUGCAAAAAUGUCAUAUUGGCUCACUUCUUGCUGAAGCAAUAUUCUCCGGACAAUAACUUUUGUAAAACGAUAUUCUAAUACUAGUUGAUAGUGACCCAAAUCAUUUUGUUAGUUUAAUCUUACAAAAACCUCCUCAACUCAAUUGGCGAGGCUACAGCCAAAUAAAUCAGGAUCCAGAUGACAUCAACGAAGUUUUAUUAAUAGAACUGAUUGCAAACAGAGCAAAGAUGCGAAAAGGUAAAUAAGAGGCCGACCACAGAGUGCUCAAACUUAAUAAGCAAAUUCAACGCUACCAAUUUGCUCAUAGUACUUUUUCCUUCAUAACAUGUUCUCCACGCUCCUAAUUCACUCGAUAUAAUGCCCUUUUUCUUGGAGCUCCACAAUGACUUCAUUCCUCAUCCUAAAUCACGGCUUCUGAGCUUCUUCCUCAAAACUUCUUGUUCUCUAGUUACAAGCAUCUUCAUCAGCUUCAACAAAUCCCUCGAGCCCAAUGGUCAUUUCGAUCAUACGUGCUUAUUAAUGAAUUCUUCCAUGGCUUAUUAUCGCCUAGAUAAAUUGUUUCCACAAGUAUCUUUCUUUUCCUUCGGCUAAGGCUUUAGCGUGCACCACCUAGGGGCGAUGUUUCGUUGUUGAGCCACAAGACGCCAGUGAGCAUGUAUGUGCCUGGUAACGCCUUGCAUAGCUGCUUCCAAAAGUAGCAGUCUUCUGUGCCCAUUCCUAUUGUGAUCAGCACCUUCUCGUUGAGCGAUUUAAUAUAUGGAAGCCCUGGACAAUGGCAUUAUCACAUGAGAAAAUUAUCCAUUGUUAAAGCAAAAUAGACCCAUUCAGGUAUUUCAUCGAACAUCUUUGGGGCCCUUGGGUUGCCUCAAAGGAAGCGGCUCAAAUCGGAUAAAAAUUUGCAUUGAAUCUUGGGAUAAAGGAAUCGUAUUUUUGUAAGCUCGCCUGCUUUGGCUUUGUGGAAUCUUCUUCGAACGAUUUCGAGGAGUGAAACUUAGAAUCAAUAACGACCUCGGUUCUACUGUAAUGGUUUGCUCCGAAGAAAAGCUGGUCUUGAUCAUAACGACAAAUGGCAGAGAGAGAGAAAGAGAGAGAGAGAGAGAGGUGGCUGAUGAUGGCGGCAAAGGCGGAUCCGAGGCAGAGCGAGAGGGGGGAGAGGAAGAAGAAGAAAGAAAAGAAAACACAAACAUGAAACAAAGAGGGAGAAAAAUAAAAAUAUAAAAAGUACUUGGAUGGACUUGAACAUGUCCUUAAAAGGCUCCUCCUGAAUUGGAUAUCCCGAGAUGACUUCUCCUCACAAGCCAUUUAAGACAAGUGAGGGGAAGUAGUACGGGAUAACAUCCCCAUGAGGCUCUCCGGCCACAACCCAACCAAAAGGAAGGGUUCGGAUCCCACCUUGACUCUCGCGAUGCCUUCUCCGAGGUUGCCCGAGCGUGGUACAAGGAAAUGAUAGGGUGUUCCCCUCCCAAAAGGGAAUAGGGAACACGUGGCCGGCCGGACAAGAAUACCAUUGGAUGUGGACAAGGUUUCGUUAGUUGGUGAAGCUAGAAAUACUUUAUUUGAGACUAAAUAUAUCAUUUCGGACUCUUAUUUAAUAUAAUGUUUACUACAGAUACUUUUUCAAUUAAAUAGUCACUUCAAGCUAUUAUUUAAAAAAUUUUAUUUUGAUGCAAAAUUUGACUUGAAAUCGAUGCUUUGAUAUUGAAUCGUGAAUAAACAAAAUUCAGUUUCAAAUCCCCAAAACUCAAGCUCAACUCAAUAUUAAGGUUCGAAAUUGAACUCGAUUCAACUUGAUUAUUAAAAAUUUGAUUCUACUCAUUUAACUUAUUACGUAGGGCGUCUCUUUCUUUUUGUCCUAAUCAUAUGUUGUACAAUCUGCAAAGCCCAGUCAUGCCAUUCGAUUGCUUUAUCUUUCAAUUCUAUCAAAAGUUUGGCGUUUGAUUGCUCGUGGUUGUCUAGUUUAGCAUUGUCUAGGUCCAAUAAUUUUUUGAGAAUUGUUUAUCUUUUAUAUUUUCCGUUUUUGGCGUCAUAAAGAAGUUUUGAUUUAUUGCAAGGAAGUGCAUGGUCCCGUGGGGGGCGACGAGGCUAAGCUAAGCCUAAUUACAUCAAUGAACAAUGGAAGUUACUAAAAAGGCAAUGUGGGGUUUCAUUCGGCACCAUCACUUGAAUUUUAUUUCCUUUACUAUACUUGGAGGAUCCCAUUCCACGGCUCCUUUUGCUCUUUCAAUUUCUACCUUUUGGCAAUAAAAAACCGUGGCCACACAACACCGUCACACUAGCCAGAUCCUACGAGAAACAACUGACGUUGUCUCAUCUAUUGAUCAUCGGACUUCCAAGAUUGUGUCACAACCGCACUUUCGUUCACUCAUGAAACACUUCUUAGAUGUCCUUCCUCCGCAACUCAUUUCGGACGGGGAUUAAUAGUUCCCCCAGUAUGGACUGGAGUACGAAGCCCACUCAAAAAUGCGAACAAAAUAGUCCAUUAUAUUUUGUGAGUGUCGCCAGGUGGCUUAGUCCCAAUGACUCCCCUACGAAUAUGAGACAAUAAUAGAGCAAAUCUGUCAAACGGUACUCCACCAAGAGCAGGUACUAUUUUAUCACAUAUGUGGAUUGAGUGGUUGAUUUACGACAUUUUGUAUAGAAGUUACGAAAAAAUGCAAACAGUUAUAACUCAUUAUGAUUCGAGAAUCUAUCAAUGAUCAUAGAACUGCUCAUGUACUCUGAGAAGAAAUUCGAUAAACCAUCCAACAUAAAAGUUAUUCAUUACAUCAAAUCUCCAACAUUAUACAGUAGAGUAAAUAAUUUAUCGCCUUGCAUCGUUCAAGUUUUGCACACAAACAUAAAUAGAAGCUUCCACAUUCAUAAGCAUAGAAUAAGAUAAGAAAAACUAUUGCAAUUUCUGUCUCAUUUUUAGCCUGAAUGCCCUGCAUUUUGCCCUAACGUAUACCUACAUCGAGGGCAAACCAAUGAGACAAUAAAUCGUGCUUCUCUAUACUUGCAUUCCGGACAAUAAACUGAGCUCGGGAUUGUUAUCGUGGAUGGAUCCUGCUUCUUCAGCGGCUCGGGUGGCUCGAGCGGCUCAGGUUGCGGCCUCUUGGGGGCUAGGACCAGGGUCAUUGUUUUCCAGAUUUUCUCCUCUCGCCUCCGAAUGUAGUAGAAAAAGAAACUGCAGAGCAUGACGAUGACAAUGACUACACCAAUAAUAACCCACAUCGGAGUUUUAUUGUCAUCGGACAAUACAUAAUUUGGAUUGAUCCAUGCCAACGGAGUAGGAGGAGGAAAGUAUUGGAAACUCGGAUAAGUUUGUGUAUAGGAUUUGUUCUCCAGCAAGAAAACUCUGUUGAGGUAGUUCAAUGCAAGCGGUGAGUUUACAAAAAUAUUCCAAAGCAUCAAUUCAAGAGGCAAUUUAACUUUUAAUCAUGAUGAAUUGAGAAGAUCAUAUGAUUCGAGCACGAGAUCGAGAUGAUUCAACAUGGAAUUUGGUGAGAUAUAAUAUGAGUGGAAGUAGUCGCUUGAACAUAUAUCUUUACAAGAAGAACCGAGUAAACAGUGAAUGAUGUUGUUGCUCCAAUACUUACGCGACCUACAAAGCGAGAACUUUCAUCAGGUGGCCUCGACGUUGUGAUAGCUCUCUGUAUAUGCCCUCCGCCAUAUGGGUGGGCUAGGUGCGUGUUUUAGUGGAUGCGUCACCAUUCGUCAUCGUGAGUAUGUAGAUGUAAUGAUUGAAGACAGCUGGACAGAGAGUUGGGAAAUUUCAUUCACGGCCCAAACAGUGAGAAAAUUAUAUAAAAAAAAAUCAUAAAUAAUAUUUAUAUCAAUUCAAUCCGAUUAAAAUUGACUGGCCAAUACUAACGUGGACGUUGUCCACCAUCGAUAUUAACAUAGAUAAUUUUUAAUAAUAUUUUUUUUCUAUUUUUUUUUAUCUUCUUCUUUACUUCAUUUUCUUUAUCUAGCCGGUCACUAGCGAUCACUGAAAAUGAAGUUAUAAAAAGAACCGAGAGACCUUGAGCUACUGUCCAAACUCGAUCACGUCUUCAUGUUCAAUGUUCGGGACCAAUGAUACAUGUUUGACGAUUCCCAAUCUAAGGGGAUAAGAUUUGGGUGGAGGGCUAAGAAAAACAAUUAGGUGUGAAAUGAGAAAUUAUUAUAUGCUCUAUAAAACAUGUGACUUAAUAUCAUCUCAAUCAUUGAUCAAGUAGAUCUAGCUAUGAGCCCACGUGAUCAAUUGUUGAAUUGGGUUUUGAUUCUGACCAAAAAAAAAGAACCAGGUUUUGACAUUCUUUUCGGGCAAAAUGGGAUUACAGACGUGACCUGACAACCAAAAUUCACGCUACUAUCCAAUAAUUCCAAAAAGACUUAUUCUAGAGCCGACCUGCUAGAGAUGAAAGAGACCCACGGCCGUUUCGUUUCUCUUUCGAGUGUUCUAAAAACGAUGGAAAAUGUUCUAAGAUCCUCUUGAACUUAAACUGUCUUGGACGGACUGAUCAAAACUACUAACUCAGUCCUCGUGUUGGUCUAAUCUUGUCUAUCCCUCUCUUAUGGUGACGCGACUCCUAUCCAAACAACACAAAAGGACAGCCUGUCGCCAACUAAUUAGAACAAUGGAAUUAAUGAAAACAGGAGGGACAAAAGUAAAACCACAGCACAGUGAGCUAGGGCCUCAAAUUCAUAGACAACGUGGGAAACACGACGUGAUUAGGACCGUCGGUCACGAUCGUUUCUGUUUAAAAUCUUAAUCCCUCCCGGUCUCAUUCGCCAUCACAUCGUUUUCCUUAUCCCAUCUUUUGGACUCUCGAGUUAGUCGCUGAACCUUGCGGGGCCACGAUGACUUUAGCGCCGUAAAAGAAAACCCUGCCAUCCAAAUUGAUAUAUUUUACCCAUUUUGAUGAAUGUCCAGAAAAUAUAAAUUUAAUAAUUCAUACUCAAUUCAAUCCAAUUCUUAUCUGAUUCAAUUCAUAUUUUUAAAACGCUUUUAUAUUAAGCCUAAUUUAAGAACUCAUACUAAAAUUGAAGUGAGAAUACGAAAUUGAGUGAGAACGAAAAAUUAAAAAGAGAGUUAUAUAAAUGGGGUAAGUUGUGAAAUCAUUUACCCCUAUAUUAUUUUGGGUUUAACCAUUCCAAACCCAUUUAUAACCUAUUUACAAAAUAACAAAUUCAUAUAAUAACUCAACUUAUAACAUAUGGGUUCAAAAAUAGACUUAUAAUUCAUUUUGAUAGGUCUACCAUCAAAUAAACAUGAUAUCUUCACAUUUAUGGAAAAUUGUCCCAAUUUUGUCACGGGAAACGAGAUUGCAUAUACAUGUAAGAAGGAAGAUUGGGAUAUUUCCCAAAAUCAAGUAUGUAAUCGAGAUCGCAUUGGUUGAGAAAAGAGCAAGAACAAUAAAUUGUCCGUUUAAUGCUACUUGAUUCAAAUGGGAUGCUGACCGCCUCUUGGGAAUGACAUACGUGAAACGCGAUAUGCAGAAUACACAAAAGACUAGCGACUAAUACUUACUAAUUAAGAUAUGGAAAACAUUGAAUGGAAAUAUUGUGUCAGAUUCCAAAGAAUUGAGGAUGUUCAGAUAAUACAUAAAGAAAAAGGCAUCUUUUGUGUCAAGAACUGCACUCCUUUCUCAAGAUAAAGUUGACAGCGUCCUCUACAGUAACCACGACCUGCAUAGGUAAACAUAAAAGAGUUCAAUUGAGAGCGAGCGAUUUUCGGAUGCACUUUUAACCUUGGAAAAUUUGGAGAGAAGACAAAUUCCCCAUAAAAGUGGCUUUCAAAUGGGCAUAUUUUGGAAAAACUAACAUUUUGCUAGGCUGAAGAAGGAAAAGGUUCAGACAUGUUUCAUCCAACGAAUUAGAAUUCACAGAUCACCCAGAGCACAGCAAAUCAACCUAUAUGAGUAAGGGAGGAUUGUCCACGCUGACAACUCAAAACCACGUGAGGCCAUGUUUGGUUCAUGGCCAUGGAAUCAUGAAAAGGAAUCCCAAUCUAAGCAAUCAAAUUCCUAGAUGUAGGGUUCAUUCUCUAUUGUUUAGUUUCAAUUUAUGAAUGAAGGGAGAAAUGUCCGAUGUGAAAUGCAAAGUGAGGUAAAAACAUGUCAGAAAUGGAAUGUGUAAAAUAUUUCUCCAAUCAACAAAUCCAAAGUGGAUAAUGAAAAACUAGGGAUAGAAACAGAAUGAAGAACCACACAGUAUCCCCCGACAAUUUCCCAAUUAUUGUCAUCUAAAAGGAUCAUACAGUUCACAUAAGCAUUUCACAAACACAUUAGAUAUAGCUCCUCAAAAUCUCGAGUCAAGCAUUUCACACAAAAUCUGCAGCAACGAAGGUAAAGCCAUUCCCAUGUAACUUCAAACUACUUCACAGCUGUUACCUCAAGCCAUUGUGAUAUUCUUAUUUUUAUUGUGUUUUGAGUCAAAGACCCAAUCACAAGAAUAAAUGGAGUGACAGCAACUCAGCCAAGUGUGUAAAUGGAACUUUAUGUCUGCACCCAAGCCAAUGUGAUCUUCGUGGUUGACAUCUCCAUAAACAGACCAAACAAGUUUCACAAUGGCGAGAGAAAUAAUUUCACCUAGUAGAGUAAUGUGAGGGCUAAGAGGCAGGCAAAACUCACAUGAAAGGAUUUGAAGAUGAUGAAUGGAGAAAGACAGAGAGAGAGUUCUAACUUUGUAGGAUUUGAAGAUGAUGAAGCUCAAGACUACUGAGUGGGUUGGGUUCCUGGAUGUUUUUGCUUUCUCGGAAUCCCAGUACCACCCCUACUUGAGCAAUCCAAUUCUACAUUUUUAGGAGUAUCUGUUAACUGGGCUCUUUGAUUCUAUGAUCAUAAAUCCAUCCAAAGAUGAGCUGCAAUGGGAUUCCAUUUCCCUUUUUUUACUCCAAAGAGAACCAAACAAGGCCUAAGUGAUAACACGAUGUACUUACUUCUGAAUGUUUUCAUGGUGGCAUCAAUGAUCUGCAGUCUCAACCAUGACUUUCCACUAGGAUCACAUAUUUAAAAUCUCUAAACCAAAGAAGUGAACAUGCUGGAAUGCAUGCGAUCUGCUUACUAAGGAACCUAUCAUCAACUCACACCAACGUACAUAUGAGGAGAAAUGUGAGAGACAGAGAGAAAUGUCUGAAUUUUGUUAAGAUUACAAAUACCUACCAAGUCCGCAGGGAACUCUGAAUGAUUAUCUUUUCCCUUGAAUACCCCAGUCCUUGUUAAUAUAGAAAACCAAGGAUCUCCUGCCUGAAGGAGUUGUUAUCGGCACUAGUGAUUAUGUUUGGAAAUAAAAUUACUGAUAUGAUAAAAUACAAUUCUCAGUAUGAAAUAUACCUGUCGUGUGCCUCUAAUGUUGAUUUUUGGAUUAUCUCCUAUCAUGUAUAGGCUUUUGAAACAAUGAAUUCCAGAGUUUAUUGUAUUCUCCACAUCUAGGUUGCUUAACAAAGAUGGCAUGAGAUUCCUUAACACGGUCUCAGCAUUUGCAUAGACAAAUGGAUUUGGCUUCCCAUAUGAUGUAUAUGCCAGCAGAAUGGGAUGUGUUCUGCAGAACAGGGACAAGUAAACAAUGUGCAACAUAAGAUCGAAGAUUAAUGCAUGUCACUAUGCUGCACUGAGGCAAAUUAGGCCUACACAAGGAUCUUAUAGGCCAUUCUUUAAUUUUUUUUGUGGGAGAUUAUUAGAUCAAACUCCAUGCAGAAACUAUACAUUGAGAAGUGAAACCUCAUUAGUACUUGUUAUAGAUUGCUUCUAACACAAUCCUGAAAGCUCCCAUACCUAGACGUUCAGCAGGAAAAGUAGCCUGCCUUUACACUUUGUCAGCUAGGCAUCAGCCAGCUUUAGUUCCACUAAGGUUUCAAAAACUCAAGAUCGCAGCUCGCAUCACAAAUGCCAUAGCUUACCUGGUAUUCUAGGUCAUCAUUUGCAAAAAAACACGUGCGGUUGCUUUGCAGUCUCCCUUCCAGGAAGCCCUCCAGUUCUCAAUAUGUCACAGAGCACCUAAACCCAAACUUGAGUAUCACCGAAUUAGUUUAACGUACACAGACAAAUAGAUAGAUGAUAACACUCCAUUUUAUCACUUCUUUCAAACUUUAUUUCAGCGCCCACCAGACUUCUAAAAAGAUGAUGACUAAAGUUGCAGAGUAUUUACUGAACAAAAAAACAAAGCCUAGUGUCUUUUGAUAAUCAGUUCAAAGAUUUAGAAAUUACGUGACUAAAAUCCCAGUAUGGACUCAAAAGCUGAAUCAUAUAAUCUAAGAAAGGACAAGACCCAUUAGAGUGGUCACAACCUGAAUAUCUCUGCUCCAGUCAACAGAAUCACUGACUACAAAUGCUGCCUGAACUCUCUGUGUUUGCACAGCAAUUUUUCUCUUCGCCAUCUCAUUAGAACUGCUAUUCUGGUCAAUGUCUGCCUUUGUUGUCCAUCUCUUGUAUGGUGCCAGUGGAUCAAUGGCAUCAAAGUAGCUAGUGUAUUCAUCAACUGACAGAACAUUUCUGCGUAGAAAAGAUAUAAGCAGAAAGAGGGUCAACCGGAGAGGAAAAAAAGGAGAAUCAAGUUGUCGGAGUUCUUGUUCCAGGAGUAUUGAACACAGACAACUAAGAUGAUUUAUGGAGAGGACUCCUCUCCGAUUACUCAAGUCCCUGAGAACUUGAGUGCUUUCUAUUAACUUUGCUUGCUCCUACGUAUUACCUAGAUUAAAGUAAUAUCUGUCGAUAUCAGUUUUAUUAAAUACAUAUCUUUAUCCCUAUUGCCUCUCUCUCUUCCCCUCCCACCACCCACACACCUGCAUGCAUGAGCAAGUAAUUGAGACAUUGCUGGGUACAUUUGCAAACCUAGAGAAGUGGUCAAAAUAUUUACUUGUAUCCAUAUUCGGACAUCACAGCAGCAGGCUCUCCUUUGCCAACAGCAACGACAAGUUCAUUCUCAAAUCUGUGCAAAAAACUCAAUAAGGAAACAGAUGAAUAAAAUAGAGAAGCAUAUUCUUGAGUAAAAUAGAAAAGCCUACACAGAAUUCUUUUAGAAUAGCUAGUACAUGCAUUGGCACUCUUCUCAGUCUUUUCAACUCAUAUAAUAUAAUAUAGGUAGUGCAUUCCCCAAGUUUCCAAGAGCAAAGCACAGGAGAAUUCUUAUCAAGCUAAUAAUACACAUGCACUAUAUUUUAUUUCGCAAUUUUCAUAAUCAUGAGCGAGAUAGAUGAAAAAAAAGCAAAUGUUAUGGAAAAUGCUCAGUUCUGAUUUACAUUAGCAUGGCGCAUUUCUCGUUGGACAUUGGUCAUGGAGAGAAUCCAACAAAUCCAUACCUAUUUACCAGUUGUUUAAAAGGUGUGUGGCCCUGUAUGACCUGCAAAUUAUCUUGGUCAAAAUAUGAGAGAAAAACGAAACAAAGUAGUUCUGGACCUGAUAACAAGCAAAAUCGUGAGGGCAAGCAGAUUUGUAACACAAGAAACAAACUACCUGUGAAAGUAAAAUGUUGACUCUUAGUAGUUGACCUAAGUCCUGGGCUCUUUUGGAUUCAGAAAAGCCACCUCCUGCAUCAGCCAUUGCUAUUAGCAUCGUGCAGUAAAAACUAAUUAUCGCUUCUUCAAGAAUUAACAAGCGAAAUUUCUAAUUUCAAGGGACUAACAUAUUGAGCGAUUAUAGGUAAGGGCAUCUCAAAAGGCGUCACAGAUUCAAAUUGCUUGAAUGACUUAAACAUAAGACAGCGGCAAUCUCAAAAUCAUCAAGACGAUUACUAUUAGAUCUUAAAAGUACCAAUACUUGCUCAUAAGUGAAUAAUCAACCACAAUAAGCGUAUGAUGUCCAGCAUGCAACUUGAAAACUUUAGUUUGACCAUCAUAUCACGGCACUCACCGGUGAUGACUCUAUAGAAUGGUCACAUUCGCUAACACACAUCGAAAGUGAGAAAUGUAAUAGUAAAGGUUACUAACACAUUUAAGCAAUCACGAACACUCACCAUUUGUUAAGAACACGAAAGGUAUCUUCAAAUUUCCUGAAAAGAUGUAGAACAUAAAGUAAGUGACAGCAGGUUACAAAUAGCAGAUAUCGAGAUUCAGAUACGAAUCUCGAUAUCCGCCGCCCUUUACAGUCCAUCAGAAAUUUCGGUAGCAAUCAGUUCGCAACGUAGAACAUUGGAAGACAGGUGAAACGGCACGAUCGCCAGCAUGAGAUAAGCCUCGCAGGUAUAUCAGCAAGCGAUGGCGAAAGCUUUACCAGAAUCGUCGUACAAUCUCCUGAGCGCGCGCGGAGAACCGCCGAUGGGAGUGUGACCGAGGAGGACCACGCCGUCGAUGUCGAAGGCGAUGCCGAACGAAGGCCUGCACAACGAAACCACGAUCGUCGAUUCGAUCACGGACGAAAAAGAAGAAGAAGAAGAAGAGAAAAAGAGAACAUCGGAGAAAAUCACAAGCGUAGUCGAAGCAUGACCGGAACGCACCGAUCCGAUUGCGAGCGAAGCCGCGAAAAUGAGCGCGAGGCGAGCGGGGACGGCUGCUUUCUGCCGCGACUCCGCGAGGCGAUGGUGAAAAGCCGGUGCCUCAUUUUCCUGUUCGCGGCGAAUCGCUUCGGGAGAUCGAGGAGCUCGAAUCGCCGGAGAUGAAGCUCCAAGAAGAACGGAGCGAGCUUCAACAGUCCAUAGAGAAAGAGAGAGAGAAUGGCCCAAUCGCGCAGCGUCUUCUCGUUCAAUGUUCAGGAGCCGUGAAUUGGGCACCGUUGAAAUGAUGGGCGGGCCUCGAUAACGGAUCGGCCUUUCCUUCGGAUCCGAGCUCAACGGUUAAGCUUGAUUUUGGUGAACGUUUUUGGGCUGUUUUCUUUAGUUCUUUCACUUUUGGUGUAUUUUUCUCUUCAGGCCUACUAAUUCAGGCUCCUUGUCUCGAAACCUCUCGAGAGAGAAUCGCUAACUGCGUCUUUGGUGCACCUGAUGCUAGGGGUGAGUGGUUUCAGGUUCCGGUUCAGUUUUGUUUAGAACCUGGAACUUACCAUCGGGUAUCUACGCGUUAGAACCGAGAACCUAAAACCUACCCUGUCACAGAUUCCAGGGUCGGUUCUAGGUUCCAACAGGUUUUUUUUUGUUUUUUUUUUUGUCAUUUUCAGAUUUGUACACGCAUACUUUAUAGCAACUUUCCACAUCUUAGCAAACAUACUAAUGCCAACUGCCAAUAAUUUUGACAUACAUUGUUAUCCUUCUCCUAUAUUACCUCUGCAAUUAAGGACUAAUAAUCCAGAAGAGCCACCCAAAACAAAGAAGUUAAGCAUCUAGAUUGCCAAAAUUCAAAAACACCAACUUCCCCAAAACAAAGAAUUGAUUAGAGCAGUUUCAUUGAGCAAGUAGUCAUAGACCACAGCUUGCAUUUCUUUUCUUGUUCCAUUAGAUUGUGAAGGCAGUGACAACUUUGCUUUAUGCAUUCAUCUAAAUAACCGACAAUCAAUCCAUUCUUUAAAAGUUUGCAAUACAGGGUAAAACUCAAAACAAUGACAGAAGACAAGAUCAAAUCAAUCUAUACAGAAAGCCCAUAUAGCGAACAUUUCUUUCAAUCUUUUAUGAACAUUUUCAGUUGAAAACAAGAUUUCGUCUGCAACCAGGAAACUCCGUCAGCUUAAAAGGGCUCUGUCAACAGAAAGAGCUCUGUGACCAAGUGAUGUCGCUUCUUAAAAGCCAACACCAGAUGCAAAUUGCAAAGGGAGGCACAGUGAUCGACCCGUUUCAUUCUAAUGAUCCCAUUCCUACAUUGUACACCAUUCACCCCACUUCCAAAAGCAGCCAGACUCGAAUUAGUAUGGCCACGAAUCAAGAUCAAUCAAAGAUCUAACCUCCUCGAUGGAAGAUUUCUUGUUCUUCCAUUAGCCAGUUGGGACAAUUAAUGAUUCUUCUAUGGAUAUCAGCCCAAGAAAAAAAAUUUGGAAUGUAAAGAAAAUGCAACCACACAAUUUCAUCGAAAACAAUGAAAAUGGCAAUUGGGAUAUUGAAAAGGAAAAAACCAAAGUAGGGACAGGCAAGAGAAAGAUCAAAGAAAUGAACUAGGUCAGCAUUGAAAGAUCUAUUAACAUGUUAUCAACAAGUCAAACUAGUCCCAAUCUACUAUCAUCGGAGCGCCAAACCAACCCUGAUCAAUCAAAGUACUUACAUCAAACCCAACCCAAUCACCGAUCGGCGGCCACCACUUUAGAUCUCCCUCAACUUUACCUCGAAUCACAGCAGGAACGAUGGCUUCUGGCGUCUGGUUGCAGCAGCGGUGGAGUAGAGGAGGACCUAACAGCAGGGGCGUUAGGGCUUCUGGUGCGAGCAGAGGCGGUGGGUCACGAGCGGAGACGAGCUCGGCUCAGAUCUACCUGCGUUAGGUAGUCGCGGCGGGCAAGAGUCAGAGUGGCGUCGGUGACAGGCAGAGGUAGAGCACGGUAGCGACGGGCGUCGAGCGGCGAGGGUUUGUGCCAGCGACGUCGGCAACUGGCGUCCAGCGGCGUCCGACGGCGGUGGCCUUGAGGGCGAGCGGUGUCCGGCGGCGAGACUCGGAGCGGCGUCCGGCGAGACUUUGAAAUUCUGAAUACUGAAAGUGAAAGGGACUCAGGAGCGCCGAGCGGGGGAGGGGGCUCCUUUUAGAACCCUAACCGGUUCUGAAACUGGUGCCGCGACCAGUUCCGAAACCAGAACCGGAAUGGCCAGUUCCAGGAAAAAUGGAACUCAGAAUCGGAACUGGUCCUUUAAGAACCGGGAACUGCGCUCACCCCUACCUGGUGCAUGUACACCUUGGAAUUCUCAAUUGGCUAGUCGUAAAUGGCCCCAGCUUAGGACUAUGAAACCAAUGGUUAUCCCAAACCUACACCGAGAUGUAGGCGGUGAUUCUCAUAUAUUGAAAAAUAGGAUGUGAUACGAUGAAAUAUGAUGCAAUGGAGAUAGACACUGAAAAUGAAUGGAUUGUUUUUUUUUUUUUUCUUGUAGCAAAGUUUGGAUUAGUUGCGCAAAUACUUGUACGAUAUGAGACACCUGAUUAUAGAACAAAGUCACUUUGGCUUUUCCCUUUUUAUGCUUUGCCCUCUGACUAAUUUAAAGAUGUUGCCAAAAGUCAUGUAAAAAUGUGAAGUUCUGCUCUUUUCAUGGCUAUAUUUGAUGUGAAGAACUAACGAAUCGAGCACCUAUGACACCGCUGUUCUAGUGUGUCUUUUUUUUUUUUAAUGAAAAAAUUACAGCAUGUGUUUGACGACUCAAAGUCUAAGGGGAUAAACUUCUGGUGGAGGACCGAGAAAAACAAUCGGGUGAAGAAAUUAUUGCACACUUCACAAACUAUACAAAUCAAUAUCAUCUCAUUCAUUAAUCAAAUAGAUCUCAUUAUGAGUUUGGAUGUGUGAAUUAUUGAACAAAAUUUCGAUGUGUAACUUAUAGUCCAUAUGAUAACUUUUCAUAUGAAGUGGAGUUACAGCCUUGAUCGGGCAACGGAAAUUCACACUAUCGUCCACAAUCAAGUCCACAAAAAUUUAUUUCAGAGUCGACCCAGCUAAGGUAAAAGAGAUCCGUAGCCAAUUCAUUUCUCUUUUUGAGUAUUGUAAAAUGUCGGAAAAAUAACUUUAAAGUAAUCGUCUGUCUUGGAUGCGCAAAUAAAAAAAACUACUUGUCUUAAUCCUUGUGCGGGUCUAUCUUUAUCUAUAUCUCUUUUAUGGUCCCAUGACUCGUGUCUGAAAAACGUAAAAAACAGCAUGUCCCUAACUAAUCAGGAUGAUGAAACCAAGAAGUAGAAUCGCACCCGUAAUGUCGAAAACCAAGUUUUGCGAACAAAUUCUGAUAAAAACAUUUUCCUUAUUUUUCAACAUGUGGAUCAUUUAAGAAAAUGAGUCAACGGAAGACAUUUUCAUGGUCAAUAAAAAAUCUAUGCUUGAAUUCAAAAAAUAAUAAAUUUCUUUUUAUAAAAUCGAAAAUCAUUUUUCACAAUAUAACUAUACCAAUAUUUGGACUAGAAACCAUGAGUUUAAGUAUGCAAAGCCUAACGCUCAUUCUUAGGUCCCUAAUAUCCAGAAUCAAGUCUUCAGCACCUAGUUUGGGACCCCGAUGUUGGUGCCUAGGUCUCCAACACCAAUGCAUGAGUCCAUCGAAACCAGGGCUAGGACAUUAGCGCGCAUGCUCGAAUACUUCAACGGGGCCUCAUGCUUGUAUUUGAGGUACCGCACUUGACCUCACGUACCCAAGCACUGUGUUCUUGAUUUUGGCUUCUAUGGAUGCAAGAUCAAUGCCAAUGCUCUUCCUCAGGUCGAGUCCAUUAAGACUUGACUCAGGAUUCUAGUACUUGUGCUUAGUCUUCAACUCUUGUGCAAAUUACUAACACCCGAAUAGUAUGUAUCUCUAAAAAUAUUAGAUCAAAUUUUCCUUUCAAAAUGGUGAAAUAUAUUUUUCAAUUCUUAUUUAGGUCUUAAUUAAAUAUCAUUGUUAUUUUCUAGGAAAUGACAUCGUGGACACUAUUUUUUCAAAAAUGUAUUAUUUUUUACGACAUAAACUAUGUCUAGAGCUUGAGACGAGAAAUGAAUUUUCUAGAUGUAGAUAUAAAGAAAAGAUUUGGAUUUGACGUCUUGCUGAAGGGGGUGAACUUAUUACACUCGUGGUCUUGAUUUUUCGCAAUUGCUCAUCAUCUUUUCCUAAUAUGUACACUUGAAAGGUUCCAAUUCUUCGAGAGUCAUAUAAAUCAUCUUUUUUAUCUAUAUAACUAUUAUGGAAUUACUUUUCAGUUCAAUCAACAUUGUUUUGUUAUACUAAUUAAUAAGUCCAAAAAGGUAUUUUGCUUUUUCUAUUCCAUAUUUUGCUGCAUUGAGAGUUGAUUGCACUAUAAUUGACACGUGGUGUCUAUUAUUAUCAUUAUUAGUUCCCGGCCUCACCAACUGUUGGAAGGUGGCGAUUGAUUUUCAUUUUUCCUUUUUUUCUUUAUGGUCAACGCUGGCGAUCGAUUUCGCACUGCACGUUGGAUAUUCCAACACGCGUUGUCUGCCGUUUCUGUGCUUCCGUCGGAUCGACCAUGGGCCGGGCCGGGCCGGGUUCACGGGCCGAAAGGAGGCCUUGGGCUCCCCCAAGAAUGCUGACCCACGCGGUCGUUGACUUUGUUUUUCUUGUUUCUCUUUUUUAUUCCGUCUAACAGCAUAUGAUAAAGAUUUCCGUAAAAUAGAAUACUAGUAUUAGGCAGGUACGGGUAGUUGGUUUGCUGAGCUGGGUCUACAGGGACUCGCUCGUCCAGGCUCAUUUCACUUUGAUACAAGUAUUCCCACCAUGGCGUGUUUUAUAUGUCGCAUAACCUAAGACGUCUCCAUGUGGCCAGGAGCUACUACGCAUUAGGAAGGGGACACCGGCUAAUAUCCUAAUCACGUGAGUUAUCGACCAGUGACCGAACUUUUUUAUUGGGUUAAAAAAAUUUCUUCAUUUAUUAUAAUCAAACACGAGAGAAACAUAGAAAGCUUCCAAGCAAAAUAAAUCCUUAAAGGGCUGCAAAACUAAACGAAAUCCUCAAAAAACAAAAAAAGUAGGGCUUGUAAUUCUAAGCAUGCUCUCUUCUCAAAAGAUCAAAUCUAUUAUAGAAUCCAAAAAUAAUUGACGGCCGAUCACUGAAAUCAUCAGUGAUGGGUAUAUGCUGAAAUCUUUUCUUCCAAAAAUAAUGGCCUGUACUAUGCACCUAGAUUCGACAUUCUCAAUACUAUCAUCAUAUGGAAACAACAAUGAUAACGCACAACAAAUUGAAUUCUUUUAAAAAACUCCAAGAACUAGAUUUAGACUAAAAGAGAAAUGCUUUCAAAUUUAGAUCUAUGCCUAAAUAAAGAGAGGAAAGUUUUCACCGAAUCUUGGAAAAGUCAUAGAACCACGUCUUGCACAUCUUGCUGGCUNNNNNNNNNNNNNNNNNNNNNNNNNNNNNNNNNNNNNNNNNNNNNNNNNNNNNNNNNNNNNNNNNNNNNNNNNNNNNNNNNNNNNNNNNNNNNNNNNNNNNNNNNNNNNNNNNNNNNNNNNNNNNNNNNNGAAGGUUUUACUCCAACAAACAUUGGCUAGUUCUAUGGACGUGUCGGAUUAUUACUAAUGUUAAAAGGAAGGGAAGUUCGAUGUGGGAGCAAGAACGAUAUUUUUCGAGUGUACGACCAUGACAUGUUUACUAGGAGAAAUCUUUACUGAAGUAACAUAAAAAGAAGCCCCCUUAAUCCUCCUCAUGACCAAAAGAAAAAAGUAAGAAUCCUCCUUUAAUCUCAGUGAUUUAAGAAUUCUCCUCUAAUCUCAAUGAUUUGGAAGAUUGACUGUUGCUAGACUUAGAACUAGGGAGGACCAAGUCAGUUAUAUGCAGGUAUGUCUUCUCACAGUAAGCGAACAACUUAGUUCAAGCCUUUUAGGGACAGCCUUUUAGCAAAAAACCACUAUGCCAUUUAGUUCAGAGCCUAGAAACACCCAGAUGGAACCAGAAUGGAAAUAUUUCUAACUAUUCGAGUUGCAUUUCUCAGAGGAUCUUACCAAGCUGGAGAAGAAGAGGGAGUUUAGAAAACCAUGAGAAUUUAACAAAACACUCACUUUAUUUCAGGGACUUUGCCCAACACAAUACAUCCUCCCCGCUUUUUAUAGACAAUAAGAUGUUACAAACAAACAAGGACCAAGCUCAUGGGUCCGGGAACAAACACAGGCUUCCGAAAAUCUCGGUAGGGAAUUAUUCGCACGGUAUGAACAACGAAAAUGAACAGUGACUUCUCUAGCCUAUUGCUAUAGUAAACUUGUACAAAUAGUGAUCUUGUUCAGUGGUCUCGUCCGUCACGAGUAUUAUAGUCAUAGUCUGAGUCAUCUGAGCUGUGGACUGUUGCCAAAAUAUGUUCAUCAUAUUUUUGUUCAAGAGCUUCAAAGUCUUCUGAUGUGAGGAUCUGGUUCAACUGGUGUGUUGUCGAUGCUGAUGCUUUCUCAUGAGCCCAGUGAGAUGCUUCUUCCUGGGCCUAGUUUGUAUUGUCAUCAUUUGUAGUGUCAAGAGGAAUGCUUGGCUGUGGCCAAUUUGAUGGCUGUGCAUAAAAAGAUGUAUCCAUGUUCUUCGAUGAUAAGGACAAGGAUUCUUGGCUGUAAGGGUCUUGGGAAAGAGGACCUCCCCAUCUAGCAUAGGGGUCUUGAGAGGUUUGUGCAUGUUCCUCUGAUGAUGCAGCUUGUCUGAAUUCUUCCAGUGCUUCCUUAGCAUAUGAUGCUAGGUCAUAAUGAUCCCAUGCAGUGGGUACAUUAUAAUUCCAUGCAUCUAGUGGAAUGGUUUUAUUUUCCUGGCAUAGGAUUCUCUGGAGUUCUUGAUACUGGUGUUCGCAGUAACCAAUAGAUCCUGGAUAAGAUUUGUAAACUCGAGCCUCUACACUAUGUGGAACAGGUCUAUAAGAUGAGGUUCCUGUACUCAGGGGAGCUUUAAUGAUGUUACCAUUGUUAGUGAGAAAAGCUCAUGGUCUUUGGAAAAACAGGAUGGCGUGGAUUUUAGGGUUUGAUUGUGUAGUUCUCAAUUCUUUCUCCAAGAGCCAUUUCCAGUGAGUUGGAGGAUAAAAUCAAUUAAGAAAAUCUAAAAGAUUUUUGUCACUUUCAUUUUCAAUCUUACCUCUGCCGAGUUUGAAUAUCCUGGUGAGGUUGACAAUGAAUCUUCUGGUUGGAAUUUCAAUAGCUAUUAAGUGCUUAUUGAUUAAGUACCAUAAUAACCAUCGAAAUUGAUUAGGAAAAUCAUCUUCUUUCCAAAUCAAAGGAUGUAUGAAUGGAUAAUUUGCAUUUAGUCCAAAGGUAAAGAAUUGAACCUCCAUUGAGUUUGAACAAGUUUCCGUGGCAUUGCCACAUGAGUUUAUCCAGAUUUUCAGCAAGACUGUCCUUCUAGAUUUGUUCUAUGAUCUCUGGGGGGUAUCGCCAGCUUGGCUAGUCUUUUACUUUCUCAAUUUUGCACUUUUCAUUGUAAUGAGUAGUAUGAAAGACACGCCUCAUGAUAUACAUGUUGAUUUCUGCUGGGGCUUUUGGUCUUGACAAAAAGUCAGCAACCACAUUUUUCUUUCCAGUAAUGUGUUUGGUUUCAAAAGAAUAUUUUGAAAACCAUUCAGCUCAUCAAAGUAGUUGAGAAUUUGGAAUCUGCUUCUGUUUGAAUUUGGUUAUCUGAGGGAAAGAUGCCAUAUCCAAUUCUACUAAGAAGUGAAAACCAAUGAGAUGAAAUUCACACUUUUUUAUAUCAUUUUUUACUGCCAAGAGAUGAAAUUCAAACUUUUGUAUACAUUGAUUGGAGACACAUUCCCUUUCUUACACCUGCAACAUAUAUGUUACUUUAAGAGAUGGGCUUCAUUUUGUGAGCAUAAUUCAACAUGGAAUUCCACUUUAACCCCAACUUAAGAAAAUAAUUUCUGAAUCAAUUUAGUAAUUUAGACUUUUUUUGUUUCUCAAAAAAUAAAUAAUUUGAUAAAUAUUUUCCUAAAAAUAAUUGUUUAUAUCACUCGAAAUAAUUAUUUAAUAAGAAAUAUUUUUAUUAUUCAUAAUAACUUAUGUCUAGAUAUUUUUCGUGGAAGGUAAACAAAUUUUUAGUUCGUUUAUUUGUAUAAGCAAUAUAAAUAAUUAUUUUUAUGAAAUGUAUUUUAAAUCAUUAUCUUAAUCAAAGAUACACUCCCUUUACAUUUGUGCUAUAGUUGCAUCUUCACUCUCGAUUGUAUUAAUUAAUCAUCUGAGCCAAAAGUAAAGCAAAAUAUCUUUGUGCUCUAAAUAGGCAAUUAUAUUCUAAACAACUUUCAUCAGCCAACAUUUAGUUUUUCUCAUGGACCAAUGGCAUAUGUUUUUAUGGUCAUCGUAGUAAAAAAUUAGAUUGGAAAUUAGAACUCCUUUUGAAUAGAGGAGAUUAUGUAAAGCCAAAAGAAGCAACAUGGAUGGACCACUUUUCUUAGCCAUCGCAUCAACAAACAAACGGAGAAAAUGAUGGAGAUGCAAUCCUAUUUUGAUGACAACUUAGCAGUGUACUAUUGACGGCCAAUGGAAGCAUGUGAUCAUCAUCUUUUACUGAGACAAUGAAUGAUUAGAUAGCAUGUUGAUGACAUGGAAGUGACAAGCGGGACCUCCACUAGUGCACCUUUGAAUGGAGGAGAUUAUGUAAAGCCAAAAAGAAGCAAUAUGUACGGACCAUUUUUCUUAGCCAUCGCAUCAACAAAAAAACAGAUAAAAUUAUGGAGAUGCAAUCCUAUUUUGAUGAAAGCUUAGCAGUGGGCCAAUGAAAGCAUGUGGUCAUCGUCUUUUACUGAGAUAAUGAAUGAUUAGAUAGCCUCAUUGAUGACAUGGAAGUGACAAGCGAUACUUCCACUAGUGCACCUUUUGAGGAGGAGAUUAGGUAAAGCCAAUAGAAGCAACAUGUACGGACCAUUUUUCUUAGCCAUCGCAUCAACAAACAAAUGGAUAAAAUUAUGGAGAUGCAAUCCUAUUUUGAUGACAGCUUAGCAAUGUACUAUUGCCGGCCAACAGAAGCAUGUGAUCAUCGUCUUUUACUAAGACAAUGAAUGAUUAGACAGCCUCAUUGAUGACAUGAAAGCGACAAGCGAUCCUUCCGCUAGUGCAUCUACUUUCGGACAAGGAUGGAUUCCCAUUAUAUUAUUUCAUGCCUUGGCCUACAAUUAGGCGCAAGGGAGAGCAUUAAAUUCCACAAAUAAGCCUAUUGACAUUUCUCUAUCGGGUGCUUAAAUCAAAAGAAAAACAGCGUCAUCUUAUCAUGUCAUGCUGUCAUCAUUACACUUAAGUAGUCGAAAAUAAUUGAAACACCACGAUAGAUGAUUUCAAUGAGAUUUAGCUAAAAUGUUUUAUUGCAUUUUCCCUUGUAAGUUUAAGACUACGUUAUUUCAGUUAAAAAGUUUAUACCUUGAUAGGUUUGAAAUUUCGGUAUAACAAUUUUAGGAGAGAUUGUGCAAUUAUCUCAGAAAUAUGACAAUUCGGUUUUCUCAAUCUCGUGCUCGCACUCAACUCAAUACAAUAUAUAUACUCGCAUCAGACUUGAUCCAACUCUAAUAUUAAAAACUAAAGUGUAAAGCUUCGAACUCCAUCUCAAGUUCUCAUAAAAAAUUUCAAAAGUAAUGAUUUUUUUUUCUUUGUCCCUAGUAAAAUUCUUUAAAUUAUUAACAAGGCUCGCAAGUCACAUUACUGUAGUAUUACAAAAUUUGACACCUUCGACAUGUCCAAUCCAUAUUGUUAGGUCCAAAUACAUAAAAGAAGGGGUGAAGUGUUCUUUUUAUACAUAUAAAAACAUUUAUCUUUCUAGAACCAGCACCUUAUUUAAUUUUUUUAUGCAAUUAAACUGUUAAUUUGCAAUAAGAAACUUAUAGAGUUUAGGGAAAAAGAAAUUACACAAGCUAUUUAUAGAGUUUCAAUUAGGACAUGCUUUCUCUUCUAGCUCAAGCAGCCCCAUUAGAUUAAAAUUCACUACUUCAGCCAAUAGUGCAAUUGCCAAGAGCUUUGUAUUUCGCAGACUCGACUCCUCCUACGGCUAUCUUACUAUAGAUUAAAUAAUUAUUAGAUCUCUUUCAAUAGCCGUUCUCACACCUUUUGCACACAACACUGUAGACAUAUUCUCCCCCAAAAUUAUUUAACCACACUUCUAAGUGUUUACAAAUAAUCAUUCGCAUAUUUCGUCUCUUACCUAAACAAUUGCAUUCUCUUUAAGCACGACCACUUCUUCCGUGUGUAUACAAAUGAUUUCGGCACCCUUGCUAACUUUUAGGAUCAAAACUAAAUAGGUUAUAAUGAAGCAGCAAGGAGAUAGAUCUCAAGAACACUCAAUGUGUUUCGAUUUUUCUUGUUGCAAGCAUUCGAUCACAAGUUAUGUUUUACUCGUAGUUUGUCCUUAUAGGCCUCCAAAAACAACCCUCCUGUUUCAACCAUUCGAUUCAAGUUGAUCACAGAAUAAGUUUCAUUUCAUCACACAGAAAAGAGACAUUUGGAGGGGAUACUUAGAGAUCAUCAACAAUGAAAAAAUCAAAAUGAUAAGGAGAGUCAGCAGAUUUAGUCAUAAACUUUUUUUUGGCCAAUUUAGUCCUAAACCUUUUGUUUUUGUUCCAGUUCAGUCCAUCCGGCCAUGCAUAGUCGGAAAAAUCUGAUGUGGCAUUCUAGUCAACGCCAGUCGGCGUUGCCGACGCUGACAUGGCACCGGAGAGCAAAACGUCGUCGUUUUGCUUUAAAAAAAAAAGCCAAAGAGAAAAGGCAGAAGAGAAAAGGGCGUGAAGAGAAAAGGGCGUGGGGUUGGCUGGGUUCUUUCCCAAAAUCAAGUAGGGAACCCUAAAUUGAGAGGAUCUUCCCUUGAUUCAUGGUGCUUGACAUUGAUUCUUGGUGGAUGCCUCCAUUCAACACCUCCGUCGAAACCCUUUGGCCUCUGCUCGCCCAACGCCUCUGCUCGAUGCCUCCGUCCAACCCCUCCAGCCAAUGCUCGCCCAAUGCCUCUGUUCGAAGCCUCCAUCCAAUCCUUCUGGCCGACGCUCGCUUGACGUCUCCAUCCGACGUGUGCGUCAGUCCGACGCCUCCGUCCGACACUCGACUCACCCAACAUCUUCAUCUGAUGCUCGCCCGACGCCUACAUUCGACGCUUGCUUAGAUUCGCCUGCUUGCUUGAUGCUCACUGAACGCCUUGAUUGUCUUCUUGAAAUUGCGGUGUUCUAUAUUUAUGUUGUCUUGAUUUCACUUGAAUUUUAUUUUAAAUUUUAUUGACAUGGGUUUGUCGCAAUAAUGGGUUUGUGGUUGUUGAACUGGAUGGCUGGGCAAAUUGCUGACAUGAGUUUGUGGAUGGUCUCACGUAGAAUGUCUCUAUCUCGCCUAGAAUUUUUGGUAUUGUUGCUGCUUUUGGCUCAUUUGGGAAGAAUAUAUUGCUUUGAGUUGCUACUUUUGGCUCAUUUGGGAAGACUAUAUUACUUUUGAGUUGUUGCCUUUGGUUUAGAUUGACAAAGUUUGUUAGGUAUAUGGAGUUCCUAAUAUACUUCUCGCUCAUAUUUUCCAAAGCUCGUUUAGAUCACCUAAAUCUCAUUGCAAUUGCAGCAAUUUUGGCCUGCCUAUGUUGUGGAUUUUAUAUUAUACUUGGAGGGAUUUUGUAUAUAUCAUCCAUGAGCACAGAUGUCAUAUGAUCUGAUCAUGUUUUGAAUUCAAUCUGCAUUAGCUCCUUCCAGACCCAGAUGUCAUAUGAUCUGAUCAUGUUUUGAAUUCCUGAUAUUGAUGCAGUCAUUCUUAUAAGAAGAUUGAGAGCACAAUUAUUCUUUUAUUGUUGGUAUCUGACUAUGCUUUUUGUUGUGCUGAUCAUGUCCGCUGACUGAUGUUUUCAGUUGGUUGGCCGGCUCGACAACAGUGCUGUCUCAUCAGCCGGUGCCAAGUUGGCAUUCAAGUCCAAUGAAGAAAUAGAACUUCAAGUAAGGUCCAUCCCACUAGACGAAGUGAUACCAGAGUCAGAACCUGUUCUUCUCGUCAAAAUAGAUGUUCAAGGCUGGGAGCAUCAUGUUAUGAAGGGGGCUGUGAAGUUGCCGUCAAGAGAGGUAGGCAAGGCACCGUAUUUGAUUUAUGAGGAGGAUGAACGGUUGUUGCAGGCAAGUAACAGUGGUUCUAAAGAGAUUUGAGAAUUUCGUCACUCUGUUGGGUAUCGUCAUUGCACCUAGCAUGGUACAGACGCAAACUGCACCAAGAACAGCUGAUAGUGGAUUAAUUUACCUUAACCUUGUUGAUGUAAGAUCACCGAGUCAAGCAUGAAAAGGGACAAUUCUUUAGCAGACUCCUUUGUGAGAGUUUUGCCUACCCUUAGACAGAACUUCCACUUAGUUCUAGAUGGAGAAUUAGAUUUGGAAUUGUAAUGAGACACACUGUCCAUUGAAGGAGCCAGUUAUUGAGCAAGUGAGGAAGCACAGAUACAUUAUGGUUUUCUCUUGGAGUAUAGUUAGGGUUGUAUCUAUCGCCAUUAGAUCUGCCACACCCAAUUUGUUAUUAUGUUUAUUUAUUGCAAUUCAUGCUUUGUAUUUGUAGCAAAUGACCUUGUGAUUUGCGAGUGAAUGCAGAAUAAGUUAUCGACCAGAACUUACAGAGGCAUAUUCAAUACCUUUUCACUUGUAGUCUUGUUUUUCCUGUUCUUUUUUUUUUCUUUAAAGCUUUUGGAAAUAAAUUCGUAUGUGCUCCCGUACUCAAAAUUAUUCCAUCAAACUUUGCACGCAUCUAGUUUAAAACCUCAUUGUUUUAUUGGGAAAAUAAAAUUAUGCAUCCAAACCCGACACUUCAUUUUUUUUUUUAUUUCUUGCCCAAUAACCCUUUUUGAAAUAAACUUGGCCAACUUUUUUUUUUCUUUAAAACUUUCGGAAAUAAAUUCUUAUGUGCUCCCGUACUCAAAAUUAUUCCAUCAAAUUUUGCACGCAUCUAGUUUAAAACCUCAUUGUCUUAUUGGGAAAAUAAAAUUUGGUAUCCAAAUCCGACACCUCAUUUUUUUUUAUUUCUUGCCCAACAACCCUUUUCGAAAUAAACUUGGCCAACUUUUUUUUUCUUUAAAACUUUCGGAAAUAAAUUCGUACGUGCUCCCGUACUCAAAAUUAUUCCAUCAAACUUUGCACGCACCUAGUUUAAAACCUCAUUGUUUUAUUGAGCAAAUAAAAUUUGGCAUCCAAACCCGAAACUUCAUUUUUUUUUCUAUUUCUUUCCUAACAAUCUUUGUAGAAAGGGUUAAUACCUUAAAAAACCAUAAACUGGUACACUUGUGACAAAUUUACCCCAAACUAUUUUUUUGACCAUGAAAAACCCCAAACUGGUACACCUGUGACAAAUUUACCCUGACUAACUAUAAAAAAUCCUAAACUGGUACAUUUAUGACAAAUUUACCCCAAAAUUAAUUUAUCCGACCACAAAAAAUCCCAAAUUGAUAAAUUUGUGACUAAUAUACCCUCCGAAAAAUUAGAUUAAUACCACAAAAAAUCACAAAAAUUAUAAACUAUGACAAACAGAGUGUAAAAUCACAAAUUGAUAUACCGGUCAAUUGUCACGUGUUAUUUAACUAACUAAAACUAACAGAUGGUAAAUUUGUCACAAGUGUACCCGUUUAGGGUAAAUUUGUCAAAGGUAUACUAGUUUUGGGUUUUUGGUGGUCAAAAAAAUAGUUUGGGGUAAAUUUGUCACAGGUGUACCAAUUUGGAGUUUUUCAAGGUAUUAACCCUUGUAGAAAUAAACUUGGCCAACUAUUCCUUUUUUUUUCUUUAAAGCUUUCGGAAAUAAAUUCGUAUGUGCUCCCGUACUCAAAAUUAUUCCAUCAAAUUUUGCACGCAUCUAGUUUAAAACCUCACUGUUUUAUUGGGAAAAUAAAAUUUGGCAUCCAAACCUGAGACCUCAUUUUUUUUUUAAUUUCUUGCCCAACAACCAUUUUCGAAAUAAACUUGGCCAACUUUUUUUUUUUCUUUAAAGCUUUCGGAAAUAAAUUCGUAUGUGCUCCCAUACUCAAAAUUAUUCCAUCAAACUUUGCACGCACCUAGUUUAAAACCUCAUUAUCUUAUUGAGAAAAUAACUUUUUGCGUCCAAACCCGACACUUCAUUUUUUUUUUUCUAUUUCUCCCUUUUAGAAAUAAACUUGGCCAACUUUUUUUUUUCUUUAAAGCUCUCAGAAAUAAAUUCGUAUGUGCUCCCGUACUCAAAAUUAUUCCAUCAAACUUUGCAUGCACUUAGUUUAAAACCUCAUUAUCUUAUUGGGAAAAUAAAAUUUGGCAUCCAAACUUGACACCUCAUUUUUUUUUUUAAUUUCUUGCCCAACAACCAUUUUUGAAAUAAACUUGGCCAACUUUUUUUUUUGCUUUAAAGCUUUCGGAAAUAAAUUCAUAUGUACUCCCGUACUCAAAAUUAUUCUAUCAAACUUUGCACGCACCUAGUUUAAAAUCUCAUCGUCUUAUUGUGAAAAUAAAAUUUGGCAUCCAAACCCGACACCUCACUUUUUUUUUUUAAUUUCUUGCCCAACAACCCUUUUUGAAAUAAACUUGGCCAACUUUUUUUUUCUUUAAAGCUUUUGGAAAUAAAUUCGUACGUGCUCCCAUACUCAAAAUUAUUCCAUCAAACUUUGCACGCACCUAGUUUAAAACUUCAUUGUUUUAUUGAGCAAAUAAAAUUUGGCAUCCAAACCCGACACUUCUUUUUUUGUUUUUUCUAUUUCUUGCCCAACAACACUUUUAGAAAUAAACUGGGCCAACUAUUUUUUUUUUUAGGGUUAAUAUCCUGAAAAACUCUAAAUUGGUACACUUAUAAUAAAUUUACCCCAAAUUAUUUUUUUGACCACCAAAAACCCCAAACUGGUAUACCUUUGACAAAUUUACCCCGAACUGGUAUACUUGUGACAAAUUUACCAUUUGUUAGUUUUCGUUAAAUUUUACUGUCAAAUUAUUAAGUUAAAUUACAUGUGAUAGUUUACUAGUAUAUCGACUUAGGAUUUUACGCAUCGUUGUCACAAUUUACAAUUUUUGUGAUUUUUUUGUUGUAUUAAUCUAAUUUAGCGGAGGGUAUAUUUGUCACAAAUUUAUCAGUUUGGGGUUUUUUGCGGUUGAAUAAAUUAGUUUAGGGUAAAUUUGUCGUAAAUAUACCAGUUUAGAGUUUUUUUAUAGUCAGUCGGAGUAAAUUUGUCACAAGUGUAUCAGUUUGGGGUUUUUCAUGGUCAAAAAAAUAGUUUGGGGUAAAUUUAUCACAGGUGUACCAGUUUAGAGUUUUUUUUAGAGUAUUAACCCUUUUUUUUUAUUAAAGCUCUCGGAAAUAAAUUCGUAUGUGCUCCCAUAUUCAAAAUUAUUCCAUCAAACUUUGCAUGCACCUAAUUUAAAACCCCAUCGUCUUAUUGAGAAAAUAAAAUUUGUCAUCCAAACCCGACACCUCAUUUUUUUUUUUAAUUUCUUGCCCAACAAUCCUUUUUGAAAUAAACUUGGCCAACUUUUGUUUCUUUAAAGCUUUCGGAAAUAAAUUCGUACGUGCUCUGUACUCAAAAUUAUUCCAUCAAACUUUGCACGCACCUAGUUUAAAACCUCAUUAUUUUAUUGAGCAAAUAAAAUUUGGUAUCUAAACUCGAUACUUCAUUUUUUUUUUCUAUUUCUUGCCCAACAACCAUUUUUUAAAUAAACUUGGCCAACUAUUCUUUUUUUUUUCUUUAAAACUUUUGGAAAUAAAUUCGUAUGUGCUCAGCUACAAGUUUUUUUUUUUUGUUUUCUCGGGAGAAUGUUUUCGUUUUUUCUUUUAAAUUGAAAUGGACUUUUUUGUGGGGCGCUCACAAUUGCACCACAUCCCGGAAAAGUACUCAUCCAUUAACUAUAAAAGAGCAAAUGAUAGCAUACACAAUCUCAUUACUUCACGAACAAACACUAGCUAUACAUUAUUCAAGUGAAAAAUAGAUGAAUAAACCCAUUUUACUAUAGCAAGAUGGUUCAAAAGCACGUCAUCUCACUAAUCCCAACCGUUAUACAAAUGGCCAUAUAAGACAAAUAAAAAAGAUACAUCCACAACCCUACUUCAUUGAUGCCAUCAUCAAUGAAAAGAACAAAUUGAUCAAAACCACUUCACCGAACCCAUUAUCACAAAAGAUAUUCCCAAAUGUUGUCACUUUUGUCUCUUCAAAUAACUUCUAACGCUUGUGCUCUUGACAUUAUUAAGAGGAUCCAUACUAGUAGAGCCACCAGCACUGCCACUUGCAUUUUUAUUUGUACGUCUCUGAACCUACAAAGAAUAUAUUCUUUUAAAGUAUUAUCGACAAAACGAACAUGACAUAAUAGAAAUGGAAGUACUAACCAAAUUUUUUUGUCUUGAAAAUUGUGUUUAGGAAGAUGUAGACCUAAUCUUUUUAAUUGGACAAGUUGAACUAUUGUGUCCCGUCUUCAAGCAAGUUCGACAUGUCAUCUUCAUUCCUAUCCUUGACAUCCUAAUUCCACUUGCCACCUCACCUUCUUCUCUUGAUCUUUUCUGUUUACGUCUACCACGCUUCACCCGGGAUGGAAGUGGUUCAGGCGACUCCCCAUGAGUCUUUUUCCAAAAUCUCUCUCCUCGAAUUGGCAUCAUCAUGUUUUCAUAUGUAGCUAAAAACUUGGCUUUCUUAUAACAUUCAUCAAUAUAAUUAUAUGCAUCCUCUUGCCUAUGAUUUAUAGCAGAAAUUGCAUGAGGACAAGGGAUGCCAGUAAGUUGCCAUUUUCUACAAGAGCAAUCUUUCUUGAAUACAUCCACUACAUAUUUGUCACCUUUAUCCAUUACCUCAUAUCUAACAUUACCAUUCCAUAUCACUUGACAGUAUAUUGCACCAAUUCUAUUUUCUUCUAGUUUUUUUAUGAUUCUUGGACCACAAUUUCUUUUCCACUUAGCACAUGCAUCCCUCUGUCUAUGCAUCCUUGUUAUUAUCAUUAUCCACAUUUCCUCCAACAUACUAUAUAUAGACUUACACUUAGCAUGUAUAAUUUUUCCAUUGAAUGCUUCGCAUAAGUUAUUGUCAACAAUGUCACAUUUCACAUCAGUAUUAAAGAAAGCCUUACACCAGUGUUUUGGCUUUGUUUGCACCAAAUCAUGAUAUGCACAAGGACUAAUUUUCUUCAAUGCCUGAAAGUGUUCAUCAUACUCCGUCCUAGUAUUGCUCUUAGCACACUGCCAAAAUAGUCUUUGCAUUUGUAUUCCCUUAUGUUUCUUGCCCCAAUUAGCAUAGAUGUGUCUAGCACACAUCCUAUGCUUAGCUGCAGGCAGUAAAUCAGCCACAGCUCCUAUAAGGCCCUGCAAAAAAUGAUUGCAAUGUAAAACAUAUCUUAUAAAUGUGGCUAUUUAAGAAGUAUAACAAAUAAAAAUUAAUUAAAGAACUCACCUUUUGUUUGUCGCUAAUUAUGACCCAACCUCGUCCAUAUGUGUCAAAAAUAUUAAGAUAAUACAUCAAAUUUCUUAAGAACCACGUCCAGGUGUCGCUACUCUCAACUCUGACAACCGCCCAAGCAAUUGGGAACAUCUGAUCAUUUGCAUCCCUUCCAAUAGCACAUAAGAUCUGACAUUAACAAAUUCCUUUCAAGAAACAACCAUUUAACCCCACAACUUGCCUACAUCCACUAAGGAACCCUUUCUUACAAGUAGCAAAGCAAAUAUACAUUCUUUCAAACAACGCCUUGGAGUGCAUAUCUGGCUUUUCAACCUUCAAUGUAAUAGUACUCCCAGGAUUUUUCUCCCUAAGCUCCUCUGCAUUAUCCCACAGUUUUACAUAUUCCUUCUUAUAGUUUCCCAUCAACACUUUAUAAGCAAACGACUUAGCCUUCGUACAUUGAGCUAUGCUUACAUCUAAACCCAACUAUUCCUUGAUUAAUUCCUUGAAAGCAAUAGUUUAAAUAGUUGGCAUUGCUUUUAUUGUAGGAAGAUAAUGAUUUGCUAACCAAGAACUUGUCACCCUCCUAUUUUUGAAGCAAAUGCUACAAGUAUGCUCUGAAUGUAAGGUCUUGACAUGAAAUGAUUCGGAACGAGCAUCAACAGAGCCAAAAAUCUUCCAAGGACAACUCUCAUUAACACAUUUUGCUCUAACAAACUUCUUAUCAUUCUUUGUAAAUUUUAUCUCUCUACGUUCAGUCACUGAGUACUUUUUCAAAACAUCUUUGAAUUGGCUACUACUAUCAAAUGUCAUAGCCACAGUAAAUACAUGCACAACACAAUUAGGAUUAUAUCUUGGAAACCUACUUCUCUUUCUAGUAAAAUCAUCUUCUCCCUCUACAUCAGACCCCAAAUUGUCAUAGGCAUAUGUAUCAUAAUAUUCCGUCUCGUAACCAGCUUUAGCAUCAACUCCACUAUUCACAUCUAAUGGUUGAGAUGUACUAAUGCUGUGGAUGGUUCCCCUAUAAUUAGAUUCUUUGUAACCCUCCCACGAAACUCAAUUAUAUUCUGCCUUGCUUCUAGAAGCUCUUCAUUAUCAAUAUCAUCAUCAUCAGUCCAAAAUUUUACAUCGCCAAGAAAAUUUGUCUCAUCAUCAUUGUCAUCAUCCAAAAUAUCCCCCCUAUGUCAAUAAAAUUACAUUCAUCAACUAAGUCAUUAGGAUCUAAGUCAUCCUCGUGCUCAAUAAUUGUCUCAUUUCCUAAACCAAUAUCAUUGCGAGCACCCACACUAAUCCCUUGACCAACACUCUCACUUGGGCAAGCAUCCUCACCCUCACCACCCCCAUGACCAAAACCCUCACUUGGACUAGCACCCACACCCACACCAACCCCUUGACCAUCACCUUUAACAGCCUCAUCGAUUGCAAAAUUUUCUCCAUAUAUCUCAAUUAACUCACGAUGCAAAUAACUAAAAAGUAAAUCAAUGACAUUACUCUCAUUCCAUAUAUAUCUCAACCCAUCUUCUAGAAACUUUCCAAGAAACUUAAAAUAAAGUUUUUCAAAUUUAUAAUUACCCCAUUCUCAAUAUCUCUAAUGAAGCUUUCAUAGCUCCUUGAACCGAUAACCAAAUCAAUCUUACCCCCAACAUAUUCAAGCAUUGGGCGACGGUAAAAAUUUCCACCAUGGAAAAGGCAAGCCCAUGCCGACUUGUCGCUCAUCUCAACCCUAUACAAAAGAACACAAUAUAUGUUGUAAGAAGCCACAUAAUGGAGAUUUUAACAUGAAUGGCCAAAAGUGCUAAAUAAAUAUAAAGAGUUUGACUUGAGCAUAAGUGCAAAAUCCUUCCCGUCUCAUAAUUACAAGUGAAAUUUCUCUCUAAUUUAUAGGAAUUAACUAGUUCAAUUAAUAUCUAGUACCUAUGAUACGAGAAUUCAAGGUGAAUAGUGGCAUAAAAUUAGUUUGCUUUCAAGUUAGAUAUUUGGUUUGUAUAGCUACUUGAAGCCGAUGCCAAAAAUCUUAGGGCUGAUAAAAGAAAUUUUUCUCCCAUAGUAGAUGUGAUCUUGUUUUUUUGCAACUAAUGAAGGAGAACAAAAACCAUGAUGCUAGGUUCUUUGUAUAUAGAUAUAGCAGGUCAAUGUAUUACAAGUAGCAUGGCUCACAAGGCUUUAAUUUUAGAAUGUUACUUCAUAUUAUCUCAAUUCUUUCCUACCAUCACUUCCAUGGAUAUCGUCUUUUGGCUUUUCAGGAUUUUUGACAAUAGUUUCAUUGUUUAGGUGGCUGAAGAGUGUACUUCUAUGCUUAAACUUUGAUGUUAAUUUGCUCAGAAUCACUGAUCUACUUUCAGUUUAAAACCAAACGGUUGGUUUGUUCAACGCAUGCGGAGAAAUAAGAUAAUUUGGGAACACGCCAAAGACAAACAUGGAGACAAAACAUAGUUUAGGACCACGACAAUAUACCUUUCGACAGAUUUUAAUUGACUUCACGACCACCCACCACGUAGCUCACCACUUGCCGACAACACAAUCAAAUUGGGACCACCUCACUUGCUUGUGUUUGCUGUGGAUGAACAAAUCGGGUCAAGUUGUGGGCGAAUUGAGUCUUCAGGUCUUCGAGUCUCUCGUCUUCUCAAUUGUAGCAACGAACGAAUUGGGUCAAGUUGUGGCCGAAUCAGGUCUUUGGGUCUUAUGGUCUUCUCAAUUCGGGCAAGAAGCGACGAACAAUGGUGUUGGCCAAAAACGGGCUUGAUUCACGAAGGAUAUUGAGGAAAUUGCAAUAUGAGAUCAAAUCAACUCAAAAUCUACAAGAAUUUCGGAGGAGAUCUCACUAGGGUUUUUUAGAUGAUUUUGGAAAGAAGCAAGGAGCAGCUGCAUGACUUUUCUCUUAUGACUUUUCUCUUUGGCUUUUAUUUUUUUUAAAGCAAAACGACGACGUUUUGCUCUCCGGUGCCAUGUCAGCGUCGGCAAUGCCGACCGGCGCUGACUAGAAUGCCACAUUAGAUUUUUCCGACUAUGCAUGGCUGGAUGGACUGAACUGGAACAAAAACAAAAGGUUUAGGAAUAAAUUGGAAAAAAAAAGUUUAUGACUGAAUUGGCACAAUUGCAAUAGGUUUAGGACUUUUUUGGUAAUUUUCCCAAAAAAGAGACAUUUGGAGGGGGUACUUAGAGAUCAUCAACAAAUGAAAAUAAUCAAAAUGAUAAGGAGAGUGAGAAGAAGUUGGUAAGUUUAUAAAUUGACUUAUUAUAGUGUUUGCAAUUUAUUUAUGAUGCUUAUAAAAUUUCCAAAGAUUUGGUUAUUCUUUAAUUCAUUUCAAAGUUGGUAAAUUUCUAACGGCAUUGAUAAGUUAUUGAUAGGUUAUUUGGCAAUCAAAUUGAUGGUCAUGCUUUUCUUUUAUCGACUGUACUAGAUGUUAAUGUUGGCUGGGUUUGGCUAUGUGGGGCCCGAUUAACGUUAAUAAAUAAAAGAAAAGGCCAAAAAGUCAAAAAUGCAAUAAAGGAAAAGAAAGGCGGGCUGCUCGUUCGGAGAAGACAGGAAAUGGGCUGCCAAAUAUCGUCGGAGUCGACUCAAAUUUCAAUAUUUUGUUAUAAGACCAAGACAGAUGAGUCGAGAUAGGUGCGUCCAUCAGUUUCAUUUGUCAAUCCGUUUUGUUCAUUGAACACUUUUUCUAAAUUAUCUCAAAUUUCUCCAAUUGUGACUAGGGUUUCUUACUUCAUAUAUAUUAAUCCGCUUUUACAGUGAUGAAAUGUCAUUAUAUUGUUGAUAUUGAUCUCUAAUAUAUUACUAAAGAAGAACCUCUAUGCAUCUUACUAUUUUUUGUGGUUAGUGAAAGUUUUUGAAUUGUCCAUAAUUUUUUUCGCAUUGAAUUUUCCACAUAAACUUGUCGUCGUGUUUGCUUUCGUCUAUUUUUAUCAUUUUGGCAUUAUUUUUAUUCAUUACAAGAUUAUAUUGUAGGAAUAUAUUGCCUGUUAUUAUAGGGUUGAGUCGAUUUUGGUCCAGUUAAUCUUGGGAAGAAAUUGAUUUUACAUUAGGUUAAUUUUUGAUGAAUUGUUGCCGGUUCUCUCGAACUUUGUAUCAAUAAUUUUGGAAAUCCAUCAAGUAAGGGAAAUUUUCUGCAUUUUCCUUUCACUACCUUGCACUCAGUCCCGAAAGCUUGCGUCAGCCACAUCUUUGAUUUUUUGUAUCAUCGACCAAUAGCAUUUGAUUUUAUGGUCUUCGUUGUCGUGAAAAAGUAUGAUUUUUGUACCGAUCGCGUCCUCAUCGGCAUCUUUGAUUUUUUUGUCUCAUCGACCAAUAGCAUGUGAUUUCAUGGUCUCCGUCGUCGUGAAAGAUAUGAUUUCUGCCCCAGUCGUGUCCUUAUCGGCCCAAAGCAUUUUACUUGCUUUUCCCAGAAUUGCCCCAGUUAAUAACACUUCAAUUCGUGUUAUAUUAUGAUAUGAGAAAUGGAUAUUUACUGCGGGAUUCGUCCAAAUCGGUUUCGUCCAGGGGCACGAUAAGAAGAGAUGCUCCAAUAUUCCUUUUUUCAAACUUUCUUGCAAGAUUGAUUGCAGUUUUAUUUUUCAGGAGUCGUGCUUUGAUUGGAUAUGUUCAUGUUUCGGAGGAGGCUUGUGAAAUUUUGAAGACGACUCGCAUCACACUUGUCGACAUGCAGGGAUGGAACUAUUAGGGGUGAGCAUUGGUCCAGGGUUGACCCUAGACCGACUCUGGACCAGCCCAACCCUGUCGGUCCAGGUCCAAUUCCCAAGGAGACUAGUCGGUUGUUGGUCCUAGAAAUCCUAGACCAGCACUGUGUAGGUCAGUCCUCGGUCCUGAGAAUUUCGGGUCAGUCCAACCUAGACCAACCCGGACACUAUAUAUAUAAAAUAUUAUUUAUAAUUUUUUUAUAUAGAGAAAACCUUAAAAUAAAUGGCGUCAACAACAUUAAAUAAUUUUUUGGUGAGAAGUUCAAGUAAUUUUACAUUGUUCUUUAAUAAUUUAGGUUUUAAUGUCUUUUAUGGCGUCAAUAGCCAUAAUUUAUGAAGGAGGAAAAUAUUUUUGUGAGGAGUCCUCACGGCGUCCAAAAAGGAACCUUAUGUCAUCCUCCUCUAGUAUUCGUUAUCUUCUGUCUUAUUUGUCCUCUUAGUUUUCCAUUUGCUAAAAUCGAAAAAAAUUUCUCCACUCACCGCUCGACACUUGCCUCACUGGCUUUGGGUCACUCUUGCUGCUCGCUGCUCGAUACUUGCUUGGCUUGUUGUUCCCCACUCGACAUUCGAUGCUCAUUCUGUUCGAUGCUCACCCCAUUUGACUCUCACUGCUUGCCUUUCUUAGUUGACCUUGUCCAUUAUCGAACCCAUUGGGUCGGUACAUUCAAUGAUCAUUCUGUUCGGCGCUCACCCCAUUUGACCCUCACCGCUUGCCUUUCUUAGCUGGCCUUGUUCAUUAUCAAACCCAUUGGGUCGGUACGGUCCUUGGUUGCCCUUUCAAGGAAUACAAAAAAUGAAAUAAAAAAUUAUUGGUUAGUCCUAGGUUGAUCUCGAAAUCGAACCGAACUUAUUGGGUCAGUCCGGUCCUCAAUCGUUUUUUUUAAGGAGUACAAAAAAUGAAAUAAAAAAUUAUCAGUUGGUCCUGGGUUAACCCUGGAAUCGGAUCGAACCCAUUAGGUCGGUCUGGUUCUCGAUCCCAAGCUUAAUAGGGUCGGUCCUCGGUCCCCAAAAUUGAGGACCAACACUGUGCGGGUUGCUCCUAGGGUUAGGGGGUGGACCGGCCCAACCCAGACCAUGCUCAUCCCUAGGAACUAUCAUAUAUUUUUAGUGGGGUCAAUGCCCUAAAGACUGUAAGAUAAGGUAUUUCAUUUAACAAAAAAAUUAUAAAGAUGCGAUCGAGCUAUUUAUUGAUUUGAAGUAGUUUUUCUAUGCAAAAUUUGAAAUCAACACUUUGACAUUGAAUCAUGAAUGUGAACAAAAUUCAGUUUCAAAUCCCUGUGCUUGAGCUCAACUCAAUAUAGUAUAUAGGGCUCGAAAUUAAACUUGAUUCCACUCAUUUGACUUGUUACGUAGGAUGUUUCUUUCUAUUUUUCCUAAUCAUAUAUUGUACCUUUCGCAUAGCCUAGUCAUGCCAUUUGAUUGCUUUAUCUUCCGACUCUAUCAAGCCUCGUGUUUGAUUGGUGGUGUGGUUGUCUAGUUGUGCAAUGUCUAAGCUCGAUAAUUUUUUGAUAAUUGUUUAUCUUUUUACUUUUCUGUUUUUUGCAUCACAAAGAAGUUUAUAGUACANNNNNNNNNNNNNNNNNNNNNNNNNNNNNNNNNNNNNNNNNNNNNNNNNNNNNNNNNNNNNNNNNNNNNNNNNNNNNNNNNNNNNNNNNNNNNNNNNNNNNNNNNNNNNNNNNNNNNNNNNNNNNNACAAUGGAAGUUACUAAAAAGGCAAAGUGGGGUUUCAUUAGGCAUUCAUCAGUUGGAUUUUAUUUCUUUAGAUAAACUAUAAGGAUCCCAUCCCACUGCUCCUUUUGCUCUUCCGAUUUCCAUCUUUUGGCAAUGGAAAACCGUAGCCACAACAACUCCGAUAUAAAUUAAGGAAUCGUUAUGCUAUCUGGAUCCUAUGAGAAACUAUUGAGGUUGUCUCAUCCAUUGAUCGUAAGACUUUUAGGAUUAUAUGUCACAACCGUACUUCCAUUCACUCAUGUAACACUUCUUGGAUAUGUCCUUCCUCAGCACUUCAUUUCGAGUUGGGAUUAAUAGUUCCCCCCGUACAGAUUGGAGUACGAAGCCCACCCAAAAAAUCGAAUAAAAUAGUCCGUUUUAUUUUGCCGGUAUCAGUAGCUGACUUAGUUCUAAUGACUCUCUUUGGAAUAUGAGGCAAUAACAGAGCAAAUCUAUCAAACAAUUCUCCACCAAGAGCAGAAACUCUUUUAUUAUGUAUGUUGGAUUGAUUAGUCGAUUUACGACAUUUUGUAUAGAAAUUACGAAAAAAUGUAAAUAGUUAUAAUUCGUUAUAAUUCGUUAUAAUUCAAAAAUUUGUUUAUCGAUGACCAUAAAACUGCUCAUAUAUUAUAAGAAGAAAUUCAAAAAAUCCUCCAACACAAAAGUUAUUCAUCACAUCGAAUCUCCAACAUUGUAUAGUAAAGUAGACGAUCUACCAUUGUGCAUCAUUCAAGUUUCACACACAAACAUAAAUAGAAACUUCUAAAUUCAUAAGCAUACAAUAAGAUAAGAACGACUAUUGUAAUUUCUGUCUCAUUUAUUGUCUAGAUUAGACAGGUCGCUUUGUCCAGUGCCCACAGUUAGGGCAUUUCUACUUGAAAAAAGCUAGUACUCUUCCAUGCUUGCACUUCUCACAAAUAAAUGUGCCAUCUGUGCAGGCUAAUUGCCCCACUGCAACCGUUGCCAGCCCCACUCUGUCGCCGUCCUCACCAUCGCCGCUACCUUCGCCGCCCUCACCGCCGCCGCCGCCACCCUCACAGCCACCGGCAUUGCCCCGUCAGCCACUGACACUGGCAUUGCCCCAUCGGCCAUUGGCACUGGCACUUCCCCGGCGGCCCUUGCGGCCCCGACUUGCCCUGCGGCCCUUUCGGCCCUAGCAGCCCCUGUGGCCUCGGCGGCCCCUUCUCCCCUUGCGGCCCCAUCUCCCCCUGCAGGCCCAGCAGCCUUGGCCGCUGGAUGCAAUAGAAAAGGAAACCACAAAGCAUAACAGCAACAAUGACUAAACCAACAAUAACCCAUGUUGGGAUGUUACUGUCAUCGGAUGAUACGGAAUUCGGAUCGACCCAUGCCGAUGGAUGAGGAAAGUAUUGGAAACACGGAUGAGUUGGGGACAGNNNNNNNNNNNNNNNNNNNNNNNNNNNNNNNNNNNNNNNNNNNNNNNNNNNNNNNNNNNNNNNNNNNNNNNNNNNNNNNNNNNNNNNNNNNNNNNNNNNNNNNNNNNNNNNNNNNNNNNNNNNNNNNNNNNNNNNNNNNNNNNNNNNNNNNNNNNNNNNNNNNNNNNNNNNNNNNNNNNNNNNNNNNNNNNNNNNNNNNNNNNNNNNNNNNNNNNNNNNNNNNNNNNNNNNNNNNNNNNNNNNNNNNNNNNNNNNNNNNNNNNNNNNNNNNNNNNNNNNNNNNNNNNNNNNNNNNNNNNNNNNNNNNNNNNNNNNNNNNNNNNNNNNNNNNNNNNNNNNNNNNNNNNNNNNNNNNNNNNNNNNNNNNNNNNNNNNNNNNNNNNNNNNNNNNNNNNNNNNNNNNNNNNNNNNNNNNNNNNNNNNNNNNNNNNNNNNNNNNNNNNNNNNNNNNNNNNNNNNNNNNNNNNNNNNNNNNNNNNNNNNNNNNNNNNNNNNNNNNNNNNNNNNNNNNNNNNNNNNNNNNNNNNNNNNNNNNNNNNNNNNNNNNNNNNNNNNNNNNNNNNNNNNNNNNNNNNNNNNNNNNNNNNNNNNNNNNNNNNNNNNNNNNNNNNNNNNNNNNNNNNNNNNNNNNNNNNNNNNNNNNNNNNNNNNNNNNNNNNNNNNNNNNNNNNNNNNNNNNNNNNNNNNNNNNNNNNNNNNNNNNNNNNNNNNNNNNNNNNNNNNNNNNNNNNNNNNNNNNNNNNNNNNNNNNNNNNNNNNNNNNNNNNNNNNNNNNNNNNNNNNNNNNNNNNNNNNNNNNNNNNNNNNNNNNNNNNNNNNNNNNNNNNNNNNNNNNNNNNNNNNNNNNNNNNNNNNNNNNNNNNNNNNNNNNNNNNNNNNNNNNNNNNUAAAAAAAAAAGCUAGGAAUUUCAUCCAUGUGCCUAAUAAGACCCAAAAUUAUCAAAUAAUAUAAUUUAUAUAUUGUGUCAAUGUAAUUUUAAACAGUUUUUUUUUUUUUACCAAUUGAGUAUUAAACCUUUUAUAUUUAUGUCCAUUUAGUUCGUCCGAUCAAAAUUGACCGGCCAGCACUAACAUGAACACGAGAUGUCUUACAUGGCGCCAUCGAUCCUGACAUGGAUAAUUUUUAGUAAUAUUGUAACAUUUUUUUAUUUAUUUUUAUUCCUAUUUUUCUUUUUAUAUUUUCUUUUCUUUUUUUCCUUUUUUUCUUUCUUUCGUUUUUAUUUUUUUCUUCACUCCCUUCUUUCUCCGGCUAGUCACCAGCGACCACUGGAAAUGAAGCUUUAGGAAGAAUGGAGCGAGCUUCAAAUACUGUCCAGACUCGAUCAUGUCUUCAUGGGUGAUGUUCAGGAGCUAGGAAUUAGGCCCAUUGAAAUGAUACAUGUGUUUGACUAUUCACUGUCUAAGGUGGUAAGAUUUCGGUGAAGGGCCAAGAAAAACAAUCAGGUUUGAAAUGAGAAAUUAUUAUAUGCUCUACAAAACGUGUGACCCGAUAUCAUCUUGAUCAUUAAUCAAGUAGAUCUCGCUAUGAGUCCCCGGGAUCAAUUGUUGAACUGGGUUUCAACAUAAGAUUUAUUGAAUGUACAGUAACAUUGCAUGCAAAACAGGGUUGCAUACGUGAUUUGAAAAAUAAAAUUCACUCUACUAUCCAAAGUCAAGUCCACAAAAACUUAUUUUAGAACCAAACUGUUAAGGAUAUAAGCGACCCACUGUCGAUUCGUUUCUACUUCGAGUAUUCUAAAAACGUAGGAAAAUGUUCUAAGAUCCUCCUGAACUUAAACUGUCUUAGAUGGGCACAUAAAAAAACCACUAAUCUCAGUCCGCACGUUGGUCUAUUCUUGUCCCCAUCUCUCUUAUGGUCACGGGACUCCUGUCCGAACGAUAUUAAAAGACAGCCAUGUGGCCAGCUAAUUAGAACGGUGGAAUUAAAGAAGAAACGUGGGAAAAACGACGUAAAGGCAAAGUCCGUCGUCUCGUCACCAUCGGCCAUGAUCGUGCAUUUUUAGAAUCUUGUCCCUCCGAUUUUAUUCGCCAUCACAUCGUUUUCUUCCCCCAACUGCGGGACUCUCGAGUCUGUCGCUACCCUUUCGUCGCAAUGAUGGUUCCAAUGCCAUAACAAAAGACGAUGGAUAGACCCACAAAUUGAAUCUAGUCAAAAAUGGUCAAAUUCAAAUUAACAUAUUUCAUUCAUUUUGAUUUAUUUUCAUGCAAUUCAAAUUAUGUUACUCAUACCCGACCUAAUUCAUAUAUGAUUUGACUCAUAUUUCUAAAACACUUCCAUAUUUAAACUAAUUUAAGAAAAUCCAAAAUGAAGUGAGUAAAUUGUGAACUUAUUUAAUACCCAUAUUAUUUUGAAUUUAAGUCAUUCAUAUAAUCAAAAAAAUAGUCUUAUAACCCAUUUUAACAAGUCUACCAUCAGAUAAACAUGAUAUCCCGACAUUUAUGAAAAAUUGUCCCAAUUAUGUCACAUCGCAUAUACAUGUAAGAAGGAAGAUUGGGACAUCUCCCAAAAAUCAAGUACGUAAUCGACAUUGCAUAGGUUGAGAAAAGAGCAAGAAGAACUAUAAAUUAUUCCUUUAAUUCUACUUGAUUCAAAUGGGAUGCUGACUGCCUUUGGGGAACGACAUAUGUGAAACGCAAUAAGCAAAAUACACAAAAGAUAGCGACUAAUUAAGAUAUGGAAAAACACAUAAUGGAAAUAUUGUGUCGGAUUCCAAGGAAUUGAUAAUGUUCAGAAACCACAGAGAAAAAGGCACCUUUUGUGUCGAGAACUGCACUCCUUUCUGAAGAUAAGUUGACAGCGUCCUCCACAGUGUCCGCAACCUGCAUAGGCAAGCAUAAAAGAGUUCAACCGGGUAAGCGAUUUUUGGAUACACUUUUAACCUUGGAAAAUUUGGAGAGAAGUCAAAUUCCCCAUAAAAGUUGCUUUCAAUUGGGGAUAUUUUGGAAAUACUGACAUUUUGCUAGGCUGAAGAAGGAAAAGAUUCAAUCAUGUUUCAUCCAACCGAUUUAGAAUUGACCGAUCACCCAGAGCAUAGCAAAUCAAGGUAUGUAAGUAUGGGAGGGUUUUUUACGAUGACAACUCAAAACCACUUGAGGCCAUGUCUGGUUCAUGGCCAUGGAAUCAUGAAAAGGAAUCUCAAUCUAAGCAAUCAAAUUCCUAGAUGUCGGGUUCAUUCUUUAGUGUUUGGUUUCAAUUUAAUUAUGAAGGGAGAAAUGUCCGAUGUGAGAUGCAAUUUGAGGUAAAAACAUGUCAGAAAUGGAAUGUGUAAAAUAUUUCUUCCAUACACAUAUCUAAAGUGGCUAAUGAAAAAGUAGGGAUAAAAACAGAAUGAAGAACCACAAACGAUGCCCCGACAAUUUCCCGAUUAUUGUCAUCUAAAAUGAUCAUAGAGUUCACACAAUCAUUUCACAAACACAUUACAUACAGUUCCUCAAAAUUGAGAAAAGCAUUUCACACAGAAUCUGCAACAAUGAAGAUAAAGUCAUUCCCGCAUAACUUCAAACUACUUCAAAGCUGUUACCUCAAGCCAUUGUGAUAUUCUUGUCUUUAUUGUGUUUAGAGUCAGACCCACUCACGAGAACAAAUGGAGUGACAGCAACUCAGCCAAGUGUGUUAAUGGAACUCUAUAUCCCCACCCAAGCCAACGUGAUGCUCAUAGUUGCCGUCUCCAUUAACAGACCAGAUAAGUUUCAUAAUAGCGAGAAAGAGAAAUAAUCUCACCUUGUAGAGGAAUGUGAGGGCCAUGGAAUCAAGAGGCAGGCGAAACUCCCAUGGAAGGAUAUGAAGAUGAUGAAUGGCGCGAGAGAGAGAGAGAGAGAGAGAGAGAGAGAGAGAGAGAGAGAGAGAGAGAGAGAGUUAUGGCUUUGUAGAAUUUGAAGAUGAUGAAGCUCAAGAGUAUUGAGCGUGUUGGGCUCCCGAAUGUUUUUUCCUCCUAGAAAUCCCAGUACCAUCUCUACCUAAGCAAUCCGGUUCUGCAUUAGGAGUAUCCAUUAACUAGGCACUUUGAUUCUAUGAUCAUAAAUCCAUCCAAAGAUGAGCUGUAAUGGCAUUCCAUUUCCUCUUUAUUACUCCAAGGUGAACCAAACAAGGCCUAAGUGAUUACACGAUGCACUAUACUUCUGAAUGUUUUCAUGGUGGAAUAAAUGAUCUGCAGUCUCAACCAUGACUUUCCAUAGGAUCACGUAUCUAAAAUCUCUAAACCAAAGAAGUGAAUAUGCUGGAAUGCACACAAUUCGCUUACUUAGGAACCUACCAUCAACUCACCCCAACGUACAUGCAAGGAGAGAUGGGAGAGACAGAUAGAGAAAUGUCUGGAUUUUGUUAAGAGUACGAAUACCUACCACGUCCAUGAGAAGUUCUGAAUGAUUAUCUUUUCCCUUGAAUACCCCAGUCCUUAUUAAUAUAGAAAACCAAGGAUCUCCUGCCUGAAGGAGUUGUUAUCAGUACUAGUGAUUGUGUUCGGAAAUAAAAUUACUGAUAAUACAAUUCUCAGUAUGAAAUAUACCUGUCGUGCGCCUCUAAUGUCGAUUUUGGAUUAUCCCCUAUCAUGUAUAGUGUUCUGAAACAACGGAUUCCAGAGUAUGUAUAAUUCUCCACAUCUAGGUUGCUUAACAACGAUGGCAUAAGAUUCCUUAACACGGUCUCAGCAUUUCCAUAGACAAAUGGAUUUGGCCUCCCAUACGAUGUAUACGUGUUGACACCUAAAUUUUGACAAUUUAGUUUAUUUAUUUAUUGCAUAGGAAAUUAGGGCUUAAUUUUAUUAAUUACAUAGCAUAUAGAUUUAGGUGCAUUUUAUUUUAAUUGGCAUUUUAUUUAUUGGACCGGUGCGGAUGGGUUCAAAUUAAUUGGACUAAGCCCACGAAGCGAGCAAGUUGGCCCAAGCUCGUGUUUUUUAAUAAUUAAAAAAUUAUCUCGUGGGAAUAUAAUAUUUUAAAAUUUUUCCGAGAUAUGAAUCUUUUUUGGAUAGGCCGAUGGGUAAAAGAAUAUUGCAAUUUGGUUUUGAAAGAUUUGGAUUUAGAGAAAAAUUCUAUCAUAAUCUUGAAUCCUUAUUAAUAUGGGAUAAAAUUGGUGAAGGAAUAUUGCGUUCGAAAAAUUCUCGUGGAUGUUGAUCUAAAACCCUAGUUCACUCACCUAUAAAUAGGUUGCUACACCACAGGGAAAAAAAAAGAUGGACACAGACGGCCUUUGAGAGUAAAACGUGAGUGGGGCUUCACAAUUGAGAGACACGUGAGAGAGGAGAGAGUGUGAGUUUUCUUGGCCAAUUCUUGACCAAGACCCACGUCGAUGCUUCUGCCGCGGUGCUUUUGUCGUCCCCAAUACAUUGUCAAUGAGCUGCUAUCCUGUUGAGUUAUUACUCGAUCGCUUGACAACGCCACCGCAGCCCCUUCAUCGAUGACGUCACUGCAGCUCUGACCCUCGUAGUUGCUGUUCCGACUAUUACCCAAUCGCCGUCGUCGCUGCUGCCGCGAGACCACACGUUGAUCUGUUGGCCAGCUGUUGCCUUGUUGACGCCAUCCCUGUCUUGCUGAUCUGUUCCGACCCGAGCAGCAACGUUGCAACGAUCUCAUCAAUUCUAGUGAGCCCCUCCAUGAUUUCGGGAGGUCAAAGUUUGACAAUCAGUGGGAUUGUCAGAAGGCUAGUGGAUUUCCUUGCGUCACCAAAUUCCACAAAACCAACAGUGGGAGACCAAGAUUAGCCAUCCAUCGACGAGUCCCUUGCCGAGCUUACAAAUUUUUGUUUCGCAGGUCUCGUGGAGCUCAUCGAGCGAUUUUCGAGCAACCAAGCACCGCCACGUUGGAUCGCGAGUAGCUAUUCGAGGAUCAGAAUUCGAAAACCAAUAUUCAAAUUAGGUGAAAAUCUUAUCUAUUUUGAUUUUCGAAUAUUCCGUUACCUUAUUUGAGAUAUUUGUUGAUGCAUAUGAUUGAAAUUGCCUCUCAAAUUAGGGACUAACAGUCCGAUUUUCGCGUCCGAAAUCCGACUCGCAAUCCCUUGCAAAAAAAAAAUCUACAAUCCGAUCUCAAGCCCGAGAUUUGAUUCGCGAUGUAAUUUAAAAUUGGCCAACUCGAUCUCAUGCGCGAGAUAUGGUUCGCUAAUUUUCGGAUAUCAAUCUCAUCUUGUUUGAUUUUGCUUGUCGUCAAGUUGGUUGAGUUAAUCGAAUUUUUUAAAAGAAAAAUCCAAAAAAAUCUGAAUAAGGAUUAGGUUUGUUUUUAUUAUCUUGCAUAUUUAGGAUUGCAAUUUUAUUUCGAAUUUUUAAAUAAAAAAAUCCAAAAAAAUACAUAGGAUGUUAGUUUUAAAUUUGAAUUACAUGUUUAAUUAUUUGGCAAUUUUAAUUUCGAAUUUUAUAAAAAAACACAAAAAGAAGUCAUCAUGCAUAUGUCAUAUAUAAUUAGGACAUUGUCAUGGCAUAUUAGAUAAAAUUGCAUGUUUCAUUUUAAGUUUAGAUUAAUUUUCUAGAUAGAUUGCAUCUUAGGUUAGAGAUUUGCUAGGUUAAGAUAAUAUCUUAGUUUUAAUUAGGAUUUAGUCUGACCUGAUUAAUAUAAGCUGGAUAAAAUCUUAAUCUAGAUAAAUAAUUUUUGCAUUUUUCUUAAUUUCGAAUUUCAUGAAAAAUACAAAAAUUGCCUUAGAAUAAAUUCAUUUCAUUAUCUAGAAUAGAUAUGUCAUAUAGAAUUAGGGCAUUGUCAUGGCAUAUUAGAUUAGAAUUGCAUGUUUCAUUUUAAAUUUAGAUCAUCUUUUUUAGAUAAAUUGCAUUUUAGAUUUAGAUAAUGUCUUAGUUUAAAUUAGGAUUUAAUAUAACUUAAUCCCUAGUUUAAUUAGAUAGAAUCUUAAUCUAGCUAGAUCAUUUUAAAUUUCAUAAAAUUUGUCUUAGGAUAAAUUAGUUGCAAUUUCUAGGAUAGAUUGCAUUUUUAAAAUAAAAAAAUGUCAUUUGCAUGUCAUAUAGAAUUAGGUUCAUGAAAUGCAUGUCAUUUUAGUAAUUAUUGUUAGGUUCAUUUCUAAUUAGAAAUUGUCCGUCAUUAGAUUAGGUCAUUUAAUAAAUGUCGCUUGACAUAUAGCUCGCGUAUUAAAUUAUAUGCUGCAUGUCAUCUUAGUUUAAAUAAUUUUGUAUGUCAUCGCAUCGCAUUGCAUGUCAUUAGAAUUAAGUCAUUUAGAUUGUAUCUAAUUAUUGCAUUUCUUCAUGUCAUAUAGUUUAGGUCAUGCUGCCAUGUCAUAUUAGAUUAUUAGAAUGCAUUACAUGAUUUUCAUUAAGAAAAGCGAAAACAUAAAAUUGAGUAAUUGCUUGUUAAUUAGAAACCAUAUCUAGGGUUGUUGAUGUGGAUUUCAAUUUAACACUGCAGAUGCUUUCGUUGCUUUGAGGUAAGUCCUGCAUUAUUUAAUUGUUUUCUUGGGUGUUAAAUUGGUGGUUUGCGCACCUGCAUGAACACCUCACCUGUUAGGAAAAUAGAUUUAAAAUCAAUCCAAAUUGCUUGCCAAACGUUUUUUUUUUUCAAAAUAAAAAGAAAGGUACCGAAAGGGCGUUAGAGAAAUCUAACGUAACCAAGUCCCCGUACCCUUAGUCUCUGGUUCGUAGGAGUAAAGUAAAUCUCCCGUUACUUUACUAGGGUUUCUAAUCGACCCACCAAAAAUAGAUUAGUGGCGACUCCUAGUUAAAAAUCAAUUGCAUGUUAACAAUUCAAACAUAAGUCGCGAAUUGGUAUGGGCUUGGGAGAGCCCGAGUUAAGUCUAGACUUAACAAUCCAUUAGCCAAACCCUAGGUGGUUCACACCCGAAAAAAUUGGUUGCGACAAUACGCCAGCGGAAUGGGAUGUAUUCUGCAGGACAAGGACAAGUAAACAAUGCAUAACACAAGAUUGAAGAUUAAUGCAUGUCACUUUGCUGCAUUGAGGUAAACUAGGCCCACGCAAGGAUCUUAUGGGCCUUUCUUUAAUUUUUUGUGCAGAAUAUUAGAUCAAACUCCAUGCAUAACUAACAUUAAGAAGUUGAAACCUCACUAUCUUACCUGUUAUAGAUUGCUUCUAAAGCAAUCCUGAACGCUCCCAUACCCAGACAUUCAGCAGGAAAAGUAGCCUGCCUUUGACUUUGUUAGCUAGUCAUCAGCCAGUCUUUAGUUCCACCAAGGCUUCAAAAACUCAAGAUUGCAGCUGGCGUUACAAAUGGCAUAGCUUACCUGGUAUUCGAGGUCAUUAUUUGCAAAAACUAGGUGCGGUUGCUUUCUAGCCUCCCUUCUAGGAAGCCCCCCAGUUCUUAAUAUGUCACAGAGCACCUAAACCCAAACUUGAGUAUCACAGAAUUGUUUUUAAUAUACACAGACAGAUAGAUAGAUGAUUACACUCCAUUUUAUCACUUUUUCCAAACUAGAUGUCAACACCCACUAGACUUUUAAAAAGAUGAUGACUAAAGUUGCAGAGCAGUUACCGAACAACCAAACGAAGCGUUGUGUCUUUUGAUAAUCAGUUCAAAGAUUUAGAACUAGUGUGAUGAAAAGCCUAGUAUGGACUCGACAGCCGAAUUAGAUAAUCUAAGAAAGGACAAGAUCCUUUAGAGUGGUUACAACCUAGAUAUCUCUGCUCCGGUCAACAGAGUCAGUCAACAGAAUCACUGACUACAAAUGCUAACUGAACUCUCUGUGUUUGCACAACAAUUUAAUUCUUUCCUAUCAUAUUAGAAGUGCUAUUUUGGUCAAUGUCUGGCUUAGUUGUCCAUCUCUUGUGCAUCAAACUGGCUAGCGUACUCAUCAAUUGACAGAACCUUUAUACAUAGAAAAGACAAGACCAGAAAGAGGGUCAACUGGAGGAAAAAGAGAGAGAGAGAGAGAGAGAGAGAAAAUCAAGUUGUUGGAGUUCUCAUUCUGGAUGAAACAGUGUUGAACACAGACAACUAAGAAGAUUUAUAGAGAGGACUUCUCUGUGAUUACUCGAGUCCCUGAGAACUUGAGUGAUUUUUGUUCACUUUACUUGCUCUUAUGUUUUAUCUAGACAUCUUCAAUAGCAAUUUUAUUAGAUACACAACUUUAUCCUUAUAACUUUCGAAAGCUUUCAGUAAACUUGACACCAUAUACUUUCGAAAGCUUUUAGUAACUUUGACACCAUAUAACUUUUGUUGAACUAUUGUUGUUUAAAACUUUUGUGUAGACUUUAAAUAGCAAGGGUAUGUGUGGGCUUGCUUUUAUUUCUCUUUUCAGUGAUUUGCCUUAACCAUUGGUAGCAAUCAUUUUUUUUUUUUUUUUCGGAAUGCAUUGAGCUCCUUGUCUACUUAGCUUCUAAAGUAGUUUUGGAUGGUUGUGCAGCCUGAAUUAUACUUGUGGCAACUCUGUCUUUUCCUGUUCUAAUUAUGAGGGUUGCUGAUGGACUAGAAGUUAUGACCAAUUGCCAGAUGCACAAAUUUAUGGAUUAUGUUUCGUUGUGGUAGUAGUAUAUCAAUUUACAAAUUGAAAAUGCCCCACAAUAUGUAGCAUUUUGGUAUCUCAGGUUUGUUUUUUGGAAGGUGGUGUGAUUGAUUGAUCUCUUGCAUCGAAUAACAGGGAGAAGUGGAUCUAGCUUGUAAUACUCUAGCUGACCAUUUAGGCUUGAAGUAACACAGAGUGUGAUCACUAAUUCGAGGAAAUUUUAACUCUGGCUAGGUGCUACAAUGGGCGGGAAUUUAUGUGGCUAACUGAGCAUUAGUACAUGCAUUGGCAUGCCGGAAUGGUUUUGUUAUGAGGGCAUUUUGAGCAACUGAUGAUGUUGACUUUAUCAAAGAAAAUAAGACAGUACUUUAGGUUCGUUUAGGUUAACCAAAAAAGAUGGAAUUACCAAUGCCCCUGCAGUAUGAUGAUCUAAAUAUACAAGCAAUCAAGCUAAUAAUACAAUUGCACAAUAUUUUAUUUCACGAUCACAGAUUUUAAUAAUCAUGAGUGAGAUAGAUGAAAAAAGCAAAUGUUAUCGAAAAUGCUCAGUCCUGAUUUACAUUAGCAUGCCACAUUUCUCAUUGGACAUUGGUCAUGGAGAUAAUCCAACAAAUCCUUACCUAUUUACCAGUUGUUUAAAAGGUGUGGCCCUGUAUGACCUGCAAAUUAUCUUGGUCAAAAUAUGAGAGAGAAAAGAAACAAAGUAGUUCUGGACCUGAUAACAAGCAAAAUCGUGAGGGCGAGCAGAUUUUGUAACACAAGAGAUGAACUACCUGUGAAGGUAGAAUGUUGACUCCUAGUAGUUGACCUAAGUCCUGGGCUCUUUUGGAUUCAGAAAAGCCACCUCCUGCAUCAGCCAUUGCUAUUAGCAACGUGCAGUAAAAACUAAUUGUCGCUUCUUCAGAAAUUAACAAGCGAAAUUUCUUAUUUCAAGGGAGUAACAUAAUGAACGAUUAUACGUAAGGACAUCUCAAAAGGCAUCACAGAUUCAAAUUUCUUGAAUGACUUAAACAUAAGAUAGCAGCAAUCUCAAAAUCAUCAAGACGAUUACUAUUAGAUCUUAAAAGUACCAAUACUUGCUGAUAACUGAAUAAUCAACCACAAUAACCGUAUGAUGCCCAGCAUGCAACUUGAAAACUUCAGUUUGACCAUCAUAUCACGGCACUCACCGGUGAUGAUUCUAUAGGAACGGUCACAUUUGCUAACACACAUCGAAAGUGAGAAAUGUAAUAGUAAAGGUUAGUAACACAUUUAAGCAAUCACGAACACUCACCAUUUGUUAAGAACACGAAAGGUAUCUUCAAAUUUCCUGAAAAGAUGUAGAACAUAAAGUAAGUGAUAGCAGGUUACAAAUAGCAGAUACGAAUCUCGAUAUCCGCCGCCCUUUACUGUCCAUCAGAAAUUUCGGUAGCAAUCAGUUCGCAACGUAGAACAUUGGAAGACAGGUGAGCCAGCAUGAGAUAAGCCUCGCAGGUAUAUCAGCAAGCGAUGGGGAAAGCUUUACCAAAAAUCGUCGUACAAUCUCCUGAGCGCACGCGGAGAACCCACGGGAGCGUGACCGAGGAGGAACACGCCGUCGAUGUCGAAGGCGAUGCCAAACGAAGGCCUGCACAACGAAACCACGAUCGUCAAUUCGAUCACAGACGAAAAAGAAGAAGAAGAGAACAAGAGAACAUCGGAGAAAGUCACGAGCAUAGUCGAAGCAUGACCGGAACGCACCGAUCCGAUUGCGAGCUUAGCCGCGAAAACGAGUGCGAGGCGAGCGGGGACGGCUGCUUUCUGCCCCGACUCCGCGAGGCGAUGGUGAAAAGCUGGCGCCUCAUUGUCCUGUUCGCGGCCAAUCGCUUCGGGAGAUCGAGGAGCUCGAGUCGCUGGAGAUGAAGCUCCAAGAAGAGCGGAGCGAGCUUCAACAGUCCACAGAGAGAGAGAGAGAAUGGCCCAAUCGCGCAGCGUCUUCUCGUUCGAUGUUCAGGAGCCGUGAAUUGGGCCCGUUGAAAUGAUGGGAGGGCCUCGAUAACGGAUCGGCCUUUCCUUCGGAUCCAAGCUCAACGGUUAAGCUUGAUUUUGGUGAACGUUUUUGAGCUGUUUUUUAUGGUGGACUGAGCACAUCGCGGAGGAGUUCGAUGUUUCGGGGACUUCGAGGCUACUGACAUAUCUGUGAUGGCUUCUGUGUCCUAUAGAUUUGAUUUUAGGCUUCGCUUCAUCCUUAGAAAGUAACCUGAAUUCACGAUAAAAACUAAAAUGAUUUGCGAUAAUGUCCUAUUUAUGCCUCAUGUGCGAUCGGCGCCUUCUUACUCAUUAUUCACCCAUGGACUUGAUCUACGAGUGUAUUAUAUGUCAGGAUGAGUUUCUCUUCAGUUGCUGAGAUAUUGGAAGAGAAUAAAAGUCUAACUGCGAGAUUCUGAGGCGGCUAAUGCAUCUUUUAUGACUUCACUGUUUGACUUUGACAAUUGUUGCUCCAUUUCCUGAGGAACAUUGAUAUGUAGUUACAAAGUCAGAUCAUAAUUCAUCCAUGGACUAUUUAUUACUUUGCGUGAGGUUUAUUUGAUAAUUCAUGCAUAAACUUUGAUCUAGGUGUGUAUCUGGUGAGGCCAAAACUGCUCGCAGUCGGAGGACGUGAACGAGUUAGCGAAGUACACUUAGUUGGCUCUGCCGUGAAGGAUAUUUCUCCUGGUGAUUUGGUCAUUCCUGUCAGAAACCGAAGGCAAGCAAGGAACGGACGAGAAGAAGAAGAGAAUGAUGAAGUUUAGGGAGAAGGUUUUUUUGUAUUCUGACUUGUAAUCAAUGUACAGGGCUUUUGCUGUUUAUAUUACAAGAUGUAUACAUAGAAAAAGGCAAUGUAAUAUUUUACAAAUCAAUCUAAUAUUUGGAUUGAUUCUCUAUAAUCAGAAAUUGGAUCAAUCAAUUCCCGGUAUAUUUCCAGGAUCUUCUGCUUAUCUUCCAACACUCCCCAUCAAGCUGGUGGCUUGUAAAUGUCUAAGACACCUAGCUUGCUUAGUAGAUAUGCAUGUUGUCUUUGACAUAGGGCUUUGGUAAACACAUCUGCAAGUUGUUCAGCAGUUUCAAUCUCUCUUGUCUAGAUUGUCCCUUCUUGAAUCUUCUCCCGAGUGAAAUGACAAUCCACUUCUAUGUGCUUGGUCCUUUCGUGCAUUACAGGAUUCGCCGCAAGUUUCAGAGCCGAUUUGUUGUCAUAGAAUAACUUCGUUGGACCUUUUAGCUGUAUUCCGAGAUCACCAAGUAAACCUCGUAUCCACACAAUCUCACAUGUGGUCUUUGCCAUGGCUUGAUAUUUUGCUUUAGCUGAGGAUAGAGAAAAUGUUGCUUGCUUCUUGGUUUUCCAUGAAAGAAGAGAAUCUCCCAACUUAAUGCAAAACCCAAUUAUGGAUCUUCAACUCAUAGGACACGUUGCAUAAUCUGCAUCGCAAUAUGCUAUCAUUUCCAUGUCGCAUCUUCUAGAUAGAAGUAUCCCGAGUCCUGGACAUCCCUUCAAAUACUUCACGACUUUUAGAGUGGCAUUUAUGUGAGAUUCCUUCGGUUUGUGCAUAAACUGACUGAGGUUCUGCACUGUAUAUGAUAUAUCAAGUCUGGUCAUAGUCUGGUAAAUAAUUUUUCCAACGAGCUUAUGAUAACUCGUUGGAUCCUGUAAUAUAGGAUCAUCCUGAGAUGUUCCUCUAGUGUGGUCUACUGUAGUCAAUCCGAUAUUUUGCUCGAUUGGAAUGACAGUUGGCCUACAUCCUGAUAAACUAGCCUCUGAUAUCCAACACAAACUUCCUCUGACUGAGAGAAAUUCCUUGUUGAGAUCGAGUGAUCUCAAUCCCAAGAAAAAUAUUUUGGUGCUCCUAGAUAUUUUAUAUGAAAUGUGGUAUGCAAGUAUUUUUUAAGGCUCUUUAUUGCAACUUCAUCAUUUCCCAUGAUAAUAAUGUCAUCUACAUAAAUUAUCAUGUAAAUAGAUGACGUACCUUUGGUCCAUGUAAAUAAGGCAUAAUCAUACUUGGAUUGUUUGAAGUUUGCACUGAUGAGAGCGUUAACAAAUUUAGCAUAUCAUUGUCUGGAAGCUUGUUUCAGCCCAUAAAGGGAUUUGCGGAGACGACAUACUUUAUUCUCCCCUUGUCUCCGUAAGCCCUGAGGAAUAUCCAUGUAAAUUUCUUCAUCCAUAUCACUAUGAAGAAAAGCGUUGUGAACGUCAAUUUGGUGUAACAGCCAAUCAUGGAUGGCUGCAACUGAUAAGAAUGAGCGGACGGUGACAUCUUUAGCAACUGGGGAAAAAGUUUCAUGAUAGUCGAAACAUUCUCGUUGUGUAUAUCCCUUCGCCACCAAUCGAGCUUUGUAUCGUUCAAUGGAUCCAUCAGCUCUAUACUUUACUUUAUAGACCCAUUUGCAUCCUAUGGAUUUCCUAUUUGGGGGCAAAUGAACUAUCUCCCAUGUGUGAUUAUCAGUUAAGGCCUAUAAUUCUGCUUCCAUGGCCUUUUGCCAUCGUGGGUCUUUGGAUGCCUCAUCAUAACUAGACGGUUCUUUCUCAUCUGAUAUACGACUAAUGCAACAUCUAUGCUCCGACAAAAGCUUUUCAAAUGAGACAUAAGAAGAUAUUGGAUAGUGAAUACUUGGUCCGUUAAGUGAGGCACAAACAUAGUCUUUGGUCCACGUUGGUGGUUUCGUAGCUCGCCCUGAACGUCGUGGAUGAUUCGUUGGCGGUGGAGGAGGAGAUAUUUCCGCAGCAUUGUUUUCUGUUUGUUCGCCAGAAUCAUUCUCAAUGUUUAAUGGAAGAGCAGGUACACUUUCCAAUGUUGCCGUAUGAGGUGAUUGAUCAAAUGAGGAAGGUGGAAUGACCUGUCCUGGUGAUGCUGCGAGAAAAUAUUCAGGAGAUAUAUUUUCCUCAAUUGAGGAGCGAUGAGAAUUGGUUGAGAUAUCCAAAUCCUCUGUAGACUCACGAAAUGGAAAGAUCGUUUCGUGAAAAAUGACAUCCCUGCUCAUGAAAAAUUCUCCCAUUGAUGGAUCGAGAACAUAAUAGCCCUUCUGUAGGUUAGGGUAACCCAUGAAAAUGCACCUCCUGACACGUGGACUCAUUUUGUCUCGAGGCCACAUAGUUGCAGUAUAACAAAGACAACCGAAAACUCGUAGAUGAUCUACUGCUGGUUUUUUUCCAUAAAGUAAUUUAAAGGGUGUUUUACUAGCUAAUAUUCAAGUAGGUAUACGGUUGAUGAGAUAGGUUGUAGUGAGGACACAAUCUCCCAAAUAUAUUGCUGGAACGGAUUCCUGAAACUUCAAAGCUCGUGCGACCUCCAGCAAGUGAUGAUGUUUACGUUCCACCACUCCAUUUUGUUGUGGAUUAUAAAUACAGAAGCUUUCAUGUAGAAUGCCAUGAGACAAGAAAAGUCAUAUGUAAUCAUGACUAAAAAAUUCCUUCCCAUUGUCAGUCCGUAUUCGCUAGAUUGAUUUCCCAAACUGAUUUUUAGUCAGGGUGAUAAACGUUUUCAAAUGAGAUGGAACUUGAGCUUUUGACUGCAUCAUGAAUACCCAUGUGACCCGAGAGUGAUCAUCCACAAUUGUGAGAAAAUAUCGUGAACCAUCAUGAUGUGCUGUGUGAUAGGGUCCCCAGACAUCCACAUGAAUUAAAGAAAGGAUAGUAGUGGAACGUUUUGCAUUCGAAGGGAAAGAUGUGUGAGACUGUUUUGCAAGAGGACAAAUGGGACAUUUAGAGUAUGGGAAAAAAAUACUAUGCCCCAUUCUUGAAUGUAAAAGAAAGUCUUUAUCAUUGGCAAUGACAUUACACAAUGACAACUUAUUGAAAGGAAUUGAAUUCAAAUCAAUAUGACUUGGAAUACUGGUCCAGAAAUAUAAACCUUCAGAAAGACUACCUAAGCCCAUCAGUUUUCCAGUCGAAAAGGCCUGAAAAAAACAUAUGUCAACAUCGAAGAGUAUUUUACAGGAAUUUUCCUUGCAGACUUUGGAUACGGAAAUGAGAUUGAACUGAAAUUGUGAGACAUAAAGGACAUUUUGCAGGACAAUUUGAGAGCUUAGUUGAACAGUCCCUAUCAAUGUGACAUGAGUAAUGUUUCCAUUUGGAAGUUGCACAGAAAUAGGCGUAUCCCAUUUCCUAUGCAUUUUUGAGAAAAAAAUUUAUAUAACAAAUGAUAUGAUCACUUGCUCCCGAGUCAACUAUCCAUGCCCUUUUUGAAAUUGAAUUAAUCAGGCAGUGGGAUAUACCUAAGAAACUUCCUCCUUUAUUUCCAAUGUCUGCUUUCUGUAGUGCCUGCAUCAAUUGCUGAUAUUGCCCAUAAGUAAUCGGUUGGUCACUACUUGGUCCAGUCACUUGGUAAGCUGCAGAAUACUCUUUCUUUUUCCCUUUUCUCCUAGCUUUCCAUGUAAUUUCCAGCAAUUAUCUAUAGUAUGAAGUGGACGUUUGCAAUGCUCACAGUAUAAUUUACCUCUCCCCCUUGAAUUUUGGUCGAAAUUCCUUAUUGAUGCGGAAAAAAUCUGGUCGUCGGAUGGUUUAAUCGUGGAAUUAUCUCCACCAUCCAAUGCAGUAGACACAUCGACCCUUUGUAGACCGUCAAAUCUCCAGGGGAAAUCAAGGCCGUCAGAUCUCCACAAGAAAUCCGAGCCGUCAGAUCGCCGGAUUGAAUCUAGGCCGUAGCUUCCUUCCCUUUUAAGGGCUCUAUCUAUGGUUGCGGACCCUAGCCCCUCGCGAUUUUCUCUCUCCCAGGCUAGGGUUUUCGCCCCCGAUUCUCUCCCAUGGUGUUCUCCGCGAAGAGCGAGAGCAACAGCCUCGCCUCCUUGUGUCUGCUCCGGUGUUGUGAGCCGUUGGCUCUCUUCUUGGAUGGUCAGUUGGAAAAUCCAGCCAAGGGGCGGCACGAGAUCCAUCGCCAAGAUCUGCGAACAAAAUGUUAGGUAUGUUUUGUUCAAUAUUAAAAGAAAUCGAGUGGAUUUCUCCCUCUCCUUCAUGGAUCUAUACUGCUCGAGAGUUUCUAGAGGUCCCUCGAGUUUUUCUAUUGCGGCCUCGAGCUCGUUCCAGAGCGAUGAGAGUUUGUUAUAAACCGCUGUGACAGACAUAUUCCCCUGCUUGAGAUUUGUGAGUUCCUGCAUGAGACAAAAGAUUUUUGCUUAGUCUAAUUUCCCGUACAUUUCUUUGAUGUUAUCCCACAUGGUUUUCAAAUCUUCCGUCGACGGGAGGCCUGCUGUGACGUCUGGAGAGAUGCAAUUGCCGAUCUAGGUGCAAAUCAGGUGAUUGCACUUUCUCCAGUGCCUCGCCAGCCUUUCGUCUGACAGAAUUGGUACGGUUCUGUCGGGGAAACCGUCUGUAUCUUUUGUCACGAGAGCCUGCUGGAAGUCUUGUGACCAUUUGUUGUAGUUUUCUAGCCCGGUUAGUUGCAGACUAAUUAGUCACAACUCUGGACCGUCGGCGGUUGACACGUGCAAAGGAUCGCCUGGCUCUGGUCAGCCGGUGAUAGCCGCAAUCGAAAACGGUAAAAAUUCAAGUGAAAAGUUUGGGUAGGGAUUCGUCCCUGUACCCGACCCAUUGAUUUCGGUUCCAUGACCUGCAUUGAAGAGUCCUGGGUGAGGGUUUGUUCCUGAACCCGCUUCUCCAUACCCAUUUACUCGUUCUGUCUUGGUGGCUGAGUUUGCCCCGCUUGCGACUAGUAGACUCCCGUCGGGCUGAACAUUAUUGUGACAUCCAAAUUUUCGGGUUCUGAUUUUAAUUAGAUAAAUUGGGCAUUUUAUCGACGUGACUACAAUGUUUUUCUCUGAGUUGGCCACUCACGAGAUAACUAGACUAGCUGGGUAAGCUAUUAAAAAUCGAAUUAAGAUCAGAGAUAGGUCGGUUUGACCAAGAUGAUGACCGAUUAUGGGUGACUCCACUAAAUUGGAAAAUUCUCAUUGACUAGCACUAAUUUGAUUUUACUGUCGUUUUGGUAUCCUGUGUCCAUAUUUGAAUUCUCGAGAUUUUCGCGACAAUCGAGAGUUGCUAAUGUGUCAAGUAGAUUCAUCGUGGCUCGAAGAAAAUCGACCACGGGUCAUUUGUCCUAAAAAGUUCUGAAAACUACAUGGUAGCCUAGGUCACGCUAAAAACACGUCGAAUGGAAACUAACUAUGAAUUCAAGUCCGAUUUCAGAAAUUGAAGAUUCUGUUAUAUCACAAUAAAUUUUAGGAGUGUCGACUUAGUCUCAGAAGAUUUUUCAGAGAUUCCGAGAUUUUUGCGGAAAAUUGUUCGGGUGUUUCGAAAAAAAAUUAAUGGAAAUUCGGAUGGACUCAAUUGAAGGAGAUUUAGACUUCCAAGACGAGCCUUCAAGUGUCAAGGACUUGCAAAAAAUUGUAUGGGCUUUUUCCUUGGCAAAAUUGGACCUUGACUUAGAGAAUUGGUGAAGAAAUUUAGGAUUGAUAGAGUGAAUUCGGAGCUGGAUUUUUAGGCAGAAAAAUGGGCUUCAAAAUUUGAUUAAUUGAGGAUUAUAAUUCAAGAAAGAAAUAGGGGACAAGAAAUUAAUGGAAUGGCUAAGGGUUGAAGAUAUUGGGUCCCUCGGUCCCUCCUUGGCUUCCUUAGCAAGAUUUCUUCCAUCUUCUUUGCGCGAGACACUUCUUCAUCCGAAGCCAGCUGGGUUGCCUUUCUUUCGUCUCCUUCGAAGCCCGCAACUCCAUCAAUUUCUUCUCCAGCAACGAAGACCGCCUGCUGCAGCUCUCUUCGUCCAUCACUUUACUUGUUCGGUCAACUUCAACAGCUCACGAAGCCUUGUUUGACCGCCCACACACGGAUCCAUGAGCUGCUGUCUGCUCCACCACUCAUCUUCUACGCCACACGUCCGCACAGCCCACAACCCAUCGAGUGAAGCCCUUUUGUUGACCAGCAGAGCCACCUGCUGCCUCCUGUUGUCACGAAGACCGAAGCUGCCCCAUUACGAAGCCACAAUCCACCAAGACUCCUCCAAGCUGCCAGCACGUUCGCAAGAUUUCCCCAGGUGGUGACCGAAGCUGCUCUCCCACAAUCUUUGGUCUUCUCUACAGUGAACCGGUCAACAAAAUUGUCCAACAAGCCCCACUCGAAGCCGCCCAUCUCCACGUCAAUGCUGCAGCUCCACUUCAGUUUGUCUUCACGGUCAACAAACCGAUGAAACUCUCCACCAAAUUUGACCGCAAGCUCCACGCGUCCAAGCCAGCGUCUUUGUCUCACCCUUGUUUUCCCCCAGCUCGAGCAUCGCCAGUGGUCUGUGCUACUUCAUUGAUCGGCGUCAGCCCACGCCUCUCCAAGCAGCAGCCCAACUUCUAUUCCUGCAAAGCCCGUUUCCGCAAGCCUUAGCCCAGUGAAUUUCAACAGCCCUUUUGAAGCCGUGGGCUUCAGCUUCAGCAGCCCAUUUCUGUGAAAGCUCAGCCCAAUUCAAUUACAAUUCGUUCCAAAGAUCUAGUAACUCAGGCCCAGUUUUGAAGCCCAAGAAGUUUCAGCAACUCAGCCCGCGAAGUUAAUCGACCCAAGUUCGGUCUAAGCCUAGAAUUUCUGUGGGUUUGCUUAGCUUUUGGGCCCGGCUCGGGAGUCCGCCGAUGCCGUCGAAAAUUUAGGUUUCGGCCGCCGUCGCGGUGAUCCAGUCUCCGCUUUUAACCAAGUGAGUUUUGCUCUUUAAUACCUUCUUAGUUUGCUAAUUAUACUUAAAGGUUGAUUAGAUUUAAUUAAGUGCAAUUAAGUGGUUAGAUUAGUUUAGAGUAAUUUAAUUAGUGACUUAAUGAUACAUGUCAGGUGAUUGAUUAGUGUAAUUAGCAAGUAGAGAUGUACUUCUAAUUAUUGAAUGCAUCUCGGGAUUUUUCCCGAUCCGCUCUGACAUCCAAUCAGGCAUUAUGGGCCUAAAUUGGAUUUAUUGCUAUUUAUUUAUUAAUUUUUGAAAUUAAUUUAAUUAAUUAAUUAUUUUUCGAAAAUUAGACUAGGAUGGCCAUUGAUCGAAAUUUUGUGCUGAUUGUCGUGGUGCAGUCCGUUUAUUUAUUUGAGCUCCACACUCGUGCUGAAUUGAAUUGAUGGUGCAAUUUGAAUAAUUGUUCCUUAAUUGAUUGAAAUUGAGUGGGAUUGAAUGAUUGAUCGGUAGAUGGCCGAGUUUGGUUAUUUAACCUUUAUACUUAUUUGAUGAGUUGUAAAUCGGAAAGAUCGUGAGAGUGAACGGGGAAUUCUCUUGAUUGAGACUGAUCAGGUACGAAGUAUAGACAGGCGUGGUUCGGUGAUUAAGAAUAUCACUAUGCGAAAACGGUGCCUUAAAGAACGCACGUAAACUGUCUAUGACUUGUGACAGGCGUGGUUCGGUGAUGAAGGACAUCACUAUGCAAAAACGGCGCCUUAAAGAACGCACAUAGACUGUCUGUGAUCUAUGAUGGGCGUGGUUUGGUGAUGAGGAAUAUCACUGUGCGAAAACGGCGCCUUAAAGAACGCACAUAGACUGUCUGUGAUCUAUGACGGGCGUGGUUCGGUGAUGAGGAAUAUCACUGUGCGAAAACGGCACCUUAAAGAACGCACGUAGAUCGCCUGUUACUUAUGUCACCUUGGCGAAAACGACGCCCGAGAAUAUUAAUGGGGCUCUGUGACUAAGUAUACUAUUGGAGGUUAUAUGGGAUGGAGUAAAUGACCUAGAAAUCAUCUGACUAACAUGUAAUCGACUAGGUCAAUGGAUAGAUGAUUCGAUCUAGUGUGAUUUGAUGUGAUUCAUUGCUUUGAUAUGAUGUUGUGAAUUGAUUGAUUGAAUGGAAAUGACCGUGAGUGGUCUUGUUGGCAUGUAAUCAAUUAGGUCGUUUGAUCGAUGCUUUGAUAAGUGAUGUGAUUGCUUGGAUGCCUAUUUGAUCUGUGCUAAUAUGCAGGUGGAAUCUGAGGCCAAGGUAAGUCCUCUGACUCAUGUUGUGCAUAGCUAGUCCUAAGGUGUAUUAAUUUACUAAUCGGGUCUUAGGGGGUAGAACUUGUUGAGACGUGGUCUCAAUGGUUAUUGAAUAACCAUUUCAGGACCUUGAUGAGGAGCCUGAGGAGGAGGAAUCUGAAGAGGAGAACCCUAGUGUGGAACCAGAUGAGGAGAAAUAUUUUGGAGAAGAAAAUGACCAUGAGGAGGAUCCUGAGUAUGACCCGGAUGAGGACUGAGAUCCCAUCCUGUUUUGUCAAACCUUGAUUAUAUGUGGAUAAGUAUUACAUCAGACCCUCAUGAAUAGUAUUGUGUUAUAUACUAUGAGGUGCUUGUAUAAAAGAGUGAUUGUGAAUUUUAGUAUGAAAAUUAUGGCACUGCUUUUCUAUCCCAUUUUUUUUUUUAUUGUCUAGGGAUUUAUAACUGCUUUCGCAUGUGCUAUUGAAAAUGAAAAGGUCGUCGAUUCGUAGUCCUGGGAUAUCGCAUUUUAAAAUCAACUAAAGGUAAGGGAUGUGCGCGUGCUUGAGGAUUAGGGCAUGACAGUUACUCUGGUAACUCAUUAACCCCAGCAAUGAUGGAUUCGGGCCUUGCCCGACAUACCAUGGAUAGGGUACCCAUUGGUAAGGAUGGCCCAAAAUGGGUUGCCCCAUAUUCGCUUGAGUUGAGAAUAUCUGCCAUUGAGUCUGGAUUUGUUGCUGGGUUGUGGGAAUUGCAGGUAUUGUGCUAUGGCCUUGUGUCUCUCCCAUUGGUGUGACGUCGCCUGUGGAAGGAACGCCAACAGUGCCAGGGAGCAGAUUCUCUAGAUUCAUGGUAAGAAAAAAAUUUCUGUUUCUUCUUCCUUCUUACAGAAUUUGAUUCUUUCAUAAUCAAGACGUUGAUCUGUCUUGCAGCUUCGAAAGUAAUCAGUUGUGGAAGAUGGAGCUUAAAGCCAAAGCUUUGAUACCAUGUCAGAAACCGAAGGCAAGCAAGGAACAGAGGAGAAGAAGAAGAGAAGGAUGAAGUUUAGGGAGAAGGUUUUUUUGUAUUCUGACUUGUCAUCAAUGUACAGGGCUUUUGCUGUUUAUAUUACAAAAUGUAUACAUAGAAAAAUGCAAUGUAAUAUUUUACAAAUCAAUCUAAUUUUGGAUUGAUUCUCUAUAAUCAGAAAUCGGAUCAAUCAAUUCCCGAUAUAUUUCUAGGAUCUUCUGCAUAUCUUCCAACAAUUCCAUCUUCACUCUCUUUUGGUAAAACAUUCUUUCAAUAUUACCUAAGUUUUAAAAUGAUAUAAGAUUAAUUGUGCAUACGCCAUGCUCAUCUAGUUGAUCACUUUUGAACAAUUUCUUACUCAGCCAAAGGAUAUAAUCUUCUAUAUUUGAUGCAGCAUGUUUAACGUUUAAUUUGAUUAGAUGAAGAACAGAAACAAAUGAAAUAUCAACCAAAAGAAAAAUUGAAACUGUUAUGCACAUCUUAGUGAUUGUCAUCUUAAAUAAAAGAUACUUUUGCAUUCCAUUAGUACUGACUUGUUUUGUUUCAGUUGUGCAAAAUGGGGCUACGAGUAUGGUGGGUCGAUGCCUCAUCCAAAUUGCAAAAUCCCGUGGCAUCCAUAGCAUCAACAUAAUCAGCGACAGGUGCUCUCUUGAAAGCUUUCAAUAACCUUGAUGCCACGUAACUCUUGUCAAACUACUGUUGUUUAAAACUUGUGUGUAGACUUUAGAUAGCAAAGGUAUGUGUGGGUUUGCUUUUAUUUCUCUUUUCUGUGAUUUGCUUUAACCAUUGCUAGGAAGCCCUUUUUUUUUUUUUUUUUUUCGGAAUGCAUUGAGCUCUUGUCGAAGUAGCUUUUGAUGGUUACACAGCCUAAAUUAUAUCUAAAAUUCAACCUCUGUGAUGACAAGUUGGAACUCUUUGGGGACUAAAUUACUUGUGGCAACUCUGUCUUUUCAUGUUCUAAUUAUGAAUGUUGCUAGUGGACUAAAAGUUAUGAAUAAUUGCUAGAUGCACAAAUAUGUUGACUAUGUUCGGUUGUGGUGGUGAUAUAUCAAUUUACAAAUUGAAAAUGUGCCAAAAUAUUUAGCAUUUUGGUAUCUCUGGUUUGUUUUUUGGAAGCUGGUGUGAUUGAUUGAGAUCUCUUGCAUCAAAUUACAGGGAGAAGUGGACCUUGAGCUUGUGUUACUGUAGCUGACCCUUUUAAGCUUGAAGUAACAUUGAGUGUGAUCACUGAUUUGAGGAAAUUAUAAUCUUUGGCUAGGUGCUACAAUGGGCACGAAUUUAUGUGGCUGACUGAGCAAUAGUACAUGCAUUGGCAUGCAAGAAUGGUUCUAUUAUGAGGGCAUUUUGAGGAACUGAUUAUGUUGAACUUAUCCAAAAAAAAGGUACUUUAGGUUCAUGUAGGUACAUUAACUAACAUCCUUUAAUCUCCCAAUAUAAAGAUGAGGUUUUGUGAUGUGGUAACAUGUAUUUGGAAAGAGUAGAAAGACUUGUUUUUUGAAUCUAUCGAAGGCAAAGGCAGUUUACUGUAGUGUGAAUUGAACAGAGAUCUUUUUGCAUUGCUUAUCAGAAGUGACUUGUUACUAUUGAUGGUUCUUCUACUAUUUUUGCAAUCAUCAUGUGUUCUAGACAUUGAUUGCUGGUAUGUUUAGAUCAUCAUGCUACUGGGCAUUGGUAAUUCCAUCUUUUUUGGUUACUGGUGGAAACUUCCUUUUAGUAUAUCUAAGACCUCUCUCUGCUUUGCAACUUCUUUUGGAGUGAAAUUUUCCUCCUUUUCUUUUAAUUCUGUGAUGAGACACAAAAAGAGGUCAAAAAACACUUUGUGAUGCUUGACGCAUUAAUUUAGUAGGGCUCUCUCAACCAGCUUAUUAGUUCAUGCUAUGACAUCUGAGCACAAAUUUGGUAGAAGUCUUUAUUUGUUCUCCAACUUAGCAGUUAGCACUGCAUAUCAGUAACUAAAUUUGAAUUUGACUGUGCUUUCAUGGUUGUCCUUUUCCUAUGACAGAGCUGGCUCUGAUGAAGCAAAAGAGGCGUUGAAGAAACUUGGUGCUGAAGAAGUGUUCACCGAGAGCCAAUUAGAAAUAAAGAAUGUCAAGAGUCUACUGGUAUCAUCCAUCCAUUAAUCCAUUCUACCAUAUUCUCAUGCAUGAAACACAUCCAUGUUUGGCCAUCGGCAUUUGAGUUCUUUAUUUUCAUCUUAUUGACUUGCUACUAGGGUGAUCUAAAAGAACUUGCCCUUGGAUUAAAUUGCAUUGGUGGCAAUGCUGCUUCCUUGGUGAUGAAAUUUUUGAGGUGCGACAAGUGUUAAAUUUGUGUUUAGUGCUUCCCUUAUCUUUAUGAAGAGUGUUGAUUUAGUUUUGUUCUCAAACGGGGAGGAACCAUGGUGACAUAUGGUGAGAUGUCUAAGAAACCAAUUACAGUGUCAACUUCAUCUUUUAUCUUCAAGGUAAAUUAAGAAGCGGCGAACUAAAUUUUCCGCCUAUGGUUAGGAGGUUAUUUUAGUCAAGCUUUACAAUUUGAUUUGUCUACGUUUUGGUCUCGGUCUUGGUCAAUGCCCUAUAGUUUUAUUAUUUUUGUUUUUGUCUAAAUUUGGCCCAAAACCUCAAUUUUAGUAUUUGACGCAACCAAAUUUGAGUGAAAAAAAUUAUCCCUGGAGUCGAGACUAAGAGGAGUAUUUAAAUCAAUGAGACAAUGGUUCUUAUGGUUUGCAGGAUCUUUCUUUGAAGGGAUUUUGGCUGCAUAAUUGGAUGAGUUCAAAUGAUGUAAAAAGGGUGCAAAAGAAUGAUGGAUCACUUGCUCGAGCUAGUGCGGGAUGGAAGUUAAAAUACGAGUAUGUCUUCGGUAACCACCACUCAAAUUGUUGUAUUUAGGUCUCCAUAUCUUUAUAGUGUCUCUAAUAGUAUUUAUCUUCAAGAUAGUGUGCUUGGACUAUGCAUGCAUAUGAAUUUCUCCGAAACUGCAGGACGGAGCUGGUUCCUUUUAGUGAUUUCCACAUUGCAUUGGAUAAAUCACUGGGGAAACUUGGAAGCCAUCCUAAGCAAAUCCUAAAGUUCUAGGGCUACUAAAUAUUUAAGGGCGGUGAGAAGAUCAAAAAAUUCUACGUCAUAUCCUUCAGACGAUCAACUGUUCUGACGUUGAGGCACUGGAUCAACCGAGCACGAUAACUAUGUAUCUUUUCCGUUAUUAUUAUUCUCUUUUCAUAAGUUAUGCAUCUUUUUUGUUGAGGUAAUUUCGUUGCUGCUUAUUUUCAACAAUUUCCAUUCUGAAUUUGUUUUGCAUCAUGCCUUCCAAUCUAAAACUAUUCUCAUGCUCUGCCAAAACAUGAUGGCUGAAUUUGGAGAUCCAAACAUCGGCCCGCUCGGUAUCAGAAGGGUCUAGAAAGGUUUCAAAUUUGCACGAUUCUCAUAUACACGUAAUAAGGAACAUUGGGAUAUACUUCCCAAAAAUCAUGUAAUCAACAUGGCAUGCAUUGAGAAAAAGAGCAAGAAGAAUCAUAAAUUAUUCAUUUGAUCUAACCUAAUUCAAAUGGGAUGCAGAGGGAAAACACAUAAUGGAAGGAUCAUGUUAGAUUCCAAAGAAUUGACGAUUGUUCAGAUACCACGGAAAGAAAAUGCAUCUUUUGUCUAGACAAUGUUAAGGACCGCACUCCUUUCUCAAGAUAAAGGAGUUGGACCAGGAUGAGCGAUUUUCAAAUUCAUUUUUAGCCUUGGAAAAUUUAGAGAGAAAAUAAAUUCCCCACAAAAGUGGCUUCCUAUCAUGCACGAUUUUGCUAGGCCGAAGAGAUGGGCCUAGCAAAAUGGCGGCCUAGCAAAAUGGAAGAUUAUAAGUAAUUGGAAGAUUAUCCACGCUGACACCUCAAAACACUUAAUGUAAUGCUUGGUUAAUGGCUAUGGAAUCAUGAAAGGAAUCCCAAACUGUAAAAGCAAAUAGAGGACAAUAAUCGGGAAAAUAUUCAAGGAUCUUAUGUGGUUCUUCAUCCUGUUUCUAUCCCUAGUUUUCCGUUAUUCGCUUUGUAUACAUUGAGUGAAGACGCAUUCCCUUUCUUAGACAUACAACAUAUUUGUUAUUUUAAGAGAUGGACUUCAUUCGGUGAGCAUAAUUCAACAUGGAAUUCCACUCUGACCCCAACCUAAGAAAAGAAUUUUUGAAUCAAUUUAGUAAUUUAGAUUUUUUCGUUUCUCAAAAAAUAAAUAAUUCGAUAAAAUUUUCCCUAAAAAUGAUCGAUUAUAUCACUCGAAAUAAUAUUUAAUAAAAAAUAUUUUUAUUAUUUAUAAUAAUUUAUGUCUAGAUAUUUUUCGUGGAAGGUAAACAAAAUUUUAGUUCGUUUAUUUUUAUAAGAAAUAUAUAUAAUUAUUUUUAUGAAAUGUAUUUUAAAUCAUUCUCUUAAUCAAAGAUACACUCCCUUUACAUCCGUGUUGUAGUUCCAUCUUCACUCUCGAUUGUAUUAAUUAAUCAUCAGAGCCAAAAGUAAAGCAAAAUAUUUUUGUGCUCUAAAUAGGCAAUUAUAUUCUAUACAGCUUUUCAUCAGCCAACAUUUAGUUUUUCUCAUGGACCAAUGGCAUCUGUUUUUAUGGUUGUGGUAGUCAAAAAUUAGAUUGGAAAUUAGAACACCUUUUAAAUAGAGGAGAUUAUGUAAAGCCAAAAGAAGCAAGGUGGACAGACCACUUUUCUUAGCCGUCGCAUCAACAAACAAACAGAGAAAAUGAUGGAGAUGCAAUCCUAAUUUUGAUGACAGCUUAGCAGUGUACUAUUGCUGGCCAAUGGAAGCAUGUGAUCAUCGUUUUUUUUACUGAAACAAUGAAUGAUUAGAUAGCCUCAUUGAUGACAUGGAAGUGACAAGCGGUACCUCCAUUAGUGCACCUUUUGAAUGGAAGAGAAUAUGUAAAGCCAAUAGAAGCAACAUGUACGGACGAUUUUUCUUAGCCAUUGCAUCAGCAAACAAACAGAGAAAAUGAUGGAGAUGCAAUCCUAAUUUUGAUGACAGCUUAGCAGUGUGCUAAUUGCCAGCCAACAGAAGCAUGUGAUCAUUGUCUUUUACCGAGACAAUGAAUGAUUGGAUAGGGCUUUUUCUUUGGGCAAGGAUGAAUUCCCAUUAUAUCAUUUUGUUAUGGUGCCUGGCAUUCAGGCCAAAGGAGGAGCAUUAAAUUCCCCAAAUAAGCCUAUGGACAUUUUUUAUUCAGGUGUUUAAUCCAAAAGAAAAACAGCGUCAUCUGGUCAUGUCAUGCGUUCCUCGUGACACUUAAGUAGUGGAAAAUAAUUGAACCACCCCAUUAGAUGAUUUCAUUCAGAUUUAGCUAAAAAGUUUUAUGCCAUUUCCCCUGGUAAGUUUAAGAUUACGUUAUUUCAGUUAAAAAGUUUAUACUUUGAUAAGUUUGAAAUUUCGGUAUAACAAUUUUAGGAGAGAUGGUGCAAUUAUCUUGGAAAUAUGACAAUUCGGUUUUCUCAAUCUCAUGGUCGCACUCAACUCAAUACAAUAUAUAUACUUGCAUCAGACUCGAUCCAACUCUAAUAUUAAAAACUAAAUUAUAGUGUAAAGCUUCAAACUCCAUCUCAAGUUCUCAUAAAAAAUUUCAAAAAUAAUGAUUUUUUUUUUCAUUGUCCCUAGUAAAAUCCUUUAAAUUAUUGACAAUGCUCAAAAGUCACAUUACUAUAGUAUUACAAAAUUUGACACCUCCGACAUGGCAAUCCAUAUCAUUAGGUCCAAAUAAAUAAAAGAAGGGGUGAAGUGGUUUUUUAUACAUAUAAAAAUAUUUAUCUUUCUAGAACCAGCACCUUAUUUAAAAACGUUUUUGAUAUGCAAUUAAACUGUUAAUUUACAAUAAGAAACUUAUAGAGUUUAGGGAAAAAGAAAUUACAAAAGCUAUUUAUAGAGUUUCAAUUAGGAUAUGUUUUCUCUUCUAGCUCUAGCAGCCCCAUUAGAUUGACAUUCACUACUUCACCAAUAGUGCAAUUGCCAAGAACUUUGUAUCGCGCAGACUCGACUCCUCCUAUGGCUAUCUCACUUUAGACUAAAUCAUUAUUAGAUCUCUUUCAAUAGCUAUUCUCACACCUUGUGCACACAACACGGUAGACAUAUUCUCCCCCAAAAUUAUUUAAUCACACUUCUAAGUGUUUACAAAUAAUCGUUCGCAUAUUUCGUCUCUUACCUAAACAAUUGCAUUCUCUCUAAGCACGAUCACUUCUUCCGUGUCUAUACAAAUGAUUUUGGUACCCUUGCUAACUUUUAGGAUCAAAACUAAAUAGAUUAUAAUGAAGCAGCAAAGAGAUAGAUCUCAAGAACACUCAAUGUGUUUCGAUUUUUCUUGUUGCAAGCACUCAAUCACAAGCUAUGUUUUACUCAUAGUUUGUCCUUAUAGGCCUCCAAAAACAACCCUCUUGUUUCAACCAUCUGAUUCAAGUCGAUCACAGAAUGAGUUUCAUUUCAUCACACGGAAAAGAGACAUUUGGAGGGGCUACUUAGAGAUCAUCAACAAAUGAAAAAAUCAAAAUGAUAAGGAGAGUGAGCAGAAGUUGGUAAGUUUAUAAAUUGACUUAUUAUAGUGUUUGCAAUUUAUUUAUGAUGCUUGUAAAAUUUCCAAAGAGUUGGUUAUUCUUUAAUUCAUUUCAAAGUUGGUAAAUUUCUAACGGCAUUGAUAAGUUAUUGAUAGGUUAUUUGGCAAUCAAAUUGACAGUCAUGCUUUUCUUUUUAUGACUGUACUAGAUGUUAAUGUUGGCUGGGUUUGGCUAUGUGGGGUCCGAUUAACAUUAAUAAAUAAAAGAAAAGGCCAAAAAGUCAAAAAUGCAAUAAAGGAAAAGAAAGGCGGGCUGCUCGUUCGGAGAAGAUAGGAAAUGGGCUGCCAAAUAUCGUCAGAGUCGACUCGAAUUUCAAUAUGUUGUUAUAAGACCAAGACAGAUGAGUCGAGAUAGGCGAGUCCAUCAGUUUCGUUUGUCAAUCCAUUUUGUUCAUUGAACACUUUUUCUAAAUUAUCUCAAAUUUCUCCAAUUGUCAUUAGGGUUUCUUACUUCAUAUAUAUUAAUCCGCUUUUACAGUGACGAAAUGUCAUUAUAUUGUUGAUAUUGAUCUCUAAUAUAUUAAUAAAGAAGAAACUCUGUGCAUCUUACUAUUUUUUGUGAUUAGUGAAAGUUUUUGAAUUGUCCAUAAUUUUUUUCGCAUUGAAUUUUCCACAUAAACUUGUUGUCGUGUUUGCUUUCGUCUGUUUUUAUCAUUUUGGCAUUAUUUUUAUUCAUUACGAGAUUAUAUUGCGGGAAUAUAUUGCCUGUUAUUAUAGGGGUUGAGUCGAUUUUGGUCCAGUUAAUCUUGGGAAGAAAUUGAUUUUACAUUAGGUUAAUUUUUGAUGAAUUGUUGCCGGUUCUCUCGAACUUUGUAUCGAUAAUUUUGGAAAUCCAUCAAGUAAGGGAAAUUUUCCGCAUUUUCCUUUGACUACCCUGCACUCAGUCCCGAAAGCUUGCGUCAGCCACAUCUUUGAUUUUUUGUAUCAUCGACCAAUAGCAUUUGAUUUUAUGGUCUUUGUCGUCGUGAAAAAGUAUGAUUUCAGUACCGAUCGCGUCCUCAUCGGCAUCUUUGAUUUUUUUGUCUCAUCGACCAAUAGCAUGUGAUUUCAUGGUCUCCGUCGUCGUGAAAAAUAUGAUUUCUGCCCCAGUCGUGUCCUUAUCGGCCCAAAGCAUUUUACUUGCUUUUUCCAGAACUGCCCCAUUCAAUAACACUUCAAUUCGUGUUAUAUUAUGAUCUGAGAAAUGGAUGUUUACUGCGGGGUUCGUCCAAAUCGGUUUCGUCCAGGGGGCACGCUAAGAAGAGAUGCUCCAAUAUUCCUUUUUUGGAACUUUCUUGCAAGAUUGAUUGCAGUUUUAUUUUUCAGGAGUUAUGCUUUGAUUGGAUAUGUUCAUGUUUCGGAGGAGGCUUGUGGAAUUUUGAAGACGACUCGCAUCAUACUUGUCAGCAUGCAGGGAUGGAACUAUCAUAUAUUUUUAGUGAGGUCAAUGCCCUAAAGACUGUAAGAUAAGGUAUUUUAUUUAACAAAAAAAUUAUAAAGAUGCGAUCGAGCUAUUUAUUGAUUUGAAGUAGUUUUUCCUCGCAAAGUUUGACUUGAAAUCAACGCUUUGACAUUGAAUCAUGAAUGUGAACAAAAUUCGGUUUCAAAUCCCUAUGCUGGACCUUGACUCAAAUAGUAUAUAGGGCUCGAAAUUAAACUCGAUUCAACUCCAUUAUUAAAAGCUCGAUUCUACUCAUUUGACUUGUUACAUAGGAUGUUUCUUUCUAUUUUUCCUAAUCAUAUACUGUACCUUCUGCAUAGCCUAGUCAUGCCAUUCGAUUGCUUUAUCUUUUGACUCUAUCAAGAUUUGUGUUUGAUUGGUGGUGUGGUUGUCUAGUAGUGCAAUGUCUAAGCUCGAUAAUUUUUUUGAUAAUUGUUUAUCUUUUUACCUUUCUGUUUUUUGUGUCACCAUGAAGUUUAUAGUAUAUGGAAAGACAAGAUACCGGUUUUGAUUUCUUGCAAGUUAGCGCAUGGUCCCUUAGAGAGCGAUGAGGCUAAGCCUAAUUGCAUCAAUGAACAAUGGAAGUUACUAAAAUGGCAAAGUGGGGUUUCAUUAGGCAUUCAUCAGUUGGAUUUUAUUUCUUUAGAUAAAUCCCAUCCCACUGCUCCUUUCGCUCUUCCGAUUUCCAUCUUUGGCAAUGGAAAACCAUAGCCACAACAACUCCGAUAUAAAUUAAGGAAUCGUUAUGCUAGCUGGAUCCUAUGAGAAACAAUUGAUGUCGUCUCAUCCAUUGAUCGUCAGACUUUCAGGAUUAUAUGUCACAAUCGCACUUUCCUUCACUCACGGAACACUUCCUGGAUAUGUCCUUCCUCAGCACUUCAUUUCGAGUUGGGAUUAAUAGUUCCCCCUGUACAGAUUGGAGUACAAAGCCCACCCAAAAAAUCGAAUAAAAUAGUCCGUUCUAUAUUGCCGGUAUCACCAGCUGACUUAGUUCCGAUGACUCUCUUUGGAAUAUGAGGCAAUAAUAGAGCAAAUCUGUCAAAUAGUUCUCCACCAAGAGCAAGAACUCUUUUAUUAUGUAUGUUGGAUUGAUUGGUCGAUUUACAACAUUUUGUAUAGAAAUUACGAAAAAAUGUAAAUAGUUAUAAUUCGUCAUUAUUCAAAAAUUUAUUUAUUGAUGACCAUAAAACUGCUCAUGUAUUAUAAGAAGAAAUUUGAAAAACCCUACAACACAAAAGUUAUUCAUCACAUCGAAUCUCCAACAUUGUAUAGUAGAGUAGACGAUCUACCACCGUGCAUCAUUCAAGUUUCACCCACAAACAUAAAUAGAAACUUCUAACUUCAUAAGCAUACAAUAAGAUAAGAACGACUAUUGUAAUUUCUGUCUCAUUUAUUAUUUAGAUUAGACAGGCCGCUCUGUCUAGUGCCCACAGUUAGGGCAUUUCUACUUGAAAAAAGCUGUUACUCUUCCAUGCUUGCACUUCUCACAAAUAAAUGGGCCAUCCAUGCCGGCUAAUUGCCCCACCGUACCCGUUGCCACCCCCACUCUGCCGUCACCCUUGCCAUCGCUGCUGCCUCUGCCGCCCUCAUCGCCGCCGCCACCCUCACGACCACUAGCACUGCCCUAUCGGCCAUUGGCACUGGCACUGCCUCGUUGGCCACCGGCACUGGCACUGGCACUUCCCUAUCAGCCACCGGCACUCCCCCGGCGGCCCUCGCGGCCCUUGCUCACCUUGCAGCCCUUGUGGCCCCGGCGGCCCCUUCUCCCCCUGUGGCCCCUGUGGCCCCUUCUCCCCUGGCGGCCCUUUCUCCCCUGGCGGCCCCUUCUCCCCUUUCUCCCCCGGCGGACCCGACUGCCUCCCCCAUCGGAUGCAAUAGAAAAGGAAACCACAAAGCAUUGCGGUAACAAUGACUAAACCAACAAUAACCACAAUAACCCACGUUGGGANNNNNNNNNNNNNNNNNNNNNNNNNNNNNNNNNNNNNNNNNNNNNNNNNNNNNNNNNNNNNNNNNNNNNNNNNNNNNNNNNNNNNNNNNNNNNNNNNNNNUUCUUUCUUUCGUUUUUAUUUUUUUCUUCACUUCCUUCUUUCUUCGGCUAGUAGCCAGCGACCACUGGAAAUGAAACUUCAGGAAGAAUGGAGCGAGCUUCAACUACUGUCCAAACUCGAUCAUGUCUUCAUGCGUGAUGUUCAAGUGCUGGGAAUUAGGCCCAUUGAAAUGAUACACGUGUUUGACUAUUCAUGCUCUAAGGUGGUAAGAUUUUGGUGAAGGGCCAAGAAAAAUAAUCAAAUCCGAAAUGAGAAAUUAUUAUAUGCUCUAUAAAACGUGUGACCCGAUAUCAUCUAGAUCAUUAAUCAAGUAGAUCUCGCUAUGAGCCCCCGGGAUCAAUUGUUGAACUGGGUUUUGAUAUAAGAUUUAUAGAACAUACAGUAACAUUUCAUGCAAAACAGGGUUGCAUACGUGACUUGAAAAAUAGAAUUCACUCUACUAUCCAAAGUCAAGUCCACAAAAACUUAUUUUAGAGCCGAACUGUUAAGGAUAUAAGCGAUCCACUGUCAAUUCGUUUCUAUUUCGAGUAUUCUAAAAAUGUAGGAAAAUGUUCUAAGAUCCUCCUGAACUUAAACUGUCUUAGAUGGACACAUAAAAAAACCACUAAUCUCAGUCCUCGCGUUGGUCUAUUCCUGUCCACAUCUCUCUUAUGGUCACGGGACUCCUGUCCGAACGAUAUUAAAAGACAACCACGUGGCCAGCUAAUUAGAACGGUGGAAUUAAAGAAGAAACGUGGGAAAAAUGACGUAAAGACAAAGUCCGUCGACUCGUCACCGUCGGCCACGAUAGUGUGUUUUUAGAAUCUGGUCCCACCAACUUUAUUCGCCAUCACAUCGUUUUCUUCCCCCAACUGCGGGACUCUCGAGUUUGUCGCUACCCAUUCGUCGCAAUGAUGGUUCCAAUGCCAUAACAAAAGACGAUGGAUAGACUCCACAGAUGCAUAAAUUGAAUCUAGUCGAAAAUGGUCAAAUUCAAAUUAAUAUAUUUAAUUCAUUUUGAUUUAUUUUCAUGCAAUACAAAUUACGUUACUCAUACCUGACUUAAUUCAUAUCUAAUUUGACUCAUAUUUCUAAAAUACUUCCAUAUUUAAACUAAUUUAAGAAAAUCCAAAAUGAAGUGAGAGUAAAUUGUAAAAUUAUUUAGUACCCAUAUUAUUUUGAAUUUAAGUCUAUUUUGAAUUUAAGUCAUUCAUAAAAUCAAAAAAAUAGUCUUAUAACCCAUUUUAACUAGUCUACCAUCCGAUAAACAUGAUAUCCCAACAUUUAUGAAAAGUUGUCCCAAUUAUGUCACAUCGCAUACACAUGUAAGAAGGAAGAUUGGGACAUCUCCCAAAAAUCAAGUAUGUAAUCGACAUUGCAUAGGUUGAGAAAAGAGCAAGAAGAACCAUAAAUUAUUCCUUUAAUUAUACUUGAUUCAAAUGGGAUGCUGACUGCCUUUGGGGAACGACAUAUGUGAAACGCAAUAAGCGAAAUACACAGAAGACUAGCGACUAAUAGUCACUAAUUAAGAUAUGGAAAAACAUAGAAUGGAAAGAUUGUGUCGGAUUCCAAAGAAUUGACAAUGUUCAUAAAUCACAAAAAGAAAAAGGCAUCUUUUGUGUCGAGAACCACACUCCUUUCUCAAGAUAAAGCCGACAACGUCCUUCAUAGUGUCUGCGACCUGCAUAGUAAGCAUAAAAGAGUUCAACCGGGGUAAGCGGUUUUUGGAUACACUUUUAAUCUUGGAAAUUUUGGAGAGAAGUCAAAUUCCCCAUAAAAGUUGCUUUCAAUUGGGCAUAAUUUGGAAAUACUGACAUUUUGCUAGGUUGAAGAAGGAAGAGAUUCAAUCAUGUUUCAUCCAACCGAUUUAGAAUUGACCGACCACCUAGAGCAUAGCAAAUCAAGGUAUGUAAGUAUGGGAGGGUUUUUUAAGCUGACAGCUCAAAACCACUUGAGGCCAUGUUUGGUUAAUGGCCAUGGAAUCAUGAAAAGGAAUCUCAAUCUAAGCAAUCAAAUUCCUAGAUGUGGGGUUCAUUCUCUAUUGGUUGGUUUCAAUUUACAAAUGAAGGGAGAAUGUCUUAUGUGAGAUGCAAAGUGAGGUAAAAACAUGUUAGAAAUGGAAUGUGUAAAAUAGUUCUCCAAUCCACAUAUCCAAAGUGGCUAAUGAAAAACUAGGGAUAGAAACAGAAUGAAGAACCAAAUACGAUCCCCCAACAAUUUCCCGAUUAUUGUCAUCUAAAAUGAUCAUUUCAUUUCACAAACACAUUACAUACAGCUCCUCAAAAUCUCUUGAGUAAAGCAUUUCACAUAUAAUCUGCAACAAUGAAGAUAAAGCCAUUCCUGUGUAACUUCAAACUACUUCACAGCUGUUACCUCAAGCCAUUGUGAUAUUCUUAUCCUUAUUGUGUUUUGAGUCAAAGACCCAAUCACGAGAACAAAUGGAGUGACAGCAACUCAGCCAAGUGUGUUAAUGGAACUUUAUAUCCCCACUCAAGCCAGCGUGAUGAUUGUAGUUGGCAUCUCCAUUAAUAGACCAGACAAGUUUUACGAGAGAGAGAGAGAGAGAGAGAGAGAGAAAUAAUCUCACCUAGUAGAAGAAUGUGAGGGCCAUGGAAUUAAGAGGCAGGCAAAACUCCCAUCGAAGGAAUUGAAGUGAAAAGAUAUGUUUAUGCAUUGCUUAUCAAAAGGGACUUGUUACUUUUGAUUCCGCUUCUACUUUUUUUUGCAGUCAUCAUGUGUUCUAGAUGUUGAUUGCUUGUAUAUUUAGAUCAUCAUAUUGUAGGGAUUGGUAAUUCCAUCUUUUUUGGUUGCUAGUGGAACUUCCUUUUAGUAGAUCUAAGACCUCUCUCUAUUUUGCAACUUCCUUGGAAUGAAAUUUUCCUCCAUUUUUCUCAAUUCUGUGAGGAGACACAAACGAGGUCAGAAAACACUUCGUGGUGCUUGACACGUUAAUUUAGUAGGCUCUCAUCAGCCAGCUCUUUAGUUCCUGCUAUGACAUCUGAGGACAAAUUUGGUAGAUUUCUUGAUUUCUUUUCCAACUUAGUAGUUAGCACUGCAUAUCAAUAACUAAAUUUGGUUUUUACCAUGCUUGAUGAUCAUCUUUUUCCGGUGACAGAGCUGGCUUUGAUGAAACAAAAGAGGCAUUGAAGAAACUUGAUGUUGAAGAAGUGUUCACUGAGAGCCAAUUUGAAGUAAAGAAUGUCAAGAUUCUACUGGAACCGUUCGUCCAUGAACCCAUUCUACCAUAUUCUUAUGCAUGGACACAUCCAUUUUUGGCCAUUGGCACUUGAGUUCUUUAUUUACAUCUUAUUGACUUUGUACUAGCAUGAUCUAAAAGAACCAGCCCUUGGAUUAAACUGCGUUGGUGGCAAUGCUACUUCCUCAGUGAUGAAAUUUUUGAGGUGCAUUAAAUUUGUGUCGAGUGCUUCCCUUAUCUUUCUGAAGAGAGCUAAUUUAGUUUUGUUCUCUGGUGGGGAGGAACGAUGUAGACAUGUGGUGGGAUGUUUAAGAAACCAAUUACAGUGUCAACUUCAUCUUUUAUCUUCAAGGUAAAUUAAGAAGUAGUGAACUAAAAUUUUUGCUUAUGGUUAUGAGGUUGUUUCAGUCAAGCCUUACAAUUUGACUUGUCUACAUUUCAGUCUCAGUCUUGGUAAUGCCCUAUAGUUUUAUUUUUUGUUUAAAUUUGGCCCAAAAUCUCGAUUUCAGUAUUUGAUGCAACCAAAUUUGAGUGAAAAAAAUUAUCCCUGAAAUUGAGACUAAGAGGGAUGUAUAAACCAAUGCAAUAAUGGUUCUUAUGGUUUGCAGGAUCUUUCUGUGAGGCGAUUGUGGCUGCAUAAUUGGAUCAAUUCAAAUGAUGUAACAAAGUGCAAAAGAAUGAUAGAUCACUUGCUAGAACUAGUGCGUGAUGGAAAGUUAGAAUACGAGUUCGUCUUUUGUAACAACUACUCCAAUUGCUGUAUUUAGGUCUCCAUAUCUUUCUAGUAAUUUUCAAUAGUAUUUAUCCUCAAGAUAGUGUGUUUGGAUUGUGGAUGCAUAUGAAUUUCUCCAAAACUGCAUGAAUUUCUCAAAACUGCAAGACCGAGCUUGUUCCGUUUAGUGAUUUCCACGUUGCACUAGAUAAAUCACUGGGGAAACUUGGUAGCCAUCCUAGGCAAGUCUUAAAGUUCUAUGGCUACUGAAUAUAUAAGGGCAAUGAGAAGAAGGAAAAAUUCUGCAUCAUAUCCUCCUGACGAUCAGCUUGUUCUGAAGUUCUGAGGCGCUGGAUCAACCGAGCACAAUAACUAUGUAUCUUUUCCCUUACUAUUAUUUUCUCUUUUCAUAAGUUAUGCAUCUUUUCCAUUGAGGUAAUUUCGUUGCUGCUUAUUUUCUCCAAUUUUCAUUCUGAAUUUGUUUUGCAUCAUGUCACCCAAUCUAUAAUUAAUCUCAUGCAACAUGGGAUCCGUCUACCAUGGCUGAAUUUGGAGAUCCAAACAUCGCCCCGUUUGGUGAGGGUCCAUAAAGGUUUCAAAUUUUCCAAUUACAAUUCUCAUAUACACGUAACAAAGGACAUUGGUAUACUUUCCCAAAAAUCAUGUAAUCGACAGCGCAUGCAUCGAGAAAAGAGUAAGAAGAACCAUAAAUUAUUCAUUUGAUCUAACCUAAUUCAAAUGGGAUGUGGACUGCCUUCAAGGAACGUCAUACAUACACGACAAGCAAAACCAAUAGAAGACUAGCUAAUGGUAGUUACUUUUUAUGGUAGGGAAAACACAUAAUGGAAGAUCGUAUCGCCUUCCAAAGAAUUGACGAUUGUUCAGAUACCAAAGAAAGAAAAGGCAUCUUUCAUCUAGGUGAUGUCAAGAACUGCACUCUUUUCUCAAGAUAAAGUCGACAGCAUCCUCAACAGUAUCCACAACCUGCAUAGGUAAACAUAAAAGAGUUCGAUCAGGAUGAGUGAUUUUCGAAUUUAUUUUUAACCUAGGAAAAUUUAGAGAGAAGACAAAUUCCCCACAAAAAAAUAUGCUCGAUUUUGAAAUACUGACAUUUUGCUAGGCUGAAUAGGGAAAGGGUUCGUUCGGUCAUGUUUCAUCCAACCAAGUUGGAAUUCACAGAUCACCUAGAGCAUAGCAAAUCAAGGUAUAUAAGUAUGGGACACCUCAAACACUUAAGGCCAUGUUUCAUGGCCAUGCAAUUAUGAAAAGGAAUCCCGAUCCAAGCAAUCAAAUUCCUAGGAGUGGCUUUUUUUCCCCUUUAUUGUUUGGUUUCAAAUUACCAAUGAAGAGAGAAAUGUCCAAUGUGAGUUGCCAAAUGAGGUUAAAAACAUGUCAGAAAUGGAAUGUGUCUCCAAUCAACAUGUAAAAGUAGAGGAUAGAAACAGAAUGAAGAACCACAUAAGAUCCCUCAACAAUUUCCCGAUUAUUGUCCUCCAAAUGAUUUUACAGUUCACACAAGCAUUUUUACGAACCGAUUAUACAAAACUCAUCAAAAUCUUGCGAGUUAAGCAUUUUUCGCACAAAAUCCACAGCAAUGAAGACGAAGCCAUUUUUAUGAACUUCAAACUACUGCACAGAAGUUCCUUUAAGCUUUUAUUUUUUUUUUUUAUCCCCUUUGUGUUUGGAGUAAAAGACCAAUCGCGAGAACUGAAAAGGGGGGGACAGCAACUCAGCCGAGUGGGUAAAGGGAACUUUAUGUCCCCCCCCAAGCCAACAUGAUGCUUGUUGCUGAUGUCUCCAUAAAGAAUCCAAACAAGUUUCACAAUGACGAGAGAGAGAAAGGAUUUCACCUAGUAGAGGGAUGUGAGGGCUAUGGAACCAAGAGGCAGGCGAAACUCACGUGGGAAGGAUUUGAAGAUGAUGAAUGGAGGAAGGGGGGGGGGGGGAGAGAGAGAGAGAGAGAGAGAGAGAGAGAGAGAGAGUUCUGGUUUUGUAGGAUUUAAAGAUGAUGAAGCUCAGACUACUGAGUGGGUAGAGUUCGCAAAUGUUUUUCUUUUCUAGGAAUUCCGGUACCACCUCUACUGAGCAAUCCAAUUCUGCAUAUUAAAGAGAAUCCAUUACCUAGGUAAUUUGAUUCCACAAUCAUAAAACCAUCCGAAGAUGAGUUGCAAUGGGAUUUCAUUUCCUUUUCUUACUCCAAGGUGAACCAAACAACGCCUAAGUGAUCACCUAGUGUAUUAGACUUCCGAAUGUUUUCCUGGUGGAAUCUAAGAUUUGCAUUCUCAACCAUGACUUUCCACUAGGAACACGGAUAUAAAAUCUCUAAACCAAGGCAGUGAAAAUGCUGGAAUGCACACGAUUUGCAUACAUGGGAACCUACCAUCAACUCACCCCAACAUACAUACGAGGAGAGAGAGAGAGAGAGAGAGAGAUGUCUGAAUUUUGUUAUGAGUACAAAAACCUACCAAGUCCGCAGGGAACUCUGAAUGAUUAUCUUUUCCCUUGAAUACCCCAGUCCUUGUUAAUAUAGAAAACCAAGGAUCUCCUGCCUGAAGGAGUUGUCAGCUCUAUUGGUGAUUAUGUUUGGAAAAAAAUUUACUGGUAUAAUAAACUCGAUAUUUGGUAUGAAAGAUACCUGUCGUGCGCCUCUAAUGUCGAUUUUUGGAUUAUCUCCUAUCAUGUAUAGGGUUUUGAAACAACGAAUUCCAGAGUUUGUAGUAUUCUCCACAUCUAGGUUGCUUAACAAAGAUGGCAUAAGAUUCCUUAACACUGUCUCAGCAUUUCCAUAGACAAAUGGAUUUGGCUUCCCGUAUGAUGUAUACGCCAGCAGAAUGGGAUGUAUUCUGCAGAAUAGGGACAAGUAAACAAUGCACAACAUAAGAUUGAAGAUUAAUGCAUGCUGCUAUGCUGCAUCGAGGAAAGUUAGGCCUACACAAGGAUCUUAUAGGCCAAUCUUUAAUUUUUUGCGGAGAAUACUAUAUCAAACUCCAUAAAGAACUAUACAUUGAGAAACUGGAACCUCACCAUUACCUGUUAUAGAUUGCUUCUAACGCAAUUCUGAAAGCUCCCAUACCCAGACGUUCAGCAAGAAAAGUAGCCUGCCUUUACAUUUUGUCAGCUAGUCAUCAGCCAGUCUUUAGUUCCCCUAAGGUUUCAAAAACUCAAGAUUGCAGCUUCGAAUCACAAAUGGCAUAGCUUACCUGGUAUUCUAGGUCAUCAUUUGCAAAAAAACAGGUGCGGUUGCUUAUUAGUCUCCUUUCCAGGAAGCCCUCCAGUUCUCAAUACGUCACAGAGCACCUAAACCCAAACUUGAGUAUCAUAGAAUUAUUUUAUUGUACGCGGACAGAUAGAUAGAUGAUAACACUCCUUUUUAUCACUUCUUUCAAACAUAUUUCAGCGCCCACUAGACUUCUAAAAGGAUGAUGACUAAAGUUGCACAGUAGUUACUGAACAAACAAACAAAAGCCUGGUGUCUUUUGAUAAUCAGUUCAAAGAUUUAGAACUCACAUGACAAAAAGCCCAGUAUGGACUCAACAGCCGAGUUAGAUAAUCUAAGAAAGGACAAGAUCCAUUAGAGUGGUCACAACCUGAAUAUCUCUGCUCCAGUCAACAGAAUCACUGACUACAAAUGCUGCCUGAACUCUCUGUGUUUGCACAGCAAUUUUUCUCUUCGCCAUCUCAUUGGAAGUGAUAUUCUGGUCAAUGCCUGGCUUAGUUGUCCAUCUCUUGUACGGUGCCAGUGGAUCAAUGGCAUCAAAGUAGCUAGUGUACUCAUCAAUUGACAGAACAUUUCUGCACAGAAAAGAUCAACCAGAAAGAGGAUCAACCGGAGAGAAAUCAAAGAGAAUAAAGUUGUUGCGAUUCGCAUUCUCGGUGAAACAGUAUUGAAAACACAGACAACUUAAAUGAAUUAAGGAGAGGACUCCUCUGCGAUUACUCAAGUCCCUGAGAACUUGAGUGCUUUUUAUUAACUUUGCUAGCUUCUAGGUAUUACCUAGACAUUAAAGUAAUAUCCAUCAAUAUCAAUUUUAUUAAAUACAUAUCUUUAUCCCUAUUGGCAACCUAUCUCUCUCUUCCCCUCCCCCCACCCACACACCUGCAUGCACAAGCAAGUAAUUGAGACAUUGCUGGGCACAUUUGCAAACCUAGAGAAGUGGUCAAAAUAUUUACUUGUAUCCAUAUUCGGACAUCACAGUAGCAGGUUCUCCUUUGCCAACAGCAACGACAAGUUCGUUCUCGAAUCUGUGCAAAAACCUCAAUUAGGAAACAAAUGAAUAAAAUAGAGAAGCAUAUUCGUUAGUAAAACAGAAAAGCCUAUUCAGAAUUCUUUUAGAAUAGUUAGCACAUGCAUUCACACUCUUCUAUGUCUUUUCAAUCCAUAUAAUAUAAUAUAGGUAGUGCAUUUCCCUAGUAUCCAAGAAGAAAGCACAUGAGAUGAAGAUAUGAGAUGUGUUCUUUGAUAUCCACGUACAUAUCCCAGAUAGGGUACAUUCAAUAAAGUCCAAUUUCACAGUUUUGAACCUACUAAAUCGUGUACUUAUAAAUAAUUCUUUUACAGGAGAAUUCUUAUCAAUCUAAUAAUACACAUGCACAAUAUUUUAUUUUGCGAUCAUUUAUUUUAAUAAUCAUGAGUGAGAUAAAUGAAAAAAGCAAAUGUUAUCGAAAAUGCUCAGUCCUGAUUUACAUUAGCAUGCCGCAUUUCUCAUUGGACAUUGGUCAUGGAGAUAAUCCAACAAAUCCUUACCUAUUUACCAGUUGUUUAAAAGGUGUGUGGCCCUGUAUGACCUGCAAAUUAUCUUGGUCAAAAUAUGAGAGAAAAUGAAACAAAGUAGUUCUGGACCUGAUAACAAGCAAAACCAUGAGGGCAAGCAGAUUAUGUAACACACGAAACGAACUACCUGUGAAGGUAAAAUGUUGACUCCUAGUAGUUGACCUAAGUCCUGGGCUCUUUUGGAUUCAGAAAAGCCACCUCCUGCAUCAGCCAUUAGUAUUAGCAGUGUGCAGUAAAAACUAAUUAUCGCUUCUUCAAGAAUUAACAAGCGAAAUUUCUAAUUUCAAGGGACUAACAUAUUGAGCGAUUAUAGGUAAGGGCAUCUCAAAAGGCGUCACAGAUUCAAAUUGCUUGAAUGACUUAAACACAAGACAGCGGCAAUCUCAAAAUCAUCAAGACGAUUACUAUUAGAUCUUAAAAAGUACCAAUACUUGCCGAUAAGUGAAUAAUCAACCACAAUAACCGUAUGAUGUCCAGCAUGCAACUUGAAAACUUUAGUUUGACCAUCAUAUCACGGCACUCACCGGUGAUGACUCUAUAGAAUGGUCACAUUCGCUAACACACAUCGAAAGUGAGAAAUGUAAUAGUAAAGGUUACUAACACAUUUAAGCAAUCACGAACACUCACCUUUUGUUAAGAACACGAAAGGUAUCUUCAACUCUCCUGAAAAGAUGUAGAACCUAAAGUAAGUGAUAGAAGGUUACAAAUAGCAGAUACGAAUCUCGAUAUCCGCCGCCCUUUACUGUCCAUCAGAAAUUUCGGUAGCAAUCAGUUCGCAACGUAGAACAAAAAAGAGAAAUUAGAUUGAUUUCCCGGGCUUAAUUUAAGUUAUGGGUGAAGACAUUCUCUUUCAGGUUAUACUCUGUGUGGGAACUGUAGAAAUGAUCUGCCUUGGUACAGAGAAAGGAACUCACUUUAAGCACGUGAAACAGCACGAUCGCCAGCAUGAGAUAAGCCUCGCAGGUAUACCAGCAAGCGAUGGCGAAAGCUUUACCAGAAUCGUCGUAGUACAAUCUCCUGAGCACGCGCGGAGAACCGCCGAUGGGAGUGUGACCGAGGAGGACCACGCCGUCGAUGUCGAAGGCGAUGCCGAACGAAGGCCUGCACGACGAAACCACGAUCAUCGAUUCGAUCAUGGGCGAAACAGAAGAAGAAGGAGAGAAAAAGAGAACAUCGGAGAAAAUCACGAGCGUUGUCGAAGCAUGACCGGAAGGCACCGAUCCGAUUGCGAGCAAAGCCGCGAAAACGAGCGCGAGGCGAGCGGGGACGGCUGCUUUCUGCCGCGACUCCGCAAGGCGAUGGUGAAAAGCCGGUGCCUCAUUUUCCUGUUCGCGGCGAAUCGCUUCGGGAGAUCGAGGAGCUCGAAUCGCCGGAGAUGAAGCUCCAAGAAGAACGGAGCGAGCUUCAACAGUCCAUAGAGAGAGAGAGACAGAGAGAGAGAAUGGCUCAAUCGCGCAGCGUCUUCUCGUUCGAUGUUCAGGAGCCGUGAAUUGGGCACCGUUGAAAUGAUGGGCGGGCCUCGAUAACGGAUCGGCCAACGGAUCGGCCUUUCCUUCGGAUCCGAGCUCAACGGUUAAGCUUGAUUUUGGUGAACGUUUUUGGGCUGUUUUUGAUGGUGGACUGAGCAUAUCGCGGAGGAGUUCGAUGUUUCGGGGACUUCGAGGCUACUGACAUAUCUCCGAUGGCUUCUGUGUAUUAUAGAUUUGAUUUUAGGCUUCGCUUCAUCCUUAGAAAGUAACCUGAAUUCACGAUAAAAACUAAAAUGAUUUGCGAUAAUGUCCUAUUUAUGCCUCAUGUGCGAUCGGCGCCUUCUUACUCAUUAUUCACCCAUGGACUUGAUCGACGAGUGGAUUAUAUGUCAUGGUGAGUUUAUCUUUGGUUGCUGAGAUAUUGGAAGAGAAUAAAAGUCUAACUGCGAGAUUCUGAGGCUGCUAAUGCAUCUUUUAUGACUUCACUGUUUGACUUUGACAAUUGUUGCUCCAGUUCCUGAGGAAUAUUGAUAUGUAGUUACAAAGUCAGAUCAUAAUUCAUCCAUGUACUAUUUAUUGCUUCGCGCAACGUUUAUUUGAUAAUUCAUGCAUAAACUUUGAUCUAGGUGUGUAUCUGGUGAGGCCACAACUGCCCGCAGUCGGAGGACGUGAAGGAGUUGGCAAAGUACACUUAAGUCAUAAAGUGAUAUCAGAUUAACAGUGGACCAGCCAUGCUCAUCUAGUUUAUCACCUCCGAAUGAUUUAUCCAGCCAAAGGAUAAUCUUCUAUAUUUGCUCCAGCAUGUUGAACAUUUUCAACCUGGCGAAAAUUUGAUUAGAUGGAGAAGAGAAACGAGUGGAAUAUCAACCAAAAGAAAAUCGAAAUUUUUAUACACACCUCAGUAUACGACUUGUUUUGAUACUUUUACAUUCCAUAAGUACUGACUUGUUUUGUUAUGAAGAACAUCCAUGUCUAGCACUUACCCAUUGUAAAUUUGAGUGUGUUGAAAAGUGAAAUAGUUUUUGUGCUCAAGGACAUGGCAGACUUACAUUGUGAAAGACCAGAGUGUGUGGCAAAAAAUUGAUAAGAAUUCUCCUAUUGAAUAUGCCACAACAAUUUCAAUUAAUCCUCCAACCGCUUUCAAAAUGCUUGAAGACUUCACCUGUUUGGAACCAGGUAUAUAGACAGUACAGAAGUCCUCUUAGCUAUCCCCCAACUUUCACUGUAAGCAAUUUAUACUAAGUUGUCCUAAUCAAUUGUGAUCAUUACGGGAUUCGAUUGUGCAAAAUGGGGCUACGAGUAUGGUGGGUCGAUGCCUCAUCCAAAUUGCGAAAUCCCAUGGCAUCCAUAGCAUCAACAUAAUUAGGGACAGGUGCUCUUUCGAAAGCUUUCAGUAACCUUGACACCGUAUAACUUUUGUCAAACGAUUGUUGUUUAAAACUUUUGUGUAGACUUUAGAUAGCAAGGGUAUGUGUGGGUUUGCUUUUAUUUCUCUUUUAAGUGAUCUGCCUUAACCAUUCCUAGCAAGCCUUUUCUUUUCCCUCUUUCUGGGAAAGCAUUGAGCUCUUGUCUACUUAGCUUCUAAAGUAGCUUUGGAUGGUUACAUGGCCCGAAUUAUAUCUGAAAUUCAAGCUUUUGACAAGUUGGAACUCUUUGGGGAUUGAAUUACUUGUGGCAACUAUCUUUUCCUAUUCUAAUUGCGAAUGUUGUUGGUGGACUAAUAAAUAUGAACAAUUGCCAGAUACACAAAUAUGUUGAUUAUGUUUAGUUGUGGUAGUGGUAUAUCAAAUUACAAAUUGAAAAUGUGCCAACAUAUUCAGCAUUUUGGUAUCUUAGGUUUUUAUGGAAGAUGGCAUGAUUGACUGAGAUCUCUUGUAUCGAAUAACAGGGAGAAGUGGAUCUUGAGCUUGUGUUACUAUAGUUGACCCUUUUAAGCUUGAAGGAACACAGAGUCUGAUCACUGAUUCAAGGAAAUUAUAAUCUUUGGCUAGGUGCGUACAAUGGGAAGGAAUCUAUGAGGCUAACUGAGCGUUAGUUCAUGCAUCGGCAUGCAAUAAUGGUUCUAUUAUGAGGGCAUUUUGAGAAUUGAUUAUAUUGAACUUAUCAGAGAAAAUAAGACAAUACUUUUAGUUGGUUUUGGUACAUCAACGUCAAUCUGCCAAUAUAAAGAUGAGGUUUUGUGAUGGGGUAACAUGUAUAUGAAAGAUUAGAAGGACCUGUUUUCUGAAUCUAUUGAAGGCAAGGGCAGUUAAUUGUAGUGUGACGUGAAAAGAUAUGUUUUUGCAUUGCUCAACCUGUUACUGUCGAUGCUGCUUCUACUAUUUUUGUAGUCAUCAUGUGUUCUAGAUGUUGAUUGCCGGUAUGUUUAGAUCAUCAUACUACCAGGGCAUUGGUAAUUCCACCUUCUGUGGUUGCUGGUGGAAACUUACUUUUGGUAUAUCUAAGACCUCUCUUUGCUUUGCAACUUCCUUGUAGUGAUUUUUUUAAUUCUGUGAUGAGACAGAAAAAAGGUCAGAAAACAUUUUGCAAUGCUUGACACAUUAAUUUAGUAGAGUUCUCGUUAGCCAGCUCAUUAGUACCUGAGUGACAUCUAGGAUGAAUUUAGUAGAAUUCGUAAUUUAUUUCUCAACUUAGCAGUUAGCACUGCAUUUCAGUAACUAAAUUUGGUUUUUAUUGGGCUUUCACGACCCUUUUUUUCCCGUGAUAGAGCUGGCUCUAAUGAAGCAAAAGAGGCGUUGAAGAAACUCAGUGCUGGAGAAGUGUUCACCGAGAGCUAAUUCGAAGUAAAGAAUAUCAAGAGUCUACUGGUAUCAUGCAUCCAUUAACCCAUUCUACCAUAUUCUCAUAUGCAUGGACACACAUCCAUGUUUAGCCAUUGGCACUUGAGUUCUUUAUUUACAUCUAAUUGACUUGCUACUAGGGUAAUCUAAAAGAACCUACCCUUGGAUUAAACUAUGUUGGUGGCAAUGCUGCUUCCUUGGUGAUGAAAUUUUUGAGGUGCAACAAGUGUUAAAGUAGUGUUGAGUGCUUCCCAUAUCUUUACGAAGAGAGCUCAAUUCGUUUUGUUCUCAAGCGGGGAGGAACCAUGGUGAGAUAUGGUGGGAUGUCUAAGAAACCAAUUACAGUAUCAACUUCAUCUUUUCAUCUUCAAGGUAAAUUAAGAAGUGGCGAACUAAAUUUUCCACCUACGGUUUUAGUCAAGCCUUACAAUUUGACUUGUCUAUGUUGGUCUUGGUCAAUGCCCUAUGGUUUUAUUUUUUGUCUAAACUUGGCCCAAAAUCUCACUUUCAGUAUUUGACACAACCAAAUUUGAGCUAAAAAAAUUAUUACUGGAGUCAAGACUAAGAGAAUUGUGUAAACCAAUUCUUCCAUAUAUUCAAUCGUGCGGGGAGUUUUUUUUUUUUUUUGGGGGGGGGUGGGGGGGGGGGGGGGGGAAUGUAAUUACCUGUUAAGAAAUGAAGCAAAUUGUGGAUUGGUGAGAAAAUCAUGCGCGUGAGAUCAAGAGAUUAUCCACGUGGAUUUCUUAGGGCCAAAGAAUCAAUAUCACUUGCUCCCUUAAUCGAAAGUAGUAAUUGUUGGGGCUUCAUGAAUCAUGUAUAGAUAAAAUUUAACAAAAGAACACAACGGAAACAAAAAUGAUAUAUUUUAUACAUGAUUCUCCGAAGGCAUUGUUUGUGCGUUUUAAUAAAAAAAAUCUGAAUGUAAAAAGAGAGGCUAAGGAAUUACUUCUCGAAACGCGCUUUAAACAAAUUGGUUCGGAUGUUUUUCAGUUCGAGUCCCACAAACGUUAGAACUCUAGUUCAGACACACCAACAAUGGACGUCGAAUGGAAGAGAGAACUUUCGAAUAAUCACCACUAUGAUCGUGCUAGCAAUCUUGUGGAGACAAUCGAUCGUAUCCUUGAUGUAUUAUAGUCACAGCCCAAACGAGAGAACACUCUUCUUUAUCGCGUCUCAAAAAACACAAAAACAUACACAUUUUACUCUAUUUUCAGCAACCUUAUUUUCUGUCCUCAAUGCAGCAUUUUAAAAUGAAAAAUGCUUGAAUCAGCAACCGUUGCUGAUUGAGGGGACAAUAAGCAACCAUUGCUGAUCAUCCGUUCAUGCACGAACGAUCGUGCAUGAACGGUCAGCAGUUGCUGACAUCCAAGUUUCAUGCAUGUGCUUCGUGCACAUGCAGGAAGCUUUAAAUAUUUGUUUAUUAAACAUUAAUUAAUUAAUUAAUUAAUUAAACUAAUAAUUAAUUAAUUAAUCAAUCCCCUUUAAAAAUAAAAAGAACAUAAUCUUUAUAUGUACAUUUGGGAAUACAUUAACAUGUAUUCACUUUGGGCAUAUAUGUGCAUUAUAUGCAAAUAGGUUCAUGAUUAUAAUACAAAUUAAAUUAAAUCUUAUUUAAUUUAAUUUCAAGUUGACACAAUUCGAUUGUAGUAAUUGUAAACAAAUUUGCAACAUUAUUUAUUUCUUGUUCCACGUUAUCCUAAUUGUUUAUUGUGUGUGACAUCCCUAGGUUCAUCACUAAACUGGUACUAAGACUUGUACAAACACAUCAGUACUCUCAAAGAAUUAAUUGUCCUGAUUAAUCUUUGGGUCCUACAAGUCAUGAUUGACAUCUAGCAAUAUGUCAUGGCUACCCAGAUAGUGUGAAUGCUUUAAGAACAUAAUGAACUUGUCAACUUUGACUACAGUGUAAUUCAAUCCAUCUGUCUUACUAUGUCCCGAUUAAACAAAGACCAUGGAAUAAUUGUCAAGUCACCAAUUCGAUCAUAUGCACAAUCUAAUUGACAUGCAUUUUAUUCGAGACAUAAACAAUUUAUUAUCGGUUAUAACCCCAAAAAGAAUACCUGUAAUCAUCAUACAUUCAUCCAUACAACAAUCACAAUGAUUAAGGAUUUUUCCAUGAUCACCACCCUUCAAAAUUUAAAGCUCCAGAAGGCAAAGAUAAAAUUCUGCAUUUAAUCAAAUUUAAAGUUGAACAACGCAAGUCAAGAAAUCAAAUCGAUGAAACAAAUUUCACGAGCGUGAUUCCGUACGGAAGUCGCGUUGUCAACUUUAAAUUCACAAUCACGAAUCAUUCGCAAAAUGUAAACACAAAGUAUAAGAAGUUACAGAUUUUUUUAUUCAAAAUUGAUUUAGUUCUAAUUUUUUCUUAGUUGAUUAAAUUUAUCACAUAAAUGAAUCAACUUCUAUAGGCCACAUAAGAGCAAGAGAACCAAUUCUCUUAACAAAAAUAAAUUGGCCAUUCAAACACAAAAAUAUGUUUGAACUAUAAAUUCAAUUAAACACACGAGAAACGCCUAAGGUUGGCUCUGAUACCACUGAAAUCCCUAAUAUGUAACUAUUAUAUAGUAGCUUUAGGGCAUACAUCCAACAAUCUCCCACUUGCACUAAAGCCAACUUGUUUGGUACCUUAAACCCAUUUUGUCAAUAUGCCUUUCAAAAGAAGACUGAGGUAAGGCCUUAGUGAAGGGAUCUACCACAUUUUCUGUUAAGGCAAUUUUCUGCAAGGCAAUAUCACAUCUCCCAACAAUUUCUCUGAUGAGAUGGAAGUGUCUCUCAAUGUGCUUGGACUUUUGGUGAGACCUUGGUUCCUUAGCUUAAGCUAUCGCCUCAGUGUUGCCACAAAACAAUGGGGACAAGGACCCCUGGAGUGCAAAAAGUUGGCACAAAAGGACACUUAAGUGCCAAAAGUUACGAAAGGUACACUUAAGUGCCAAAAUCGGAGCAAAAUGGAUCACUUGAGUGCCAAUCCGGCCAAAAUGCCGACGUGGCAUUUUUCCAGCGAAUCGAGCCCAAAACGACGUCGUUUUGCAUGCUGACAUGGCCAAAUAAUGCAAAAACGGCGUCGUUUUGGGCUCAUGUGAUAAAAAAAAUAAUAUAAAAAUUAAAUAAAUUAAAUUUAAAAAUAGAUUUAGUUAAAAUAUUAAAAAAUAUUAAUUUUAAUAGUUAAAAUAUUAAAAAAAUAAUAAAUUUAAAAUUACAUUUAGUUAAAAUAUUAAAAAUAAUAAUUUUAAAAUUACAUUUAGUUAAAAUAUUAAAAAUAAUAAUUUUAAAAUUAAAUUUAGUUAAAAUAUUAAAAAUAAUAAUUUUAAAAUUAAAUUUAGUUAAAAUAUUAAAAAAAUAAUUUUAAAAUUAAAUUUAGUUAAAAUAUUAAAAAAUAAUCAUUUAAAAAUUUAAAUUUUUUUAAAAAAUUAAAAAAUAAUAAUUUUAAAAUUAGAUUUAGUUAAAAAAAUAAAAAUAAAAAUAAAAUAAAAUUUAGUUAAAAUAUUAAAAUAAUAAUAAUUUUAAAUUAAAAAAAUUAUCAAAAUUUUAUAAAUUAAUUAAAAGGGGGGUGGCUGAGGGCAGCCUAGCCACCGCCCCCCUUUUUUUAAAUUUUUAAAAUUUUAAAUUAUUAUUUUUUAACAUUUUAAUUGAAUUGAAUUUUAAAAUUAUUAUUUUUCUAAUAUUUUAACUAAAUCUAAUUUUAAAAUUUUUAUUUUUUAUUUUUUAAAUUUUUUUAUAAUUAUUAUUUUUUAAUAUUUUAACUAAAUUUAGUUUUAAAAUUAUUAUUUUUUUAAAUUUUUAACUAAAUCUAAUUUUAAAAUUAUUUUUUAAAAUUUUUAACUAAAUUUAAUUUUAAAUUUUUUUAAAUUUUUUAUUUUUAAAAUUAUUAUUUUUUAAUAUUUUAACUAAAUUUAAUUUUAAUUUUUUUAAUUUUUUUAACUAAAUCUAAUUUUUUUAAAUUAUUUUUUUAUAUUUUAAUUAAAUUUUAUUUUAAAAUUAUUAUUUUUUAAAUAUUUAACUAAAUCUAAUUCUAAUUUUUUUUAAUAUUUAACUAUUAAAAUUAUUAUUUUUUAAUAUUUUAACUAUAUCGAAUUUUAAAUUUAAUUUAUUUAAUUUUUAUAUUAUUUUUUUACCAUAUCAACCCAAAGCGACGCCAUUUUUGCAUUACUUGCCACGUCAGCAUGCAAAACGGCGUCGUUUUGGGUUCACUUCGCCGGAAAUUCGUCGGAAAAACGCCACGUCAGCCUUUUGGCCGGACUUUGGCCAGAGUGGCACUUAAGUGAUCCGUUUUUUUUCGAAUGUGACACUUAAGUGUACUUUUCGUAACUUUUGGCACUUAAGUGUCCCUUUGUGCCAACUUUUGGCACUUGAAGCGUUCUUAUCCCCAAAACAAUGUAAUCGAUUGCUCAAUUGAAGGAAUGAAUCCAAGUUCAAAAAUAAACUCCUUCAUCCAAGCGGCUUCUUUUGUUGCUUCAGAAGUGGCUACAUACUUUAGCUCAGUGGUGGAAUUGGCAGUUAUGCUUUGUUUGGAAUUUUUCCAACUAACUGUGCCACCAUUGAAUGUAAAGACAAAUCCAGAAGUAGACUUGUAAUCAUUAGGAUCCGAUUAAAAAUCAGAAUCAGUAUAAGCUACAAUUUUAAAUUCUCAUUCUCCAUUUAUCAAGAAUAGAUCCCUAGUCUUUCGCAAGUACUUAAAAAUAUUCUUAAUUGCUAUCUAGUGCUCUUCUCCUAGAUCAUACUAAUAUCUUAUAGUAUUACAACAUGUGAUAUAUCAGGUCUAGUACAUAACAUAGCAUACAUUAUGCUUCCAAUAGCAGACGCGUAUGGUAUAUUUGCCAUCCGCUCUCUUUUUUCAAGAGUGUUAGGACACAUCUUUUGAGAAAGAUGAAUCCCUCACCUAAAAGGCAAUAAUACUCUCUUGGAACUUUGCAUGUUAUUAACACUUUGUCUAUGUACGUAGAUUGUAAGAGGCCAAUCAACCGUCUUGAUCUAUCUAUAUAGAUCUUGAUACCUAAAAUGUAGGUUGCCUCUCCUAAAUCUUUCAUGGAGAAUUUCUGUGACAAGAAUAGUUUUAUCGAUGAUAUUAUCGGUACAUCAUUCCCAAUCAAAAGUAUAUUAUCGACAUACAAAACUAGAAAUGCAAUUGCACUCCCAUUGAUCUUCUUGUAUACACAAGGUUCAUCCAUAUUUUUGAUGAAGCCAAAAGAUUUGACUACCUCAUCAAAAUGAAUAUUCCAACUUCUGGAGGCUUAUUUGAGUCUAUAAAUGGAUCUCUUAAGCUUACACACCUUAUGUUUUUCACUAUUGUAUUCAAAACCCUGUGGCUAUUCCAUAUAGAUCUCCUCCUUGAGAAAACCAAUUAGAAAAGCAAUUUUGACAUCCAUCUGGAAUAUCUCAUAAUCUAAGUGUGUAGCUAUAGCCAACAUAAUCCGAAUGGAUUUUAGCAUGGCCACAGGUGAGAAAUUUUCAUCACAAUCAAUUCUUUAUUUCUGACGAUAUCCUUUCGCCACCAACCAUGCUUUGUAAGUUCCAAUUUGACCUUCAGCAUUCAUCUUCCUCUUGAAGAUCCAUUUUCAGCCAAUUGGUAUAAUACCAUCAGGUAGGUCAAUUGAGGUCCAAACUUCAUUGGAAUACAUUGAAUCCAUUUUGGAUUUCAUGGCUUCUAGCCAUUUACCAGAAUCGAUGUCCAACAUCGCCUCCUCAUAGGUUUUAGGAUCACCAGGUUGAUCACUAUCAUUCACAAUGAAUAAUGGUUCAAUAUGAUCAAUUGAGUGUCUAUAACAAGCAGGUGGGCAAGACGUUUUCGCACUUCUCCUAAGAUGUUGUGUAUCAGAAGCUCCCACUGAAUCAGAGAUUGGUAUUUGAACUUGGUUGUUUAGUACUUCAUUAUUUUCUUCUUGUAAGACUAUUUUCCGCCCAGCACCACCUUCUUGGAUGAACUGAUUCUCCAGAAAAGAAGCAUGCUUCUUACCAAAAUUCUUUGAUCUGAAUGAAAAUAGAAAUAAUAUCCAAGAGUUUCCUUUGGAUAUCCAAUGAAGCGACCUUGUUCAAAUCUUGCUUCCAAUUUUUCCAUUUUUAGCUUUUUCAUGAAAGCUAGACAACCCAAAAUCUUAAUAUGAUUAAGACUAGGUUUCCUACUAUACCAUAUCUCAUAGGGCGUAGUUGCAACGGAUUUGGACGGUACUCUGUUAAGUAUAUAUACAAUUGUCUCAAGGGCAUAUCCCUGAAGGGAUAUUGGUAAAUCAGUGUAACUCAUCAUAGAUCAUACCAUAUCUAAUAAAGUACGAUUUCUUCGUUCAAAUACAUCAUUAUGUUCUGGAGUUCUAGAAGGUGUCCAUUGUGAUAAAAUGACAUUCUCUUUAAGAUAGUCCAGGAAUUCAUUACUAAGGUAUUCACCUCAUCGAUCCAAUCGAAGAGCCUUAAUACAUUUUCUUGUUUGUUUCUCAACUUCAGCCUUGAAUUCCUUGAACUUUUCAAAAAAUUCAGAUUUAUACUUCAUGAGCCUUAACCAUACCGUGAUUGAUCAUCGGUGAAGGUAAUGAAGUAAUUAUAACCACCUCUAGCAGUUUCAUUAAUUGGUCCACAUACAUUUGUAUGUAUUAAUCCUAAUAUGUUAGCAGCUCGCACACUGUGUCCCACAAAAGGCGCUUUGGUCAUUUUUCCUAGAAGACAUGCCUCACAAGUCGAGUAUGACUCAAAAUUUGAUAGAUCAAUAUACCCAUCAUUACUCAACUUGUUAAUUUUCUCUUCUCUAAUAUGACCUAAUCGGAGAUGCCAAACAUACUUUUUAUUUGGACCUCUCUAGGGCAUUUAUUAGUUAUGACAUUUAUAUCAAUUUUAUUUUGCUUAUUGACAUCACUAAUCGCAUUACCGGACAUUAUAAUGGUAUAAAGAUUAUUGGUUAAUAAGCUAAAACCAACAUAUUUUCUUUUAUGAUAAAUAGAACAUACAUCAUCAACAAAAGAAAAUUCAUAAUUCUCUUUACCCAAAUGAGGUAUAGAGAUGAUGCUCCUAACAUCAUUCUUAUAAUGCAAAUAGUUCUUUAAAACCAAUACAUGUCCAUAAGGCAAACAUAAACGAAAAGUCCCCAUAGCUAACGCAACAACUCUUGCUCCAUUGACAAAUAUCAGGACAAUCUCAUUUUGCCCUAGCAUCCUACUUGCUUCCAGAUUCUGCAAAGACAUACAAAUAUGUGAAGUCGCAACAAAAUCUAGAACCCAUGAGCUGGAUUCAACUUUAACCAUAAGAUUAGUUUCAAUAAGUAUAGACACCAUACCUUCAUAAGGUUGGUCCUUGGGCUUGACCUUCAAGCUCACGAGAUACUUCUUACAGUUCCUCCUCCAGUGCCCCUUGACACCAUAAUAGUGACAUUUCCCUUUAUCAAUCUUGGGUUUUGGUUGUACAAUAGGUUUGAUAGGCCUUUUCCAUUUCUUUUUCUUUAAAACAAUCUUACCUCUUGAAGAAGAAGCCUUAGCCAUAGCCACUACAUUUGGUUUCGUGUUGUGCAUUUCCUUCUCAUAAACUACCAGCAUGUUAUGUAACUAAGCGAGAGUUUUCUCAAUCUUAUGCAUGUGGAAGUUUUGGACAAAACCAGAGAAGGAAUCGGGUAAAGAUUGGAGGAUCAAAUCCACAGCUAACUUGUUGUCCAUAACGAGAUUCAGCUUAGCCAAUUCUUCAAUGUGCCAGAUCAUUUCCAAAGCAUGAUCAUUAACUGAUGAUUCUUCAACCAUCCUCAUACAGUACAAUGCCUUAGAUAUCUCAUAUCUAGAGGUUCAACCAUUCUCAUCAAAAUAUUCCUUUAAAUGCAAAAUGAUCGACCUAGCAUCUUCCAUAGAUUCAUACUUCUUUUGUAAUUCAUUAUUAAUCUAAGCAAGCAUAUAUGACCUGAAUUUUAAGUCAUCGUCACGCCACUUAUCAUAAGUGACACGCUCCUCUUGGGUCCCACCCUCAGGAAAGGAGGUUGGCAUCUUUUCAUCAAGCACAUACCUAAUUUUUUUUUCUGAAUUGAGAACAAUUCUCAAAUUCCUCACCCAGUUAGUGAAAUUGGGUCCAGUUAAACAAUUCUUGUCAAAUAUAGAAGUGAGUGGGUUUGUGGUCACCAUUUUCAGAGUAAUAAUAUAUCUGUUGCAGAAAAUAAAUUAUUAACCGUUGUAUCUUUCAAAAUAACUAUUUCAUUUUGGCAUUUAAAUGAAAUAGAUCCUCCUACUAAAUUUAUAUUCGAAUCACAUACUCUUUAAGAUGGGAAGCGGUAAUCUUUGUUGGGUAAAGAUUACUAGUGGGGAUUGGAGUCCCACUAACCCAAAGCCCGCCUCACCUAGCAGUCAUUGGUGUUCUAUGAACUUAGUGAGUGAACCAACUUGUUCAAUGCAUCAUAUGCAAGUUCCAAUCAUAACUUCGGCCUCUAGACCAUGAAAGCCUCACCUAAUAGUUAUUGGCAUCAUGAUCAUAGUUAAGUCUAGCCCAUCGUCUCAUGUAAGUAUUGAAAGCACAAACGAUUCCCUUACCUAACAGUUAUUAGAAAUCAUUUGGCUCCAACCCCACAGCAUCACAUGCAUAAUGGAGUGGUCCAAUAUUAAGAGUGGUAAUUAACUCCUAUGUACCCAUAGCUUGUCAAUUAACCACUAUAAUAUUGGAUCAAACCAUGAUGAUGGAAGGCCACGAAUCCGAAACCCAUUUCGACUUAAUAUUAUUAAUCAAGAGAUUUGGGUCGUUAUUUAUUAUCUCACUUUGCACAUUAACCGGUUUAACAUGCAUGAUAACAUAAACACAAUAAAUAAAUAGAUAUUACAUAAACAUCUAUCCUACGUGGUGAUCAUGGAAUUAUGGUUCGGUGGGUCUUGAGCCAAAGAGACCCAUUUAGCCAUUUUAAUGUUUUAAUAAUGGGGACAUGCUCUUCACUUCUUCUUGAAUCUUUGAAUUCUUCAAAGACUAGGCCCAUAGAGCUCACUGGCUUAAUGGCUCCUCCAAUGACUCCUCCUCUCUCGUAGCAUUUACAUCAACAAUUCAUAUACUAAACUAUGCUAAAAUUACAUUUCAUAAAAAUAUAUAUAAAAGGAAGGAUGCACGAGAUUUUCUCCAUGAGAUUGCUAGCACAAUCAUAGUGGUGAUUAUCUGAAAGUUAUCUCUUCCAUUCGACAUCCAUUGUUGGUGUGUCUAAACUAGAGGUCUGACAUUUAUAGGAUUCGAACUAAAGAACAUCCGAACCAAUUCGUUUAAAGCGCGCUUCGAGAGGUAAUUCAUUUAACUCUCUUUUUACAUUCAGGUUUUUUAUUAAAACGCACCAACAAUGCCUUUAGAGAAUCAUGUAUAAAAUAUAUCAUCUUUGUUUCCGUUGCGUUCUUUUGUUAAAUUUUUACCUAUACAUGAUUCAUGAAACCCCAACAGUAAUUGUGGCAUAGCUCAGGCAUCUUUAAGCUUGUGGUAGGUGCUGAACAUCAUAAGAGAAACUUGUACCCAUAGGAGGCGUUCUAUAAAAGAUCUAGAGCAAAGAAGAAGGCAUAGAAACAAUGGUUCUACUAUUGUCUCUUUCUUGAUUUCAUUGCGAUAUCUCAUGCUAAAGUUCAGUUGUACCCAUAGAAGGCAUUUUAGUAAAAGAUCUAGAGCAAAGAAGGCAUAGAAACAAGGAUUCCAUUAUUGUCUCCUUGUCAAUUUCACUGUGAUAUCUCAUGUUCAAUUGUACAAAUACUGCUGACUUCUGGAAUUAAUUCCUAAAUCAUAAAGCACAUCUGGAGUGUAUGAUAAUGGUUGUUAUGGUUUGCAGGAUCUUUCUUUGAGGGGAUUUUGGCUGCAUAAUUGGAUGAGUUCAACUGACGUGACAGAGUGCAGAAGAAUGAUAGAUCACUUGCUAGAACUAUUGCGUGAUGGGAAGUUAAAAUACGAGUAUGUCUUUGGUAACCUGUACUCAAAUUGCUGUAUUUAGGUCUCCAUAUCUUUAUAGUAAUAUCCAAUAGUAUAUCGUCAAGAUAGUGUGUUUCGAUUGUGGAUGCAUAUGAAUUUCUCCAAAACUGCAGGACGGAGCUGGUUCCUUUUAGUGAUUUCCACAUUGCACUGGAUAAAUCACUGGGGAAACUUGGAAGCCAUCCUAAGCAAGUCUUAAAGUUCUAAGGCUACUGAAUAUUAAGGGCGGUGAAAAGAUGGCAAAAUUUUGCAUCGUAUUCUUUAGACGAUCAACUUGUUCAGAAGUUCCCAUGCGCUGGAUCAACCCGACACAAUAACUAUGUAUCUUUUCCAUCAUCAUCAUCAUCAUCAUCAUCAUCAUCAUCAUCAUCAUCAUUUUCUCUUUUCAUAAGUUAUGCAUCUUUUUCUGUUGAGGUCCCUCUUGUUGCUGCUUAUUUUCAGCAAUUUCCAUUCUGAAAUUGUUUUGCAUCAUGCCUUCCAAUCUAAAACUAAUCUUGUGCUUUGCCAAAACAUGAGGUCCGUCUACUCAAUUUGGAGAUCCAAACAUCGGCCCUUUAUGGUAUUGGAAGGGUCCGGAAAGUUUUCAGUUUUUGCCAAUUACAAUUCUCAUAUACAUGUAAGAAGGAACAUUGGGAUACUUACCAAAAAUCAUGUAAGCAAGAUCGCGUGCGUUGAAAAAAGAGCAAGAAGAACCAUAAAUUGUUCAUGUGAUCUAUCUAAUUCAGAUGGGAUGCGGACUGCCUUCAGAGAAAGUCACACAUGAAACACAAUAAGCAAAAUCAAGUGAAGACUAGCGAAUGGAAGUUACUUUAUAAGAUGAGCAAAACACACAAUGGAUAGAUCGUGUCAGCUUCCGAAGAAUUGGCGAUUAUUCGGUAAUCAUAGAAAGAAAAGGCAUCUUUCGUCCAGACAAUGUCAAGUCCCGCACUCCUUUCUCAAUAAAAGUUGACCGCAUCCCCAACAGUAUCCACCACUUGCAUGGGUAAACAUAAAAGAGUUCGACCAGGAUGAUCGAUUUUCAAAUUCAUUUUCAACCUUGGAAAAUUUAGAGAGAAAACAAAUUCCCCGUAAAGUGGCUUUCCAUUAUGCACGGCUUUGAAAUACUGACAUUUCGCUAGGCCGAAGAGGGAAAGGGUUCGUUCAGUCAUGUUUCAUCACACCAAGUUAGAAUCUACAGAUCGCCUAGAGCAUAGCAAAUCAAGGUAUAUAAGAACUUGGAAGAUUAUCAGCACUGACACCUCAAAACACUUAGAGCGCAUUUGGCAACGAUUUUGUUCCCGGGAACAAUUUCUAAUCAGAAAUAAAAAAUAAAAAAAAUUAUUAUGUUCCCGGGAACAAUUUCUAAGCAUUUUAAGCCGUUUGAUAACUGUUCAAAAUUUCUGAUUCUGGAAUAAAAUUGUGUUUGAUACCGUGCUCAAAAUUUCUUCUCAAAAUCAUUUUCUUUAAAUUUUUAAAUAUUUUUUUUUUUACUUUUUUCCUUUUUUUUCUUUUCUUUUCUUCCUUUCUCUCUCAUAUUCUUCUUCUUCAAGUGGUCGGUCGCUAGGGCCGGCGACCUCAUCGGAGCGUUGCCAGCCCUUGACGAGGCCAACCCUCAUUGGUCGAGCCUCGGCGAGGCUGGGCGAGGCCCGCCUGGCCAAGGCUCGGCCUCGGCGGUGGCCAGGUGGGCCUCGCUAAGGCUGGGUGAGGCCCUCCUAGCCACCGGUGAGGCUCGUUUAGCCCCGCCGAGGCUUGGCCUUGCUGGUGGCUAGGCUUGCCUCUAGCGAGCUCGUCGGACCAGUUGCCAACGACCGGCGGCGAUAGGCAACAGACGGUGGACGGCAACCACAAUGGUGGCAAUAGAUGAAGAAUAAGAAAAUGGAAGAAGAAGAGAAAAUAUUAGCUUGAUUCUUAGAUUUGUUCAUGGGAACAAGAAUUAACUUUUUUUGGAUUAUUGAUUAUGUUCCAGAUCUAGCGAGGCUAGGUAAGCCUCGUGAUCUGACGAGGCCGAGCCUCGGCAAGGCUGGACGAGCCUUGCGAUGUGGCGAGGCCGAGCCUUGUUGGUGGCCAAGCAAGCCUCACCCAGCCCCAACAAGGCUCGGCCAACAAGGGCCGGCGACGCUCCGGUGAGGUCACCGACCACUUGAAGAAGAAGAAUAGGAGAGAUAAAGGAAAAAAGUAAAAGAAAAAAAUGAAAAAUGUAAAAGAUGUAUUUAAAAAUUAAAAGAAAAUGAUUUGGAGUAGAAAUUUUGAGCACAGUACUAAACGCAAUUUUAUUCCAGAAUCAGAAAUUUCGGACAGUUACCAAACGGCUUAAAAUGCUUGGAAAUUGUUCCUAGAAACAGAAUAAAAAAGAAUCAUUUAUGAUCAGAAAUUGUUCCUGGAAAGAGAAUUGUUAACAAAUACGCCCUUACUUGCUGUUCCCAAAACCACUCCAUUAUUGCCUCGAAUGUGUUGACGCAGCUACGUUCCACGACUUUUAGCCAUUUCGUAUCCACCUAUCAAAGGGAUGAUCAAGUCAAAAAUGUUGUCCAGCAAAUUCCUUGUUCUCCCCCAUUUUUUUAAGUUGAUAAUUUUAUGCUCAAAUGAAAAUCCUAAUUAGCUACUCCUGAUCAAAUAUUGAUAUUCCCUCUCCUCUUUCAAUAUAGUCCAAUUCGAGUCGAUAGCAAAGAGAAAAGAGGGCAUGUCUCGAUAACAAUUAUAGAGCGCUUCUAUGCGUACCAUAUGUAGAGAUCAUCAGCAAAUGAAAUAUCGAACAUAAUAAGGAGAGCGAGUAGAUUGGUAUCGACUUCAAUUGAACACUGCAAUUUGGAACCAUCGUGUGCAAAUUUGAGUUCAGAAAAGGUCCACUCAGAACAGUUCAAGUUAAAGUUAAAGAGAUAUUUUUGAGAUAUUUUUCUUUAUUUGUUUAUUAAAGUUAAACAGAACAAGCCGGCUAUGUUGGGCGUGGAAUACGCGUUUCCCAAAUAUCUAUUCCUCCCUUCCCUCUCCCUCGACAGACAUUUUUUUUCAUUGCAUCUACAAAUUCCACAGUAACACGCUCCUCAUAUUAUCGUCAGUCAAUUUCAUCUAUUUUCAUAAUAUUUUAAGAAUUCGAAUGGUAUGUUCACCAAGCAAUUUUGGUCUUUUGUUUACUUCGAUUCUCGUGGACUAAUAGCAUUUGAUUUUAUGGUCUUCGUAGUAAAUUACUAUGAUUUUCUGAUUCAACCAUGUUCUCGCAGACCCAUGGCAUUUAAAUUGGUUUUCUUAUAAACACUCCAUUACUUUGUUAAGAACAUCGAGUCAGUGAGAGAGAGAGAAAAGAAAGAUCCACCAAGCGGAGCACGCUACUGCUAUGGCGAGCUCAAAUGCAAGAACGUCAUGGAGAGUGAAUAUCAAGUGAAUAGCUUAACUUAUUUUGGAAUUUAUGUCUUUCGAGAUCGAAGAGCUACAUGUUGGUGAAAGAAUUGACGAAUCGCUUCAACGAGCGAUCGAUGACUCCAAGAUCUACAUACCAAUCUUCUUUCGAACUUAUGUUUCAAGCCUAUGUGUUUUUGCAAGCUCGUGUAGAUUGUAGAAAACUCAACUCAAAAAGCAAGCAGUCCUUCGCCUGUGCCAAGGCCGGCAUGAGGCUAGCCUCGCCCAAAUUUGGGAGAAGCCACCUAGCUCAUGACCCUGGGCAAGGGUCGUGACCCUCACCACCCACUACAAGGAAUCCAAUGCGGAAGAAGAGAAAAAGAAAAGAAAAAUGAAAAAUUAAUUAAAAAUUUAGAAAUAAAAAAUAAAUUGUCAUAUCAAUGUUGGUCGGACGGCCGAUGUUCACAUCAACGCUGAUAGAUCACAAUUGAGCAGAUAAAUUGAAUUAGUAUCAAUAUAAAAAUAAUAAUAAUUGAAUUAAUCCAAUUAAAAAGUUUAUAAUUGAAUUAGCAUUAACAUUAUAAAUUUAGGUUUUUUUUUUUUUUUUAAAAUCAUUUUUCAUAGCUAUCGCAUCAACAAACAAACAAACGGAGAAAAUUAUGGAGAUGCACGUGCCCUGAGCGCCUGCCAACAGAAGCACGUGAUCAUCAUCUUUUAACGAGACAGUGAAUGAUUGGAUAGCCUCGUUGAUGACGCGGAAGUGAUAAGUCGUAAUUCCACUAGGGCAUCUACCGGAAAAGGAUGGAUUCCCACUUUUUUCUUUUGUAUAUUGGCUUACGGUAAGGCGCAAGUGAGAGCAUUAAAUUCCAAAAAAACAAAACAAAAGGCCUAUUGACUUAUGUCUUUGUUGGGUGCUUAAAUCAUGUCACAUUGUUGUCGUUAUACUUAGCUGAAAUCUUUUAUUACUUUUUGUUCUGGCAAGUUUAAAAUUACAUUGAUUCAAUUAAAGAGUUUAUACCUUUAUAGAUUCAAAUUACAAUAUAAUAGUUUUAGGAUACAUCGUGUAAUUAUCUUGAAGACAUGAUAAUUUAGUUUUUUCAAUCCAUGCUCACGCUCAACUCAAUACAAUAUGUAUGCUUGCAUUAGACUCGAUUCAACUCUAAUGGCAAAAACUAAAUUAUAGCGUAAAGCUUUAAAAUCCAUCUCGAGUUUUGAUAUAAAAAAUGAUUUUUUUUUCUUUAUCCUUAGUAAAAUCCUUUAAAUUAUUGACAAGGAUUGCAAGUCACAUGACUGUGGUAUUACAAAAUUUGACACCUUUGACAGGCAAUCCAUAUUGCUAGGUCCAUAUAUAUAAAAGAAGGGGUGAAGUGCUUUUUUAUGUAUGUAAAAAUAUCAAUCUUUCUAGAACCAGCCCUUUAUUUAAUUUUUUUUAUAUACAAUUAAACUAGUAUUUGUAACAAGAAAAUUAAAGAGCUUAGAGUAUUCAAUUAGGAUAUGCCUCCUCUUUUAGCUCCAUCAGCCCAAUUAGGUUGAAAUCCACUACUUGAGCCAACAGUGCAAAUGGCAAGAACUUUGUAUAGCGUGGACUCGACUCUUUCUAUGAUUAUCUCACUAUAGACUAAAUAAUUAUUAGAUCUCUUCCAAUAGCCAUUCUCGCACCUUGUGCAUAUAGCGCAGUAGACACAUGCUCCCCAAAAUUAUUAACCACGCUUCUAAGUGUUUACAAAUAAUCAUUCACACAGUUUGUCUCUCACCUAAACAAUUGCAUUCUCUCUUAGUACAAUUACUUCUUCCGUGUGUAUACAAAUAAUUUUGGCACCACUGAUAGCUUUAAGGAUCAAUACUUAGCAAAGAGAUAGAUCUCAAGAAUGCUCGAUGCUCAAUGUGCUUCAAUUUUUCUUGUUGCAGGCACUUGAUGACAAGCUACGUUUAACUUGUGGUUUGUCUUUAUUGUAAGUGUUACUAUGAACACCUAGAGGGGGUGAACAGGUGUGAAGACAAUUUUCACAAAGAGUUAUAAAAAUAUUUUGCUUUUGAAACUAAGUCUGAAGAACAACAUAUUUUGAGUGAGUUCAGACUUUAACUAUAAACAGAACUAUGAACAAAGAAAAAAAGUUUAGGGAAGAGAAUAAGAACACAUAAUUUAUAGUGGUUUGACUUAAAUCAAGCCUACGUCCACUCUCCCAUGCUGACAGCGUCCUGACUGGUUUCCACUAAGAAUCAAAAGAGAAUUUAUAAUCUGUGAUCUCAACUUCACAAUGAAGAGUCUCACCUGCUCUCUCACGAAGUCACACUAUAAGUCUCUCUCUUUUGAGUAUAACUUUGAGCCCAGUGUAAGAAGUAACAAGAGAAUGAAAGCUUCAGACUUUAGAAUUUCUCUUUCAUGCACUCUAUCGAACACCUCCUUAAAUACUCCUUCAUGCCUUCUCAACCAUUGGCACUUUCCAAAGAAAUUCUCUCAAUCAACCCGUUGGACAGAAUCAAUCAAGGAGAUCUCGAACCGUUUGAAGAUUGUGACGAAAACCCGUCAAUCAUGUUUGCCCAUACAGUUAGGAUCUUGGUUUCCAUAAAUAGAUUCUUUCCAAAUUUACUUGCCUUCCAAAAAGAUUUGAUAUAUCUAAAUUGAUUUCAAUAAAGAUAAUCAAUUUCCUAUGUGAUAUUUCCAACCAGAAGACCAUAUAUAAUCAAUACGAACUGAACUCUUGAAAAAAGAAAGAUAAUCACACAUCUGAAUAAGUCAUCAUUCUUCACUUAUGUUCAGUAUGGAAUUUGUCAUCAAUCUGGAAUUUGUCAGAGUGGGUAGACUUCUGAUGUAAAAACAGACUUUGACAUAGAAGUCUGAAAAUCUUCAAAACAAAAUGUAGAUAAGUUUUUGUCAGCUUCAAAACAUCAAAGGAGUUUUCUCCAACACUUAUAGGCCUCCAUAAACAACUCUGUGAUUCAACCAUUUCCUCACUGUACCAUAGCAUUUGAUUGUUUUGCCCGUAUAACCACUACCUAUUUUUCUUCAUGAUGAGUUGUCGCGGCCACCUUCUACAACUCUCAACCAUUUCAUAUUCACAUAUCAAAGAAAUGACCUGCUCAUAAACGUUAUUAGAAAAAAUCCUAAUUAUUAAACUGCAUCACCGACCUCCCUCCUCUUUUUCUUUAAGGUAGCAAUUUUAUGUUCAUAUGAAAUAUCCUAAUUAACUGCUCAUGGUCAAACAUUGCUAUUUUGCUCCCUUCUUUCAACCAUCCAAUUUGAGUUGAAAUGCAAAAUAAGUUUCAUUUUCAUUUUCAUCACAUGAAAAAGGAACUUUGAGAAAGAGUAUUUAAAGAUCAUCAGCAAAUGAAAAAAAAUCAAAAUGAUAAGAAGAGGGAGCAGAAACUGGAGCUUACAAAUAUAGUACAAUUCUGCGAGACCUACUAUACUGUUGGCAAUUUAUUUGCCAUACUUGUAAAAUUUCAAAGAAUGUGGUUAUUCACUAAUUCAUUUCAAAGUCGGUAAAUCUCCAAUGGUGUCGCUAAGUUUGAUAAGGACGCGCAUGAGAAAAUUUCUGGAAUAGAAAUCAAUUUUUGGGUAGAAAUUGAUUUCUCAAUUUCUAUUCCAUGGACAAGUUUCUCCACAAAGAAACGCAUUUGAUAAUGAUUUAGAAUUUCUAUUUCUAGAGUAAAAAUUUGUUUGAUAAGAGAAUAAAAUUUCUAUUUCUAGGACCGGUGACAAUCGACAUUCGGUGGCCGGAGUUUGACGUCCGGCGAUCAGCGUCUAGCAUUCGGCGAUCGGCGGGUGGUCGGAGUCUGGCGUCCGGCGGCUGAAGUUCGGAGCCUAGUGGUUGAAGUUCGGAGUCUGGUGGCUAAAGUCUGGAGUCUGGCGUCCAACGUUUGGAAGCUGACAACCAGCAACUAGUGGCGGGUAGCUAAUGGCUGAAGUCAGGUGGUUGGCGAUGGGUGGCCAAGCUGGAGUCUAGCGGCCGGCAGCAAGUGGCCAACGGCCAAAGUUCGGCAGGCGGCGACCAGCAAUUGGUGGCGAUGGGCCUUCGAUGUCCGCUGGUUGGUGAUGAGCAGCCAACGACUGACAAACAUCCAACAUCCGAUGGUCGGCGGUCAAUGACAAGCAACUUGAGUCCGAUGGUUGACGGCCAAUAUUCGGUGGCCGACGAUUGGUGGUGAGCAGCUAAUGGUCAGGGCCGGCGGCGAGCGGCCAGCGACCGGCGGCGAGCGUUCGGCAUCCCACAGGUGGCAGGUGGGCAACAGGUGAUACGAGAGUGAAUGAUGAAAAAAGUUUUGAUUCUCAUUUCUAUUUCAGAAAUAGAAAAGCUAAACAUUUUAACUUCUGAUUUCUACUCCAAAUCUAUUUCUAAAAUAGAAAUUUGUUCCAGAAAUAAAAAAAUAAAAUUGCGUUACUAAACGCAUUUUUAUUCAAAACCUAUUCUGGGAAAUAGAGAAACAGAGAAAUAGAUAAAUAAAAACGUUGUCAUGCGCAUCCUGAAUCAUCUGACAAUCGAAUUGACGGUCAUGCUUUCUUUAAUGGACUGUACUGGAUAUUUAGGUCAUGCUUUCUUUAAUGGACUGUACUGGAUAUUUAGGUUGGCUGGGUCCGCCUCUGUGGGGGACCAGCUAACUUUAAUAAAUAAAAGAGAAAAAAAAAGGUUAAAAGGUCAAAAAAAGCAAAAGAGAAGAAAAGAAAGAUGGGCGGCUCGUGCGUGGAGUAGAGAAGAGAGGACAGAGGGCACGCGGAGAAGAUAGAAAUCAUGUAGUUAACAUUUGAUUAACUAAAAAGAGAGAUUUGGUGUUUUAGUUUACUUAUUGUUAUCGGACCAAUGAAGAUGUCAUUGACAGAUAAAGAUGCAUUCAGCUUGAUCUCUUUUAUUUUGGCACACCUGCAAGUUUUAUUACCCAAUUGUGUUUUCUCGUUUUUCUUUUCUCGAUUUCUACUCCUUUUUCCACUUUUUCUUUCCUUUCCUUCCUUGAGAAAGUUUCAAAAUUUUGGAUAAGCUAGGGGACAAGGUCAGUUGGUAUCAAAAUAAGUGGAAGAACCUCAGUAAUCCAGAAGAAAUGUCAUCAUUCAGUUUGUUAUUAUUUAAAAAAGUUAUUUUCUACUCAUUUAACUUGUUACAUAGGAUUACUCUCUCUCUCUCUCUCUCUCUCUCUCUCUCUCUCUCUCUCUCUCUCUCUCUCUCUCAUAACUCAUACCAUACUUUUACUCAAUCAUCUAUGAUAAACAUAAAAACUUACUAGUUGAAUCGAUAAGAACCAAUAUAGAAGGUUUUGAGGUUGUGAUCUAUAAAACUUGACCUGAUGAGGCGUCUGUAGGCAUGUACAAUUUUGAAUAGAAAGAGAAACUGCAGGUCAAUAAACAACAAAGAGGGAAAGAGGAGAGGGAAGGCUUUGUCUACUUGAUUUCACUAGAGAAUUUUAAUUGGAUGAUUUGUAGUUAAUAUGACGAGGCUUUGUGAACCUGGAAUGUGUUUUCAUGAGUAAUUGAUUGAAAAACCAUACCUUCUGCAAAGCAUGGCCAUCCAACCCAGUGUUUGAUUGUUGGGGUGGUUAUUUAGUUUAGCAUUGUCUAGGCCUGGUACUUUUUCGAUACUAUGACACUGUUUCUCAUUUUCUUUUCCUUUUUCUUUUAUUGUGUCACGAGGAAGAUUAUAUUUUAAUUGGAUGUCAGACCCAUGAAAUAUCCUAUUAACCUCAUGUACCUAGUAAGGUUUGAGCUAAAACUCGGUUUCUUGGUACCAACAUGAAUUGUUUGCAGUGGUUAGUGAGGAAAACCCGAACUUAUGUUGUGCAUAUUACCCCUCACACAUUUUUCUAUUCCUUAAGAUUUUCUAUUCUAAAAAAAGCAAUGGAAAUCUAAUUGGUGGAUGAUGUAUUUCUAAAUCCUCCCUAUUUUCAGGCAGUUUGAAAGUCACUUAAAAUAGGAAUUAAAGUAGUUGAUCACUCAAGAAUUUAUUUUUCAAUCGUGAAGAUUUUAUUUCAGCUAGAAUGUAAAGUCAAUUUCUGCCACUCUUUUGACUUUUGAUUCGUAGGUUGACUCUUGGCUUUAACUUCCACAAUAAUUUAGCCGAUUGUAUGCUUGAAAAGUUCUUAAUUUAGCUGGAUUGGGAACAAAUUAGUUUUCAUCAAAAUUGUGAAAUACCUGAUGAAACAUAUCGUUUCAUUAUCCUUCUUGUAUAACUACGCUAAAUAGAAAGGGGAAAAAGGAAGAGGGAAGGCUUAUCUAUUGAUUUAUAACUAGGCUUGGUCAAAUUCUGGUAAUAACAUGUUUAUCUAUCUUGGAAGCUUUUAUCUAAGGCAGAUUAGGCACCAAGCACGUAGAAUAUCUUAUUUAUCUCAUGUAGCAGGUAUGGUAUGAGUUAAUGACCAGGGGGAUGUUGCUUCGAUGUGAAAAUGUUUGCAUAUGGUGAUGUGAGAAAUUCCCACGAGAUUUAUAUUUUUAUAAGAUACUGGUUCCUUUUAUAUAUAGAUCAUUUAUCGUAUUUCAAUCUCAACAAACGCAGUUGGACCUACAUAUUUGACUUUCAUAAGUAUCUUUCGAGAAAUUUAGAAGAGCCUCUAUCUGUGUUCUUGCAUAUAGUAUACAUUGACAGAGAUUAAACGCAAAGACAUUAGUUGAUAUGUAUUACCGGUUGGUUUGAUUGCAUAAUUUUAUCAUCUUAUUCCUUUUUUUCAAACUUUCUUGCAAGAUUGAUUGCAGUUUUAUUUUUCAGGAGUCAGUGCUUUGAUUGGAUAUGUUCAUGUUUCGGAGGAGGCUUGUGAAAUUUUGAACACGACUCGCAUCAUACUUGUCAGCAUGCAAGGAUGGAACUAUCAUAUAUUUUUAGUGGGGUCAAUGCCCUAAAGACUGUAAGAUAAGAUAUAUCAUUUAACAAAAAAUUAUAAAGAUUCGAUCGAGCUAUUUAUUGACUUGAAAUCAACGCUUUGACAUUUGAAUCGUGAAUGUGAACAAAAUUCGGUUUCAAAUCCAUGUGCUCGACCUCGACUCAAUAUAGUAAAUAGGGCUCGAAAUUGAACUCGAUUCAACUCCAUUGUUAAAAGCUCGAUUCUACUCAUUUAACUUGUUACAUAGGAUGUUUCUUUCUAUUUUUCGUAAUCAUAUUACUGUACCUUAUGCAUAGCCUGGUCAUGCCAUUCAAUUGCUUUAUCUUCCGACUCUAUCAAGCCUCGUGUUUGAUUGGUGGUGUGGUUGUCUAGUAGUGCAAUGUCUAAACCCGAUAAUUUUUUUAUAAUUGUUUAUCUUUUUACUUUUAUGUUUUUGGCGUCAUAAAGAAGUUUAUAGUACAUGGAAUGACAAGAUACUGAUUUUGAUUUCUUGCAAGUUAGCGCAUGGUCCCUUAGAGGGGGACGAGGCUAAGCCUAAUUACGUCGAUGAACAAUGGAAGUUACUAAAAAGGCAACGUGGGGUUUCAUUAGGCAUCAUCAGUUGGAUUUUAUUUCUUUAGAUAAACUAUAAGGAUCCCAUCCCAUUGCUCAUUUUGCUCUUCCGACUUCCAUCUUUUGGCAAUGGAAAACCGUAGCCACAACAACACCAUUGAUCGUCAGACUUUCAGGAUUAUAUGUCACAAUCGCACUUCCAUUCACUCACGGAACAUUUCUUGGAUAUGUCCUUCCUCAGCACUUCAUUUCAAGUAGGGAUUAAUAGUUCCCCCUGUACAUUUUGGAGUACGAAGCCCACCCAAAAAAUCGAAUAAAAUAGUCCGUUCUAUUUUGCCGGUAUCACCGGCUGACUUAGUUCCGAUGACUCUCUUCAGAAUAUGAGGCAAUAAUAGAGCAAAUCUGUCAAAUGGUUCUCCACCAAGAGCAGGAACUCUUUUAUUAUGUAUGUUGGAUUAAUUGGUCGAUUUAUGACAUUUUGUAUAGAAAUUACAAAAAAAUGCAAAUAGUUAUAAUUCGUUAUAAUUCAAAAAUUUAUUUAUCAAUGAUCAUAAAACUGCUCAUGUAUUAUAAAAAGAAAUUCAAAAAAUCCUCCAACACAAAAUGUAUUCAUCACAUCGAAUUUCCAACAUUUUAUAGUAGAGUAGACAAUCUAUCACUGUGCACCAUUCAAGUUUCACACACAAACAUAAAUAGAAGCUUCUAAAUUCAUAAGCAUACAAUAAGAUAAGAAAGACGAUCUAUCAUCGUGCAUCAUUCAAGUUCCCACCACCCCUGCUCCCAUGGCACCUGUGGGCACCCCCACCCCGGCGGCCCUCGUGGUCCCCGCGGCCCUGGCUGCCCCGGCGGCCCCGGUGGCCCUUGCAGCCCCCGCGGCCCCUACAGCCCCACCGGCCCCACCAGCCCCCGCUCCCCCUGCGACCCCUUCUCCCCCUGUGGCCCCUGCGGCCCUCGCCCGCAGGAUGCAGUAGAAAAGGAAACCACAAAGCAUGACGGCAACAAUGACUACACCAACAAUAACCCAUGUAGGAGUGUUAUUGUCAUCAGGUGGUACGGGAUUCGGAUCGAUCCAUGCCCAAUGGAGGAGGAAAGUACUGGAAACUCGGAUGAGUUUGUGGAUAGUUAUUGUUCUCCAUCAAGAAAACUUUGUGGAGGUAGUUCAAUGUGAGCAGUGAGUCUACAAACAUAUUAUGAAGCACCAAUCCAAGAGCCAAUUUAACUUUUCAUCAUGAUGAAUUGAUCAUAUGAUCCAAGCACGAGAUCAAAAUGAUUCAACACCGAAUUCAGCAAGAUAUAAUGUGAGUGGAAGUAGUUGCUUGCACGUAUACCCUCACAAGAAGAACUAAGCAAAUCGGUGAAUAAUGUUGCGCCAAUGCUUACGCGACCUGCAAAGAAGUGAGAAUUUUUUCCUAGUGGAGGUAGCACUAUAUAUGCCCCUCAACGCUCCCUUCCUCCCUCACGGGGUGGGUUUUUUUUAUUUUUUAUUUUUGGCCGAAAGAUAAUAAUUUUCAUUACUAACCAACUAAAGGGGCACUAUUAGUUGAAGAGUCUAAACAUAGAAUUAAAUAUUAAGAACAAGGAGAAUUAGAAGUCCAAUUGCUGGAAAGCGACCUGGCUCGGUAGGUUAGGUAAGCGUUUUAACAAAUGCAUCACCAUUCCUUUUUGAGGAUGUAGUGUAAUGAUUGAAGCAUCUAGUCAAAAAGUUGGGAAAUUUUAUUCACGUGCCAAAAUAGGAAAAAUUAUCAAUAUAUAUAUAUAUAUAUAUAUAUAUAUAUAAAUCUAUUACAAUUGUGACAACUCAAUUAUAAAUAUUUUUUCAAUCAAUUGAGUACUAAAUAUUUUAUAAAUAUAUCAAUUCAAUUCGUCCAAUCAAAAUUGGCCGCUUAGCACUAAAAUGAACACAAGGCAUUUUACAAGGCAAUAUCAACACUGACAUGGAUAAUUUUUAAUAAUAUUUGAAUAUUUUUUCGAUUUUUAUUCCUAUUUUUCUUUUUAUAUUUUCUUUUCUUUCUUGUUUUCCUUUUCUCUUUCUUUCUUUUUAUUUUUUAUUUUUUUUCUUUCACUCGCUUCUUCCUCCUGCUAGUCGCCAGCAACCACUGGAAAUGAAGGUCUAGGAAGAACGGGGCGAGCUUCGACUCCUUUCCAGGCUCAAUCAUGUCUUCAUGUGUGAUGUUCAGGAGCUGAGAAUUAGGCCCAUUGAAAUGAUACACGUGUUUGACUAAUGCGAUCUAAGGGAAUAAGAUUUUGGUGAAAGCCAAGAAAAACAAUCAAGUCUGAAAUGAGAAAUUAUUAUAUGCUCUACAAAAUGUGUGAUUGAAUAUCAUCUCAAUCAUUAAUCAGGUAAAUCUAAGCCCACGGGAUCAAUUGUUGAAUUGAGUUUCCACAUGAGAUUUAUAGACCAUACAGUAAAAUUCCAUGCAAAAUGGGGUUAUAGACGUGACUUGAAAAAUAAAAUUCACUCUACUAUCCAAAAUCAAGUCCACAAAAACUUAUUUUAGAGCCGACCUACCAAGGAUAUAAGAGAGCCACUGUCAAUUCAUUUCUAUUUCGAGUAUUCUAAAAACGUAGGAAAAUGUUCUAAGAUCCUCCUGAACUUAAACUGUCUUAGAUGGACACAUCAAAAGGCCACUAAUCUCAGUCCUCGUGUUGGCCUAUUCUUGUCUACAUCUCUCUCAUGGUCACGGGACUCCUGUCCGAACAAUACUAAAAAAACAGCCACGUCGCCAGCAAAUUAGAACGAUGGAAUUAAACGCAUGAGGCAAAUAAUGCGACGAGAAAGAAACCGGCGAGGGGACAUGACUGGAGGAAAGAAGCACCCAUUUUCUCUCUGCUCAACCUCACUUCUCUUUUAGCAGAACAGAGGAAACAGAUGGGUGUAAAAGUGGAGAAAACUUGUGGAUGUAGUCUGAGCUGCUUGCGGAUAUAGCAUGACCAAUCUCUUAAGAGUAUAUAUAAACUAAUGUUCCUAGCUAACUUGGUAGUAAAAAUGCAUAGUUUAUUGCAUAAAGAAGCUGGAACAGCUCCAUAUCAUCGGUUGUUCAAACAAGUUUAGAGUGACGUCAAAGUCGCACUUUUGACCUCCUUACCCUUCUAGCCAAACUUGUCAUGCUGGGCAAAGUGACAUUACUCUGAUCUCAAGCUCAAUCACAUUGUGACAAUGAUAAAAAAGUAUUGGAAACAAGGCAUAGUGUUACUCCCGAUAAUUACGCAAAGCGCGAGAAUGAUUUAAGAUCACUAGACAUUUAAAAUAAGAGCAAUCUUUUUUAUUAUUACAUUCUAAUUAUCAACGAUAUUAUAUUAUAGAUUCUUAAGAUUUCUAUAGAAUAUUAUCCUAUGUUAGGGACAACUAUGAUAUUAUUGUUGAUUUUUUAUAUCAAUUAAGAUUUUUUUAUAGAAUAUCAUUCUUUGAUUGUACAUAUCUUAAUUGAUAAAUAUCACCUUCGAUAGUCUCUACAAAGCCUAUAAAUGGCUGAUGUAAUCUUCAUAUUGAUAUAUCAAAAUAUACACUAUUCCCUUUUUUUCACAUUCUUAUAUUAACUAUUUGCACCUAGUGCACUCCGGUUUUUACAGGAUUGAAGACUCUGAUACCAAGUUGAGAAAUAAGAAAGAUAUGUAGAAGAAGGUAAUUGUCACGUGUGUUACUUUGUUAUUUUCGUGGUAUCAACUCUUAUUUGGGAUUAUGAUAGAAUUUGGAUCCUAUUGGUCAUGAACAAUGAAUCUUAUGAAAAAACUUGAGAACCUUUCGAAACACUGUUCACGCAGAUGCUCUCGUCGGUUUCGCGCGGCUACUGUUCACCCGCCUGCGCGCGUGCUCGUUCCUAUCGACUCCGCCAUCCAUUGUGCCCGUUUUUGGAGAUGAGCUCCCUCCUUAGCCGAUUCUUCUUCUCACCGAGCGAAUCCCCAUGGUAUGUCUUACUCGGCCGAGACUCUCGCUCUGAUUUUUUAGGGUUUCUUCUUCUGGAAUCGCCUGGGUCGCAUGGCUUCCGCCUCUGCGACUACUGAUGGUACUCGGGGAAAGGGCCCCAUGGAUGCGAUUGAACAUCCUAACCCCCCCCCCCCCGCUUGUUCGACCCGCUUUUAUGAGGUAUUCCUCUGCUGUAAGAGGUGCCCGAGCCCAGUCUGGUCGCUCACGUAGCAGGGGACGAAGCAAAGCUCGAAAGGCUCGACCGAUGGUGGGUAUUUCUGCUCGGCUUAAUGCUGUGGGAUGUGAAAAUGUCUCCUCUGGGGUCUCAACUCGCAAGGAAAAGAGAAUCUCUUUCAGCCGAGACUCGGCUGCUCAUCCGUUGCCUACUCCGCGAGAUCAGGAGCCGAAUCCGGUUCAGAGUAGCUCCAAGAAGGCGACAGGGAAUUCGUCCUCGAUCCCUUCGGGUAGUAAACCCCAGACCCAAGUUCGCUCGUGGGCGGCUGUAACCCGAUCUGCAACCAAAGGUUAUGGUUUAUCUUUCGUUCCUCCGGCUACCAUUGAGAAUUCAAAAAUUCUGCAGAUGCCGGACGAAUUGUUAGAGGCGUCUCACCUUAAAUGGGAGGAGUGUCUUGUUGGCUACUAUAUUGGUAAACGGCUACCCUUCCAACUCACGGAGGACGCCCUCAAACAUGCUUGGGGCCACCAUCUGAUCGAGGUAAUUGCUGCAAACUUUGGCUUCUAUUUUUUUCACAUUCCUGAUAGUGAAUUCAGGAAAAGAGUUUUGGAUGGAGGCCCGAUUACGGUAGCUAAAAUCCCCUUGAUCCUACAGCAAUGGCACCCCAUGUUGGAGCUCAAGAAAAUAGCUCAUAACACUGUUCCUAUCUGGAUCCGUCUUAGGAAUGUGCCUGUGGCAUUAUGGUCAGCUGCCGAGAUUAGUUUUCUAGCGAGUGGUAUUGGUAAACCGCUUUUUGUUGAUAACCGAACGGAGCAAAUGGCAAUGGUGGCCUUUGCUCGCGUCUGUGUGGAGAUUGAUGCUUCUAACUCCCUUCCUGAAGUGGUGGAAUUCAUGAUGAAAGGGGAACUUAGAAUAGUUACAGUUCAAUAUGAAUGGAUUCCGGCCCUUUGCCCAUCCUGCUCUACUUUUGGCCAUAAAUGUCCUGUGCCUACUGAAGCUGGCCCCUCCAAAGUUGGUCAUGCUCUCCCAAGGUCUCAUGGCCCUCCACAAAAUGAAUGGCGUGAAGUAAGAAAUAGGCGGAAUAAGAACAUUCCUGAUGCGCAGGUUCUGAAUUCGACUCGGAUUGCUCCCAAUUCCCCCCAACCUGGUGGGGACCAGCAAGGAUUACCUAUGCCGCAGAAGCUUUUGGCCUCUGAUACUCAACCGAUAACUAGAAGACAGGAAGAAGCUUCACCUGCGAUAGAUCCGGUCCUGCGCACUUCUCCUGACCCUGCACCUUCUGCCUUACUACAAAUACAGGGCUCUCAUGCUUCUAACAAAUCGGGCUCAACGGAUGAAGAAGAAUAUGAAGACAUUUGCUCUAGUGAAUCUGAAUCUGUAUCACCAUGUAAGGUGCCGUCAUCCACUCCUGAGGAACGUGAUAAUGCUCCUUCUCAGAAGCUGCCCCAGGAUCCCCAUACCCAUAAAAAAGGAAUUCUCCGCUCGGAAUCUGCAGAGCCGACUUUUCCUCCUGGCCCGAAGCCUAUUCCUCCCUCGGCGAGGAAACGAGGGGGCAAGAAAAGGUAAUUUUGUCUUUAUCGAAUCAUGUUUUUUGGUGUUUGGAAUAUUAGGGGCCUUGGAGGUGCCCUAAAGCAAGCUGAGAUUAGGAAUUUUGUUAGUACAAAUCGGCUGAGUUGCAUUGGGAUCCUGGAGACUAAAAUCCCCCCUGCUACUCACUCCCCUGUUUCUGCUUCUCUUAUAUCUGGUUGGUGUUGGUCUAUGAACUACUCUAACUCGAUCAGGGGCCGUAUUUGGAUAGGAUGGAAUCCUUUGGCUGUGUCUUUUUGCACCUCUGCUUGCACUGCUCAGGCCAUUCAUGGCCGUUUGGAGUGUCUUAUUUCGGGUAUUUCCUUUAACUUAUCUGUUGUCUAUGCAGAGCACUCCUUCGUCUUGAGGAGACCUCUCUGGGAUGAUUUGAUUUCAACUAGUGCUCUGUGUCUGGAUAUCCCUUGGAUUGUUGCUGGUGACUUCAAUGCCAUCCGUUAUGCGUCGGAUAGAGCUGAUAGGUCCAACUAUUGGAUUCCAGCAUUUGAGGAUUUUGGUGAGUGCCUUAUCCAAGCGGGGCUGGAUGACCUCCGUUUUGUGGGAAAUAGGUUUACUUGGUCUGCCUCUUCUGGUCCUAUGCGAAGACGGAGAAAGAUAGAUAGAGUGCUUACCAAUGCAGCCUGGAAUUCUACGUUCUCCUACUCUGAAGCAAAUUUUUUGGCCCCUGGAGUGUCUGAUCACUCUCCUAUGAUUGUCAGGAUCCUCCCGGUUCCGAACUCCCGUAGGCCCUUUAAAUUCUUCAAUUUUUGGAUGACGAACCCAUCUUUCUUUGAGCUGGUUCAGCAGGUUUGGGACUCCCAUAUCUCUGGUUCGCCUAUGUAUACCCUAUGCUGCAAGCUUCGGGCCCUUAAGCGAAGACUUAAGCUUUUAAACAAGGAAUCUUACUCUGAUAUCUCAGUUAGGACUGCUGAUGCUAGGCGAUUACUUUUGGAAGCCCAGGACGCCAUUCAGCUUGAUCCUCAUAACCAAGCCUUGGCUGAUAAUGGAAAGGAACGCCUCUAUACCUUCUCUGAUCUCCGCCUUAAAGAGGAAUCUUUCUUUAGGCAAAAAUCUCGGGUGAGAUGGCUCCGUGAAGGCGACUUGAAUACAAAGUUCUUUCAUCACUCGGUGAAUCGCAGCCAGCUCCGGAAUAGAAUCGUCUCCAUUUCUGAAGGUGAUAACUUGAUCACGGAUCCUGCUGAGAUCCAGCAAAUUUUUGUUCGCUAUUUUCGAAAUCUUCUAUCAGCUGAUAUCCUUUCUUCCAACCCCUCCGUGGAAGAGAUUCGAGGAAAAUUGGCAUGUACCCUUGAUGAAAAUCAGAUCUUCGCCAUUUCACAGCCCUUUACUGAUGAUGAAAUCCGAGCUACGUUAUUCUCUUUGGCUAGUGGAAAGGCGCCGGGACCGGAUGGCUUCAAUGUUAAUUUUUUCAAGCGGUCUUGGGACAUUGUCGGCCCAUCGGUGUUGUUAGCAGUUCGAAACUUCUUUUCCUCGGGACAACUCCUUCGUGAGAUCAACUCAACAAUCCUCACCUUAAUCCCCAAGAUCCCGAAUGCAUCGUCAGUUAAUGAUUUCCGCCCUAUAGCUUGCUGCAACACUGUAUACAAAUGCAUCACGAAGCUAUUGGCCAACAGGUUAGCUCUUGUCCUCCCUUCCAUUAUAAGCCCAACGCAAAAUGCCUUUGUGAAAGGGAGAAGGAUAAGUGACAACAUCAUGCUUGCCCAGGAGCUGUUUUCGGACUUCCACCAUAGUCCCUAUCUCCCUAAGAAUAUUAUCAAGGUGGAUUUCUCUAAAGCUUAUGACUCGGUAGAUUGGAAGUUUAUUGAAAAGACUCUCCAUGCAUUUCGAUUUCCAUCCUUAUUUAUUGACCGUAUUAUGACAUGCAUCCGAACUCCUAGGUUUUCUAUAUCUCUAAAUGGUGAAUUGCAUGGUUACUUUGAUAGCGGGAGGGGUAUCCGUCAAGGAGACCCUAUAUCCCCGUACAUUUUCACGCUUGUAAUGGAAGUAUUUACUGGUAUCAUCAAUGGGUGCACCUGCAAGCCUGAUUUCAACUUCUUCUGGCGUUGUAAAUCUUCUAAAUUGUCCCACCUUUUCUUCGCGGAUGAUGUCUUGCUAUUCUCCGAAGCUAACAUGGCAUCUCUUAGGCUCUUGCUGGAUGGAGUAAACUCUUUUGCAUCAUGGUCUGGGCUCGUUCCUAAUCUAAAUAAGAGUGAAAUUUACAUCUCUAGUGGAUCUGAUUCUCUUAAGAACUCGCUCACCGAUGCAUCAGGCUUUCGUCUUGGAUCUCUUCUUUUUCGAUAUCUUGGUGUCCCUAUAAUUUCAUCAAGACUAGGCAAGGAAGACUGUGUCUCUCUGGUUGAUUCUAUCAUGAAGAGAGUUCAGUCUUGGACUAAUCGAUUCAUGUCAACUGCUGGCCGACUCCAGCUUAUCAAAUCUGUGCUGCACUCCAUUCAGGUAUAUUGGUCCUCCGUCUUCAUUCUCCCUUCCUCGGUUAUCAAUCGGAUUGAGCAGAUAUUUCGGCAAUUCCUUUGGCGUGGUCCUAGCCUUGGAUCUGGUGGGGCUAAAGUGUCUUGGGAAGAAGUCUGUCUACCCAAAGCUGAAGGGGGAUUGGAUAUCCGCUCGGUUCGCGUGAGUAAUAUUGCUGCGAUGAUUAAACAUAUUUGGCUCCUAUUCUCUGAUAAAGAAUCGCUUUGGACCAAGUGGAUUCAUUCCGUUUUUUUAAAGCAUAAAAGUUUCUGGAAUGCGCCCAGACCGACCAUCUGUUCCUGGUCCUGGAAGAAACUUCAUGGCAUGCGUGACUUGGUUCAACACCACUUUAAUUGGAACAUUGGUAAUGGCCUAACGGCUUCUUUCUGGUUUGAUCCAUGGCAUCCUCGUGGUCCACUAAAUAAGCUUUUCUCGGAUCGUGACAUAUAUCGUUCUCGUAUCCCGCGGAAUGCUUCAGUGGCUACUGGUAUUGCGGCUCUAUAUAGCCCCUCAGCGGUUUCAAUGGUUAUUGAGAACUGGAAUGAUCUAAUUCCCUGCCUCAACAACCACAAUGAUCGUUUGGUGUGGCUUGGUCACUCUUCUGGCCAAUUCUCUACUGCGUCUGCAUGGACUAUGCUUCGUCCAAGAGGAUCCCUCGUCAGCUGGUCUCGAUUUAUCUGGAGCCCCUCAUGCCCCCCGCGCUACCAAACGCACCUAUGGCUGAUUACUCGGAAUAGAUUACCAACCCAGGUUCGGCUUCUGUCAUAUGAAAGGAUCCAGAAUGUCUCUUGUGCCUUUUGUUCAUCUAGGCCGGAUUCAACCGAUCACUUAUAUUUCGGAUGUUCAGUCACAGGACGGCUAGCCUCAUUCUGGGCGUCUAAUUGUAACUUGACUUGGAGGAAUGGAUCCUGGGAAGACAACCUUCUUUGGGUAGUAAACCAUCUCUUGGAUGCGAGUUUUCAUAAAGCCAUUGCUCGCUUCUCCUUUGGUGCCUUAUGUUACCUCAUCUGGAAGGAACGAAAUAAUAUCAUUUUUCGUAACCAAAACCUCUUCCUUCCGGCCUUGAAGGAGCAUUUACGAAAUGCCGUCAAAGAUAAAGCAUCCACUUAUUCGGGUGUUCCGGAUAUCCCCUGCAACCGUAGGCUCCAAAUGGCUUAGGGAAUCCAUCCUUCUAUUUUUGACUGAAGCGAGCUUUGUGCUUCUUUUGGCGUCGUGCCCUGGUACUCUUCUCAAGGACGCUGUGGUCUGCUCUUCUCCCGGGAGCCCCCUUUCUCCCACUCCUAUGCUGCCGGGCCUUCCUUCUCCGCAGCUUGGCUGACUGACCUCUGCUUUCUUCAGUGUGUCGGGUUCCUCUCUUGGGAUGGCUUCUUUCUCUCCCUUUGGCCGUAAUGUUUGGCCUUUCUUCUCUGUUUUGUUCUUGCCGCCUUGUUCUCUUGGCGCUUUUCUCUGCUGCUUGUUUCUUCUUUUGUGCAGCUUGUCCCGUCUCCCAUCCACUCAUCUUGACGCAUGUGUCUAGCUGAGUGUAUGAUCUCUUGGAGUCGGCUGUGUUGCUGUGCUUUUUGUAUAGCUGCUUGGUUCUCUAGCUAUAUUACUUCUUACCUUUUACCAAAAAAAAAAAACAAUGAAUCUUAUGAUGGAACCGGGAAAUUUUUGCCUUUAACAUCCAUCACCGCUGCCUCGAUUCCAUUGACCCAAAGGCACGUCCACUUUUCUAUAAAAUUCGCUAUGUACUUGUUCGAUCGAUGAGAUUUUUUUCUUUUUUGUGGGACGUUCUUAUUUUUCUAGGUGUAAAUUAAUUCUGUGUAGACUCAAUUUACAAAGACGGGGGGAUCUAUGGUCUCUAGUCUCUCUGUAGUGGGAUAGGGAUAUAAAUUAUUCGAACCAAUAGAGAUAUCAAAUUAUCGAAUCACUUUUGCAUUUUCUCACUUUGCGGAACGGUGCUUUAAAUUUCUUUUUCCGAUCAAUAAGCAAAAGUGGUACCACCCUCUUCCCGUGUUCUCCAAAAUGACCCUGGUGAUGUCACUUGGCCUCAGCACCGCUUCGUCAUGCGCCAAGGUCAUUGAUGUCCAUCUACCUUGCGUAAAGGUGUUAGCGAAUAUUCUCAAUUUUGCUCCUUGUCCUCGACCAAGAGAGCAGCUCCAGGCCCACUUGACAGCGCAUGAAACAGAAAGCAGUGAACCGACCAAAAAAAAAGAAACAGAAAGCAGUGAACCGACGAUUGGUUCGUAGGAAGAGAAAAGUUUCGCAUGCAGUCCAAAAAGGAGUAGGAGGAAUCUUUUGCAUGCAAUGGGUCAUGCGCGUGCGACGCGAGCUUGAUUACGAGAAUCUCACAAAUUAAAAAAAAAAAAAAGGAAAUAUACUAAUAGAAAUCUCAAAUCAUGCUCCUCAUGAUGCUAAUGCCUCAAAUUUUUUCCAUUUGUGGUAAAAAAUCCUAAAAUUUUAUUUGUGUAGCACGUGUACCAUUUAUCAUAAUUCCGCUCAAGAUCACUGUUAAAAAUUUGCAUUGAUCCGAUGUAACAUCAUCCAUAUUUUUUGAGAAAAAGUGGCACUAAUGUGGCACCAUGUGAGCACCGCAUCAAUAUAAAGAUUAAAAAGAAAAUGGAGAACUAAAAAAACCAACCAAAAAAAAAAAAAUAGAAAAUUCGAACUGGAGGAGAGAGAGAGAGAUUGCUGACGGUCAGGGGUGUUGAAGGGGCUCCACCACCAUUCCAACUUCGCUGAUGAGAGCUGCCGGCCUCUUCCGGCCAUCGGUGAGGGUCAGCCAGCGCUUGCAUGGAUACCUUGACACUCGGUGUCUAUGGUUGAAGCAGAUGAAAAAGUUGGCACAGGACAGGGGAGAGCAAUAUGUGCUGAUGUCGAACAGAAAAACGGGUUUCUUACAACUCGAACAUGCUUUCAAUUUGUGAAGAACGUAGUAUUUCUCUUUAGAACGAGUAGAUACAACUCCACUGUAAGAGCAUGUAGCAUCACAUUUGAUACAGCGCCCUCAGACGCCACACCCCACAACUCCCGCCUCCACUGCCCUUGCCGUCCUACCGCCCCCCUCAUCGUUCCGUCGCCCGCCCACCCCCUCUUUGGUCGAAGGUAACCACGAUGAUACUCGUCUCUCCCUCUUGGUUCUUUGUUUUCUAUAUCUCUACAACUUGUUUCUUUGUUCUCUAUUCUCCACGGCCGUUGAGCUCAAGGACCAUGAACUCUGCUGUAGUGUCGUGCUCGAGCAGCAUCUCAGGCAAGCUCUGACAUGCCACUCGAAUUCGAUGACAUCACGGCUUCAAGGUCAAUCUUGGAUUUAGAUAUUAGAUGAAAACAUGAUUUAUUAUUGAAAUAUUCGAAUAUUGCGUGUCAAGCUACGCUCGUGGCAAGGAGCUCAAACUUAAAUCUAGGGGAUGAGCUUUGCCGCACAUUGAGCCCAACCUCAGAUUUGCGAUCAAGCUCCGCCACGCUGUUGAGCUCAAAGAGUGCAAAGAGGCCCGGACGAAGGGAAGAUGAAGACGCGGGGUGCCGGGGGCUAGCUGUGGAGGCUGUUAUCUGAUUUGGGCACGUCCAAAACUGGGCAAGGUGUCUACAGUCGGGUAACGAUAAUCAUGUGAGAGUCGGCCGACCCUCGUUGAGGGCCCAUGGGGUCCGACAGCCCUUGCCAGCAAAGCCGAAACGGGCGGCGACGUCCUCUAAACAACCCCGACCAUCUGUAAUCUCUCUUUGUCCUCUGGUUCGAAUUUUCAUUUUUUCUUCGGAUAGCUUUCUUUGUUUCUCUCUCUUUUCAAUCUUCUUCUGAUGUGGCGCUGACAUUGCGCCACACCAGUGCCAUUAUUCCUCAACAAAAACUUAAUAAUAGGACGUCAAAUUUUUAAAAGGCAAUCUUAGGACAAAAUUGUGAUGAAGGAUAUAAGCAUUAUAUGGAUAGAGGUUUGAUGUUUUUAGAGACAGGAUAAAAAAAAAAAAAAAAAAGCUUGGACUACUGUGAAAAUAUAGCUUGUAGUGAGUUAUAAAUUUUUAAGGGAGUAGAUUCUAUGACAAUUAUAAUUAUUGUUAUUUGAUUUUUGUGGUCCAAAACAUACUAUUGCAUUGAGUUCUUUUACUUGGGAAUAGGGAAUGGGAAAAAGACUUGUUGCAUGAUAAAUCAUUAUGUUAUUAUCAUGUUUCCAAUUCUCUUGUUUCUCAAUCAUCCCUUCUUAGGUAAAUCCUCACUCAAUUGGGGUCAGCGAUUUUCGGAUGCACUUUUAACCUUGGAAAAUUUGGAGAGAAGACAAAUUCCCCAUAAAAGUUGCUUUCAAUUGGGCAUAUUUUGGAGAUACUGACAUUUUGCUAGGCUGAAGAAGGAAAAGGUUCAGUCAUGUUUCAUCCAACCAAUUUAGAAUUGACUGAUCACCCAGAGUAUAGCAAAUCAAGGUAUGUAAGUAUGGGAGGAUUAACCACACUGACAGCUCAAAACCACUUGAGGCCAUGUUUGGUUCAUUGCCCUGGAAUCAUGAAAAGGAAUCUCAAUCUAAGCAAUCAACUUCCUAGAUGUGGGGUUCAUUCUCUAUUGUUUGGUUUCAAUUUACAAAUGAAGGGAGAAAUGUCUGAUGUGAGAUGCAAAUUGAGGUAAAAACAUGUCAGAAAUGGAAUGUGUAAAAUAUUUCUCCAAUCCACAUAUCCAAAGUGGCUAAUGAAAAACCAGGGAUAGAAACAGAAUGAAGAACCACAUACAAUCCCCCAACAAUUUCCCAAUUAUUGUCAUCUAGAAUGAUCAUUUCAUUUCACAAAUACAUUACAUUACAGCUCCUCAAAAUCUCUUGAGUAAAGCAUUUCACACAUAAUCUGCAACAAUGAAGAUAGAGCCAUUCCCGCAUAACUUCAAACUACUUCACAACUGUUACCUCAAGCCAUUGUGAUAUUCUUGUCCUUGUUGUGUUUUGAGUCAAAGACCCAAUCACGAGAACAAAUGGAGUGACAGCAACUCAGCCAAGUGUGUUAAUGGAACUUUAUAUCCCCACUCAAGCCAACGUGAUGCUCGUAGUUGGCGUCUCCAUUAACAGACCAGACAAGUUUCACAAUAGAGAGAGAGAGAGAGAGAGAGAGAGAGAGAGAGAGAGAGAGAGAGAAAUAAUCUCAUCCGGAGGAAUGUGAGGGCCAUGGAAUCAAGAGGCGGGCGAAACUCUCAUGGAAGGAUUUGAAGAUGAUGAAUGGAGAGAGAGAGAGAGAGAGAGAGAGAGAGAGAGAGAGAGAGAGAGAGAGAGAGAGAGAGAGAGAGUUCUGGCUUUCUAGGAUUUGAAGAUUUAUGAAGCUCAAGAGUACCGAGUGUGUUGGGUUCGUGAAUGUUUUUUCCUCCUAGGAAUCCAAGUACCGCCUCUACUCGAGCAAUCGAGUUCUGCAUUAGGAGUAUCUAUUAACUAAGCACUUUGAUUCUAUGAUCAUAAAUCCAUCCAAAGAUGAGCUGCAAUGGCAUUCAAUUUCUUGUUUAUUACUCCAAGGUGAACCAAACAAGGCCUAAGUGAUUACACGAUGUACUAUACUUUUCAUGGUGGAAUCAAUGAUCUGCCGUCUCGACCAUGACUUUCCAUAGGAUCAUGUAUCUAAAAUCCCUAAACCAAAGAAGUGAACAUGCACAAAAUUCACUUACUUAAGAACCUACCAUCAACUCACCCCAACGUACAUGCUAGGAGAGAUGAGAGAGACAGAUAGAGAAAUGUCUGGAUUUUGUUAAGAGUACAAAUACCAACCAAGUCCGCAGGAAGUUCUAAAUGAUUAUCUUUUCCCUUGAAUACCCCAGUCCUUGUUAAUGUAGAAAACAAGGAUCUCCUGCCUGAAGGAGUUGUUAUCAGUACUGGUGAUUAUGUCUGGAAAUAAAAUUACUGUUGAAAAUUAGAAUUGAAUUUUCUGGUUAUUUUGUUUCUAGAUUUUCCAGAUGUUUCAGAUUUUUUAGAUUUAGAUUUUCCAGAUCUUCCAGAUUUCUAGAUUUUCUAGAUUUUACUUUUUCCAGAUUUUAUUUGUUAGUUUUUAGGAAUUUGUUCACUACCUUUUUAGGGUGUUGUAGCAACUAUAAAAAUGUUAGAUGUCUCAUGUAAAUAUUCAUUCUCUGGAGAAUAAAAAACUCAAAGUAAUUUCUCCUAAAAUUCUUCAUGGUAUCAGAGCACAAUCUGGACCAUUCUCUUCUACCUUAUUUCUGAGAGUUUGCACCAUGACAAAAUACCUUAUAGCUACCAUGGCAAACGAGGUUGAGAGUGAAACCUCAGACCCUAGAGCUCAGAACUCUCCUCACAUUAUCCAACCUAUCAAUGUAUCCGAAGGUGGAACUCUUCUCAUCACCGGUCAUAAACUUACCGGUCACAACUUCAAUCAAUGGUUCCAUUCUGUCAUGAUUUUCGUUUGCGGAAAAGUUAAAGAAGAUUACCUAAUUGGAACUGCCGUACAACCUGAGGAGACGAGCCCAAAUUAUCGAACAUGGAAGGUGGAAAAUAACAUGGUGAUGUGCUGGUUGCUGAAUUUAAUGACAAAUGAAACAGGGGAGAAUUUCAUGUGCUACAAGACAGUAAAGGAGAUUUGGGAUGCUAUUCAUGAAACUUAUUCAAACAAGGAUAACACCUCAGCCAUUUUCGAGAUCAAGGGCAUUCUCCAUGACCUAAGGCAAGGAGAAUCUUUUGUCACUGAUUAUUUUAACCAACUUAUACGUCAUUGGCAGCAACUUGACAUGCUAGAAGAUGUGAUGUGGAGUUGUCCUGAAGAUAGCAAGCGGUACAAGCAGAUUCAAGAUCGAGAACGCAUCUACAAAUUUUUGUUAGGCUUGAAUCAAGAGCUUGAUGAGGUACAUGGACAAAUUCUUAGCAUAAAGCCCCUACCUAGUGUACGUGAAGUUUUUGCUGAGGUCAGGAGAGAAGAGACUCGGCGAAAAGUGAUGCUUGGUUCCUCAAACAACCAAACCAAUCUAGCAAAUUCUGCUCUAAUAGCUCGAGGAUCUCAACCAUCCUAUAGUCGAGGCACUCAAUCAAACAACAACAACCAGCAAAGGGGUGGUCGUCCAUGGUGUGAUCAUUGCAAAUGAACGGGUCACACAAAAGACACAUGAUGGAAAAUUCAUGGUCAACCAGAUGAUUGGAAGCCAUCAGCCUCACAUCCUACUCAAAAUCGAGAGAGCAAAAGCAACCUAGUCCAAACCGAAACAAUCGCUUCGGUAGAUUCAAGUCCCUUCAACAAAGAGUAGUUGGAGAUGCUUAAAAAGCUGCUACAAGAAUCAGUUCAGAAGGCAACCCAUCUAGAAGGGGUUAGUAUAGCAACGAUAGCUCAACGAGGUAACUCUCUAAAUGCCUUUAGUGCUAAAUAGGAGAAGAUCACCUCUUGGGUUGUAGACUUAGGAGCAUCUGACCACAUGACCGAAGAUAUCAUGGUGUUCAACGAGUACAAUCCAUGUCAAAAUGGCACUAGUGUUCGAAUUGCUGAUGGUUCUUGCUCAAAGGUGGCUGGUGUUGGAUCAGUGGUUAUUUCAAAAGAUAUAACACUGAAUUUAGUAUUAUUUAUUCCCAAACUCAGCUAUAAUCUUCUCUCCAUCAGCAAGUUAACCAAAGAUUUAGGCUGCAUUACUAAAAUUUUCCCACACUCAUGUGAAUUUCAGGUUUUGGAUUCGGGGAUGACGAUUGGCAGUGCUGAGAUGGAUGCGGGUCUCUACCUUGUUAAUGCCUCAGAAUGGAAAAACAAGAUGUCAUGUGUAGCAUCGUGCUAAAGAAGAGAGUGAUGUAAGAUUGUGGCACUAUAGGUUAGGUCAUCCAAAUUUCUCGUACUUAAAAAGGCUGCUACCUUUUUUGUUCAAUAAAGAUUCAAUAAAACUUCAAUGUGAGGUGUGUCAAUUAUCCAAACAUACUCGUAGUUCAUAUCCUUUGCAACCUUAUAAGUCUUCUCAUCCAUUUCACAUGAUUCAUAGCGAUAUUUGGGGACCUUCUCAUGUCAAUAACAUUUCUGGUUUUAGGUGGUUUGUUACUUUCAUUGAUGAUCAUACAAGACUCACUUGGCUAUUCCUAAUGAAAGAAAAAUAAGAUAUUGGCCAAAUCUUUCAAACCUUCAACCUAAUGAUCCAAACCCAAUUCAGCACAAAAAUCCAAGUUUUCAAAACGGAUAAUGGGAGAGAAUACUUUCACUCACAACUCGGGUCAUAUCUAAAUAGCCAUGGUAUCAUACAUAUUAGCUCUUGUGUAGAGACUCCACAACAGAAUGGAGUAGCGAAGAGGAAAAAUAGGCAUCUUUUGGAAGUCGCUCAUUCUCUUAUGUUAACCACCCAUGUUCCUAAACAUUUUUGGGGAGAAGCAGUGUUGACAGCCACAUGUCUCAUUAAUCGUAUGCCUUCCUAUGUCCUAGAUUUCCAAACACCAUUUCAGAGUCUACUUCGUAUUUACCCACAUAUUCGUUUUGCCUCACAUAUCCCACUCAAAGUAUUCUGUUGCACAGCUUUUGUUCAUAUAAAUCAGCAACAUCGUAGCAAGCUAGAUCCUAAGUCUCUCAAAUGUGUGUUUCUACGAUACGCUCCAAAUCAAAAUGGAUAUAAGUGUUAUUGCCCACAAACAAAGCAUUUUUAUACCACCAUGGAUAUUACAUUCUUUGAGCACCAGCCCUUCCACUCCAAAAAUACCAUUAAGGGGGAGAGUUGUGAGGAAUAUUAUUUUUGGGACACUUUUCAUUCACUCAGGUCACAACAAACAAAUACCAACUCUGCUUGUCUUCUGAGUCUACCCAUUCAAGAUGCUACACAAGACAAAAAUAAAGAGGUAAUUGUCUACUCUAGGCGGAAAACUCAAAAGGAGUUGGAGGACCGUACUACAUCAAAGCCGGCCCAAGAGACAAACCUGAGUUCAAGACCCACAAUGGAUGAAGGUAAUGCUCCUAUAAGCUCAUAAAAUUUUGCUGUACUUGAUGAUCUUGAUCAGCCCAUUGCUCUUAGGAAAGGGAAGAGACAGUGCACUCAACAUCCCAUUAACAAUUUUGUGUCUUAUGAAAAGUUGUCUUCUAAAUAUAAGGCAUUUGUUUCAACGUUGAGCAACAUUCAAAUUCCCAAGAAUAUCCAGGAGGCACUUGCUCAAUCCGAGUGGAAAAAAGCAGUUCUUGAGGAAAUUCAUGCACUUGAGAAAAAAAAAACUUGGGAAUAUACAGAAUUGCCAGCUAGGAAGAAAUUGGUGGGAUGUAAGUGGGUUUUUACAAUUAAGCACAAUGCUGAUGGUAGUGUUGAUCGUUUCAAGGCAAGGCUGGUUGCUAAGGGAUUCACGCAAUCAUAUGGUAUAGACUAUGAAGAAACCUUUGCUCCGGUGGCCAAACUAAAUUCCAUUCGGGUGUUGCUCUCCCUUGCAGCUAACUUGGACUGGCCCCUACAUCAAUUAGACAUAAAGAAUGCCUUCUUGAAUGGGGAAUUGGAGGAAGAAGUCUUUAUGGAGGUUCCAUCGGGAAUUGACACUAAAGAGAGCUUCAACCAGGUAUGCAAACUCAAGAAAUCCCUAUACGGCCUAAAGCAAUCACCUCGUGCUUGGUUUGAGAGGUUAACAAGGGUCGUUAAGAAGCUGAAUUUCAUUCAAUGUCAAACAGAUCAUACAAUGUUUGUCAAGAAGUCGGCUGAAGGUAAAAGAGCAGUAAUGAUUGUAUACGUCGAUGAUAUAAUCCUAACUAGUGACAAUCUGGAGGAGAUUGAAAAACUGAAGAUUAUCCCGACAGAAGAAUUCGAGGUUAAAAACCUAGGUCAACUCAAAUACUUCCUAGGUAUGGAGGUAACUCGGUCACGUAAAGGAAUUGCAAUUUCCCAAUGCAAAUAUACUCUUGAUCUUUUGAAGAAAACUGGUAUGCUUGGGUGUAAACCAGCUAACACACCCAUGGAUUCUACAAAUAAAACCGAGAUGGAAGAAGAAGGACCAUUAACAGACAAAUGGAGGUAUCAAAGAUUAGUUGGCAAAUUGAUCUAUCUCUCGCAUACUCGGCCAGACAUUGGUUUUGCAGUAAGUAUGGUUAGUAGAUACAUGAACCGAUCAACAGAGAAACACAUGCAGGCAGUUUUUCGAAUCUUACAAUACUUGAAGAAAAAUCUUGGGAGAGGGCUCUACUUUAAGAAAAUGGAGGAGAGAAACGUAGAGAUAUUCACUGAUGCAGAUUGGGCUGGAUCUCUCAUGGACCGAAGGUCGACAACAGGGUAUUGUACCUUCAUGUGGGGCAGCAUGGUUACUUGGAGAAGCAAGAAGCAACCUGUUGUUGCUAGGAGCAAUGCUGAAGCGGAGUUUAGAGCAAUGUGUCAAGGAAUAUGUGAAGGCAUAUAGCUAAGAAGAAUAUUAAAUGAACUAGGAUUCACUAAUACCAAUCCUAUGUCAUUAUUAUGUGACAACAAAGCUAUUAUUGAGAUUGCCAAGAACCCGAUUCAUCAUGAUAGAACAAAGCAUGUGGAGAUCGAUCAACAUUUCAUCAAAGAAAAACUCGAGGAAGAAAUCUUGAAGCUCUCGUAUGUUCCAACCCAUUAUCAAACAGCGGACAUACCGACCAAGGUUUUAUCCAUAAAUAAUUUUGAGACUUUAAGGUGCAAGCUGGGUAUGAUAGACAUUCAUAACCCAGCUUGAGAGGGAGUGUUGAAAAUCAAAAUUGAAUUUUCUGGUUAUUUUGUUUCCAGAUUUUCCAGAUGUUUUAGAUCUUUUAGAUUUAGAUUUUCCAAAUCUUCCAGAUCUUCCAGAUCUUUUAGAUUUUCUAGAUUUUAUUUUUUCCAUAUUUUAUUUGUUAGUUUUUAGGAAUUUAUUUACUACCUUUUUCAGGUGCUCUAGCAACUAAAAAAAUGUUAGAUGUCUCAUAUAAAUAUUCAUUCUCUGGAGAAUAAAAAACUGAGAGUAAUUUCUCCUAAAAUUCUUCAAUUACUGAUAUGAUAAUAUACAAUUCUCAGUAUGAAAUAUACAAUUCUCAGUAUGAAAUAUGCCCGCCGUGCGCCUCUAAUGUUGAUUUUUGGGUUAUCCCCUAUCAUGUAUAGUGUUCUGAAACAACGAAUUCUGACUAUGUAUUAGUCUCCACAUCUAGGUUGCUUAACAAAGAUGGCAUAAGAUUCCUUAACAGGGUGUCAGCAUUUCCAUAGACAAAUGGAUUUGGCCUCCCAUACGAUGUAUAUGCCAGCGGAAUGGGAUGUAUUCUGCAGAACAGGGACAAGUAAACAAUGCAUAACAUAAGAUUGAAGAUUAAUGCAUGUCACUAUGCUGCAUUGAGGUAAACUUUAAUUUUUUGUGGAGAAUAUUAGAUCAAACUCCAUGCAGAACUAAACAUUGAGAAGCUAAAACCGCACUAAAUUACCUAUUAUAGAUUGCUUCUAAUGCAAUCGUGAAAGUUCCCAUACCCAGAAGCUCAGCAGGAAAAGUAGCCUGCCUCUACACUUUGUCAGCUAGUCAUCAGCCAGUCUUUAGUUCCACCAAGGCUUCAAAAACUCAAGAUUGCAGCUAGCAUCACAAAUGGCACAACUUACCCGGUAUUCGAGGUCAUUAUUUGCAAAAAAACAUGUGCGGUUGCUUUCCAGCCUCCCUUUCAGGAGGCCAUCCAGUUCUCAAUAUGUCACAGAGUACCUAAACCCAAACUUGAGUAUCACGGAAUUUUUUUAAUGUACACAGACAGAUAGAUAGAUGAUAACACUCCAUUUUAUCACUUUUUCCAAACUAGAUGUCAGCACCCACUAGACUUUUAAAAAGAGAUGACUAAAGUUGCAGAGUAGUUACUGAACAACCAAACAAAGCCUAGUGUCUUUUGAUGGUCAGUUCAAAGAUUUAAAACUCGCGUGACGAAAAGGCCAAUAUGGACUCGACAGCCGAAUUAGAUAAUCUAAGAAAGGACAAGAUCCUCUAGAGUGGUCACAACCUGAGUAUCUUUGCUCCAAUCAACAGAAUCAUUGGCCACAAAUACUGCUUGAACUCUCUAUGUUUGCCUAGCAAUUUUUCUCUUUCCUAUCAUAUUAGAAGUGCUAUUCUGGUCAUUGCCUAGCUUAGUUGUCCAUCUCUUGUAUGGUGCCAGUGGAUCAAUGGCAUCAAAGUAGCUAGUGUACUCAUCAAUUGACGGAACGUUUCUGCAUAGAAAAGACAGAGGCAGAAAGAGGGUCAACUAGAGGGAAAAGAGAGAGAGAGAGAGAGAGAGAGAGAGAGAGAGAGAAUCAAGUUGUUGGAGUUGUUGGAGUUGUUGGAGUUCUCGUUCCAGGUGAAACAGUGUUGAACACUAACGACUAAGAAGAUUUAUGGAGAGGACUUCUCUGCAAUUACUCAAGUCCCUGAGAACUUGAGUGAUUUUUAUUAACUUUGCUUGCUCCUAAUUAUUAUCUAGACAUCUUCAAUAUCAAUUUUAUUAGAUACAUAACUUUAUCCUCAUAACUUUUGAAAGCUUUCAGUAACCUUGACACGAUAUAACUUUUGUGGAGCUAUUGUUGUUUAAACUUUUGUGUAGACUUUAGAUAGCAAGGGUAUGCGUGGGCUUGCUUUCAUUUCUCUUUUCAGUGAUCUGCCUUAACCAUUUCUAGCAAGCCUAUUUUUUUUUUUUUUCUGGAACACAUUGAGCUCCUUGUCUACUUAGCUUCUAAAGUAGCUUUGGAUGGUUGUGCAGCCCGAAUUAUAUCUAAAAUUCAAGCUCUGUGAUGACAAGUUGGAACUCUUUGGGUACUAAAUUACUUGUGGCAACUAUCUUUUUCUGUUCUAAUUAUGAGGGUUGCUGAUGGACUAGAAGUUAUGAACAAUUGCCGGAUGCACAAAUUUAUUGAUUAUGUUUGGUUGUGGCAGUGUUAUAUCAAUUUACAAAUCGAAAAUGUGCCACAAUAUUUAGCAUUUUGGUAUCUCAGGUUUGUUUUUUGGAAGGUGGUGUGAUUGAUUGAUCUCUUGCAUCGAAUAACAGGGAGAAGAGCAUCUAGCUUGUGUUACUGUAGCUGACCAUUUAAGCUUGAAGCAACACUAGAGUGUGAUCACUAAUUCAAGGAAAUUUUAACUUUGGCUAGGUGCUACAAUGGGCAGGAUUUUAUGUGGCUAACUGAGCAUUAGUACAUGCAUUGGCAUGCUAGAAUGGUUUUGUUAUGAGGGCAUAUUGAGAAACUGAUGAUGUUGAAUUUACCAAAGAAAAUAAGACAGUACUUUAGGUUGGUUUAGGUAAAUCAACUAACACCCUUCAAUCUCCCAAUAUAAAGAUGAGGUUUUGUGAUGAGGUAAAAUGUGCAGAAAGACUAGAAGGAGUUGCUUUUUCAAUCUACUGAAGAUAGAGGCAGUUAAUUGUAGUGUGAAGUGAAAAGAUAUGUUUUUGCAUUGCUUAUCAGAAGUGACUUGUUACUGUUGAUUCUACUUCUACUUUUUUUGCAGUCAUCAUGUGUUUUAGAUGUUGAUUGCUUGUAUAUUUAGAUCAUCAUAUUGCAGGGGAUUGGUAAUGCCAUCUUUUUUGGUUGCUGGUGGAACUUCCCUUUAGUAGAUCUAAGACCUCUCUCUAUUUUGCAACUUCCUUGGAAUGAAAUUUUCCUCCAUUUUUCGCAAUUCUGUGAUGAGACACAAACAAGGUCAGAAAACACUUUGUGGUGCUUGACAUCUGAGGACGAAUUCUUGAUUUCUUUUCCAACUUAGCAAUUAGCACUACAUAUCAGUAACUAGAUUUGGUUUUUACUAUGCUUUGAUGACCGUCUUUUCCUGUGAUAGAGCUGGCCCUGAUGAAGCAAAAGAGACGUUGAAGAAAAUUGGUGCUGAAGAAGUGUUCACUAAGAGCCGAUUAGAAGUAAAGAAUGUCAAGGGUCUACUAAUACCGUCCAUCCACUAGCCCAUUCUACCAUAUUCUUAUGCAUGGACACAUCCAUUUUUGGCCAUUGGCACUUGAGUUCUUUAUUUACAUCUUAUUGACUUUGUACUAGGGUGAUCUAAAAGAAUUUGCCCUUGGAUUAAACUGCAUUGGUGGCAAUGCUACUUCCUCGGUGAUGAAAUUUUUGAAGUGCAACAGGUGUUAAAUUUGUGUCGAGUGCUUCCCUUAUCUUUCUGAAGAGAGCUGAUCUAGUUUUGUUCUCAGGCGGGGAGGAAUCAUGGUGACAUAUGGUGGGAUGUCUAAGAAACCAAUUACAGUGUCAACUUCAUUUUUUAUCUUCAAGGUAAAUUAAGAAGCAGCGAACUAAAAUUUCUGCUUAUGGUUGAGGUUAUUUCAGUCAAGUCUUACAAUUUGACUUGUCUAUGUUUCGGUCUCAGUCUUGGCAAUGACCUAUAGUUUGAUUUUUGUUUAAAAGUUUUAUUUGUUGUUUAAAUUUGGCCCAAAAUCUCAAUUUCAAUAUUUGAUGCAACCAAAUUUGAGCGAAAAAAUUAUCCCUGGAGUUGAGACUAAGAGGAAUGUAUAAACCAAUGCAAUAGUGGUUCUUAUGGUUUGCAGGAUCUUUCUUUGAGGGGAUUUUGGCUGCAUAAUUGGAUCAGUUCAAAUGAUGUAAGAGAGUGCAGAAGAAUGAUUGAUCACUUGCUGGUCACUUGCUGGAACUAGCGUGUGAUGGAAAGUUAAAAUACGAGUUUGUCUUUUGUAACAACUACUCAAAUUGCUGUAUUUAGGUCUCCAUAAGUAAUUUUCACUAGUAUUUAUCCUCAAGAGUGUGUUUGGAUUGUGGAUGCAUAUUAAGUUCUCCAAAACUGCAGGAACGAGCUUGUUCCUUUUAGUGAUGAGUUCAUUUGGAAUUAGGCGUAUUACACUAUUUUUUGUUAUUUCUCUUUUUAUUUUUAUUUUUCGUUGGGUCAAAGUCUUUGUCCAGGUCAUCGACAUAAAUUUGGCAUCUCCUAUAGUAACUUUGUUAAUAAUAUAAAGUUAUUUCUGAAAGUACUGGUAAAGCGACCAGUCAAAAGACGCUCGAGAAAAUAUUGUUAUCAAAAGUUUGGACAGCUGGUAAAGAAUUUCUAAAUUUUACUGGUACAGAAAGCGUACUGGCUUUUCUCCCUAGCAGACCUGCAGAAUCGUGGGACCGGUUCAUCUGGUCGCACUCGUGGUCAUGGAGAAACAGAGAGAUGCAAGGCUAAUAAUUUUAUGCUGCUGCAUUUACAUGGGCUGAUUAUUCAACACAAGUGGUCAAGAACCAAUCUGAACUUUCGAUUGCAUAACGCCCAACAGAGUCCGCAAGAUUUGCAGCUCAAAUUUCAAUUGCAAGAUGCAAUACAAACUUCAUCAACUGUAUCAACAGAAAGUAGUGACUCUGCUGGGGGCAAGAAAUAGCUUAAGAAUGAGCAGGAUUCGCCACUCGAAAGACUUGACAGCAUCUACUCCCCAAACCAGCUUUUCGGAGGACGUGAAGGAGUUGGCGAAGUACACUUAGUUGGCUCUGCCGUGAAGGAUCUUUCUCCUGGCGAUUUGGUCAUUCCAUCUCCACUCUCUUUUGGUAAAACAUUCUUUCAGUAUUACCUAAGUUUUAAAAUGAUAUCAGAUUUACUGUGCAUCAGCCAUGCUCAUCUAGUUGAUCACUUCUGAACAAUUUCUCACUCAGCCAAAGGAUAUAAUCUUCUAUAUUUGAUGCAGCAUGUUUAACGUUUAAUUUGAUUAGAUGCAGAACAGAAACGAGUGAAAUAUCAACCAAAAGAAAGAUUGAAACUGUGAUACACAUCUUAGUGAUUGUCAUCUUAAAUAAAAGAUACUUCUGCAUUCCAUUAGUACUGACUUGUUUUGUUAUGCAGAACAUCUGUGCCUAGCACUUAGCCCAUUGUAAAUUUGAGUGUGUUGAAAGGUGAAAUAGUUUUUGUGCUCAGGGACAUGGCAGACUUACAUUGUCAAAGACCAGAGUGUAUGGCAAAAAAUUGAUAAGAAUUCUCCUAUUGAAUAUGCUGCGACAAUUUCCAUUAAUCCUCCGACCGCUUUGAGAAUGCUUGAAGACUUCACCUCUUUGGAACCAGGUAUAUAAACAGUACAAGAGUCUCUUAGCUGUCCCCCAACUUUCACCGUAAGCAAUUUAUCCUAAGUUGUGCUAAUCAGCUGUGAUCAUUAGGGGAUUCGAUUGUGCAAAAUGAGGCUACGAGUAUAGUGGGUCGAUGCCUCAUCCAAAUUGCGAAAUCCCGUGGCAUCCAAGCAUCAACAUAAUCAGGGACAGGUGCUCUCUUGAAAGCUUUCAGUAACCUUGAUACCACGUAACUUUUGUCAAACUACUGUUGUUUAAAACUUUUGUGUAGACUUUAGAUAGCAAAGUUAUGUGUGGGUUUGCUUUUAUUUCUCUUUUCUGUGAUCUGCCUUAACCAUUGCUAGGAAGCCUUUCUUUUUUUUUUUUUUUUUUUUUUUCUGGAACGCAUUGAGCUCUUGUCUACUCAGCUUCUGAAGUAGGGACUAAAUUACUUGUGGCAACUCUGUCUUUUCCUAUUCUAAUUAUGAAUGUUGCUGGUAGACUAAAAGUUAUGAACAAUUGCCAGAUGCACAAAUAUGUUGAUUAUGUUCGGUUGUGGCAGUGAUAUAUUAAUAUACAAAUUGAUAAUGUGCCAAAAUAUUUAGCAUUCUGGUAUCUCUGGUUUGUUUUUUGGAAGCUUGUGUGAUUGAUUGAGAUCUCCUUGCAUCGAAUAACAGGGAGAAGUGGACCUUGAGCUUGUGUUACUAUAGCUGACCCUUUUAAGCUUGAAGUAACAUUGAGUGUGAUUACUGAUUUGAGGAAAUUACAAUCUUUGGCUAGGUGCUACAAUGGGCAGGAAUUUAUGUGGCUGACUGAGCAUUAGUACAUGCAUUGGCAUGCAAGAAUGGUUCUGUUAUGAGGGCAUUUUGAGGAAUUGAUUAUUUGAACUUAUCAAAGAAAAUAAGAACGUACUUUAGGUUCAUGUAGGUACAUCAACUAACAUCCUUUAAUCUCCCAAUAUAAAGAUGAGGUUUUGUGAUGAGGUAACAUGUAUUUGGAAAGACUAGAAGGACUUGUUUUGUGAAUAUAUCGAAGGCGAAGGUAGUUAAUUGUAGUGUGAAUUGAGCAGAGAUCUUUCUGCAUUGCUUAUCAUAAUUGACUUGUUACUGUUCAUGAUUCUUCUACUACUUUUGCAGUCAUCAUGUGUUUUAGAUGUUGAUUGCUGGUAUGUUUAGAUCAUCAUAUUGCUGGGCAUUGGUAAUUCCAUCUUUUUUUAGUUGCUGGCGGAAACUUCCUUUUAGUAUAUCGAAGACGUCUCUCUGCUUUGCAACUUCUUUUGGAGUGAAAUUUUCCUCCUUUUCUUUUAAUUCUGUGACGAGACACAAAAAGAGGUCAGAAAACACUUUGUGGUGCUUGACGCAUUAAUUUAGUAGGGCUCUCUCAGCCAGCUUAUUAGUUCAUGCUAUGACCUCUGAGCACAAAUUUGGUAGAAUUCUUUAUUUGUUUUCCAACUUAGUAGUUAGCACUGCAUAUCAGUAACAAAAUUUGAAUUUUACUGUGCUUUCAUGGCCGUCCUUUUCCUAUGAUAGAGCUAGCUCUGAUGAAGCAAAAGAGGUGUUGAAGAAACUUGGUGUUGAAGAAGUGUUCACUGAGAGCCAAUUAGAAAUAAAGAAUGUCAAGAGUCUACUGGUAUCAUCCAUCCAUUAAUCCAUUCUACCAUAUUCUCAUGCAUGAAACACAUCCAUGUUUGGCCAUCGGCACUUGAGUUCUUUAUUUACAUCUUAUUGACUUGCUACUAGGGUGAUCUAAAAGAACCUGCCCUUGGAUUAAACUACGUUGGUGGCAAUGCUGCUUCCUUGGUGAUGAAAUUUUUGAGGUGUGACAAGUGUUAAAUUCGUGUUUAGUGCUUCCCUUAUCUUUCUGUAGAGAGCUGAUUUAGUUUUGUUCUCAGGCGGGGAGGAACCAUGGUGAAAUAUGGUGGGAUGUCUAAGAAACCAAUUACAGUGUCAACUUCAUCUUUUAUCUUCAAGAUAAAUUAAGAAGUGGUGAACUAAAUUUUCCACCGAUGGGUAGGAGGUUAUUUUAGUCUAGCCAUACAAUUUGAUUUGUCUAUGUUUCGGUCUCGGUCUCGAUCUCGAUCUCGGUCAAUGCCCUAUAGUUUUAUUUUUUUUGUCUAAAUUUGGCCCAAAAUCUCAAUUUCAGUAUUUGACGCAACCAAAUUUGAGAGAAAAAAAUUAUCCCUAGAGUCGAGACUAAGGGGAGUACAUAAAUCAAUGAGACAAUGGUUCUUAUGGUUUGCAGGAUCUUUCUUUGAGGGGAUUUUGGCUGCAUAAUUGGAUGAGUUCAAAUGAUGUAACAGGGUGCAGAAGAAUGAUAGAUCACUUGCUCGAGCUAGUGCAGGAUGGGAAGUUAAAAUACGAAUAUGUCUUCGGUAACCACCACUCAAAUUGCUGUAUCUAGGUCUCCAUAUCUUUAUAGUGUCUCUAAUAGUAUUUAUCUUCAAGAUAGUGUGCCUGGACUGUGGAUGCGUAUGAAUUUCUCCAAAACUGUAGGACGGAGCGGGUUCCUUUUAGUGAUUUCCACAUUGCACUGGAUAAAUCAUUGGGGAAACUUGGAAGCCAUCCUAAGCAAGUCCUGAAGUUCUAGGGCUAUUGAAUAUUUAAGGGCAGUGAGAAGAUAAAAAAAUUAUGCGUCAUAUCCUUCAGACAAUCAGUUGUUCUAAAGUUGAGGCACUAGAUGGACCGAGCACGAUAACUAUGUAUCUUUUCCAUUAUUAUUAUUCUCUUUUCAUAAGUUAUGCAUCUUUUUUGUUGAGGUAAUUUCGUAGAUUCUUAUUUUCAGCAAUUUCCAUUCUGAAUUUGUUUUGCAUCAUGCCUUCCAAUCUAAAACUAAUCUCAUGCUCUCCCAAAACAUGAUGGCUGAAUUUGGAGAUCCAAACAUCGGCCCGCUUGGUAUGGGAAAGGUCCAGAAAGGUUUGAGAUUUGCACGAUUCUCAUAUACACGUAAUAAGGAACAUUGGGAUAUACUUCCCAAAAAUCAUGUAAUCAACAUGGCAUGCAUUGAGAAAAAGAGCAAGAAGAAUCAUAAAUUAUUCAUUUGAUCUAACCUAAUUCAAAUGGGAUGCAAAGGGAAAACACAGAAUGGAAAGAUCGUGUCAGCUUCCAAAGAAUUGACGAUUGUUCAGAUACCACGGAAAGAAAAGGCAUCUUUAUUUUAGACAAUGUCAAGGACCGCACUCCUUUCUCAAGAUAAAGGAGUUGGACCAGGAUGAGUGAUUUUCAAAUUCAUUUUUAGCCUUGGAAAAUUUAGAGAGAAAACAAAUUCCCCACAAAAUGGCUUCCUAUCAUGCACAAUUUUGCAAGGCCGAAGAGAUGGGCCUAGCAAAUUGGAAGAUUAUAAGUAAUUGGAAGAUUAUCCACGCUGACACCUCAAAACACUUAAUGAAAUGUUUGUUUAAUGGUCAUGGAAUCAUGAAAGGAAUCCCAAACCGUAAAAUCAAAUAGAGGACAAUAAUCGGGAAAAUGUUCAGGGAUCUUAUGUGGUUUUUCAUCCUGUUCUAUCCCUAGUUUUCCGUUAUUUGCUUGUAUACAUUGAUUGGAGACACAUUCCCGUUCUUACACGUACAACAUAUUUGUUAUUUUAAGAGAUGGGCUUCAUUCGGUGAGCAUAAUUCAACAUGGAAUUCCACUCUGAUCCCAACCUAAGAAAAGAAUUUCUGAAUCAAUUUAGUAAUUUAGACUUUUUUUGUUUCUCAAAAAAUAAAUAAUUCGAUAAAUAUUUUCUUAAAAAUGAUCGUUUAUAUCACUCAAAAUAAUUAUUAAAUAAGAAAUAUUUUUAUUAUUCAUAAUAAUUUAUGUCUAGAUAUUUUUCGUGGAAGGUAAACAAAUUUUUAGUUGGUUUAUUUUUAUAAGCAAUAUAAAUAAUUAUUUUUAUGAAAUGUUUUAAAUCAUUCUCUUAAUCAAAGAUACACUCCCUUUACAUGUGUGCUGUAGUUCCAUCUUCACUCUCAAUUGUAUUAAUUAAUCAUCCGAGCCAAAAGUAAAGCAAAAUAUCUUUGUGCUCUAAAUAGGCAAUUAUAUUCUAAACAGCUUUUCAUCAGCCAACAUGUAGUUUUUCUCAUGGACCAAUGGCAUCUGUUUUUAUGGUCGUCGUAGUCAAAAAUUAGAUUGGAAAUUGGAACACCUUUUGAAUAGAGGAGAUUAUGUAAAGCCAAAAGAAGCAACAUGGACGGACCAUUUUUCUUAGCCGUCGCAUCAACAAACAAAUGGAGAAAAUGAUGGAGAUGCACUCCUAUUUUGAUGACAGCUUAGCAGUGUACUAUUGCCGGCCAACAGAAGCAUGUGAUCAUCAUCUUUUACCGAGACAAUGAAUGAUUAGAUAGCCUCGAUGAUGACAUGGAAGUGACAAGUGGUACCUCCACUAGUGCACCUUUUGAAUGGAGGAGAUCAUGUAAAGCCAAAAGAUAGCAACAUGUAUGAACCAUUUUUCUUAGCCAUCGCAUCAACAAACAAACGGAUAAAAUUAUGGAGAUGCGAUCCUAUUUUGAUGACAGCUUAGCAGUGUACUAAUUGCCGGCCAACGGAAGCAUGUGAUCAUCGUCUUUUACCAAGACAAUGGAUGAUUAGAUAGCCUCGUUGAUGACAUGGAAGUGACAAGCGGUACCUCCACAAGUGCAUCUACUUUUGGAAAAGGAUGGAUUCCCAUUAUAUUCUUUCGUGGCUUCGCCUACAAUAAGGCACAAGGGAGAGCAUUAAAUUUCAAAAAUAAGCCUAUUGACAUUUCUCUACCGGGUGCUUAAAUCAGAAGAAAAACAGCGUCGUCUUAUCAUGUUAUGCUGUCAUCAUUACACUUAAAUAGUCGAAAAUAAUUGAAACGCCACGAUAGACGAAUUCAAUGAGAUUUAGCUAAAAUGUUUUAUUACAUUUUCCCUUGUAAGUUUAAGACUACGUUAUUUCAGUUAAAAAGUUUAUACCUUUAUAGGUUUGAAAUUUCAGUAUAAUAACUUUAGAAAAGAUUGUGCAAUUAUCUCGGAAAUAUGACAAUUCGGUUUUCUCAAUCUCAUGCUCGCACUCAACUCAAUACAAUAAAUAUACUUGCAUCAAACUCAAUCCAACUCUAAUAUUAAAAACUAAAUUAUAGAGCUUCGAACUCCAUCUCAAGUUCUCAUAAAAAAUUUCAAAAAUAAUGAUUUUUUCCAUUGUCCUUAGUAAAAUCCUUUAAAUUAUUAACAAGGCUCACAAAUUGCAUUACUAUAGUAUUACAAAAUUUGACACAUAUCCAUAUUGUUAGGUCCAAAUACAUAAAAGAAGGGGUGAAGUGUUUUUUUAUACAUAUAAAAAUAUUUAUCUUUCUAGAACCAGCACCUUAUUUAAAAAUGUUUUUUAUAUGCAAUUAAACUGUUAAUUUGCAAUAAGAAACUUAUAGAGUUUAGGGAAAAAGAAAUUACAAAAGCUAUUUAUAGAGUUUCAAUUAGGAUAUGCUUUCUCUUCUAUCUCUAGCAACCCCAUUAGAUUGAAGUUCACUACUUCGGCCAAUAGUGCAAUUGCCAAGAACUUUGUAUCGCGCGGACUCGACUCCUCCUACGGCUAUCUCACUAUAGACUAAAUAAUUAUUAAAUCUCUUUCAAUAGCUGUUCUCACACCUUGUGCACACAACAUGGUAGACAUAUUCUCCCCCAAAAUUAUUUAACCACAUUUCCAAGUGUUUACAAAUAAUCAUUUGCAUAUUUUGUCUCUUACCUAAACAAUUGCAUUCUCUCUAAGCACGACCACUUCUUCCGUGUGUAUACAAAUGAUUUUGGCACCCUUGCUAACUUUUUGGAUCAAAACUAAAUAGAUUAUAAUGAAACAGCAAAGAGAUAGAUCUCAAGAACACUCAAUGUGUUUCGAUUUUUCUUGUUGCAAGCAUUCAAUCACAAGUUACGUUUUACUCAUAGUUUGUCCUUAUAGGCCUCCAAAAACAACCCUCUUGUUUCAACCAUCUGAUCCAAGUCGAUCACAGAAUGAGUUUCAUUUCAUCACACGAAAAAGAGACAUUUGGAGGGGGUACUUAGAGAUCAUCAACAAAUGAAAAAGUCAAAAUGAUAAGGAGAGUGAGCAGCAGUUGGUAAGUUUAUAAAUUGACUUAUUAUAGUGUUUGCAAUUUAUUUACGAUGCUUGUGAAAUUUCCAAAGAGUUGGUUAUUCUUUAAUUCAUUUCAAAGUUGGUAAAUUUCUAACGGCAUUGAUAAGUUAUUGGUAGGUUAUUUGGCAAUCAAAUUGACGGCCAUGCUUUUCUUUUAUCGACUGUACUAGAUGUUAAUGUUGGCUGGGUCUGCCUGUGUGGGGCCUAGUUAACAUUAAUAAAUAAAAGAAAAGGUCAAAAAGUCAAAAUGCAAUAAAGGGAAAGAAAGGCGGGCUGCUCGUUCGGAGGAGACAGGAAAUGGGCUGUGACAUCCGGUCUAGAAUCGAAGGCCAAAUAUCGUCGGAGUUGACUCAAAUUUCAAUAUGUUGUUAUAAGACCGAGACAAAUGAGUCGAGACAGGCGAGUCCAUCAGUUUCAUUUGUCAAUCCAUUUCGUUCAUUGAACACUUUUUCUAAAUUAUCUCAAAUUUCUCUAAUCACGAUUAGGCUUUCUUACUUCAUAUAUAUUAAUCCGCUUUUACAGUAAUGAAAUGUCAUUAUAUUAAAUCUCUAAUAUAUUACUAAAGAAGAACCUCUAUGCAUCUUACUAUUUUUUGUGAUUAAUGAAAGUUUUUGAAUUGUCCAUAAUUUUUUUCGCAUUGAAUUUCCACGUAAACUUGUCGUGUUUGCUUUUGUCUGUUUUUAUCAUUUUGGCAUUACUUUUAUUCAUUUCGAGAUUAUAUUGCGGGAAUAUAUUGCCUGUUAUUAUAGGGGUUGAGUCGAUUUUGGUCCAUUUAAUCUUGGGAGGAGAUUGAUUCUACAUUAGGUUAAUUUUUGAUGAAUUGUUGCCGGUUCUCUCGAACUUUGUAUCAAUAAUUUUGGAAAUCCAUCAAGUAAGGGAAAUUUUCUGCACUUUCCUUUGACUACCCUGCACUCAGUCCCGAAAGAUUGCGUCAGCCACAUCUUUGAUUUUGUGUAUCAUCGACCAAUAGCAUCUAAUUUUAUGGUCUUCGUCGUCGUGAAAAAGGAUGAUUUCUGUCCCAAUCGCGUCCUCAUCGGCAUCUUCGAUUUUUUUGUCUCAUCGACCAAUAGUAUUUGAUUGUAUGAUCUUCGUCGUCGUUGAUUUUAUGGUCUUCGUCGUCGUGAAAAAGUAUGAUUUCUGUCCCGUCCGCGUCCUCAUCGGCAGCCUUGAUUUUUUUGUCUCAUCGACCAAUAGCAUUUGAUUUUAUGGUCUUCGUCGUCGUGAAAAAGUAUGAUUUCUGCCCCAGUCGUGUCCUCAUCGGCCCAAAGCAUUUUACAUGCUUUUCCCAGAACUGCCCCAGUCAAUAACACUUCAAUUCGUGUUAUAUUAUGAUCUGAGAAAUGGAUGUUUACUGCGGGGUUCUUCCAAAUCGGUUUCGUCUAGGGGGACGAUAAGAAGAGAUGCUCCAAUAUUCCUUUUUUCAAACUUUCUUGCAAGAUUGAUUGCAGUUUUAUUUUUCAGGAGUCGUGCUUUGAUAGGAUACGUUCAUAUUUCGGAGGAGGCUUGUGAAAUUUUGAAGACGACUCGCAUCAUACUUGUCAGAAUGCAGGGAUGGACUAUUAUAUAUUUUUAGUGGGGUCAAUGCCCUAAAGACUGUAAGAUAAGGUAUUUCAUUUAACAAAAAAAUUAUAAAGAUGCGAUCGAGCUAUUUAUUGAUUUGAAGUAGUUUUUCUACGCAAAGUCUGACUUGAAAUCAACGCUUUGACAUUGAAUCGUGAAUGUGAACAAAAUUCGGUUUCAAAUCCCUGUGCUCGAGCUCGACUCAAUAUAGUAUAUAGGGCUCGAAAUUGAACUCGAUUCAACUCCAUUAUUAAAAGAUCGAUUCUACUCAUUUAACUAGUUACGUAGCAUGUUUCUUUCUAUUUUUCCUAAUCAUAUAUUGUACCUUCUGCAUAGCCUGGUCAUGCCAUUCGAUUGCUUUAUCUUCCGACUCUAUAAAGCCUUGUGUUUCAUUGGUGGUAUGGUUGUCUAGUAGUGCAAUGUCUAAGCCCGAUAAUUUUUUGAUAAUUGUUUAUCUUUUUACUUUUCUGUUUUUUGCGUCAUAAAGAAGUUUAUAGUACAUGGAAAGACAAGAAACUGGUUUUGAUUUCUUGCAAGUUAGCGCAUGGUCCCUUAGACGGUGACGAGGCUAAGCCUAAUUACAUUGAUGAACAAUGGAAGUUACUAAAAAGGCAAUGCGGUGUUUCAUUAGGCAUCAUCAGUUGGAUUUUAUUUCUUUAGAUAAACUAUAAGGAUCCCAUCCCACAGCUCCUUUUGCCCUUCCGAUUUCCAUCUUUUGGCAAUGGAAAACCGUAGCCACAACAACACCAAUAUAAAUUAAGGAAUCGUUAUGCUAGCUGGAUCCUAUGAAAAACAAUUGAUGUCGUCUCAUCCCUUGAUCGUCAAACUUUCUGGAUUAUAUGUCACAACCGCACUUUCAUUCACUCACGGAACACUUCUUAGAUAUGUCCUUCCUCAUCACUUCAUUUCGAGUAGGGAUUAAUAGUUCCCCCUGUACAGAUUGGAGUAUGAAGUCCACCCAAAAAAUUUGAUAAAAUAGUCCGUUCUAUUUUGCUGGUAUCACCAGCUGACUUAGUUCCGAUGACUCUCUUUGGAAUAUGAGGCAAUAAUAAAGCAAAUCUAUCAAACGAUUCUCCACCAAGCAUGAACUCUUUUAUUAUGUAUGUUGGAUUGAUUGGUCGAUUCACGACAUUUUGUAUAGAAAUUACGAAAAAAAUGCAAAUAGUUAUAAUUCGUUAUAAUUCAAAAAUUUAUUUAUCGAUAACCAUAAAACUGCUCAUGUAUUAUAAGAGGAAAUUCGAAAAACCCUUCGACACAAAAGUUAUUCAUCACAUCAAAUCUCCAACAUUGUACAGUAGAGUAGACGAUCUAUCACCAUGCAUCAUUCAAGUUUCACACACAAACAUAAAUAGAAGCUUCUAAAUUCAUAAGCAUACAAUAAGAUAAGAGAGACUAUUGUAAUUUUUGUCUCAUUUAUUGUCUAGGUACUCUUCCAUGCUUGCACUUCUCACAAAUAGAUGGGCCAUCCGUGCCAGCUAAUUGGAAGUUUUCCACACUCAAANNNNNNNNNNNNNNNNNNNNNNNNNNNNNNNNNNNNNNNNNNNNNNNNNNNNNNNNNNNNNNNNNNNNNNNNNNNNNNNNNNNNNNNNNNNNNNNNNNNNACAAUUACAAAUUUAUUAUAAUUGUGUCAUUUUAAUUUUAAAUAUUCUUUACCAAUUAAGUAUUAAACCUUUUAUAUUUAUGUCCAUUCAGUUCGUCCAAUCAAAAUGGACCGGCCAGCCCUAACACAAACAUGAGGCAUCUUAAAUGGCACCAUCGACACUAAUAUGGACAAUUUUUAGUAAUAUUAUAAUAUUUUUUUUUCGAUUUUUAUUCCUUUUUUUCUUUAAAUAUAUUCUUUUCUUUUUUUCUUUUUUUCUUUCUUUCGUUUUUAUUUUUUUUCUUCACUCCCUUCUUUCUCUGGCUAGUCGCCAGCGACCACUAGAAAUGAAGCUUCAAGAAGAACGGAGUGAGCUUCAAAUACUAUCCAAACUCGAUCAUGUCUUCAUGCGCGAUGUUCAGGAACUGGGAAUUAGGCUUAUUGAAAUGAUACAUGUGUUUGACUAUUCACGGUCUAAGGUGAUGAGAUUUGGUGAAGGGCCAACAAAAACAAUCAGAUCCGAAAUGAGAAAUUAUUAUAUGCUUUACAAAACGUGUGACCUAAUAUCAUCUCAAUCAUUAAUCAGGUAGAUCUCGCUAUGGGUCUCCGAGAUCAAUUGUUGAACUGGGUUUUGACAUAAGAUUUACAGACCAAACAGUAACAUUUCAUGCAAAAUGGGGUUAUAGACAUGACCUGACAAAUAAAAUUCACUCUUCUAUCCAAAAUUAAGGAGAAAAGAACACCUCAAGUGUCAAAACUUGGCACAAAGGGAUACUUAAGUGCCAAAACUUAUGAAAGUGACACUUAAGUGCCAAAAUCGGAGCAAAAUAGAUCACUUAAAUGUCAAUCCAGCCAAAACGCUGAUGUGGCAAUUUUCUAGCAAGCUUAGUGCAAAACAACGUCGAUUUGCACACUAAUGUGGCUAAAUAGUGCCAAAACGAUGUUAUUUUGGUGCUAACAUGAUAAAUAAUUAAUAUAAUAAAUAAUUAAAUUAAAUUUAAAGCAAAUAAAUAAUAAUUAUCUAUAUUAUAUAUAUAUAUAAAGGAGGAGAAAAUGAGGAGGAGGAGGGAGGCAACUGGCAACCCCUGCCACCGUUACCGAAACAGUGGGGGAGGGUCGGCCGGGGCCGCUGACCCCUAGUAGGGGGCCAGUGAGCCCAGUCACCGGCUGGGGGGUCGCCCCAACGGGCGGUGGCCCUUGGCUCAGCCAAGCGAGGGCCCGGCAACCCUUGUCGGAUCUGGGGAGGGCCACGACCCUCGCCCCAGAUCCUAGUGAGGGCACGCAAGCCCUCGCCGCCAUCCGCUAGGGUCCACUAACCGACCUCCCCCANNNNNNNNNNNNNNNNNNNNNNNNNNNNNNNNNNNNNNNNNNNNNNNNNNNNNNNNNNNNNNNNNNNNNNNNNNNNNNNNNNNNNNNNNNNNNNNNNNNNCUCCUCCCCACCUUUUUUUAGUAAUUAAUUUGUUUUAAAUUAAAUUUAAUUAAUUAUUAUAUGUUAAUUAUUUAUCACGUCAGCACCAAAACGACAUUGUUUUGGCACUGUUUAGCCACAUCAGUGUGCAAAACGACGUCAUUUUACACUAAGCUUACCGGAAAAUUGUCACGUCAGCGUUUUGGCCGAAUUAGCACUUAAGUGAUUCAUUUUGCUCUCAUUUUGGCACUUAAGUGUCAUUUUCAUAAGUUUUGUCACUUAAGUGUCCUUUUGUGCAAAGUAUUGGUACUUCUGGUGUCCUUGUGUCCAAAAUCAAGUACACAAAAACUUAUUUUAGAGCCGACCUACUAAGGAUAUAAGAUACCACUGUCAAUUCGUUUCUAUUUCGAGUAUUCUGAAAACGUUGGAAAAUGUUCUAAGAUCCUCCUGAACUUAAACUGUCUUAGAUGGACACAUCAAAAAACCACUAAGCUCAGUCCCCUGGUUGGUCUAUUCUUGUCUACAUCUGUCAUGUGGUCAUACGACUCCUAUCCGAACAAUAUUAAAAAACAGCCACGUUGCCACUAAUUAACGAUGGAAUUAACGAUGAAACGUGGGAAAACGACGUAAUGGCAAAGUCCGUCGUCUCGUCACUGUCGGCCACGAUCGUGUGUGUUUAGAAUCUUAUCCUUCCGACUUGAUUUGCCAUCACAUCAUUUUUCCCCCCAACUUUUGGACUCUCGGGUCUGUCGCUACCCUUGCGUUGCAAUAUAGAUUCCAAUGCCACAAGAAAAGACCGUUGGAUAGAUCCGACAAAUGUAUAAAUUUGAAUCUAAUAAAAAAUAAUCCAAUUCAAAUUGACAUAUUUUAUUUAUUUAACUCAUUUUCAUGCAAUACAAAUCAAGUGACUCAUACUCGACUUCUCUCAUAUCUAACUUGACUUAUAAAUAUAAAACACUUCCAUAUUUAACCUAAUUUAAGAAAACUAGUACCCAAACUAAAGUAAGAGUAAAUUAUGAACUUAUUUAACACCCAUAUUGUUUUGAGUUUAAGUCAUUCAUAUAAUUUAAAAAAAAUAGGCUUAUAACUCAUUUUAAUAGGUCUAUCAUCGGAUAAACAUGAUAUCUUGACAUUUAUGGAAAAUUGUCCCAAUUAUAUCACAUUGCAUAUACAUGUAGGAAGGAAAAUUGGGACAUCUCCCAAAAAUCAAGUAUGUAAUUGACAUCGCAUCGGUUGAGAAAAGAGCAAGAAGAACCAUAAAUUAUUCGUUCAAUUCUGCUUGAUUCAAAUAGGAUGCUGACAACCUUUGGGGAAGGACGUACGUGAAACGCAAUAAGCAAAAUAAACAAAAGACUAGCGACUAAUAGUCACUAAUUAAGAUAUGGAAAAACACAGAAUGGAAAGAUUGUGUUGGAUUCCAAAGAAUUGAUAAUGUUGAGAUACCACAAGAAGAAAAAUGCAUCUUUUAUGUCAAGAACCGCUCUCCUUUCUCAAGAUAAAGUUGACAGUGUCCUCCACAGUGUCUAUGACCUGCAUAGGUAAACAUAAAAGAGUUCAAUUGGGGUGAGCAAUUUUCGGAUGCACUUUUAACCUUGGAAAAUUUGGAUAGAAGAUAAAUUCCCCAUAAAAGUUGCUUUCAAUUGGGCAUAUUUUGGAAAUACUGACAUUUUGCUAGGCUGAAGAAGGAAAAGGUUCGGUCAUAUUUCAUCCAACCAAUUUAGAAUUGACCGAUCACCCAAAGUAUGGCAAAUCAAGGUAUGUAAGUAUGGGAGGAUUAUCCAUGCUAACAGCUCAAAACCACUUGAGGCCAUGUUUGGUUCAUUGCCCUGGAAUCAUGAAAAGGAAACUAAAUCUAAGCAAUCAAAUUCCUAGAUGUGGGGUUCAUUCUCUAUUGUUUGGUUUCAAUUAACAAAUGAAGGGAGAAAUGUCUAAUGUGAGAUGCAAAGUGAGGUAAAAACAUGUCGGAAAUGGAAUGUGUAAAAUAUGUCUCCAAUCCACAUAUCCAAAGUGGCUAAUGAAAAACUAGGGAUAGAAACAGAAUGAAGAACCACAUACAAUCCCCCAACAAUUUCCCGAUUAUUGUCAUCUAAAAUGAUCAUACAGUUCACACAAUCAUUUCACAAACACAUUACAUACAGCUCCUCAAAAUCUCUCGAGUAAAGCAUUUCACACAUAAUCUGCAACAAUGAAGAUAAAGUCAUUCCCGCGUAACUUCAAACUACUUCACAACUGUUACCUCAAGCCAUUGUGAUAUUCUUGUCCUUGUUGUGUUUUGAGUCAAAGACCCAAUCACGAGAACAAAUGGAGUGACAGCAACUCAGCCAAGUGUGUUAAUGGAACUUUAUAUCCCCACCCAAGCCAACGUGAUGCUCGUAGUUGGCGUCUCCAUUAUCAGACCAGACAUGUUUCAUAAUAGUGAGAAAGAGAAAUAAUCUCACCUUGCAGAGGAAUGUGAGGGCCAUGGAAUCAAGAGGCAGGCAAAACUCCCAUGGAAGGAUUUGAAGAUGUCAUAUGGAGAGAGAGAGAGAGAGAGAGAGUUCGGGCUUUCUAGGAUUUGAAGAUUUAUGAAGCUCAGGAGUACUGAGCAUGUUGGGUUCGUGAAUGUUUUUUCCUCCUAGGAAUCCCAGUACCACCUCUACCUGAGCAAUCCAAUUCUGCAUUAGGAGUAUCCAUUAACUAGGCACUUUGAUUCUAUGAUCAUAAAUCCAUCUAAAGAUGAGUUGCAAUGGCAUUCCAUUUCAUGUUUAUUACUCCAAGGUAAACCAAACAAGGCCUAAGUGAUUACACGAUGUACUAUACUUUUGAAUGCUUUCAUAGUGGAAUCAAUGAUCUGCAGUCUCAACCAUGACUUUCAUAGGAUCACAUAUCUAAAAUCUCUAAACCAAAGAAGUGAACAUGCUGGAAUGCACACGAUUUGCUUACUUAGGAACCUACCAUCAACUCACCCCAACGUACAGUCAAGGAGAGAUGGGAGAGACAGAUAGGAAAUGUCUGGAUUUUGUUAAGAGUACGAAUACUUACCACGUCCAUGGGAAGUUCUGAAUGAUUAUCUUUUACCUUGAAUACCCCAGUCCUUGUUAAUAUAGAAAACCAAGGAUCUCCUGCCUGAAGGAGUUGUUAUCAGUACUGGUGAUUGUGUUCGGAAAUAAAAUUACUGAUAUGAUAAAAUACAAUUCUCAAUAUGAAAUAUACUCGUUGUGCGCCUCUAAUGUCAAUUUUGGAUUAUCUCCUAUCAUGUAUAGUGUUCUGAAACAACGAAUUCCAGAGUAUGUAUUAUUCUCCACAUCUAGGUUGCUUAACAAAGAUGGCAUAAGAUUCCUUAACAUGGUCUCAGCAUUUCCAUAGACAAAUGGAUUUGGCGUCCCAUACGAUGUAUACGAUAGCGGAAUGGGAUGUAUUCUACAGAACAGGGACAAGUAAACACUGCAUAACACAAGAUUGAAGAUUAAUGCAUGUCGCUUUGCUGCAUUGAAGUAAACUAGGCCCACACAAGGAUCUUAUGGGCCUUUCUUUAAUUUUUUGUGGAGAAUAUUAGAUCAAACUCCAUGUAGAACUAAACAUUGAGAAGCUGAAACCUCACUAUCUUACAUGUUAUAGAUUGCUUCUAACGCAAUCCUGAAAGCUCCCAUACCCAAACGUUCAGCAGGAAAAGUAGCCUACCUUUGCACUUUGUCAGCUAGUCAUCAGCCAGUCUUUAGUUCCACCAAGGCUUCAAAAACUCAAGAUUGCAGCUAGCGUCACAAAUGGCAUAGCUUACCUGGUAUUCGAGGUCAUUAUUUGCAAAAAAUAGGUGUGGUUGCUUUCUAGCCUUCCUUCCAGGGAGCCCCCCAGUUCUUAAUAUGUUGCAGAGCACCUAAACCCAAACUUGAGUAUCACAUAAUUUUUUUUAAUAUACACAGAUAGACAGAUAGAUGAUAACACUCCAUUUUAUCACAUUUUCCAAGCUAGAUGUCAGCACCCACUAGACUUUUAAAAAGAUGAUGACUAAAGUUGCAGAGCAUUUACUGAACAACCAAACAAAGAGUCGUGUCUUUUGAUAAUCAGUUCAAAGAUUUAGAACUAGCGUGACGAAAAUCCCAGUAUGGACUCAACAGCCGAAUUACAUAAUCUAAGAAAGGACAAGAUCCUUUAGGGUGGUCACAACCUAGAUAUCUCUGCUCCAGUCAAUAGAAUCAUUGACUACAAAUGCUGCCUGAACUCUCUGUGUUUGCAAAGCAAUUUUAUUCUUUCCUAUCAUAUUAGAAGUGCUAUUCUGGUUAAUGUCUGGCUUAGUUGUCCAUCUCUUGUACGGUGCCGGUGGAUCAAUGGCAUCAAAGUAGCUAGUGUACUCAUCAAUUGACAGAACGUUUCUGCAUAGAAAAGACCCGAGCAGAAAGAGGGUCAACUGGAGGAAAGAGAGAGAGAGAGAGAGAGAGAAAGAGAGAGAGAGAGAGAGAGAGAGAGAGAAUCAAGUUGUUGGAGUUCUCAUUCUGGAUGAAACAUCGUUGAACACAGACAACUAAGAAGAUAUAUGGAGAGGACUUCUCUACAAUUACUCGAGUCCCUGAUAACUUGAGUGAUUUUUAUUCACUUUGCUUGCUCCUAUGUAUUACCUAGACAUCUUCAAUAGCAAUUUUAUUAGAUACAUAACUUUAUCCUUAUAACUUUUGAAAGCUUUCAGUAAACUUGACACCAUAUACUUUCAAAAGCUUUCAGUAACCUUGACACCAUAUAACUUUUUUCGAACUAUUGUUGUUCAAAACCUUUGUGUAGACUUUAGAUAGCAAGGGUAUGUGUGGGCUUGCUUUUAUUUCUCUUUUCAGUGAUUUGCCUUAACCAUUGCUAGCAAGCCUUUUUUUUUUUUUUCCGGGAAUGCAUUGAGCUCCUUGUCUACUAAGCUUCUAAAGUAGUUUUGGAUGGUUGUGCAGCCUGAAUUAUACUUGUGGCAACUCAGUCUUUUCCUGUUCUUAUUAUGAGGGUUGUUGAUGGACUAGAAGUUAUGAACAAUUGCCAAAUGCACAAAUUUACUGAUUAUGUUUGGUUGCGGCAGUGUUAUAUCGAUAUACAAAUUGAAAACGCCCCACAAUAUGUAGCAUUUUGGUAUCUCAAGUUUGUUUUUUGGAAGGUGGUGUGAUUGAUUGAUCUCUUGCAUCGAAUAACAGGGAGAAGUGGAUCUAGCUUGUAAUACUCUAGCUGACCAUUUAAGCUUGAAGUAACACAGAGUGUGAUCACUGAUUCAACGAAAUUUUAACUCUAGCUAGGUGCUACAAUGGGCAGGAAUUUAUGUGGCUGAGUGAGCAUUACUACAUGUAUUGGCAUGCCAGAAUGGUUUUGUUAUGAGGGCAUUUUGAGCAACUAAUGAUGUUGAAUUUAUCAAAGAAAAUAAGACACUACUUUAGGUUCAUUUAGGUAAAUCAACUAACACCCGUCAAUCUCCCAAUAUAAAGAUGAGGUUUUGUGAUGAGGUAAAAUUUGUAGAAAGACUAGAAGAAGUUGUUUUUUGAAUAUAUUGAAGACAGAGGCAGUUAAUUGUAGUGUGAAGUGAAAAGAUAUGUUUCUACAUUGCUUAUCAGAAGUGACUUGUUACUGUUGAUUCCGCUUCUACUAUUUUUGUAGUCAUCAUGUGUUCUAGAUGUUGAUUGCUUGUAUAUUUAGAUCAUCAUACUACAGGGGCAUUGGUAAUUCCAUCUUUUUUGGUUGCUAGUGGAACUUCCUUUUAGUAGAUCUAAGACCUCUCUCUGUUUGGCAACUUCCUUGGAGUGGAAUUUUCCUCUGUUUUUCUUAAUUCCGUGAUGAGACACAAAAGUGGUCAGAAAACACUUCGUGGUGCUUGACACUUUAAUUUAGCAGGGCUCUCAUCAGCCAGCUCUUUAGUUCCUGCUAUGAAAUCUAAGGACGAAUUUGAUAGAAUUCUUGAUUUAUUUUCCAACUUAGCAGUUAGCACUGCAUAUCAAUAACUAAAUUUGGUUUUUACUGUGUUUUGAUGACAGUCUUUUUCCUAUGACAGAGUUGGCUCUGAUGAAGCAAACUAGGCGUUGAAGAAACUUGGUGCUAAAGAAGUGUUCACUGAGAGCAAAUUAGAAGUAAAGAAAGUCAAGAGUCUACUGGAACCGUCCAUCCAUUAACCCAUUCUACCAUAUUCUUAUGCAUGGACACAUCCAUUUUUGGCCAUUGGCACUUGAGUUCUUUAUUUACAUCUUAUUGACUUUGUACUAGGGUGAUCUAAAAGAACUUGCCCUUGGAUUAAACUGCGUUGGUGGCAAUGCUGCUUCCUCGGUGAUGAAAUUUUUGAGGUGCAACAAGUGUUAAAUUUGUGUCGAGUGCUUACCUUAUCUUUCUGAAGAGAGCUGAUUUAGUUUUGUGUCAACUUCAUAUUUUAUCUUCAAGGUAAAUUAAGAAGCAGCUAAAAUUUCUGCCUAUGGUUAUGAGGUUAUUCCAUCAAGCCUUACAAUUUGACUUGUCUAUGUUCCGGUCUCAGUCUUGGCAAUGCCCUAUAGUUUUUUUUUUUUUUUAAUUUGGCCCAAAAUCUCAAUUUCAGUAUUUGACGCAACCAAAUUUGAGUGAAAAAAAAAUUAUCCCUGGAAUUGAGACUAAGAGGAAUGUAUAAAAUAGUGCAAUAAUGGUUCUUAUGGUUUGCAAGAUCUUUCUUUGAGGGAAUUUUGGCUGCAUAAUUGGAUCAGUUCAAAUGAUGUAACGGAGUGCAGAAGAACGAUAAAUCACUUGCUGGAAUUAGUGCGUGAUGGAAAGUUAAAAUACGAGUUCGUCUUUUGUAACAACUACUCAAAUUGCUGUAUUUAGGUCUCCAUAUCUUUAUAGUAAUUUUCAAUACUAUUCAUCCUCAAGAAAGUGAGCUGGGAUUGUGGUGCAUAUGAAUUUCUCCAAAACUGCAGGACCGAGCUUGUUCCUUUUAGUGAUUUCCACGUUGCACUGGAUAAAUCACUGGGGAAACAUGGGAGCCAUCCUUAGCAAGUCCCAAAGUUCUAAGGCUACUGAAUAUAUAAGGGCGGUAAGAAGAUGGAAAAAUUCUGCAUCAUAUCCUUCAGAUGAUCAGCUUGUUCUGAAGUUCUGAAGUGCUGGAUCAACCGGGCACAAUAACUAUGUAUCUUUCCCCUUCUUAUUAUUUUCUCUUUUCAUAAGUGAUGCAUCUUCUCCAUUGAAGUAAUUUUGUUGCUGCUUAUUUUCACCAAUUUCCAUUCUAAAUUUGUUUUGCAUCAUACCCUCCAAUCUCAAACUAAUCUCAUGCAACGUGAGGUCCAUCAACUACGGCUGAAUUUGGAGAGUAAUACAUCACCCGUUUGGUAAGGGUACAUAAAGGUUUCAGAUUUACCAAUUACAAUUCUCAUAUACACGUGACAAAGAACAUUGGGAUACUUUCCCAAAAAUCAUGUAAUCGACAUCGCAUGCAUUGAGAAAAGAGUAAGAACCGUAAUUAUUCAUUUGAUCUAACCUAAUUCAAAUGGGAUGUGGACCACCUUCAAGGAACGUCAUACAUACAUGAUGAGCAAAAUCAAUAGAAGACUAGCUAAUGGUACUUACUUUUUAUGAUAGGGAAGACACAGAAUGGAAGAUCGUAUCGGCUUCCAAAGAAGUGACAAUUGUUCAAAUACCACAGAAAGAAAAGGCAUCUUUUGUCCAUGUGAUAUCAAGAACCGCACUCUUUUCUCAAGAUAAAGUCGACAGCAUCCUCAACAGUAUCCACGACCUGCAUAGGUAAACAUAAAAGAGUUCGAUCAGGAUGAGUGAUUUUCGAAUUUUUUUUUUAACCUUGGAAAAUUUAGGGAGAAGACAAAUUCCCAAAAAAAAAUGUGCACGGUUUUGAAAUACUGACAUUUCGCUAGGCUGAAUAGGGAAAGGGUUCGCUCAGUCAUGUUUCAUCCAACCAAGUUAGAAUUCCCAGAUCACCCAUAGCAUAGCAAAUCAAGGUAUGUAAGUAUGGGACACCUCAAACACUUGCCAUGCAAUUAUGAAAAGGAAUCCCAUUCUAAGCAAUCAAAUUCCUAGGAGUGGGUUUUCUUUUUCUUUUUCUUUUCCUUCUUGUUCAGUCUCAAAUUACUAGUGAAGAGAGAAAUGUCCAACGUGAGUUGUCAAAUGAGGUUAAAACAUGUCAGAAAUGGAAUGUGUCUCCAAUCAACACGUACAAAGUGGAGGAUAGAAAUAGAGCGAAGAACCACAUAAGAUCCCUCAACAAUUUCCCGAUCAUUGUCCUCCAAAUGAUUUCACAGUUCGCACAAGCAUUUUUAUGAACCGAUUAUAUAAAACUCAUCAAAAUCUUGCAAGNNNNNNNNNNNNNNNNNNNNNNNNNNNNNNNNNNNNNNNNNNNNNNNNNNNNNNNNNNNNNNNNNNNNNNNNNNNNNNNNNNNNNNNNNNNNNNNNNNNNNNNNNNNNNNNNNNNNNNNNNNNNNNNNNNNNNNNNNNNNNNNNNNNNNNNNNNNNNNNNNNNNNNNNNNNNNNNNNNNNNNNNNNNNNNNNNNNNNNNNNNNNNNNNNNNNNNNNNNNNNNNNNNNNNNNNNNNNNNNNNNNNNNNNNNNNNNNNNNNNNNNNNNNNNNNNNNNNNNNNNNNNNNNNNNNNNNNNNNNNNNNNNNNNNNNNNCCCCCCCCCCCCCGCAAAAAGAAAAAAAAAAAACCAACAUGAUGCUUGUUGCUGAUGUAUCCAUAAAGAAUCCAAACAAGUUUCACAAUGGCAAGAGAGAGAAAGGAUUUCGCCUAGUAGAGGGAUGUGAGGGCUAUAGAAUCAAGAGGCAGGCAAAACUCACGUGGGAAGGAUUUGAAGAUGAUGAAUGGAGGGAGGGAGGGAGGGAGAAAGUUCUGGUUUUGUAGGAUUUAAAGAGGAUGAAGCUCAGACUACUGAGUGGGUAGAGUUUGCAAAUGUUUUUCUCUUCUAGGAAUUCCAGUACCACCUCUACCUGAGCAUACCAAUUCUGCAUUUUAAAGAGAAUCCAUAACCUAGGUAAUUUGAUUCCGCAAUCAUAAAACCAUCCGAAGAUGAGUUGCAAUGGGAUCUCAUUUCCUUUUCUUAGUCCAAAGUGAACCAAACAAGGCCUAAGUGAUUGCACAUUGUACUAUACUUCUUAAUGUUUUCCUAGUGGAAUCUAAGAUCUGCAUUCUCAACCAUGACUUUCCACUAGGAACACAGAUAUAAAAUCUCUAAACCAAAGAAGUGAACAUGCUGGAAUGAACACGACUUGCACACAUAGGAACGUACCAUCAACUCACCCCAAUAUACAUACGAGGAAGAGUGAGAGAGACAGAGAUGUGUAAAUUUUGUUAAGAGUACAAAUACUCACCAAGUCAGCAGGGAACUCUGAAUGAUUAUCUUUUCCCUUGAAUACCCCAGUCCUUGUUAAUAUAGAAAACCAAGGAUCUCCUGCCUGAAGGAGUUGUUGGUAGUAUUGGUGAUUAUGUUUCAAAAUAAAUUCACUUAUAUAAUGAACUACAAUUUUUGGUAUGAAAUAUACCUGCCGUGCACCUCUAAUGUCGAAUUUUGGAUUAUCUCCUAUCAUGUAUAGGGUUUUAAAAUAACAAAUUCUAGAGUUUGUACUAUUCUCCACAUCUAGGUUGCUUAACAAAGAUGGCAUAAGAUUCCUUAACAUUGUCUCAGCAUUUCCAUAGACAAAUGGAUUUGGCUUCCCGUAUGAUGUAUAUGCCAAAGGAAUGGGAUGUAUUCUGCAGAAUAGGGACAAGUAAACAAUGCGCAACAUAAGAUUGAAGAUUAAUGCAUGUCACUAUGCUGCAUUGAGGCAAAUUAGGCCUACAUAAGGAUAUUAUGGGCCAAUCUUUAUUUUUUUGUGGAGAAUAUUAUAUCAAACUCCAUGCAUAACUAACCAUUGACAAGCAGAAACCUCACUAUUACCAGUUAUAGAUUGCUUCUAAUGCAAUUCUGAAAGCUUUCAUACCCAGACGUUCAGCAGGAAAAGUAGCCUGCCUUUACACUUUGUCAACUAGUCAUCAGCCAGUCUUUAGUUCCACUAAGGUUUCAAAAACUCAAGAUUGCAACUCACAUCACAAAUGGCAUAGCAUACCUAGUAUUCUAGGUCAUCAUUUGCAAAAAAACGGGUGCAGUUGCUUUCUAGUCCGUUUUCUAGGAAGCCCUCCAGUUCUCAAUAUGUCACAGAGCACCUAAACCCAAACUUGAGUAUCACAGAAUUACUUUAAAGUACACUGACAGAUAGACAGAUGAUAACAUUCCAUUUUAUCACUUCUUUCAAACUAUAUUUCAGUGACCACUAAACUUCUAAAAAGAUGACAACUAAAGUUGCAGAGUAGUUACUGAACAAACAAAACAAAGCCUAGUGUCUUUUGAUAAUCAAUUCAAAGAUUUAGAACUCGCGUGACUAACAAACCAGUAUGGACUCAACAGUUGAAUUAGAUAAUCUACGAAAGGACAAGAUCCAUUAGAGUGGUCACAACCUGAAUAUGUCUGCUCCAAUCAACAAAAUCACUGACUACAAAUGCUGCCUGAACUCUGUGUGUUUGUACAGCAAUUUUUCUCUUUGCCAUCUCAUUGGAAGUGCCAUUCUGGUCGAAGGACAUGACGGAGUUGGCAAAGUACACUUAGUUGGCUCUGCCGUGAAGGAUCUUUCUCCUAGCGAUUUGGUCAUUCCAUCUCCACUCUCUUUUGGUAAAACAUUCUCUCAAUAUUACCUAAGUUUUAAAAUGAUAUCAGAUUUACUGUGCAUCAGCCAUGCUCAUCUAGUUGAUCACUUCUGAACAAUUUCUUUCUCAGCCAAAGGAUAUAAUCUUCUAUAUUUGAUGCAACAUGUUUAACGUUUAAUUUGAUUAGAUGCAGAACAGAAACAAGUGAAAUAUCAACCAAAAGAAAGAUUCAAACUGUUAUACACAUCUUAGAGAUUGUCAUCUUAAAUAAAAGAUACUUUUGCAUUCCAUUAGUACUGACUUGUUUUGUUCUGCAGAACAUCUAUGCCUAACACUCUUUUUUUUUUGUCGUUCCUACUCUAAUCCUACUCUAACACUCACUCUCAGACUUUUGUCAUGCCUCCUUGCAGGGCGUGGGAGUUGAAACCCACUCCUGAAAUAAAAUCAUCCCCACCCCAAUCCCCCCUGAGAAGAUGGGGAUUUGAUGUGACAUACCAAAAUUCAAGUCAUCCUCUAGAGGAAUUAAAGCCAAUAAUUAUGUAAUGAAAUUACCUAUGGUUUACGUUUUAGACAUUAGUUUUCUCUUAAGGUUAUGUGUUAUAUGCUUGUGUUCAUGAGAUUCUAAAUUAGAUAAAUUAAUGAGAAUAAUCUAUGCUUGGCUAUGCACCUCAUAAAAUUAAAUUCCUAUAAAUAAAAUGUUACAAGACUUUGGCCAUGAGGAAUUUAAAAAUUUAAAAUCUAUAAAAGAAAGAAUUAAAAGUGUUUAAAGGUGAAAUUUAGGAUUUAAAUUAGGUUUGGGCCUUAGGCCCAAAAAGGGGGAUUUUGGUGGGCCGAAUGGCCGGCCCAAUAGAAGCCCACGGAGGGGCUGUCGCCGGCCCAAGUGAGGCCCAAGAAGGAGAGUGGCCGGCCCAUGCAUGGGCUUUGCCAAGUGGCAAGGAGGAGCUCAUGCAUUGGCCAUUAGAAGAGGCAAGCUAAUCAUUGCAAAUGAUGAGGUUUGGGGGAAAUAAAAGGGAAGAAGAGGAGAGAGAGUGGCCGGUUGUUCGGCCAAGUGAGAAAGGGAGAGAGAGAGAACCGUGCGAGAGAGAGAGAGAGAGAGAGAGGCCGAGAGAGGAGAAGCCGAGAGGAGGAGUCGCCCGUCACCGCCGCACGCCGCCCGCUCGUCCGCCGUGUGCCAUCGUUCAUUCGGUCUAGAGGCAAGUUGGGAAUCCACUUUCUACUCUUGCACCAAUGUCUUGCAUGUAUGGUCGGAAUCUAGGACAUUUGGAGGCAUGGGAGUGAAGCUAAUGUGUUUUGUUCUUGAGUUGCAUGCUGUUUUCGCAUGAACCGUUUGAGCCAGAACAUUGUGAGAGCUUGCAUGCAUGUUUUGAGUUCGAUUUUGACUUUUAUCUCUUCAUGAAAGUUGUAGCUAACAUCUUAAAAUAAAACAUAAUAAAAUUUUGUGCAAAAUGAUGGAGAUUUAAGGGAUCAAACUCUCAUCCUACGGAGAUGCUAGAUCUGGAAUGUUUUCGCAUGAACCGCCUGACUCAGAAUAUUGUGAGAGCUCGCAUGCAUGUUUUGAGUCCGAUUUUGACUUUUAUAUCUUCAUAAAAGUUGUAUCUAACAUCUUAAAAUACAACAUACUAAAAUUUGGUACAAAAUGAUGGAUAUUUUAGGGGUCAAACACUCAUCCUACGGAGACACCAGAUCUGGAACGAUUUCACUGACCUUUCGGUGGAUUUGUGGUUGCAUGAUGAUUUUUACUAAGAAUAUAUUUUCGACUUCUUCAUGAAAAUUGUAUAGAACACCUUGAAGUUUAACAUACUCAAAUUUGAAUCAAAAUGAACAAGUGUAGCCUAGUGAAUCAACUUACUCUUGAAAACCGUAGAUCUGGAGACGCGGUACAGGUUACCCGAGACUUCAUGGACCCAUAUGGAGACUGUCCUCUGGAAAUUUGAAUUAGAUCCCUUCAUGAAAGUUGUAGGGUACAUCUUGAAUUAAAACAUAUCCAAAUUUCAGAGGAAACUAAAAUGAAUAGGUAGGUGAAAACUCAGUAUUUCGGAGAAGCAUGCACUGGACGUUUCGGUGUUAGAUCCAGAAGCUUCGUGUGACCGUAGAAAAUAAUAUAAAAAUAAUUUGGCUUAGAAAUCUUCAUGAAAAAUAUACUUUAGUGUCUUGGCUAUACCCUGGUAAAAUUUCAUAAUUUUUGGAGGUCUUUUGGAUAUUUUAAUCAAAUUAUUUCGGAAACUGUGCAUUCUGUUUUUUAUCCGAAAUUACAUGUAUUUGUGUGAAUUAUAAUUUUGUGUGGAAUUCGAUUGGCCUUGUGUUUUCAUGAAGUUAUUACCCUAUUUUCUUGUCUACCACUAGCCUUAAUUUCAUGAUUUUUGGGAAUUAUAUGGAUAUUUAAUUUAAAUAUUUCAAAAAUGAUACAAGCUGGAAUAUAAAUAAAUUUCAAAAAGGCAUGAUAAAUGGACUAUUCCAAGUUGUAUGAAUUCCAUAAAUGCUAUUUUUAUGAAUGAUUACAUCUUGCUGCAUGUAUGAUGAUGACUGAUGAUGCAUGUAUAAAUUAAAGGAUGAAAGUGAUUUUGUUUGCCAUUACAUUAUAUGCCAUGUUAAGUUGAGACCUAAAUUGGUAAACAUAAUCAAUGAUAAAUGAGGACAUCUAUUUGUGGCGGAUGAUAAUGCCCUGGGAGUAUCAGGAUGCCCGAGAUGGGGGGUGCCGGAUGCCCAGAAUGUAUAGAGAUACAUGGUCGGAUGGCCCUGGGAGUAUCAGCAUGCCCGGAAUGGUUGGGUGCCGAAAGCCUCGGAGGUCUUUGCCCGAGGAGAUGCCUCAUGAUGUCGGUUGGGAUACGAGAUGCUCGGAAUGUGGGGGUGCCGGAUGCCCGAUGGCCUUAAAUGGCUGAAUGUCGGAGGUUUUUCUCGCAAUGCCAGGAUGGGGUGCGAGUGUAAAGUAUGAGAUGAAAUUGAUGUGGUGAUUGAAUUGAAAGUUAAAAGUGGAAAUUGAAUCAUGCAUACAUGACAUGAUAUGAUGAUGAUCACCUGUGGCAUGAUGACAUGAUAUGAUGAUGAUCACCUGUGGCAUGAUGACAUGAUAUGAUGAUGAUCACCUAUGGCAUAAUGAUAUGCAUGUAUGAUAUGAUGAUGCCAUGAUGACGAUGACAUGUGUAUGAUAGGAUGAUGUCAUGAUGAUGGUGAUAUAUGAUAUGAUAUGAUGAUGAUGAUAUGUCUAGGACAUAAUGAUGAUGGUAUACGUAUGAUAUGAUGGCGACCUCUAAUAUGAUGAUACAUGUGUGUGACAUGAUGAUGAUAACCUAUGACAUGACAACAUGUAUGUGUUGUGAUUGUGAUGAAGAUGUAUGAUGGUAUAUGCAUGGCUUCAAGGUAAGCACGCAUGGAUGCAUGAAUGGCAUGUACGAUGAUGUGAUUGUAUUGUAUGAUAUAUUGAGUGGUUAUUGGAUUCUUUUACCUGCUGAGUGGUUGUACUCACCCCUUCAGGGACCAACAUUUCAUAUUAGCAGGAUGACGCUCCCUGCUGUCACGCGGGGUGUAUUUUACGGCCUACCUUCGGAUGUAGAGGUCGAAUGCGAGGAGUUUGACUGUCCUUCUGUUCCUAGUCUUACGUAUAUUCGAGUGUGCUAUUUAGUUAUGUACGAUGUGGGCCUGGCUGGGGGCCCUGUUGUCUAGGAGUUCAUAUCCAUCCAUGUUCGACGCAAUGGAGCGAUGUGUGGGAUGCUACCGCCGCCACCGCCUAAUGCACCAGGAUGGGUGUGAGGGCCCGUGCAUGUCAAGUAGAAGCUGAAACUUUUUGGGAUGGUUAGCCGACACUAGUGAUGGGGGAUCUUGCACGUGAGUUGUAGUGGGUCGACUAUUUCGUUUUGGGUUUUAGGCCGAGUAUGGCUGAGUCCUGGUCUUUCUUUUGACGUACCGACCCAAGGAAACCCAUCUUGAAAAUAUGUAAAUAAAGUGUCAUGGUUGUCUUUUAUCAUGAUGUUUAGUGGUGUGCAAUUGUAUCAUGGUUGUUGGAGGGAGAGAUGGCGAUGUGUAUAUUUUGCUUCUGCUAAUGAGUCGCGCUGGGACCGUUUUCAAAAAAAAAAAAUGUCUAAGAUUUACGACGCUUCUUCUUCGAGGUGUAGCUAGUGUUCCAUUAGGUGUAACGUCAGGUGCUUGUGGCGUCCCUAGGUGGUUCGGGGUGUCACAUUUAAACCCCCCACCUCCCCCUUCCAAGUUGGAAGGGUGAUCACUGAGGUGAACCCCAGUGGUUAUCUAUGCCUAGUACUUACCCCAUUGUAAAUUUGAGGGUGUUGAGAGGUGAAAUAGUUUUUGUGCUCAGGGACAUGGCAGACUUACAUUGUGAAAGACCAGAGUGUAUGGCAAAAAAUUGAUAAGAAUUCUCCAAUUGAAUAUGCUACGACAAUUUUAAUUAAUCCUCCGACCGCUUUGACAAUGCUUGAAGACUUCACCUCUUUGGAACCUGGUAUAUAGACAAUACAAGUGUCUCUUAGCUAUCCCCCAACUUUCACCGUAAGCAAUUUAUCCUAAGUUGUCCUAAUCAGCUGUGAUCAUUAGGGGAUUUGAUUGUGCAAAAUGGGCUACGAGUAUGGUGGGUCGAUGCCUCAUCCAAAUUACGAAAUCCAGUGGCAUCCAUAGCAUCAACAUAAUUAGAGACAAGUGCUCUCUUGAAAGCUUUCAGUAACCUUGACACCACAUAACUUUUGUCAAACUACUGUUGUUUAAAAUUUUUGUGUAGACUUUAGAUAGCAAGGGUAUGUGUGGGUUUGCUUUUAUCUCUCUUUCCUGUGAUCUACCUUAACCAUCGCUAGGAAGCCCCUUUUUUUUUCUUACGGAACGCAUUGAGCUGUUCUCUACUUAGCUUCUGAAGUAGCUUUUGAUGGUUACACAACCUGAAUUAUAUCUGAAAUUCAACCACUGUGAUGACAAGUUGGAACUCUUUGGGGACUAAAUCACUUGUGGCAAUUUUGUCUUUUCUUGUUCUAAUUAUGAAUGUUGCUAGUGGACUAAAAGUUAUGAACAAUUGCUAGAUGCACAAAUAUGUUGAUUAUGUUUGGUUGUGGCGGUGAUAUAUCAAUUUACAAAUUGAAAAUGUGCCAAAAUAUUUAGCAUUUUGAUAUCUUUGGUUUGUUUUUUGGAAGCUGGUGUGAUUAAUUGAGAUCUCUUGCAUCGAAUAACAAGGAGAAGUGGACCUUGAGCUUGUGUUACUAUAGCUGACCCUUUUAAGCUUGAAGUAAAAUGAGUGUGAUAACUGAUUUAAGGAAAUUAUAAUCUUUGGCUAGGUGCUACAAUGGGCAAUAAUUUAUGUGGCUAACUGAGCAUUAGUACAUGCAUUUGGCAUGCAAGAAUGGUUCUAUUAUGAGGGCAUUUUGAGGAACUGAUUAUGUUGAAUUUAUCAAAGAAACUAAGAAGGUACUUUAGGUUCGUGUAGGUACAUCAACUAACAUCCUUUAAUCUCCCAAUAUAAAGAUGAAGUUUUGUUAUGAGGUAACAUGUAUUUGGAAAGACUAGAAGGACUUGUUUUUUUGUAUCUAUCGAAGGCAAAGGCAGUUAACUGUAGUGUGAAUUGAACAGAGAUCUUUCUGCAUUGCUUAUUAGAAGUGACUUGUUAUUGUUGAUGCUUCUUCUACUGUUUUUGCAGUCAUCAUGUGUUCUAGACGUUGAUUGCUGGUAUGUUUAGAUCAUCAUACUGCUGGGCAUUGGUAAUUCCAUCUAUUUCAGUUGCUGGUGGAAACUUCCUUCUAGUAAGACCUCUCUCUGCUUUGCAACUUCUUUUGGAGUGAAAUUUUCCUCCUUUUCUUUUAAUUCUGUGAUGAGACACAAAAAGAGGUUAGAAAACACUGUGGUGCUUGAUGCAUUAAUUUAGAAGGGCUCUCUCAGCCAACUUAUUAGUUCAUGCUGUGACAUCUGAGCACAAAUUUGGUAGAAUUCUUUAUUUGUUUUCCAACUUAGCAGUUAGCACUGCAUAUCAGUAACUAAAUUUGAAUUUUACUGUGCUUUCAUGGCCAUCCUUUUCCUGUGACAGAGUUGGCUCUGAUGAAGCAAAAGAGGCGUUGAAGAAACUUGGUGCUAAAGAAGUGUUCACUGAGAGCCAAUUAGAAAUAAAGAAUGUCAAGAGUCUAUCAUCCAUCCAUUAAUCCAUUCUACCAUAUUCUCAUGCAUGAAACACAUCCAUGUUUGGCCAUAGGCACCUGAGUUCUUUAUUUACAUCUUAUUGACUUGCUACUAGGGUGAUCUAAAAGAACCUGCCCUUGGAUUAAACUGCGUUGGUGGCAAUGCUACUUCCUUGGUGAUGAAAUUUUUGAGGUGUGACAAGUGUUAAAUUCGUGUUUAGUGCUUCCCUUAUCUUUCUGUAGAGAGCUGAUUUAGUUUUGUUCUUAGGCGGGGAGGAACCAUGGUGACGUAUGGUGGGAUGUCUAAGAAACCAAUUACAGCGUCAACUUCAUCUUUUAUCUUCAAGGUAAAUUAAGAAGCGGCCAACUAAAUUUUCCACCGAUGGUUAGGAGGUUAUUUCAGUCAAGCCAUACAAUUUGAUUUGUCUACAUUUCGGUCUCGGUCUUGGUCAAUGCCCUAUAGUUUUAAUUUUUUUUAUUUUUUUGUCUAAAUUUGGCCCAAAAUCUCAAUUUCAGUAUUUGAUGCAACCAAAUUUGGGCGAAAAAAAUUAUCCCUGGAGUCGAGACUAAGGGGAGUGUCGCGACCAAUAUUUUUCGGAUGUGAACCACCUAGGGUUUGGCUAAUGAAUUAUUAAGCUUAGAUUAACUCGGGCUCUCCCAAGCCCAUACCAAUUCGCGACUUAGGUUCAAGUUCUUAACAUGCAAUUGAUUUUCAAUUAGAAGUCGCCACUAAUCUAUUUUUGGUGAGUCGAGUAGAAACUCAAGUAAAAUAACGGGAGAAUUAUUUUACUCCUACGAAUUAGAGACUAUGGAUACGGGGACUUGGUUACGCUAGAAUUCUCUAACGCCCUUUCAGUACCUUUUUUUUAUUUUGAAAAAUGUUUGGCAAGCAGUUUGGAUUGAUUUUAAAUCUAUUUCCCUAACAUGUGAGGUUGUCAUACGGGUGCACAAUCCACCAAUUUAACACCCAAAUAAACAAUAAAUAAAUUGCAAAAAAACUUACCUCAAAGCAACGAAAGCAUCUGCAAUGUUAAAUUAAAAUCCACAUCAAUAAUCCUAGAUAUGAUUUCUAAUUAACACGCAAUUUCUUUUUUUUUUCACUUUUUUAAUGAAAAUCAUGCAAUAUGCAAUGCAAUAUUAACUAAAUGACCUAAUUCUAUUGACAUGUAAUUUCUAAUUAAAUGGGCCUAGCAAAAAUACUAAAUGACAUGCAUCUCAAUGAAUCUAACCCUAAUAACGUGUAUAUGAAGUUUUUUUUUUUUUUCUAAAAGAAUGCAUUUCAUUCUAAAUAAUAAAACUAAUUUAACCUAUGACAUUUUUUUGUAUUUUUCAUGAAAUUCGGGAUUAAAUAGAAUGUGAAAAUUAUCUAACUAGAUUAAGAUUCUAUUCAAUUUGUAUCAGGAAUUAGGUUGAAUCAAAUCCUAAUUUAAACUAAAAUAUUAUCUUAACCCAAAUAAUCCUAAAAUGCAAUCUAUCUAAUAUCUAAACUUAUAAUAAAUUAAGAAAAAUAUUAUCUAGAAUUAAACUAAGUGCAAUUUUACCCUAGUAUGCAAUGACGUACAAAAAGAUGCCCUAACUCUACAUGACAUAUGCAUGAUGACUUUUUUUUUGUGUUUUUCUUUUUUUCUCUUUUUUUUAAUUUCGAAAUUAAUAAUUGCCAAAUAAUUAAACAUGCAAUCCAAGUUUAAAAAAAAAAACUAGCAACCUAAAUUAAUUGAUUUGAUUCUUUUUUUUUUUUUGAAAAUUCGAAAUAAAAUUCCUAUUGUGAGCAUGCAAACCCUAAAACUAUAUAUAUAUUUUUUUUAAAGAAAACUAACCUAGGUAACACCACGCCAAAUCAAGCAAUAUUGGUACCCAAAUUGACGAUCCAUAUCUCGCGCAUGAGAUCGGGUUGGCCAAUUUUACAUAAAUCACGAAUCGGAUCUCGGGCAGGAGAUCGGAUUGGCAAUUUUUUUAAAGUAAUUGCGAAUCAGAUUUCGGGCGCGAAAAUUGAACUAACAAUCACUAAUUUCAAGGCAAUUUCAUAUCACGGAAUUUCAAUUUCACAUUAAAGGAAUAAUUACACUAAAAAGAUAAAAUAGCAAAAAUAAUAAAACAAAAAUAAGAUAAAGAAAAUACCUAAAUUUUCUUUUGCUUUUUCUCUUUUUUCUUUUCUUUUUUGUUUUUGAAAAAGAAAAAGAAAAAGAAAUCUGGUGGCCGGUCCGGCGAGAGGAGAUCGCCGGCUAGGGUUCCGGCGAGGGCACCGGGAGCGGCGCGACGGCGGCAUUGCAACAGGAGCUUCGGGGAUCAGCACGGGGCGAUGCGGGCGGCACGGCGAAACCGGUGGGCGGCGUCGUGGAAGGAGCAAGAGCUUCGGCUCUCCUUGCGUCGGUCACGCGGGCUGCAGAGGAGGGACGUCGGCGUCGUGGAACGGAGAUCCGGGGUGUGGCGCGGUGCAGGGGCGCGCCUCCAGCGACGGCAGAGGCGGAUCUGCGGCUUUGACGGGCUACUGGCGUCACGGGUCCCUGUGGCGGCGAGUGCGCAGGCCGGCUGCGGUGGAUCUGGACUUGCUGUCGUGGGGAGGUUCUUGCGGCGGGCAAAUCUGGAGCAGCAGCAGCCAACGCAGGGGUAGCAGACAGAGGCGCGGCAGAGGAGGGCUCGGUGACUCAGCUGGUGUGGCGGCGACGCGGCUUCCAGUGGACGGAUGGCAGAGCGGAGUGGCGUCGGGGGGCGGGGCUUCGACGAGGCGAAGGGCGCCGGAUGCGGGCCGGGGCACUGGAACUCCGGUGCUGCAGAUCGGAGACGGGACGACCCAACGGCGUGGGGGAAUCGGGUCGGCGCGAGCUUCGGGUUGCGGCUCUGGCAACAGAUCGGGGAAGCGACGGUGCUGCUCACGGAGGCGGGCGGUCGCGGUAGAGGCGGUCGCAACGGCACGGGGACGGCUUGGCGGGCGGAGGUCGGCGGCUCGGCCGCCGGUAGGGAUCCCUCCCCCACGAGGAAGAUGAACAGUCGCAAAGGGGGAUGCUUUUCUUUUCUUUUCUUUUCUUUUUUCUCUCUUUUUUUUUUCACUUUUCCUCUCUCCACUCACUCUUUCACCUUUUGCUCUUUUUUCUUCUUUUUUUUUUACCGACGGAAUGCCCCCUUUCUUGCUCCAAAUUUUUUGAAAUCCCUUCCCCCUUUUGUCCGUAUGUGCGCAACGCCUUUUAUAGGGAAAAUUUUAGAUCUUUGAAGCGUAUUUUAUUUCCAAUUUUACUUGUGCAUAAUUCUCUGAAUAUAUCAUUGCACCACACGUGAUAUUCUCUUUUGUAUUUAUCAAAUAUCCCAUCCAAAAUUUUCCUUUUUGCUUGAAAAUAUAGCCUUUGGUGUAUAUUGCCUAAAUAUGUGAAGAAUCUGAACAGAAUAUGUGAAAAAUCUUCCCUUCACUGGCGGCCUAAAAUAAAACAAAAAUAAAAUGUUUCUAAACUAUAUGCCAUGUGAUUUUUUUUUUUAGUAAAAAUUAACCCUAAAAAUUAUGCAAAAAUUUAGGUGUCAACAGCUGCUCCUCUUUGAAUGUGAGCUCGAAGAGGUUGCCUUCAAAGACAAAUUAAGACCUAAAUUUUGGUCAUGCACAUGCAAUGAAUGAUUUUUUGUUGGAAAAUGAAUUCCAUUUUUUAAUGCAAAUUAUAUGAUGUAUGAAAAUACUAAUGCAAAUGAUAGAUGAACCUACUUGAAAUAACUUACCUUCGAGGAGGAUAGAGUAAUUCGAGGUAGUGGGUGUUACCUGUCCAGGACCCGUACUAUUCUACGGUUGCCUAGAAUAGUAACAUGACUUUGUGAAGAUGCUGCUUUCCUAGGACCCGUAUCAUUCUACGGUCGCCCAGUAUGGCAGAAAGGAGCUGCUUUUUCAGGACCCAUACCAUUCUACGGUCGCCAAUACGGCAGAAAGGUUUUGUAAGGAACUGCUUUCCUAAGACCCGUACCAUUCUACGGUCGCCCAGUACGGCAGAAAUGUUUUGUCUAAAACCCAUACCAUUCUACGGUCACCGAAACAAUGAUUCAUUUUCCAGGACCUGUACCAUUCUACGGUCGCCUGAAUAAGGAAUAUGUGUUGUCAAGGACCCGUACCAUUCUACGGUCGCCUCGACGAAGAAAAUUAUUUUUCCAGGACCCGUACCAUUCUACGGUCGCCUGAAUGAGGAAAUUGCUUUUCCAAAACCCGUACCAUUCUACGAUCGCCUAUUAGAGCAAUAAAUGUUGUCUAGGACCCGUACCAUUCUACGGUCGCCUAGAUUGAGGUUUUGCUUGGCUAGGACCCGAACCAUUCUUCAGUUGCCCAGCCUUGCGACAGAAAUCAUCCGACCAGGACCCGAACCAUUCUUCGGUCGCCUUAAUCAGAUUGAAUCUGGAGGAAAAAUCUUUGGAGGACAACUCCAUUGAGUGUCGAUGUAAAGGACUCUAAGCUACGAAAGCACGCCAGGUCGAUAAAAGAAAUCUGGGCUAUGGAAGCACGCGGUUCGAUAAAAUGGACUCUGGGCUACGAAAGCACGCCAGGUCAAGAAAGAGACAUCGGGCUAUAGAAGCACGCCGAGUCGAUGAAAAUGACUAUGGGCUACGAAAGCACGCCAGGUCGAUAUAACUGGACAGCUUGACCAAGUCAAGUGUUGAUGCACUUGAGAGAGAAUACCUGCACAAUGACAAGUAUUUUAGAGUAUGGUAAAGAUAUACUUACCUGGUGACAUCUCUGAUUCUUGGGGAUAUGUCUUUUGAAAUUUAGAUAUCCUGUGGAGGUCUUUCACCUCAUGGUGAAGGUUUCUCAUCUCCUAAUAUCAUGAAACAUUAUGAAAGGAACUUGAAUUACCUGUCAGACAUGAUUUAGAGCAAAAACUGAUAGACAAUUUGAGCUACUCUAGAAUGCACAUUUCAAAAUUCAGUGAAAUUCUCAUUAAUUCAAUCGGGGUUCAUGCAUAAUGACCUUUGCAUCACCCAAAUUUCCACUGGAGAGAAUUAUCAUUCAAGACAAUCUUCACUCAUGACAUGGAUUUCCUAAAAAUACUAAAUGAGAGACCUUCAGUUAGAAAUGACUUUCACUUACUCUCAUUUAGAGGCUAUUUUAUGAUAAUCACUCUAUCUCACUAUCAUCAUACCAACAAGGGUCCAAGUAUUCUCGCAAGCGGUACGACCUUACCAAUCUGAGAGGUCUUUAAUAGGGACCGUAAUGUGGGCUUGGUCAAUGGCUUAACAAAGGGACUCAUCGAGUCAAAGCAAUUGAAAGAACAGCUUCGCAAUCAUCUCCGGGUUUACAAGUCAAGAACCCUGCAAAAUGAGAAAGAAAUAGUCUUGCUCGCACUCCUUCGAGCGAUGCUUAAAACAUGUGAACCCCUAUGUUAAUUCAAGUGCCCUAAUCUGAAGAGACUUGUAAGGGACGUAACAUAGGCUGGGUUCAUGGGUUGAGAAAUGAAAAGAUCAUUAGGCUCAAAAUGUGUGUGAAUGGUGAGGGUUGGUGAUCAUCUUGGCAUUGUCACUAGUUUUCUUUUUCAUCAUCGGGGAUUGUCUUCAUGAAAUGCCCCAUUGAUUGUAAAAACUCAACUUUUGAGUUCUUUGAGUAUUGCUCUAUCAGGAUUCAAUUCUUGCAAUUGAGAAUCACCUUAUAUUGACUCUCUUUUUCAUCUAUGGGCAUUGGCCUUACUUUUACCAGCACACCACAUUUUCACGCCCCUAGUUCUCGUUCAUUUUUUUUCUUCACUUUUUUUUCAUGGGCAUUGGCCUUACUUUUACCAGGCACAUUGCUUUUUCAUGCCCCUUAAUUCUAUUUUGAAUUCAAUUCUUGCGCAUAAUGCAUGCGUCAAGCAAUUACACUUUGAAUGACACUCGAACUUUUCAAGAGUCUUCAUCUGCCUUUUGCCUUGCCCCAAUGUGAGGGAUGAUCACCAACUGAGUUUAAAGAAAUGAAAAAUUGCAGGCUCAAAUGGGCUGUGCAAAGGAUAUAAGUAUGUAGGAUAAAGAAAAAAUGCUCUUCGUCAUUCUAAGGCACUUAAAUUACCAUAUGAAUUCAAUGUAAUAGCACGACUUAAAAAUUGAUGCAAGUGAGAGCAAGAAAUUUCUUUUCAUUUUCCUCACCUCAUGAUGCCGUCUUACCUCCAACUUGCCCCAAUGUGGGGUGGUUCUUGACAGGGAUAAUUUGAAAAAAAUCUCCACAAAUGUAUGGGGCUCAAAAGGGGUUAAGCAAUGUAUCACUUGUAGUGUUCGGGAUAGAGAAAUGAACUGCCUCUCAUCAUUUCGGUCAUCAUACCUUUUACGAGAGAACUCUUUACCUUGUAGAUAUGGAACUUCCUACACUCAUCUCACAAAUGUAUAAGUAGGGAAUUGUGUAUAGGAUAAGGCUUGCCUUUCAUCAUACUGACACGUCUCAUUCAGCAUUCUUAAGCAUUGAUGUCACUCCAUUAAAUUGUCUAUCUUGACAAAUCUCCACAUGAAAUUGGUAAGCUAAAUCAAUAUGAAAAUUUUCUUUUCAAAAGAGUUCAGCAACUUUAAGCAUAAAAAGCGUUUGUGACCUCAAAACAAACAAUUUACUACACUCAAACAUGAUUUCAAGCAUUCAUUCAAGGAAUUGUUCCAUGAAGGGAUUGUCUCAGCAAUGGAUGUCCCUAGAUUGCCUCUAUCGAAAGGGAAUAAACACACAAAUUGAUCAAUCGAUGAUGAAAAUCCGAUCUUUGAUUUGAUGAAAUCUUGCUUUUGCCCCUGCACAAAACAAUGUGCAUGAAUAGGAUACUAUGCAACAUCAAAGUAAAUUCAAAUUGCACAACUAUUUUGACUCGAAUCGAGAUUUUGUCUCAGUCAUGUCACUACUAGAAUCUGUAGUGCCCCCAAUUCGUCAUAUGCAAGGAAAAGAACAAAGCAUCAUCUCCCAAAAUUAUUUAUGUUCAAAAACAAGAUGUACCUCUUUCACCAAAGAUGGAUGAUCCUCUUUUAACUUGCCCGUCAUUUAAUGGGCGAGAAUGAAAAUUCCGUCAAGCAUGGAAAUGGAACACACUUUGUUUGGCCCUUCAAGAUGGAUAUUAACUCUUUAGAAACUUGUUGAGUAACAAUUGAACCAAUUGCAACUUGAUGUGCCUUUUUCAGAUGCUUUCUUAUCGGGUCAAGAAAGUAAUGCUCUGAAACAUGAAGUAAAUGAGUCAGAAAAUUAAACAAGGCUAAUCUAACGCAUGCUUUUUGGAAAUGGCUUGAAAAAUGAUCUUUUUUUUUUUGUUCUUUUGGAUUUUUUUUUGGAUGAGGAAGCAUGAAGAAGCCGAGUCCUCAGAAUUCUCCUUGGAUGAUAUUUUCUUUUCAUUGUUGGAUAUCAUCACCGGACUAGUUUGGUGUACCCCAUCAUGUCCUCAAAACAAAACUUGUAAUUUUAUUGAUAUUCAUCAAUCGAAUUACAUUUAUUGGAAUGUGAUGUUCAAGCACAGAAGAAAUCAAUCCCUAAAAAGCGAUAAAAAUUCUCAUGCGGGGGAAGAUGUAUGCCCCUGAUUAAAUGAGGAAAUCGAACUACUUAGGACCAUGAAUCAUGUGUACAUGAAUUCUUCACCCUUCUUGAUCUUGUGAUGCAAGCCCUUCAGGUUUGAUAUUCUUCCAUUUAGAUAUGUUGCUACCCUCUUCAUGAUGGCAUCAAAUUCGACUACCUCAGGAAAAUGAGACAAUUCAAAAGGUCUUCUUGGCUCUCUUCUUGGAGUCGCAAUUUAUCACUGAAGAUAGAUUGCGGCAUUUUUGCUUGACAAGAUAAGCUCUUUUUGAUCUGUCAUUUUGGCUCUUGAUCGUGAACGGAUGGGUGAGCGAGAUCGUUCCAUAAUCACCUAGUUCAAAUGAACGGGAACAUGUAAGAACGAGGGUAAAUAAAAAGUCAAUCCAUGACAAUGAUCUAAUUGAUUUUUCCAUUUUUUUUUCAUUUACUCAUGAAAAGUUUGUACAAGAAGGGCAUUUCCUAAAAAUGGACAAGGAAAAUAAAGAUAGACACCCCAGCGAGACUAAAUUCGCUAGACAUGAAUUGAAAACGAAUUCUCCAAAGUUUUUUUAUUUUAUUUGCAAAUGAUUCAUUGCAUGGCAAUUUCCUCAUUUUACAUCUAAUUGACAAAUGAAUUAAAUCAAUAAUUGACCUAGAUUGUCAUGGACGGACCAAAAGUAUGACAAAGUAAGUAAAUUGCAAUAGUAUAGGGAAAGAAGACUUACUUCACCAAGGAGAAUCAAUGGUAAUCACGUAGCCAUGCGCAUGGUAAGUGGCUCGAUUUCUAAUUUAUAAGGCUUAUCAAGGUGGAGCAACAAGGAUGAUCGGACUAGCCACGGGCUUGUGGACUAUGUCGGGCCCUCAUGACUCCAGCUUGGUCAAAGAGCCGACCCGGGUCGCGAGCAUGCGGACCGAGGUGGGUACUCUUGACACCAUGAAAUAAACUUCGGGAUUGAGAUGGGGGACUCGUACUACAAGCAUGCGGUCGGAGUGGUAUCCAUUUCAAUACCAUCCUAAAUGAUCAUAUGCGGCCUAGGUCCGACGGCAAGUUGUGUGUGCAACAGUGUAGUGCUAGAUGCAAGGCAUGCACGAUAGUUUAUAUCAAGCAACACUUCGUUCAUGAAAAUAAACCAUACAUUCCUACGCCUUCCUACAAAACAAAGGUUAACAAACACUUCCUCUUAUACCUCCCAUCCUGCAAGAACAUUUAAAGUGCGUACCUGAAAUCAUUGCUGCCAAACAAAACAUUUUUCAAAAGAAAAAAAAAUUGUCCUAAGUCCACUAAGAGUUUCAACUCAAGUCCCCAGUGGAGUCGCCAAGCUGUCGCGACCAAUAUUUUUCGGAUGUGAACCAUCUAGGGUUUGGCUAAUGGAUUGUUAAGCUUAGACUUAACUUGAGCUCUCCCAAGCCCAUACCAAUUCGUGACUUAGGUUCAAGUUCUUAACAUGCAAUUGAUUUUCAAUUAGGAGUCGCCACUAAUCUAUUUUUGGUGAGUCGAUUAGAAACCCAAAUAAAAUAACGGGAGAAUUAUUUUACUCCUACGAACCAGAUACUAUGGGUACGGGGACUUGGUUAAGCUAGAAUUCUCUAACGCCCUUUUGGUACCUUUCUUUUUAUUUUGAAAAAUGUUUGGCAAGUAGUUUGGAUUGAUUUUAAAUCUAUUUCCCUAACACGUGAGGUGGUCAUAUGGGUGCACAAUCCACCAAUUUAACACCCAAAUAAACAAUAAAUAAAUUGCAAAAAAACAUACCUCAAAGCAACGAAAGCAUCUGCAAUGUUAAAUUAAAAUCCACAUCAAUAAUCCUAGAUAUGGUUUCUAAUUAACACGCAAUUUCUUUUUUUUUUUCACUUUUUUAAUGAAAAUCAUACAAUAUGCAAUGCAAUAUUAACUAAAUGACCUAAUUCUAUUGACAUGUAAUUUCUAAUUAAAUGGGCCUAGCAAAAAUACUAAAUGACAUGCAUCUCAAUGAAUCUAACCUUAAUGACGUGCAUAUGAAGUUUUUUUUUUUUUUUCUAAAAGAAUGCAUUUCAUUCUAAAUAAUAAAACUAAUUUAACCUAUGACAUUUUUUUGUAUUUUUCAUGAAAUUCGAGAUUAAAUAGAAUGUGAAAAUUAUCUAACUAGAUUAAGAUUAUAUUCAAUUUGUAUCAGGAAUUAGGUUGAACCAAAUCCUAAUUUAAACUAAAAUAUUAUCUUAACCCAAAUAAUCCUAAAAUGCAAUCUAUCUAAUAUCUAAACUUAUAAUAAAUUAAGAAAAAUAUUAUCUAGAAUUAAACUAAAUGCAAUUUUACCCUAGUAUGCAAUGACGUACAAAAAGAUGCCCUAACUCUACAUGACAUAUGCAUGAUGACUUUUUUUUGUGUUUUUCCUUUUUUCUUUUUUUUUUUAAUUUCGAAAUUAAUAAUUGCCAAAUAAUUAAACAUGCAAUCCAAGUUAAAAAAAAAACUAGCAACCUAAAUUAAUUGAUUUGAUUCUUUUUUUUUUUGGAAAAUUCGAAAUAAAAUUCCUAUUGUGAGCAUGCAAACCCUAAAACUACAUUUUUUUUUUUUUUUUAUAGAAAACUAACCUAGUAACACCACGGCAAAUCAAGCAAUACCGGUAUCUAAAUUGACGAACAAUAUCUCGUGCAUAAAAUCGGGUUAGCCAAUUUCACAUAAAUCACGAAUCGGAUCUCGGGCGGGAGAUCGAGUUGGCAAUUUUUUUAAAGUAAUUGCGAAUCGGAUUUCGGGCACGAAAAUCGGACUGACAAUCACUAAUUUCAAGGCAAUUUCAUAUCACGGAAUUUCAAUUUCACAUUAAAGGAAUAAUUACACUAAAAAGAUAAAAUAGCAAAAAUAAUAAAACAAAAAUAAGAUAAAGAAAAUACCUAAAUUUUCUUUUGCUUUUCUCUUUUUUUCUUUUCUUUUUUGUUUUUGAAAAAGAAAAAGAAAAAUAAAUCUGGUGGCCGGUCCGGCGAGGGGAGAUCACCUGCUAGGGGUUCCGGCGAGGGCACCGGGAGCGGCGCGACGGCGGCACUGCAACAGGGGCUUCGGGGAUCAGCACGGGGCGACGCGGGCGGCACGGCGAAACUGGUGGGCGGCGUCGCGGAAGGAGCAAGAGCUUCGGGUCUCCUGGCGUCGGUCACGCGGGCAGCAAAGGGGGGACGUCGGCGUCGUGGAACGGAGAUCCGGGGUGUGGCGUGGUGCAGGGGCGCGCCUCCAGCGACGGCAGAGGCGGAUCUGCGGCUUUGACGGGCUACUGGCGUCACAGGUCCCUGUGGCGGCGAGUGCACAGGCCGGCUGCGGUGGAUCUGGACCUGCUGUCGUGGGGAGGUUGUUGCGGCGGGCAAAUCUGGAGCAGCAGCAGCCAACGACGGGGUAGCAGACAGAGGCGCGGCAGAGGAGGGCUCGGUGACUCGGCUGGUGUGGCGGCGACGCGGCUUCCAGUGGACGGAUGGCAGAGCGGAGUGGCGUCGGGGGGCGGGGCUUCGACGAGGCGAAGGGCGCCGGAUGCGGGCCGGGGCGCUGGAACUCCGGUGCUGCAGAUCGGCGACGGGACGACCCAGCGGCGCGGGGGAAUCGGGUCGGCGCGAGCUUCGGGUUGCGACUCUGGCAACAGAUCAGCGAAGCGGCGGUGCUGCUCACGGAGGCGGGCGGCCGCGGUAGAGGCGGUCGCAACGGCGCGGGGACGGCUUGGCGGGCGAAGGUCGGCGGCUCGGCCGCCGGUAGGGAUCCCUCCCCCACGAGGAAGAUGAACAGUCGCAAAGGGGGGUGCUUUUCUUUUCUUUUCUUUUUUCUCUUUUUUUUUUUUUCACUUUUCCUCCCUCCACUCACUCUUUCACCUUUUGCUCUUUUUUCUUCGGUUUUUUUUACGAACGAAAGGGCCCCCUUUUUUGCUCCAAAUUUUUUUAAAUCCUUUCCCGCUUUUGCCGGGACGUGCCAAGGCCUUUUAUAGGGGAAAAAUUUAGUUUCUGUGAAGGGUAAUUUAUUUCCUAUUUUACUUAUGGAUAUUUUNNNNNNNNNNNNNNNNNNNNNNNNNNNNNNNNNNNNNNNNNNNNNNNNNNNNNNNNNNNNNNNNNNNNNNNNNNNNNNNNNNNNNNNNNNNNNNNNNNNNAUUUUCUUUUUUGCUUGAAAAUACAUCCUUUUGUGUAUAUUGCCUAAAUGUGUGAAGAAUCUGAACGAAAUAUGUGAAAAAUCUUCUCUUCACUGGCGGCCUAAAAUAAAACAAAAAUAAAAUGUUUCUAAACUAUAUGCCAUGUGAUUUUUUUUUUAUAGUAAAAAUUAACCCUAAAAAUUAUGCAAAAAUUUAGGUGUCAACAGGGAGUACAUGAAUCAAUGAGACAAUGGUUCUUAUGGUUUGUAGGAUCUUUCUUUGAGGGGAUUUCGGCUGCAUAAUUGGAUGUGUUCAAAGGGUGUAACAAGGUGCAGAAGAAUGAUGGAUCACUUGCUCGAGCUAGUGCAGGAUGGGAAGUUAAAAUACAAGUAUGUCUUCAGUAAACACCACUCAAAUCGUUGUAUUUAGGUCUCCAUAUCUUUAUAGUGUCUCUAAUAGUAUUUAUCUUCAAGAUAGUGUGCUUGGACUGUGGAUGCAUAUGAAUUUCUCCAAAACUUUAGGACGGAGUUGGUUCCUUUUAGUGAUUUCCACAUUGCACUAGAUAAAUCAUUGGGGAAACUUGGAAGCCAUCCUAAGCAAGUCCUAAAGUUCUAGGGCUACUAAAUAUUUAAAAGCAGUGAGAAGAUCAAAAAAUUAUUCGUCAUAUCCUUCAGACGAUCAACUGUUCUAAAGUUGAGGCACUGGAUCAACCGGACAUGAUAACUAUGUAUCUUUCCGUUAUUAUUAUUCUUUUUUCAUAAGUAUGCAGCUUUUCUGUUGGAGGUAAUUUCGUUGCUGCUUAUUUCAGCAAUUUCCAUUUUGAAUUUGUUUUGCAUCAUGCCUUCCAAUCUAAAACUAAUCUCAUGCUCUGCCAAAACAUGAUGGCUGAAUUUGGGGAUCCAAACAUCGACCCGCUUGGUAUUGGAAGGGUCCAGAAAGGUUUCAGAUUUGCCAAUUAUGAUUCUCAUAUACACGUAAUAAGGAACAUUGGGAUACUUUCCAAAAAUCAUGUAAUCAACAUGGCAUGGAUUGAGAAAAAGAGCAAGAAGAACCAUAAAUGCUUCAUUUGAUCUAUCCUAAUUCAAAUGGGAUGCAGAGGGAAAACACAAAAUGGAAAGAUCGUGUCUGCUUCCAAAGAAUUGAUGAUUGUUCAAAUACCACAAAAAGAAAAGGCAUCUUUCAUCUAGACAAUGUCAAGGACCGCACUCCUUUCUCAAGAUAUAAGAGUUGGACCAAGAUGAGCGAUUUUCAAAUUCAUUUUUAGCCUUGGAAAAUUUAGAGAGAAAACAAAUUCCCCACAAAUGCAUGAUUUUGAAAUACUAACAUUUUGCUAGGCCGAAGAGAUGGGCCUCGCAAAAUGGAAGAUUAUAAGAGAUUGGAAGAUUAUCCACGCUAACACCUCAAAACACUUAAUGUAAUGUUUGGUUAAUGGUCAUGGAAUCAUGAAAGGAAUCCCAAACCGUAAAAUUAAAUAGAGGACAAUAAUCAGGAAAAUGUUCAGGGAUCUUAUGUGGUUCUUCAUCCUGUUUCGGUCCCUAGUUUUCCGUUUGUGAUUUGUACACGUUGAUUGAAGACGCAUUCCAUUUCUUACACGCACAAUAUAUUUAUUAUUUUAAGAGAUGGGCUUCAUUCGGUGAGCAUAAUUGAACAUGGAAUUCCACUCUAACCCCAACCUAAGAAAAGAAUUUCUGAAUCAAUUUGGUAAUUUAGACUUAUUUUGUUUCGCAAAAAAUUAAUAAUUCAAUAAAUAUUUUCCUAAAAAUGAUGUUUAUAUCACUCGAAGUAAUUAUUUAAUAAGAAAUAUUUUUUUUAUUCAUAAUAAUUAAUGUUAAAAUAUUUUUCGUAGAAGGUAAACAAAUUUUUAGUUCGUUUAUUUUUAUAAGCAAUAUAAAUAAUUAUUUUUAUGAAAUGUAUUUUAAAUCAUUCUCUUAAUUAAAGAUACACUCCCUUUACAUAUGUGCUAUAGUUCCAUCUUCAUUUUCGACCAUAUUAUUUAAUCAUCCAAGCCAAAAAUAAAGCAAAAUAUCUAUGUGCUCUAAAUAGGCAAUAAUACUCCAGCUUUUCAUCAGCCAACCUUAGUUUUUCUCAUGGACCAAUGGCAUCUUUUUUUUUGGUCGUCGUAGUCAAAAACUAGAUUGAAAAUUAGAACACCUUUUGAAUGGAGGAGAUUAUGUAAAGCCAAAAGAAGCAACAUGAACGGACCAUUUUUCUUAGCCAUCGCAUCAACAAACAAACGGAUAAAAUUAUGGAGAUGCAAUCCUAUUUGAUGACAGCUUAGCAGUGGGCCAACGGAAGCAUGUGAUCAUCGUCUUUUACCGAGACAAUGAAUGAUUAGAUAGCCUCGUUGAUGUCAUGGAAGUGACAAGCGGUCCUUUCACUAGUGCAUCUACUUUCGGACAAGGAUGGAUUCUCAUUAUAUUAUUUCGUGCCUUGGCCUGCAAUCAGGCGCAAGGGAGAGCAUUAAAUUCCAAAAAUAAGCCUAUUGACAUUUCUCUAUCGGGUGCUUAAAUCGGAAGAAAAACAGCGUCAUCUUAUCAUGUCAUGCUGUAGUCGUUACACUUGAUAGUCGAAAAUAAUUGAAACGCCACGUCAAAUGAAUUCAAUGAGAUUUAGCUAAAAUGUUUUAUUGCAUUUUCCCUUGUAAGUUUAAGAUUACAAUUAAAAAGUAUAAACCUUGAUAGGUUUGAAAUUUCGGUAUAAUAAUUUUAUGAGAGAUUGUGUAAUUAUCUCAGAAAUAUGACAAUUCGGUUUUCUCAAUCUCGUGUUCGCACUCAACUCAAUGCAAUAUAUACACUUGCAUCAAACUUGAUCCAACUCUAAUAUUAAAAACUAAAUUAUCGUGUAAAGCUUCGAACUCCAUCUCAAGUUCUCAUAAAAAAUUUCAAAAAUAAUGAUUUUUUUUCAUUGUCCUUAGUAAAAUCCUUUAAAUUAUUAACAAGGCUCGCAAGUAUUACAAAAUUUGACACCUCUGACAUGGCAAUUCAUAUUGUUAGGUCCAAAUACAUAAAAGAAAGGAUGAAGUGUUUUUUUCGUACGUACAAAAAUAUUUAUCUUUCUAGAACCAGCACCUUAUUUUAAAAUGUUUUUUUAUAUGCAAUUAAACUGUUAAUUUGCCAUAACAAACUUAUAGAAUUUAGGAAAAAAAAUUACAAAAGCUAUUUACAGAGUUUCAAUUAGGAUUUUUCUCUUCUAGCUCUAGCAGCCCCAUUAGAUUGAAAUUCACUACUUCAGCCAAUAGUGCAAUUGCCAAGAACUUUGUAUCGCGCGGACUCGACUCCUCCUACCCCUAUCUCACUAUAGACUAAAUAAUUAUUAGAUCUCUUUCAAUAGCUGUUCUCACACCUUGUGCACACAACACGAUAGACAUAUUCUCCCCCAAAAUUAUUUAACCACACUUCUAAGUGUUUACAAAUAAUCAUUCGCAUAUUUCGUCUCUUACCUAAACAAUUGCAUUCUCUCUAAGCACGACCACGUCUUCUGUGUGUAUACAAAUGAUUUUGGCACCCUUGCUAACUUUUAGGAUCAAAACUAAAUAGAUAAUAAUGAAACAACAAAGAGAUAGAUCUCAAUAGAUCUCAAGAACACUCAAUGUGUUUCGAUUUUUUUUUUUGUUGUUGCAAGAACUCAAUCACAAUUUAUGUUUUACUCAGUUUGUCCUUAUAGGCCUCCAAAAACAACCCUCCUAUUUCAAUCAUCUGAUUCAAGUUGAUCACAGAAUGAGUUUCAUUUCAUCACACAGAAAAGAGACAUUUGGAGGGGAUACUUAGAGAUCAUCAACAAUGAAAAAAUCAAAAUGAUAAGGAUAGUUAGCAGAAGUUGGUAAGUUUAUAAAUUGACUUAUUAUAGUGAUUGCAAUUUAUUUACGAUGCUUGUAAAACUUCCAAAGAGUUGGUUAUUCUUUAAUUCAUUUCAAAGUUGGUAAUUUUCUAACAGCAUUGAUAAGUUAUUGAUAGGUUAUUUGGCAAUCAAAUUGACGGUCAUGCUUUUCUUUUAUCGAUUGUACUAGAUGUUAAUGUUGGUUGGGUCUGCCUGUGUGGGGCCAAGUUAACGUUAAUAAAUAAAAGAAAAUGUCAAAAAGUCAAAAAUGCAAGAAAGGAAAAGAAAGGCGGGCUGCUCGUUCAGAGAAGAUAGGAACUGGGCUGCCAAAUAUCGUUAGAGUUGACUCAAAUGUCAAUAUGUUGUUAUAAGACCAAGACAGAUGAGUUGAGACAGGCGAGUCCAUCAGUUUCAUUUGUCAAUCUGUUUUGUUCAUUGAACACUUUUUCUAAAUUAUCUCAAAUUUCUCCAAUUGUGAUUAGGGUUUCUUACUUCAUAUAUAUUAAUACACUUUUACAGUGACGAAAUGUCAUUAUAUUGUUGAUGUUGAAUCUCUAAUAUAUUACUAAAGAAGAAUCCUUGUGCGUCUUACUAUUUUUUGUGAUUAGUGAAAUUUUUUUAUCGUCCAUAAUCUUUUUUGCAUUGAAUUUUCCACGUAAACUUGCCGUGUUUGCUUUUGUUUGUUUUUAUCAUUUUGGCAUUUUUUUUUAUUCAUUACGAGAUUAUAUUGCGGGAAUAUAUUGCCUGUUAUUAUAAGGGUUGAGUCGAUUUUGGUCCAUUUAACCUUGGGAAGAAAUUGAUUCUACAUUAGGUUAUUUUUUUAUGAAUUGUUGCCGGUUCUCUCGAACUUUGUAUCAAUAAUUUUGGAAAUCCAUCAAGUAAGGGAAAUUUUCCGCACUUUCUUGACUACCCUGCACUCAGUCCCGAAAGCUUGCGUCAGCCACAUCUUUGAUUUUUUGUGUCAUCGACCAAUGGCAUUUGAUUUUACGGUCUCCGUCGUCGUGAAAAAUAUGAUUUCUGCCCCAGUCGUGUCCUCAUCAGCCCAAAGCAUUUUACUUGCUUUUCCCAGAACUGCCCCAUUCAAUAACACUUCAAUUCGUGUUAUACGAUGAUCUGAGAAAUGGAUGCUUACUGCGGGGUUCGUCCAAAUCGGUUUCGUCCAGGGGCACGGUAAGAAGAGAUGCUCCAAUAUUCCUUUUUUCAAACUUUCUUGCAAGAUUGAUUGCAGUUUUAUUUUUCAGGAAUUGUGCUUUGAUUGGAUAUGUUCAUGUUUCGGAGGAGGCUUGUGAAAUUUUGAAGACAACUCACAUCAUACUUGUCAGCAUGCAGGGAUGGAACUAUCAUAUAUUUUUAGUGGGGUCAAUGCCCUAAAGACCGUAAGAUAAGGUAUUUCAUUUAACAAAAAAAUUAUAAAGAUGCGAUCGAGCUAUUUAUUGAUUCAAAGUAGUUUUUCUACGCAAAGUUUGAUUUGAAAUCGAUGCUUUGACAUUGAAUCAUGAAUGUGAACAAGAUUCGGUUUCAAAUCCCUGUGCUCGAGCUCGACUCAAUAUAGUAUAUACAGCUCGAAAUUGAACUCGAUUCUACUCAUUUGACUUGUUACAUAGGAUGUUUCCUUCUUUUUUUCCUAAUCAUAUACUGCACCUUCUGCAUAGCCUAGUCAUGCCAUUCGAUUGCUUUAUCUUUCGACUCUAUCAAGCCUCGUUUUUUAUUGGUGGUGUGGUUGUCUAGUAGUGCAAUGUCUAAGCCCGAUAAUUUUUUUAUGAUUGUUUAUCUUUUUACUUUUCUGUUUUUUGUGUCAUAAAGAAGUUUAUAGUACAUGGAAAGAAAAGAUACUGAUUUUGAUUUCUUGCAAGUUAGCGCAUGGUCCCUUAGAGGGGGAUGAGGCUAAGCCUAAUUACAUCGAUGAACAAUGGAAGUUACUAAAAAGGCAAUGUGGGGUUUCAUUAGGCAUCAUCAGUUAGGAUUUUAUUUCUUUAGAUAAACUAUAAGGAUUCCAUCCCACUGCUCAUUUUGCUCUUCCGAUUUCCAUCUUUUGGCAAUGGAAAACCGUAGCCACAACAACACUGAUAUAAAUUAAGGAAUCGUUAUGCUAGCUGGAUCCUAUGAGAAACAAUUGAUGUCUUCUCAUCCAUUGAUCGUCAGAAUCUCAGGAUUAUAUGUCACAACCACACUUCCAUUCACUCACGGAACACUUCUUGGAUAUGUCCUUCCUCGGCACUUCAUUUCGAGUAGGGAUUAAUAGUUCCCCGCCGUACAGACUGGAGUAGGAAGCCCACCCAAAAAAUCGAAUAAAAAAAUCCGUUCUAUUUUGCUGGUAUCACAAGCCGACUUAGUUCCGAUGACUCUCUUGGGAAUAUGGGGCAAUAAUAGAGCAAAUAUGUCAAACGGUUCUCCACCGAGAGCAGAAACUCUUUUAUUAUGUAUGUUGGAUUGAUUGGUCGAUUACGACAUUUUGUAUAGAAAUUAUGAAAAAAUGCAAAUAGUUAUAAUUCGUUAUAAUUCAAAAAUUUAUUUAUCGAUGACCAUAAAACUACUCAUGUAUUAUAAGAAGAAAUCCGAAAAACCCUCCAACACAAAAGUUAUUCAUCACAUUGAAUCUCCAACAUUUUAUAGUAGAGUAGACGAUCUAUCACCGUGCAUCAUUCAAGUUUCACACACCAACAUAAGUAGAAGCUUCUAAAUUCAUAAGCAUACAAUAAGAUAAGAAAGACGAUCUAUCUCUAUGCAUAAUUAAAAGUGCAACAACCCCUGCCCUUGCUGUGGCGGCGGCGGCGGCAACGGCGGCAGCGGCCACCACGGUGGCCACCACAGCGGACCUUGCGGCCCCUGCGGCCCCGGCAGCCCCAAUGGUCCCUGCAGCCCCCGCUCCCCCUGCAACCCCCGUGGGCCCUGUAGCCCCGUCGGGCCCCGCUCCCCCUGCAGCCCCUUGUCCCCCCGGUCCCCCUUGUCCCCCUUGUCCCCCUUCGGCCCCCGCCGCCGAAUGCAGUAGAAAAGAAAACAACAAAGCAUGAUGGCAACAAUGACUAAACCAACAAUAACCCAUGUUGGGGUGUUAUUGUCAUUAGAUGAUAUGGAUUUCGGAUCGAUCCAUGCCAAUGGUGGAGGAAAGUACUGGAAACUCGGAUAAGUUUGUGGAUAGUUAUUGUUCUCCAUCAAGAAAACUCUGUGGAGGUAGUUCAAUGCGAGCGGUGAGUCUACAAACAUAUUAUGAAGCAUCAAUCCAAGAGCCAAUUUACCUUUUUAUCAUGAUGAAUUGAUCGUAUGAUCCAAGCACGAGAUCGAAAUGAUUCAACACGGAAUUCAGCGAGAUAUAAUGUGAGUGGAAGUAGUUGCUUGCACAUAUACCCUCACAAGAAGAGCCAAGCAAAUCGGUGAAUGAUGUUGCGCCAAUGCUUACGUGACCUGCAAAGAAGUGAGAAUUUUCGCCCAUUGGAGGUAGUGUUAUAUAUGCCCCGUGACGCUCCCUCCCUCCCUCAUGGGGUGGGUUUUCUUUUUCUUUUUCUUUUUUUUCCUUUUUUGCUGAAAGAUAAUCAUUUUCAUUACUAGCCAACUAAAGGGGCACCAUUAGUUGAAGAGUCCAAACAUAGAAUUAAAAAUAGAGAACAAGGAGAAUUAGAAGUCCCAUUGCUGGAAAGUGACCUGGCUCGGUGGGUUAGGUAAGCGUUUUAACAAAUGUGUAAUGAUUGAAGCAUGUGGUCAAAAAGUUGGGAAAUUUUAUUCACGUGCCAAAAUAGGAAAAAUUAUAAAAAAAUCAUAAAUUUAUUACAAUUGUAUCAAUUUAAUUAUAAAUAUUUUUUAACCAAUUAAGUACUAAAUCUUUUAUAUUUAUAUCAAUUCAAUUCAUCCGAUCAAAAUUAGCCGCUCAGCACUAAAAUGAACACAAGGCAUUUUACGAGGCACUGUUGGCACUAACGUGAAUAAUUUUUAAUAAUAUUUGAAUAUUUUUUUAUUUUUAUUCCUAUUUUUUUUUUUAUCUUUUUUAUCUUUCUUUUUAUCUUUUCUCUUUCUUUCUUUUUAUUUUUAUUUUUUUUCUUUCACUUGCUUCUUCCUCCGCCUAGUCGCCAACGACCACUGGAAAUGAAGGUCCAGGAAGAACGGGGUGAGCUUCAACUACUGCUAGGCUCGAUCACGUCUUUCAUGCGUGAUGUUCAGGAUCCANNNNNNNNNNNNNNNNNNNNNNNNNNNNNNNNNNNNNNNNNNNNNNNNNNNNNNNNNNNNNNNNNNNNNNNNNNNNNNNNNNNNNNNNNNNNNNNNNNNNGGUCAAGAAAAACAAUCAGGUCUGAAAUGAGAAAUUAUUAUAUGCUCUACAAAAUGUGUGAUUGAAUAUCAUCUCAAUCAUUAAUCAGGUAGAUUUGAGCCCACAGGAUCAAUUGUUGAACUGAGUUUCCACAUGAGAUUUAUGGACCAUACAGUAAAAUUUCAUGCAAAAUGGGGUUAUAGACGUGACCUGAAAAAUAAAAUUCACUCUACUAUCCAAAAUCAAGUCCACAAAAACUUAUUUUAGAGCUGACCUGCCAAGGAUAUAAGAGAGCCACUGUCAAUUCGUUUCUAUUUCGAGUAUUCUAAAAACGUAGGAAAAUGUUCUAAGAUCCUCCUGAACUUGAACUGUCUUAGAUGGACACAUCAAAAGGCCACUAAUCUCAGUCCUCGUGUUGGCCUAUUCUUGUCUACAUCUCUCUCAUGGUCACGGGACUCCUGUCCGAACAAUAGUAAAAAACAGCCACGUUGCCAGCAAAUUAGAACGAUGGAAUUAAACGCAUGAGGCAAAUAAUGCGACGAGAAAGAAACCGGCGAGGGGACAUGACUGGAGGAAAUAAGCACCCAUUUUCUCUCUGCUCAACCUCACUUCUCUUUUAGCAGAACAGAGGAAACAGAUGGGUGUAAAAGUGGAGAAAACUUGUGAAAACUUGUGGAUGUAGUCUGAGCUGCUUGUGGAUAUAGCAUGACCAAUCUCUUAAGAGUAUAUAUAAACAAGUGUUCCUAGCUAACUUGGUAGUAAAAAUGCAUAGUUUAUUGCAUAAAGAAGCUGGAACAGCUCCAUAUCAUCGGUUGUUCAAACAAGUUUAGAGUGACGUCAAAGUCCACUUUUGACCUCCUUACCCUUCUAGCCAAACUUGUCAUGCUGGGCAAAGUGACAUUACUCUGAUCUCAAGCUCAAUCACAUUGUGACAAUAAUAAAAAAGUAUUGGAAACAAGGCAUAGUGUUACUCCCUUUUUAUAGAAUAUUAUAUUAGAGAUUCUUAAGAUUUUCUAUAGAAUAUUAUUCUAUGUUAGGGACAAUUAUGAUAUUAUUGUUGAUUAUUUAUAUCAAUUAAGAUUUUUUUUUAUAGAAUAUCAUUCUUUGAUUGUAUAUAUCUUAAUUGAUAAAAAUCACCUUCGAUAGUCUCUACAAAGCCUAUAAAUGGCUGAUGUAAUCUUCAUUAUGAUAUAUCAAAAUAUACACUAUUCCCUUUUUCCACAUUUUUAGAUUUAACUUUUUGCACCUGGUGCACUCCGGUUUUUACAAGAUUGAAGACUCCGAUACCAAGUUGAGAAAUAAGAAAGAUAUGUAGAAGAAGGUAAUUGUCACGUGUGUUACUUUGUUAUUUUUGUGGUAUCAACUCUUUUUUGGGAUUAUGCUAGAAUUUGGAUCCCAUUGGUCAUGAACCAUGAAUCUUCUGAUGGAACCGGGAAAUUUUUGCCUUUAACAUCCAUCACCGCUGCCUCCCAAAGGCACGUCCACUUUUCUAUAAAAUUCGAUAUGCACUUGUUUGAUUGAUGAGAUUUUUUCUUUUUUGUGAGACAUUCUUCUUAUUUUUCUAGGUGUAAAUUAAUUCUGUGUAACCCACCUCACGGUGGAUGAGAUGGUUCACACCUCACCCCUCAACCGGCAAGGAAGGGAUUCGAAACUUCUAGCCCCCAUUGCACGACUCACCACCCGUGGGAGGUGGGUUCUUGCUGGUCGCCUCGGGUUUAGGCCUCCGGCUGCCGGUUAUACAACGAUUCCCAGAUCACCAAAAAAAAAAAAUUAAUUCUGUGUAGACUCAAUUCACAAAGACGGGGGAUCUAUGGUCUCUAGUCUCUCUGUAGUGGGAUAGGGAUACAAAUUAUUCGAACCAAUAGAGAUAUCACAUUAUCGAAUCACUUUUGCCUUUUCUCACUUUGCUGAACAGGAGCUAUAAAUUUCUUUUACCGAUCAAUAAGCAAAAGUGGCACCACCCUCUUCCUGUGUUCUCCAAAAUGACCCUGGUGACGUCACUUGGCCUCAGCACCGCUACGUCAUGCGCCAACGUCAUAGAUGUCCAUCUGCCAUGCGUUAAGGUGUUAGCGAAUAUUCUCAGUUUAGCUCAUUGUCCAUCGACCGAGAGAGCAGCUAUCGAUCCACUUGACAGCGCAGAAACAGAAAGCAGUGAACCGACCAAAAAAAAGAAACAGAAAGAAGUGGAGACGACGAUUGGUUCGUAGGAAGAGAAAAGUUUCGCAUGCAGUCCAAAGGAGUAGGAGGAAUCUUGUGCAUGCAAUGGGUCAUACGCGUGCGACGCGAGCUUGAUUAUCGAGAAUCUCACAAAUUAAAAAAAAAAAGAAAAGGAAAUAUACUAAUAGAAAUCUCGAAUCAUGCUCCUCAUGAUGCUAAUGCCUCAAAUUUUUUCCAUUUGUGUGGUAAAAAAUCCUAAAAUUUUAUUUGUGUAGCACAUGUACCAUUUAUCACAAUUCCGCUCAAGAUCACCGUUAAAAAUUUGCAUUGAUCUGAUGUAACAUCAUCGAUAUUUUUCGAGAAAAAGUGGCACUAAUGUGGCACCAUGUGAGCACCGCAUCAAAAUAAAGAUUAAAAAGAAAAUGGAGAACUAAAAAAACCAACCAAAACAAAAAUAGAAAAUUCGAACUGGAGGAGAGAGAGAGAGAGAGAGAUUGCUGACGGUCAGGGGUGUUGAAGGGGCUCCACCACCAUUCCAACUUCGCUGGUGAGAGUUGCCGGCCUCUUCGGGCCAUCGGUGAGGGUCAGCCAGUGCUUGCAUGGAUACCCUUGACGCUCGUUGUCUAUGGUUGAAGCAGAUGAAAAAGUUGGCACAGGACACGGGAGAGCAAUAUGUGCUGAUGUCGAACAGAAAAACCGGUUUCUUACAACUCGAACAUGCUUUCAAUUUGUAAAGAACGUAGUAUUUCUCUUUAGAAAGAGUAGAUACAACUCCACUGCAAGGGCAUGUAGCAUCACAUUCGAUACAGCGCCCUCAGACGCCACACCCCACAACUCCCGCCUCCACUGCCCUUGCCGUCCUACUGCCCCCCUCAUCGUUCCGUCGCCCGCCCACCCCCUCUUUGGUCAAAGGCAACCCCGAUGAUACUCGUCUCUCCCUCUUGGUUCUUUGUUUUGUAUAUCUCUACAACUUGUUUCUUUGUUCUCUAUUCUCCACGGCCGUUGAGCUCAAGGACCGUGAACUCUGCUGUAGUGUCAUGCUCGAGCAGCAUCUUAGGCAAGCUGUGACAUGCCACUCGAAUUCGAUGACAUCACAGCUUCAAGGUCAAUCUUGGAUUUAGAUAUUAGAUGAAAAUAUGAUUUAUUAUUGAAAUAUUCUAACAUUGCGUGUCAAGUUACGCUCAUGGCAAGGAGCUCAAACUUAAAUAUAGGGGAUGAGCUUUGCUGCACAUUGAGCUAAGCCCAACCUCACAUUUGUGAUCAAGCUCCACCACGUUGUCGAGCUCAAAGAGUGCAAAGAGGCCCGGACGAAGGGAAGAUGAAGAAGUGGGGUGCCAGGGGCUAGCUGUGGAGGCUAUUAUCUGAUUUGGGCACGUCUAAAACUGGGCAAGGUGUCUACAAUUGGGUAACGAUAAUCAUGUGAGAGUCAGCCGACCCUCGUUGAGGGCCGAUGGUGUCCAACAGCCCUUGCCAGCUGUCGAGAAUAUCAGAUUCCCAAAAACCGGAUUCGACACUAAAUCGAACCCCUAAAGCAAGUGCGAAAGACGAGCCCAAGAAAAUUACAUGUAUCACCGAUCCUAAGGCACAUCACAGAAUCGAACAUACCUUGUUAGCCACAGAUUAAACACCGACGCCGAUAUGAGGAAGAGAAACUGAUCCCAUUCGAUCCGAUGACGUGAAUUUUCCUUGAAGGGAAGAGAGUGUCGCCUCCUUUUUCUUACUGUUCUUUUUGGAGUGUUUCAAGGGAGAGAGGGAGGAGGAAUGUACGUAAAUCCAAAAGGUGCAUUCCUCCCUCUCUUUUCCUUCUUAAAUAUGUCAUCUCGAAAGGACGUGUCCGGCAAAAGACGUCCCCCAAAAUUUACAACUCUUCAACGUAUCCCUCCAUCCAUGGGCCAUAAUCUUGUGGGCUAGGCUUUUAGACCCAACAUGGGCAGACGGGCCAACUUAGGCCCAUCACAAUAAUUAAUAAAACCAUCAUCUCCCACUCGCACAUGGUGGGUCGAACAGGAUCCUCUUUACCUCUCUUCAAUAUUCAUACCAGUGAAUAAUCCAUGUGACCAGCAUACUUUGAGAGCUCGUUGCCAUACAUCUAUUAGGAAUAUAUAGCAGCUCAUAAUGGGCAUCACACUCUGAGUAGAUUUAGUAUGCAGUACCCUAGAUCGAUCGAUCACAUUUAUAUCUCUUUUGAUCUCUUUUAAACAAUGAUAUAUAUAUUGUAUUCACAAUUAUGAUUAUCCCAAAGACAGUCAUAAUUGGUCGACUAGUGAAUACAAAAACUACAAUGUGGUUUUCCAAAUUCGAUUUUCCUCUUUCCUUCAAACUCUCAAUCUCAGUUCAGUUUGCUUUUCUAGAAAUGUCCCAUUAGAUUGAAUCAACUCGUGACCAUUGGUAACAUCCUAAGAUAGCAAACAUUAAACAGAAAUAUUGAGAAUAAGUAAGAGUUAUGAGGGCACUCAAAUUGAGGAACUCUUUUCCUCAAGAGUCUCACAUGGCAUAAAAGUUGAGAUCAAACUUUUGCCACUCUUAUUGGUCAUCUCAUGCAUACAUAGUAUGAAAUACGUAUUACGAUAUUAACUCAUUUCCCAUGGAGCGUAUGUCUACAACUUCAAUACCGUACAGAUGAUAGUUCGGACAUACCCAAUGUCUAACUUGAGUUCACGUAUUUACUCAUUCACAUAAUUUAUCAGAACUCACAUCUGGCAUCUUAGACAGAUAAAGUAAAAUAUGUGGGGAAUUUUACUUUUGGACAUGGUACAUAUCAUGUCCUCAUCUUAACACAUAGUUAAGGCGACAUAUAUAUUUUAAGCUUGAGUUCUUGAUUAUCACCUAGAUAAUAAGCUUAAAAAUCGUCUCAUCUCUAUUUAUCACAUAGUAAAUAGAGGCAAUUACCCGUGUGAGUGGGCCAAUCUUAUAUCUGUCCGACAUACUUUCUCAACUUAAAGUAAUGCACUGAGCAUUAAGAUGCAUAAAGAUCAAACAAAGAUUCAUAUACAUUAAUAAUGAAAAACACAAGUUCAUAAAUGUGAACAACCCAGGGAAAUUACAAUAUCCAGUACAUCAGAUCAUACGCAAUCCUAGAGAUUUUACAUGACCACAAAACACAUCUCUAGGUAUUGGCUUUGUCAUAGAAUCUGCUACCAUUCUAUGCGUAGAUAUGUACUGUAAGUUCACAUUCUUUCGUGCAACCAUAUCUUUGAUAAAGUUAUACUUGGUAUCUAUAUGUUUGAUCUUGCCAUGAUAUUUUGGAUCUUUGGUGUACGCUAUAGCUGCUUGGCUAUCACAGUUAACCAACAAUGAAUUUGCAGCUUUCUCAAUAACACCUAAAUGAUCCAAAAAUCUCGUAAGCCAAACUCCUUCUUGUACCGCUGCUGAUAAUGUCACGAACUCAGCUUCCAUCGUGGACAAGGCUAUACACGUUUGCUUCUUACUGCUCCAUGAUAUGGCGCCAUUGUUCAGUAAGAAAGUAAAUCUAAAGGUAGAUUUCCUUUUAUUUAAAUCUCCUCCCCAAUCAACAUUUGAAUAACCUUCAAGUCGCAGAUCAUUUCCUUGGUAAUUCAGCUUGUAAUCAGCAAUUCCCUUCAAAUACCUCAGUAUUCUCUUAAUGGCUUUCCAAUGUGCUUGACUUGGAUUGGAUUGGUAUCUACUCACCAUUCCAACUGCAAAACAUAUGUUAGGUCUUGUACACAUCAUAGCAUACAUUAAGCUCCCAACAGCACUAGCAUAAGAAAUAUGUUUCAUUUGUUCCUUCUCUUGUGGAGUCAUUGGACACGGUCUAUGACUCAAUCCUUCACCUUUUGCAAUAGGAGUGUCCAUGGGUUUACAAUCUUGCAUACGAAAUCGUUCAAGAACCUUAUGUAUAUAUGUUUCUUGCGAAAGAGAUAACGAUCUCUUUGAACGAUCUCUUGAAAUCUUAACUCCAACAAUGUAUGCAGCAUCACCCAUAUCUUUCAUCUCAAAGUUGGAAAACAACCAACUCUUGAUAGUAUUAACAAACUCCAUAUUGCUUUUGGCAAUUAGUAUAUCAUCAACAUAUAAUGAUAUGAUCACAAAUUGAUCUUUGGAUCUUUUGAUAUAUACACAAUGAUCAUCAUCUAUCAUUAUAAAAUCAUAUGCCAUUAUGGCAUUAUGAAAACGUAUAUACCAUUGUCUUGAUGACUGCUUAAGGCCAUAUAUCAAUCUCAAAAGUCGACAUAUCUUUUCUUCUUGGCCUUUCAUUAUGAAACUAGUAGGUUGUUCCAUAUAUAUUUCUUCAUCUAAUUCUCCAUUGAGGAAAGCAGUCUUUACAUCCAUUUGAUAUAACUCAAGAUCCAUACUAGCCAUUAUUCCCAGAAUAAUGCGAAUCGAGGUAAAUCUCACUACAGGAGAAAAUGUUUCUUCAUAAUCAAUUCUUUCCUGUUGAUUAUACCCAUUCGCCAUAAGGCGAGCCUUAUGCCUUUCUAUCGAACCAUCAGCUUUACCUUUAUUUUGAGAACUCGCUUGUUCCUAAUAGCUUUGCGUCCUUUUGGAACAUCAACCAGAUUCCAAACUUAGUUUGACUUCAUUGACUCAAUCUCCUCUUCUAUUGCAUGAAUCCUUUUUCCAUACUAGGGCUAGUUAGAGCCUCAGUAAUAUUUCUUGGCUCGACCCAUCUGUGGAGUAACCAUAAAAGUUUCCCCUUCGAUGUCAAAACGUCGACGGGGAAUACUUUUGCGACUUGUACGCCGUAUGGGAGAUUGUACACUUUGCACAUCAUUCCCCAUCAUGCUCCCACUCGGAUUAGAUAAUGACAAUAUUAUCUCAUCAUGUGGUUGUAAUUGAGAGUGAGUUGAAUUAAAUUCAUCACUUCUCAUGUUACUCCCACUUGGACAAACUCCACUAAUAUCAUUAUCUUGAUCCAAGGUUUCAAAUAGAAAGUAAUCUUCACAUAUUUCGCCCUUCUUAGGAAAUUCAUUCUCUAAGAAUGUGACAUCCCGUUAUUUAAAUUCAGUUAUACUCCCACUUUCCUGCUCACCUAUGAACACAUACCAUUUCGAGUGUUCGAAGUAUCUUAUGAAAAUACUCUUAUUUCCUCUAGGACCCAAUUUCCCAAACUUGUGAGAGGGCUCAUGAGUAUAGGCAACACAACCCCAUGACUUAAAAAAUUUAAGUCUGGUUUUCUUCCUGUCCAUAACUCAUAUGGAGUGGGAGUAACUGAUUUGGAAGGCACUUGGUUAAGUAUAUAGGUAGCAGUUAACAGCGCAUCACUCCAAAAAGUGAUAGGUAAGUUAGCAUGCGCCAUCAUGGACCUAACCAUUUCCAGUAGGGUUCUGUUUCUUAUUUUCACAACACCAUUUUGUUGAUGAGUAUAUGGAAUGGACAACUUUCUUUCUAUUCAUUUUUCAUCACAUAAUUUUCUAAACUCAUCAGAUAAAUAUUCUCGACCUCGAUCGGAUCUUAAUACUUUUAUUUUAUUGUCUAAUUGAUUUUCUACUAAGUUCAUAAACCUUUUGAAACAACUUAAUGCUUUAGAUUUAUGCGAAAUCAAAUAGACAUAUCUAAAUCGAGUAUAAUCAUCUAUAAAAGUGAUGAAAUAAACAGCCACAUGCAUUCCUCUCACAUUCAUUGAACCACAGACGUCAGAAUGGAUUAAAUGCAGAGGAAAUUCAGCUUUUUUUACCUUUUCCAAAUGGUUUCCCUGUCGUUUUCCCUACUAGGCAAUGCUCACAUAUGGGCAAAUCGACUUUUUCAAUGUUACCCAACAAGCCCUCUUUAGCUAGUCUAUUAAUAUGUUGUUAGCCAAUAUGACCAAGUCUAUCAUGCCACACAUUCACAUCAUUAUCAUAUGAAUAAGAAGACAUGAUAAGGGAAUAACAAACAAUUGCAUUAACAUAGUCAAUAUCUAAUACAAUGAAACCAUCCAGAAAAUAAACACAACCAUAGAAAUUUAUAUCCAAAAACAAAUCCACACCUCUCUUCUGGAAGUUCAUAUUAAAACCUAGCUUGACCAACACUAAAACAGACACUAAAUUCUGACGAAUCUCCGGAGCAUACAAUAUAUCAUGUAGGAAUAAAAUGCAUCCACCACGCAUGUUCAGUUGGCAGGUGCAAAUUCCUUUUACUUCAGCUCUGGAGUUGUUUCCCACAUAGAUCCACUUAGUUCCAGUUAGUACUUGUCGGAAUUCCACGAAGGAUUCUCUAUCCUUCGCUACAUGGUCUGUCGCUCCCGAAUCCAUAGUCCACAAAGGAUUAGACUCAGUUAAGAAUACAUAAUUCGACACAUAAGCAAAGUUCUGAAAAGUACAAGGGGUGUAUACCUUCUUUGGCUUACAACAGUCGCGAGCAUAGUGACCCUUCUUGUCACAAUUGUAACACUUCACCCUUGUAAGCUUCUUCAUUCGAGGACACUUUCCUCUUUCAUGUUGGUUAAGCUUAGGUUUCUUCCUUAAAGGACAUACUUCCUUGCCUUUCCCUUUAUCGAACCAGUUAGGACGUUUACGCUUGGAGCUCGAAGCUCCAUGUGAGCUAGAACCAGCAUGAUAGAUUUCAACUUUCGGCUUAGCCGCCAAGAGGCGGUCCUCUUCCAGCUCAAGAUGAGGCACUGCAUCCUCAAAGGUUUUGAUAUUCUCAUUAUGGGUCAGGUGCACCUUCAUAUGCUCCCAACUCUGAGACAAUGAACAAAUCACUGCUUGCACUUACUGCUGAUCAGUCAGGACAUGACCAGCAUCUUUCAGCUCAUUAAUCAUGUUUGACAUCUUUUUAAGGUGUUGUUUCAUGGUCUGACCAUGAGGCUUCUUAUAAGAGUCAAACCUAAUAGUGAGCUAUCUCAGUCUAGUCACCGAAAUAUUACCAAAUCUUGUUGUCAAUGCUUCCCACAUUUCCUUGGCAUUCUCAAAACACCUAAACUCUCGCAUGACGUCAUUUUCCAUGCUACUCAACAACGUAAUGUGAGUAAGAGAGUUCUUUCUUUUCCAUGCAACAAAUGCUUCCUUAUCUCUUUGUGUUGUGCAGUGUUUCCUUCUUCAUGUUCUACCAUGGUCUGGUUAAGAGCUUCUAGUGCCUCUUGCUCUUCCAGCAUAUAUUGGAUUUUUAUGUGCCAUAUUUCAUAGUUAUCGUCAUUGAGUUUCUCACCUUUGUUCAGCUCAACAACUAUGCUCUUUGUGGCUGAAGCCAUUGAUUUGAACAUAUUAGACAUAUAUGCACGAAUUAUUAAUAUCUAUCAUUUAUGCAUCCAUUUUGUACAAAACCAUCAUAUUAAUGAAUAAUUUUAAGUAAGGUUUUAGAAUCAAAAGGUCACUAUGUUUCCAAUUAUCAUCCAAAAUCCUAACUUGAAGUUAUUAUUAAUAUAACAUUCUAUGCAAAAUAAAUUCUUUGAAAUUACAAAAAUUUCUAUGAACUACCCACAACAAUUAAUAAUAACAGAAAGCAAAUGGUACUUGAUAUCAAACAAUGAUAUAAUAAUAAUACUUUCACAUAAUACAACUAACAUAUCAAUUGCCACAACAACAAUAACUAGGUAGAUAACAUUACAUAAGAUGUCCACAAAGCACACUAAAUAAAGACCAGCCAAAAACAUCUAGUACCAAGUCAAUAUACGAACUGGGAAAGAUCCUCUUUUGUUCAAUUUCUUGAUCUUUUCCCUUGUAACAAUCUAGUAAUAAUCAUCUAUAAAAUCCAUCACAAUUUUCCUAUAUGAAGUGGCUUUGUUGACAUCCCAUAUGCAAUUCAACACUCCUUGCCAUUCUAGUGGAAGAGUACUCAUGAAAAAUCGCAUCAUCUCAGACUGUGGCAUGGGAGGACCAUUCCAUAUGACAUUUUAAAUUUUCCCGUUGACUUCAAGAACGUGAUUAAUUAAAUCGUCACUCUCCCAUCGAUGAUCAGUCAGCUCAGCUAUCAACUUAGAAAGCCUUUCCCUUUGUUCAUCGGUAAUUGCGCAAAUAGGUGUGCGCAACCUAAGGGGAGACAUUGUUCCUGCAACAAAUGCAUAAUAAAUAAGGGAUCACAUAUAAUCCACAUAGACUUAAUUGAAAAAAAAAACACAUUCUUUUCCUCUUUUUUUUUUGUCAACGGUCAAAGUCAACAGGCAAAGUCAAUGAUCAACAGUCAAAGUCAAUGGUCAGCGGUCAAAGUCAACGGUCAGCCUGGUCGAGGUCAACGAGCAGUCGAGUCGAACUGGACGGGUCGGGUCGGACCAAUCGAGCUAGACGAACCGGGUCGGACCGCUCGGACCGGUCGAGCUGGACGGACCGGGUCGGACCGAUCGGACAAAUCGAUCGGCACAUGCCACGCUCAUGCUUGGCUGAUGUCACGAUGACGUCAGCCGGCGCGUGCAUGGCACGCACCAGCACCCCGCCCAUGCGUCACACACGCCUAGGGCCAAAACGGCGCGUGCGACGCACGCGCUUGUGGGGGACAAAAUCAGCGCGUGCAAUGCACGCACCGAUGACCCCCAUUCGUUCUAGCCGCGCGUGGUGGCGCAUCUGGCGGUCCCCGGUGGCGAUCCGCCACUCAUUUUUCUCAUCUCAACGAGGGCUUCGAUCCUACGCUUUUAGAAAAAAAAUUCGACUUACAGAAAAACAAAAAACGGAGCAUAUAGAAUCGAGUGUCGGGAUUUUUUUUCAUCCCUGAUUGACCGACAACACUUUUCUCGAAGCCUCGCAUGAACUAGGGAACAUAGAAUUCAACUUCACACUAGUUAGCAAUUUCAAUAAAAAGAAAUUCAAUAUCAUAAAAAAAGGGAUCAGAAAACAUUAACUACGGCUCUGAUACCAAUGUCGGGAAUAUUGGAUUCCCAAAAACCGGAUUCGACACUAAAUCGAACCCCUAAAGCAAGUGCGGAAGACGAGCUCGGGAAAAUUACAUGUAUCACCGAUCUUAAGGCACAUCACAGAAUUGAACGUACCUUGUUAGCCACAGAUUAAACACCGACGCCGAUAUGAGGAAGAGAAACUGAUCCCGUUCAAUCCGAUGACGUGAAUUUGCCUUGAAGGGAAGAGAGUGUUGCCUCCUUUUUCUUACUAUUCUUUUUGGAGUGUUUCAAGGGAGAGAGAGAGAGGAGGAACGUACGUAAAUCCAAAAGGUGCGUUUCUCCCUCUCUUUUCCCCCUUAAAUCCGUCAUCUCCAAAGGACGUGUCCCUUCGGCAAAAGACGUCCCCCAAAAGUUACAACUCUUCAACGUAUCUCUCCAUCCACGGGCCCUAAUCUUGUGAGCCAGGCUUUUAGGCCCAACAUGAGCAAACAGGCCAACUUAGGCCCAUCACAAUAAUUAAUAAAACCAUCACCAGCAAAGCCGAAACGGGCGGCGACGUCCUUUAAACAACCCCGACCAUCUGUAAUCUCUCUUUGUCCUCUAGUUCGAAUUUUCAUUUUUUCUUCGGAUAGCUUUCUUUGUUUUUCUCUCUUUUCAAUCUUCUUCUGAUGUGGCGCUCACAUUGCGCCACACCAGCACCAUUGGUCCUCAACAAAAACUUAAUAAUAGGACGUCAAAUUUUUAAAAGGUAAUCUUAGGACAAAAUUGUGAUGAAGGAUAUAAGCAUUAUAUGGAUAGAGGUUUGAUGUUUUUAGAGAUAGGAUUUAAAAAAAAAAGCUUGGACUACCGUGAAAAUAACAGCUUGUAGUGAGUUAUAAAUUUUUUAGGGAGUAGAUUCUAUGACAAUUAUAAUUAUUUGUUAUUUGAUUUUUGUGGUCCAACAUACUAUUGCAUUGAGUUCUUUUACUUGGGAAUAGGGAAUGGGAAAAAGACUUGUCGCAUGAUAAAUUGUUAUGUUAUUAUCAUGUUUCCAAUUCUCUUGUUUCUCAAUCAUCCCUUCUUAGGUAAAUCCUCACUUAAAAAAACAUGUUGACAAGUUGAGGGCGGGAUAGAAGACAGCCAUUAUAAUAAGAGGCCAACUAAUGAAAAUUCACACUUCUAUGCUGGUUGUGUGAGAAUUAUAUUAAUAACAUCACUCACUAGUUUGCUCGGUUCUUCUUGAUAAGGUACACACAAGCACCUCCUUUGACCCUUCGAUUUAUGCUAUAUCCUAUUAAAUUCCAUUUUCAAUCAUCUCGCUUUCACACUAUGGUCAUAUAAUCUUCUCAAUCUAUGUGAUCAACUAAAGAAGUAGUUCUUUUAUAGUGGGAAUUGAUGUUUCAAAAUAUGUUUGUAAACUCAUCACUUGCAUAAAACUACAUAGAGUUUUCUUAACAAAGAAAAAUAAAGGUGCACAUGACAAUUAUUUUAUUUUUUGUUUCAAAACUAUUUUUCUUUUUCCAGACUUGUUUCUGGAACAAAAAUCCGUUUGGUAACACAAUUUCAUCUUUCUAUUUCUGGAACAAAUUUUUAGUUUAGAAAUAGGUUUGGAAUAGAAAUGAAAAGUAAAAAAAAAUAGUUGUCCAUUUAUGGAAUAGAAAUAAGAAAUAAAAACUCUUCUUAUUGCUCGUCCUCUUUACUAGUCGAUUAGCCACUCACUGUUUGCCGCUCGGCAUCGCCUUCACCAUCUGCAGUCGCCACUCAAGAUAGAGAAAUAUUAUGUCAUUAUCAAACGAAAUUCUAUUCCAGGAAUAAAAAUUUUGGGUCAUUAUCAAACACUUUUUUUUGCUCAAAAACUCAUUCAAAAAUAGAAAUAGAAAAUUCUAUUAUUAUUCCAUAAUUCAAUUUAUGCUCAAAAUUAUUAUCAUUUGCAUCCUAAUUAUCUACAAAAUUGCCUGGGCUACUAUUAAUUCCCGCCUUCAUUUUUCCAAAAUUUGGCAUCGUCCAACAACAUUAUUUCGUGGUGGGAUACUCUAGGAUCAGUCAUCAUCGGCAUAGUAGUCCUUUUCUACAAUUGUCGUGGUCCUAAGGGCACAAAUGGCACUUUGUUGAUAAAACCACAAAUCUCCUUUGGUAUGGACAAGUAAGGGCAUGUUUGGUAACCAGCCAAACAGUGCCAUAUUCUAUUCUUUUGUUUCCAAUAGUAGUUUUGGAACAGAAUCGUGUUUGGUAAAAAUUUUGUUUCCGGGAACAAAUUUCUAAUUUUUUUGUUAUCGGAAGUAGAUUUGGAACAUAAUCAAGAAUAAAUAAAUAAAUAAAAGUAACAUGAGAUAUAUAGACCAUACAAUAACAUUUCAUGCAAAAUGGGGUUAUAGACGGGACCUGAAAAAUAAAAUUCACUCUACUAUCCAAAAUCAAGUCCACAAAAACUUAUUUUGCCGACCUGCUAAGGAUAUAAGAGACCCACUGUCAAUUCGUUUCAUUUGGAGUAUCCUAAAAACGUAGGAAAAUGUUCUAAGAUCCUCCUGAACUUAAACUGUCUUUGCGUUCGUCUACUCUUGUCUACAUCUCUCUUAUGGUCACGGGACUCCUGUUCGAACAAUACCGAAAAAUAGCCAUGUCGCCAGCUAAUUAGAACGAUGGAAUAAAACGAUGAAACGUGGGAAAAAUGACAUAAUGGCAAAGUCCGUCCUCUCGUCACCGUUGGCCACGAUCGUGUGUGUUUAGAAUCUUAUCCUUCCGACUUGAUUCACCAUCACAUCGUUUUUCCCCCAAACUUUUGGACUCUCGGGCCUGUCGCUACCCUUCUGUCGCAAUAUAGAUUCCAAUGCCACAAGAAAAGACAGCUAGAUAGAUCCGACAAAUGCAUAAAUUAAAAAAUGAUCCAAUUCAAAUUGGCAUAUUUUAUUACCGACCAAAAAAAAAUAUUGACAUAUUUUAUUCAUUUUAACUCAUUUUCAUGCAAUACAAAUCAAGUGACUCAUACUCAAUCUCACUCAUAUCUGACUUGAUCUAUAAAUAUAAAACACUUCCUUAUUUAACCUAAUUUAAGAAAAUUCAUACCUAAACUAAAGUGAGAGUAAAUUAUGAACUUAUUUAACACCCAUAUUAUUUUAAGUUUAAGUCAUUUGUAUAAUUAAAAAAUAGGCUUAUAAAACAUUUGAAUAGGUCUAUCAUCGGAUAAACAUGAUAUCCUAACAUUUAUGGAAAAUUGUCCCAAUUAUGUCACAUUGCAUAUACAUGUAAGAAGGAAGAUUGGGACAUCUCCCAAAAAUAAAGUACGUAAUUGACAUCGCAUCAGUUGAGAAAAGAGCAAGAAGAACCAUGAGUUAUUCGUUCAAUUCUGCUUGAUUCAAAUGGGAUGCUAACAGCCUUUGGGGAAGGACGUACGUAGAAUACACAUAAGACUAGCAACUAAUAGUCACUAACUAAGAUAUCGAAAAACAUAUAAUGGAAAGAUUGUGUUGGAUUCCAAAGAAUCGAUAAUGUUCAGAUACCACAGGAAGAAAAAUGCAUCUUUUGUGUCAAGAACCGCUCUCCUUUCUCAAGAUAAAGUCGACAGUGUCCUCCAUAGUGUCUACGACCUGCAUAGGUAAACAUAAAAGAGUUUAAUUGGGAUGAGCGAUUUUCGGAUGCACUUUUAAUCUUGGAAAAUUUGGAGAGAAGACAAAUUCCCCAUAAAAGUUGCUUUCAAUUGGGCAUAUUUUGGAGAUACUGACAUUUUGCUAGGCUAAAGAAGAAAAAGGUUCAAUCAUGUUUCAUCCAACCAAUUUAGAAUUGACCGAUCACCCAGAGUAUGGCAAAUCAAGGUAUGUAAGUAUGGGAGGAUUAUCCAUGCUGACAGCUCAAAACCACUUGAGGCCGUGUUUGGUUCAUUGCCCUGGAAUCAUGAAAAGGAAUCUAAAUCUAAGCGAUCAAAUUCCUAGAUGUGGGGUUCAUUCUCUAUUGUUUGGUUUCAAUUAACAAAUGAAGGGAGAAAUAUCUGAUGUGAGAUGCAAAGUGAGGUAAAAACAUGUCAGAAAUGGAAUGUGUAAAAUAUUUCUCCAAUCCACAUAUCCAGAGUGGUUAAUUAAAAACUAGGGAUGGAAAUAGAAUGAAGAACCACAUACGAUCCCCCAACAAUUUCCCUAUUAUUUUCAUCUAAAAUGAUCAUACAGUUCACACAAUCAUUUCACAAACACAUUACCUACGGCUCCUCAAAAUCUCUUGAGUAAAGCAUUUCACAUGUAAUCUGCAACAAUGAAGAUAAAGCCAUUCCCGCGUAACUUCAAACUACUUCACAGCUGUUACCUCAAGCCAUUGUGAUAUUCUUAUCCUUAUUGUGUUUUGAGUCAAAGACCUAAUCACGAGAACAAAUGGAGUGACAGCAACUUAGCCAAGUGUGUUAAUGGAACUUUAUAGCCCUGCCCAAGCCAUCGCGAUGCUCAUAGUUGGUGUCUCCAUUAACAGACCAGACAAGUUUCACAAUAGCGAGAGAGAUAAUUUCACCUAGUAGAGAAUGUGAGGGCCAUGGAAUCAAGAGGUAGGCGAAACUCCCAUGGAAGGAUUUGAAGAUGAUGAAUGGAGAGAGAGAGAGUUAUGGCUUUGUAGGAUUUGAAGAUGAUGAAGCUCAAGAUGACUGAGCUUCUUGGGCUCCUGAAUGUUUUUUCCUCCUAGGAAUCCCAGUACCACCUCUACCUGAGCAAUCCAAUUCUACAUUAGGAGUAUCCGUUAACUAGGCACUUUGAUUCUAUGAUCAUAAAUCCAUCCAAAGAUGAGCUGCAAUGGCAUUCCAUUUCCUAUUUAUUACUCCAAAGUGAACCAAACGAGGCCUAAGUGAUUACACAAUGCACUAUACUUCUGAAUAUUUUCAUGGUGGAAUCAAUGAUCUGCAGUCUCAACCAUGACUUUCCAUAGGAUCACGUAUCUAAAAUCUCUAAACCAAAGAAGUGAACAUGCUGGAAUGCACACGAUUUGCUUACUUAGGAACCUACCAUCAACUCACCCAACCUACAUGCAAGGAGAGAUGGGAGAGACAGAUAGAGAAAUGUCAGGAUUUUGUUAAGAGUACGAAUACCUGCCACGUCCAUGGGAAGUUCUAAAUGAUUAUCUUUUCCCUUGAAUACCCCAGUCCUUGUUAAUAUAGAAAACCAAGGAUCUCCUGCCUGAAGGAGUUGUUAUCAGUACUGGUGAUUGUGUUCGGAAAUAAAAUUAUUUAUAUGAUAAAAUACAAUUCUCAGUAUGAAAUAUACCCGCCGUGCACCUCUAAUGUCGAUUUUGGAUUAUCUCCUAUCAUGUAUGGUGUUCUGAAACAACGAAUUCCAGAGUAUGUAUUAUUCUCCACAUCUAGGUUGCUUAACAAAGAUGGCAUAAGAUUCCUUAACACAAUCUCAGCAUUUCCAUAGACAAAUGGAUUUGGCCUCCCAUUAAUACGCCAACAGAAUGGGAUGUAAUAUGCAGGGCAGGGACAAGUAAACAAUGCAUAACACAAGAUUGAAGAUUAAUGCAUGUCACUUUGCUGCAUUGAGGUAAACUAGGCCCACACAAGGAUCUCAUAGGCCUUUCCUUAAUUUUUUGUGGAGAAUAUUAGAUCAAACUCCAUGCAAAACUAACAUUGAGAAGAAGAAACAUCACUAUCUCACCUGUUAUAGAUUGCUUCUAACGCAAUCCUGAAACCUCACUAUCUUACCUGUUAUAGAUUGCCUUUGCACUUUGUCAGCUAGUCAUCAGCCAGUCUUUAGUUCCACCAAGGCUUCAAAAACUCAGGAUUGCAGCUAGCAUCACAAAUGGCAUAGCAUACCUGGUAUUCGAGGUCAUUAUUUGCAAAAAAAAAAAAAACAGGUGUGAUUGCUUUCCAGCCUCCCUUCCAAGAAGCCCCCUAGUUCUUAAUAUGUCACAAAGCACCUAAACCCAAACUUGAGUAUCAUAGAAUUUUUUUAAUAUACGCAAACAGACAUAUAGAUGAUAACACUCCAUUUUAUCACUUUUUCCAAACUAGAUGUCAACACCCACUAGACUUUUAAAAAGAUGAUGACUAAAGUUGCAGAGCAGUUACUAAACAACCAAACAAAGCGUUGUCUUUUGAUAAUCAGUUCAAAGAUUUAGAACUAGCAUGAUAAAAAGCCCAAUAUGGAUUCGACGGCCGAAUUAGAUAAUCUAAGAAAGGACAAGAUCCUCUAGAGUGGUUACAACCUAGAUAUCUCUACUCCAGUCAACAGAAUCACUGACUACAAAUGCUGCCUAAACUCUGUGUUUGCACAGCAAUUUAAUUCUUUCCUAUCAUAUUAGAAGUGUUAUUCUAGUCAAUGUCUGGCUUAGUUGUCCAUCUCUUGUGCAUCAAAGUAGCUAGCGUACUCAUCAAUUGACAGAUACUGAUGCAACCGGCAUUGAAGACCAGCUCUCUCGACCAAGAAGAUCGGCCCACAUUCAAGCUCGACGAAACCGAGAAGCCGUAUCAAUAUCUUGAGUCCAUCCCAGAAGUUUGAAAGACACCUUGGGAGCCAUGAAGACGCUUUUACUAGUUUCUAGUUUCUAUGCUAUUUACUAAUUUUCCUAGUUUCAAUGCUCUGUCUUUAUUUCUUUGACGAUAUAAGCCAUCCAAUUACUUGUAUGAGACAGGCGACUUUUGAUGAAUGAAAACUUUACUUUCAAGCAAGUAUCGUGAACUUUGCAGAGUUCAUACCGUUGAAAACCUAGAAGAGUUUCACUCCGUCCUUGAAGAGUCGGAGCUUUUCAAAAUCUGCAUUCUUGAAAAGUUGCAAUCAUCGAUCUAGAAGAAUUGGUGCCCUUUCAACUUCGUUGGAGGCCUAAAAGAGCAACCAACCAAGUUUCUAUCUUUUCCUGUUCUAUUUGUUAUUUUUCACCCUCUUCCAACCCAAAUUCGACCAUCCUACAGUGCUUAUUUCAAAAAACCCAUAAAUAGAGAAAUUGUAGAUCCAUAAGUCUUUGUUCAUUUGGCUUUGGAUUCAGGUUGAUCCAAUCUGUAUCGACAAAGAUACGACUAUUCUCCUGAGCUUGCACAGUGCUGAAAUUUCUGUUCAUCUUGUUUUCCGUGUGCGAGUCACUCUCCCGAUCCUACUGUUUGAGAAAGCCUAACCCUGUCUUGCAUCAAAACCUUUCUGCAUAGAAAAGACAUGACCAAAAAGAGGGUCAACUGGAGGAGAGAGAGAGAGAGAGAGAGAGAGAGAAUCAAGUUGUUGGAGUUCUCAUUCUGCAUGAAACAGUGUUGAACACAAACAACUAAGAAGAUUUAUGGAGAGGACUUCUCUAUGAUUACUCGAGUCCCUGAGAACUUGAGUGAUUUUUAUUCACUUUGCUUGCUCCUAUGUAUUACCUAGACAUCUUCAAUAGCAAUUUUAUUAGAUACAUAACUUUAUCCUUAUAACUUUCGAAAGCUUUCAGUAAACUUGACACCAUAUACUUUAGAAAGCUUUUGGUAACCUUGACACCAUAUAACUUUUGUCGAACUAUUGUUGUUUAAAACUUUUGUUUAGACUUUAGAUAGCAAGGGUAUGUGUGGGCUUGCUUUUAUUUCUCUUUUCAAUGAUCUACCUUAACCAUUGCUAGCGAGCCUUUUUUUUUUCCGGAUUGAGCUCCUUGUCUACUUAGCUUCUAAAGUAGUUUUGGAUGGUUGUGCAGCCUGAAUUAUACUUGUGGCAACUCUACCUUUUCUUGUUCUAAUUUUGAGGGUCGCUGAUGGAAUAGAAGCUAUGACCAAUUGCCAGAUGCACAAAUUUAUUGAUUAUGUUUCGUUGUGAUGGUGUUAUAUCAAUUUACAAAUUGAAAAGGCCCUACAAUAUGUAGCAUUUUGGUAUCUCAAGUUUGUUUUUUGGAAGGUGGUGUGAUUGAUUGAUCUCUUGCAUCAAAUAACAGGGAGAAGUGAAUCUAGCUUGUAAUACUCUAGCUGACCAUUUAGGCUUGAAGUAACACAGAGUGUGAUCACUGAUUCAAGGAAAUUUUAACUCUGGCUAUGUGCUACAAUGGGCAAGAAUUUAUGUGGCUAACUAAGCAUUAGUACAUGCAUUGGCAUGCCGGAAUGGUGUUGUUAUGAGGGCAUUUUGAGCAACUGAUGAUGUUGAAUUUAUCAAAGAAAAUAAGAUAGUACUUUAGGUUGGUUUAGGUAAAUCAACUAACACCCUUCAAUCUCCAAAUAUAAAGAUGAGGUUUUGUGAUGAGGUAAAAUCUGUAGAAAGACUAGAAGGAGUUGUUUUUUGAAUCUAUUGAAGACAAAGGCAGUUAAUUGUAGUGUGAAGUGAAAAGAUAUGUUUCUACAUUGCUUGUCAGAAGUGACUUGUUCCUGUUGAUUUCUGCUUCUACAAUUUUUGCAAUCAUCAUGGGUUCUAGAUGUUGAUUGCUUGUAUAUUUAGAUCAUCAUACGGCAGGGACAUUGGUAAUUCCAUCUUUUUUGGUUGCUGGUGGAACUUCUUUUUAGUAGAUCUAAGACCUCUCUCUAUUUUGCAACUUCCUUGGAGUGAAAUUUUCCUUCAUUUUUCUUAAUUCUGUGAUGAGACACAAAAGUGGUCAGAAAGCACUUCGUGGUGCUUGACACAUUAAUUUAGCAGGGCUCUCAUCAGCCAGCUCUUUAGUUCCUGCUAUGACAUCUGAGGACGAAUUUGGUAGAAGUCUUGAUUUCUUUUCUAACUUAGCAGUUAGCACUGCAUAUCAGUAACUAAAUUUAGUUUCUACUAUGCUCUGAUGACCAUAUUUUUCCUGUGACAAAGUUGGCUCUGAUGAAGCAAAAGAGGCAUUGAAGAAACUUGGUGCCGAAGAAGUGUUCACUAAGAGCCAAUUAAAAGUAAAGAAUGUCAAGAGUCUACUGGAAUCGUCUAUCCAUUAACCCAUUCUAUCAUAUUCUUAUGCAUGGACACAUCCAUUUUUGGCCAUUAGCACUUGAGUUCUUUAUUUACAUCUUAUUGACUUUGUAGUAGGGUGAUCUAAAAGAACCUGCCCUUAGAUUAAAUUGCAUUGGUGGCAAUGUUGCUUCCUCGGUGAUGAAAUUUUUGAGGUGCAACAAGUGUGAAAUUUGUGUCGAGUGCUUCCCUUAUCUUUAUGAAGAGAGCUGAUUUAGUUUUGUUCUCUGGCGGGGAGAAACCAUGGUGACAUAUGGUGGGAUGUCUAAGAAACCAAUUACAUUGUCAACUUCAUCUUCAAUCUUCAAGGUAAAUUAAGAAGCAGCGAGCUAAACUUUCUGCCUAUGGUUAUGAGGUUCUUUCAGUCAAGCCUUACAAUUUGACUUGUUUAUGUUUCGAUCUCAGUCUUGGCAAUGCCCUAUAGUUUUAUUUUUUUUAUUUAAAUUUGGCCCAAAAUCUCAAUUUCAGUAUUUGACACAACCAAAUUUGAGUGAAAAAAAUUUUCCCUGGAAUUGAGACUAAGAGGAAUGUAUAAACCAAUGUAAUAAUGGUUCUUAUGGUUUGCAAGAUCUUUCUUUGAGGGGAUUUUGGCUGCAUAAUUGGCUCAGUUCAGAUGAUGUAACAGAGUGCAGAAGAACGAUAGAUCACUUGCUGGAACUAAUGCGUGAUGGGAAGUUAAAAUACGAGUUCGUCUUUUGUAACAACUACUCAAAUUGUUGUAUUUAUGUCUCUAUAUCUUUAUAGUAAUGUUCAAUAGUAUUCAUCCUUAAGAUAGUGUGUUGGGAUUGUGGUGCAUAUGAAUUUCUCCAAAACUGCAGGACCGAGUUUGUUCCUUUUAGUGAUUUCCACGUUGCACUAGAUAAAUCACUGGGGAAACAUGGGAGCCAUCCUAAGCAAGUCCCAAAGUUCUAAGGCUACUAAAUAUAUAAGGGUGGUAAGUAGAUGGAAAAAUUCCGCAUCAUAUCCUUCAGACGAUCAGCUUGUUCGGAAGUUUUGAGGCGCUGGAUCAAGCAGGUACGAUAACUAUGUAUCUUUUCCCUUAUUAUUAUUUGCUCUUUUCAUAAGUGAUGCAUCUUUUCCGUUGAGGUAAUUACGUUGCUGCUUAUUUUCACCAAUUUCCAUUCUAAAUUUGUUUUGCAUCAUGCCAUCCAAUCUCAAACUAAUCUCAUGCAACAUGAGGUCCAUCUACUACGGCUGAAUUUGGAGAUCCAAACAUCGCCCCGUUUGGUAAGGGUCCAUAAAGUUUCCGAUUUGCCAAUUACAAUUCUCAUAUACACAUAACAAAGAACAUUGGGAUACUUUCCCAAAAAUCAUGUCAUCGACAUCGCAUGCAUUGAGAAAAGAGUAAGAAGAACCAUAAAUUAUUCAUUUGAUCUAACCUAAUUCAAAUGGGAUGUGGACCGCCUUUCAAGGAACGUCAUACAUACACGAUGAGCAAAAUCAAUAGAAGACUAGCUAAUGGUAGUUACUUUUUAUGAUAGGGAAGACAUGGAAUGGAAGAUCGUAUCGGCUUCCAAAGAGGUGACAAUUGUUCAAAUACCAAAGAAAGAAAAGGCAUAUUUUGUCUAAGUGAUGUCAAGAACCGCACUCUUUUCUCAAGAUAAAUUCGACAGCAUCCUCAACAGUAUCCACAACCUGCAUAGGUAAACAUAAAAGAGUUUGAUCAGGAUGAGCGAUUUUCGAAUUUAUUUUUAACCUUGGAAAAUUUAGGGAGAAGACAAAUUCCCCACAAAAAAUGUGCACGGUUUGAAAUACUGACAUUUCGCUAGGCUCAAUAGGGAAAGGGUUCACUCAAUCACGUUUCAUCCAACCAAGUUAGAACUCACAGAUCACUCAGAGCAUAGCAAAUCAAGGUAUCAUGGCAAUGCAGAAAAGGAAUCCCAUUCUAAGCAAUCAAAUUCCUAGGAGUGGGUUUUUUUUUUUCUUUUUUUUCCUUUGUUGUUUGGUCUCAAAUUACCAGUGAAGAGAGAAAUGUCCAAUGUGAGUUGCCAAAUGAGGUUAAAACGUGUCAGAAAUGGAAUGUGUCUCCAAUCAACAUGUACAAAGUGGAGGAUAGAAACAGAGCGAAGAACCACAUAAGAUCCCUCAACAAUUUCCCGAUCAUUGUCCUCCAAAUGAUUUUACAGUUCACAUUUUACGAACCGAUUAUAUAAAACUCAUUAAAAUCUUGCAAGUCCAGCAUUUUUCGAACAAAAUCCACAGCGAUGAAGAUGAAGCCAUUUUUAUGAACUUCAAACUACUGCACGGAAGUUACCUUAAGCCAUUAUUCUUAUUUCUUAUCCUCUUUGUGUUUUGAGUCAAAGACCAGUCACAAGAACUGCAAAUGGGGUGACAGCAACUCAGCCGAGUUGGUAAAUGGAACUUUAUUGCCCCCCCCCCCCGGCCCAAAAAAAAAAAGAAGCCAACGUGAUGCUUGUCACUAAUGUCUCCAUAAAGAAUCCAAACAAAUUUCACAAUGGCAAGAGAGAGAAAGGAUUUCGCCUAGUAGAGGGAUGUGAGCGCUAUGGAAUCAAGAGGCAGGCGAAACUCGCGUGGGAAGGAUUUGAAGAUGAUGAAUGGAGGGAGGGAGAGAGAUGAAAGUUCUGGUUUUGUAGGAUUUAAAGAGGAUGAAGCUCAGACUACUGAGUGGAUAGAGUUCGCAGAUGUUUUUCUCUUCUAGGAAUUCCAGUACCACCUCUCCCUGAGCAAUCCCAUUCUGCAUUUUAAAGAGAAUCCAUAACCUAGGUAAUUUGAUUCCGCAAUCAUAAAACCAUCCGAAGAUGAGUUGCAAUGGGAUCUCAUUUCCUUUUCUUACUCCAAAGUGAACCAAACAAGGCCUAAGUGAUUGCACAAUGUACUAUACUUCUUAAUGUUUUCCUGGUGGAAUGUAAGAUCUGCAUUCUCAACCAUGACUUUCCACUAGGAACACAGAUAUAAAAUCUCUAAACCAAAGAAGUGAACAUGCUGGAAUGAACACAACUUGCAUACAUAGGAACCUACCAUCAACUCACCCCAACAUACAUACGAGGAAGAGUGAGAGAGACAGAUGUGUAAAUUUUGUUAAGAGUACAAAUACUCACCAAGUCAGCAGGGAACUCUGAAUGAUUAUCUUUUCCCUUGAAUACCCCAGUCCUUGUUAAUAUAGAAAACCAAAGAUCUCCUGCCUGAAGGAGUUGUUGGCAGGAUUGGUGAUUACAUUUCGAAAUAAAUUCACUGAUAUAAUAAACUAUAAUUUUUGGUAUGAAGUAUACCUGCUGUGCACCUCUAAUGUCGAUUUUUGGAUUAUCUCCUAUCAUGUAUAGGGUUUUGAAACAACGAAUUCCAGAGUUUGUAGUAUUCUCCACAUCUAGGUUGCUUAACAAAGAUGGCACAAGAUUCCUUAGCAUUGUCUCAGCAUUUCCAUAGACAAAUGGAUUUGGCUUCCCAUAUGAUGUAUACGCCAGCGGAAUGUGAUGUAUUCUGCAGGACAGGGACAAGCAAACAAUGGGCAACAUAAAAUUGAAGAUUAAUGCAUGUCGCUAUGCUGCAUUGAGGCAAAUUAGGCCUACACAAGGAUCUUAUAGGCCAAUCUUUAAUUUUUUGUGGAGAACAGUAUAUCAAACUCCAUGCAGAACUAACCAUUGAGAAGCAGAAACCUCCUAUUACCUGUUAUAGAUUGCUUCUAAUGCAAUCCUGAAAGCUCCCAUACCCAGACGUUCAGCAGGAAAAGUAGCCUGCCUUUACACUUUGUCAGCUAGUCAUCAGCCAGUCUUUAGUUCCACUAAGGUUUCAAAAACUCAAGAUUGCAACUCACAUCACAAAUGGCAUAGCAUACCUGGUAUUCUAGGUCAUCAUUUGCAAAAAACAGGUGUGGUUGCUUUCCAGUCUCCUUUCCAGGAAGCCCUCCAGUUCUCAAUAUGUCACAGAGCACCUAAACCCAAACUUGAGUAUCACAGAAUUAUUUUAAAGUACAGAGACAGAUAGACAGAUGAUGACACUCCAUUUUAUCACUUCUUUCAAACUAUAUUGCAGCAUCCACUAGACUUCUAAAAAGAUGACAACUAAAGUUGCAGAGUAGUUACUGAACAAACAAAACAAAGCCUAGUGUCUUUUGAUAAUCAGUUCAAAGAUUUAGAACUCGCGUGACUAAAAGACCAGUAUGGACUCAACAGCAGAAUUAGAUAAUCUAGGAAAGGACAAGAUCCAUUGGAGUGGUCACAACCUGAAUAUCUCUGCUCCAAUCAACAGAAUCACUGACUACAAAUGCUGCCUGAACUCUCUGUGUUUGUACCACAAUUUUUCUCUGCGCCAUCUCAUUGGAAGUGCUAUUCUGGUCAAUGUCUGGCUUAGUUGUCCAUCUCUUGUACGGUGCCAGUGGAUCAAUAGCAUCAAAGUAGCUAGUGUACUCAUCAAUUGACAGAACAUUUCUGCAUAGAAAAGGUACAACAAGGAAGAAGGUCAACCGGAGAGAAAUAAAAGAGAAUCGAGUUGUUGGAAUUCGCGUUCCAGGUGAAACGGUAUUGAACACAGACAACUAAAAUGAAUUAAGGAGAGGACUCCUCUGCAAUUACUCAAGUCCCUGAGAACUUCAGUGCUUUUUAUUAACUUUGCUUGCUCCUAUGUAUUACCUAGACAUUAAAGUAAUAACCAUCGAUAUCAGUUUUAUUAAAUACAUAUCUUUAUCCCUAUUGCCAAGCUAUAUUUCUCUUCCCCUCCCCCCACCCACACACCUGCAUGCACAGGCAAGUAAUUGAGACAUUGCUGGGUACAUUUGCAAACCUAGAGAAGUUGUAAAAAUAUUUACUUGUAUCCAUAUUCGGACAUCACAGCAGCAGGUUCUCCUUUGCCAACAGCAACGACAAGUUCAUUCUCGAAUCUGUGCAAAAACCUCAAUUAGGAAACAGAUGAAUAAAAUAGAGAAGCAUAUUCAUUAGUAAAACAGAAAAGCCUAUUCAGAAUUCUCAUAGAAUAGUUAGUACAUGCAUGCGCACUCUUCUAUGUCUUUUCAAUUCAUAUGAUAUAAUAUAUGUAGUGCAUUUCCCUGGUUUCCAAAAGAAAGCACAUCAGAUGAAGAUAUUAGGUGUUCUUUGAUAUCCACGUACACAUACAAGAUGUGUACAUUCAAUAAAGCCCAAUUUCACAGUUUUGAACCUACUAAAGUGUGUACUUAUAAUUAAUUCUUGUACAGGAGAAUUUUUAUUAAGCUAAUAAUACACAUGCACGAUAUUUUAUUUCACAAUCCCAUAUUUUAAUAAUCAUGAGUUAGAUAGAUGAAAAAAGUAAAUGUUAUUGAAAAUGCUCAGUCCUGAUUUACAUUAGCAUGCCAAAUUUCUCAUUGGACAUUGGUCAUGGAGAUAAUCCAACAAAUCCUUACCUAUUUACCAGUUGUUUAAAAGGUGUGUGGCCCUGUAUGACCUGCAAAUUAUCUUGGUCAAAAUAUGAGAGAGAACGAAACAAAGUAGUUCUGGACCUGAUAACAAGCAAAAUCAUGAGGGCAAGCAGAUUUUGUAACACAAGAGAUGAACUACCUGUGAAGGUAGAAUGUUGACUCCUAGUAGUUGACCUAAGUCCUGGGCUCUUUUGGAUUCAGAAAAGCCACCUCCUGCAUCAGCCAUUGCUAUUAGCAGUGUGCAGUAAAAACUAAUUAUCGCUUCUUCAAGAAUUAACAAGUGAAAUUUCUUCUUUCAAGGGAGUAACAUAUUGAACAUAGGUAAGGGAAUCUCAAAAGGCGUCACAGAUUCAAAUUGCUUGAAUGUCUCAAACAUAAGAUAGCAGCAAUCUCAAAAUCAUCAAGACGAUUACUAUUAGAUCUUAAAAGUACCAAUACUUGCCGAUAACUGAAUAAUCAACCACAACAAGCAUAUGAUGUCCAGCACGCGACUUGAAAACUUUAGUUUGACCAUUAUAUCACGGCACUCACCGGUAGUGAUUCUAUUGAACGGUCACAUUCAGUAACACAUAUCAAAAGUGAGAAACGUAAUGACAAAAAUUACUAACACAUUAAAGCAAUUACUAGGACCUAUUGAAGUCUACCAAUCAGGAACACUCACCAUUUGUUAAGAACACGAAAGGUAUCUUCAACUUUCCUGAAAAGAUGGAGAACGUAAAGUAAGUGAUAGCAGGCUAUCAAAUAGCAGAUACGAAGCUCGAUAUCCCCCGCCCCUACAGUCCAUCAGAAAACUCGGUAUCGAUCAGCGAAAAAGACAUGCAUUCGCAACGUAGAACAUACGCGAAACGGCAAGAUCACCAGCACGACAUAAGCCUCGCAGGUAUAUUAGCAAGCGAUGGCGAAAGCUUUACCAGAAUCGUCGUACAAUCUCCUGAGCGCGCGCGGAGAACCGCCGACGGGAGUGUGACCGAGGAGGACCACGCCGUCGAUGUCGAAGGCGAUGCCGAACGAAGGCCUGCACGACGAAACCACGAUCGUCGAUUCGAUCACGGACGAAAAAGAAGAAGAAAAAGAGAAAAAGAGAACAUCGGAGAAAGUCACGAGCGUAGUCGAAGCAUGACCGGAACGCACCGAUCCGAUUGCGAGCUAAGCCGCGAAAACGAGCGCAAGGGCGAGGCGAGCGGGGACGGCUGCUUUCUGCCUCGACUCCGCGAGGCGAUGGUGAAAAGCCGGUGCCUCAUUGUCCUGUUCGCGGCCAAUCGCUUCGGGAGAUCGAGGAGCUCGAGUCGCUGGAGAUGAAUCUCCAAGAAGAACCGGAACGAGCUUCAACAGUCUACAACAGAGAGAGAGAGAGAGAGAGUGGCCCAAUCGCGCAGCGUCUUCUCGUUCGAUGUUCGGGAGCCGUGAAUUGGGCCCGUUGAAAUGAUGGGCGGGCCUCGAUAACGGAUCGACCUUUCAUUCGGAUCCGAGCUCAACGGUUAAGCUUGAUUUUGGUUAGCGUUUUUGGGCUCUUUUCUUUAGUUCUUUCAUUUUUGUUGUAGUUUUCUCUUUAGGCCUAGUAAUUCGGGCUCCUUGUCUCGGAACCUCUCGAGAGAAUCGCUAACUGCAUCUUUGGUGCACCUGGUGCAUGUACGUAUAGAAAUUCUCAAUUGGCUAGUCGUAAAUGGCCCCACCCUAGGACUAUGAAACCAAUGGUUAUCCCAAACCUACAUCAAGAUGUAGACGGUGAUUCUCAAAUAUUGAAAAACAGGGUGUGAUACAAUGAAAUAGGAUGCAAUGGAGAUAGACACAAAAAAUGAACGGAUUGCUUUUUUACUUUUUCUUUUUACUAUUUCCUUGUAGCGUAGUUUAUCACUUCUGAAUGAUUUUUUAUCCAGCCAAAGGAUAAUCUUCUAUAUUUGCUCCAACAUGUUUAACAUUUUCAACCUGGCGAAAAUUUGAUUAGAUGCAGAAGAGAAACAAGUGGAAUAUCAACCAAAAGAAAAUCAAAACUGUUAUACAUACCUUAGUAUUAGUCUUCAUAAAUAAAAGAUACUUUUGCAUUCCAUAAGUACUGACUUGUUUUGUUAUGCAGAACAUCCAUGUCUAGCACUUACCCAUUGUAAAUUUGAGUGUGUUGAAAGGUGAAAUAGUUUUUGUGCUCAGGGACAUGACAGACUUACAUUGUGAAAGACCAGAGUGUGGCAAAAAAUUGAUAAGAAUUCUCCUAUUGAAUAUGCCGCGACAAUGUCAAUUAAUCCUCCAAUCGCUUUCAAAAUGCUUGGAGACUUCACCUAUUUGGAACCAAGUAUAUAGACAGUACAGAAGUCCUCUUAGCUGUCCCCAAAGUUUUACCAUAAGCAAUUUUUGAAAGUUGUCCUAAUCAGUUGUGAUAAUUAAGGGAUUCUAUUGUGCAAAAUGGGGUUACAAGUAUGGUGGGUCGAUGCCUCAUCCAAAUUGUGAAAUCCCGCGGCAUCCAUAGCAUCAACAUAAUUAGGGACAGGUGCUCUUUUGAAAGCUUUUAGUAACCUUGACACCGUAUAACUUUUGUCAAACUAUUGUUGUUUAAAACUUUUGUGUAGACUUUAGAUAGCAAGGGUGUGUGUGGGUUUGCUUUUAUUUCUCUUUUCAGUGAUCUACCUUAAUCAUUGCUAGCAAGCCUUUUUUUGUUUUUUUGCCCCUUGCGAGAAAGCAUGGAGCUCUUGUCUACUUAGCUUCUAAAGUAACUUUGGAUGGUUACACAGCCCGAAUUCUAUUUGAAAUUCAAGCUCUAUGAUGACAAGUUGGAACUCUUUGGGGACCGAAUUACUUGUGGCAACUCUGUCUUUUCAUGUUCUUGUCACACCCCAAAACUACAAAGAAUGGGGAUGACACGGCCGUCCUUCUUUACAAAGGACGCAGCCUCAAACACAACCAACAAACCGAUAUUAACUUAUAUAUAUAUAUAUAUAUAUAUAUAUAUAUAUAUAUAUAUAUCAGAUAAACCUUCAAAUUGGUUGCAACAUCAGAGUUUCUAUAAUCCACUAAAAAGAUAAAAGAGAUAUACGUCUAAAACUCAGACGAUCAAACCACUAGUAAGGAUCAUUUUGCACCACUUCCUUAAACCAUACCAAAAACAAAAUAGAACUCCCCAAAAGUUUCCCAUGAUGGCGCACUCGCUUUAUUCGCCGCUAGCUAAGGAACCUGAAAAGAUCAAAGGAGGAAUGGGAUGAGCAACCACAGCUCAGUGAGUAGUACAUAUCUUCUAAGCAGAUUGAACAACCACAAUGCAUGUAUACAAAGCAAUACCAAACUUCAUAACGCCAACUCAAUAUAUAAAAUACGUAUUGAAUCUUAUAAGAGUUAUUUCUUAUUAUAAAAAAUUUAUACUAAUAUGGAAAACUCAUUUAAAUCGCCAUCGAAAGUCAAGUAUCAAUGGUCGAAUCCAUUGAAUAAUCUCCAUCAAAAACACAUAUCAAUGGUCUAUCCAUUGAUCAAUCUUUUGCUCAAUAACUAACCAUGGUCACGACACAACACCUUGUGACAAGGCGACCAAGAUUCUCCCCUUGGCAAGAUCUCCACCUACAAAGCUGAUGCCUGGGCCCAGAAGGAUAUCCUAAACCUGGUAUGCAUACCCCAAAAACCCUUCACUGGGUUCACAGUUAUAUUGAGUAUAAAUAACCAUUCUCUAAUACCAGAAAUCCAAUCCAGAAAUCAAUAUCUUAAACCAAACAAAUAAUAUUUUGCAACAUAGCCCAUAAUUCAUUUCAUAUCCAUUUCUCAAAUCAUCAUAAACCUUUUCAUAAAUCAGUCACAAAGCAAUUUCAUAUAUGUUUCUCCACAAACCUUAUAUAACAUGCUUUUCAAAUAUUCACAGUCAACCAAAGGGUAGCAAUUACUCGAUCUAGCUUUUAUGCAAUAAAAAUGCUCUUCUCAAUUCAAUAUAUAUACAUAUAUAUACUUCAAUACAUGAUUUUAUAAAACCAAAAAAGAUAUAGUACCACUCACCUUAUCGUUUACAACCAAACGACAAACGAUACUUGUAUCGUCGAACUCAAGGCCCUAUUAAAUAACCAAAGAAUAAUUUUAAAAUCUAAUAAAAUUCUAUCUCGACUACAAAAUGACUAAGUUACACCUUAAUUCUAACAAAAGUUCUUCUGCGCGCUAACAAGUCGCAUAACCAAAUCGAUUGUUCAAGCCAUUCGCAACAUGAAGUUUAAGCGCAAAACUUGAUCGAGCCUUAACUCUCUCUUCCGAACUCCGAUCCGAAUGUACUUAUAGUCAAUAGAGAGCCCUUGACACAUAUUACAAGAAUCCCAAAUUGGCCAUCCCAAAAUCAAGCCGAAAAAUGACAAAAUACGGGCCCAAAGCUACUGGACGCGUACUGUUUACUGCGCGCGGGAAACUUUGAAAUUUUGUUUCGGACAAACCAUAAGCUCAAAUCACGAUCCGUAAAAUCCCAUGGCUCCACAACACCCUAAAUUACCAUUCUUACAAAAAUACGCGGCUCAACAACUCCAAAAUUAGACUUCGCCGCUCGAUUUUCCAAAAAUUCCGAAUUUGAGUCCUAAAUGCAAAAAUUACUUCAAUCGGACAAACAAGGGGCUUGAUCUCUUACCGGGUUAUGGAGUCGAGUUGGCUUGGCGAGGCAUCCGAGGCGUGCACGUGCCAAAACUUCUUUCCUUUCUUCCCUUUUCUCUUCUUCUUCUUCUCCUUCUUUUUCUUAUCUUUUUGGUCGAGGAAACUCUCAGUUUCUGUUUAGCCGAACCUUCUCCCCUCUCCUUUUUGCUUUAAUGACUUUUCGGUUUCUUUUUCAGUUUCUUCUUUUGGGGCAUUUGCAACUUCUUUUGCUGUUACUUCUUUUGGGGCCCACUAGACUAAUGUUACAGUUCUAAUUACAAACCUUGCUGGUGGACUAAAAGUUAUGAACAAUUGCCAGAUGCACAAAUAUGUUGAUUAUGUUUGGUUGUGGUAGUGAUAUAUCAAUUUACAAAUUGAAAAUGUGCCAAAAUAUUCAGCAUUCUCAUAUCUCAGGUUUUUAUGGAAGAUGGUGUGAUUGACAAAGAUCUCUUGCAUUGAAUAACAAGGAGAAGUUGAUCUUGAGCUUGUGUUACUGUAGUUGACCCUUUCAAACUUAAAGUAACACAGAGUGUGAUCACUUAUUCGAGGAAAUUAUAAUCUCUGGCUAGGUGCUAUAAUGGGCAGGAAUCUAUGAGGCUAACUAAGCAUUAGUUCAUGCAUUGGCAUGCAAGAAUGGUUCUGUUAUGAGGGCAUUUUGAGAAACUGAUUAUGUUGAACUUAUCAAAGAAAGUAAGACAAUACUUUAGGUUGGUUUUGGUACAUCAACUAACAUCCUUCAAUCUGCCAAUAUAAAGAUGAGGUCUUGUGAUGGGGUAACAUGUAUAGGAAAGAUUAGAAGGACUUGCUUUUUGAAUCUAUUGAAGGCAAAAGCAGUUAAUUGAAGUGUGAAGUGAAAAGAUAUGUUUCUGCAUUGCUCAUCAGAAGUGACUUGUUAUUAUAGAUGCCGCUUCUACUAUUUUUGCAGUCAUCAUGUGUUCUAGAUGUUGAUUGCUGGUAUGUUUAGAUCAUCAUACUACUGGGGCAUUGGUAAUUCCAUCUUUUGUGGUUGCUGGUGGAAAAUUACCUUUAGUAUAUCUAAGACCUCUCUUACUUUGCAACUUCCUAUAGUGAUUUUUUAAAUUUUGUGAUGAGACACAAAAAAGGUCAUAAAACAUUUUGCAGUGCUUGACACAUUAAUUUAGUAGAGCUCUCUUUAGCCAGCUCAUUAGUUCCUAUGUGACAUCUAGGAUGAAUUUAGUAGAAUUCGUAAUUUCUUUUUCAACUUAGCAGUUAGCAUUGCAUUUCAGUAACUAAAAUUAAUUUCUUUUUCAACUUAGCAGUUAGCACUGCAUUUUAGUAACUAAAAUUGGUUUUUAUUGGGCUUUCAUGACCCUUUUUUUUCGUGACAAAGCUGGCUCUGAUGAAGGAAAAGAGGCAUUGAAGAAACUCGGUGCUGGGGAAGUGUUCACUAAGAGCCAAUUAGAAGUAAAGAAUGUCAAGAGUCUACCGGUAUCAUGCACCCAUUAACCCAUUCUACCAUAUUCUCAUGCAUGGACACACAUCCACAUUUAGCCAUCGGCACUUGAGUUCUUUAUUUACAUCUAAUUGACUUGAAACUAGGGUGAUCUUUAAGAACCUGCCCUUGGAUUAAACUGUGUUGGUGGCAAUGCUGCUUCCUUGGUGAUGAAAUUUUUUAGGUGCAACAAGUGUUAAAGUAGUGUUGAGUGCUUCCCAUAUCUUUCCGAAGAGAGCUGAUUUCGUUUUGUUCUUAGACGGGGAGGAACCAUGGUGACAUAUGGUGGGAUGUCUAAGAAACCAAUUACAGUAUCAACUUCAUCUUUCAUCUUCGAGUUAAAUUAAGAAGCGGCAAACUAAAUUUUCCGCCUAUGGUUACGAGGUUAUUUCAGUCAAGCCUUACAAUUUGACUUGUCCAUGUUUUGGUCUCGGUCUUGGUCAAUGCCCUAUGGUUUUACUUUUUGUCUAAACUUGGCCCAAAAUCUCACUUUCAGUAUUUGACGCAACCAAAUUUGAGAAAAAAAAAAAUUAUUCCUAGAGUCAAGACUAAGAGGAAUGGUGUAAACCAAUGCUUCCAUAUAUUCAAUCGCACAGGGAGUUUUUUUUUUUUUUUUUUUUGGGAGGGGGGAGGCAAUGUAAUUACCUGUUAAGAAAUGAAGCAAACUAUGGAUUGGUGAGAAAAUCAUGCACGUGAGAUCAAGAGAUUAUCCACAUUGAUUUCUUAGGGCCAAAGAAUCACUAUCACUUGAUCCCUUAAUCGAAAGUAGUAACUGUGGCAUAGCUCAGGCAUCUUUAAGCCUGCAAUAGGUGCUGAACAUCAAAAGAUAAACUUGUACCCGUAGGAGGCGUUCUAAUAAAAGAUCUAGAGCAAAGAAGAAGGCAUAGAAACAAUGGUUCUACUAUUGUCUCCUUGAUUUCAUUGUGAUAUCUCAUGCAAAAGUUCAAUUGUACCCAUAGGGGGCGUUUUAGUAAAAGAUCUAGAGCAAAGGCAUAGAAACAACGAUUCUAUUAUUGUCUCCUUCUUGAUUUCACUGUGAUAUCUCAUGUUCAAUUGUACAGUCAGUACCGUUGACUUCUGGAAUUAAUUCCUAAAUCAUAAAGCACAUCUUGAGUGUACGAUAAUGGUUGUUAUGGUUUGCAGGAUCUUUCUUUUAGGGGAUUUUGGCUGCAUAACUGGAUGAGUUCAAAUGAUGUGACAGAGUGCAGAAGAAUGAUAGAUCACUUGCUGGAACUAGUGCGUGAUGGGAAGUUAAAAUACGAGUAUGUCUUUGGUAACUCUACUCAAGUUGCUGUAUUUAGGUCUCCAUUUCUUUAUAGUAAUAUCCAAUAGUCUGUAUCGUCAAGAUAGUGUGUUUCGAUUGUGGAUGCAUAUGAAUUUCUGCAAAACUGCAGGACGGAGCUGGUUCCUUUUAGUGAUUUCCACAUUGCUGGAUAAAUCACUGGGGAAACUUGGAAGCCAUCCUAAGCAAGUCUUAAAGUUCUAAGGCUACUGAAUAUUAAGGGCGGUGAAAAGAUGGAAAAAUUAUGCGUCGUAUUCUUCAAACGAUCAGCUUGUUCUGAAGUUCCCAUACGCUAGAUUAACCCAACAAGAUAACUAUGUAUUCUUUCCAUUAUUAUAAUUAUUAUUUUAUCUUUUCAUAAGUUGUGCAUCUUUUUCUGUUGAGGUCCCUCUUGUUGCGGCUUAUUUUCAGCAAUUUCCAUUCUGAAUUUGUUUUGCAUCAAGCCUUCCAAUCUAAAACUAAUCUUGUGCUCUGCUAAAACAUGAGGUCCAUCUGCUCAAUUUGGAGAUCCAAACAUCGGCUCUUUAUGGUAUUGGAACAGUCCGGAAAGUUUUCAGAUUUUGCCAAUUACAAUUCUCAUAUACAUGUAAGAAGGAACAUUGGGAUACUUACCAAAAAUCAUGUAAGCAAGAUCGCAUGCGCUGAGAAAAGAGCAAGAAGAACCAUAAAUUGUUCACGUGAUCCAUCUAAUUCAGAUGGGAUGCGGACUGCCUUCAAGGAAAGUCAUACAUUAAACACGAUAAACAAAAUCAAGUGAAGACUAGUGAAUGGAAGUUACUUUUUGAGAUAAGGAAAACACACGAUGGAAAGAUCGUGUCAGCUUCCGAAGAAUUGGCGAUUGUUCAGUAAUCACAGAAAGAAAGGGUAUCUUUUGUCUAGACAAUGUCGAGAACCGCACUCCUUUCUCAAUACAAAGUCGACCACGUCCCCACAGUAUCCACCACUUGCCUGGGGUAAACAUAAAAGAGUUCAACCAAGAUGAGAGAUUUUCAAAUUCAUUUUCAACCUUGAAAAAUUUAGAGAGAAAACAAAUUCUCCGUAAAAGUGGCUUUCCAUUAUGCACGGCUUUGAAAUACUAACAUUUUGCUAGGCCGAAGAGGGAAAGGGUUCAUUCAAUCAUGUUUCAUCCCACCAAGUUAGAAUCUACAGAUCACCUAGAGCAUAGCAAAUCAAGGUAUAUAAGUACUUGGAAGAUCAUCCGCGCUGACACCUCAAAACACUUAAAGUCAUGUUUGGUUAAUGGUCAGGGAAUCAUGAAAGGAAUCCCAAACUGUAAAAUCACAGAGGACAAUAGUUGGAAAAAUGUCCAUGGAUCUUAUGUGGUCCUUCAUUCUGUUUCUAUCCCUAGUUUUCUGUUAUUCGCUUUGUAUAUGUUGACUAGAGACGCAUUCCAUUUCUCACAUGUACAAUAUGAUUAUUAUGUCAAGAGAUGGGCUUCAUUCGGUGAGCAAAGGUCAACAUGGAAUUCUUGUGACUUCAGCCUAAGAAUAGAAUUUCUAAAUCAAUCUAGUAAUUUAUUUUUUGUUUAUUUCACGAAAAAUAAAUAAUUUAAUAAAUAUUUUCCUAAAAGUAAUUAUUUAUAUCGCUCAAAAUAAUUAUUUAAUAAUAAAUAUUUUUAUUAUCUAUAAUAACUUAUAUUUAAAUAUUUUUUCAUAAAAAAUGAAAAUAUUUUUAGUUUGUUUAUUUGUAUAAGCAAUAUAAAUGAUUAUAUUUAGGAAGAAUAUUUUAUUAAUCAUUCUCUUAAUCCAAGAUACAUUCCUAUUAUGUCUGUGCUAUAGUCCCAUCUUCUUUCUCGAUUGAAUUAAUUAAUCACCUAGGCCAAAAGUAAAGCAAAAUCUUUCGGGCUCUAAAUAGGCAAUAAUACUCUAACGGCUUUUCAUCGGCCAACAUUUAGUUAUUCUCAUGGACCAAUACCAUCUGUUUUUAUGGUCGUCGUAGUCAAAAAGGGGAUUGGAAAUUAGAACACCUUUUGAAGGGAGGAGAUUAUGUAAAGCCAAAAGAAGCAACAUGGAUGGACCAUUUUCUUAGCCGGAGCAUCAACAAACGGAGAAAAUUAUGGAGAUACAAUCCUCCUCAGAUGAUGGUUUAACAGUGUACUAAGCACCGGCCAACGGACGAGUGUGAUCAUCAUCUUUUAAGGAGACAAUGAAUGAUUAGAUAGCUUUGUUGAUGACAUGAAAGUGACAAGCGGUACUUCUACUGUAGCAUUUACAUUUGGAAAAAGAUGGGACUCCCGUUAUAUUCUUUUCUACCUAAGGGUCAAGGGAGAGCAUUAAAUUCCCUCCCCCCCACCCCCCUCCACCCCUUCUCUCCAAAAAAAAAAAAAAAAGAGCCUAUUGACUUAUCUCUCCUAUUGAGUGCUUAAAUCAGAGGAUUAAUAUCUUGAAAAAUCCAAAACUGAUAUAUUUGUGAUAAAUUUAUCCCAAACUAAUUUUUUUAACAUUUAAAACCCUAAAUUAGUAUACAUUUAACAAAUUUAUCUCAAACUGGUACACUUGUGAUAAAUGUACCCUCUGUUAGUUUUCGUUAAAAUUUUAUGUCAAAUUAUUAAAUUAAAUGGCAUGUGACAGUUGACUGAUAUACCAAUUAGGAAUUUUACUCUCUAUUUGUCACAAUUUAUACUUUUGUGAUUUUUUGUGGUAUUAAUCCAAUUUAACAUGAGGUAUAUUUGUUACAAAUGUACGGGUUUGAAAUUUUUGGCAGUCAAGUAAAUUAGUUUGGGGCAAAUUUAUCAUAAAUAUAUUAGUUUAGGGUUUUUUUUUUGUCAGUUGGGGUAAAUUUGUCACGAGUGUACCAAUUUGGGGUUUUUCAUGGUCAAAAAAAUAGUUUUUGGUAAAUUUAUCAUAUGUAUACCAGUUUGAGAUUUUUUAGGGUAUCAACCCUAAAUCAAAAGAAAACCAACGUCGUUUUAUCGCGUCACGGUAUUGUUGUUAGAGUUAAACAAUUGGAAAUGAGUGGAGCACCUUGUUAGAAAAUUCUACGAGACUUAGCUGAUAUUUUAUUGGGGAGAAGUACACUAAUGGUGCCAUAAGUUGUGUACAGCGCUCACUUUGGUGUCAAAAGUUUCUGUCGGAUCACUUAAGUGCCAAAUCGGAGGGAAAACGAUCACUUUGGUGCCACUAGGGAGAAAUUCCGGCCAAAAUAAUUACGUGGCUUUUAUAUUUAAAAAAAAAAAAUCGACGUGGCUUAAGAUUGUCCACAGUGGAUAGCAUAAAAUGACGUUGUUUUCCUUUCUUUGUAGAAACAACGUCAUUUCUUGCCAUCUACCGUGGAUUCACAUAAGAAACGACCCCGCGUUGCUCCAUAGCAAAAAACGAUGUCGCUAAAGAGGGAGUAAAAUAGGGUUCGUAUACGGUUCUCCUCGACGCCGACCGUAGCUUGCUCACCCACCAUCGUUCACCCACCGCCGUUCGCUUGCCGGCUGUCGCUCGCCUGCCGUCACUCGGCCAUCGUUGUAGUUGCACCGUCGUUCACGAUCAUUCAGGUUUGUCAUGUUCUCUACGUUGAUCAAUUUUGCGAAAAAAUUUAGAGUUCUAACAGGCAAGUUAGGGCACAAAGGGCAAAUUGAGGGCUCGGCUCAGGGGGAAAGUAGUGGGAAAAGUGGUGGGGAUGUCACUUUUAUGGGGACGGCAUAGAAAAAUUGAUUCUUCCAUCGUUCGUUCGCUUUCUGUUGUGGGGACCAAAUAGAAAAANNNNNNNNNNNNNNNNNNNNNNNNNNNNNNNNNNNNNNNNNNNNNNNNNNNNNNNNNNNNNNNNNNNNNNNNNNNNNNNNNNNNNNNNNNNNNNNNNNNNNNNNNNNNNNNNNNNNNNNNNNNNNNNNNNNNNNNNNNNNNNNNNNNNNNNNNNNNNNNNNNNNNNNNNNNNNNNNNNNNNNNNNNNNNNNNNNNNNNNNNNNNNNNNNNNNNNNNNNNNNNNNNNNNNNNNNNNNNNNNNNNNNNNNNNNNNNNNNNNNNNNNNNNNNNNNNNNNNNNNNNNNNNNNNNNNNNNNNNNNNNNNNNNNNNNNNNNNNNNNNNNNNNNNNNNNNNNNNNNNNNNNNNNNNNNNNNNNNNNNNNNNNNNNNNNNNNNNNNNNNNNNNNNNNNNNNNNNNNNNNNNNNNNNNNNNNNNNNNNNNNNNNNNNNNNNNNNNNNNNNNNNNNNNNNNNNNNNNNNNNNNNNNNNNNUUUUUUACGAUGCAAAGUGCAAAAACUACAUUACUGUAUUCCUAGGAAAGAAUUGAAGGAUGGGUUGAGAUUUUUUAAUGACGAUAAUGGUAUUAAGGAUAUCAUUUACCAUUAUUUUCAUGGUGAAGAAGCUAAAGUAUAUGUUGAGUAUUAUAGUGAGGAUGAGGAUGAGGAUGAGGAUGGGGAUGAGCAGACCACCACUGAAGGAGGAGAAAUGAGGGAUCAUGUUCAAGCGAGUAAUCAGGUUGGGGAUGAGUUUAGGUUAGAUGGAGGGCAAAAUGAGAGGGAGAUAAGUCAUAUUGAUAGAGAUGAACAAAGAGAGAGAUGUCCUGAAAUCUUGGGUGAAGAUGUGGGUGAUGAAGACUUCAUUGGAUUAGAAUGAGAAAUUGCUUUAUCUAGUAAAUCGAAAGAUGAAUGUUUGGCUUUAGUAAAUUUCCCAAGUGAUGAAGAUGAUGAUGAACUUGCACAGUCAAGACAAAAGCAAAGGGAAUUUUUAAGAAAAAAACUUGCAGCUUCAAUAAAAAGGCCCAAGCCAGUAAAUAGGGAUGGAGAUCUAGCUGAGAGUAAUAGAAGUGAAGAUGAAGAAAGUUGUGGCGAUGAAGUUGCUGGUUCGGAAAAUGAGCUUGACAAUGAUGAUGAACUUGCUCCUCAAAGAAAAAGUAAGUACCAUUGCUAUGAUCCGACUAUUGAUAAACAUGUUUUGUCGGUGGGCAUGAGAUUUGACGAUGUCAAACAAUUCAAGGAAGCUAUUAUGAAGAACUCAAUUGGUGAACAGAGGAGCGUUAAAUUCAUUAGAAACACGAAGGAGUUUGUGAGAGCUAAGUGCUCACAACCUAAUUGUUCGUGAAAGCUCUAUGCCGCGCUUAGUAAGAAUGGGUCAUUCCAUAUUAGGUCCUUUCAGAAUGAGCAUACUUGUCCAAUUAUCUUUAACAAUAAAAGGGUAACAAGUGUGUGAUUAUCAAAGCAUUUUUUCAAUACUAUCAAAGUAAUGCCCGAGAUCAAGAGUCCUCAAUUUCAACAAUUAGUGAAUGAGCAAGUGGGGGUUAAUGUGUCGAGGAAUCAAUGUAAGAGAGCAAAGAUAAGGGUGAUGAAGAUAUUGAUGGGUGGGUAUAAGGAAGAAUAUGCGCAGGUAUGGGAUUAUGCUGGUGAAUGUAUGUUUCAAAACCCAUCUAGUAUGGUAUAUAUAGAAGUUGUGGAGAGGCCACUCCCUGAUCUUGAGCCUAGAUUUGAUAGAUUUUAUGUUUGUUUUGAUGCAUGCAAACGGGGCUUCUUGGCUGGUUGUAGAAGAGUUAUAAGAUUGGAUGGAUGCUUUCUAAAGGGUUUAUGCAAUGGGGAGUUAUUGGUUGCUGUGGGGAGAGAUGUCAAUAAUCAAAUGUUCCCGAUAGUUUGGUUGGUAGUAAAGAUAGAGAACAAUGAUAUUUGGUCCUGGUUCCUAAAAAAUUUAAUUGCUGACCUUGAGAUAACCGAUGGGGAAGGAUGGGCAUUCAUGAGCGACCAACAGAAGGUAAUUUCAUUGUCGAUUAAUUCACUCCCUUUUAAUAUUAGUCACUUGCAUAUUUUUCUUGACUUGUAUUUAUUGGUUUGAAUUUUUGUAGAGACUUAUUCCUGCAUUGGCUGAAUUGAUGCCACAUGCUGAACAUAAAAUGUGUGCGAGGCACAUAUAUGCAAACUGGUCAAGGAACUUCAAAGAAGAUAGGCUGCAGAAGCAGUUCUAGCAGAUAGCAAAGAGUACGAAUAUGGCCGAUUUCAUAUUAGCCAAACAAGAAUUGUUGCAGCUGACAAAGGAAGGUUUUGAUGCACUCUUCCAAACAGAAGCUAAGCACUGGUGUCGGGCCUUCUUUAGCGAAGAGUUCAAAUGCGAUAUCAUUAAUAACAAUCUCAGUGAAGCUUUUAAUGGUAGAAUUUUAGAGGCCAGGUGUAAACCAAUCAUCGGCAUGCUUGAUAAUAUUCGAAUUAUGGUUAUGACUAGACUGCAUAGGCAAAAAGAUGAGGCUACAAAAUGGAGUAGAGACUGUGGCCCUAGGAUUGUGAAGAAAUUGGAUGCAAAUAUUGCUGCUAGUAGGUUCUGCCAUCCAGUUUGGAAUGGAGAUAAUGGAUAUGAGAUUAUUCAAAAUCAGGAUAAGUAUGUUGUCAACCUGGAUAGAAGAAAGUGUUCAUGCUGAGCUUGGCAACUAAAUGGAAUUCCUUGUGCCCAUGCCAUUUGUGCUAUUCAGAUGAAAUAAGAAAAUCCAGAUGAUUACCUACAUGAUUAGUACAAAAGAAAAAAAAACUCAUACCUUGCUUCAUACCAAUUCAUGAUGCAGCCUAUCAAAAGCAGCAAAUUUUGGGAGCCAACAAAUCAUGAAAGCCCUCUACCUUUACCGCUGAAGAAGCAAAUAGGAAGGCCAAAAAAGAGACGAAGAAUGCAGCAGGAAGAGGCAUCAAGUCAAAGGAUGAGUAGGACUGGAUCAAAGAUGAAAUGCUCCUAUUGCCGCAAGGAAUGGCACAAUAAGAAAGGUUGUGAGCUGAAAAAGCAGCAUCAACAGCAAGAUGUAAUGGCUGAUUUAGUGCCAGGGAUAGGACCUACUGAAGAGUUUCUUGUUGGGCCUAUUGAAGGGAGGACAGAAGGCCCUGCUGUAAUGCCUACUGAAAGGCAAACAGAAAGCCAUGCUAUAAGGUAAGUAUCAUCUUUGUCUUAGUAACUUUACAGUUUUUAUUCGAUAGUGAUGUUGGUCAUAAUCCUAAUAUAGAACAUUGUUGUAAGGUCUAAGAAAGGGCCAGAAAAAGGCCCUGUUGUAGGCUCAAGUGCGGGAAUAGGGACUGGAAUGGGCAGGACAGCAAGAACAACAACUCAGUCCAUUAUUGAGCAAACAAGAAAAAAAUAUCCUGUAAGUUGUACAUCGCUAUGUUUGGUCUUUUAUGAGCUAAAAUUUACAUUUGUUAUGUGUUUCUCAUGUGAGAAGACGAGCAACUGUACAAGUUGCAGAGGUUGCUACAAGGAUUAUUGUUGCUGAAAAUGAUGCACCACAGCGAACAACAGGGGCUCUUGGAAAAAGAUUAAGGCAAUAUGGUUAUGGGAUUUACACAGAUGAACGUACUUGAAUGACUAUUUUGAAUGUAAGAUUUAUAGGCCUCAUGCAUUUAAUUUGUUAUACUUCAAUUCAUUCGAUGACAAUAUCACUAUGUUCUUGUAGCCUAAGAAAACUUCAGAGGUACUUCUCUCUCAAGGUGGGCCAACUCAAGAAUCAAUGGUGCAGCCAAAGAAGAGUGCUCCAAAGAAGAAGAAGACAGCAAGUAUAGUUGUGAAACAGUCAUCCAAAAAGAACUCAGCAUCAGUUCCAUCUCAACCAACGAUUAGGAGCAGUAGUGAUAAUAUGGACCAACACAUGACACAUGCUAGAACAAAAAUAGCCGCCGUCAAAAACAAGGAAAAGGAAAAUGAGGUGACAGAAAGCCCAGCUAAAGAACCUGCACAUGCAGUUCGAAAGAGUGCCCGGAUUAUGAAUCAAUUCAAAGCUCCAAGAGGAAAAGGAGAUCAAGAUGUUAUCAAUAUUAACUUAUGGGAGGGUGCUGGACAUGGUCUCUUUUUAUGUGAUGCUGGACAUGGUUUUUUUUUCAUGUUUUCCUUUUUUAGGAGUGUGCUGGAUAUUAUAUCAAUGAUGGUAGUUGUUGCCUGCAAUGCCAUUAUUAUUUUUUUUAAGAGAGUGUUGAACUUUCGAUGAUUGUGGAGUAAAGUUAGACAUGCUUUUCUUUUCUUUUGUAAACAAUCAAUCAAUGUUAAUGGCAAGUACUAGAAUGACUAUUCAUUUUCUCUUGUGUUGGUUUCGGCUAGAAUGCUAGCAAGUCAGUUAUGAUGCUGUAUAUUUUAUUUUUAAUGUUACUGCAAUGUUGCUAUUGCUACAAUGUUGCUGUUGCUGCACUGUUGCUGUCAGCAAAAACUAACCAAAACAAACAUUGACAAUACACAACUAAACAACAAAAUUUUUAAGUGCUCACAACUAAUGCAUUCCAAGUCCAACCUUGCAUUUCUACCCAUAGAUUACAACAACAAAACAUUCUGCUCCAUACAAAAAUUGCAGCAAACCAAAAAACACAUUUUACUUAUAAAUAAUCCAAUACAAGUGCAUAUUACACGUCUUCGAUUAUGGUAGACAUACAAACUUCUUCUUAUUACUCACUUUACAUUUGAAUAAACUACCCAAGAGAAUAAGAACACAAUCAACGCUCGAUAAAAGUUUCUUUCAAUUUUCAGCCUUGAAACUUCCCUCUUCAAAUGGUCUACCAGAGAUGUUAAACCCUUCAUUUGAGCUUGCAUUGAGUCGACAUCCUCCAACUCGUCUAUUAACAUAGGUGGAGGUUGAUUUCGGCCUUCAAGUAACUCCAAUAUCACCUCUGUCGCUCGAUCAGAGAAUUUCCUAUCAACCCAUUUGAAAUACUGGCACUUCGAGCCUUCUCUAUAUCUGUCGCACCCAUGGAAUCUUCUCUCGGGAUUCAACCGAGUCCAAGAUGUUCUUCUCGGACUCAGUAACCCACAAUAAUAAUAAUACUCACCAUCUAAUUCGCUUUUCUUAUAGGAAUGUGAGCCACUACUGAAGCUUUUGUCCUCCAUUUGCAAGAGCGAGCUAAUAACUUUGGGAGAAAAUCGAAUAAUGCACUCGAAAUGAUCGAAUUGGGGAUUUAGGGUUUUCAACUUCCGAUUCUAAUCGAAAUUGGGGAUUUAGGGUUUCUUAUUUGGGGGAAAACGGUAAACAGCAUCGUUUUGUUCUUUGUAUGCUAAUUGUAUUUUCCGGCAAUCCACGUCGGCGUCAAAAAUUAAUAAAAAACUGCCACGUCGGAUUUCCGGCCAACCAAAUCAGCAAAGGCACCAAAGUGAUCAUUUUUCAAAAAAUUUGGCACUUAAGUAAUCCGACGGAAACUUUUGACACUAAAGUGAGCGUCGUACACAACUUAUGGCACCAUUAGUGUACUUAUCCCUAUUUUAUUGCAUUUUCCCUCAUAAGUUUACGACAAUAUUAAUUUAGUCAAGAAAUUUAAACAUUGAUAGGUUCAGGCUUCAGUAUAAUAAUAUUAGGACAGAUUGUGCAAUUAUCCUCAAAUAUGACAAUUCAAUAUUUUCAACCCCAUGCUCACACUCAACUCAAUGCAAUAUAUAUACUCACAUCAAACUCGAUUCAACUCUAACAUUAAAAACUAAAUUACAGUGUAAACCUUCUAACUCCAUCUCAAGUUCUCAUAAAAAAAAUUCAAAAAUAAUGAUUAUUUUCAAAUGUCCUUAGUAAAAAUCUUUAAAUUAUUAACAGGAUUGCAAGUCACGUGAUUGUAGUAUUACGAAAUUUGACACCUCCAACAAUGGCAACCCAUACUGUUAGUUUCAAAUUCAUGAAAGAGGGGGCGAAGUGCUUUUAUAUAUAUUGAUCUUUCUAGAACCAGCCCCUUAUUUAUUUUUUUUAUACGCAAUUAAACUGGUAAUUUGUAAAAAGGAACUUAUAGAAUUUAGGGAAAGAGAAAUUGCAAAAACUCUUUAUAGAGUUUCAAUUAGGAUAUGCCUUCUCUUCCUUCUAGCCAUAGCAGCCCAGUCGGGUUGAAAUCCACUACUUGAGCCAAUAGUGCAAAUGCCAAGAACUUUUGUACCGCGUGGACUCCACUCCUUCGAUAGCUAUGUCACUAUAGACUAAAUAACUAUUAGAUCUCUUUCAACAGCUAUUCUCGCACCUUGUGCACACGGUAUGGUAGACAUAUUUUCCCAAAAUUAUCAACCACACUUCUUAGUGUUUACAAGUAAUUAUUCACACACUUCGUCUCUUACCUAAACAAUUGUAUUCUCUCUAAGUACAAUCACUUCUUUCGUGUGUAUACAAAUGAUUUCGGCACCCGCUAACUUUUAGGAUCAAAACUCAAUUGACUACAAACGCUCAAUGUGCUUUGAUUUUUCUUGUUGCAAGAGCACUCGAUGACAAGCUACGUUUUACUUGUGGUUUGUCCUUCUAGGCCUCCAAUAAAAACUCUCAUGUUUCAAGUGUUCAAUUCAAGUUGAUUGUAGAAUGAGUUUCACUUCAUCACGCAAAAAAGAGACGUUAGAAGGGAUAUCUAGAAAUAAUUAGCAAAUGGAAAAAUUAGAAUGAUAAAGAGAGCGAGCAGAAGUUGGUAAGUUUACAAAUUUACUACAAUGUUGUGAGAUCAUUAUGGCAUUUGCAAUUUAUAUACGAAGAUUGUAAAAUUUCUGAAGAGUUGGUUAUUCACUAAUUCAUUUCGAAGCCGACAAAUUUCUAAUGGUACUGUUAAGUUGUUGAUAGGUUAUUUGGCAAUAAAAUUGAUGGUCAUGUUUUUCUUUUAUCGACUGCAAUAAAAUUGUGGGACUCAGCUAACAUCAAUAAAUAGAAGAAAGAAAAGUCAAAAAAGCAAAAAGGAAUAGAGAGAGAGGCUCCUUGUUCGUAAGAUCAAGAAAGACGAGUCGAUUGACUUUAUUUAUUCAAAACCUUCUCCAAAUUACCUCUCGUUUCUCUUAUUAUAAUCAGGAUUUCUUGCUUCACUUAUGUUAAUUUACUUUUAUGAUGAUAGAACCUUUGUGUAUAGUGAAAGUUUUUGGACUGUUUGUGAUUUUUUUAGCAUAGAAUUUUAUGUGUAAAAAUUGCUUGUCUUUUUUUAAUUAUUUUGGCAUUAUAUUAACUCAUUACAAGAUUGUACUGUAGGAAUAUAUUGCCAGUUAUUAUUGAAAUUGAGUCGAUUUUGGUCACAUUUAAUCUUGGGAGGAGAAAUUAAUUCUGAAUUAGGUUAAUUUUUGAUGAAUUGUUGCCGGUUCACUCCAACUAUGUAUCAAUAAUUUUGGAAAUCCAUCAAGAAAGGGAAAAUUUCCGCACUUUCCUUUGACUGACCCUGCACUCAAUGCCGAAAGCUUGCGUCAGCCGCACCUUUGAUUUUUGGUCUCAUCGACCAAGAGCAUUUGAUUUGAUGGUCUUCGUCGUUGUGAAAAAAAUAUGAUUACUGUCCCAAUCGCGUCCUGAUCGGCAUCUUUGAUUUAUGGUCUUCGUCGUCAUGAAAAAAUAUGAUUUCUAUCCCAAUCGCGUCCUCAUCGGACUCUUCGAUUUUUUUUUUUUGUCUCACCGGCCAAUAGCAUUUGAUUUUAUGGUCUCCAUCGCCGUGAAAAAAAUAUGAUUUCUGUCCCAAUCGAGUCCUCAUCGGCACCUUUGAUUCUUUUUAUCUCAUCGGCCAAUAGUAUUUGAUUUUAUGGCCUUCGUCGUCGUGAAAAAAAUAUGAUUUCUGCCCCAAUCGUGUCAUCAUCGGCCCAUGACAUCUUUUACUUGCUUUUCCCAGAACCACUCCAUUGUUGCCUCGAACGUGUUGACGCAGCUACGUUCCACGACUUUUAGCCAUUUCGUAUUGACCUAUCAAAGGGAUGAUCCAGUCAAAAAUGUUGUCCAGCAAAUUCCUUGUUCUCCCCCACUUUUUUAAGUUGAUAAUUUUUUGCUCAAAUGAAAAUCCUAAUUAGCUACUCCGAUCAAAUAUUGAUAUUUCCCUCUCCUCUUUCAAUAUAGUCCAAUUCAGUCGAUAGCAAAGAGAAAAGAGGGCAUGUCUCGAUAACAAUUAUAGAGCGCUUCUGUCCGUACCAUGUUUAGAGAUCAUUAGCAAAUGAAAUAUCUAACAUAAUAAGGAGAGCGAGUAGAUUGGUAUCAACUUCAAUUGAACACUGCAAUUUGGUACCAUCGUGUGCAAAUUUGAGUUCAGAAAAGGUCCACUCAGAACAGUUCAAGUUCAAGUUAAAGAGAUCUUUUUGAGAUCUUUUUCUUUAUUUGUUUAUUAAAGUUAAACAGAACAAGCCGGCUAUGUUGGGCGUGGAAUACGCGUUUCCAAAUAUCAAUUCCUCCCUUCCCUCUCCCUCGACAGACAUUUUUUUUCAUCGCAUCUACAAAUUCCACAGUAACACACUCCUCAUUAUCGUCAGUCAAUUUCAUCUAUUUUCAUAAAAUUUUAAGAAUUCGAAUGGUAUGUUCACCAAGCAAUUUUGGUCUUUUGUUUACUUCGAUUCUCAUGGACUAAUAGCAUUUGAUUUUAUGGUCUUCGUAGUAAAAUACUAUGACUUUCUGAUUCAACCAUGUUCUCGCAGACCCAUGGCAUUUAAAGUGGUUUUCUUAUAACCACUCCAUUACUUUGUUAAGAACAUCCAGUCAGAGAGAGAGAAAGAGAGAGAUCCACCAAGCAGAGCAAGCUACUGCUAUGGUGAGCUCAGACGAAAGAACGUCAUGGGGAGCAAAUACCAAGUAUUUCUAAGCUUUAGAGAACUCGACAUUAGACUCAGUGACUUCCUCUACCAUAGCUUAACUUAUGUUGGGAAUCUGUGCCUUUGGAGAUCGAAGAGCUACGUGUUGGUGAAAGGAUUGACGGAUUGCUUCAACGAGUGAUCAAUGACUCCAAGAUCUACAUAACCAUCUUCGUUCGAACUUAUGUUUCAAGCCCAUGUGUUUUCGCGAGCACACGCAGAUUGUAGAAUAAUCCAAAUCAAAAGGCAAUAAAGCGGUAUUUCACCCGCAACAAGGCCCAAGUGAGGCUAGCCUCACCCAAAUCUAGGAGAAGCCACCUUGCUCGUGACCCUCGCCAACCACUACAAGGAAUCCAAUGAGGAAGAAGAGGAAAAAGAAAAGAAAAAAGGAAAGAUUAAUUAAAAAUUUAGAAAAAAUAAAAAUAAAAAUUGUCAUGUCAAUGUUAGUCAAACAAUCGACGUCCACACUAGUCGAUCAAAAUUAAUCGGAUGAACUGAAUUGAUAUCAAUGUAAAAAAAUUUAUGAUUGAAUUAAUUUAAUUAGAAUAUUUAUAAUUGAAUUAAUAUCAAUACUAUAGAUUUAGGGCUUUAUUGAUCAUUUUUCAUAGCUAUCCCAUCAACAAACAAACAAACGGAGAAAAUUAUGGAGAUGCAGGUGCCUUGAGCGCCAGCCAACAGAAGCACGUGAUCAUCAUCUUUUAACAAGAAAAUGAAUGAUUGGAUAGCCUCGUUGAUAACAAGGAAGUGACAAGUGGUAAUUCCACUAGGGCAUCUACUUUCGGAAAAGGAUGGAUUCCCCCUUCUUCUUCUUCUUUUCUGACGGCCCAGGAACCUUGUACAGCCGACAGCCGGCCGAGCAAACCUAGGGUGACACUAGUGAAGGACCCACCACCCUAGCGCCACACUUAACACCCCAAAGGCAUACGCUGGGUUUCGAAUCCUUCCGUCCUGGGCAGACUUCGCGAAGGCUCUUAUCCAGCGUAACCACCACAAGCGGUGGUCCCCUUUUUUCUUUUGUACAUUAGCUUACGGUAAAGCGCCAAUGAGAGCAUUAAAUUCCAAAAAAAGAAAAAAGGCCUAUACACUUAUGUCUUUGGUCGGUGCUUAAAUCAUGUCACGGUGUUGUCGUUAUACUUAGACAAUCGAAAAUGAUUGAAGUGCCAUAUUAGAUAAAUUCGACGGGACUUAGCUGAAAUCUUUUAUUGCAUUAUUUCUGAUAAGUUUAAGAUUACAUUGAUACAAUUAAAGAGUUUAUACCUUCGUAGUUUCAAAUUUCGUUAAAACAAUUUUGAACUUUCCAACACUCCAUUACUUUGUUAAUGGAGCAAAUACCAAUUGUUUCUAAGCUUUAGAGGACCCGACACUCGCAUUAGACACAGUGACUUCCUCUACCAUAGCUUAACUUAUGUUGGGAUCUAUGUCUUUCGAGAUCGAAAAGCUACGUGUCGGUGAAAGGAUUGACGGAUUGCUUCAACGAGCGAUCGACGACUCCAAGAUCUACACACCUAUCUUCUUUCGAACUUAUGUUUCAAGCCCAUGUGCUUUUGUGAGCUCAUGCAUAUUGUAGAAUAAUCCAAAUCAAAAGGCAAUAAAGCGGUCCUUCACCCACGACAAGGCCCAAGUGAGGCUAGCCUCGCCCGAAUCUGGGAGAAGCCACCUUGCUCGUGACCCUCGCUAGCCUCUACAAGGAAUCCAAUGAGGAAGAAGAGGAAAAAGAAAAGAAAAAGGAAAGAUUAAUUAAAAAAUUAGAAAAAUUAAAAAUAAAAAUAAAAAUUGUCGUGCCAACAUUAGUCAAACGGUCGACGUCCACAUUAGUGCCGGCCGAUAAAAUUAAUCGGAUGAAUUGAAUUGUUAUCAAUGUAAAAAAAUUUAUGAUUGAAUUAAUUUAAUUAAAAUAUUUAUAAUUGAAUUAAUAUCAAUACUAUAUAUUUAGGGCUUUAUUGAUCAUUUUUCAUAGCUAUCGCACCAACAAACAAACAAACGGAGAAAAUUAUGGAGAUGCAAGUGCCCUGAGCGCCGGCCGACAGAAGCACGUGAUCAUCAUCUUUUAACGAGAAAAUGAAUGAUUGGAUAGCCUCAUUGAUGACAUGGAAGUGAUAGGCGGUAAUUCCACUAGGGCAUCUACUUUCGGAAAAGGAUGGAUUCUCCCUCUUUUUUUUCUUUUGUACGUUGGCUUACGGUAAAGCGCCAGUGAGAACAUUAAAUUCCAAAAAAAGAAAAAAGGCCUAUUCACUUAUGUCUUUGGUCGGUGCUUAAAUCAUGUCACGGUGUUGUCGUUAGACUUAGACAAUCGAAAAUGACUGAAGUGCCAUAUUAGAUAAAUUCAACGGGACUUCGCUGAAAUCUUUUAUUGCAUUAUUUCUGAUCAGUUUAAGAUUACAUUGAUACAAUUAAAGAGUUUAUACCUUCGUAUUUUCAAAUUUCGUUAUAACAAUUUUGAACUUUCCAACACUCCAUUACUUUGUUAAUGGAGAAAAUACCAAUUGUUUCUAAGCUUUAGAGGACCCGACACUCGCAUUAGACACAGUGACUUCCUCUACCAUAGCUUAACUUAUGUUGGGAUCUAUGUCUUUCGAGAUCGAAAAGCUACGUGUCGGUGAAAGGAUUGACGGAUUCCUUCAACGAGCGAUCGACGACUCCAAGAUCUACACACCUAUCUUCUUUCGAACUUAUGUUUCAAGCCCAUGUCCUUUUGUGAGCUCGUGCAUAUUGUAGAAUAAUCCAAAUCAAAAGGCAAUAAAGCAGUCCUUCACCCGCGACAAGGCCCAAGUGAGGCUAGCCUCGCCCGAAUCUAGAGAAGCCNNNNNNNNNNNNNNNNNNNNNNNNNNNNNNNNNNNNNNNNNNNNNNNNNNNNNNNNNNNNNNNNNNNNNNNNNNNNNNNNNNNNNNNNNNNNNNNNNNNNUAAAAAUAAAAAUAAAAAUUGUCGUGCCAACAUUAGUCAAACGGUCGACGUCCACAUUAGUGCCGGCCGAUCAAAAUUAAUCGGAUGAAUUGAAUUGUUAUCAAUGUAAAAAAAUUUAUGAUUGAAUUAAUUUAAUUAAAAUAUUUAUAAUUGAAUUAAUAUCAAUACUAUAUAUUUAGGGCUUUAUUGAUCAUUUUUCAUAGCUAUCGCACCAACAAACAAACAAACGGACAAAAUUAUGGAGAUGCAAGUGCCCUGAGCGCCGGCCGACAGAAGCACGUGAUCAUCAUCUUUUAAUGAGAAAAUGAAUGAUUGGAUAGCCUCAUUGAUGACAUGGAAGUGAUAGGCGGUAAUUCCACUAGGGCAUCUACUUUCGGGAAAAGGAUGGAUUCUCCCUUUUUUUUCUUUUGUACGUUGGCUACGGUAAAGCGCCAGUGAGAGCAUUAAUUCCAAAAAAAGAAAAAGGCCUAUUGACUUAUGUCUUUGGUCGGUGCUUAAUCAUGUCACGGUGUAGUUCGUUAUACUUAGACAAUCGAAAAUGACUGAAGUGCCAUAUUAGAUAAAUUCGACGGGACUUAGCUGAAAUCUUUUAUUGCACUUUUUCUGAUAAGUUUAAGAUUACAUUGAUACAAUUAAAGAGUUUAUACCUUCGUAGUUUCAAAUUUCGUUAUAACAAUUUUGAACUUUCCAACACUCCAUUACUUUGUUAAUGGAGCAAAUACCAAUUGUUUCUAAGCUUUAGAGGACCCGACACUCGCAUUAGACACAGUGACUUCCUCUACCAUAGCUUAACUUAUGUUGGGAUCUAUGUCUUUCGAGAUCGAAAAGCUACGUGUCGGUGAAAGGAUUGACGGAUUGCUUCAACGAGCGAUCGACGACUCCAAGAUCUACACACCUAUCUUCUUUCGAACUUAUGUUUCAAAGCCCAUGUGCUUUUGUGAGCUCGUGCAUAUUGUAGAAUAAUCCAAAUCAAAAGGCAAUAAAGCGGUCCUUCACCCGCGACAAGGCCCAAGUGAGGCUAGCCUCGCCCGAAUCUGGGAGAAGCCACCUUGCUCGUGACCCUCGCCAGCCACUACAAGGAAUCCAAUGAGGAAGAAGUGGAAAAAGAAAAGAAAAAGGGAAGAUUAAUUAAAAAAUUGGAAAAAUUAAAAAUAAAAAUAAAAAUUGUCGUGCCAACGUUAGUCAAACGGUCGACGUCCACAUUAGUGCCGGCCGAUCAAAAUUAAUCGGAUGAAUUGAAUUGUUAUCAAUGUAAAAAAAUUUAUGAUUGAAUUAAUUUAAUUAAAAUAUUUAUAAUUGAAUUAAUAUCAAUACUAUAUAUUUAGGGCUUUAUUGAUCAUUUUUCAUAGCUAUCGCACCAACAAACAAACAAACGGACAAAAUUAUGGAGAUGCAAGUGCCCUGAGCGCUGGCCGACAGAAGCACGUGAUCAUCAUCUUUUAACGAGAAAAUGAAUGAUUGGAUAGCCUCAUUGAUGACAUGGAAGUGAUAGGCGGUAAUUCCACUAGGGCAUCUACUUUCGGAAAAGGAUGGAUUCUCCCUUUUUUUUCUUUUGUACAUUGGCGUACGGUAAAGCACCGGUGAGAGCAUUAAAUUCCAAAAAAAGAAAAAAGGCCUAUUGACUUAUGUCUUUGGUCGGUGCUUAAAUCAUGUUACUGUGUUGUCAUUAUACUUAGACAGCCAAAAAUGACUGAAGUGCCAUAUUAGAUCAAUUCGACAGGAGUUAGCAGAAAUCUUUUAUUGUAUUUUUUCUGAUAAGUUUAAGAUUACAUUGAUUCAAUUAAAGAGUUUAUACCUUCAUAGUUUCAAUCGUUAUAUCAAUUUUGAACUUUCCAACACUCCAUUACUUUGUUAAUGGAGAAAAUACCAAUUGUUUCUAAGCUUUAGAGGACCCAACACUCGCAUUAGACUCAAUGACUUCCUCUACCAUAGCUUAACUUAUGUUGGGAUCUAUGUCUUUCGAGAUCGAAAAGCUACGUGUCGGUGAAAGGAUUGACGGAUUGCUUCAACGAGCGAUCGACGACUCCAAGAUCUACACACCUAUCUUCUUUCGAACUUAUGUUUCAAGCCCAUGUGCUUUUGUGAGCUCGUGCAUAUUGUAGAAUAAUCCAAAUCAAAAGGCAAUAAAGCGGUCCUUCACCCGCGACAAGGCCCAAGUGAGGCUAGCCUCGCCCGAAUCUGGGAGAAGCCACCUUGCUCGUGACCCUCGCCAACCACUACAAGGAAUCCAAUGAGGAAGAAGAGGAAAAAGAAAAGAAAAAGGAAAGAUUAAUUAAAAAAUUAGAAACAUUAAAAAUAAAAAUUGUCGUGCCAACAUUAGUCAAACGGUCGACGUCCACAUUAGUGCCGGCCGAUCAAAAUUAAUCGGAUGAAUUGAAUUGUUAUCAAUGUAAAAAAAAUUAUGAUUGAAUUAAUUUAAUUAAAAUAUUUACAAUUGAAUUAAUAUCAAUACUAUAUAUUUAGGGCUUUAUUGAUCAUUUUUCAUAGCUAUCGCAUCAACAAACAAACAAACGGAGAAAAUUAUGGAGAUGCAAGUGCCUUGAGCGCCGGCCGACAGAAGCACGUGAUCAUCAUCUUUUAACGAGAAAAUGAAUGAUUGGAUAGCCUCAUUGAUGACAUGGAAGUGAUAGGCAGUAAUUCCACUAGGGCAUCUACUUUCGGAAAAGGAUGGAUUCUCCCUUUUUUUCUUUUGUACGUGGGCUUACGGUAAAGCGCCAGUGAGAGCAUUAAAUUCCAAAAAAAGAAAAAAGGCCUAUUGACUUUAUGUCUUUGGUCGGUGCUUAAAUCAUGUUACUGUGUUGUCGUUAUACUUAGACAACCGAAAAUGACUGAAGUGCCAUAUUAGAUCAAUUCGACAGGACUUAGCAGAAAUCUUUUAUUGUAUUUUUUCUGAUAAGUUUAAGAUUACAUUGAUUCAAUUAAAGAGUUUAUACCUUCAUAGUUUCAAUCGUUAUAACAAUUUUAGGAUAGAUUGUGUAAUUAUCUUGAAGGCAUGACAAUUUAGGUUUUUCAAUCCCAUGAUCGUGCUCAACUCAAUACAAUAUAUAUGCUUGCAUUAGACUUGAUUCAACUCUAAUGGCAAAAACUAAAUUACAGUGUAAAGCUUUACAAUCCAUCUCUAUUUCUGAUAAAAAAAAUUCAAAAUAAUGAUUUUUUUCUUCUUUUUUUUUUUGGUAAGUAUGAUUUUUUUUCUUUUGUCCUUAGUAAAAUCCUUUAAAUUAUUGACAAGGCUUGCAAGUCACAUGACUAUGGUAUUACAAAAUUUGACACCUUUGGCACGCACUCCAUAUCACUAGGUCCAAAUAUAUAAAAGAGGAAGUGAAGUGCUUUUUUAUGUAUGUAAAAAUAUCGAUCUUUCUAGAACCGGCCCUUUAUUUAAAAGUUGUUUUUCAUAUACAAUUAAACUGAUAUUUGUAACAAGAAACUUAUAGAGCUUAAAGUUUUCAAUUAGGAUAUGCCUUCUCUUUUAGCUCCAGCAGCCCAAUCAGGUUGAAAUCCACUACUUGAGCCAACAUUGCAAAUGCCAAGAACUUUGUAUAGUGCGAUUCUUUCUAUGAUUAUCUCACUAUAGACUAAAUAAUUAUUAGAUCUCUUCCAAUAGCCAUUCUUACACCUUGUGCACAUAGCGCAGUAGACACAUGUUCCCCAAAAUUAUUAACCACGCUUCCAAGUGUUUACAAAUAAUCAUUCGCAUAGUUUGUCUCUCACCUAGACAAUUGCAUUCUCUCUUUGUACAAUCACUUCUUCCAUGUGUAUACAAAUAUUUUUGGCACCAUUGCUAGCUUUUAGGAUCAAUACUUAGUAAAGAGAUAGAUCUCAAGAACGCUUGAUGUGCUUCAAUUUUUCUUGUUGCAGGCACUUGAUGGCAAGCUCCGUUUAACUUGUGGUUUGUCCUUAUAGGCCUCCAUAAACAACUCUGUGAUUCAACUGUUUCCUCACCGUCCCAUAUCAUUUGAUUGUUUUACUCGUAUAACCACUACUUUUUUUUUCAUGACGUGUUGUCGCGACCACCUUCUACAACUCUCAACCAUUUCAUAUUCACAUAUCAAAGAAAUGACCUGCUCAGAAACUUUAUUUAGAAAAAAUCCUAACUAUUAAACCGCAUCACUGACCUCCCUCCUCUUUUUCUUUAAGGUAGCAAUUUUACGUUCAUAUGAAAUAUCCUAAUUAACUACUCCUGGUCAAACAUUCCUAUUUGGCUCCUUUGUUUCAACCAUCCGAUUUGAGUUGAAACGCAGAAUGCGUUUCAUUUUCAUCACAUGAAAAAGGAACUUUAAGAAAGAGUAGUUAGAGAUCAUCAGCAAAUGAAAAAAAAAUCGAAAUGAUAAGGAGAGGGAGUAGAAAUUGGAGCUUACAAAUUCAGUACAAUGCUGCGAGACCUACUAUACUGUUGGCAAUUUAUUUGCCAUACUUGUAAAAUUUCAGAGAAUGUGGUUAUUCACUAUUUCAUUUCAAAGUCGGUAAAUUUCCAAUGGUGUCGUUAAGUUUGAUAAGUCAUCUAACAAUCAAAUUGACGGUCAUGCUUUCUUUUAGGGAUUGUACUGGAUAUUUUGGUUGGCCGGGUCCGCCUCUGUGGGGACCAGCUAACAUUAAUAAAAAAAGAGAAAAAAGGUGAAAAAGUCAAAGCAAAAAAGAAGAAAAGAAAGAUGGGCGGCUCGUGCGCGGAGUACAGGAGAGAGGACAGAGAGAGGGCACGCGGAGAAGAUAGAAACCAUGUAGUUGACAUUUGAUUAACUGAAGAGAGAUUUGGUGUUUCAGUUUACUUAUUGUUAUCGGACCAAUGAAGAUGUCAUUGACAGAUAAAGAUGCAUUCAGCUUGAUCUCUUUCAUUUUAUUACCCAAUUGUGUUUUCUCGUUUUUCUCUUCUUUUUCUACUCCUUUUUCAACUUUUUCUUUCCUUUCCUUCCAUGAGAAAGUUCCAAAAGUUUGGAUAAGCUAGGGGACAAGGUCAGGUGGUAUCAAAAUAAGUGGAAGAGCCUCAGUAAUCCAGAAGAAAUGUCAUCGUUCAGUUUGUUAUUAUUUAAAAAAGUUCUUUUCAAUGUUUCAUGCGUUGCAAAUAAUUUGCUCAUCAUAUGUAAAGGAUGUAGUCUUAGAGCAUAGGUCACGUGGUCCACCAAGUUAACUGGGGUGGAGUAGAGUUAUUUUCUUCUACUCAUUUAACUCGUUACAUAGGAUUUCUCUCUCUCUCUCUCUAUUUUUAUUUUUGAUAACUCAUACCAUACUUUUACUCAAUCAUCUAUGAUAUACAUGAAAACUUACUAGUUGAAUCUCGAUAAGUACCAAUAUAGAAGGUUUUGAGGUUGUGAUCUAUAAAAUUUGACCUGAUGAGACGUCUGUAGGCAUGUACAAUUUUGAAUAGAAGAGAAAUAGCAGGUCAAUAAACAACAAAAAGGAAAAGAGGAGAGGGAAGGCUUUGUCUACUUGAUGUCACUAGAAAAUUUUAAUUGGAUGAUUUGUAGUCAAUAGGACGAGGCUUUGUGAACCUGAAACGUGUUUUCAUGAGUAAUUCAUUGAAAAACCAUACCUUCUGCAAAGCAUGGCCAUCCAACCUAGUGUUUGAUGGGUAGGGUGGUUAUUUAGUUUAGCAUUGUCUAGGCCUGGUACUUUUUCGAUACUAUGACAUUGUUUCUCAUUUUCUUUUCCUUUUUCUUUUAUUGUGUCAUGAGGAAGAUUAUAUUUUAAAUGGAUGUCAGACCCAUAAAAUAUCCUAUUAACCUCAUGUACCUAGUGAGGUUUGAGCUAAAACUCGGUUUGUUGGUACCAACAUGAAUUGUUUGCAGUGGUUAGUGAGGAAAACCGAACUUAUGUUGUGCAUGUUACCCCCACACAUUUUUCUAUUCCUUAAGAUUUUCUAUUCUAAAAAAAACAAUGGAAAUCUAAUUGGUGGAUGAUCUAUUUGUACAUCCUCCCUACUUUUGGGCAGUUUGAAAGUCACUUAAAAUAGGAAUUAAAGUAGUCGAUCACUCCAGAAUUUAUUUUUCAAUCGUGAAGAUUUUAUUUCAGGUAGAGUGUAAAGUCAAUUUCUGCCACUCUUUUGAAUUUUGAUUCGUAGGUUGACUCUUGGCUUUAACUUCCACAAUAAUUUAGCCGAUUGUAUGCUUGAAAAGUUCUUAAUUUCGCUGGAUUGGGAACAGAUUAGUUUUCAUCAAAAUUGUGAAAUACCUAUGAAACAUAUUGUUUCAUUAUCCUUCUUGUAUAACUAUGCUAAAUAGAAAGGGGAAAAGGAAGAGGGAAGGCUUAUCUAUUGAUUUAUAACUAGCCUUGGUCAAUUUCUGGUAAUAACAUGUUUAUCUAUCUUGGAAGCUUUUAUCUAAGGCAGAUUAGGCACCAAGCACGUAGAAUAUCUUAUUUAUCUCAUGUAGCAGGUAUGGUAUGAGUUAAUGACAAGGGGGAUGUUGCUUCGAUAUGAAAAUGUUUGCAUUUGGUGAUGUGAGAAAUUCCCACGAGAUUUAUAUUUUUAUAUGAUACUGGUUCCUUUUAUAUAUAGAUCAUUUAUCGUAUUUCCAUCUCAACAAACGCAGUUGGACCUAUAUAUUUGACUUUCAUAAGUAUCUUUCGAGAAAUUUAGAAGAGCCUCUAUCUGUGUUCUUGCACAUAGUAUUCAUUGACAGAGAUUAAACACAACUGGUUGGUUUGAUUGCAUAAUUUUAUCAUCUUAUUCCUUUUUUCAAACUUUCUUGCAAGAUUGAUUGCAGUUUUAUUUUUCAGGAGUCGUGCUUCGAUUGGAUAUGUUCAUGAUUCGGAGGAGGCUUGUGAAAUUGUGAAGACGACUCGCAUCAUACUUGUCAACAUGUAGGGAUGGAACUAUCAUACAUUUUUAGUGGGUCAAUGCCCUAAAGACAGUAAGAUAAGGUAUUUCAUUUAACAAAAAAAGUAUAAAGAUGCGAUCGAGCUAUUUAUUGAUUUGAAGUAGUUUUUCUACGCAAAGUCUGACUUGAAAUCAACGCUUUGACAUUGAAUCGUGAAUGUGAACAAAAUUCGGUUUCAAAUCCCUAUGCUCAAGCUCAACUCAAUAUAGUAUAUACGGCUCGAAAUCGAACUCGAUUCAACUCCAUUAUUAAAAGCUCAAUUCUACUCAUUUAACUUGUUACGUAAGAUGUUUCUUUCUAUUUUUCCUAAUCAUAUACUAUACCUUCUGCAUAGCCUGGUCAUGCCAUUCGAUUGCUUUAUCUUCCGACUCUAUCAAGCCUCGUGUUUGAUUGGUGGUGUGGUCGUCUAGUAGUGCAAUGUCUAAGCCCGAUAAUUUUUUUAUAAUUGUUUAUCUUUUUACUUUUCUGUUUUUUGCGUCAUAAAGAAGUUUAUAGUACAUGGGAAAGACAAAAUACUGAUUUUGAUUUCUUGCAAGUUAGCGCAUGGUCCCUUAGAGGGCAACAAGGCUAAGCCUAAUUACAUCGAUGAACAAUGGAAGUUACUAAGAAGGCAAUGUGGGGUUUCAUUAGGCGUCAUCAGUUGGAUUUUAUUUCUUUAGAUAAACCAUAAGGAUCCCAUCCCACUGCUCCUUUUGCUCUUCCAAUUUCCAUCUUUUGGCAAUGGAAAACAGUAGCCACAACAAAACCGAUAUAAAUUAAGGAAUCGUUAGCUAGAUCCUAUGAGAAACAAUUGAUGUCGUCUCAUCCAUUGAUCGUCAAACUCUCAAGAUUAUAUGUCACAAUCGCACUUCCAUUCACUCACGGAACACUUCCUGGAUAUGUCCUUCCUCGGCACUUCAUUUCGAGUUGGGAUUAAUAGUUCCCCAGUACAGAUUGGAGUACGAAGCCCACCCAAAAAAUCAAAUAAAAUAAUCCGUUCUAUUUUGCCAGUAUCACUAGCUAACUUAGUUCCGAUGACUCUCUUCAGAAUAUGAGGCAAUAAUAGAGCAAAUAUGUCAAACGGUUCUCCACCAAGAGCAAGGACUCUUUUAUUAUGUUGGAUUGAUUGGUCGAUUUACGACAUUUUGUAUAGAAAUUACGAAAAAAUGCAAAUAAUUAUAAUUCGUUAUAAUUCAAAAAUUUAUUUAUUGAUGACCAUAAAACUGCUCAUGUAUUAUAAGAAGAAAUUCGAAAAAGCCUCUAACACAAAAGUUAUUCAUUGCAUCGAAUCUCCAACAUUGUAUAGUAGAUUAGACGAUCUAUCACCAUGCAUUAUUCAAGUUUCACACUCAAACAUAAAUACAAGCUUCUAAAUUCAUAAGCAUUCAAUAAGAUAAGAAAGACUAUUGUAAUUUAUGUCUCAUUUAUUGUCUAGAUUAGACAAGCCGGUACUCUUCCAUGCUUGCACUUCUCACCCCACUGUAGCCAUUGCCACCCCAACACUUCUGCCGCCGCCUCCGCCGCUGCCUUUGCCUCCGCCGCCGCCGCCUCCCUCGCCGCCUUUGCCUCCGCCGCCGCCUUUGCCGCUUCCUCCCCCGCCGCCUUUGCCUCUGCCGCCGCCUCCACCGCUUCCUCCCCCGCCGCCUUUGCCUCCACCGCCGCCUCCCCCGCCGCCUUUGCCCCCGCCCCCGCCUUUGCCACCCCCGCCUUUGCCUCCCCCGCUGCCUUCGUUGCCACCCCUGCCUCCGCCGCCGCAACCGCAGCCGCCGCCUCCGCCUCCGCUGCCUUCUCCACCACCACCUCCGCCGCCGCCUUCACUCGCCUCCGGAUGUAAUAGAAAAGGAAACCACAAAGCAUGAUGACAACACAUGACUACACCAACAAUAACCAACGUUGGAAUGUUAUUGUCAUCGGAUGAUACGGAAUUCGGAUCGAUCCAUCCCAAUGGAGGAGGAAAGUUCUGGAAACUCGGAUGAAUUUGUGGAUAGUUACUAUUCUCCAUCAAGAAAACUCUAUGGGGGUAGUUCAAUGCGAGCGGUGAGUCUACAAACAUAUUAUGAAGCAUCAAUCCGAGAGCCAAUUUACUCUUUUAUCAUGAUGAAUUGAUCAUAUGGUCCGAGCGCGAGAUUGAAAUGAUUCAAGAUGGAAUUCAGCGAGAUAUAAUAUGAGUGGAAGUAGGUGCUUGCACAUAUACCUUCACAAGAAGAACCAAGAAAAUCGGUGAAUGAUGUUGCGCCAAUGCUUACAUGAUUUGCAAAGAAGUGAGAAUUUUUGCCUGGUGGAGCAUAGCCCUAUAUAUGCCCCGCGCCGCUGCCUCCCUCACAGGGUGGGUUGGGUAAGUGUUUUAAUCAAUGCAUCACCUGUCUUUUUUGAGGGUGUAGUGUAAUAAUUGAAGCAUCUGGACAAAUAGUUGGGAAAUUUUAUUCACGUGCCAAAGAUCGUAAAAAUUAUCAAAAGAAUCAUAAAUCUAUUAUAAUUGUACUAAUUAAAUUAUAAAUAUUUUUUAAUCAAUUAAGUGCUAAAUAUUUUAUAUUUAUAUCAAUUCAAUUUGUCCGAUCAAAAUUGGCUACCCAACACUAAAAUGAACACCGUCGGUGCUGACGUGGAUAAUUUUUAAUAAUAUUUGAAUAUUUUUUCGAUUUGUAUUCCUAUUUUUCUUUUUAUAUUUUUUUUUCCUUUUCUCUUUCUUUCUUUUUUUUUUCUUCACUCCCUUCUUCCUUCGGCUGGUUGCCAGCGACCACUAGAAAUGAAGCUCCAGGAAGAACAGGAUGAACUUCAACUACUGUCUAGGCUCGAUCAGGUCUUCAUGUGUGAUGGUCCGGAGCUGGGAUUUAGGCCCAUUGAAAUGAUAUACAUGUUUGACUAUUCUGACUAUUCACAAUCUAAGGUGGUAAGAUUUUGGUGAAGGGCCAAGAAAAACAAUCAGGUCUGAAAUGAGAAAUUAUUAUAUGCUCUACAAAACGUGUGACUCAAUAUCAUCUUGAUCGUUAAUCCAAUAGAUCUCGCUAUGGCCCCCGGGAUCAAUUGUUGAACUGGUUUCGACAUGAGAUUUAUAGAACAUACAAUAACAUUUCAUGCACAAUGGGGUUACAGACGUGACCUAAAAAAUAAAUUCACUCUACUAUCCAAAAUAAAGUCCAGAAAAACUUAUUUUAGAGCCGACCUGCUAAGGAUAUAAGAGACCCACUGCCAAUUUGUUUCUAUUUCGAGUAUUGUAAAAACGUAGGAAAAUGUUCUAAAAUCCUCCUGAACUUAAACUGUCUUAGAUGGACACAUCAAAAAGUCACUAAUCUCACUCCUCGUGUUGGUUCAUUCUUGCCUACAUCUCUCUUAUAUGGUCAUGGGACUCAUGUCCGAACAAUACUAAAAAACAGCCAUGUCGCCAGCUAAUUAGAACGAUGGAAUUAAACGAUGAAACGUGGGGAAAACGACGUAAUGGCAAAGUCCGUCGUCUUGUCACAGUCGGCCACGAUCGUGUGUGUUUAGAAUCUUAUCCUUCCGACUUGAUUCGCCAUCACAUCAUUUUUAACCCCCAACUUUCGGACUCUUGGGUCUGUUGCUACCCCUGUGUCGCAAUAAUGAUCCAAUGCCACAAGAAAAGACCACUAGAUAGAUCCGACAAAUGCAUAAAUUGAAUCUAAUAAAAAAUCAAUUCAAAUUGACAUAUUUUAUUCAUUUUGACUCAUUUUCAUACAAUAAAAAUCAACUUACUCAUACACGACCUCACUCAUAUUUGACUUGACCUAUAUAUAUAAAACACUUCCAUAUUUAACCUAAUUUAAGAAAAUUCAUACUCAAACUAAAGUGAGAGUAAUUUAUGAAUUUAAUUAACACCCAUAUUAUUUUAAGUUUAAAUCAUUCAUAUAAUUAAAAAAAAUAGACUUAUAGCCCAUUUUAAUAGGUCUCUCAUCAAAUAAACAUGAUAUCCUGACAUUUAUGGAAAAUUGUCCCAAUUAUGUCACAUUGCAUAUACAUGUAAGAAGGAAGAUUGGGACAUCUCCCAAAAAUCAAGUACGUCAUCGACAUUGCAUCAGUUGAGAAAAGAGCAAGAAGAACCAUAAAUUAUAUGUUCAAUUCUACUUGAUUCAAAUGGGAUGUUGCCUGCCUUUGGGGAAGGACAUACAUGAAACGCAAUAACCAAAAUGCACAGAAGACUAGCGACUAAUAGUCACUAAUAAAGAUAUGGAAAAACACAUAAUGGAAAGAUUGUGUUGGAUUCCAAAGAAUUGAUAAUGUUCAAAUACCACCGAAAGAAAAAGGCAUCUUUUGUGUCAAGACCGCUCUCCUUUCUCAAGAUAAAGUUGACAGUGUCCUCCACAGUGUCUAGGACCUGCAUAGGUAAACAUAAAAGAGUUCAAUUGGGGUAAGCAAUUUUUGGAUGCACUUUUAAUCUUGGAAAAUUUGGAGAGAAGACAUAUUCCCCAUAAAAGUUGCUUUCAAUUGGGCAUAUUUUGGAAAUACUGACAUUUUGCUAGGCUGAAGAAGGAAAAGGUUCAGUCAUGUUUCAUCCAACCAAUUUAGAAUUGACCGAUCACCCAAAGUAGGGAAAAUUCCAAAUAAGGAUUUGAAAUGGACCAAUUUUCUCAAAUAAGAACCCAAAAUUAAUUUUAUGCCAGAUAAAGACCUAAGGUGAACCCAUUAUCUCAAAUAAGGAUUCGAAGUAGUUGAAUCAAUUCCAAAUAAGAACCUAAGUUUGCUAGUCAACUAAAUAUUCGUCGGCCAUCAAGCAUGUAACAUUUCUAACGACAGGAGUUUGGGCAAUUUUGUCCAAAAAAGUUAUAAGGAAAAGGGAAUUCCAAAUAAGGAUCUGAAGUAAAUCAAUUUUCUCAAAUAAGGACUUGAAAUUAACUUUAUGUCAGAUAAAGACCUAAAGUGAACUCAUUGUCUUAAAUAAGAACCCGAAGUGGUUGAAUCAAUUCCAAAUAAGAACCUGAGCUUUGUCGGCUAUCAAGCAUGUGACAAUUCUGACGAUGGAAGUUUGGACAAUUUUGUCCAAAAAAAUUAUAAGGAAAAUUCACAAAUCCUAAAAUAGCAAAAAAAAACCAUAGGUUUUCUACGGUCUUCCCGUUCCUUGUACCCGUCCCCUACAAAGUCAAAGACCAAAAAGUUCUCCCCAUUCCUUGUACCUAUCCUUCACAAAGUCGAAGACCCAAACUCUCCACCUAUUGAAGCACGCAUUAAAAAACAAGAAGAAAACCAUUUCUUUGUUUGUUUGCGGAGACCCAAAUUCUCCGCCAAUCGAGCAAGGCGAGGAGCGACGAGAAUCGAGUCACGAUGACAACCAAGCAGCGAUUUGGUUGAGGAAUAGCGAGGGAGAAGAAAGAAGAAAACGUAAACAUCUAAAUAAAUAACCUAAACUUAAUUAAUUUAGAAUUUUCCAUUUUUUUACAAUCACAAAUUUCUAACAAAAUUGCCCCUAUUUUAAUCGAUGGAAAAUGUUUGCUGACGAGCUAAGGUCUUUAAUAGAAAUUAACUUAAUUACUUCGGAUUCUUAUUUGACACAAAAUUCACUUUAGAUCAUUCUUCGAAACAAUUAAUCCACUUCGGGUCCUUAUUUGACACAAAGUUCACUUUAGGUUUUUAUUUGAGAAAAUUGAUUCACUUUGGGUCCUUAUUUGGAAUUUUCUCCCCAAAGUAUAGCAAAUCAAGGUACAUAAGAAUGGGAGGAUUAUCCACGCUGACAGCUCAAAACCACUUGAGGCCAUGUUUGGUUCAUUGCUCUGGAAUCAUGAAAAGGAAUCUCAAUCUAAGCAAUCGAAUUCCUAGAUGUGGGGUUCAUUCUCUAUUGUCCGGUUUCAAUAUACAAAUGGAGGGAGAAACGUCUGAUGUGAGAUGCAAAGUGAGGUAAAAACAUGUCAGAAAUGGAAUGUGAAAUAUUUCUCCAAUCCACAUAUCCAAAGUGGCUAAUGAAAAACUAGGGAUAGAAACAGAAUGAAGAACCACAUACGAUCCCCAACAAUUUCCCGAUUAUUGUCAUCUAAAAUGAUCAUACAAUUCACACAAGCAUUUCACAAACACAUUACAUAUAGCUCCUCAAGAUAUUGUGAGUCAAGCAUUUCACACAUAAUCUGCAACAAUGAAGAUAAAGCCAUUCCCAUGUAACUUCUGUUAAAUUAAUGUCUCAAAUUUGAAUUCAUAUAACGAUUUGAUGAAUCGAAUUUAUUGAUAAAGAUUUCUCAAGUAGAUUUUAAAUUGGAUGAAUAAGCCCUUCUUUUUUUGGAUUCCUUAUAUUUGCACAAAGGAGUAAAUAAAAUAAAGAAAAAAAAUUAAGGGUUAUCUACUCUCUCUCUUUUUUUUUUUGUACAUGCAGAAGAAGGCAGAAGAAGAAUUGAUAGUGGAGAAAAGAAUCCAAGGUGGGGCAAAGUCAAAGUUUUGAUUUUGGGCACACACACAAUAUAAAAGGCAUGUUUUCAGCGGAAAAGGAAAGUGAAGCCCUAAAAAAAAAAAAAAAGCCGCACAUCCACACGUAUAGACGCCGUACAACCCUUGAAGAGGUAGAGAAUGCGAAGCUAUACAUACGUGGAUUGGCGUACAUAGAGCAUUUUAUUUUGACCUUGAAUGCGCGGUACUUUGAGCUUGAAUGCACGGAAAUUUUGUGCAGUAAAUUUAUGUCCAAGUGAAUUGUUUAUUUAUAAACAUUUUUGGUUUGGACUUAAAUCUAGGUGUGGGAAACACUCAAGCGUGUGAGAGAUUGUAAACUCUAAUUCUCCAAUUAUAAUGGAUUAUUUGCUACUAGUUCUCCCCGUGGACGUAGAUACUAAUACUCGGACCAAACCACAUAAAUUUCCGAUGUCCUUAUUAUUUCUCGUUUAUUUCUCUAAUGGUUUUGCGUUAACAUAAAUUGCAAGAUUCUAUCGUUUUCGAGUAUUAUAUUCCAACAACUUCAAACUACUUCACAGCUGUGAUAUUCUUAUCCUUAUUGUUUUUUGAGUCAAAGACCCAAUCACGAGAACAAAUGGAGUGAAUGCAACUCAGCCAAGUGUGUUAAUGGAACUUUAUAUCCCCACCCAAGCCAAUGUGAUGUACGUAGUGGCAUCUCCAUUAACAGACCACACAAGUUUCACAAUAGCGAGAGAGACAAAUAAUUUCACCUAGUAGAGGAAUGUGAGGGCCAUGGAAUCAAGAGGCAGGCGAAACUCCCAUGGAAGGAUUUGAAGAUGAUGAAUGGAGAGAGAGAGAGUUCUGGCUUUCUAGGAUUUGAAGAUUUAUGAAGCUCAAGAGUACUAAGCGUGUUGGGUUCAUGAAUGUUUUUUCCUCCUGGGAAUCCAGUACCACCUCUACCCGAGCAAUCCAGUUUUGCAUUAGGAGUAUCCAUUAACUAGGCACUUUGAUUAUAUGAUCAUAAAUCCAUCUAUAGAUGAGCUGCAAUAGCAUUCCAUUUCAUGUUUAUUACUCCAAGGUGAACCGAACAAGGCCUAAGUGAUUACACGAUAUACCAUACUUCUGAAUGUUUUCAUGGUGGAAUCAAUGAUCUGCAGUCUCAACCAUGACUUUCCAGAGGAUCAUGUAUCUAAAAUCUCUAAACCAAAGAAGUGAACAUGCACAUGAUUCGCUUACUUAAGAACCUACCAUCAACUCACCCCAACGUACAUGCAAGGAGAGAUGAGAGAGACAGAUAGUUAGUACAUGCAUACGCACUCUUCCAUGUCUUUUCAAUUCAUAUAAUAUAAUAUAGGUAGUGCAUUUCCCUAGUUUCCAAGAAGAAAGCACAUGAGAUGAAAGAUAUUAGAUGUGUUCUUUGAUAUCCACGUACACGUACAAGAUGUGUGCAUUCAAUAAAGUCCAAUUUCACAGUUUUGAACCUACUAAAUUGUGUACCUAUAAAUAAUUCUUGUACAGGAGAAUUCUUAUUAAGCUAAUAAUACACAUGCACAAUAUUUUAUUUCGUGAUCCCAGAUUUUAAUAAUCAUGAGUGAGAUAGAUGAAAAAAGCAAAUGUUAUCGAAAAUGCUCAGUCCCGAUUUACAUUAGCGUGCCACAUUUCUCAUUGGACAUUGGUCAUGGAGAUAAUCCAACAAAUCCUUACCUAUUUACCAGUUGUUUAAAAGGUGUGUGGCCCUGUAUGACCUGCAAAUUAUCUUGGUCAAAAUAUGAGAGAAAAACGAAACAAAGUAGUUCUGGACCUUAUAACAAGCAAAAUCGUGAGGGCAAGCAGAUUUUGUAACACAAGAGAUGAACUACCUGUGAAGGUAGAAUGUUGACUCCUAGUAGUUGACCUAAGCCCUGGGCUCUUUUGGAUUCAGAAAAGCCACCUCCUGCAUCAGCCAUUGCUAUUAGCAGUGUGCAGUAAACAUUAAUUAUCACUUCGUCAGGAAUUAACAAGUGAAAUUAAUUAUUUCAAGGGAGUAACCUAUUAUAUGAUUAUAGGUAAGGGCAUCUCAAAAGGCGUCACAUAUUCAAAUUGCUUGAAUGACUUAAACAUAAGAUAGCGGCAAUCUCAAAAUCAUCAAAACGAUUACUGUUAGAUCUUAAAAGUACCAAUACUUGCUGAAAGUGAAUAAUCAACCACAAUAAGCGUAUGAUGCCCAGGAUGCAACUUGAAAACUUUAGUUUGACCAUCAUAUCACGGCACUCACCGGUGAUGACUCUAUAGGAACGGUCACAUUCGCUAACACACAUCGAAAGUGAGAAAUGUAAUAGUAAAGGUUACUAACACAUUUAAGCAAUUUCGAACACUCACCAUUUGUUAAGAACACGAAAGGUAUCUUCAAAUCUCCUGAAAAGAUGUAGAACAUAAAGUAAGUGAUAGCAGUUUACAAAUAGCAGAUACGAAUCUCGAUAUCCGCCGCCCUUUACUGUCCAUCAGAAAUUUCGGUAGCAAUCAGUUCGCAACGUAGAACAUUGGAAGACAGAUGAAACAGCACGAUCGCCAGCAUGAGACAAGCCUCGCAGGUAUAUCAGCAAGCGAUGGCGAAAGCUUUAGCAGAAUCGUAGUACAAUCUCCUCAGCGCGCGGGGAGAACCGCGGACGGGAGUGUGACCGAGGAGGACCACGCCGUCGAUGUCAAAGGCGAUGCCAAACGAAGGCCUGCACGACGAAACCACGUUUGUCGAUUCGAUCACGGACUAAAAGAAGAAGAAGAGAAAAAGAGAACAUCGGAGAAUAUCACGAGCGUAGUCGAAGCAUGACCGGAACGCACCGAUCCGAUUGCGAGCUAAGCCGCGAAAACAAGCGCGAGGUGAGCGGGGACGGCUGCUUUCUGCCACGACUCCGCGAGGCGAUGGUGAAAAGCCGGUGCCUCAUUUUCCUGUUCGCGGUGAAUCGCUUCGGGAGAUCGAGGAGCUCGAAUCGCCGGAGAUGAAGCUCCAAGAAGAACGGAACGAGCUUCAACAGUCCAUAGAGAAUAGAGGAGAGAGAGAGAGAGAGAGAGAGAGAAUGGCGCAAUCGCGCAGCGUCUUCUCGUUCGAUGUUCAGGGGCCGUGAAUUGGGCCCAGUGAAAUGAUGGGCGGGCCUCGAUAACGCAUCGGCCUUUCCUUCGGAUCCGAGCUCAACGGUUAAGCUUGAUUUUGGUGAACGUUUUUGGGCUGUUUUCUUUAGUUCUUUCAUUUUUUGUUGUAUUUUUCUCUUCGGGCCUAGUAAUUUGGGCUCCUUGUCUCGGAACCUCUCGAGAGAAUCGUCAACUGCAUCUUUGGUGCACCUGGUGCAUGUACAUCUAGGAAUUCUCAAUGGGCUAGUCGUAAAUGGCCCCACCCUAGGACUAUGAGACCAAUGGUUAUCCCAAACCUACACCGAGAUGUUGACGGUGAUUUUCAAAUUAUUGAAAAACAGGGUGUGAUAUGAUGAAAUAGGAUGCAAUAGAGACAAACACAAAAAAUGAACGGAUUGCUUUCUUCUUUUUUUCUUUCUAUUUCUUCGUAGCAUAGUUUGGAUUAGUUGCGCAAAAUACUUGUACUCUAUGAGACACACUCUGAUUAUAGAACAAAGUCACUUUGUCUGGUUUUUCCUUUUUCAUGCUUUGCCCUCUGGCUAAUUUAAAGAUGUUGCCAAAAUUCUGGUAAAACUAUGAAAUUCUGCUCUUUUCAUGGCUAUAUUUGAUGUGAAGACUAACAUAUCGAACACCUACGACACCACUAUUCUAGCAUGUCUUUUUUUUUUAUGAAAAUAUUAUAGCGUGCGUUUGACGACUCAAAGUCUAAGGGGACAAACUUCUGGUGGGGGACCGCGAAAAACAAUCAGGUGGAGAAAUUAUUGCAUGCUUCACAAACUAUACAAACCAAUAUCAUCUCGGUCAUUAAUCAAAUAGAUCUCACUAUGAGUUUCGAUGUGUGAAUUAUUGAACAAAAUUUCGACAUGUGACUUAUAGGCCAUACGAUACAUCUUCAUACGAAAUGGAGUUGGUCAACGAAAAUUCACACUAUUGUCCACAAUCGAGUCCACAAAAAAUUAUUUCAGAGCCAACCCAACUAAGGUAAAAGAGAUAUGCAGCCAAUUCAUUUAUCUUUUUUAGUAUUCUAAAACGUCGGAAAAAUAAAACACUUGUCUUAGGCCCUGUUUGGUUCAACUUUCCUAAUGGGCUUUGAGCUCCUAAAAGCCCUUGGGGAAAAUAUUUUGUGCUUGGCAUGUAUUUUUAAAAGCUCUUUUGCCCAAUGUCAACAUUCCCAAUGCUGAAACCAAUGCUAGAGAGAGGCUACUUUGAGCAUUGGCAUUUUGGAGAUGCGAUUUCACCGUUCACCGAGUCACUGUUCAUAUUCUUCUUCCCCGCCCAUCUUCUUCGCCGUUCAUCUUCUUCUUCCCCCGCCCGAGAGUCGACUGAGCUUCGUGGUGGGCGACCGGGGCUAGAUUUGGCCGUCAGGAAGCCUCGCCUGAGGUUGCGCAGCCUCAGGCGAGGGGGCCUGAGGUCGGGCAACCUCAGGUGUCGCCUAGGUCGUGCGACCCAAGCACUGCCACCUAAGAUCAAACGACCCAGGCGACGCCACCUAAGACCGCGCAACCACAAGCUACAUUUUACUCGUAGUUUGUCCUUAUAGGCCUCCAAAAACAACCCUCCUGUUCAACCAUCUGAUUCAAGUCGAUCACAAAAUGAGUUUCAUUUCAUCAUACGGAAAAUAGACAUUUGGAGGGGCUACUUAGAGAUCAUCAACAAAUGAAAAAAUCCAAAUGAUAAGGAGAGUGAGCAGAAGUUGAUAAGUUUAUAAAUUGACUUAUUAUAGUGUUUACAAUUUAUUUACGAUGCUUGUAAAAUUUCUAAGGAGUUGAUUAUUCUUUAAUUCAUUUCAAAGUUGGUAAAUUUCUAACGGCAUUAAUAAGUUAUUGAUAGGUUAUUUGGCAAUCAAAUUGACCGUCGUGCUUUUCUUUUAUCGACUGUACUAGAUGUUAAUGUUGGCUUGGUCUACCUGUGUGGGGCCCGGUUAACGUUAAUAAAUAAAAGAAAAGGUCAAAAGUCAAAAAUGCAAUAAAGGAAAAGAAAGGCGGGUUGCUCGUUUGGAGAAGACAGGAAAUGGGCUGCGACAUCCGGUCUAGAAUCAAAGGCCAAAUAUCAUCAGAGUUGACUCAAAUUUCAAUAUAUUAUUAUAAGACCGAGACAGAUGAGUCAAGACAGGUGAGUCCAUCAGUUUCAUUUGUCAAUCCGUUUUGCUCAUUGAACACUUUUUCUAAAUUAUCUCAAAUUUCUCCAAUCGCAAUUAGGGUUUCUUACUUCAUAUAUUAAUCCGUUUUUACAGUGACGAAAUGUCAUUAAAUUAUUGAUAUUGAAUCUCUAAUAUAUUACUAAAGAACCUCUGUGCAUUUUACUAUUUUUUGUGAUUAGUGAAAGUUUUUGAAUUGUCCAUAAUUUUUUUCACAUUGAAUUUUUCAUGUAAACUUGUCGUGUUUGCUUUUGUCUGUUUUUAUCAUUUUGGCAUUAUUUUUAUUCAUUAUGAGAUUAUAUUGCGGGAAUAUAUUGCCUGUUAUCAUGGGAGUUGAGUGGAUUUUGGUCCAUUUAAUCUUGGGAAGAAAUUGAUUCUACAUUAGGUUAAUUUUUUAUGAAUCGUUGCCGGUUCUCUCGAACUUUGUAUCAAUAAUUUUGGAAAUCCAUCAGGUAAGGGAAAUUUUCCGCACUUUCCUUUGACUACCCUGCGCUCAGUCCCGAAAGCUUAAGUCAGCCGCACCUUUGAUUUUUUGUCUCAUCAACCAAUAGCAUUUCAUUUUAGGGUCUUCGUCGUCGCGGAAAAGGAUGAUUUCUAUCCCAAUCGCGUCCUCAUUGGCAUCUUUGAUUUUUUUGUCUCAUCAACCAAUAGCAUUUGAUUUUAUGGUCUUCGUCGUGAAAAAGUAUGAUUUCUGUCCCCAUCGGCAUCUUUGAUUUUUUUGUCUCAUCGACCAAUAGCAUUUGAUUUUAUGGUCUUCGUCGUCGUGAAACGUACGAUUUCUGCCCCAGUCGUGUCCUCAUCGGCCCAAAGCAUUUUACUUGCUUUUCCCAGAACUACUCCAUAAUUGCCUCGAACGCGUUGACGCAGCCACGUUCUACGACUUUUAGCCAUUUCGUCUUCACCUAUCGAAGGGAUGAUCCAGUCAAAAAUGUUGUCCAGCAAAUUUCUUGUUCUCCCCCUUUUUUUGAAGUUGAUAAUUUUAUGCUCAAAUGAAAAUCCUAAUUAGCUACUCCUGAUCAAAUAUUGCUAUUUCUCUCUCCUCUUUCAAUAUAAUCCGAUUCGAGUCGAUAGCAAGGAGAAAAGAGGGCAUGUCUCGACGAGGCUUGAGCCUCGCCGAUAGUUGGCGAGACCUCCAGCUCACCAGAUCGGUAGGCCCGAGCAUGCCUGAUGCCAACGAGUUCAAGGCUCACUAGAUUUGCAAGGCUCAAGCCUCACCUGAUGCCGACGAGCUCGAGCCUCACUUGACCAGUCAUUGGCCAUCGCCGUGUCAAUAGCCAACUAAGAAAGGAGGAAGAAGAAAUGGGAAAAAAAAUAAAAAGAAAAUUAAAAUAUAAAAAUAAAUAUAAUUUCGAUUUUUAUAUUUAAAAAAGUUAAAAAGGGAAGAGAGAGAUUAUGACGCUUUAGUUGAAAAUGGGUUUUAAAUCCAACUCAUUUAAAACCCAUUUAUCUUAAAUCUUCAUUUUUAAACCCAUUUAACUAGUUUCUUUAAAAAAUAAGUGACUCAUAUAUAACACAUUUAUGAUUUAAAUAGGUCAAAUAUGAGUCUAAAAUCCAUUUUGUCACUUCUAGCUGUAAGUGGGUUGAUUUAUUGUGAAAGUUUCGAACUUUGUUGAUUCCAUUUGCCGUGAGUGCGAAGCAUCGCGUUGCCCGAGUCGACCCGGGUUUUUCCGCGCUUGUGCGUUAAUGUGGAAAUAAGAAAUUGUUCCUCGCCUUCCAGAUAAACCGAAGGAUAAUAGCUACCAGUUCAAAGGUCAGAUCUUUCCUUGUCUUGUCACGGAAGAUUCUGAAGCCACACUUCAAUUCGUGUUAUAUUAUGAUCUGAGAAAUAGAUGUUUACUGCGGGGUUUGUCCAAAUCGGUUUCGUCCAGGGCCACGAUAAGAAGAGAUGCUCCAAUGUUCCUUUUUUCAAACUCUCUUGCAAGAUUGAUUGCAUUUUUAUUUUUCAGGAGUCGUGCUUUGAUUGGAUAUGUUCAUGUUUCAGAGGAGGCUUGUGAAAUUGUGAAGACAACUCGCAUCAUACUUGUCAGCAUGCAGGGAUGGAACUCUCAUAUAUUUUUAGUGGGGUCAAUGCCCUAAAGACUGUAAGAUAAGGUAUUUCAUUUAACAAAAAAAAUUAUAAAGAUGCGAUCGAGCUAUUUAUUGAUUUGAAGUAGUUUUUCUACGCAAAAUUUGACUUGAAAUCAAUGCUUUGACAUUGAAUCAUGAAUGUGAACAAAAUUCGGUUUCAAAUCCUUGUGCUCGAGCUCGACUCAAUAUAGUAUAUAGGGCUCGAAAUUGAACUCGAUUCAACUCCAUUAUUAAAAGCUUGAUUCUACUCAUUUGACUUGUUACGUAGGAUGUUUAUUUCUAUUUUUCCUAAUCAUAUAUUGUACCUUCUGCAUAGCCUAAUCAUGCUAUUCGAUUGCUUUAUCUUCUGACUCUAUCAAGCCUUGUGUUUGAUUGGUGGUGCGGUUGUCUAGUAGUGCAAUGUCUAAGCUCGAUAAUUUUCUAAUAAUUGUUUAUCUUUUUAUUUUCCAUUUUUUACGUCAUAAAGAAGUUUAUAGUACAUGGAAAGACAAGAUACUGGUUUUGAUUUCUUGCAAGUUAGCGCAUGGUCCCUUAGAGGGUGACGAGGCUAAGCCUAAUUACAUCAAUUGAACAACAGAAUUUACUAAAAAGGCAAUGUGGGGUUUCAUUAGGCAUCAUCAGUUGGAUUUUAUUUAUUUAAAUAAACUAUAAGGAUCCCAUCCCACUGCUCCUUUUGCUCUUCCGAUUUCCAUCUUUUGGCAAUGGAAAACCAUAGCCACAACAACACAGAUAUAAAUUAAGGAAUCGUUAUGCUAGCUAGAUCCCAUGAGAAACAAUUGAUGUCAUCUCAUCCAUUGAUCGUCAGACUUUCAAGAUUAUAUGUCACAACCGCACUUCCAUUCACUCACGAAACACUUCUUGGAUAUGUCCUUCCUCAGCACUUCAUUUCGAGUAGGGAUUAAUAGUUCCCCCCGUACAGAUUGGAGUACGAAGCCCACCCAAAAAGUCGAAUAAAAUAGUCCGUUCUAUUUUGCCGGUAUCACCAGCUGACUUAGUUCCGAUGACUCUCUUCGGAAUAUGAGGCAAUAAUAGAGCAAAUCUGUCAAACGGUUCUCCACCAAGAGCAGGAACUCUUUUAUUAUGUAUGUGGAUUGAUUGGUCGAUUUACGACAUUUUGUAUAGAAAUUACAAAAAAAUGCAAGUAGUUAUAAUUCAUUAUAAUUCAAAAUUUUAUUUAUCAAUGACCAUAAAACUGCUCAUGUAUUAUAAGAAGAAAUUUAAAAAACUCUUCAACACAAAAGUUAUUCAUCACAUCGAAUCUCCAACAUUUUAUAGUAGAGUAGACGAUCUAUCACCGUGCAGCACUCAAGUUUCACACACAAACAUAAAUAGAAGCUUCUAAAUUCAUAAGCAUACAAUAAGAUAAGAAAGACGAUCUAUCACCGUGCAUCAUUCAAUUCCAACAACCCAUGCCCCUGCUGGCACCCCUGCCCACAGUCAGGGCAUUUUGUACUUGAAAAAAGCUGGUACUCUUCCAUGCUUGCACUUCUCACACAUAAAUAAUAAUGGCGUCCCCCUUAGCAACCCCCGCUCCCCCUGUAGCCCCCGCUGCCCCUUCUCCCCCCGCUCCCCCUUAUCCCCCUUAUCCCCCUUCUCCCCCCGCUCCCCCCGCUGCCCCUGGUCCCCCUUUGGCCCCCGCCGCCGGAUGUAGUAGAAAAGGAAACCACAAAGCAUGACAGCAACAAUGACUAAACAAACAAUAACCCAUGUUGGGGUGUUAUUGUCAUCAGAUGAUACGGAAUUCGGAUCGAUCCAUGCCGAUGGAGGAGGAAAGUACUGGAAACUCGGAUAAGUUUGUGGAUAGUUAUUGUUCUCCAUCAAGAAAACUCUGUGGACGUAGUUCAAUGCGAGUGGUGAGUCUACAAACAUAUUAUGAAGCAUCAAUCCAAGAGCCAAUUUACCUUUUUGUCAUGAUGAAUCGAUCGUAUGAUCCGAGCGCGAGAUCAAAAUGAUUCGACACGGAAUUCAAUGAUAUAUAAUGUGAGUGGAAGUACGUGCUUGCACAUAUACCCUCACAAGAAAAAUGGAGCAAAUCAGUGAAUGAUGUUGCGCCAAUGCUUACGUGACCUGCAAAAAAGUGAGAAUUUUCGCUUGGUGGAGGUAUCGUUAUAUAUGCCUCGCGACACUCCCUCCCUCCCUCAUGAGGUGGGUUUUUUUUUUUUUUAUUAUUGGCCAAAAGAUAAUAAUUUUCAUUACUAACCAACUAAGGGGGCAUCAUUAGUUGAAAAGUCUAAACAUACAAUUCAACAUAGAGAACGGGGAGAAUUUGAACUCCAAUUGCUGGAAAGUAAGCUGGCUCGGUAGGUUAGGUAAGUGUUUUAAGUAAUACAUCAUUUUUUUUGAGGAUGUAGUGUAAUGAUUGAAGCAUCUAGACAAAAAGUUGGGAAAUUUUAUUCACGUUCCAAAGAUAGGAAAAAAUAUUAAAAAAAUCAUAAAUCUAUUAUAAAUGUACCAAUUCUAUUAUAAAUAUAUGUUUAAUCAAUUAAGUACUAAAUCUUUUAUAUUUAUAUCAAUUCAGUUCGUCUGAUCAAAAUUGGCUGCUCAGCACUAAAAUGAACACAAUGCAUUCUAUGAGUUACCGUCAACACUAAUGUGAAUAAUUUUUAAUAAUAUUUUAAUAUUUUUUCAAUUUUUAUUCCUAUUUUUCUUUUAAUAUUGUCUUUUCUUCUUUUUUUCCUUUUCUCUUUCUUUCUUUUUUUAUUUUUUUUCUUUCACUCACUUCUUCCUUCGGCUGGUCGCCAGCGACCACUGGAAAUGAAGCUCCACAAAGAACGGGGCGAGCUUCAACUACUGUCCAAGCUCGAUCACAUCUUCAUGUGUGAUGUUUAGGAGCUGGGAAUGAUACGCAUGUUUGACUAAUACAGUCCAAGGGAAUAAGAUUUUGGUGAAGGGCCAAGAAAAACAACCAGGUCUAAAAUGAGAAAUUAUUAUAUACUCUACAAAAUGUGUGAUCCAAUAUCAUCUCAAUCAUUAAUCAAGGUAGAUCUCGUUAUGGGCCCACGGGGUCAAUCGUUGAACUGGGUUUCAACAUGAGAUAUAUAGACCACACAAUAACAUUUCAUGCAAAAUGGGGUUAUAGACGUGACUUGCAAAAUAAAAUUCACUCUACUAUCCAAAAUCAAGUCCAUAAAAACUUAUUUUAGAGCCAACUUGCUAAGGAUAUAAGAGACCCAUUGUCAAUUUGUUUCUAUCUCGAGUAUUCUAAAAAUGUAGGAAAAUGUUCCAGGAUCCUCUUAAACUUAAACUGUCUUAGAUGGAUACAUAAAAAAAAACCACUAAUCUCAGUCCUCGUGUUGGUCUAUACUUGUCUACAUCUCUCUUAUGGUCACGGGACUCCUGUCCGUAGUGAAACGUGGGAGAAAACGACGUAACGGCAAAGCCCGUCAUAUCGGCGCUGUCGGCCACGAUCAUGUGCGUUUAGAAUCUUAUCCUUCCGACUGACUCGCAAUCACAUCGUUUUGUCCCCCAACUUUUGGACUGUCGGGUCUGUUUCUCCUGUUGAGAAAAUAUUAGGUACGUGAGACGCUCGAGCGUGGCAAACAAGAAGGCGGUGGGAGCACGUGUCUCGUGGGACCCACAAUUUCAGGCGCCCAUUUUGAAAAUUUUCCUGUACUGUAGCUUCUGGAGAGGGGGUUGUCUGUCGCGCGGGUUCUUCUUUGCGCCUCUCUCUACCCUCGCUUUCUCUCCCCGACGAACUCCUUCUCUCUCUGCCUCGCUUUUUCCGACCGGCGAGCCACCACGAGCAACCGACGAACCAGGAGGAUACCGGCGAGACGACCGCGAGCAACCGACCGGUGUGCGACCUCCCUCUCUCUCUCUCUGCCCUCCCUCUUCCCGACCGGCGAACAACCGCGCCGCCCUUCUGGCUCCGCUUCUGGCCCCGACUCGUCCGUCCCGUACUCUUUGUCUCUCCUCGCUUCUCUGUCUGCCCUCCCUCUCUUCGACAGCGAACCACCGCGUGACCGGCGAACCACCGCGCCACCCCCCUCCGGCUCCAGAUCCGGCACCGGCUUGUCCAAGUAAUUUCUCGCUUUCUCUUUUCUCUCUUUUAUAGGAGUCCAGCGAUGCCUGAAAAGUCAUUAGUAGUAUGCUUUUCGCCUGUAAUUUUUCUUUAAUCUUGGGUCUGGCUAUUCAUUAUGCCAGUAGGACAUACUCCGAAAAGGCUCUAAAAUGAGUGCUAUUGUUGCAAAUCAUGGAUAGUCCUUGAAAAGCCAGAUCUGUCAUUCUUCCAUAUUGAUGUUUAUAUGUAUAUUCCCCAAUAACUUUGCUGAGAUGCACUGCAAAUGCAUCCAGUCUCAAUUGAUUAUCGUCAUGCAGUGUAGAUUUUUCUUGCUUCUGAGAUCAUUUGGUCGUAUUUGUUUCCGUGUGUUUACGAUGCUUAUGGUAAUACUGUACUCUCUUAGUGUUCAUUCUGAUAUUUAGUCUGCCGUUCCUCCUCUCUCAGGUUCUUGUGGAACUGUCUAUCACGCUCUGUGGUACGGAUCAGUGUGUUCUUCUACGCCCCUUAAAUUUAGUUUAACAGGGUGAUGCAUGCUGUCAUGAUGUAAAAUGCAUGUACCUCACUUCAUGGUAUACGCACUACUUAUCUCACUCCUCUAAUAGCGUUUGGCUAUCUCUUAUGCUAUUCACUUACGGACUUCAAGUUCUCUUUAUAAUAUGUAAUGCAUGGUGGUGGAGUGAAUUUUACUCGUGUUGCCGACAUGAAACACAGGAGAAAUGUGUCAUCUGUCUGGACAGUAGGUAUUAUUCUGUGUUUUGCUAUAAGUGGCACGAUAAAUGUGGCACAAAUACCUGUUGUGGAGAAGUGGAAAAAAAGGAGAUUAGUGUUGUAAAUGGCUUUGUGAUAUCGUGUUGUUCCCAUAUAUAACUAAAUGAUGUGGGUAACUUUAGUUGGUGCGUUCUGCUAUGUUUUACUUAUUUUGCUAAAUGAAAGAGGAGAUUUAGUGCAAUGCAUUUGGCUUCUCACUUUAUCUCACUGUUUGGUAUAGACCUAUGCGAUCUCCUCAUGAUGAUUUUUUUUCUUUUUUUUGGAUUUUAACUUUCUCUGCAUUUAACUUGGUCCCAAAGAUGUCCCGCCUAGAAAACAAAACAUAAUUGCAAAGAAGGAAAUAGAAAAAGGAAAUAAGGAAGAGUUGCAGAUAGUCAUUGAAGAAUGCAAAACAGAUAUCCCCUGAGAUCAGAAAUGGCCAUCCUUCAUGAGCUUACUUAAAUAUUAUCUGGUGACAAACUAAUGUGAAGUUAUAAAAAAAUAAAAAAUAAUAAUAGUUGGAAUUUUGGGUUGAAUAAGCAUCAAGAACUGUCACCGGUUAAAGAUUGGUCACGUCAAAAUGGGAAGCGAAGACUAACUAAACAUUCUGGCUUUAUUUAAAUUUGUUGUAGCAAGCAAAUAGAAGUCUAAAGUUUGUGAACUCCAUUUUGGGAAACGGAUGCAGCCAUUUCAUGCAUUCUUACGUGUGUAUAUCUUUAUUACAACAUGUUUGUAGGCCACGAAUUCAUACUAUUGGAUGAAAGGAAGGUGCGACCGAAUACCUGAUUUGAUGGCAAUCACAGAAACUAAAAUUGGUUUAGAGGAAAGUAGCACUAAAUCCCAUGAUGCAAAUGAAAAUAUGCAAUGUCAUUACAGAAUUAAAAUUCUAAAGCCCAUAGAAAAGAAUAUAUACAUCUCUAUUUACUAACAAAUUAAACCCAGCAAAUGCUAUUUCAAACAUACAUACCAAUAUCUUCACUUAUACCAAAAUCCGACUCUCAGAAAUCCCUCACUGACGCCUUCUCGUCCUAGUUGCUGGUAGUUGUAGAGACUGAAAAAGGACUGCGAUCAAACGUGUGUGCAAGUCACCAAUGAGUGGAUUAGCACAAAUCUCUUCAAAGGUGCCAGAUAGAUCGAGUACUCACUAUUAUAAAAAGAUACCAUAAAUACAUCUGUAAAGUAUUCGUACAAUAUUAAAAAAUUAGUUGCAUGACUUCAACAAAGCUUUGUACAUGUCAGAUCUAUUCAUUCCAUCAACUAUAUCAAAGUAAACACAUGCGGUCCAGUCCAUUGACUAAGGCCACGCUUAACAUUCGUGAUAAGCCCUACCGAGAUUCUCACUCGGCGUAAGGGUCUACUUGCAUCGGUCAGUGGAUUCGCCCAAUACAAUGUCUUGAGAAUUAUUUAUUAAUGUGAUCCCACAUUCAGGUUAUAGUUUUUGUAAUAAAAAUUUAUCCGUUGGACUUGACCCACGUUUUCUUUUUUAAGUAAUAAUUAUUCCAUAUGCGGUUUUUUCACGCUUCGUACCUCUUCGUUAUGGGAGGCGGCUUAUAAAAGGAACGAUUAUUCAUUUCGUAAGGGCAAUCACAAGAUCUAAUGCUAACCCUCUCAUUCGAAAAUAGACCAUUAGUACGUGAGGGAAUUGAAUUAAUGGAGUGUGCUCGUAAUAUCAUCAAAUCUCCAUGAAUUUCCAACGAACACACAUUUAAACAAUGGCUAGAGGUCUAUUUGAUUUUUUUAUCUCAUUUUUGCACAUAUGGUUCUAAUCAAUGAUUGAAUUUUGUUUUUCAAUGCGUGAUUAGAAUCAUUGGUUUUAGAGCAUGUAGGUAUCUUUGUCUUGUUUAUGUAGAGUUUUGAGUGUAUUUUUCAUGAGUUUUGUAAAUGAAUAGUGAAUGGGGCAUUUUGGGGGCCAAGAGAGAAGAAACUUGUCGUUUUGAGCCAAAUUUCUUGGCCGUUUUCAUUGAAACUUGGACCUGUCUGGUCCCGUUGGCGUGGUCUCCAAAACCGCGGCGGAGACGAAGGAAACGCGAAACUGCGCGAUGAAGAACAAGCGCGUGGAUUACGUGCGUAUGUCCUGCGGUUGCUGGCGCGUGAGCGGUGCUCGAGCGGCAUUUGCAGGCGCGUGUGUGCCACUUACCUACGCGACGCACAGGCAUGAAGGCAGCUUUUUCCCCUCCUCAGAUUUACAAUGUUGCCCCUUCUUUCUUGUUUGUUUUUACAAUUCUGCACUUUUCCGAAUUUACUUACUGUUUUGCCCUUGGUAGCUAAAUUUACUCUUUUACCCUUCUCCGUUUUUAAAAUGAUCGUUUUGCCCCUUCCGCAAUUUUGCAAUUCUGCCCUUGGCUGACCUAUUUACUAUUUUUCCCUUUAUGUGUUUUGUGAAUAUUUGUUACAUGAAAUUAAAUGCCUAAUGAUCCAUAUAUUUUAAUUAAUUAAAGAGUAACCAUAGCAUCUUUGAUUAGUUAAAUUAUAUAUUAAGAGCCUCCGGAUCACAUCUAGUAAUGGAUAUUGAUUGUAACUAAUCUUAUUAAUAUGAUGAAUUUUACCCCAUAGAAAUUUUCAUUAUAUUAAUAUGAUUAAUCAUGAUGAAAUAUCAUAUUAUUUUUCUUAAUUUACCCAUAGAGAUUAAGAAAAUGAAUAUAAUAUGAUAAUUUUUUCAUGGAGUGUUUAUGAAUCUAUUUAAAUUAAAACUUGAUGUUCUCAUACUAAUUGGUGAAAAUUAUAAAGUUCUGAAUGAGUUAAUUCUUCUUCAAUUGGGGUGCAUGGAAAUUGACUAUAUUGUAAGGAAAGACAAACCACAUGUUUCUAUUGAUACGAGCAUUGUAACUAAGAUAGCCCUUUAUGAAUGAUGAGAGUGGUCCAACCCUUUUAGUGCGAUGUUCAUAAGAACUAAAAUAUCUCUUAGUAUUCAUGGUUCGAUUGCUCUGUAUAGUAAUGCUAAGGUUUUAUUAGAGGCUAUUAACGCGCAAUUUGAGACUUCAAAGAAGACGCAUGCCAUGACCUUAAUUAUGAAAUUUUCAUCGUUGAAGCUUAUUAGUGUUAGAGGUAUGUGUGAGCACAUCAUAAAUAUGAGGGAGACUGCAGCUUAGUUUAAGAACCUUGAGGUUAAGAUAUUUGAAUAUUUUCUUGUAUAGUAUAUUUUGAACACUCUCCAACAAUAGUAUGCAUCUUGCAAGAUUUCUUACAACACACAUAAAAAUAAAUGGUCAAUUAAUGAACUCAUGAUCAUGUGUGUUCAAUAGGAAGAAUGAUCGAUUAUAGAAUCGGAAGAAAGUGCUCAUUUGGCAAUAUAAAGAAAGAAUAAGGGUCAUGGCAAGCAUAAGGGAAAAUGUAAAAUAUCUCCCUAAGAUGAAAUUAAGAAAGAAUCCAAAUGUUUCUUCUAUAAAAAGAAGGGGCACAUAAUGAAGGAUUACAUCAAAUUUAAGGCAUGGCUUAAAAAAAAAAGGUAAUCUAAUUUCUUGUGUUUGUUAUGAAUCUAAUAUGGUUGAUGUGAGUCACAACAUUUGGUGAAUCGAUUCUAGAUCUACAAUCCAUAUUCCGAAUUCAUUGUAGGGUUUUCAAAACUAAAUGAAGCCAGUGAAAAGUGAACAACGCAUCAUUUAGGAAAAAAGAUACAUUCACAUGCGGAAGCUAUUAAGACAUGUAAAUUAGUUUUUAAUAGUGGUUUUGUUUUGAAUUUAGAAAUAACCUUUUAUAUUCCUAGUUUUUCUAGAAAUUUAAUUUCAGUUUCAAGACUUGUACUUUUUGGUCACUCUUUUAACUUUUCAAAUUCAAACUUCAGUUUAUCAUUUAAAUAUGAAAUUAUUGGGAGUGAUACUUUAUCUAAUAGUCUCUUUUGAAUUAAUUUAAAAGACAAUGCUUAUUAUAAUGCGAUACAUAUUCAUGAUGACGCUAGUAUAAAACAAUGAGUUGUGAAUGAAGAUUCCUCUAUAUUGUGGCACUGAAGAUUAUGAAAUAUCUCCAUAGAUAAAAUUAAGUUAUUGGUAAAUGAUGGAGUACUUAGUACUUUAGUUUUUACUUAUUGUAAUACUUGUGUAGACUACAUAAAGGGAAAACAGACUAACAAGACGAAAAGAGGUGCCAAGAGAAAUAUAGAAAUAUUAGAAAUCACACAAACGGAUAUUUAUAAUUUAAAUAUGGACUCGCAUGGUUAUAAAUACUUCAUUUCUUUCCUAAAUGACUACUCACGUUACAUGUAUCUCUACUUACUUCAUAAUAAGCAUGAAGCAUUAGAUGCGGAAGUAAAGAAAUAAUGCGGUAAAUAAAUUAAGAUCGUAAGAUUAGAUAGAUGUAGAGAAUUUUAUGGUAAAUACAUUGAAAAUGGACAAGCACCCGAUCCAUUUAUAAAGUUUCUUUAAGAGUAUGUGAUAGUUGCCCAAUAUAUUAUGCUUGGUUCUCCGGACCAAAACGGUAUAGUGGAAAGAAGAAAUCGAAUAUUAUUGGACAUUAUGCGGAGUAUACUGAGCAACUUCAAAUUUCUUAAGUCCUUGUGGACUAAAGCACUUAAGACGGCAAUGUGCAUAUUAAAUCAAGUUCUAACCAAGACUGUCCCAAAAACAUAUUAUGAGUUGUUUAAAAGUUGGAAACCGAGUUUGUAAUAUGUAAGCAUUUGGGGAUGCCCAUUUGAAAUGAGAGUCUACAAUUUAUAAGAAAAGAAAUUUUACUAAAGAAUUAUAAGUAGGUAUUUCAUUAGAUUAGUCGAAAGGUCCAAUACAAGUUUUAUUGUCCAUCUCACACUACUGGGAUUGUGAAAUCAAGAAAUGCUAAGUUUCUUGAAAAUGACUUGAUUAGUAGAAACGAUUAAUCGAAGAACCUUGUUCCUAAGAAAGAUCAUUCAAACACUUAACCUUCCACCUCAAAUAUAAUAUUGGUUGUCGUUCAUAAUGUCCAUUCAGUUUAACCGGCUGAUGAAUAACUAAUUAUUGAAGUUCCACAACCUACUGAUAUUGAUAUAGUAAAUCCAGUUUUCAGUAAUUACUAGAAUUUAUUGAACAACUAGUUGAAUAACAUGCUCCUCAAGAAAAUGUUAAUGCAACAUUAAAAAUAUCUAUUAGAAUGAGGAAAUUAAUAAUUCAUAGUGAUUAUAUUAUGUAUUUACAAGAAUUUGACUAUAAUAUUGGAACUGAGAAUUAUCAUAAAAUGUUUUCAUAUGCUAUGGAUAGUGAUGAUUCUAAUUUGUGGUACAAUGCCAUGAAAGGAGAGAUGGAUUUUAUGGCAUCUAACAAAAUAUGGGAUUUGGUUGAGUUGCCUAAUGGUACGAAGGCCAUUGGUUGUAAAUGGUAUUCAAAACUAAGAGAGAUUAAUUGGGUAAGAUAUAAUGCUAGACUUGUUGCUAAAGGAUUCACUCAAAAAGAAUGAACUGAUUACAUGGAGAGAUUUUUUCCUGUAUCUAAGAAAGAUUCUUUUCAUAUUGUUUUGAUAUUGGUUGCCCAUUUUGAUAUAAAAUCACAUCAAAUGGAUGUGAAAACGGCGUUUCUCAAUGGAAAACUAGAUGAGGAGUUUUAUAUGAAACAACUUGAACGAUUCUCCUUUAGUAAAAGUGAGCAUUUGUUGUGCAAGUUUAAGAAAUCUAUAUAUUGCUUAAAACAAGCAUCUUGCCAAUAAUACUUAAAAUUCCAUAACGCCAUCUCUUCAUUUGGUUUUGUAGAAAAUGUCAUGAAUCAAUAUAUAUAUAUCAGAAGGUUAGUAUGAGCAAAAUUUGUUUUUUUGUGCUAUAUGUGGAUGAUAUUCUACUUGCAACCUAAUAAGAGGUUGUUAUAUGAAGUGAAACAAUUUCUCUUUAAGAGUUUUGACAUGAAUGAUAUGGGUGAGGUAUCUUAUAUCAUUAGAAUUAAUAUUCAUAGAGAUAGACCUUGAGGAAUUUUAGGAUCAUCUCAAAAAACUUAUAUCAAUAAUAUUUUAGAGAGAUUUCAGAAAAAAGAUUGUUUACAAAGUAUGACGCUUAUUGUGAAGGGUGACAGGUUCAAUUUGAAUAGCGCUCGAAGAACGAUAUGCAAAAUGAAUAAAUAAAUAACAUUUCAUAUGCUUUUGCUGUUGAAAGCUUGAUAUAUGCUAAUAUUUGUACUUGACCUGAUAUUGUUUUUGCUAUGCAAAUGUCGUGAAGAUAUCAGAAUAAUCCAAGUAUGCACUACUAGAAAGCUACAAAAAAAGUGAUGAGAUGCCUUUAAGGUGUCAAAGGCUACAUACUUAUGUAUAAAUAGACUAACAACCUAGAAGUAGUUGGUUAUUUGGAUGUGGACUUUGCAAUGCAAUUUUCAAAAAUCAACAUCUGGAUACAUUUUUAUAUUAGCUCGCGGAGUCGUGUCAUGAAGAAGUGCAUAGCAGAUUUUGAUUGCUAAGUUUGUUUCUUGUUUUGAAGCUAUUUCGCAUGGUAUAUGGUUGAAGAGUUCCAUUUCUGGAUUUAGAAUUGUUGAUUCUAUUUCUAGGUUAUUAAGAAUAUAUCGUGCAAUUCAAUCACGGUUUUUAUGAUUGAAAAUGUCAAAAGUGGCCAUCGAAAUAAGUAUAUCGACAUCAAGUAUUUAGCCGUAAGUUUGAAUGUGUUAAAGAGAAUAAAGUGGUCAUAAAACACGUUAGUAUUAAAUUGAUGAUAGUUGAUCAUUUAACUAAAGGCGUGCAACCAAUACAGUAUAAUGAUCAUGUAACUAUUAUGGGAAUAGGUUCCAUUAUGUGAUUUGUCGUCAUAUGGACAAUUUUUAUUUUAUGAAACUCUUAUUCUUUUAUAAUGUUACUUCUCAAUUUUGAUAUACACAUUCUGUUGUUUAUGAGAAUAACAUAUAUCUUUGGUUUUGGAAUAAAUAUAGGGUUUAUUCAUUAAGAUGUGUUGUCACAUAUAGACUGACAUUAAAGGAAUAAGAUGCAUUGUGAUACAUGGAAGAUAUUACUCGCUUUUAGAGGAAAUGUAGUUAUGAUUCAUGCGUUUUGUUUUUUUUUUUCUUUUAAGCAUAAGUUUUUGUGAUUGAUUGGAUAACCGUAUGAUGAAAAUGUUGGGAUCAAGUGGGAAAAUAUUAUCUAUAAUGUGAUCGCACAUAUAAGGAUAUACUUUUUGUAAUAAAAACUUAUUUGUUGGGGUUUGACCCACAUUUUCUCUUUUAAGUAAUGAUUUUUCCACAUGCUGUUUUUUAACGCUUCCAUACCUCUUCGUGACGAGCAACCUUAAUGGGAGACAUAAGGGCAAUCACAAGGUUUAAUGCAAAUUCUCUCAUAUGGAAAUACAUCAUCAAUACGUGAGGGGAUUGGGUUAGUAGAGUGUGCAUGUAAUAUCAUCGAAUCACCAUGAAUUUCUAAUGAGCACAAAUUUGAACAAUGGUUGGAAGUCUAUUUUAUUUUUGAUCAUAUUUUUCCACAUAUGAUUCUAAUCAACGAUUGAAGUUUGGUCUUCAAUGCGUGAUUAGAAUCGCUAGUUUGACAUAAAAUGCAUACUCACAAUCCCUUAAUGUUUUUAUGGUCAUUCUUGCUAUGACGACAAUGAUAAUAACCAUCUUGCAAUCAUGAACCAACUCAAUAUUCAUUUUGCAAAUCAAGUUUACACACCAAUAUAUUUGACCUCCUGCUAUUCAUUCCAUCAAGCACAGUUCUUUGCCAUUUUAAAUCACCAAAAUGUCGUAAAUGCCCAAUCCAUCUUUGUGGGGUAUAUAGUUUCUCAACAACACUUUUUCGUUUUACUGUACCAUAUGUCAUGUGAUGCCUUUUUCACAACUUAUAAUAUUAUAUAUAUAUAUAUAUAUAUAUAUAUAUAUAUAUAUAUCUUAUAAUUUUCCAAAAAUGAGUUUCUAAUUCAUAAAAAAAAGUACCACUCACCUAAAAAUGUGAAACUAAAUAACAAAAGCUACCUUGAGGAGGAAAAAAAAAGUUGAAAUCCUACUAAUUAAUUGGGAAAUGGAUAUUAUAGUCAAUUAGAUGACUACUUUAACUAUGACUCAACUAAAUCGGUGACAAAAGGACUUCAACAUACCAAUUCAAAAUUCAUUUCAUAGAUCAAGUUCACACACAAAUACAUUUGACCUCUUACUAUUCAUUCCAUCAAGUAGGGUUCUUUGCCAUUUUAAUUCACCAAAAAAAUUGUGAAUGUCCAAUCCAUUAUUAUGGAGCAAAUAUUCUCUCAACAAUGCUUUUCCUAUUUAUCAUACAUUAUGUCAUGUGAUGCCUUUUUCAUAACUUAUAUUUCUUAAAAUUUUCAAAGCAUUAAUUUUUAAUUCAUAAAAAAAAGAUAAGUAUCACUCACCUGAAAAUGUGAAUCUAUUAAUCAUGUAGGAAACAAAUAUCAAAAUGAAGUAGAUAACUACUUUAACUAAGACUUAACUAAAUCAGUAACAUAAGGACUCUGGCAUACCAAUAAAAGCUUGCCUAAAAGUAAAACAAUUAUUGUUGUCUACCAUGCUAUGAUAGCUCAACUACCGAAUUUUAAAUGGUUUAUUUAAACUCUACCAACAUACGUUACAAGUGGGUCCAAAUUCAUUGAAAAGCUAACCCGACAUAUUUAAAAGUCGAACUUUGCCUCAAACCCAAAGAUAGCCACUGAGAUGGGUGAAAUUUAGCGUUAGACACAGUGGUUCAAACAUGGUUCCAUUAAUGUGCAACAAACUUGAAAAUUUCAGCUCAACAAAAUCGUAACCCUUAAUGAUGAAAUCUCACGGAUUCAAAAUAUCCUGGAGUUUCUUUACAACAUAAUUUCACACCUCUAAGGUCAAUCCAACAACUCAAAAUUCAACACGGUAUGAAAUUAUAACUUUUACAUGUCCAUGGUUGUCGGUGGCUUUCGUGGACGAAAUCUCGCCUUUUUCUCUCGAGGUUCCCUCUCUUUCCUGUUUUUCUUUUGCUGACCCUCCUCUCUCUCUCUCUCUCUCUCUCUCUCUUAUUCCUUCUCUUUUAUUUUCCUUUGAGAAACCAGUUGUAGAAGAAAUAAAAUAUGGGUUGAGGCAAAAGCUUCAUCAUUAACUGAGACAGGGGCUCGGGUCUCCUGAGCCUAAAUCCUCUUGUCUUCCUUUCAAGAGGUCCGUUUGUUACGUAAAAUUUGAGAAACCAGUUGUAGAAGAAACCAGCUCGGGUCUCUCUUAUUCCUUCUCUUUUAUUUUCCUUUGAGAAACCAGUUGUAGAAGAAAUAAAAUAUGGGUUGAGGCAAAAGCUUCAUCAUUAACUGAGACAGGGGCUCGGGUCUCCUGAGCCUAAAUCCUCUUGUCUUCCUUUCAAGAGGUCCGUUUGUUACGUAAAAUUUGCCGCAUUAGAAGGUCAUAAAGAAAAAUUAGACAGUUCCACCGCUUCUCGUUUGCUUAAAUGGAUUGCAUAGAAUGGCGAGGCUCAAAUCGAGACUUAAGCCUUGGAAGAUAAAUGGCCUAUCAACCGGAGGAUUAACCCUCGAUCCCUGAUGACUUUUAGGGCUAAACAAGUUCGGUCCAAGUAUUAACUACUCCGAGCUGUGAAAGGACAUUGUCUGACAAAUGAUGUCGGGUCGAGGACAGUGCAUUCACUUUUCUGGAAAUAAUUUGUUCGACCGGUCGUGUUUGUAACGAAGUAGCCUUGUUCCAAAUGGCCAGCAAGUUGAGUUUAAUCGCGGGGAGGACUGAACUCAAGAAGCAAGUUAAUCUUCGGCUUUAAUUUACUCAUCUCUCUGUUUUCAGCUCUAACAUGAUCAACACAGAAUCGAUGCGAGCAUCUAGAUCGCCCAAGAAAGCUUUGUAACUGGGAGGCCUUCCCUUAAAUUUUAAACGAGCAGAGGUGCUGUUUUGCAUCAAUUGAAUAUCAUCUUUUGCUUAAAAGAAAAUCUCAGACAGAAUCUGCAAGCAUCGUGUGGCCAAGCCCUGCACCAAAUGAUCAAAACGAGAGCAGUCUCCAAACCAAGACCAAGCCCAUGUGGUACGAACAUCAUUCAAAACGAACGGAGAGGAAAUUCAGAUGAGAGGGGGGUCUCACGUGUGGCCCAUACAAAGAUCUAUUCCAACGGCUAUCAUUCGCUGCGGACGCAAUUCACGUGUUGAAAUUUCCCUUAUAGGGCAGUGCUCCAAAGGUGCACGCUCAGAUAUGAAAUUUGGCAACAAGGAGAACUCGCAGGCUUUCAAGCAUCCCUUAGAACAAAAAGACACGAGACUUUGCAGCGCUUUGUCAGCUCCUGCGUAUGGCUCUCAGGCCAAUUUGGAUUAAUCAAUCCUAACAACUUGGCAAUUGACAAGGGAUUCCUAAAAGCUAUCGGAAGUUUAAAAUAUUUUAUCUUAUUUGGCCCCUACUUAGAUUACAGUAGCUUCUCCAUAUUCUUUAGGGCAUAAAGAUUUUCGAUUCCGAAAAGACGGAUUAAUUACGAGCUGCUUAAAUUAUACCAGUCCAGUAGAGUAUCACGAGAACGCUUGCAAGUAGGUACCGGAGGAUAGGUUAAAAGUACAGUAUGGAAGAUUUUAAGACAUAGUUACUACAACGACGGUCGUUUCCCAGUCCGCGGAAUUGGUUGUGUGGCAUGUGAAUGAGGAUCCAUGCAGGUGAAUAGGAUGUGUACGGCAUGUGUGUUUGGCCGACGCAGUGGUGCCUUCGAGUUUCUGUGAAUAGUUGGUAUGAGAAUUUGGUAGCGGAGUUGUGACAUCACGUGAGUUUUCAUCUGUAUUAUAAAUGCUAAAGAAGGAUUGAAGAAAGAUGGAAGUUUGUGUAUGCAGAAAAAGGAUAAGGAGGAUUUGAUCUUGAUAGCUUUGAUGCAACAGCUCAUAUCCGCAUCGCAUCAAAGGGACCCACACUGCGCAGAGCUCUCCUCUCCACGUGAGAAAAGAGAGAGCUUUUUAAUUGGAAUUGAAAAGUCUCAGAAAAUUAAAACGUGAAAACGAAAAGGAAAGGUAAGAGCGUGAUGGGAAAUUUACGCUAUUCAAUCGGAGCAUCGCGUGAUCAUUCACCCACUUCAGUUAUUGCAAGUCGUAGACGCUUAUUCUAAGGAAGAUAAAAGAGCUCAGUACACUUGGGUCGUCGUGUGGGUGUAGACGGGUUAAUCACAUGAUGAUUCGAAAGCUCCCAGAAGCUUCUCUCCAUGCAAGAUCUACAGAAAACUUGGGAGUGUGCCAAUUUGGAGUCUGUAGGGUUUGAUAUUGCAUUCACGUUAUGAACAUGAACAGAAGUGUCCACAGCAAAGAUUAAAGAUGCAAGAGUGAAAGCUUGGCUAACAUUGAGAUCAAGCACUUCACUGCACUUCACUUCUUCAGUCACCAAAAGUCACUCACAGCAGAAAAAACAAUUGAUACAUUCUCUCAGUGAACUUCACUCAUGUGGGACUCACAUGUAUUGUUACUUGUGUUGAUUUUGCAAGCUCUUGCUAGUGUUUACUUGAUCAAAAGCUAAGUGCAAAGUACCCUAUUCAUGCUAGUUUCAUACUGCAAUAGUUGGAUAAUAUGAGGCCGUAUAGUCACAUAAGAUUUUGAGAAAAUUGAGGUCUUUGCAUUCAUGAAAGGCCAUUCUCAAGAGGAGGUUAAAGGCCCAUUAUAAAAUAAUUUUUUCACAUGAUAUAAAGCUAAAAAAAUUUCGAUAAACUUGCAAGUUAAAGUUGCAAGUACGUUCAUGUAGAAUUUUAUGAAACCUCAUUAGCUAGUUGUGGAACUAAUCUUAAACCUGCAGGGAACUUUAGAGUGUGGUAAUUUUUUUUUUUUAACCAAAAAGUAGUGAAAUCCAAAAGUUUGACAGAUGUUGUGAUGCUAACAAUGUAGGAUUUUUGCACUUGUCUAUCAACCAAUUGUUAAGUAUUUAAUUUGGGUUCUGGGCAAUUUUUUUGGUAUAGUAGCCUAGUGGGAGACAAUCAUUUGUAUCCUUAUCAACUUAUGAGGCAGAGUAUAAAAUAGUAAUGAUAGUGACUCACAAAGUCUGAGAGAUUUUCCUUACCAAAAAAAGUCUGAGAGAUUUAGACCCAAGUUGUUGGUUACUUCAUACACUCCUUUGAUUGGCUUUAUGUCUCAUGGAAAUUGCCUGCUUUCAUAUUCAAGGAAACCAUGUCAAGCUUGACUGCCAUUUUAUUAGAGAGAGUACUUGAAGGUAAAAUAGAGGUGAAGUUGUCGAAACAGAAGCAAGUUCUUUCCCUCUGCAAAGUUGGCAACAUUCAGAGAAUACUUGGCUUGAUAGCAAAACUGAAUUAGGUUGGAAGGAGUGUUAAUAAUACAACCAACUUGCUGGCUUCUUGAAGAGUUUAAUCUCUCCCCAUGAGGAAGGAUUUUGUGGAGUUAGUCUUUCGGCUUUAAUCUUCUUUAAAUUUGGCCUUUCACUUACGUGGCUAUGUGGUCUCUCCUGUCCGAGUAUUUAGUUAUGCAACUGAUAUCAAAGGGGUCGUUUCCUUUUAGCUUUUCAGCGAGCAAACACAAUCAAGAAACUAGCAAGCAUUUUUGGAAUAAACAGUGUGUAUGCAAGCAAUUCUGGCACAUAUAGGCUUUGCAAGAGAGAAGUUACUUGAAAGAGAAAUAGAAAUGAAAGUGGCUUUAAGUGUCCGCUACACAGUGGAGUGUGUAAUUGGAGUACUGUGUGCACAGAUGCUUCAUGUUUCUUUAUAAAAAAAAUUCAGCUUAUGGUUUCAUUGCGCACCUUCAUUUCAAGUAGAACAUGCCCUGUGACAAAUGGAAAUUCCCAUGGCACCGCAAUCAUAUAGUUUGGUUGACACCACAUUACCACAUUUGAGCUGUGGAGGAUGUAAGAUCUUCUGUGUGUUGAGGUUGGUACUCGUUACAACUAUUAGGCUCAAAGGUUGUCCAUAGCGAAAAUGCAUCCAUGCAUUAUCAUCCCUUUUUCAGGGAACCGUUUCAUCUAGUUUCUGGCUUGUGUUAACUUGUGCAUCUCUGGUGCUGUUUCACAGGUAGUCAAUGCAUAAAUUUCUUUUUGGUUAUUUGUCAUCUCAUUUGACUUACAAUUCGCUUGUGGCCCAUUGUUCCCUAGGGAGAAAGAAUUGGCUGCUGUGAAAGAUCAAUGCAGCAGACGUUGAUAUAAUCGCUAAUGAACUUGAGAUCAGUCAGCUUAUGCCAUGUGCUUGAACGCAUUUAUUCUCACUGGCCUGAGCUUUCUAAUAUUGUAUGGUAAAUUCUGAAAACAGCUGGAUCGGAAGGUAGCUGAAAGGACCUUACGUGAGCAUAAAGGUGAUGCUGUUGCUGCAAUUCGUUCCUUGCUUCGAUAAAGAAUUGGUGGCACGACAAAAAGGAUUUGUGAUUUUUCUGAGGACAUACGACUUUCCCAUAACAUUGUCCAAGUAGGAUCAAAAAGCUGUAUGAGUCGUGCUUCUUUUGGGGAUACACGACUUGCUUUCUGGGAGAUUGUUUGUACUCUCGCCGAUUUUGGUUGCUAAUGUUCAGCCCUGCAUUUUUGCCCUUCCAUGUAGUUCAUGCCGGGAAUUUUGGACGGUAUGAAAAUCAUGUACAAUUUCAACGAACAAAAAAUCACAAAUCCACAAGCCUUUGCUCAAUAAUGUGAGGUCGAUUUCUGAUACAAAGCUUGGAAGAGUUGUUGGGUUGAUGCCUGGUUGGAUGGCGAUCCUAAGUCCAAGUUCAUUAGACUGAAUUUAAUUCGAGAAACUAAAGUAUCAAACUUUCUGGAAAAUUGAAGACUUUUGAUUGCAUGUAAAAUUUUGUUGAAGUAGCCCCUGGCACAAUCGGCUAACUAACAACUGUAGAAAAGGCAUGUAUAUCUUCAUUGAUGGAAUUCCAUGGGACGAACUUGGGCUAACGGCGAUUUAGAAGCAGAAUCUGCCUUGAGCUUUAGUAGUGCGCAACCCCUGUUACCAUUGCAAAUCUCUCUGUUCCACCACUAAGCCGUCAAAGUCAAUUUGAUUUGUACAGCUUCAUGAUGAGAAUCUAAUGUUCCCCUAUAAAUGUAUCACAAACAAAUGGAUUGCAAUGCCUAAUGUGCUCAGCCUCCGAUCUCCACAACACUUUGCAACAUAUCUACAAGAUCCUUUGUGACUUUUCCGGUAAAUGCACAAAAGUGACAUACAAUCAUCCUAGAUCCACCCACAAUUGAAUUGCUCAAACGAAGGACAAACAUUCUAUCCUCUCGAAAUGGUCCCAAAAAUCUGGUCGCCAAAUUUCAUGGUCCAGAAGCAGCAAAGCGAGUCGAGAUUGGUUGGCAACAUCAACUUCCUGGCGAAUAGCCAGGUUUGCUUGGACUGUUCACCAAUGUAAUGAAUAGACAAAUCCUCUUGAUGCGCUGGAUGGUUCACGUUUCCCUUGGAGUGCUGUCGCCACCAGCAGAGCGGGAAGCCUGAAAUUGAAGUGCGUUCUGUCUCUGCAAAUCUUUGAAUCUUUCCAGUAUUUCCUGGAACGUUGGUCGGCACUUUGGAUCACUGGUUAGGAGAAAAUGCAGUUCCCACAUCAGUAUCAAAUUGUAACAAAUUGACAAUUUUUGUCCUCACAAAAAGGGGAAAAAAAAAGCUCCUGAAAGACAUCAACUUAUGCCAGAAGAAAAAAAGGUCAUGAAACUGCCUAAGAGAUUCGAGGACUUCAAAUCACGAUGAAUGAUAGGUAAAUUGUAAUGAUGCAGAUAAUUCAUGCCCCUAGCCUGAAAAGUACCCAAUUCAAUAAUUACAUGUUAAAAGCAGCAAGAUAACAUACAAGAGAUGGUAGAAUUCAAAUAACUGACAAACUCUGGAGGCCAAAAGUUCACGGGCCAAGCAGUCUCAGGAAGUUAGGAAUGCUAAGGUUCAAGACACCCGUCUCAAAUUUUUAUCAGCAUGGAAGUAAAAGGUACAUUUAAAAAAUAUCAACAAGAACAAAAAGAGGGCAAUAUAAAAAGGAGCAAAACAAACGCUGACAGGGAAACAGAUGAAAAAAAAACAUUCAGGUGACCAAAAUGUAAAACACUGCACCUACAAGAGGAUGAAUUUGGUUACAUGCUGAAUGUACAUGUAAAAUAUAUCAACAAGAACAAAAUGAGGGCAGUAUAAAAAGGAGCAAAACAAAUGCUCACUGGGAAACAGAUGAAAAAAAAAACAUUCAGGUGACCAAAAUGUAAAAUACUGCACUUAGAAAACAAUGGAUUAAGUUACACGAAUAAGAAGCAGAUACUUACCACAUCCAAAGCCAUAUGAACACAACGUCUCCAAUCCAACUUGGCUGUGUUACUCUGCAGUAAGCGAAACAAACUUCCACUGCAUCAACACACGUAACUGUUAGUUCCAUAGAGACAGGAUAUCGACAGAAAUUACAAUCACUGAAAACCAACAAACCAGACAUUACAACAAACUUUAACAUGAUGCACCAUAUAAUCAAAAAGCCUGCUUUUCAAAAGCAUUGAGAAAGUACCGUGGAAGAAACUCUGUGACUAUGCAGAGGCGCUGAGGUGAAGUUACUGCUCCCAUGAAAAGCAAAACAUUGGGGUGCCGAAGUCUUUUCAUAAGAGACGCCUGCAAGGACAAAAAAAACUGUCAUAUUAAUGGUACUUUACGAGAAGUGAGAAAAAUUGUGGCAACAUCAAAAGAGGUUCUCAGAAAAUGCAUGGUACUACGCAUGCUGAGGGGGAGAGCAUGGACAUAUAACAAUCGCAAAGUCCUAUGAGAAAGUUCCUCAUUUUGAGUAAAACGAGAAGGUAUAAUCCUUUCAUAGACCCACAUGCUAUUACAUCUAUCCAACACAACACAAUUAAUCAUAAUGCAAUGGAUCAAGGCAUGGAAAAUAUAAGGAAAAAUAUCCAUAAUCCUUUGGCAAAAAAAAAGAUCAAAACCUGCUAUCACCACAUGUACUGGAAAUGUUGCGUUGCUGUAUUAGUGGAACAACACUUGAAUUAAAAUUGCCAAGGCCAUCACUAAUAGAGCUGACACCAAUAAACUAUAUCCAUGCUUUGGGGAAAAAAUCCCAGUUGCUACAGAAUAAGCACCAAAAAUUCUAUUCAUUAAAAGGCUUCAGAAUUUUAUAAAAUAAUAAAAUAUGGGCUAGUCAUACAAGUGCAGAGAGAUAGAGAUAAAUGCAUGCAGUUCGAACAUAUUGGUCAAUCCUACUUCAUCUCUUUAUCACACUGGUUUUCAGAAUGUUUUUCCUAAACCAUCUGACUAUGUAGUUCUUAUCAGGAAAAGGAAAAAGAAAAAAAAGAACAAUCAGAAGAUGUAGGGGCAAGUGACACCAUAGAUGGAGUCAUUUGGCACCUCGAUGUUGACUCGUUGCAUCCUGGGAUAAUAUAGAUCACUUUUUGGGCUGAUUAUCAACUAAAAGGCCAACCCAUUAUCCCUCACUGCCUCAGUCUGAAUCUAGAUUAUCAACUGCAAUUACAACCUGUCGAGGAAGGCCCUUAUCAAAAUUAAACCAGCCAGGUCGCAUCCAGCAAUCACUAAACACUAUCGUAACAAUGUUUUCACGAUUUCAAAACACAGAAUAAUACCUACUGUCCAGACAAAUGACACAUUUCUCCUGUGUUUCAUGUCGGCAACAUGAGUAAAAUUCACUCCACCACCAUGCAUUACAUAUUAUAAAGAGAACUUGAAGUCCGUAAGUGAAUAGCAUAAGAGAUAGCCAAACGCUAUUAGAGGAGUGAGAUAAGUAGUACGUAUACCAUGAAGUGAGGUACAUGCAUUUUACAUCAUGACAGCAUGCAUCACUCUGUUAAACUAAAUUUAAGGGGAGUAGAAGAACACACUGAUCCGUACCACAGAGCGUGAUAGACAGUUCCACAAGAACCUGAGAGAGGAGGAACGGCAGACUAAAUAUCAGAAUGAACACUAAGAGAGUACAGUAUUACCAUAAGCAUCGUAAACACACGGAAACAAAUACGACCAAAUGAUCUCAGAAGCAAGAAAAAUCUACACCGCAUGACGAUAAUCAAUUGAGACUGGAUGCAUUUGCAGUGCAUCUCAGCAAAGUUAUUGGGGAAUAUACAUAUAAACAUCAAUAUGGAAGAAUGACAGAUCUGGCUUUUCAAGGACUAUCCAUGAUUUGCAACAAUAGCACUCAUUUUAGAGCCUUUUCGGAGUAUGUCCUACUGGCAUAAUGAAUAGCCAGACCCAAGAUUAAAGAAAAAUUACAGGCGAAAAGCAUACUACUAAUGACUUUUCAGGCAUCGCUGGACUCCUAUAAAAUCCCUUCCGUCACCCCGUCAGACAGAGAAAGAGAGAAAAGAGAAAGCGAGAAAUUACCUGGACAAGCCGGUGCCGGAUCUGGAGCCGGAGGGGGGGGUGUGGCGCGGUGGUUCGCUGUAGAAGAGAGGGAGGGCAGACAGAGAUGCGAGGAGAGACAGAGUAAGGGACGGACGAGUCGGGGCCAGAAGCAGAGGCAGAAGGGCGGCGCGGUUGUUCGCCGGUCGGGAAGAGGGAGGGCAGAGAGAGAGAGGGAGGUCGCACGCCGGUCGGUUGCUCGCGGUCGUCUCGCCGGUAUCCUCCUGGUUCGUCGGUUGCUCGCGGUGGUUCGCCGGUCGGAAAAAGCGAGGGCAGAGAGAGAGAGAGGGAGUUCGUCGGGGAGAGAGAGCGAGGGUAGAGAGAGAGGCGCAAAGAAGAACCCGCGCGACAGAAAACUCUCUCCAGAAACUAUAUAGUACAGGAAAAUUUUCAAAAUGGGCGCCUGAAAUUGUGGGUCCCAUGAGACACGUGUCGUACUCCCACCGCCUUCUUGUUUGCCACACCGGAGUGUCUCACGUACCUAAUAAUAAUGAUUCCAACGCCUCAAGAAAAGACCGCUGGAUAGAUCUGACAAAUGCCUAAAUUGAAUCUAAUGAAACAUAAUCCAAUGUAAAUUGACAUGUUUUUUAUUUUGACUCAUUUUCAUGUAAUAUAAAUUAAGUGACUCAUACUCGACCUCACUCAUAUCUAACUUGACUUAUAAAUAUAAAACACUUUCAUAUUUAACUUAAUUUAAAAAAAAAAAACUCAUGGAUAAAUUUCAAAAAAAGACCUAAAGUAUCAUUAUUUUCUCAAAUAUGAGCUCGAAGUGGACUUUGUUUCAAAUAAAGACUUGAAGUAGCUUUGGUUGUUUCAAAAUAAGGACCCGAUCUUGCUGGUUGCCAACUAACUAAAUUUUUCAACCGAUCGAGGGUAUUUUCGUCAUUUGGCAUUUUCCCUUUUUUUUUCUUUUUUUUAUGGUUCUUCUUCUUCCUCUUUGUCGAUGGCUGCCAGCCAUUGGCGAUGCCCACAAAGGGCUGGGUGAGGGUCGCCUUGCCAGUGAGGGCCAUCCAUGCUAGCCAUAGGCGAGGGAUGGCGUCGCUUGGGCGUGGCAACCCUCACCCAGGGGCCAUCUACAUGGUCGGCUAUGGCUAGCUACUAGUAAGCACAGAUGUGGGUGGCCCUCGCCCAGCCCUUUGUGGGCUUCGCUAAUAGUCGGCCAGCCACUGGCGAAGAGGAAGAAGAAGAUUAAAAAAAAAAAAAGAGGAAAGAAAAAAAGACGGAAAAUGACAAAAGACGAAAAUACCCUUGAUCGCCAAAAAGUUAGGUUCUUAUUUGAAACAAACAUAACCACUUUAGAUUUUCAUUUGAAACAACAUCCACUUCAAGCCUUUAUUUGAGAAAGUGAUGGCACUUUGAGUCUCUAUUUAAAAUAAUGUUCACUCCGCACCCUUAUUUGAGAAAAAGAUGACACUUCGAGUAUUAUUUGGAAUUUUCCCAAAACUCAUACCCAAACAGAAGUGAGAAUAAAUUAUGAACUUAUUUAAUAUAUUAUUUUGAGAUAAUUAAAAAAAAUAGGCUUUUAACCCAUUUUAAUAGAUCUAUCAUCGGAUAAACAUGAUAUCCCGACAUUUUUGGAAAUUUGUCCCAAUUAACAUUGCAUAAACAUGUAAGAAGGAUUGGGACAUCUCCCAAAAAUCAUGUAAUCGACAUUGCAUUGGUUGAGAAAAGAGCAAGAAGAACAUAAAUUAUUCGUUCAAUCCUACUUGAUUCAAACGGGAUGUUGACUGCCUUUGGGGAAGGACAUAUGUGAAACGCAAUAAGCAAAAUACACAGAAGACUAGUGACUAAUAGUCACUAAUUAAGUUAUGGAAAAACACAGAAUGGAAAGAUUGUGUUGGAUUCCAAAAAAUUGAUAAUGUUCAGAUACCGUAGAAAGAAAAAGGCAUCUUUUGUGUCAAGAACCGCUCUCCUUUCUCAAGAUAAAGUCGACAACAUCCUCCACAGUGUCUACGACCUGCAUAGGUAAAAAUAAAAGAGUUCAAUUGGGGUGAGCGAUUUUCAGAUGCACUUUUAACCUUGGAAAAUUUGCAGAGAAGACAAAUACCCCAUAAAAGUAACUUUCAAUUGGGCAUAUUUUGGAAAUAUUGACAUUUUGCUAGGCUGAAGAGGGAAAAGGUUCAGUCAUGUUUCACCCAACCAAUUUAGAAUUGACCGAUCACCCAGAGUAUAGCAAAUCAAGGUAUGUAAGUAUGGGAGGAUUAUCCACGCUGACAGCUCAAAACCACUUGAGGCCAUGUUUGGCUCAUUGCCCUGGAAUCAUGAAAAGGAAUCUCAAUCUAAGCAAUCAAAUUCCUAGAUGUGGGGUUCAUUCUCUAUUGUUUGGUUUCAAUUUACAAAUGAAGGGAGAAAUUUCUUAUGUGAGAUGCAAAGUGAGGUAAAAACAUGUCAGAAAUGGGGUGUAAAAUAUUUCUCCAUUCCACAUAUCCAAAGUGGCUAAGGAAAAACUAGGGAUAGAAACAGAAUGAAGAACCACAUACGAUCCCGCAACAAUUUCCCGAUUAUUGUCAUCUAAAAUGAUCAUACAGUUCACACAAUCAUUUCACAAACAGUUCACACAAUCAUUUCACAAACACAUUACAUACAGCUCCUCAAAAUCUCGAGUAAAGCAUUUCACGCAUAAUCUGCAACAAUGAAGAUAAAGCCAUUCACGCGUAACUCCAAACUACUUCACAGCCGUUACCUCAAGCCAUUGUGAUAUUCUUGUCCUUAUUGUGUUUUGAGUCAAAGACCCAAUCACGAGAACAAAUGGAGUGACAGCAACUCAACCAAGUGUGUUAAUGGAACUUUAUAUCCCCACCCAAGCCAAUGUGAUGCUCGUAGUUGGAGACGGGACCAGACAAGUUUCAUAAUAGCAAGAAAGAGAAAUAAUCUCACCUUGUAGAGGAAUGUGAGGACCAUGGAAUCAAGAGGCACGCGAAACUCCCAUGGAAGGAUUUGAAGAUGAUGAAUAUAGAGAGAGAGAGAGAGAGAGAGUUCUGGCUUUCUAGGAUUUAAAGAUUUAUGAAGCUCAGAAGUACUAUGCGUGUUGGGUUUGUGAAUGUUUUUUCCUCCUAGGAAUCCCAGUACCACCUCUACCUGAGCAAUCUAGUUCUGCAUUAGGAGUAUCCGUUAACUAGGCACUUUGAUUCUAUGAUCAUAAAUCCAUCCAAAAAUGAGCUGCAAUGGCAUUCCACUUCCCGUUUAUUACUCCAAGGUGAACCAAACAAGGCCUAAGUGAUUACAUGAUGUACUAUACUUUUGAAUGCUUUCAUGGUGGAAUCAAUGAUCUGCAGUCUCAACCAUGACUUUCCAUAGGAUCACGUAUCUAAAAUCUCUAAACCAAAGAACCUACCAUCAACUCACCCCAACGUACAUGCAAGGAGAGAUGGGAGAGACAGACAGAGAAAUGUCUGGGUUUUGUUAAGAGUACGAAUACCUACCACGUCCAUGGGAAGUUCUGAAUGAUUAUCUUUUCCCUUGAAUGCCCCAGUCCUUGUUAAUAUAGAAAACCAAGGAUCUCCUGCCUGAAGGAGUUGUUAUCAAAACUGGUGAUUGUGUUCAGAAAUAAAAUUACUGAUAUGAUAAAAUACAAUUCUCAGUAUGAAAUAUACCCAUUGUGCGCCUCUAAUGUUGAUUUUGGGUUAUCUCCUAUCAUGCAUAGUGUUCUGAAACAACGAAUUCCAGAGUAUGUAUUAUUCUCCACAUUCAAAUUGCUCAACAAAGAUGGCAUAAGAUUCCUUAACACGGUCUCAGCAUUUCCAUAGACAAAUGGAUUUGGCCUCCCAUACAAUGUAUACGCCAGCGGAAUUGGAUGUAUUCUGCAGAACAAGGACAGGUAAACAAUGCAUAACACAAGAUUGAAGAUUAACGCAUGUCACUUUGCUGCAUUGAGGUAAACUAGGCCCACACAAGGAGCUUAUAGGCCUUUCUUUAAUUUUUUGUGGAGAAUAUUAGAUCAAACUCCAUGUAGAACUAAAUAUUGAGAAGCUGAAACCUCACUAUCUUACCUGUUAUAGAUUGCUUCUAACGCAAUCCUGAAAGCUCCCAUACCGAGACGUCCACCAGGAAAAGUAGCCUGCCUUUGCACUUUGUCAGCUAGUCAUCAGCCAGUCUUUAGUUCCACCAAGGCUUCAAAAACUCAAGAUUGCUGCUGGCGUCACAAAUGGCAUAGCUUACCUGGUAUUCGAGGUCAUUAUUUGCAAAAAACAGGUGUGGUUGCUUUCCAGCCUCCCUUCUAGGAAGCCCCCCAGUUCUUAAUAUGUCGCAGAGCACCUAAACCCAAACUUGAGUAUCACAAAAUUUUUUUAAUAUACACAGACAGACAGACAGAUAGAUGAUGACACUCCAUUUUAUCACAUUUUCCAAACUAGAUGUCAGCACCCACUAGACUUUUAAAGAGAUGAUGACUAAAGUUGCAGAGCAGUUACUGAACAACCAAACAAAGCAUCGUGUCUUUUGAUAAUCAGUUCAAAGAUUUAGAACUAGCGUGAUGAAAAGCCCAGUAUGGACUCGACAGCUAAAUUAGAUAAUCUAAGAAAGGACAAGAUCCUUUAGGGUGGUCACAACCUAGAUAUCUCUGCUCCAAUCAACAGAAUCACUGACAACAAAUGCUGCCUGAACUCUCUGUGUUUGCACAGCAAUUUUAUUCUUUCCUAUCAUAUUAGAAGUGCUAUUCUGGUCAAUGUCUGGCUUAGUUGUCCAUCUCUUGUACGGUGCUGGUGGAUCAAUGGCAUCAAAGUAGCUAAUAUACUCAUCAAUUGACAGAACGUUUCUGCAUAGAAAAGACACGAGCAGAAAGAGGGUCAACUGGAGGAAAGAGAGAGAGAGAGAGAGAGAGAGAGAAUCAAGUUGUUGGAGUUCUCAUUCUAGAUGAAACAGUGUUGAACACAGACAACUGAAGAUUUAUGGAGAGGACUUCUCUGCGAUUACUCGAGUCCCUAAGAACUUGAGUGAUUUUUAUUCACUUUGCUUGCUCCUAUGUAUUACCUAGACAUCUUCAAUAGCAAUUUUAUUAGAUACAUAACUUUAUCCUUAUAACUUUUGAAAGCUUUCAGUAAACUUGACACCAUAUACUUUCAAAAGCUUUCAGUAACCUUGACACCAUAUAACUUUUGUCGAGCUAUUGUUGUUUAAAACUUUUGUGUAGUCUUUAGAUAGCAAGGGUAUGUGUGGGCUUACUUUUAUUUCUCUUUCUAGUGAUCUGCCUUAACCAUUGCUAGCAAGCCUUUUUAUUUUUUGGAACGCAUUGAGCUCCCUGUCUACUAAGCUUCUAAAGUAGUUUUGGAUGGUUGUGCAACCCGAAUUAUACUUGUGGCAUCUGUCUUUUCCUGUUCUAAUUAUGAGGGUUGCUGAUGGCCUAGAAGUUAUGAACGAUUGCCAGAUGCACAAAUUUAUUGAUUAUGUUUGGUUGUGGCAGUGUUAUAUCAAUUUACAAAUUGAAAACGCCCCACAAUAUGUAGCAUUUUGGUAUCUCAGGUUUGUUUUUGGAAGGUGGUGUGAUUGAUUGAUCUCUUGCAUCGAAUAACAGGGAGAAGUGGAUCUAGCUUGUAAUACUCUAGCUGACCACUUAAGCUUGAAGUAACAUAGAGUGUGAUCACUAAUUCGAGGAAAUUUUAACUCUGGCUAGGUGCUACAAUGGGCAAGAAUUUAUGUGGCUAACUGAGCAUUAGUACAUGCAUUGGCAUGCCAAAAUGGUUUUGUUAUGAGGGCGUUUUGAGCAACUGAUGAUGUUGAAUUUAUCAAAGAAAAUAAGAAAGUACUUUAGGUUCGUUUAAGUAAAUCAACUAACACCCUUCAAUCUCCCAAUAUAGAGAUGAGGUUUUGUGAUGAGGUAAAAUGUGUAGAAAGACUAGAAGGAGUUGUUUUUUUAAUCAAUUAAAGAUAGAGGCAGUUAAUUGUAGUGUGAAGUGAAAAGAUAUGUUUCUACAUUGCUUAUCAGAAGUGACUUGUUACUGUUGAUUAUGCUUUUUUGCGGUCAUCAUGUGUUCUAGAUGUUGAUUGCUUGUAUAUUUAGAUCAUCAUACUGCAGGGGCAUUGGUAAUUCCAUCAUUUUUGGUUGCUGGUGGAACUUCCUUUUAGUAGAUCUAAGACCUCUCUCUAUUUGGCAACUUCCUUGGAGUGAAAUUUUCCUCUGUUUUUCUUAAUUUCGUGAUGAGACACAAAAGUGGUCAGAAAACAUUUUGUGGUGCUUGACACAUUAAUUUAGCAGGGCUCUCAUCAGCCAGCUCUUUAGUUCCUGCUAUGAAAUCUGAGGACGAAUUUGGUAGAAUUAUUGAUUUCUUUUCCAACUUAGUAGUUAGCACUGCAUAUCAGUAACUAAAUUUGGUUUUUAUUGUGUUUUGAUGACAAUCUUUUUCCUGUGACAGUUGGCUCUGAUGAAGCAAAAGAGGCGUUGAAGAAACUUGGUGCUGAAGAAGUGUUCACUGAGAGCCAAUUAGGAGUAAAGAAUGUCAAGAGUCUACUGGAACCGUCCAUCCAUUAACCCAUUCUACCAUAUUUUUAUGCAUGGACACAUCCAAUUUUGGCCAUUGGCACUUGAGUUCUUUAUUUACAUCUUAUUGACUUUGUACUAGGGUGAUCUAAAAGAACCUACCCUUGGAUUAAACUGUGUUGGUGGCAAUGCUGCUUCUUCGAUGAUGAAAUUUUUGAGGUGCAACGAGUGUUAAAUUUGUGUCAAGUGCUUCCCUUAUCUUUCUGAAGAGAGCUGAUUUAGCUUUGUUCUCUAGCGGAGAGGAACCACGGUGACAUGGUGGGGUGUCUAAGAAACCAGUUACAGCGUCAACUUCAUCUUUUAUCUUCAAGGUAAAUUAAGAAGCAGCGAACUAAAAUUUCUACCUAUGGUUAUGAGGUUAUUUCAGUCCAGCCUUACAAUUUGACUUGUCUAUGUUUCGGUCUUAGUCUUGGCAAUGCCCUAUAGUUUUAUUUUUUUGUUUAAAUUUGGCCCAAAAUCUCGAUUUCAGUAUAUGAUGCAACCAAAUUUGAGCGAAAAAAAAAAUUCUCCCUAGAACUGAGACUAAGAGGAAUGUAUAAACUAAUGCAAUAAUGGUUCUUAUGGUUUGCAAUAACUUUCUUUGAGGGGAUAAUUGGAUCAGUUCAAAUGAUAUAACAGAGUGCAAAAGAACGAUAGAUCACUUGCUGGAACUAGUGCAUGAUGGUAAGUUAAAAUACGAGUUCGUCUUUUGUAAUAACUACUCAAAUUGCUAUAUUUGGGUCUCCAUAUCUUUAUAGUAAUUUUCAAUAGUAUUCAUCCUCAAGAUAGUGUGUUUGGAUUUUGGUGCAUACGAAUUCCUCCAAAACUACAAGACCGAGCUUGUUCCUUUUAGUGAUUUCCAUGUUGCACUGGAUAAAUCACCGGGGAAACAUGGGAGCCAUCCUAAGCAAGUCCCGAAGUUCUCAGGCUACUGAAUAUUUAAGGGUGGUAAGAAGAUGGAAAAAUUCUGCGUCAUAUCCUUCAGACGAUCAGCCUGUUUUGAAGUUCUGAGGCGCCGGAUCAACCAGGCACAAAAACUAUGUAUCUUUUCCCUUCUUAUUAUUUUCUCUUUACAUAAGUGAUGUAUCUUUUCCGUUGAGGUAAUUUCAUUGCUGCUUAUUUUCACCAAUUUCCAUUCUGAAUUUGUUUUGCAUCAUGCCAUCCAAUCUCAAACUAAUCUCAUGCGACAUGAGGUCCAUCUACUACGGCUGAAUUUGGAGAUCCAAACAUCGCCCCGUUUGGUAAGGGUCCAUAAAGGUUUCAGAUUUGCCAAUUACAAUUCUCAUAUACACGUAACAAAGAACAUCGGGAUACUUUCCCAAAAAUCAUGUAAUCAACAUCGCAUGCAUUGAGAAAAGAGUAAGAAGAACCAUAAAUUAUUCAUUUGAUCUAACCUAAUUCAAAUGGGAUGUGGACUGCCUUCGAGGAACAUCAUUCAUACAUGAUGAGCAAAAUCAAUAGAAGACUAGCUAAUGGUAGUUACUUUUUAUGAUAGGGAAAACACAGAAUGGAAGAUCGUACCAGCUUCCAAAGAAGUGACAAUUGUUCAGAUACCACAGAAAGAAAAGGCAUCUUUUGUUUAAGUGAUGUCAAGAACCGCACUCCUUUCUCAAGAUAAAGUCGACAGCAUCCUCAACAGUAUCCACGACCUGCAUAGGUAAACAAAAAAGAGUUUGAUCAGGAUGAGUGAUUUUCGAAUUCAUUUUUAACCUUGGAAAAUUUAGGGAGAAGACAAAUUCCCCACAAAAAAUGUGCACGGUUUUGAAAUACUGACAUUUCACAAGGCUGAAUAGGGAAAGGGAUCGCUCAAUCAUGUUUCAUCCAACCAAGUUAGAAUUCACAGAUCACCCAGAGCAUAGCAAAUCAAGGUAUGUAAGUAUGGGACACCUCAAACACUUAAGGCCAUGUUUCAUGCCCAUGCAAUUAUGAAAAGGAAUCCCGUUCUAAGCAACCAAAUUCCUAGGAGUGGGUUUUUUUUUUCCCUUUGUUGUCCGGUCUCAAAUUACCAGUGAAGAGAGAAAUGUCCAACGUGAGUUGCCAAAUGAGGUUAAAACAUGUCAGAAAUGGAAUGUGUCUCCAAUCAACAUGUACAAAGCGGAGGAUAGAAACAAAGCGAAGAACCACAUAAGAUCCCUCAACAAUUUCCCGAUCAUUGUCCUCCAAAUGAUUUUACAGUUCACACAAGCAUUUUUACGAACCGAUUAUAUAAAACUCAUCAAAAUGUUGCAAGUCAAGCAUUUUUCGCACAAAAUCCACAGCGAUGAAGAUGAAGCCAUUUUUAUUAACUUCAAACUACUGCACAGAAGUUACCUUAAGCCAUUAUUCAUAUUUCUUAUCCUCUUUGUGUUUUGAGUCAGAGACCAAUUACAAGAACUGCAAAUGGGGUGACAGCAACUCAGCCGAGUUGGUAAAUGGAACUUUACCCCCCCCCCCCCCCCCCCUCCCCCACAAGAAAAAAAAAAGCCAACAUGAUGCUUGUCGCUGAUGUCUCCAUAAAGAAUCCAAACAAGUUUCACAAUGGCAAGAGAGAGAAAGGAUUUCACCUAGUAGAGGGAUGUGAGGGUUAUAGAAUCAAGAGGCAGACGAAACUCACGUGGGAAGGAUUUGAAGAUGAUGAACGGAGGGCGGGAGAGAGAGAGAAAGUUCUGAUUUUGUAGGAUUUAAAGAGGAUGAAGCUCAGAAUACUGAGUGGGUAGAGUUCACAAAUGUUUUUCUCUUCUAGGAAUUCCAGUACCACCUCUACCUGAGCAAUCCAAUUCUGCAUUUUAAAGAGAAUCCAUAACCUAGGUAAUUUGAUUCCGCAAUCAUAAAACCAUCUGAAGAUGAGUUGCAAUGGGAUCUCAUUUCCUUUUCUUACACCAAAGUGAACCAAACAAGGCCUAAGUGAUUGCGCAAUGUACUAUACUUCUUAAUGUUUUCCAGGUGGAAUCUAAGAUCUGCAUCUCAACCAUGACUUUCCACUAGGAACACAGAUAUAAAAUCUCUAAACCAAAGAAGUGAACAUGCUGGAAUGAACACAACUUGCACAUGUAGGAACCUACCAUCAACUCACCCCCAACAUACAUACGAGGAAGAGUGAGAGAGACAAAGAUGUGUAAAUUUUGUUAAGAGUACAUAUACUCACCAAGUCAGCAAGGAACUCUGAAUGAUUAUCUUUUCCCUUGAAUACCCCAGUCCUUGUUAAUAUAGAAAACCAAGGAUCUCCUGCCUGAAGGAGUUGUUGGCAGUAUUGGUGAUUACGUUUCAAAAUAAAUUCACUGAUAUAAUAAACUAUAAUUUUUGGUAUGAAAUAUACCUGCCGUGCACCUCUAAUGUCGAUUUUUGGAUUAUCUCCUAUCAUGUAUAGGGUUUUGAAACAAAGAAUUCCAGAGUUUGUAGUAUUCUCCACAUCUAGGUUGCUUAACAAAGAUGGCAUAAGAUUCCUUAACAUUGUCUCAGCAUUUCCAUAGACAAAUGGAUUUGGCUUCCCGUAUGAUGUAUACGCCAGAGGAAUGGGAUGUAUUCUGCAGUACAGGGACAAGUAAACAAUGCGCAACAUAAGAUUGAAGAUUAAUGCAUGUCGUUAUGCUGCAUUAAGGCAAAUUAGGCCUACACAAGGAUCUUAUGGGCCAAUCUUUAAUUUUUUGUAGAGAUUAUUAUAUCAAACUCCAUGCAGAACUAACCAUUGAGAAGCGCAAACCUCACUAUUACCUGUUAUAGAUUGCUUCUAAUGCAAUCCUGAAAGCUCCCAUACCCAAACGUUCAGCAGGAAAAGUAGCCUGCCUUUACACUUUGUCAGCUAGUCAUCAGCCAGUCUUUAGUUCCACUAAGGUUUCAAAAACUCAAGAUUGCAACUCACAUCACAAAUGGCAUAGCGUACCUGGUAUUCUAGGUCAUCAUUUGCAAAAAAAAGGUGCGGUUGCUUUCCAGUCUCCUCUACAGGAAGCCCUCCAGUUCUCAAUAUGUCACAGAGCACCUAAACCCAAACUUGAGUAUCACAGAAUUAUUUUAAAGUACACAGACAGAUAGACAGAUGAUAACACUCCAUUUUAUCACUUCUUUCAAACUAUAUUUCAGCGCCCACUAGACUUCUAAAAAGAUGACAACUAAAGUUACAGAGUAGUUACUGAACAAACAAAACAAAGCCUAGUGUCUUUUGAUAAUCAGUUCAAAGAUUUAGAACUCGCGUGACUAAAAGACCAGUAUGGACUCAACAGCAGAAUUAGAUAAUCUAAGAAAGGACAAGAUCCAUUAGAGUGGUCACAACCUGAAUAUCUCUGCUCCAAUCAACAGAAUCACUGACUACAAAUGCUGCCUGAACUCUCUGUGUUUGUACAGCAAUUUUUCUCUUCGCCAUCUCAUUGGAAGUGCUAUUCUGGUCAAUGUCUGGCUUAGUUGUCCAUCUCUUGUACGGUGCCAGUGGAUCAAUAGCAUCAAAGUAGCUAGUGUACUCAUCAAUUGACAGGACAUUUCUGCAUAGAAAAGGUACAACCAGAAAGAGGGUCAACCGGAGUGAAAUAAAAGAGAAUCAAGUUGUUGGAAUUCGCGUUCCAGGUGAAACAGUAUUGAACACAGACAACUAAAAUGAAUUAAGGAGAGGACUCCUCUGCGAUUACUCAAGUCCCUGAGAACUUGAGUGCUUUUUAUUAACUUUGCUUGCUCCUAUGUAUUAUCUAGACAUCAAAGUAAUAACCAUCAAUAUCAGUUUUAUUAAAUACAUAUCUUUAUCCCUAUUGCCAAGCUAUAUCUCUCUUCCCCUCCCCCCACCCACACACCUGCAUGCACAAGCAAGUAAUUGAGACAUUGCUGGGUACAUUUGCAAACCUAGAGAAGUUGUAAAAAUAUUUACUUGUAUCCAUAUUCGGACAUCACAGCAGCAGGAUCUCCUUUGCCAACAGCAACGACAAGUUUGUUCUCGAAUCUGUGCAAAAACCUCAAUUAGGAAACAGAUUAAUAAAAUAGAGAAGCAUAUUCAUUAGUAAAACAGAAAAGCCUAUUCAGAAUUCUCUUAGAAUAGUUAGUACAUGCAUCCGCACUCUUCAAUGUCUUUUCAAUUCAUAUGAUAUAUGUAGUGCAUUUCCCUGGUUUCCAAGAAGAAAGCACAUGAGAUGAAGAUAUUAGAUGUGUUCUUUGAUACCCACGUACACAUACAAGAUGUGCACAUUUAAUAAAGUCCAAUUUCGCAGUUUUGAACCUACAAAAUUGUGUACUUAUAAAUAAUUCUUGUACAGGAGAAUUCUUACUAAGCUAAUAAUACACAUGCACAAUAUUUUAUUUCGCAAUCCCAGAUUUUAAUAAUCAUGAGUGAGAUAGAUGAAAAAAGCAAAUGUUAUUGAAAAUGCUCAGUCCUGAUUUACAUUAGCAUGCCACAUUUCUCAUUGGACAUUGGUCAUGGAGAUAAUCCAACAAAUCCUUACCUAUUUACCAGUUGUUUAAAAGGUGUGUGGCCCUGUAUGACCUGCAAAUUAUCUUGGUCAAAAUAUGAGAGAAAAACGAAACAAAGUAGUUCUGGACCUGAUAACAAGCAAAAUCGUGAGGGCAAGCAGAUUUUGUAACACAAGAGACGAACAACCUGUGAAGGUAAAAUGUUGACUCCUAGUAGUUGACCUAAGUCCUGGGCUCUUUUGGAUUCAGAAAAGCCACCUCCUGCAUCGGCCAUUGCUAUUAGCAGUGUGCAGUAAAAAUUAAUUAUCGCCUCUUCAGGAAUUAACAAGCAAAAUUUAUUAUUUCAAGGGAGUAACAUAUUGAACGACCAUAGGUAAGGGCAUCUCAAAAGGCGUCACAGAUUCAAAUUGCUUGAAUGACUUAAACAUAAGAUAGCAACAAUCUCAAAAUCAUCAAACGAUUAGUAUUAGAUCUUAAAAGUACCAAUACUUGCCGAUAAGUGAAUAAUCAACCACAAUAAGCAUAUGAUGUCCAGCACGCAACUUGAAAAGUUUAGUUUGACCAUUAUAUUGGCACUCACCGGUGAUGAUUCUAUUGAACGGUCACAUUUGGUAACACAUAUAGAAAGUGAGAAAUGUAAUAGCAAAAUUACUAACGUAUUAAAGCGAUGACUAGGACCUAUUGAAGUCUACCAAUCACGAACACUCACCAUUUGUUAAGAACACGAAAGGUAUCUUCAGCUUUCCUGAAAAGAUGUAGAACGUAAAGUAAGUGAUAGCAGGCUAUCAAAUAGCAGAUACGAAUCUCAAUAUCCCCCGCCCUUACAUCAUCAAAAAAUUCGGUAGCAAUCAGCGAAAAAAAGACAUGCAUUCGCAACGUAGAACAUACGCAAAAUGGCAAGAUCCCCAGCACGACAUAAGCCUCGCAGGUAUAUCAGCAAGCGAUGGCGAAAGCCUUACCAGAAUCGUCGUACAAUCUCCUGAGCGCGCGCGGAGAACCGCCGAUGGGAGCGUGACCGAGGAGGACCACGCCGUCGAUGUCGAAGGCGAUGCCGAACGAAGGCCUGCACGACGAAACCACGAUCGUCGAUUCGAUCACGGACGAGAAAGAAGAAGAAGAGAAAAAGAGAACAUCGGAGAAAAUCACGAGCGCAGUCGAAGCAUGACCGGAACGCACCGAUCCGAUUGCGAGCUAAGCCGCGAAAACGAGCGCGAGGUGAGCGGGGACGGCUGCUUUCUGCCGCGACUCCGCGACGCGAUGGUGAAAAGCCGGUGCCUCAUUUUCCCGUUCGUGGCGAAUCGCCGGAGGUGAAGCUUCAAGAAAAACGGAGCGAGCUUCAACAGUCCACAGAGAGAGAGAGAGAGAGAGUGGCCCAAUCGCGCAGCGUCUUCUCGUUCGAUGUUCAGUGGCCGUGAAUUGGGCCCGUUGAAAUGAUGGGCGGGCCUCGAUAGCGGAUCGGCCUUUCAUUCGGAUCCGAGCUCAACGGUUAAGCUUGAUUUUGGUGAACGUUUUUGGGCUCUUUUCUUUAGUUCUUUCAUUUUUGUUGUAUUUUUCUCUUUAGGCCUAGUAAUUUGGGCUCCUUGUCUCGGAACCUCUAGAGAGAAUCGCUAACUGCAUCUUUGGUGCACCUGGUGCAUGUACGUAUAGAAAUUCUCAACUGGCUAGUCGUAAAUGGCCCCACCCUAAGACUAUGAGACCAAUGGUUAUACCAACCUACACUGAGAUGUAGACUGUGAUUCUCAAAUAUUGAAAAACAGGGUGUGAUACAAUGAAAUAGGAUGCAAUGGAGACAGACACUGAAAAUAAAUAGAUUACUUUUUUUUUGCUAUUUCCUUGUAGCGUAGUUUAUCACUUCUAAAUGAUUUUUUAUCCAGCCAAAGGAUAAUCUUCCAUAUUUGCUCCAGCAUGUUUAACAUUUUCAACCUGGCGAAAAUUUGAUUAGAUGCAAAAGAGAAACGAGUGGAAUAUCAACCAAAAGAAAAUCAAAACUGUUAUAAACUGUUAUACACACCUUAGUAUUCGUCUUCAUAAAUAAAAGAUACUUUUGCAUUCCAUAAGUACUGACUUGUUUUGUUAUGCAGAACAUCCAUGUCUAGCACUUAGCCCAUUGUAAAUUUGAGUGUGUUGAAAGGUGAAAUAGUUUUUGUGCUCAGGGACAUGGCAUACUUACAUUGUGAAAGACCAGAGUGUGUGGCAAAAAAUUGAUAAGAAUUCUCCUAUUGAAUAUGCCGCAACAAUUUCAAUUAAUCCUCCGACCGCUUUGAGAAUGCUUGAAGACUUCACCUGCUUGGAACCAGGUAUUAGACAGUACAAAAGUCCUCUUAGCUGUCCCCCAACUUUUACCAUAAGCAAUUUUUCUAAGUUGUCCUAAUCAACUAUGAUAAUUAGGGGAUUCUAUUGUGCAAAAUGGGGCUACAAGUAUGGUGGGUCGAUGCCUCAUCCAAAUUGCAAAAUCCCACGGCAUCCAUAGCAUCAACAUAAUCAGGGAUAGGUGCUCUUUUGAAAGCUUUCAGUAACCUUAACACUAUAUAACUUUUGUCAAACUAUUGUUGUUUAAAACUUUUGUGUAGACUUUAGAUAGCAAGGGUAUGUGUGGGUUUGCUUUUAUUUCUCUUUUCAGUGAUCUGCCUUAACCAUUGCUAGCAAGCCUUUUUUUUUUUUUUUGCCCCUUGCGGGAAAGCAUUGAGCUCUUUUCUACUUAGCUUCGAAAGUAACUUUGGAUGGUUACAUAGCCCGAAUUAUAUCUGAAAUUCAAGCUCUAUGAUGACAAGUUGGAACUUUUGGGGACUAAAUUACUUAUGGCAACUCUGUCUUUUCCUGUUCUAAUUACGAACCUUGCUGGUGGACUAAAAGUUAUGAACAAUUGCCAAACGUACAAAUAUGUUGAUUAUGUUUGGUUGUGGCAGUGAUGUAUCAAUUUACAAAUUGAAAAUGUGCAAAAAUAUUCAGCAUUCUCGUAUCUCAGGUUUUUAUGGAAGAUGGUGUGAUUGACAGAGAUCUCUUGCAUUGAAUAACAAGGAGAAGUGGAUCUUGAGCUUGUGUUACUGUAGCUGACCCUUUCAAACUUAAAGUAAUACAAAGUGUGAUCACUGAUUCGAGGAAAUUAUAAUCUCUGGCUAGGUGCUACACUAGGCAGGAAUCUAUGAGGCUAAUUGAGCAUUAGUUCAUGCAUUGGCAUGCAAGAAUGGUUCUAUUAUGAGGGCAUUUUGAGAAACUCAUUAUGUUGAACUUAUCAGAGAAAGUAAGACAGUACUUUAGGUUGGUUUUGGUACAUCAGUUAACAUCCUUCAAUAUGCCAAUAUAAAGAUGAGGUUUUGUGAUGAAGUAACAUGUAUAGGAAAGAUUAGAAUGACUUGCUUUUUGAAUCUAUUGAAGGCAAAGGCAGUUAAUUGUAGUGUGAAGUGAAAAGAUAUGUUUCUGCAUUGCUCAUCAGAAGUGACUUGUUACUAUUGAUGCUGCUUCUACUAUUUUUGUAGUCAUCAUGUGUUCUAGAUGUUUAUCGCUGGUAUGUUUAGAUCAUCAUACUACUUGGGCAUUGGUAAUUCCAUCUUUUGUGGUUGCUAGUGGAAACUUACUUUUCGUAUAUCUAAGACCUCUCUUGCUUUGCAACUUCCUAUAGUGAUUUUUUAAAUUCUGUGGUGAGACACAAAAAAGGUCAAAAAACAUUUUGCGGUGCUUGACACAUUAAUUUAGUAGAGCUCUUGUUAGCCAGCUCAUUAGUUCCUAUGUGACAUCUAGGACGAAUUUAGUAGAAUUCGUAAUUUCUUUUUCAACUUAGCAGUUAGCACUGCAUUUCAAUAAUUGAAUUUGGUUUUUAUUGGGCUUUCAUGACCCUUUUUUUUCCGUGACAGAGCUGGCUCUGAUGAAGCAAAAGAUGCGUUGAGGAAACUCGAUGCUGGAGAAGUGUUCACUGAGAUCCAAUUAGAAGUAAAGAAUGUCAAGAGUCUACUAGUAUCAUGCAUCCAUUAACCCAUUCUACCAUAUUCUCAUGCAUGGACACACAUCCAUGUUUAGCCUUUGCCACUUGAGUUCUUUAUUUACAUCUGAAACUAGGAUGAUCUUAAAGUAUCUACCCUUGGAUUAAACUAUGUUGGUGGCAAUGCUGCUUCCUUGGUGAUGAAAUUUUUUAGGUGCGACAAGUGUUAAAGUAGUGUUGAGUGCUUCCCAUAUCUUUCCGAAGAGAGCUGAUUUCGUUUUGUUCUCAGGCGGGGAGGAACCAUGCUGACAUAUGGUGGGAUGUCUAAGAAACCAAUUACGGUAUCAACUUCAUCUUUCGUCUUCAUGGUAAAUUAAGAAGCGGCGAACUAAAUUUUCCACCUACGGUUAUGAGGUUAUUUCAAUCAAGCCUUACAAUUUGACAGGUCAAUGUUUUGGUCUCGAUCUUGGUCAAUGCCCUAUGGUUUUAUUUUUUGUCUAAACUUGGCCCAAAAUCUCACUUUCAGUGUUUGACGCAACCAAAUUUGAGCAAAAAAAAUUAUUCCUAGAGUGAAGACUAAGAGGAAUGGUGUAAACCAAUGCUUCCAUAUAUUCAAUCGCACAGGGAGUUUUUUUUUGGGGAGGGGGGGGGGGGUGGGGAGAGGCAAUGUAAUUACCUGUUAAGAAAUGAAGCAAACUAUGGAUUGGUGAGAAAAUCAUGCACGUGAGAUCAAGAGAUUAUCCACAUGGAUUUCUUAGGGCCAAAGAAUCACUAUCACUUGAUCCCUUAAUCGAAAGUAGUAAUUGUGGCAUAGCUCAAGCAUCUUUAAGCCUGCAGUAGGUGCUGAACAUCGGAAGAGAAACUUGUACCCAUAGGAGGCGUUCUAAUAAAAGAUCCAGAGCAAAGAAGAAGGCAUAGAAACAAUGGUUCUACUAUUGUCUCCUUCUUGAUUUCAUUGUGAUAUCUCAUGCUAAAGUUCAAUUGUACCCAUAGGAGGCGUUUUAGUAAAAGAUAUAGAGCAAAGAAGGCAUAGAAACAACGAUUCUAUUAUUGUCUCCUUCUCGAUUUCACUGUGAUAUCUUAUGUUCAAUUGUACAGUCAGUACUGCUGACUUCUGGAAUUAAUUCCUAAAUCAUAAAGCACAUCUGGAGUGUAUGAUAAUGAUUGUUAUGGUUUGCAAGAUCUUUCUUUAAGGGGAUUUUGGCUGCAUAAUUGAAUGAGUUCAAAUGAUGUGACAGAGUGCAAAAGAAUGAUAGAUCACUUGCUGGAACUAGUGCAUGAUGGGAAGUUAAAAUACGAGUAUGUCUUUGGUAACCUCUACUCAAAUUGCUGUAUUUAGGUCUCUAUAUCUUUAUAGUAAUAUCCAAUAGUAUAUCGUCAAGAUGGUGUGUUUUGAUUGUGGAUGCAUAUAAUUUCUCCAAAAUUGCAGGACGAAGCUGGUUCCUUUUAGUGAUUUCCACAUUGCACUGGAUAAAUCACUGGGGAAACUUGGAAGCCAUCCUAAGCAAGUCUUAAAGUUCUAAGGCUACUGAAUAUUAAGGGCGGUGAAAAGAUGGAAAAAUUCUACAUCGUAUUCUUCAAACGAUCAGCUUGUUCUGAAGUUCCCAUGCGCUAGAUCAACCCGACACGAUAACUAUGUAUCUUUUCCAUUAUUAUAAUUAUUAUUUUAUCUUUUCAUAAGUAAUGCAUCUUUUUCUGUUGAGGUCCCUCUUGUUGCUGCUUAUUUUCGGCAAUUUCCAUUCUGAAUUUGUUUUGCAUCAUGCCUUCCAAUCUAAAACUAAUCUUGUGCUCUGCUAAAACGUGAGGUCCGUCUGCUCAAUUUGGAGAUCCAAACAUCAGCCCUUUAUGGUAUUGGAAGGGUCCGGAAAGUUUUCAGAUUUUGCCAAUUACAAUUCUCAUAUGCAUGUAACUAUGUAAGAAGGAACAUUGGGAUACUUACCAUAAAUCAUGUAAGCAAGAUCGCAUGCGUAGAGAAAAGAGCAAGAAGAACCAUAAAUUGUUCAUGUGAUCCAUCUAAUUCAGAUGGGAUGUGGACUGCCUUAGGGGAAAGUCACACAUGAAACACACUAAGCAAAAUCAAGUGAAGACUAGCGAAUGGAAGUUACUUUUUAAGAUAAAGGAAAACACACAAUGGAAAGAUCGUGUCAGCUUCCAAAGAAUUGGCGAUUGUUCAGUAAUCACAUAAAGAAAAGGCAUCUUUCAUCUAGACAAUGUCGAGAACCGCACUCCUUUCUCAAUAAAAAGUCGACCGCAUCCCCAACAGUAUCCACCACUUGCAUGGGGUAAACAUAAAAGAGUUCAACCAGGAUAUGCGAUUUUCAAAUUCAUUUUCAACCUUGGAAAAUUUAGAGAGAAAACAAAUUCCCCGCAAAAGUGGCUUUCUAUUAUGCACAGCUUUGAAAAACUGACAUUUUGCUAGGCCGAAGAGGGAAAGGGUUUGUUCAGUCAUGUUUCAUCCCACCAAGUUAGAAUCUACAGAUCAUCUAGAGCAUAGCAAAUCAAGGUAUAUAAGUACUUGGAAGAUCAUCCGCGCUGACACCUCAAAACACUUAAAGUGUUUGGUUAAUGGUCAUGGAAUCAUGAAAGGAAUCCCAAACUGUAAAAUCAAAGAGGACAAUAGCCGGGAAAAUGUCCAACGAUCUUAUGUGGUCCUUCAUCCUGUUUCUAUCCCUAGUUUUCUAUUAUUCACUUUGCAUAUGUUGACUAGAGACGCAUUCCAUUUCUCACAUGUACAACAUGAUUAUUAUGUCAAGAGAUGGGAUUCAUUCGGUGAGCAAAGGCCAACAUGGAAUUCCACUAUGACCCCAGCCUAAGAAUAGAAUUUCUAAACCAAUCUAGUAAUUUAUUUUUGGUUAUUUCACAGAAAAUAAAUAAUUUAAUAAAUAUUUUCCAAAAAAUGAUUAUUUAUAUCGCUCAAAAUAAUUAUUUAAUAAUAAAUAUUUUUAUUAUCUAUAAUAAUUUAUAAUUAAACAUUUUCAUAAAAAGUGAAAAUAUUUUUAGUUCAUUUAUUUUUAUAAGCAAUACAAAUGAUUAUUUUUAUGAAGAAUAUUUUAUUAAUCAUUCUCUUAAUCAAAGAUACACUCCUGUUAUGUUUGUGCUAUAGUCCCAUCUUCUUAAUUGAAUUAAUUAAUCACCCAGGCCAAAAGUAAAGCAAAAUCUUUCGGGCUCUAAAUAGGCAAUAAUACUCUAACGGAUUUUCAUUGACCAACAUUUAGUUAUCCUCAUGGACCAAUACCAUAUGUUUUUAUGGUCGUUAUAGUCAAAAAGGGGAUUGGAAAUUAGAAUACCUUUUGAAUGGAGGAGAUUAUGUAAAGGCAAAAGAAGCAACAUGGAUGGACCAUUUUUCUUAGCAGGAGUCCAUCUUUUUCCAAAUGUAAAUGAUGUAGCAGAAGUUUCGCUUGUUACUUCCAUGUCAUUAACGAGGCUGUCUAAUCAUUCAUUGUCUCCUUAAAAGAUGAUGAUCACACGCUUCCAUUGGCCGGCGGUUAGUACACUAUUAAACCGUCAUCAUUGACUUAUCUCCCCCGUUGGGUGCUUAAAUCAAAAGAUUAAUAUACUGAAAAAUCCUAAAUUGGUACAUUUAUGAUAAAUUUACUCCAAAUUAAUUUUUUGACCAUCAAAAAUCAUAAACCGAUACACAUUUGACAAAUUUACCCCAAACCAGUACACUUGUGACAAAUUUACCCUCUAUUAAUUUUCGUUAAAUUUUAUUGUUGAAUUAUUAAAUUAAAUGACAUGUGGCAAUUAAUUGGUAUAUCAAUUUGGGAUUUUACUCUCCGUUUGUCACAAUUUAUAAUUUUUGUAAUUUUUUUGUGGUAUUAAUCCAAUUUAGCAUGGGAUAUAUUUGUUACAAAUGUACCAGUUUGGGAUUUUUGACGGUCAAAUAAAUUAGUUUUUGGUAAAUUUGUCAUAUAUAUACUAUUUUAGGGUUUUUUAUCGUCAAUCGGAAUAAAUUUGUCACAGGUGUAUUAGUUUAGGGUUUUUCAUGAUAAAAAAAUAAUUUAAGGUAAAUUUGUUACAAGUAUACCAGUUUGAGAUUUUUCAAGGGAUUAACCCUAAAUCAAAAGAAAACCAGCGUCGUUUUAUCAUGUCACGGUAUCAUUGUUAGAGUUAAACAAUUGGAAUGGAGUACCAUGUUAGAAAAUUCUAUGAGACUUAGCUGAUAUUUUAUUGCAUUUUCCCUCAUAAGUUUAAGACUAUAUUAAUUUAUCAAGAAAUUUAAACAUUGAUAGAUUCGGGCUUCAGUAUAAUAAUAUUAGGACAGAUUAUGCAAUUAUCUUGAAAUAUGACAAUUCAAUUUUUUCAACCCCAUGCUCACACUCAACUCAAUGCAAUAUAUAUACUCACAUCAAACUCGAUUCAACUCUAACAUUAAAAACUAAAUUACAGUGUAAACCUUCUAACUCCAUCUCAAGUUCUCAUAAAAAAAUUCAAAAAUAAUGAUUUUUUUCAAAUGUCCUUAGUAAAAACCUUUAAAUUAUUAACAGGAUUGCAAGUCACGUGAUUGUAGUAUUACGAAAUUUGACACCUCCAACAAUGGCAACCCAUACUGUUGGGUCCAAAUCCAUAAAAGUGGGGGUGAAGUGCUUUUAUAUAUAUUUAAAAAUAUUGAUCUUUCUAGAACUAGCCCCUUAUUUAUUUAUUUUUAUAUGCAAUUCAACCGGUAGUUUGUAAAAAGGAACUUAUAGAAUUUAGGGAAAGAGAAAUUGCAGAAACUCUUUAUAGAGUUUCAAUUAGGAUAUGCCUUCUCUUCCUUCUAGCUAUAGUAGCCCAGUCAGGUUGAAAUCCACCACUUGAGCCAAUAGUGCAAAUGCCAAGAACUUUUGUAUUGCGUGGACUCAACUCCUUCGACGGCUAUGUCACUAUAGACUAAAUAACUAUUAGAUCUCUUUCAAUAGCUAUUCUCGCACCUUGUGCACACGGUAUGGUAGACAUAUUUUCCCAAAAUUAUCAACCACACUCUAAGUGUUUACAAGUAAUCAUUCGCACACUUCGUCUCUUACCUAAACAAUUGUAUUCUCUCUAAGUACAACCACUUCUUCCGUGUGUAUAAAAAUGAUUUCGGCACCCUUGCUAACUUUUAGGAUCAAAACUCAAUUGACUACAAAAGCUCAAAGUAAUAGAUAGGCCAAAAAAAAAGGAAAAUAAAGGGUUUGAAAAGUCAAUAAAAGAAGCUGAACGAAAAUAGUGGAAGCUUCAGCUGUUUUAAAGAGAGGAGAGAGGGAGGGCUUCAACAGAAAUGAAAACAAGGGAAAUGGAAAUAGGGGAGAGAAGAUGUGACAUCCUGAAUUUUAUGUUUUGUUUUCGAUUGAAUAAGUUGGGCUUUUCAUUUAUGUGCCUAUUGUUCUUUUCUCUGAGCUGAUCACUCACGAGAUAACUAGUCUCUGGUGAAGCCGUUAAGAUAUUUUAAUGCAAUAGAUCUGAGAAUUCGACUAGAAAUCGACUGCUCAAUCGUGCUAGUCUGCAAAGGUCAUUACGGUAUAGUUAAAAAUCAAUUAGAGACCGGAGAUAGAUCGACUCGACUGAGCCAUGUGAUAAAGUGUGGGUGAUUCCACCUAAUUGCAAAAUUCUCGUCGAUCGGCACUAGACGGAUUAUACUGUUAUUUUGGUACCCUGUAUCCGUAUUUAAAAUCUUGAAAUUUUCCCGACAACCGAGAGUCAUCAAUGUGUCAAAGAUAUACAAUGUAGCUCGAAAAUAAUCGACCACGGGUCAAUUGCACUAAAAAAUCCUAAAAGCUACCCAGUAAGUUGGGUCACGCUAAAAUCACACCAGAUUGAAAUUAACCGUGAAUUUAAACCCGAUUUCAAAAAUUGAAAGUUCUUUCAUGCCACAAUUCAUUUUAGGACCGUCAACUCAUCCUCUAAAGAUUUUUCUGCAAACCGAGAUUUUUUGGCAAAAUUUCAAAGUAAUGCAAUUUUUGUCCGGGAAAAUCAGAGGACCGUUUUUUGUCACAUUUUUUAGAUUCGAAUUGGUUCAAAUGGUGAGGAAAAAUGUAGUAUUUGACGAGGACACCUUGGUUGGAUUUAUAGACGUCAAAUUGAGUUCAAUUAGAGGGGAAUUGAAUCAAUUUGGAUGGAAAUUGUACAAAAUUCGUAGGCCAAAGGGUGUGCAACAUUUGAGGCAUCAAAGGAAGCUUCUAGGGGAAGUUUUGGUGCUGCAAAAUUGGCUGUGGAUAGGGCAGAGCUAGUAGGGGCAUGCAAUGAUUAAGAAAGAGGAUAUUUGUGGUCAAGGGGACCCCCAAAGCUUCUGCAGUCUUCUUCUCCCUCAACCAGCUUCCUUUAUCCAUUGUUGAUCACUUUUGAAGGUCCAAAAAACUAGAGAGAAUCCAUAGAGGAACCCCCCCACCGUCGCAAGCCCGCCCAAAGCCGCCGGACCACCGCUCGCCAAUCGCUCACGUUGCGCAUCCCUCACGCGCACCGUCCGCCCGUUUCAUGCCAACUGCCAUUUUCCCCUGAGCCCUUGUCGCCGUAGGAGCUCAACCAAAGCUCCACCAUCGCCGUCGACCGCUGCAGCCAUCGCCACCCUCUCCUUGCCGUUUUCGCACCAACCAGCUGUCGUUCCAGUUUGCUCGACCCAAGGACAAAAUUGAAAAGCCAGCAAGGAGUUUCAAACUUCAAGGCCCGUUUUCAGGCUCGUCCGGUCUCCGCUUGGUGUGGCCGCAAGGUUGUUUGUUGCCUGUCUCCGCGUCACCGUCGCCGUGGACUCACCAGAUCGCUAAACCAAUGAGUUUACUUGCUUAACUCUACUUAGGGAGUUAAUGACAUUUAAGGGGUGAUUAGUUUAAGUUAAGCAUGGAUUAGGUGGUUAGUUAGAAUGGAUUAGUGAUUUAAUUAAUCGUUUGUGCAUGUUAAGUGGUUAAAAUAAACUAAUUAGAGACUAGAUAAGUUGUACUAUUUAUCUAGAUAGGUUCACAAAUUUUCCCGACUCGUUCGGGUAGUUAAUUAAGCAUUUUACGGCCUAAGUUGAUAUUUUUGGUAAUUAAUUAUAUUUAUUUAAUUAUUUUUGUAUUUAUUUAAUUAUUUGUUUAUUUUCCGGAAAUUAUACCGGGAUAGCCGAUGACCAAGAUUUCGUGCUAAUUGUAAUGAUGUUAAUUGUAAUGAUGUACUUAGUUUUUACAAUUGAAUGCUAUUUUGGAGAUAAGUACACUAUCAGUGCUAAAAGUUGUGUACGGCGCCCACUUUGGUGCCAAAAGUUUAUUUUAGAUCACUUAAGUGCCAAAAAGUUUGAAAAAUGCUCAUUUCAGUGCCAACGCCGAUCUGGUUGGCUGAAAAUCCGACGUGACAGCUUUUUAUUAAUAUUUGAAGCCGAUGUGGAUCGUUGGAAAGUACAAUCAACAUGCAAAAAACAAAACAACAUCGUUUAGCGUCUUUUCCCCCAAAUAAAAAACCCUAAACCCCCAAAUUCGACCAGAAUCGGAAGUUGAAAACCCUAAAUCCCCAAUUCGACCCAUUCGAGUGCAUACUUCGAUUUUCUUCCAAAGUUAUCAGCUCGCUCUUGCAAAUGGAGGGCAGAAGCUUCGGCAAUGGCUCACAUUCCUAUUUAAAAAAAAAGUGAAUUAGAUAGUGAGUGUUACUGUUAUUGUGGUUUACCGAGUCCGAGAAGAACAUAUGGGAUCGAUUGAAUUCCAAGAGAAAAUUCCAUGGAUGCGGCAAAUAAAGUGCAAAUAUUUCAAAUAAGUUAAUAGAAAAUUCUCUGAUCGAGCGAUAGAGGUGAUCUUGGUGUUACUCGAAGGUCGAAAUCAACCUCCACUUACGUUAAUAGACAAGUUGAAAAAUGUCGACUCAAUGCAAGCUCAAAUGAAAGGUUUAACAUCUCUGGUUGACCAUUUGAAAAUGGAGACUUCAAGACUGAAAAUUAAAAUAAACUUUUAUCGAGCGUUGAUUGUGUUCUUAUUCUCUUGGAUAAUUUAUUCAAAUGUGAAGUGAGUAAUGAGAAGAAGUUUGAAUGUCUACCGUAGUCGAAGACACGGAAUAUGCACUUGUAUUGGAUUAUUUAUAAGUAAAAUGUGUUUUUGGUUUGCUGCAAUUUUUAUAUGCAGUAGAAGGUUUUGUUGUAAUCUAUGGUAGAAAUGGAAGGUUGGAGUUGGAAUGCAUUAGUUGUGAGCACUUAAAAGUUUCAUUAUUUAGUUGUGUAUUGUCAAUAUUUGUUUUAGUUAGUUUUUGUUUUAGAUAUAAUGAUUUGCUGCAUUUUUUAAAUGGUUGCUGGUUUGUUGUAACUACAAACCAUGGCAAAAUGGAAGGUUAAAGUUGGAAUGCAUUAGUUGUGAGCACUUACAAAUUUUAUUGUUUAGUUGUAUAUUGUCAAUAUUUAUUUUGGUUAGUUUUUGCUUCAAAUAUAAUGGUUUGCUGCAUUUUUGUUGUUAUAAUGGUUUGCUGGUUUGCUGGUUUGCUGCAACUGCAAACUACGGCGAAAUUAACAGAUGGUGGCAAAUUUACGAUUGACCAUUUCAGUGCCAUAAGUUGUAAAUAGUAAUCGCUUAAGUACCAAGUUUUUAUAAAAGUGAUCAUUUAAGUGUCAGUCGCGAUUACAAAGUGAUCACUUUUGUUGCACAAGUUUUUUAGAAAAACAUGUUAGUUUCAAACUUGCACCAGUCGUGAUGCAUCUUGCAUCUUGUUGCACCAAGGCAUCUUAUUCUUGCUGGUGCAACAAGAUGCACCAGCACCGAAAAUUCCAUCUUAUUCUUAUUCUUGCACCAGCACAUACAACCAGAACCCCACAAAUUCAUUAGCAUCCACAACAGCACAAAAAUAUACAGCAUAACUAAUAGAUAAUCGUCUUGCUAGCAUUACUAGUCGAAACUAAGCCAAGAGAAAAUAACACAAACAACUAUUACCAUUGACAUUGAUUGAUUGUUUACAAAAUAAAAACGUGUCUAACUUCACUCCCCAAUCACUAAAAGUUCAGCACCCUCUUAAAAAAAAAUAAUGGCAAUAUACAGGCAACAACUACCAUCAAUGAUAUAAUAUCCAGCACCCUCCUAAAAAAAGAAAACAUAAAAAGAGAAACUAUGUCCAGCACCACAUAAAAAGAGACCAUGUCCAACACCCUCCCAUCAAUCAAUAUGAACAACACCACGAUCUCCUUUUCCUCUUAGAGCUUUGAAUUAAUUCAUAAUCCGAACACUCUUUCGAACUGAAUGUUCUGGUUCUUUAACUGGGCUUUUUGUCACCUCAUUUUGCUUGUUCUUAACAGCGGCUAUUUUUGUUCUAGCACGUGUCAUGUGUUGGUCUAUAUGAUCACUAUUGCUCUCAACGUUGGUUGAGAUGGAACUGGUGCUAGGUUCUUUUUGGAUGGCUGUUUUGUAGCUAUACUCAUUGUCUUCUUCUUUGGAGCACUCUUCUUUGGCUACGCCCUUGAUUCUUGACUUCGCCCACCUGGAGAGAGAAAUACCUCCGAAGUUCUCCCAGUCUACAAGAACAUAGCGAUAUUGUCAACCAAAUGAAUUAAAGUACAAUAAAUUAAAUGCAUGAGGCGUACAAAUCUUACAUUCAAAAUAGUCAUUCCAAUAUAUUAAUCUGUGUAAAUCUCAUAACCAUAUUGCCUUAAUCUUUUUCCAAUAGCCCCUUUUGUUCGCUAUGAUGCAUCAUUUUCAGCAGCAAUUAGGGGAGCAACCUCUACAACUUGUGCAGUUGCUCGUUUUCUUACCUGAAAAACACAUAAUAAAUUUAAAUUUCAGCCCAUAAAAGACAAAUACGGCGAUGUACAGCUUACAGAAUAUUUUUUUCUCGCUUGCUCAAUAGUGGACUCAAUUGUUGUUGUUGUUGUCCUGUCCGUUCCAGUCCAUGUUCCUACACUUGAGCCUACAACAGGGCCUGUUUCUAGCCCUUUAGUAGGCCUUAUAACAAUAUACUAUAUCAGGAUUAUGACCAACUACAAUUAUUUGAAUAAUUAAACAUCUAUUUAUUUUCAUGGUGGGAAACAAAUGGAGAAAACUUCUCAAAUUACAAGUGCAUGACAGAGGAAAAGCACAAGAGAAGCCAGUACACCUGAUCAACCAUCAAACUCUAUCGAAUAUGAACUGAAAAGUUACUGAGGCAAAGAGGAUACUUACCUUACAGCAGGGCUUUUUAUUUACCCUUCAAUAGGCAUUACAGCAGGGCUUUCUGUCCUCCCUUUAAUAGGCCUAAGAAGAAGCUCUUUAGUAGGUCCUGUCUCUAAAUCAGCUUGCUAUUGAUGCUGCACAAUCUUUCUUAUCGUGCCUUUCCUUGCGGCAUAGAAGCAUUUAUCUUUGCCCCAUUCCUACUCAUCCUCUGACUUGAUGCACCUUCCUACUACAUUCUUCGACACAUCUUUGGCCUUCACAUCUACUUCUUCGAUGGAUAAGGUAGAGAGCUUUCAUGAUUUAUUGGCUCCCAAAAUUUGCUGCUUCUGAUAGGCUGCAUCACGAAUUGGUAUGAAGCACUGUAUGAGCUUUUUUUGUACCAAUCAUCUGGGUUUCUACUUCAUCUGAAUAGGACAAAUGGCAUGGGCACGAGGAAUUACAUUCAGUUGCUAGGCUCGAUAUGAACACUUUCUUCAAUCCAGGUUGACAACAUACUUAUCCUGAUUUUUAAUAAUCUCAUAUCAAUUAACUCCAUUCCAAACUGGAUGACAAAACCUACUAACAGCAAUGUUUGCAUCCAAUCUCUUCAUAAUCAUAAGGCUACAGUCUCUAGUCAAUUUCAUAAGCUCAUCUCUUUGCCUAUGCAAUCUAGUCAUCACCAUAACUCGAAUAUCAUCAAGCAUGCUAAUAAUUGGUUUGUACCUGGCCUCUAAAAUUUUGCUAUUGAAAGCUUCGCUGAGGUUAUGAUAUCGCAUUUGAACUCUUCACUGAAGAAGGCCCGACACUAGUGCUUAGCUUCUGUCUGGAAGAGUACAUCAAAACUUUCCUUUGUCAGCUGCAACAAUCCUUGUUUGACUAAUCUAAAAUCAGCCAUGUUGGUACUCUUCAUUAUCUACUAGAACUGCUUCUAUAGCCUAUCUCCUUUGAAGUUCCUUGACCAGUUUGCAUAUAUGUGCCUCGCUCACAUUCUAUGCUCAGCAUGUGACAUCAACUCAGCCAAUGCAAGAAUAAGUCCCUACAAAAAUUCAAACCAAUAAAUACAAAUCAGGAAAAAUAUGCAAGUGAUUAAUAUUAAAAGGGAAUUGAUUAAUUGACGAUGGAAUUACCUUCUAUUGGUCGCUCAUGAAUGUUCAUCCUCUCCCAUCGAUUAUUUCAAGGUCAGCCAUUAAAUUUUUAAGAAACCGGGACCAACUAUCCUUGUUCUCUAUCUUCAUCACCGCCCAAGCUAUCGGAAACAUUUGAUUAUUAGCAUCUCUCCACACAGCAGCCAACAACUCCCCCUUGCAUAAACCUUUUAGAAAGCAUCCAUCCAAUCUUAUAACUAGGGGUGAGCAGCGGUUUAGGGUCGACCCUGGACCGACCCUGGACCGACCCAACCCUGUCGGUCCUGGUCCGGUUCCCAAGGGGACUGGGUUGGUCCUUGGUCCUGAAAUUCCAAGACCAACACUGUGCGGAUUGGUCCUCGGUCCUAAGAGUUUUGAGUCGGUCCAACCCUGGACCAACCCUGUAUAUUAAAUUAUAUUAUUUAUAAUUCUUUUAUAUAUUCAAACCUAAGUAAAAUGUCUAUUAUAUUAUAUUAUAUUGAGAUGUUCUAUCAAUAUCACUAAUAGUAAUUUCAAUUUAAAAUUUUUGUUAAGUAUUAAUUAUGUGUCGUUUGUUUUGUUUUCAAGUGUUUAGAAAUUCAAGUGAAUUAACAAGAUGUGAAGUUAUAUAUUCAUGGUUUAUAUUAAGUAUUUUGAACUUUUUUUGAUUAAUUUGUAUUUUACUAAUGAAUUUCAGCUGCACUUUGCUUUUCAAUUUGUGUCAAAUGGUAGAAGUUUUUGAAGAGUAGAGUAGUACUGCAGUUGCUACGGUAAUUUGCUAGUCAAGUGGUGUGAAACUCAUUUUUUGGUUGAGUAGACUCUACAUGAUCAAAUGCUAAUCAAGUGGUGCGAAGCUCAUUUUUUGGUUGAGUGGACUCUACAUGAUCAGAAAAACACUUUUGCAUAUGGUGUUAUAAAUAUUAAAGAUAGAUGAUUACAAGAACUUUCCAUCUUGUCCCAUAUCUCUAUGAGCGGUUAGCGGAUACGAAAUUUCUAUGAUUGUGUCAUCUUAAAUUUGCUAAAUAUGUAUUGGUAUUUUAUAGUUUAGUUGCACAAUACCGUAUUGUUGAUGGAUGUGUAAUUUGAAUUUGUAGGUUUGCUUUUUUAGGAAGUAUAAAAAAUAAGACCAAAAAAAUUAUUGAUCGGUCCCGGGUUGACCCUGGAACCGGACCGAACCCAUUGGGUCGGUCCGGUCCUUGGUCUCAGGCUCAAUAGGGUCGGUCCUCGGUCCUAAAAAUUGAGGACCGACACUGUAUGGGUUGGUCCUAGGGUUAGGGGGUGGCCCGGACCAACCCGGACCAUGCUCACCCCUACUUAUAACUCUUCUACAACCAGCCAAGAAGCCCCAUUUGCAUGCAUUAAAAUAAACAUAAAAUCUAUCAAAUCUAAACUCAUAAUCAGGGAGUGGUCUCUCUACAACCUCUACAUAUACCCGACUAGAUGGGUUUUGAAACAUGCAUUCGCCAGCAUAAUCCCAUACCUACGCAUAUUCUUCCUUAUACCCAUCCAUCAAUAUUUUCAUCACUCUCAUCUUAGCUCUCUUGCAUUGAUUCCUUGACACAUUAACCCAUAAUUGCUCCUUCACUAAUAGUUGAAAUUGAGGACAUUGCUUUGAUAGUAUUGAAAAAAUGCUUCGCUAAUCACACACUUGUUGCCCUUUUAUUGUUAAAGAUAAUCGGACAAGCAUGCUCCUCUUGGAAGGACCUAAUCUGGAAUGACCCCUUCUUACUCAGCGCGCCAUAGAGCCUCCAUGAACAAUUGGGUUGUGAACACUUAGCUCUCAUAAAUUCCUUUGUGUUUCUAAUGAAUUCAACGCUCCUCUGUUCAGCAAUGGAAUUCUUCACAACAGCUUCCUUGAACUGUUUGGCAUCGUCAAAUCUCAUGCCCAUAGACAAAACAGGUUUAUCAAUAGUCGGAUCAUAACGAAGGUACUUACUUUUUCUUCCACAAACAGGUUCUUCAUCAUCAUAGUCAAGCUCAUUCUCCAAACCAGCAACUUCAUCGCCGCAGCUUUCUUCAUCUUCACUUCUAUUACCUUCAGCUGGAGCUACAUCCCUAUUUACUAGCUUGGGCCUCUUUGCUAAAGUUGCAACUUUUUUUUCUGAGAAAUUCCCUUUGCUUUUGUCUUGACUAUACGAGUUCAUCAUCAUCUUUGUCACUUGGGAAACUUACUGAAACCAAAUAUUCAUCUUCUAAUUCACUAGAUAUAGUAAUUUCCCAUUCUAAUCCAAUGAAAUCUUCAUCACCCACAUCUUCCCCAAAGAUUUCAAGACAUCUCCCUGUUUGUUCAUCUCUAUCAAUAUGACUUCCCUCCCUCUCAUUUUGCCUUUCAUCUAACAUAAACUCAUCCCCGACUUGAUUACUCGCUUGAGUAAGAUUCCUCACUUCUCCUCUUUCAGUGGUGGUCUACUUAUCCCCAUCCCCAUCCUCAUCCUCAUCCUCAUCCUCACCAUCCUCAUUAUCACGAUAAUACUCAACAUAUACUAUAACUUCUUCGACGUGAAGAUAAUAGUAAAUGAUAUCCUUAAUACCAUUAUUAUCAUUAAAAAAUCUCAAGCCAUCCUUCAAUUCCUUCCCAUGAACACAGUAAUGUAGUUUUUACACUUUGCAUCAUAAAAAAUACACCAAAUCCCUCAGAAAAUCAAUAUAUGAUGACUUCCGAACAUUGACAUAGAUAGUACCUUCAUUUCCACCACUAUAUUCCCAAUCCUCAACGCCAAUAAGAAACUCUCCACCAUAACAAACAAUGACGCCUACCUGAUUCUCGUCCAUGUCGAUGUUGCACCCAAUUGAAAAAAAAAAAAAAAGCCAUUAGUUUUCGGGACCACAUAACAGAAUCGGCAACUUCACAUGCAGGUCAUUGUUGUUUUGUUAUCCAGAAACAAAUGCAACGAAUUUAUUCAAUUCGGUGCUUUUAUAGAAACAAAUGAAACCGAAUUGAAUAAACAAAGUCGGGUCCCCACCACCCAUUUUUCAAUUCAAUCACAUUCGGUCCCCCACAGAAGCAGUCUAAUUAAUAAAAUAAAGUAAGGUCCCACCACUGUUUCCCUUCGAGUCGAACCCCCAUUUUCCCCUCCACGCCCUAUUUUUCUAUUCAGUCCCCACAAAAGAAAGCGAACGAACGACAGAACCCUCAAUUUUUCUAUUCAAUCCCCAUAAAAGUAAGAUCCCCACCACUUUCCCCCUGAACCAAGCCCUCAAUUUUCCCUCUGCGCCCUAACUUGCCCGUCGGAACCCUAAAUUUUUCACUAAAUUGACCCACGUAAAGAACAUGACAAACCUCAAUGACUGAGAGUUGGGGACGCAGCCAAAGAACGACCGUGAAUGACGGUGAAACUACAACGAUGGCCAAGUGACGGCGAGUGAGCGAACAACGGUGGGUGAGCAAACAACAGUGGGUGAGUGAGCUACGGCCGGCGUCGAGUGAGAAUCAUAUACGAACACCGUUUUGGUCAUUUUUUACCGUAGUCAAUCUACUCGAAUCCACUCUAACGACGGUCGUUUUGUAAGUAAUCCACGUGGAAUGAUAAAACAACGUCGUUUCUUACGAAGAAAUGAAAAUGGCGUCGUUUGUUCCCACCCACUGUGGAUAGUCGUUUUUUUUUUUUAAAUAUAAAAGACACGUAAUCAUUUUGGCUGGAACUCUCGCCGGUGGCACCAAAGUGAUCAUUUUUUCUCCGAUUUGGCACUUAAGUGAUCCGACGGAAACUUUUGGCACCAAAGUAAGCACCGUACACAACUUUUAGUACUGAUAGUGUACUUACCCCGCUAUUUUGUGCAAAUUAAGUGGUGAUGGUAAUUUUGGGUAUUUAUCCCAAAAUUGUGUAAUUUCGAUAUUUAAUCAGAAAAUAUCAAGGCGUCGGUUUUUAACGCCAAAAAUGUUUUUAGGCACUAUAUUAAAUAGUGGGAUUUUUGAAAAGAAAUAUAUGACAUUUUGGCUCAGACCGACCGUGUACCCAUACACGAUUAUUUUUAUCGGAUAUUUUUAACACGAUGAUGAUAGGCCAAGUUCGUUAUUUAAUUGAGGAAUUGGUGUGCAAAGCAUAAUGUCCUUGGUCGGGAUUGAUAGCAUUGAAUCGUCAGCUUGUGUGAGCAUUGAAUUGUCAGCUUGUGUGAGCAAUAAUUGUCAGCUUAUGAGAGCAAUAUUAUAUAUUAGCUUGUGUGAGCAAUGAUCAUCAGCUUGCGAUAAUAUUCUAUAUCAGCUUGGGUGAGCUAUAAUAUAUACAUCAGCUUGUGCGAGCAACCAUCUAUAUUAGCUUAUGCGAGCAUAAAUAUAACUCAGCUUGUGUGAACGGUGAUCGACUUGAUUGAAUUGAUAGAUGGUAUUAAUCGUAUCGAAUUGAAUGGAUUGAAUGAUCGAUUAGAUUGAAUUGAUUGGUUGAGAUUAUGAACUGUACUGACGUGCAAGAGGGAACUAAAGCAAUGUAAGUAUUCUGACUUGUGUGUAUAGACUGCCUCUAUGCGUAUUUCCUUCCUAGUCGAAGUUUAGGAGGUGAACUUGCUGAGACAUUGUCUCACCCCGUCGUAGGCUCAACUUUUCAGGUCCUUAGAUGGCGGUUCCUCUGAAACGUGUUGGGCAACCCAGGAGGAUUUCCGAGCAGGUUACUCAAUUCCUUAUUCCUGGGGGCCACGAGGUCUGGGUCUAUGAACUCGUGAUGACCACCGUCUGGGUUGAUGAGGGUUUACUUCAAAGAGUACCCCAUCAAUUUAGGGCGUGGUAUCGUUGCGGGCUCAAUGGACACAGGGAGGGUCCCUUAUAGGAUUCUAAUGUCCCAACUACGGUAAUAGACGUCGCUCAUGGCGAGGGCACAGCUAACCCUCCUGCUAGUCAGGUGGUGGACCCAAGUCCCCAGGAGACCUCGAAGUUUUCAGUUAGGCAUUCAAGUGCCCAGAGGACUUGUAGGCUUUUCUGUUUGAGCAGACUUUUGACUUUAGACUAGUUUUAUAUAUAAAUCGGUCUGUUUAUAAAAACAUGUUUUGAUUGUGAAUUAUUUCUUGCUUUUUUAUCCCAUGUUGUUUUCUGUUAGGGGAUUUGUUUAUUCGCUUCCACAUGCGCAAUAAAAUGAAUGGGUCGGUGACGCGUCCUAGGACAUCGCAAAUUUAUCGACCACCGAGGGAUGGGCACGCGCUCGAGGAUCAGGGCGUGACAGGAGAGAAAGAAGAGAAAGGAAAAAAAAAAGGGGGAAAAAGAGAAAAAGAAAAUUUUGCAUGUUUGCAAUCCGGACGCCUCAUCAAGCCAACUCAAGUUUGUUUUGCAACGCUGGUAAGAGAUCAAAUCUUUAAUCAUCUACUUGAAGCAAUCAUCACAAUUAUGACUCAAAAUUCGGAUUUCUUGGAUAUUUGUAUGGCGAAGCCCGAUUUUUGAUUUUUUAAGCUGCAUAUUUUUGUAGAAAUGGUACUUGGGGAUGUUGUGAAGCUAUAGCAUCUUAUGGAUCAUGAUUUAAGCUUGCGGUUUGUCUGGAACGGAAUUUUAAAGUUGGGGGCGCAUUUUGGAACUGUAGCAAUUAAGCCUGUUUUUUUGUUGUUUUCGGUGUUGUUUUGGGGCGGCUGAGUUGAGGCCGUUGUAGUACGUCAAGAGAUUUCUAAAGAUUGUAAGAUGGCUUAAAACAAAUUUUGUGGAGGAAGUUAUGGCACGACAAAGUUGGCGCAUGGGCCGCGCCUAGUAGAAAACAAUAGGUUUUCGCUAAAUGUGAGCUUUUGUGACGCAUAGGUGUUGUUUCAUCGACAAAUAGGCCUAGUAUGGGCGAGUCCUUAUAAGAAUAUCAUUUUUACUCGGCCUUUUGAUAUUUUUUUUUCCGUUGAUUGUUAGGGAUUCGAGUACAUUGGUUCGAGUAAGCGUCGUAGUUGAUUUUUAGCUUUUCCCAGGUGAGUGGCACUAUUUUUUCUUUGUAUUUUAAACUCAUGUUUUGAGAAACAUGAUGGAUUAUAUAUUCUAUGAGUUGAUAAAAAGGCAUAUCUUGUUGCAUAAAACAAGAUCGAGCUAUUACUACCAUUUUGUUGUUUUAAAGAAUGAGUUAUAUUUCGAAUUCGAUUUGAAUGGUUGUUUGAAAAUGGUUUGUGAAAUUCUUUAUGAAAGAAUCCUAAGACAUUUUGAAGAAUGCUUUGAUAUUUAUAUAUCAAAUUUUGAGUUGUGAUAUGACUUUCCUUCUGAUGUUGGAUUACUGGAUAUUGUGAUUGUAGUUAAUGCUUAAUAUCUCUGUGAACCCUAAGGGGUGUGUGGAUAUGUGUAUACUAAUCUAGGAUAUCAUUGUGGCCCUAGUCAUCGGCUAAUAAUAGGUGAAAACUUUCUCAAGAGGGGAGUCUUGGUCAUCUUGUCACGGGUAUUACGUGUGACCAUGGCUAGACAUUUGAGCAUGAAUUAGUCAAUGGAGUGGACCAUUGAUAUGUGACUUGAGUUUGAUCGAUGAAAUUGACCAUUGAUGUAUGGUUUGAUGAGAUUAAUCAAUAGAAUAGACAAUUGAUGCAUGUUUUAUAAGGUUGGCCGAUGGACUGGACCAUUGAUAUCUUCGGUAUUUAAGUUAUGAUUAUAUAUUAUGUUAAAGUGAAUUAUGUUUGCAUUUUAUAUGCGUAUAGUGAUUUCUCGAUCCAUUUAGAAUAAAUGUGUUAGUCACUAAGCCGUGGUAGCUCACUUCUCUCAUCUACUUGUUUUUCAGGUUUUUCGGCAAGUCACAAGUAGGUGUGAGCAUUCGUUCGAGGAUGACUUUUGUGGUGGAAAUUUUUUGGUAUGACUUGUGCAUAAUUGAUAAGUUUAUAAGUUAGUCUUUGCAGGAGAUAUAUGUUUUGGUUUGAUGGAUUAUAGAAAUACUUUGAUAUUAUAACCAAAUGUCAUUUUCUCAAAUAUAUAUAUAUAUAUAUAUGGAUACAUAUAUGUUAAUAUCAGAUUGAAUUUUGGUUAUGUUGAGAUUACGUCAUUUGAUGAAAGGACAGCUCCAAUAAAAACUCUCCUGUUUCAACUGUCCGAUUCAAGUUGAUUGGAGAAUGGGUUUCACUUCAUCACGCAAAAAAGAGACGUUAGAAGGGAUAUCUAAAAUAAUUAGCAAAUGGAAAAAUCAUAAUGAUAAAGAAAGCAAGCAGAAGUUGGUAAGUUUACAAAUUUACUACAACGUUGUGAGAUCUAUUAUGGCAUUUGCAAUUUAUAUACGAUAAUUGUAAAAUUUAUUAAAAGUUGGUUAUUCGUUAAUUCAUUUCGAAAUCAGCAAAUUUCUAAUGGUGCUGUUAAGUUGUUGAUUGGUUAUUUGGCAAUAAAAUUGAUGGUCAUGUUUUUCUUUUAUCGAUUGUACUAGAUAUUGAUGUUGGCUGGGUCCACCUGUGUGGGACCCAGCCAACAUCAAUAAAUAGAAGAAAGAAAAGUCAAAAAAGCAGAAAGGAAUAGAGAGAUAGGCUGCUUGUUGGGGAGAAAGAGACGAGAGCGCGAGCACGCGGAGAAGAUAGAAAGAGAGCUGCGGCUUCCCGGUCGGGAUCGGAAAUCCAGGCGUCAUCGGAAUUGGCUAGUAUAUUGAUCGUAAGAUCAAGAAAGACGAGUCGAUCGACUUUCUUUAUUCAAAACCUUCUCCAAAUUACCUCCCGUUUCUCCUAUUACAAUCAGAAUUUCUUGUUUCACUUAUGUUAGUCUUCUUUUACGAUGAUAGAACCUUUGUGUAUGGUGAAAGUUUUCAGGCUGUUCGUGAUUUUUUUUAGCAUUGAAUUUUCUGUGUAAAAAUUGCUUGUCUUUUUUAAUCAUUUUGACAUUAUAUUAACUCAUUAUGAGAUUGUAUUGUAGGAAUAUAUUGCCAGUUAUUAUUGAAAUUGCGUCGAUUUUGGUCCAUUUAAUCUUGGGAGGAUAACUUAAUUCUGAAUUAGGUUAAUUUUUUAUGAAUUGUUGCCGGGGCACUCCAACUAUGUAUCAAUAAUUUUGGAAAUCCAUCAAGAAUGGGAAAAUUGCCGCAUUUUCCUUUGACUGACCCUGCACUUGGCACUGCCGAAAGCUUGCGUCGGCCGCAUCAUUGAUUUUUGGUCUCAUCGACUAAUAGCAUUUGAUUUUAUGAUCUUCGUCGUUGUGAAAAAAAUAUGAUUUCCGUCUCAAUCGCGUCCUCAUCAGCAUCUUUGAUUUUAUGGUCUUUCAUGAAAAAAAUAUGAUUUCUAUCCCAAUCGCGUCCUCAUCAGCAUCUUCGAUUUUUUUUUCUCACCGGCCAAUAGCAUUUGAUUUUAUGGUCUCCAUCGUCGUGAAAAAAAUAUGAUUUCUGUCCCAAUCGCGUCCUCACCGGCAUCCUUGAUUUUUUUCUGUCUCGUCGGCCAUCAGCAUUUGAUUUUAUGGCCUUCGUCGUCGUGAAAAAAAUAUGAUUUCUGUCCCAAUCGUGUCCUCGUCGGCCCAUGGCAUUUUACUUGCAUUUCCCAGAACUACUGCAUUAUUGCCUCGAACGUGUUGACGCAGCUACGUUCCACGACUUUUAGCCAUUUCGUCUUCACCUAUCGGAGGGACGAUCCAGUCAAAAAUGUUGUCCAGCAAAUUCCUUGUUCUCGCCCAUUUUUUUAAGUUGAUAAUUUUAUGCUCAAAUGAAAAUCCUAAUCAGCUACUCCUGAUCAAAUAUUGCUAUUUCCCUCUCCACUUUCAAUAUAGUCCAAUUCGAGUCAAAAGCAAAGAGAAAAGAGGGCAUGUCUCGAUAACAAUUAUAGAGCGCUUCUGUGCGUGCCAUGUUUAGAGAUCAUCAGCAAAUGAAAUAUCUAACAUAAUAAGGAGAGCGAGUAGAUUGGUAUCAACUUCAAUUGAACACUGCAAUUUGGAACCAUCGUGUGCAAAUUUGAGUUCAGAAAAGGUCCACUCAGAACAGUUCAAGUUCGAGUUAAAGAGAUCUUUUUGAGAUCUUUUUCUUUAUUUGUUUAUUAAAGUUAAACAGAACAAGCCGGCUAUGUUGGGCGUGGAAUACGCGUUUCCCAAAUAUCUAUUCCUCCCUUCCCUCUCCCUCGACAGACAUUUUUUUUCAUCGCAUCUACAAAUUCCACAGUAACAUGCUCCUCAUAUUAUCGUCAGUCAAUUUCAUCUAUUUUCAUAAUAUUUUAAGAAUUCGAAUGGUAUGUUUACCAAGCAAUUUUGUUCUUUUGUUUACUUCGAUUCUCAUGGACUAAUAGCAUUUGAUUUUAUGGUCUUCGUAGUAAAAUACUAUUGACUUUCUGAUUCAACCAUGUUCUCGCAGACCCUUGGCAUUUAAACUGGUUUUCUUAUAACCACUCCAUUACUUUGUUAAGAACAUCCAGUGUGAGAGAGAGAGAAAGAGAGAGAUCCACCAAGUAGAGCAAGCUAUUGCUAUGGUGAGCUCAGAUGCAAUAACGUCAUGGGGGAGCAAAUAUCAAGUGUUUCUAAGCUUUAGAGGACCCGACACUCGCAUUAGACUCAGUGACUUCCUCUACCAUAGCUUAACUUAUGUUGGAAUCUGUGUCUUUCAAGAUCAAAGAGCUACGUGUUGGUGAAAGGAUUGACGGAUUGCUUCAACGAGCAAUCGACAACUCCAAGAUCUACAUACUCAUCUUCUUUCAAACUAAUGUUUCAAGCCCAUGUGUUUUCGCGAGCUCGGCAGAUUGUAGAAUAAUCCAAAUAAAAAGGCAAUAAAGCAAUCCUUCACCCGCGACAAGGCUAGGGUGAGGCUAGCCUCGCCCACAUCUGGGAGAAGCCACCUUGCUCAUGACCUUGGGCAAGGGUCGUGUCUCUUGCCAGCCACUACAAGGAAUCCAAUGAGGAAGAAGAGGAAAAAGAAAUGAAAAAUGAAAAAUUAAUUUAAAAAAUUAAAAAAAAAAAAUUGCCAUGUCAACAUUAGUCAAGCGGUCGACAUCCACAUUAGUGUCAAUCAAUCAAAAUUAAUCGGUAGACUAAAUUGAUAUCAAUGUAAAAAAUUUACGAUUAAAUUAAUUUAAUUUAAUUAUUUAUAAUUGAAUUAAUAUCAACACUAUAGAUUUAAGGAUUUUUUUGAUCAUUUUUCAUAGCUAUCGCAUCAACAAACAAACAAACGGAUAAAAUUAUGGAGAUGCAGGUGCCUUGGGCGGCGGCCGACAAAGCACGUGAUCAUCAUCUUUUAACGAGAUAAUGAAUGACUGGAUAGCCUCAUCGAUGACAUGGAAGUGACAAGCGGUAAUUCCACUAGGGCAUCUACUUCCGGAAAAAGAUGGAUUCCCACUUUUUUCUUUUGUACAUUGGCUUACUGUAAAGCGCAAGUGAGAGCAUUAAAUUCCAAAAAAAAAAAAGGGGGCCUAUUAACUUAUGUCUUUGUUCGGUGCUUAAAUCAUGUUACGGUGUUGUCGUUAUACUUAGACAGCUGAAAAUGACUGAAGUGCCAUGUUAUAUAAAUUCGACGGGACUUAGCUGAAAUCUUUUAUUGCGAUUUUUCUAAUAAGUUUAAGAUUACAUUGAUUCAAUUAAAGAGUUUAUACCUUCAUAAGUUUGAAUUUUGUUAUAACAAUUUUAGGAUAGAUCGUGUAAUUAUCUUGAAGACAUAACAAUUUAGUUUUUUCAAUUCCAUGCUCACGCUCAACUCAAUACAAUAUAUAUGCUUGCAUUAGACUCAAUUCAACUCUAAUGGUUACGACCAAAAAAAAAAACUCUAAUGGCAAAAACUGAAUUACAGUGUAGAGUUUUACAAUCCAUCUCUAGUUCUGAAAAAAAAUUCAAAAAUAAUGAUUUUUUUCUUUGUCCUUAGUAAAAUCCUUUAAAUUAUUGACAAGGCUUGCAAGUCACAUGAUUGUGGUAUUACAAAAUUUGACACCUUCGACACACAAUCCAUAUUGCUAGGUCCAAAUAUAUAAAAGAGGCAGUGAAGUGCUUUUUUAUGUAUGUAAAAAUAUCGAUCUUUCUAGAACUAGCCCUUUAUUUAAAAUUUGUUUUUCAUAUACAAUUAAACUAAUAUUUGUAACAAGAAACUUAUAGAGCUUAGAGAUUUCAAUUAGGAUAUGCCUUCUCUUUUAGCUCUAGCAGCCCAAUUAGGUUGAAAUCCACUACUUGAGCCAACAUUGCAAAUGCCAAGAACUUUGUAUAGCGUGGACUCGAUUCUUUCUAUGAUUAUCUCACUAUAGACUAAAUAAUUAUUAGAUCUCUUCCAAUAGCCAUUCUCACACCUUGUGCACAUAGCACAGUAGACACAUGCUCCCCAAAAUUAUUAACCACACUUCCAAGUGUUUAUAAAUAAUCAUUCGCACAGUUUGUCUCUCACCUAGACAAUGGCAUUCUCUCUUAGUACAGUCACUUCUUCCGUGCGUAUGCAAAUAAUUUUGGCACUAUUGCUAGCUUUUAGGAUCAAUACCUAGUAAAGAGAUAAAUCUCAAGAAUGCUCGAUGUGCUUCAAUUUUUCUUGUUGCAAGCACUUGAUGGCAAGCUACGUUUAACUUGUGGUUUGUCCUUAUAGGCCUCCAUAAACAACUCUGUAAUUCAACUGUUUCCUCACCAUCCCAUAUCAUUUGAUUGUUUUACUUGUAUAACCACUGCCUUUUUUUUUUCAUGACGUGUUGUCGUGGCCACCUUCUACAACUCUCAACCAUUUCAUAUGCACAUAUCAAAGAAUUGACCUGCUCAGAAACUUUAUUUAGAAAAAAAUCCUAACUAUUAAACCGCAUCACUGACCUCCCUCCUCUUUUCUUUAAGGUAGCAAUUUUACGUUCAUAUGAAAUAUCCUAAUUAACUACUCCUGGUCAAACAUUCCUAUUCGGCUCCCUUGUUUCAACCAUCCGAUUUGAGUUGAAACGCAGAAUGAGUCUCAUUUUCAUCACAUGAAAAAGGAACUUUGAGAAAGAGUAUUUAGAGAUCAUCAACAAAUGAAAAAAAAUCGAAAUGAUAAGGAGAGGGAAAAGAAAUUGGAGCUUACAAAUUUAGUACAAUGCUGCGAGACCUACUAUAGCACUAGCAAUUUAUUUGCCAUACUUGUAAAACUUCAGAGAAUGUGGUUAUUCACUAAUUCAUUUCAAAGUCGGUAAAUUUCCAAUGGUGUCGUUUAAGUUUGAUAAGUCAUCUGACAAUCAAAUUGACGGUCAUGCUUUCCGAGCUGGGAGGGGCGCAAGGGGUCACUCUCCCCAGGGAGGUUCUCCCUCCGUUUCACUUAUGAGCAGUUUAAGAACCUACUCAAAUCCAUCUUUUUAGGGACUGUACUGGAUAUUUUGGUUGGCCGGGUCCGUCUCUGUGGGGACCAGCUAACAUUAAUAAAUAAAAGAGGAAAAAUGUGAAAAAGUCAAAAAAGUAAAAAAGAAGAAAAGAAAGAUGGGCGGCUCGUGCGCAGAGUAGAGGACAGAGGAUAGAGAGAGGGCGCGCGGAGAAGAUAGAAAUCAUGUAGUUGACAUUUGAUUGACUGAAAAGAGAGAAUUGGUGUUUUAGUUUUCAAUGGUGUCGUUUAAAUUUGAUAAGUCAUCUGACAAUCAAAUUGACGGUCAUGCUUUCCGAGCUGGGAGGGGCGUAAGGGGUCACUCUCUCCAGGGAGGUUCUCCCUCCGUUUCAAUCAUGAGCAGUUUAAAGACCUACUCAAAUCCAUUCUUUUUAGGGACUGUACUGGAUAUUUUGGUUGGCCGGGUCCGUCUCUGUGGGGACCAGCUAACAUUAAUAAAUAAAAGAGGAAAAAUGUGAAAAAGUCAAAAAAGUAAAAAAGAAGAAAAGAAAGAUGGGCGGCUCGUGCGCAGAGUAGAGGACAGAGGACAGAGAGAGGGCGCGCGGAGAAGAUAGAAAUCAUGUAGUUGACAUUUGAUUGACUGAAAAGAGAGAAUUGGUGUUUCAGUUUACUUAUUGUUAUCGGACCAGUGAAGAUGUUAUUGAAGUGACAGAUAAAGAUGCAUUCAGCUUGAUCUCUUUUAUUUUGGCACACCUGCAAGUUUUAUUACCUAAUUGUGUUUUCUCGUUUUUUUUUUCUUAUUUUCUACUCCUUUUUCCACUUUUUCUUUCCUUUCCUUCCAUGAGCAAGUUCCAAAAUUUUGGAUAAGCUAGGGGACAAGGUCUUGACCCAUAAAAAAAGAGGUCAGUUGGUAUCAAAAUAAGUGGAAGAACCUCAGUAAUCCAGAAGAUAUGUCAUCGUUCAGUUUGUUAUUAUUUACAAAAGUUCUUUUCAAUGUUUCAUGCGUCGCAAACAAUUUGUAGUCUUAGAGCAUAGGUCACGUGGUCCACCAAGUUAACUUGGGCGGAGUAGAGUCAUUUUCUUCUACUCAUUUAACUCGUUACUCAUUUAACUCGUUACAUAGGAUUACUCUCUCUCUCUCUAAUAACUCAUACCAUACUUUUUCUCAAUCAUCUACGAUAUACAUGAAAACUUACUAGUUGAAUCGAUAAGUACCAAUAUAGAAGUUUUAGAGGUUGUGAUCUAUAAAAUUUGACCUAAUGAGACGUCUAUGGGCAUGUACAAUUUUGAAUAGAAGAGAAAUAGCAGGUCAAUUAAAAAAAAAAAAAGGAAAAGAGGAGAGGGAAGGCUUUGUCUACUUGAUUUCACUAGAAAAUUUUAAUUGGAUGAUUUGUAGUUAUUAGGACGAGUCUUUGUGAACCUGAAAUGUGUUUUCAUGAGUAAUUGAUUGAAAAACCAUACCUUUUGCAAAGCAUGGCCAUCCAACCUGGCGUUUGAUGGGUGGGGUGGUUAUUUAGUUUAGCAUUGUCUAGGCCCUGUACUUUUUCGAUACUCUGACAUUGUUUCUCAUUUUCUUUUCCUUUUUCUUUUAUCGUGUCACAAGGAAGAUUAUAUUUUAAAUGGAUGUCAGACCCAUGAAAUAUCCUAUUAACCUCAUGUACCUAGUGAGGUUUGAGCUAAAACUCGGUUUGUUGGUACCAACAUGAGUUGUUUGCAGUGGUUAGUGAGGAAAACCGAACUUAUGUUGUGCAUAUUACCCCCACGCAUUUUUCUAUUCCUUAAGAUUUUAUAUUCUAAAAAAAGCAAUGGAAAUCUAAUCGGUGGAUGAUGUAUUUCUACAUCCUCCCUAUUUUUGGGCAGUUUGAAAGUCACUUAAAAUAGGAAUUAAAGUAGUCGAUCACUCCAGAAUUUAUAUUUCAAUCGUGAAGAUUUUAUUUCAGGUAGAGUGUAAAGUCAAUUUCUGCCACUCUUUUGACUUUUGAUUCGUAGGUUGACUCUCGGCUUUAACUUCCACAAUAAUUUAGGGUCCGCAUGAGAACAUUUCUUGGCUGGGGAAUAAUUUUUUUUUCAGAAAUAGUUCUUUUCUAUUUCUAUUCUGGGGAACAAUUUCUAUGUAAAAAAACCCGUUUGAUAACUACACAAAAUUUUUACUCUAGAAAUAGAAAAAGAAUAGAAAUGCGUUUGGUAAAAAACAGUUUAUUUUUUAUAUUUAUUUGUGUUUUAUUUUUUCCGGUAUACCGUGGCCACCGCCGGACGCCGCCGCCGCCGCACGUCGCCGCCGGCCGAGCGCCGCCCGCCGACUCCCGCCGCCGAUCGCCACCGCACGGCCCAUCGGCCGCGGGAGGUGGCGGCCGAUGGGCCGUGCGGCGGACUUUGGCUGCGGGAGCCGGCCUGCCGCGACAUGCGGCGACGGCGGCAUCCGGCGGCGAUCGCGGUCGACCGGCGGCGGCGGCAGCAGUCGGUCAGCCUCCGGCGACCGGCGGUGGCCGCGGCAACGGUCGGCCGGUGGCGACGGUCGGUCGGCCUCCGGCCUCCGGCCGCCGGCGGCGUCCGGCGUCGUCCAGCGGUGACCGGCAGCGACGGUCGGUCGGUGACCGGCGGUGACCAGCGGCGACGGUCGGUCGGCGACCGGCGGUGGCGGCAGCGACCGGCGACGGCCGGCAGCGUCCGGCGGCGUCCGGCAGUGACCGGCGGUGACCGGCGACGAUCGAUCGGCCUCCGGCGACCGCGACCGGCGGUCGACUGCCGGCGGCGGUCGGCCGGCGGCGGCGGACGACGACGGGUGGUGGUCAACGGCGGUCAAUGGCGGUUAGCAAGAGAAGAAUAAAAGAAAAAAAAAAUUCACUUAUUUCUUAAACUUGUUCUCGGGAACAAGAAGCAACUUUUUUUUACUUCUCAUUUCUAUUCCAAAACCAUUCCCGGGCUAACUUUUUGUUCCCGGGAAUAAAAAACUAACUUGCCGUUAUCAAACAGGUUUCUAUUCUUUUUUUGUUCUGGGGAAGAGAAGAAUAGAAAUUUUUGGGCUGGGGAAGGUUACCAUGCAGACCCUUAGCCGAUUGUAUGCUUGAAAAGUUCUUAAUUUAGCUGGAUUGGGAACAAAUUAGUUUUCAUCAAAAUUGUGAAAUACCUAUGAAACAUAUUGUUUCAUUAUCCUUCUUGUAUAACUAUGCUAAAUAGAAAGGGGGAAAAGGAAGAGGGAAGGCUUAUCUAUUGAUUUAUAACUAGCCUUGGUCAAUUUCUGGUAAUAACAUGUUUAUCUAUCUUGGAAGCUUUUAUCUAAGGCAGAUUAGGCACCAAGCACGUAGAAUAUCUUAUUUAUCUCAUGUAGCAGGUAUGGUAUGAGUAAAUGAACAAGCGGAUGUUGCUUCGAUGUGAAAAUGUUUGCAUUUGGUGAUGUGAGAAAUUCCCAUGAGAUUUAUAUUUUUAUAUGAUACUGGUUCCUUUUAUAUAUAGAUCAUUUAUCGUAUUUCAAUCUCAACAAACGCAGUUGGACCUAUAUAUUUGACUUUCAUAAGUAUUUUUCGAGAAAUUUAGAAGAGCCUCUAUCUAUGUUCUUGCAUAUAGUAUUCAUUGAUAGAGAUUAAACACAACUGGUUGAUUUGAUUGCAUAAUUUUAUCAUCUUAUUCCUUUUUUUCAAACUUUCGUGCAAGAUUGAUUGCAUUUUUAUUUUUCAGGAGUCAUGCUUUGAUUGGAUAUGUUCAUGUUUCGGAGGAGGCUUGUGAAAUUGUGAAGGCGACUCGCAUCAUACUUGUCAGCAUGCAGGGAUGGAACUAUCAUAUAUUUUUAGUGGGGUCAAUGCCCUAAAGACUAUAAGAUAAGGUAUGUCAUUUAACAAAAUAAUUAUAAAGAUGCGAUCGAGCUAUUUAUUGAUUUGAAGUAGUUUUUCUACGCAAAGUCUAACUUGAAAUCAACGCUUUGACAUUAAAUCAUGAAUGUGAACAAAAUUCGGUUUCAAAUCCCUGUGCUCAAGCUUGACUCAAUAUAGUAUAUAGGGCUCGAAAUUGAACUCGAUUCAACUCCAUUAUUAAAAGCUUGAUUCUACUCAUUUAACUUGUUACAUAGGAUGUUUCUUUCUAUUUUUCCUAAUCAUAUAUUGUACCUUCUGCAUAGCCUGGUCAUGUCAUUCGAUUGCUUUAUCUUCCGACUCUAUCAAGCCUCGUGUUUGAUUGGUGGUGUGGUUGACUAGUAGUGCAAUGUCUAAGCCUGAUAAUUUUUUGAUAAUUGUUUAUCUUUCUACUUUUCUGUUUUUUGCAUCAUAAAGAAGUUUAUAGUACAUGGAAAGACAAGAUACAGGUUUUGAUUUCUUGCAAGUUAGCGGAUGGUCCCUUAGAGGCCAACAAGGCUAAGCUUAAUGACAUCGAUGAACAAUGGAAGUUACUAAAAAGGCAAUGUGGGGUUUGAUUAGGCAUCAUCAGUUGGAUUUUAUUUCUUUAGAUAAACCAUAAGGAUCCCAUCCCACUUCUCCUUUUGCUCUUCCGAUUUCCAUCUCUUGGUAAUGGAAAACCGUAGCCACAACAACACCGAUAUAAAUAAAGGAAUCAUUAUGCUAGCUGGAUCCUAUGAGAAACAAUUGAUGUCGUCUCAUCCAUUGAUCGUCAGACUCUCAGGAUUAUAUGUCACAACCGCACUUCCAUUCACUCACGGAACACUUCCUGGAUAUGUCCUUCCUCAGCACUUCAUUUCGAGUUGGGAUUAAUAGUUCCCCCAUUUAGAUUGGAGUACGAAGCCCACCCAAAAAAUCGAAUAAAAUAGUCUAUUCUAUUUUGCUGGUAUCACCAGCUAACUUAGUUCCGAUGACUCUCUUCGAAAUAUGAGGCAAUAAUAGAGCAAAUCUGUCAAACGGUUCUCCACCAAGAGCAUAAACUCUUUUAUUAUGUGAGUUGGAUUGACUGGUCGAUUUACGACAUUUUGUAUAGAAAUUACGAAAAAAAUGCAAAUAAUUAUAAUUCGUUAUAAUUUAAAAUUUUAUUUAUCGAUGACCAUAAAACUGCUCAUGUAUUAUAAGAAGAAAUUCAAAAAACCCUCCAACACAAAAGUUAUUCAUUGCAUCGAAUCUCCAACAUUGUAUAGUAGAGUAGACGAUCUAUCACCAUGCAUCAUUCAAGUUUCACACAGAAAAAUAAAUACAAGCUUCUAAAUUCAUAAGCAUACAAUAAGAUAAGAAAGACUAUUGUAAUUUAUGUCUCAUUUAUUGUCUAGACUAGACAAGCUGGUACUCUUCCAUGCUUGCACUUCUCACCCCACUGCAGCCGUUGCCACCCCCACACUUCUGCUGCCGCCACCUUUGCCUCCGCCGCUGCCUCUGCCGCCGCCUCCCUCGCCGCCUUUGCCUCCGCCGCCGCCUUUGCCGCUUCCUCCCCCGCUGCCUUUGCCUCCGCCGCCGCCUCCCCCGCCGCCUUUGCCGCCGCCCCCGCCUUUGCUGCCCCCGUCCCCGCCCCCGCCUUUGCCUCCCCCGCUACUGCCGCCGCCUUCCCCGCCGCCGCGGCCGAUGCCGCUGCCGAUGCUGCCUCCGCCUCCGCCUUCACCGCCGCCGCCUUCACUCGCCUCCAAAUGUAGUAGAAAAGGAAACCACAAAGCAUGACGACAACAAUGACUACACCAACAAUAACCCACGUUGGAAUGUUAUUGUCAUCGGAUGAUACGGAAUUCGGAUCGAUCCAUGCUGAUGGAGGAGGAAAGUACUGGAAACUCGGAUGAGUUUGUGGAUAGUUACUGUUCUCCAUCAAGAAAACUCUAUGGAGGUAGUUCAAUGCGAGCGGUGAGUCUACAAACAUAUUAUGAAGCAUCAAUCCAAGAGCCAAUUUACUCUUUUAUCAUGAUGAAUUGAUCAUAUGGUCCGAGCGUGAGAUCAAAAUGAUUCGAGAUGGAAUAUAAUAUGAGUAGAAGUAGGUGCUUGCACAUAUACCUUCACAAGAAGAACCAAGCAAAUCGGUGAAUGAUGUUGCACCAAUGCUUAUGUGACCUACAAAGAAGUGAGAAUUUUCGCCUGGUGGAGCAUAGCCCUAUAUAUGCCCCUGCGCCGCUCCCUCCCUCACGAGGUGGGUUGGGUAAGUGUUAUAAUCAAUGCAUCACCUCUCUUUUUUGAGGAUGUAGUGUAAUAAUUGAAGCAUCUGGACAAAAAGUUGGGAAAUUUUAUUCACGUGCCAAAGAUCGUAAAAAUUAUCAAAAGAAUCAUAAAUUUAUUAUAAUUGAAAAUUGUACUAAUUCAAUUAUAAAUAUUUUUUAAUCAAUUGAGUACUAAAUCUUUUAUGUUUAUAUCAAUUCAAUCCGUUCGAUCAAAACUGGCUACCCAACACUAAAAUGAACACAAGGCAUUCUAUAGGACACCGUCGGCGCUAACGUGAAUAAUUUUUAAUAAUAUUUGAAUAUUUUUUUCGAUUUGUAUUCCUAUUUUUCUUUUUAUAUUUUCUUUUUUUUUUCCUUUUCUCUUUUUUUUUUCUUCACUCCCUACUUCCUUCGGCUGGUCGCCAGCGACCAUUGGAAAUGAAGCUCCAGGAAGAACGGGACGAACUUCAACUACUGUCCAAGCUCGAUCAGGUCUUCAUGUGUGAUGUUCUGGAUCCGGGAAUUAGGCCCAUUGAAAUGAUACAUGUGUUUGACUAUUCUGACUAUUCACAGUCUAAGGUGGUAAGAUUUGGUGAAGGGCCAAGAAAAACAAUCAGGUCCAAAAUGAGAAAUUAUUAUAUGCUCUACAAAACGUGCGACCCGAUAUCAUCUUGAUCAUUAAUCAAGUAGAUCUUGCUAUGGCCCUCGGGAUCAAAUGUUGAACUGGUUUCGACAUGAGAUUUAUAGAACAUACAAUAACAUUUCAUGCACAAUGGGAUUAUAGACAUGACCUAAAAAAUAAAUUCACUCUACUAUCCAAAAUAAAGUCCAGAAAAACUUAUUUUAGAGCCGACCUGCUAAGGAUAUAAGAGACCCAUUGCCAAUUCAUCUCUAUUUCAAGUAUUGUAAAAACGUAUUAAAAUGCUCUAAGAUCCUCCUGAACUUAAAUUGUCUUAGAUGCACACAUCAAAAAGCCACUAAUCUCACUCCUCGUGUUGGUCUAUUCUUGUCUAUAUCUCUCUUAUAUGAUCAUGGGACUCCUGUCCGAACAAUACUUAAAAACAGCCAUGUCACUAGCUAAUUAGAACAAUGGAAUUAAACGAUGAAACGUGGGAAAAACGACGUAAUGGCAAAGUCCGUUGUCUUGUCACUGUCGGCCACGAUCGUGUGUGUUUAAAUCUUAUCCUUCCCACUUUAUUUGCCAUCACAUCAUUUUUUCCCCCCAACUUUUGGACUCUUGGGUCUGUCGCUACCCUUGCAUAAAAAUAAUUUUUCCAAUGCAACAAGAAAAGACCACUGGAUAGAUCCGACCAAUGCAUAAAUUGAAUCUAAUAAAAAAUCAAUUCAAAUUGACAUAUUUUAUUCAUUUUGACUCAUCUUUAUACAAUAAAAAUCAACUGACUCAUAAACGACCUCACUCAUAUUUGACUUGACCUAUAGAGAUAAAACACUUCCAUAUUUAACCUAAUUUAAUAAAAUUCAUACUCAAACUAAAGUGAGAGUAAAUUAUAAAUUUAUUUAACAUCCAUAUUAUUUUAAGUCAUUCGUAUAAUUAAAAAAAUAGACUUAUAACCCAUUUUAACAGCUCUCUCGUCAAAUAAACAUGAUAUCCCAACAUUUAUGGAAAAUUGUCCCAAUUAUGUCACGUUGCAUAUACAUGUAAGAAGGAAGAUUGGGACAUCUCCCAAAAAUCAAGUGCGUAUCGACAUUGCAUCGGUUGAGAAAAGAGCAAGAAGAACCAUAAAUUAUAUGUUCAAUUCUGCUUGAUUCAAAUGGGAUGCUGCCUGCCUUUGGGGAAGGACAUACGUGAAAUGCAAUAAGCAAAAUGCACAGAAGACUAGCGACUAAUAGUCACUAAUAAAGAUAUGGAAAAACACAAAAUGGAAAGAUUAUGUUGGAUUCCAAAGAAUUGAUAAUGUUCAAAUACCACAGAAAGAAAAGGGCAUCUUUUGUGUCAAGAACCGCUCUCCUUUCUCAAGAUAAAGUCGACAGCGUCCUCCAUAGUGUCUAUGACCUACAUAGGUAAACAUAAAAGAGUUCAAUUGGGGUGAGCAAUUUUCGGAUGCACUUUUAAUCUUGGAAAAUUUGGAGAGAAGACAUAUUCCCCAUAAAAGUUGCUUUCAAUUGGGCAUAUUUUGGAAAUACUGACAUUUUGCUAGGUUGAAGAAGGAAAAGGUUCAGUCAUCUUUCAUCCUACCAAUUUAGAAUUGACCGAUCACCCAGAGUAUAGCAAAUCAAGGUAUGUAAGUAUGGGAGGAUUAUCCACGCUGACAGCUCAAAACCACUUGAGGCCAUGUUUGGCUCAUUGCCCUGGAAUCAUGAAAAGGAAUCUCAAUCUAAGCAAUCAAAUUCCUAGCUGCAAUGGCAUUCCAUUUCCUGUUUAUUACUCCAAGGUGAACCAAACAAGGCCUAAGUGAUUACACGAUGUACUAUACUUCUGAAUGUUUUCAUGGUGGAAUCAAUGAUCUGCAGUCUCGACCAUGACUUUCCAGAGGAUCAUGUAUCUAAAAUCUCUAAACCAAAGAAGUGAACGUGCACAUGAUUCACUUACUUAAGAACCUACCAUCAACUCACCCCAACGUACAUGCAAGUAGGGGUGUAAAUGGGUCGGGGCGGGUCGGGUCUUGAUGUUACCCGACCCGACCCGAAACAUAAGGGUCACGCAUUAUGACCCGACCCGACCCGACCCGAAACACAUUAGAAUAUCGAAUGUGUUUCGGGUCGGUUCGGGUCGGGUCGGGUCUCCGGGUUUUCACCUUCUUUUUCUUUUUUUUCUUUUUUCUUUUUUUUUUUUCACAUUAGACCAUCUAAUGUGACGGAGGCUUAGUACAACCCACGGAUGAGAAUGCCACCUACCGUUACAAUCUGUUGAAAUAUCCUGCAGUUGCAGACAAGAAAAUGAGAAACAUACAUAUGGAACAAUUCUCCUUUCAUGGAAAGGUUCGAUUCUCUACUCAUCAUUGUUUACUUCACCAGUGAUUGCAUCUCAAGUCGCUGUCGCUGUUCUGCUUCUUUCUCUUUGGCUUCUACUUCUCUUACAAGCUUAGGCAUGCUUGUUGAUUGCUGAUGCGCAAACACACCAAGCACACAAAAUCAAAAGCCACAUUGUUCCUAGCAAAUGCUCAUCUAGAUAUGAGAUAACAAGAUUAAUCCACACUAAGCCAACCCGAGGGGAACCAAAAAGGGGUUGUGCAUGUGGUGUCAUCAAAGCUUCAUGGCAGCAAAAAUAUCAGUAAAGGAACUCUAACCAAGAUCAAUUCAAUCCAAUGUCAAAAGCAUGCAAUAUCCUGCAACAAUUGAAAUGGCUAGUUAAGCCAUCAUUGUACCAUCUCUGGCUUUUUCAGUGCCAGACCAAAUAGUAAAGAAGCAACAAAAUUCAGACUUGACAUUGACGAAUGCACAUUUUUAUUGAAAUUGGACAGAGACUAUGUACAACAGCUGACAUGAACUCCACAUCAGUCCAGCUAAUUGUAGUAUUGACAGAAGGCAAAUCCCAUAGAUAUUCCUCAUACUCAGUACCAGUUGCAGCCGCUAAGGAAUAGCUGAUAUACAGAGAAAUACAUAUUAAUGAACAAGUUACAGCUGCUAUUCUGCUUUCAAUGCACCGGUCCCUUAUUUCCAAUCAAGCUUGUCUAGGAGCCAGAGUACCUCUUCCUUGGAGUUUGCAAAUAUCUUGAUAACUCAAAAAUAUAAAACUUUUUAGUAGGGAUCUGAACCUAGUAGAAGAAAGAAAGACCCUGUUGAAGAAUUUAACCAUAGUACAAACAGUUAAGAGUCUUCUUCAAAAUAGCACCAGGCAGGGCAUCAGCAUCUUAAUCCUUCAGGCAAACAAUCCAGCAAAGCAAAAACCAUCACUCCGCACAUAGAAUGCUAAAGAAGCAAGAUAUCAAAUUAAUAACAGCAGCACAAAACCAGCAAUAGCAAGUUAGCAACAAUGACAGCAAGAAUUGCACAGAAAAAAAAGAAAAGAAAAAAGAACACACCAACUUCGACAACCGCAACUUCCUUUUGGUGUUCUUCUCCUCAGCACAAUCUUCCCUCUCCCCGUCACCCAGAACCGCUUCGCCGAAGCCUAUCCACAGAAUAUCCCAUUCACACUCCAAUCAACCAUUCAUUUGAACAAGAUAAGCUCGAACAAGAAAGACCCAUCAACAGAGAGACCCACCAAGAACCAGAGCACCAAAUGAGACACCGCAAGACCACGAUAUACCCCAAAGAAAGAAAGAAACACCAAUUGAAGAUAAGCAUCCAAGAAACAAAAAAAAGAAGCAGAGAUGGCGUCUGAAGAACGAAACCUUACCAAGAACGAGAAGAGCUCCGAUGCCUGCCGACGAAUUUAAAGACCCUAGAUCAAGCCGUCGUGUAAACGCGCGUGCGAGAAGUCGCGGCAGAAUUUCUCCCGACUCCGAGGAAAAAUCGAAAUCGACAGCGCCAGCAUUUUCCCACUAAAACAAUAGGAAUCGGCGGCGGCUAGGGUUCCGGUGUUGAGACGAGAGAUGGAGACCUGGACGGCGACGAUCGAUUGAUUCGGCAGUGGCUAGGGUUCCGGCGUUGAGACGAGGGGUGGCGACAGCAAGGCGGAGGCGCGUCGACCGGAGGGCGGAGGCGCGUCGACCGGAGGGCGGCAGCGGAACGGAAUCCACGAGAAGCGCAGUCGUCGGAGAAGAAGCCAAAGGGGAGGGGUUCUCGAAAACACGUCUGUUUAGUGUUUGUGUUUGGUGACUUGUUUGGAAAUUGGAACAAGGAUGUUAACGUGUUUCGGGUCGAACAAUGUUCCAACCCUAAACCCGACCCGAAACAUGUAUUCCGCUUGUUUCAUGUUUGUUUCAUGUUUGUUACCCGAACACGAAACACGUUUUAUAUUUGUUUCGUGUUUGGGUCGUGUUCGGGUCGGGUCGGGUCGGGUCGGGUCGGGUCGGGUUUUUUUGACACCCCUACAUGCAAGGAGAGAUGAGAGAGACAGAUAGAGAAAUGUCUGGAUUUUGUUAAGAGUCCACAGGAAGUUCUGAAUGAUUAUCUUUUCCCUUGAAUACCCCAGUCCUUGUUAAUAUAGAAAACCAAGGAUCUCCUGCCUGAAGGAGUUGUUAUCAGUACUGGUGAUUAUGUCCGGAAAUAAAAUUACUGAUAUGAUAAAAUACAAUUCUCAGUAUGAUAUAUACCGGUCGUGCGCCUCUAAUGUUGAUUUUUGGGUUAUCUCCUAUCAUGUAUAAGUGUUCUGAAACAACGAAUUCUGAGUAUGUAUUACUCUCCACAUCUAGGUUGCUUAACAAAGAUGGCAUAAGAUUCCUUAACAAGGUCUCAGCAUUUCCAUAGACAAAUGGAUUUGGCCUCCCAUACGAUGUAUACGCCAGCGGAAUGGGAUGUAUACGCCAGCGGAAUGGGAUGUAUUCUGCAGAACAGGGACAAGUAAACAAUGCAUAACACAAGAUUGAAGAUUAAUGCAUGUCACUAUGCUGCGUUGAGGUAAACUAGGCCCACACGGGGAUCUUAUAGGCCAUUCUUUAAUUUUUUUCUGGAGAAUAUUAGAUCAAACUCCAUGCAUAACUAAACAUUGAGAAGCUGAAAUCUCACUAUCUUACCUGUUAUAGAUUGCUUCUAAAGCAAUCCUGAAAGCUCCCAUACCCAGACGCUCAGCAGGAAAAGUAGCCUGUCUCUACACUUUGUCAGCUAGUCAUCAGCCAGUCUUUAGUUCCACCAAGGCUUCAAAAACUCAAGAUUGCAGCUGGCGUCACAAAUGGCAUAGCUUACCUGGUAUUCGAGGUCAUUAUUUGCAAAAGACAGGUGUGGUCCAGCCUCCCUUCCAGGAAGCCAUCCAGUUCUCAAUAUGUCACAGAGCACCUAAACCCAAACUUGAGUAUCACGGAAUUUUUUUAAUGUACACAGACAUAGAUAGAUGAUAACACUCCCUUUUAUCACUUUUUCCAAACUAGAUGUCAGCACCCACUAGACUUUUAAAAAGAUGAUGACUAAAGUUGCAGAGUAGUUACUGAACAACCAAACAGAGCCUAGUGACUUUUGAUAGUCAGUUCAAAGAUUUAAAACUCGCGUGACGAAAAGCCCAGUAUGGACUCGACAGCCGAAUUAGAUAAUCUAAGAAAGGACAAGAUCCUUUAGAGUGGUCACAACCUGAGUAUCUCUGCUCCAGUCAACAGAAUCACUGACUACAAAUGCUGCCUGAAUUCUGUGUGUUUGCACAGCAAUUUUUCACUUUCCUAUCAUAUUAGAAGUGCUAUUCUGGUCAAUGUCUGGCUUAGUUGUCCAUCUCUUGUACGGUGCCAGUGGAUCAAUGACAUCAAAGUAGCUAGUGUACUCAUCAAUUGAGAGAACAUUUCUGCAUAGAAAAGAUACAACCAGAAAGAGGGUCAACCAGAGAGAAAUCGAACAGAAUCAAGUUGUUGGAAUUCAUGUUCUGGGUGAAACAGUAUUGAAAACACAGACAACUACAAUGAUUUAAGGAGAGGACUCCUCUGCAAUCACUCUAGUCCCCGAGAACUUGAGUGCUUUUUACUAACAUUGCUUGCCCCUAUGUAUUACCUAGACAUUAAAAGAAUAUCCAUCAAUAUCAGUUUUAUUAAAUACAUAUCUUUAUCCCCAUUGCCAAGCUCUCUCUCUCUUCACCUCCCCCCACCCUCACACCUGCAUGCACAAGCAAGUAAUUGAGACAUUGCUGGGUACAUUUGCAAACCUAGAGAAGUGGUCCAAAUAUUUACUUGUAUCCAUAUUCGGACAUCACAGCAGCAGGUUCUCCUUUGCCAACAGCAACGACAAGUUCAUUCUCGAAUCUGUGCAAAAACCUCAAUUAGGAAACAGAUGAAUAAAAUAGAGAAGCGUAUUCAUUAGUAAAACAGAAAAGCCUAUUCAGAAUUCUCUUGGAAUAGUUAGUACAUGCAUGCGCACUCUUCUAUGUCUUUUCAAUACAUAUAAUAUAAUAUAUGUAGUGCAUUUCCCUAGUUUCCAAGAAGAAAGCACAUGAGAUGAAGAUACUAGAUGUGUUCUUUGAUAUCCACGUACGCAUACAAGAUGUGUGCAUUCAAUAAAGUCCAAUUUCACAGUUUUGAACCUACUAAAUUGUGUACCUAUAAAUAAUUCUUGUACAGGAGAAUUCUUAUUAAGCUAAUAAUACACAUGCACAAUAUUUUAUUUUGCAAUCCCAGAUUUUAAUAACCAUGAGUGAGAUAGAUGAAAAAAGCAAAUGUUGUCGAAAAUGCUCAGUCCUGAUUUACAUUAGUAUGCCACAUUUCUCAUUGGACAUUGGUCAUGGAGAUAAUCGAACAAAUCCUUACCUAAUUACCAGUUGUUUAAAAGGUGUGUGCCCUGUAUGACCUGCAAAUUAUCUUGGUAAAAAUAUGAGAGAAAAAUGAAACAAAGUAGUUCUGGACCUGAUAACAAGCAAAAUCGUGAGGGCAAGCAGAUUUUGUAACACGAGAGAUGAACUACCUGUGAAGGUAGAAUGUUGACUCCUAGUAGUUGACCUAAGUCCUGGGCUCUUUUGGAUUCAGAAAAGCCACCUCCGGCAUCAGCCAUUGCUAUUAGCAGCGUGCAGUAAAAACUAAUUAUCGCUUCUUCAAGAAUUAACAAGCGAAAUUUCUUAUUUCAAGGGAGUAACAUAUUGAACGAUUAUAGGCAAGGGCAUCUCAAAAGGCAUCACAGAUUCAAAUUGCUUGAAUGACUUAAACAUAAGAUAGCGGCAAUCUCAAAAUCAUCAAGACGAUUACUAUUAGAUCUUAAAAGUACCAAUACUUGCUGAUAAGUGAAUAAUCAACCACAAUAAGCAUAUGAUGUCCAGCAUGCAACUUGAAAACUUUAGUUUGACCAUUAUAUCACGGCACUCACCGGUGAUGAUUCUAUUGAAUGGUCACAUUCGGUAACACAUAUCGAAAGUGAGAAAUGUAAUAGUAAAAAUUACUAACACAUUAAAGCAAUUACUAGGACCUAUUGAAGUCUACCAAUCGGGAACACUCACCAUUUGUUAAGAACACGAAAGGUAUCUUCAACUUUCCUGAAAAGAUGGAGAACGUAAAGUAAGUGAUAGCAGGCUAUCAAAUAGCAGAUACGAAUCUCGAUAUCCCCCGCCCCUACAGUCCAUCAGAAAACUCGGUAUCGAUCAGCGAAAAAAGACAUGCAUUCGCAACGUAGAACAUACGCGAAACGGCAAGAUCACCAGCACGACAUAGGCCUCGCAGGUAUAUCAGCAAGCGAUGGCGAAAGCCUUACCAGAAUCGUCGUACAAUCUCCUGAGCGCGCGCGGAGAACCGCCGAUGGGAGCGUGACCGAGAAAGACCACGCCGUCGAUGUCGAAGGCGAUGCCGAACGAAGGCCUGCACGACGAAACCACGAUCGUCGAUUCGAUCACGGACGAAAAAGAAGAAGAAGAAGAGAAAAAGAGAACAUCGGAGAAAAUCACGAGCGUAGUCGAAGCAUGACCGGCACGCACCGAUCCGAUUGCGAGCUAAGCCGCGAAAACGAGCGCGAUGCGAGCGGGGACGGCUGCUUUCGGCCGCGACUCCGCGACGCGAUGGUGAAAAGCCGGUGCCUCAUUUUCCCGUUCGCGGCGAAUCGCUUCGGGAGAUCGAGGAGCUCGAAUCGCCGGAGGUGAAGCUUCAAGAAGAACGGAGCGAGCUUCAACAGUCCACAGAGAGGGAGAGAGAGAGAGUGGCCCAAUCGCGCAGCGUCUUCUCGUUCGAUGUUCAGGGGCCGUGAAUUGGGCCCGUUGAAAUGAUGGGCGGGCCUCGAUAGCGGAUCGGCCUUUCAUUCGGAUCCGAGCUCAAUGGUUAAGCUUGAUUUUGGUGAACGUUUUUGGGCUCUUUUCUUUAGUUCUUUCAUUUUUGUUGUAUUUUUCUCUUUAGGCCUAGUAAUUCGGGCUCCUUGUCUCGGAACCUCUCCAGAGAAUCGUUAACUGCAUCUUUGGUGCACCUGGUGCAUGUACGUAUAGAAAUUCUCAAUUGGCUAGUCGUAAAUGGCCCCACCCUUGGACUAUGAGACCAAUGGUUAUCCCAAACCUACACGGACAUGUAGACAGUGAUUCUUAAAUAUUGAAAAAUAGGGUGUGAUACGAUGAAAUAGGAUCCAAUGGAGACAGACACAAAAAAUAAACGCAGUGCUUCUUUUUUUUUUUUUAAUUUCUUGUAGCGUAGUUUGGAUUAGUUGUGCAAAUACUUGUACGAUAUGAGACACACCCCGAUUAUAGAACAAAGUCACUUUGUCUGGUUUUUCCCUUUUCAUGCUUUGCCCUCUGACUAAUUUAAAGAUGUUGCAAGAAGUCUUGUAAAAAUGUGAAGUCCUACUCUUUUCAUGGCUAUAUUUGAUGUGAAGAACUAACGCAUCAAGCACCUACGACACCACUAUUCUAGCAUGUCUUUUUUUUUUUUAUGAAAAUAUCAUAGUGUGUGUUUGACGACUCAAAGUCUAAGGGGAUAAACUUCUGGUGGGGGACCGAGAAAAACAAUCGGGGGGGAAAUUAUUACACGCUUCACAAACUAUAUAAACCAAUAUCAUAUCAGUCAUUAAUCGGAUAGAUCUCACUAUGAGUUUCGAUGUGUGAAUUAUUGAACAAAAUUUCGACAUGUGACUUAUAGGCCAUAUGAUACCUUUUCAUACAAAAUGGAGUUACAGCCUUGACCGGGCAACGAAAAUUCACACUAUCAUCCACAAUCGAGUCCACAAAAAUUUAUUUCAAAGCCGAUCCAGCUAAGGUAAAAGAGAUCCGCAACCAAUUCAUUUCUCUUUUUGAGUAUUCUAAAACGUCGGAAAAAUAACUUUAAAGUAAUCAUCUGUCUUUGAUGUGCAAAUCAAAAAACUACUUGUCUUAAUCCUCGUGCUGGUCCAUCUUUAUCUAUAUCUCUCUUAUGGUCCCAUGACUCGUGUCCGAACAAUGUAAAAAACAGCCUGUCCCCAACUAAUCAGGACGAUGAAAUCGAGUAAGUAGAAUCGUACCCGUAAUGACGAAAACCAAGUUCUUGACCGGUGGAGUGAAGGAGCUUUUCUUAGUGGCAAAGCAAUAAAUUUGAGACGAGGGACCCAAAAAGCAAGGAAGCGACGCGAGCAUCUAGAAGUAGAAGCGCAGCACGGUGAGCAAAGGCCUUAAUAUUCAAAAGACAACGUGGAAAAAACGACGUAAUAGCAACUCCACUACCUCGUCGUUGUCGGCCAUGAUCGGGUCCGCGAGGAAUUCUAAGCAUUCCCCCCUGAUUUGAUCUACCAUCACAAUCGUUUUCUCUCUCUCUCUCUUUUAAUUUUCUUUCGAUCUUUGUGGACUUCCGAGUCUGUCGCGUGACCCUUGCUCGUGGCCACAAUGAUUCCGAUGCCUUGAAAGAAGACCGCUACUCAUCGGAUAAACAUGACAUCUCGGGCUUACAGAGAUGGAAAUGGAACGAUAACGAAGCAUUCUAAAUGGGAGGGACGUUGCUUUCUUAUCUUGUAAAAUAUCAGUUUGAAUCUUCAGGGGAAGACGUGGCCGCUAGAAAAUUUACACCAAUGCUAUAAGGUACAAAAACCAAAGAUUUUUACUUACUUAUCUGAAGAUAAAAGAAGAAGAAAAAACGGCAUUAUAAUCUCGACUGAGGAAUUGAUUAUCGAAGAUGACAAUUUUAUAUUUUAAGGAGGGAAUCGAGAAACAAUUAAAAAAAAAAUGGGUGAUUUGAUCUGGUUGGUAUGGUUGACCAUUAAAGAAAACAAAAGUUGAUAAAUGUCAAAGGAAGAAGACAAACAAGGCCUUCAACCCGUUCACUUUAUUGGAAAAUGUUUGACAUCAAUGGUAAAAAUCAAGCCUAAUUUGUAUUCAUUUCAUUUUCUCGAAAACUUGACUGAAAAUGUUCUAUGAGCGCAAUGUUAUGCUGUAUUUAUCAAUGUUUAAUUUGAUCAUUGAAUUUCAUUUAGUUCAAUUUAACGUAGUUGCACCACUUGAAUCGAACCAAUUGAAUCAUCCUAGUCAAUUAGAUUUUACUAGUAUUUGAUAUGAGAAUCUAACUCAGUCACGGAACCACAUUUGCUUAUGUGGGUAUACACAUUAGUAGCUACGUUGGCAAAUUCUAGAAUAAAUGAUGCCAACUAAUUGGAUGCACGUAUAAGAAUCAGUUGGAUUGGUUGAUGGCACAGUUGGAGUUAAAAGAGGUCAAUGAUUUCAUUAUUUUAAUUAGCUUGUUCAGCACUUGCACAAAUAAAGUAAGUUGGACUUGUCGGAAGUAGGGUUACAUUCGACGCAUCGGAAGGUUCUUCAAGUGGACUACCCUAUGGUUUAUUAGGAGAAGAUGCCGUAGCAGACAAGGCUAAAGUGGUAAAGUGAAAAUGAUUCUUGUCAAAAAUUUCAUAACCAGAAAUGACCAUUUUUUCUCAUCAUAGGAAAAAAAAAAGCAUCAAUGCCCUUUAUGCUCACAAGAUUAACCAUCAAAUACACGUCUUCGCCUUUGGGUUAACUUUCUGCUCGCUCUUUUGUUGACAUUUAUGUGAGAUGUACAUCCAAAGGAUCUCAUGAUGAAAGAGUUAGGUGACUUCCUUGUACUUAUCACCAGAAUUUGCACUUGUUGGGAAUAUGUGAUGACAAAGACUGUUGGGAAACAUCAGUGAAAGUCCCAACUCUUUAAUGUCUCCAUGCUUCCAUUUAACCACUCUGUUUUAAGAUACAGCGCGAGGACAUGAUAAUCGCUGCUCCACUUCAAUAGCAGAGCAAGACGUUCAUAAUGAUGCGGAGCAAGAUUCACUGCCAUCCUCACUUUUGGAAACCUUAAUCCGUAAUUGAUGGCGUAAGGUCAUCAAAGUCUCAAAGGACUAAAACUAGUACAAUGGAGUGGAAAGUCAUCAACAAAGCUGGAGAUUAACUAGAAUCGGAAACAAAAGUUACUUCAGGAAAUCCCCAAUAAUCAACCUAAACUCAAAGAAGCAAUAACCAUCAAGUACUCCCUAUAUAUUCGGUUCUUCCCCAAUUUGGCUAAAAAUAGUAGUUGUGCCCCGGAAAAUACGGAAAGAUUCAGCCAUGCCUAGAGGUGUUAAAAUGGGUCACUUGUUUAUAACAAAAGAUAGUUAAAUGGGUUUCACAAUUAAAGAUUUAAAAUAGUUGGGUCUUAAGUGGGUUUUUAAAUGGGUUGGGUUGAAAACUCAUCUUUAACAAAAACAUUAUAAUUCCUCCCAUCUCUCUUCAACUUUAUAAAAUCGAAAUUAUAAUUUUUUUAUUUUAUCUUCUCUUUUCUUUUUCUUCCUUUUUUUUCUUUCUUCUUUUUUUUUCUUUCUCCUUCCUCCUUCUGGUCGCUGGCACGGCAACGGCCGACGACCGGCCAGGCGAGCCUUAAGCUCGCCGGAGUCGGGUGAGCUCGAGCUCGCCGGAUCUGGCGAGGCGGAGGCCUAGCCGACGCUCGGCAAGGCUCGAGCCUCGCCGAUCUGGCGAGACUCGAGCCCGCCGGCGUCGGCAAGGCUCGAGCCUCGCCGAUCUAGCGAACCUCGAGCUCACCGGCGUUGGGCGAGGCUCAAGCCUCGCCAGUUCCAGCAAGGGGCGAGCUCGAGCUCGCCGGAUCUGGAGAGGCGGAGGCCUCACCAGUGUCGUCGAGCUCGAGCUCGAGGCUCGCCUAUGGCCGGUCGCCGGCCGUCGUCGUGGCCGGCGGCCGGCCAAAGAAGAAGAAGAAGAAGAAGGAGAAGAAAAAAGAGAAAAAGAAAAUUAUAUUUUAAAAAUAAAAUAAAAAUAAUUAAAAUUUUAAUUUUUUAAAAAAAUAAUUAAAUUUCGAUUUUUCUAAAUAAUUAUUUUAAAAUUUAUAAAAAUUGUCCAUUUAAUUUAUAUCGUAUAAAACUAUUUUAACAAUACAAUUUUUAAAAAAAUAAUAUAUAUAUAUAAAAGCUUGGAAGUAUUUUAAUAAUAUAAUCUUUAAAAAAAACAAAGGAAUAAGUUUUUCUAAAUUUGUUAAAUAUGAAAAUAUUUUAUUAAUAUGAGUUGGGUCGGGUCGGGUAUGGGUCGGGUCGAGUUUGGGUUGAAAAAUUUACAUUAAAUAUAAAUGGGUUAAUGGGUCAAUUUUGGUCGGACCAUUAAUGACCCGACCCACCCGUUUAACGGCUUUAGCCAUGCCAAAGGUUUGCUAAGUGAUCUAAGGAAAGGCCGAAGCAACCUUUUCGGGCCGUUCUUGUCCGUGAAUUCCGUAAUCACUUUAAUGUGUUCUUCUUAUGGGGAACGAGGAAUGUUUUUCCCCCAUUAAAAGAACAAGCUUCGUCACCGUCUUCCGUUAAAACUUUGACAUUCUCUGAACUAAGUCGCCGGGAUGGCGUGAAAUGGUAGAUCAACCGGCAAAAACCUAGAAAGCGGUCAAGUCUCGACUGAAAGAAAAAGGGCAAAAGAAAAAGCUGCAAAAAGGCAACAAAGGUCGUAAUCAUCGUGACAUCACUGCCCAUUCACUUCGAGGUUCAGAAGCACACGGAGCGCUCAAAACUUAGUCAGGCCCGUCUAAUCCAAAGCGAUUUCGCUUCCGGUGACAGAAACAGAACCGAAAGUGCAAAACAAGAAAACAGGGCAAGUCAUCGAGAAGAGGGGCACAGCGAAAGAAAAGGCGUAUUUCAUCUGGACAAUGUCAAGGACCGCACUCCUUUCUCAAGAUAAAGGAGUUGGACCGGGAUGAGCAAUUUUCGAAUUCAUUUUUAGCCUUGGAAAAUUAAGAGAGAAAACAAAUUCCCCACCAAAGUGGCUUCCUAUCAUGCAUGAUUUUGAAAUGCUAACAUUUUGCUAGGCCGAAGAGAUGGACCUCGCAAAAUGGAAGAUUAUCCAUGCUGACACCUCAAAACACUUAAUGUAAUAUUUGGUUAAAGGUCAUGGAAUCAUGAAAGGAAUCCCAAACCGUAAAAUCAAAUAGAGGACAAUAAUCGGAAAAAUGUUCAGGGAUCUUAUGUGGUUCUUUAUCCUGUUUCUAUCCCUAGUUUUCCGUUAUUCGCUUUGUAUACAUUGAUUGGAGACGCAUUCCCUUUCUUACACGUACAACAUAUAUGUUAAAAUACAUAUAUGUUAUUUUAAGAGAUGGGCUUCAUUCAGUGAGCAUAAAUUGAACAUGGAAUUCCACUCUGACCCCAACCUAAGAAAAGAAUUUCUAAAUCAAUUUGAUAAUUUAGACUUUUUUUUGUUUGGCAAAAAAUAAAUAAUUCAAUAAAAAAUUUCCUAAAAACAAUCAUUUAUAUCACUCAAAGUAAUUAGUUAAUAAGAAAUUUUUUUAUUAUUCAUAAUAAUUUAUGUCUUAAUACUUUUCGUAGAAGGUAAACAAAUUUUUAAUUCAUUUACUUUUAUAAGCAAUAUAUUUAAUUAUUUUUAUGAAAUGUAUUUUAAAUCAUUCUCUUAAUCAAAGAUACACUCCCUUUACAUAUGUGCUAUAGUUCCAUCUCCAUUCUCGAUCGUAUUAUUUAAUCAUCCGAGCCAAAAGUAAUGCAAAAUAUCUAUGUGCUCUAACUAGGCAAUAGUACUCUAGCUUUUCAUCAGCCAACAUUAGUUUUUCUCAUGGACCAAUGGCAUCUGUUUUUUUAGUCAUCGUAGUCAAAAGCUAAAUUGGAAAUUAGAACAUCUUUUGAAUGGAGGAGAUUAUGUAAAGCCAAAAGAAGCAACAUAGACGGACCAUUUUUCUUAGCCAUCGCAUCAACAAACAAACGGAUGAAAUUAUGGAGAUGCAAUCCUAUUUUGAUGACAGCUUAGCAGUGUACUAAUUGCCGGCCAACGGAAGCAUGUGAUCAUCGUCUUUUACCAAGACAAUGAAUGAUUAGAUAGACUCGUUGAUGACAUGGAAGUGACCAAGCGGUACUUCUACUAGUGCAUCUACUUUCGGACAAGGAUGGAUUCCCAUUAUAUUAUUUCGUACCUUGGCCUACAAUAAGGCGCAAGGGAGAGCAUUAAAUUCCAAAAAUAAGCUUAUUGACAUUUCUCUAUCGGGCACUUAAAUCAGAAGAAAAAGAGCGUCGUCGUCUUAUCAUGUCAUGCUGUCGUCGUUACACUUAAAUAGUCAAAAAAAAUUGAAACGCCACGUUAGAUAAAUUCAAUGAGAUUUAGCUUAAAUUUUUUAUUGCAUUUUCCCUUGUAAGUUUAAGACUACGUUAUUUCAGAUAAAAAAUUUAUACCUUGAUAGGUUUGAAAUUCCGGUAUAAUAAUUUUAGGACAGAUUAUGCGAUUAUCUUGGAAAUAUGGCAAUUCGAUUUUCUCAAUCUCGUGCUCGCACUUAACUCAAUACAAUAUAUAUACUCGCAUCAGACUCGAUCCAAUUCUAAUAUUAAAAAUUAAAUUAUAGUGUAAAGCUUCAAACUCCAUCUCAAGUUCUCAUAAAAAAUUUCAAAAAUAAUGAUUCUUUUUUCAUUGUCCUUAGUAAAAUCCUUUAAAGUAUUAACAAGGCUCACAAGUCACAUUACUGUAGUAGUAUUACAAAAUUUGACACCUCCGACAUGGCAAUCCACAUUGUUAGGCCCAAAUACAUAAAAGAAGGGGUGAAGUGUUUUUUUAUACAUAUAAAAAUAUUUAUGUUUCUAGAACCAGCAACUUACUUUUAAAAAAAAAAUUAUAUGCAAUUAAAUUGUUAAUUUGCAAUAAGAAACUCAUAGAGUUUAGGGAAAAAAAGAAAUUACAAAAGCUAUUUAUAGAGUUACAAUUAGGAUAUGCUUUCUCUUCUAGCUUUAGCAGCCCCAUUAGAUUGAAAUUCACUACUUCAACCAAUAGUGCAAUUGCCAAGAACUUUGUAUUACGCGGACUCAACUCCUCCGACGGCUAUCUCACUAUAGACUAAAUAAUUAUUAGAUCUCUUUCAAUAGCCGUUCUCACACCUUGUGCACACAACACGGUAGACAUAUUCUCCCCCAAAAUUAUUUAACCACACUUCUAAGUGUUUACAAAUAAUCAUUCGCAUAUUUCGUCUCUUACCUAAACAAUUGCAUUCUCUCUAAGCACGACCACUUCUUCUGUGUGUAUACUGAUAUUGCUAGUAUGAGUACCUAGAGGGGGGUGAAUAGGUGCCUAAACAAUUUAUCGAUAUACAGAAGCGAUUCUUAACAUAUGAUAGAAAGUAAAUUCUCUCUUAAUUAACAAAAUGAAAUACGAUCGAGAUAGAGAGAGUGAAGAAGAGAAAAUUGAACACAGGAUUUAUAGUGGUUCAGCUUAUUCCAAGCCUACGUCCACUCUUCCGCACUGACAGCCCACCGGCUGGAUUUCACUAUGAUCAAAAGAGAAGUUACAGCACAGCUUUGCCUUGAUUCCACAGUGUAGAUGUUCUACCACACCUCCUCAAGGUCUCUCACAAAUAUAGACUCUCUUUUGUAUACAAGUAUUCGCUCAAAGGAUUUAUCUAAACAAAUAGGAGCUUCAGACUUUGGAAUUCUUCUAUCGUGCACAUCUCGAACAACUAAGAACGUCUUCCUUAUAUACUCCUUUAUGCCAUCAUACCCGUUGGCACUUGCCAAAGGAAUUCCUCCAAUCUACCCGUUGGACAGAAUCAAUUAGGAAGAUUGUUCGAGCUAUUAAAGGAACGUGUUGAUAGCCCAUCAAUCAUGUUCGCCCAUACAAUCAGGAUCUCGGUUUCCAUAAGUAGAACCUUCCAAUAAUAUUUAGAUAAUCAUCGAAUCUUCAUUCAUUGAAUCAAACUUGAUCAAUCAAAGGAUUCUGAUACGUCUUCUCCAGAUGAUAAGGUUAAAUCCUGAACAAAACAUCCAGUUCUGGAUAACCUUUCUUCAACGAAUUAGAGACUGUCAAUGAGGAUAGACUUUGAGUCUUGAGUCUGGUUGUCCGGAAGUCUUCAGACUUUAACUAACAGAGUCUGCAGACCUGCAGACCUUCAGACUAGACUGAUGGAAAUGUUUUGUCAACUUCAAAACACUUUCACUAAGAUUUCUCCAACAUAUACAAAUGAUUUUGGCACUCUUGCUAACUUUUAGGAUCAAAACUAAAUAGGUUAUAAUGAAACAGCAAACAGAUAGAUCUCAAGAACACUAAAUGUGUUUCGAUUUUUCUUGUUGCAAGCAUUCAAUCACAAGCUACGUUUUACUCAUAGUUUGUCCUCAUAGGCCUCCAAAAACAACCCGUGACAUCCCAAAUUUUCAACCCUGUCUUCUACUGAAUAAAUCGGGCAUUUCAUUGACGCGUCUAUAGGGUUAUUCUCAGAGCUGAUCACUCUCGAGAUAACUAGACUAUCUGGGAAAAUUAUUAAGGAAUUUUAAGGUAAUAGACUUGAGAACUCAAUCAAGAAUCGGCUUCUCAACCGUGUCCAUCUUUAGAGGUCAUUACGGCACAGUUAAAAAUCGAUUUGAAAUCAGAGAUAGACUGGAUCGACAGAGAUGUGUGGCUAAUCAUGGGUGACACCACUGAAUUAGAAAAUUAUUGUCGGCCAACACUAGACUGAUUUUCUUAUUGUUUGGUACCAUGUGUCCGUAUUUGAAUCCUCGAGAUUUUCACAACAAGCGAGAGUCGCCAUUGAGUCGAGUGGGUUCAUAGUGGCUCGAAGAAAAUUGACCACGAGUCAAUCGCCCUGAAAAGUUUUGAAAACUACCCAGUAGUCUAGGUCACGCUAAAAACACGCCGAAUGAAAAUUAACCGCCAAUUCAAGUCCGAUUUCAGAAAUUGAAGAUUCUGUCGUGUCACGAUAAAUUUUAGGAAUGUCGACUCAGUCUUAGAAGAUUUUUCAGAGAUCCCGAGAUUUUUACGGAAAGUGGGUUCGGACGUCGCGGAAAUUUGGCAGAAGUUCAAAUUGGCUAAAUUAAUGGGAAAUUUGACUUUUGGGUUGAGCCUGUGUGUGUCGGAGAUUUAUAGAAAAUUUCUUGGGAUUUUUCUACAUCAAAACUGGACCUCAAUUUGGAGAGAUUGGAAUUGAAAUUUAGUUUGCCCUUAGUUAAAAAUCGAAUCUUAAGAUGGGGGUGUGCAACAUUGGUAUCAAUUUGGAUUUUUUGGUAGAUUCUUGAAUGAGGAAAAAUGCAGAGACGAUCAAUGAAUGAUCAAUUGAAUUUGUGAGAAUCAAAUUGAGAUGGAAUCAAGAGAGAAUGGUUGUGCAAUUUAAGCCAUGUCCCCCAAAUUCGUGUACCCCACCUAGCCACAACAUUUGGACCAUUUUGGCUUCUAGAAGAGGGGGUCACGUUGGAUCAUUGAAGACCAAGUAAUUAUACAUGGCCUAUAAUGAUGUUUGGAAGAUAUUUGCAAAAUAUCAAGCUUAAGGGGCCCUCACCUCUCAUCACAAUCCUCUCUCUCUCUCUGCCGCUUUUCUUGAGCGAGUCCCUCACGCCAUCUACUCAUCUCUCUCUCCAUUUCUGCUCUCCCUCACGCCCACGGUCGAAGCUGCUCAAAGCCCAUCGAUCUUUUCCUCCAAGCUGCCGAAUCUUCAAGCUGUUCGGUCAAAGUUCUCCAAAACCGAAGACCAGGAUCGUGGUCUCUCCUCACGUCCGCGUCUUCAACUCGAGAAAACAGCCGCGCCAGCGAAGACUCCAUCUUCGUCCACGAAGCUGCUCCAUCUCCACGCUGCCACCUGCCCGCUCCUCUUUCUGCUUCGGUCAUCAAACGGACCGCCGAAGCCACCGAUUUCCCAGCAGCAACUCCACGUAGACGCUGCAGCCCCACUUCGACUUGUCUUCAACGGAGUCAACGGAACCAGCAGCUUCUCCUCUUCUGUUGACCGAACCUGCCAGCGGAUGCCCCUUCUCCACUGAGGUUGGUCGGCCACAGAAGCUAGCAAGCUGCCCGAGAAUUUCCUCUAUCGUCAAUCGAAGUCGUAGUACCUUCCAGCGAAGACCGAAGCAGCCGCACGUUCCCCUCGUCCGUGUAUCUUCAGCCCAAGUCUAGGUUUCACGCUCAGCAAAGCCCAUCUCCAGUUGAGCUUGCUUCAGCCCAUCUGCAGAUGCAUUUCCAGCCCAGCAUCAAUUGGAUUGGAAGCCCAGCAAUUUCAGUCUUUCGGGCCCAGCAAAGACAGGCCCAAUUCAGUUUUAUUUCAAGCCCAUUUUCAGCAAUUGUAGUCUUCAAGCCCAGUUUUUGAAGCCCAAUCGCAGCUAGACCCAAGUCCAAGAGCAAGCCCAUUCCAGUGCAAGGACAAAUCUCAUUUGGGCUGAGAUUUGUUGGGCUAAGUUUAGGCCCGGCCCAAGUUCGUCGACGCCGCCGAAAAUUUCGAUUUCGACCGCCGUCGAGUCGUUGUCGCGGUGAACCGGUUUUUCGCGAUACACCGGUGAGUUUAUACUCUAAACUCUGCUUAGUAGGUUAAUAACGUUUAAGGGGUGUUAGAUUUAUUUUAUUAGGAAUUAGGUGGUUAGUUAGAUUAAAUUAGAAAUUGAAUUAUUUAAUUGAGCAUGUUAGGUGGUUAGCAUGGUUUAGUUAAGGCCUAAAUAAAUUGUACUAUUUAUCUAGAAGGGUUCGGGAAUUUCUCCGAGUCCGUAUUGGUUAUUAAUUUAAUGAUUUUGGCCUAGGUUAUUAUUUGUAGAAUUUAAAUUGAUUUAUUUAAUUAAUUUCAGUAAUUAUUUAAUUAUUAAUUAUUUUUCCGGAAAUUAGACUGGGAUAGCCGGUGACCGGAAUUUCGUGCCGAUUGCAAUGGUGUGGUUAAUUUUCUGCAAUUGAGUGCUAAGUUAUGCAAAUUGAGUGCUGAUUGGAUUUUUGGUAUUUAAUUCCAAAAUUGUGAAUUUCCAAUAUUUAUUCAGAAAAUCCCAGGUGUCGGGUUUUGAUACCGAAAAAUGGUUUUUAGUACUAUAUGAAAUAGUGGGAUUUCAAAAAGGAGGGAAUAUCAAUUUUUCUAGAUCAAGUUGACCGUGUACCCACACACAAGUAAUUUCAUGUGAAUUUCUAAUACGAAGAAAAAGCCAGGCUCACCAUUUUAAUUGGAAGCAUUUGAGUGCAUGCAUGGUGUCUGGGCCAUAUUUGAUGGAUCGUGUGAUGGUAUGAGAAAUCNNNNNNNNNNNNNNNNNNNNNNNNNNNNNNNNNNNNNNNNNNNNNNNNNNNNNNNNNNNNNNNNNNNNNNNNNNNNNNNNNNNNNNNNNNNNNNNNNNNNNNNNNNNNNNNNNNNNNNNNNNNNNNNNNNNNNNNNNNNNNNNNNNNNNNNNNNNNNNNNNNNNNNNNNNNNNNNNNNNNNNNNNNNNNNNNNNNNNNNNNNNNNNNNNNNNNNNNNNNNNNNNNNNNNNNNNNNNNNNNNNNNNNNNNNNNNNNNNNNNNNNNNNNNNNNNNNNGUGUUGUCUUUGAGAUAAAUUGUACUGACCUGCAAGGUGGGUUUGAGACAAGGUAAGUCUCUUGAUUGUGUGAUUGCGUGCUUAGGACGCUUCUUGGCGUAUUUCCCUCCUAAUUGGGGUUUAGAGCUUAGACUCGCUGAGAUGAUAUCUCACCCCGUUGUGGGACAACAUUUUCAGGGUCGUCGAGUGGAGGACCUGAAGCUGAAAGGAGGUGAUCGGAAGCGUAGGUCAGUUAGGACCGCUUCGUUUUGAAAGGCCAGUCUUUUGUAGUCUUUUGGCCAUAGACCUGUGUACAUGACUCAGUGUAUAUAUAAAAGCAUGUUUGUUUGUGAAUCUAUUAUCCUGCAUUUCUAUCCCAAGAUGAUUACUGUCAGGGGAUUUCUUUUCGCUUCCGCAUGUGCAAUAAAAUGGAAAGGGUCGGCGACUCGUCCUAGGAAGUCGCAUAUUAUUAUCGACCAGAUAGGGAUGGGCACGCGCUCGGGGUCCGGGGCGUGACACAACCCUCCUGUUUCAACCAUCUGAUUCAAGUCGAUCACAGAAUGAGUUUCAUUUCAUCACACGGAAAAUAGACAUUUGGAGGGCGUACUUAGAGAUCAUCAACAAAUGAAAAAAUCAAAAUGAUAAGGAGAGUGAGUAUAAGUUUUUUUUUUUUUAUGACCCAAAGAACCCGCACACCGUACCAACACAGACAGCCCGACAGGCCCGGGGUAACGGGGGGUAAACCUUGGGGCGAUACUAGCGAAGGACCCACCACCCGAACGUCGCACUUAAGAUCCCGUGCGGCCAGCGGGAUUCGAACUCCUCUCCUCUGGCAAAGGAUCAUGGGAGCUCUUAUCCAACUGAGCCACCAUAGGCGGUGGUAGGAGAGUGAGUAGAAGUUGGUAAGUUUAUAAAUUGACUUAUUAUAGUGUUUGCAAUUUAUUUACAAUGCUUGUAAAAUUUCCAAAGAGUUGGUUAUUCUUUAAUUCAUUUCAAAGUUGGUAAAUUUCUAACUGCAUUGAUAAGUUAUUAAUAGGUUAUUUGGCAAUCAAAUUGACAGUCAUGCUUUUUUGUUAUCAACUGUACUAGAUAUUAAUGUUGGCUGGGUCUGCCUGUGUGGGGCUCGAUUAACAUUAAUAAAUAAAAGAAAAUGUCAAAAAGUCAAAAAUGCAAUAAAGGAAAAGAAAGGCGGGCUGCUUAUUCGGAGAAGACGGGAAAAGGGCUACGACAUCCAGUCUAGAAUUGAAGGCCAAAUAUUGUCGAAAUUGACCUAAAUUUCAAUAUAUUGUUAUAAGACCCAGACAGAUGAGUCAAGACAGGUGAGUCCAUUAGUUUCAUUUGUCGAUCGAUUUUGUUCAUUAAACACUUUUUUCUAAAUUAUCUCAAAUUUCUCCAAUCACAAUUAGGGCUUCUUACUUCAUACAUAUUAAUCCGCUUCUACAGUGACGAAAUGUCAGUGUAUUGUUGAUAUUGAAUCUCUAAUAUAUUACUAAAGAAAAACCUUUAUGUAUCUUACUAUUUUUUGUGAUUAGUAAAAGAUUUUGAAUUGUCUAUGAUUUUUUUUGCAUUGAAAUUUCCACUUAAACUUGUCGCGUUUGCUUUUGUCUGUUUUUAUCAUUUUGGCAUUAUUUUUAUUCAUUACGAGGUUAUAUUGCGGGAAUAUAUUGCCUGUUAUUACAGGGGUGAGUCGAUUUUGGUCCAUUUAAUCUUGGGAAGAAAUUGAUUCUACAUUAGGUUGAUGAAUUGUUGCCGGUUCUCUCGAACUUUGUAUCAAUAAUUUCGGAAAUCCAUCAAGUAAGGGAUUUUCCGCACUUUCCUUUGACUGACCCUGCACUCAGUCCCGAAAGCUUGCGUCAGCCACAUCUCUGAUUUUUUGUCUCAUCGACCAAGAGCAUUUGAUUUUAUGGUCUUCGUCGUCGUGACAAAAUAUGAUUUCUGUCCCAAUCGCGUCCUCAUCGGCGUCUUUGAUUUUUUUGUCUCAUCGACCAAUAGCAUAUGAUUUCAUGGUCUCCGUCGUCGUGAGAAAAUAUCAUUUAUGCCCCAGUCGUGUCCUCAUCGGCCCAAAGCAUUUUGCUUGCCUUUCCCAGAACUACUCCAUUAUUGCCUCGAAAAUGUUGACGCAGCCAACAUUCUACGACUUUUAGCCAUUUCGUCUUCACCUAUCGGAGGGAUGAUCCAGUCCAAAAUGUUGUCCAGCAAAUUCCUUGUUCUCCCCCAUUUUUUUAAGUUGAUAAUUUUAUGCUCAAAUGAAAAUCCUAAUCAGCUACUCCUGAUCAAAUAUUGCUAUUUCCCUCUCCUCUUUCAAUAUAGUCCGAUUCGAGUCGAUAGCAAAGAGAAAAGAGGGCAUGUCUCGAUAGCAAUUAUAGAGCGCUUCUGUGCGUACCGUGUUUAGAGAUCAUCAAAAAAUGAAAUAUCUAACAUAAUAAGGAGAGCGAGUAGAUUAGUAUCAACUUCAAUUGAACACUGCAACUUGGAACCGUCGUGCGUAGAUUUGAGUUCAGAAAAGGUCCAAUCAGAACAGUUCAAGUUAAAGUUAAAGAGAUCUUUUUGAGAUAUUUUUCUUUAUUUGUUUAUUUAAGUUAAACAGAACAAGCCGGCUAUGUUGUGAGUGGAAUACGCGUUUGUGGAAUACGCAUUUCCCAAAUAUCUAUUCCACCCUUCCCUCUCCCUCAACAAAUAUUUUUUUCAUUGCAUCUACAAAUUCCACAGUAACAGGCUCCUCAUAUUAUCGAGCAAAAGAACACUUCAAGUGCCAUAACUUUGGCCAAAGAGAUACUUAAGUGCCAUAACUUACGAAAGGUACACUUAAGUGCCACAUUCAAAGAAAAACGGAUCACUUAAGUGCCACUCUGGCCAAAGUCCAGCCAAAACGCCAACGUGGCAUUUUUCCGGUGAACCGCGCCCAAAACGAUGUCGUUUUGCACGCUGACGUGGCCAAAACGGCGUCGUUUUGGGCUGACGUGGUAAAAAAAAUUUAAAAAUUAAUUAAAUUAAAUUUAGUUAAAAUAUUUAAAAAUAAUAAUUUUAAAAUUAAAUUUAGUUGAAAUAUUAAAAAUUUAAAAUUUUAAAAAUUUAAAAAAAAAAAAAAAAAAGUGGGGAGGCAACUGAGGGAUUAGCCCUCAGCCGCCGCCGCCGGGAAGGCCCGGCGAUGGCGGGGGGAGGGUCGGCCGGGGUCACCGAGCCCUGGCCAGGGGUCAGCGACCACGACCNNNNNNNNNNNNNNNNNNNNNNNNNNNNNNNNNNNNNNNNNNNNNNNNNNNNNNNNNNNNNNNNNNNNNNNNNNNNNNNNNNNNNNNNNNNNNNNNNNNNUUCCAGCGGCGACGGUGGCGGCUAAGGGCUAAUCCCCCAACCGCCUCCCACCCUUUCCUUUUUUAAAAUUUUUUUUAAUUAUUAAUUUUUUAAUAUUUCAACUAAAUUUAAAAUUUAAAAUUAUUAAUUUAAAAUAUUUUAACUAAAUUUAAUUUUAAAAUUAUUAAAUUUAAAUAUUUUAAAUAAAUUUAAUUAUUUAUUUAUUUUAUUUUAUUUUGCCACAUCAGCCAAAAUAACGCCGUUUUGGCCACGUCAGCGUACAAAACGGCGUCAUUUUGAGCUCCCUUCGCCGGAAAAGCACCACAUCAACAUUUUGGCCGGAUUGGCACUCAAAUGAUCCAUUUUACUCCGAUUUUGGCACUUAAGUGUCCCUUUGGCCAAAGUUAAGGCACUCCAGGGGUUCGCACGUCCAUAUUAUCGUCAGUCAACUUCAUCUAUUUUCAUAAUAUUUUAAGAAUUCGAAUGGUAUGUUCACCUAGCAAUUUGGUCUUUUGUUUACUUCGAUUAUCAUGGACUAAUAGCAUUUGAUUUUAUGGUCUUCGUAGUCGUAGUAAAAUACUGUGACUUUCUGAUUCAACCAUAUUCUUGUAGACCCAUGGCAUUUAAAUUGGUAUUCUUAUAACCACUCCAUCACUUUGUUAAGAACAUCCAGUCAGAGAAAGAGAGAAAGAGAGAGAUCCACCAAGCAAUGCCAGCUACUGCUAUGGUGAGCUCAGACGCAAGGACGUCAUGGGGGAGCGAAUAUCAAGUGUUUCUAAGCUUUAGAGGACCUAACACUCGAAUUAGACUCAGUGACUACCUCUACCAUAGCUUAACUUAUGUUGGAAUAAGUGUCUUUCGAGAUUGAACAGCUACGUGUUGGUGAAAGGAUCGACGCAUUGCUUCAACGAGCAAUCGACAACUCCAAGAUCUACAUACCCAUUUUCUUUUGAACUUAUGUUUUAAGCCCAUUUGUUUCCGUGAGCUCACGCAGAUUGUAGAAAAAUCCAAAUCAAAAGGCAAUAGAGCAGUCCUUCAGCCGCGACAAGGCCAAGGUGAGGCUAGACUCGCCCAAAUCUGGGAGAAGCCAUCUUACUCGUGACCCUUGCCUAGGGUCAUGACCCUCGCCAACCACUACAAGCAAUCCAAUGAGGAAGAAGAGGGAAAAAAAAGAAGGAAAAUUUAAUAAAAAAAAUAUAAAUUGUCAUGUCAGUGUUGGUCGAACGCCUGACGUUCACAUUAGUGCCAGUCAAUCAAAAUUAAUCAGAUGAAUUGAAUUGAUAUCAAUGUAAAAAAAUUUAUGAUCAAAUUAAUCUAAUUAAAAUGUUUAUAAUUAAAUUAGUAUCAAUAGGUUUGGAGCUUUUUUUUUAUCAUUUUUCAUUGCUAUGGCAUCAACAAACAAACAAAGGGAGAAAAUUAUGGAGAUGCAGGUGCCCUGAGCGCCGGCCGACAAAAGCACGUGAUCAUCAUCUUUUAACGAGACAAUGAAUGAUUGGAUAGCCUCGUUGAUGACAUGGAAGUGACGAGUGGUAAUUCCAUUAGGGCAUCUACUUCCGGAAAAGGAUGGAUUCCCACUUUUUUUCUUUUGUACAUUGGCUUACAGUAAAGCGCAAGUGAGAGCAUUAAAUUCCAAAAAAAAAAAAAAAGGCCUAUUGACUUAUGUCUUUGUUCAGUGCUUAAAUCAUGUCACGGUAUUGCCGUUAUACUUUGACAGCCAAAAAUGACUGAAGUGCCAUUUUAGAUAAAUUCGACGGGACUUAGGUGAAAUCUUUUAUUGCAUUUUUUCAGAUAAGUUUAAGAUUACAUUGAUUCAAUUAAAGAGUUUAUACCUUCAUAGUUUUGAAUUUCAUUAUAACAAUUUUAGGAUAGAUCGUGUAAUUAUCUUGAAGACAUGACAAUUUAGCUUUUUCAAUCCCAUACUCACGCUCAACUCAAUACAAUAUAUAUGCUUGGUUGCAUUAGACUCAAUUCAACUCUAACGGUGAAAGAAAGCGAAAGGAAGCAAGAAGCGAACGAAGUUUAGGGAGAAAUCUUUUGUAUUUCUUCACAUGUAAUCAAUGUACAGCAUUUAGUAAUUAUAAUACAAGAUGUACAUGAAGAAAAGGCAAUGAAAUGUUCUACAAAUCAAUUUAAUAUUUCUAUCUAAUCCCUAAUUGAUUUUAUAAUCAAAUCAGAUUAAAUCAAAUUCCCGGCAUAUCUUCCGGAUCUUCAGGCAUAUUUCCAACACUCCCCCUCAAGCUGGUGGCUUGAUAUCCAAGAUGCCUAGCUUGCUUAGUCGAUAUGCGUGUUGUCUUUGACAUAGGGGUUUGGUGAAGAUGUCUACAGGUUGUUCACCAGUUCCAAUCCCUCUUGUCUCGAUUAUCUCUUCUUGAAUUUUCUCCUGAGUGAAGUGACAAUCCACUUCUAUAUGCUUGGUUCUUUCAUGCAUUAUGAGAUUUGCUGCAAGCUUGAGGGCUAAUUCAUUGUCACAAAAUAGCUUUGUUGGCCCUUUCAGUUUUACUCUGAGGUCCCCAAGCAAACCUCGUAUCCACACAAUUUCACAUGUAGUUUUUGCCAUGGUCCGAUAUUCUACUUCGGCUGAAGACAAAAAAACCGUUGCUUGCUUCUUGGUUUUCCAUGAAAGAAGAAAUUCUCCCAGUUUAAUGCAAAACCUAGUGAUGGAUCUUCGACUCAUAGGGCAAGUUGCAUAAUCUGCAUCACAAUAUGCCAUCAUUUCCAUGUUACAUCUUCUAGAUAGAAGUAUUCCAAGUCCUGGACACUUCUUCAAAUACUUCACAACUUUUAGAGCACCAUUCAUAUGAGAUUCCUUCGAGUUGUGCAUAAAUUGACUGAGAUUUUGCACUGUGUAUGAUAUAUCGAGUCUGGUCAUAGUCGGGUAUAUGAGUUUUCCAAUGAGCUUCUAAUAACUUGUCGCCGUCGGAUUCGGAUCUUUUAGUACAAGAUCAUCAUUUUGAGAUAUUCCCCCAACAUGAUCCGUUGCAGUUAAUUUGGUAUUUUGCUCGAUUGGAAUAACUGCUGGCUUGCAUCUUGAUAAACCGGCUUUUGAUAUGAUCUCCAAUACAAGUUUCCGCUAACUAAGGGAAAUUCCUUGGUGAGAUCGAGAAAUCUCAAUCCCAAGAAAAUAGUUUGGUGCUCCUAGGCCUUUUAUAUGAAAUGUGGUAUGCAAAUAUUUCUUAAGAUUCUUUAUUGCAACUUCAUCAUUUCCCAUGAUGAGGAUGUCAUCUACAUAUAUCAUUAAAUAAAUAGAUAGUGUACCUUUAGUCCAUGUGAACAAGGCAUAGUCGUACUUGGAUUGUUUGAAGUCUGCAGUUGUGAGAGCAUUAGCAAACUUGGCAUACCAUUGCUUGGAGGCUUUUUUCAAUCCAUAAAGGGAUUUGCGGAGAUAACAUACUUUAUUCUCCCCCUGUCUCCGUAAGCCCUAAGGAAUAUCCAUGUAGAUUUUUUCAUCCAGGUCACCAUGAAGAAAGGCGUUGUGGACAUCCAUUUGGUGUAACGACCAAUCAUGAGUUACUGCAACUGAUAAGAAUGAGAGAACUAUGACAUCUUAGUGACUGGAGAAAAGGUUUCGUGAUAGUCAAAACCUUCUCAUUGAGUAUAUCCCUUGGCCACCAACCGAGUUUUGUAACGCUCAAUGGAUCCAUCUGCUCUAUAUUUGACUUUAUAAACCCAUUUGCAUCCUAUGGACUUUUUGUUUGGAGGAAGAUUGAUUAAUUCCCAAGUAUGAUUAUCAAUCAUUGCCUGUAAUUCUACUGCUAUAGCUUGUUGCCACCGUGGAUCUCUGCCUCAUCAUAACUAGAUGGUUCCCUUUCAUCGAAUGUGCGACUAAUGCAACAUCUAUGUUCCGGCAAAAGCUUAUCAAAAGAGACAUAAGAAGAUAUUGGAUAGUUAAUACCUAGUGAAUUAAGGGAGGCACAGAUAUAAUCUUUGGUCCAUGUCAGUGGUCGUGUGGCUCGCCUCGAACAACGUGGAUGAUUCGUUGGUGGUGGAGGAGGAGAUAUUUCUUCAAUAUUGGUUUCUGACAAAACAUCAUAAUCAUUCUCCAUAUUGAGUUGAGCUGUAGGCAUACUUUCCAUUGCUUCCUCCGAAUGCAACUGGUUAGGUGAAGUUGAAGUUGAAUGAAUAACUUGGUUCGGAGGUGCUAUGAGAAAAUAUUCAGGAGAUACACUUUCCUCGUUUAAGAAAUGAUGGGAAUCGAUUGGGACACUCAAAUCCUCUGUGGUUUCACAAAAUGGGAAGACAGUUUCGUGAAAAAUAACAUCCCUGCUCACGAAAAAAUCUCCUGUUGAUGGAUCGAGAACACGAUAUCCCUUCUAUAGGUUGGGAUAACCCAUGAAUAUGCAUUGCCUAGCACGUGGACUCAUUUUGUCCCGAGGUCCCAUAGAUUUGGCAUAACAUAGACAACCGAAAAUCUUUAGAUGAUCAUGUGUUGGUUUUUUUCCAUAAAGUAAUUCGAAAGGCAAUUUACCAGCCAGUAUCCAAGCUAGCAUGCGGUUGAUGAGGUAAGCUGCAAUAAUAACACAAUCUCCCCAAUAAUUCUCUAGAAUAGACUUUGAAACUUCAAUACUCAUGCGACUACCAAUAGAUGACGAUGUUUACAUUCCAUUGCCCCAUUUUGUUGUGGAGUAUAAAUGUAGGAGCUUUCAUGUAAGAUGCCAUGGGACAAGAAAAGUGAACUGCAGUCAUGGUUAAAAAAACUCUUUCCCAUUAUCAGUGCAGAUUCGCUAAAUUGACUUCCUAAACUGAUUUUUGGUCAGAAUGAUAAACGUUUUUAGAUGAAAGGGGACUUGAGCUUUGGACUGCAUCGGAAACACCCAUGUGGCACAAGAGUGACCAUCCACAAUUGUGAGAAAAUAAUGUGAACCAUCAUGAUGUGGCAUGUGAUAAGGUCCCCAGACGUCCACAUGAAUUAAUGAAAAAAUAUUAUUGGAAUGAUUCCUACUGGAAGGAAAAAGUGUACGAAAUUGCUUUGCGAGGGGGCAUAUAUGACAUUUAGAGCAAGGAAAAAAAGCACUAUGACCCAUUCUCAAAUGUAUAAGAAAAUUCUUAUCAUUGGCAGUAACAUUACACAAUGACAAUUUAUUCAGGGGAAUUGAAGUCAAAUCAAAAUGACCUGGAAAAUAGGUCCAGAAAUAUAAUCCUUUGGAAAGACUACCCAAGCCCAUCAGUUUCCUAAUCGAAAGGGCUUGAAAAAAAUAGGUGUCAGAAUCGAAAAAUAUUCAACAAGAAUUUUCCUUGCAAACUUUGGACACGGAGCUAAGAUUGAAUUGAAAUUGUGGGACAUCAAGAACAUUUUGAAGGGUAAUUUGGGGACUCAGUUGAACAGUGCCUAUCAAAGUGACAUGAGUGAUAUUCCCGUUUGGAAGUUGCACAAAAAUAGGUGUAUCUAAUUUCUUAUGCAUAUCGGAAAAAAUCCCGUAUCACAAAUGAUAUGAUCACUUGCUCUUGAGUCAACUAUCCAUGCCUUUCUUGAAAUAUAAUUUAUCAGGCGGUGAGAUAUACCUGUAAAACUUCCUCCUUUAUUUGCGAUGUCAACCUUUUGCAACGUCUGCAUCAAUUGUUGAUAUUGCCCAUAAGUAAUGGGUCGGUCACUAUUUAGACCAGUAGGUCCAAUGACCAGGUAAGUUACAGAAUAUUCUUUAUUUUUCCCUUUUUCUCCUGGAUUUCCAUGUAGUUUGCAACAAUUAUGUUUGUAUGAUGCGGAUGUUUGCAAUGCUUGCAAUAUAAUUUACCUCUCCCUUUUGAAUUUUGGCCAAAAUUCCUUGAAGAUGCAAAAAUAAUUUGGCCGCCGAAUGCCUUCAUCAUGGAAUUAUAUCCAUCGUCUAAUUCAAUUGAGAGAUUAGGCCCUUGCAGACCGUCAGAUCGCUAAGGAGGAUAUGGACCGUUGAUGCCGUCCUUUUUAAGGGAUCUAUCGUCGCUAGAGGAAAACCCUCGCCCCUCUCGAUUCUCUCUCUUGGGCUAGGGUCUUGACACUCGAAUCUCGCUGCUCGCCGUGGAGUGCAAGAGCGAUGAUGUCGCUUCCUCGUGCAUGCUUUGGAGUCGUGAGCCACUGGCUUUCUUCCUGGACAGCUAACUAGAAAAUCCAUCCGAGGGGAGGCACCGGAUCCAUCACCAGAAUCUGCGAACAGAAAGUUAGGUACGUCUCGUUCAGAAUCAAAAGGAACUGAGUGGAUUUUUCCCUCUCCUUCAUAGAUCUGUAUUGUAUGAGGGUUUCCGCUAGUCCCUCGACCUUUUCCUCCACGACUUCGAGCUCAUUCCAAAGUGACGAGAGCUUGUUGUAACAAGUCGUGACCGUCAUAUUUCCUUGCUUGAAUUCGCUGAGUUCCUACAUGAGAGAAAAAAUCUUUGCUUGAUCUAACUUCCCGUACAUUUCUUUGAUGUUGUCUCACAUCUUUUUCGAAUCCUUCGUCAGUGGAAGGCCGGCUACAACAUCUAGAGAAAUACAGUUGCCAAUCCAUGUUCAAAUGAGGUGGUUACACUUUCUCCAGUGUCUGGCCAGUCGCUCGUCCAAGGAAUUGGUACGGUCCCGUUGAGGAAACCGUCUUUGUCCUUCAUUAUGAGGGCUCGCCGAAAGUCCUGCAACCAUUUGUUGUAGUUUUCUAGCCCGGUCAAUUGCAGACUAAUUAGUUGUAAUUCUGGGCCAUCGGCGGUUGACACGGGCUCUGGUCGGCCAGUGACGGCCGCAAUCAGAAAAGGUAAAAACCCGGGUGAGAUACUCGGGUAGGGAUUCUUCCCUAUACCUAAUCCGCUAGACCCAGUUCCAUGACCCGCAUUAAAAAAUCCCGAGUAGGGAUUUGUUCCCAAACCCAGUUCACUUGACCCGCCAAUCUGUUCUGGUUCGACGGAUAGGCUUGUCCCACUUAUGGUUGGUGGGCUCCCGUCGACCUGGACGUUAUUCUGGUAGCUCGCUACCCCCAGCAAUGAUGGAUUUGGGCCUGGCCCAAUGUACCAUGGAUAAAGUGUCCAUUGGUAAGGAUGGCCUAGAAUGGGCUACCCCAUAUUUGACUAAGCCGAGAAGAGUUGCCACUAUACGCCUUGGGCCUGGACUUGAUGUUGGGUUACAAGAAUCGUGCCAGAGGUGUGGCCUUGCGUAUCUCCCAUAGGUGUGGUGUAUCCCGUGGAUGAAACACCAGUGGCAAGGGGCAAAUUCUCUGGGUGAGUCAUGGUAAGAAUUUGCCUUUGCUUCUUCUUCCUUUUUACCGAAAAAUGAUUCCUUCGUAAGAAAGUAUUGAUUUUCCUUGCAGAUCAAGGGAUUUGGAAGGCAAUCAGUGUGGAAGCGAAGUCAAGAGCCUGGUGCUCUGAUACCAUGAAAGAAAGCGAAAGGAAGCAAGAAGCGAACGAAGUUUAGGGAGAAAUCUUUUGUAUUUCUUCACAUGUAAUCAAUGUACAGCAUUUAGUAAUUAUAAUACAAGAUGUACAUAAAGAAAAGGCAAUGAAAUAUUCUACAAAUCAAUUUAAUAUUUCUAUCUAAUCCCUAAUUGAUUUUAUAAUCAAAUCAAAUCAAAUCAAAUUCCCGACAUAUCUUUCAGAUCUUCGGGCAUAUCUUCCAACAAAUGGCAAAAACUAAAUUACAGUGUUAAGCUUUACAAUCCAUCUCUAGUUUUGAUAAAAAAAAAUUCAAGAAUAAUGAUUUUUUUUCUUUGUCCUUAGUAAAUCCUUUAAAUUAUUGACAAGGCUUGCAAGUCACAUGACUGUGGUACUACAAAAUUUGACACCUUUGACACGAAAUCCAUAUUGCUAGGUCCAAAUAUAUAAAAGAGGCGGUGAAGUGCUAUUUUAUGUAUGUAAAAAUAUCGAUCUUUCUAGAACCAGCCCUUUAUUUAAAAUUGGUUUUUCAUAUACAAUUAAACUGAUAUUUGUAACAAGAAACUUAUAGAGCUUAGAGUUUUCAAUUAGCAAUUAGGAUAUGCCUUCUCUUUUAGCUCCAGUAGCCCAAUCAGGUUGAUAUCCACUACUUGAACCAACAUUGCAAAUGCCAAGGACUUUGUAUAGCGUGGACUCUAUUCUUUCUAUGAUUAUCUCACUAUAGACUAAAUAAUUAUUAGAUCUCUUCCAAUAACCAUUCUCACACCUUGUGCACAUAGCGCACUAGACACAUGCUCCCCAAAAUUAUUAACCACGCUUCCAAGUGUUUACACAUAAUCAUUUGCAUUGUUUGUCUCUCACCUAGACAAUUGCAUUCUCUCUUAGUCCAAUCACUUCUUCCAUGUGUAUACAAAUAAUUUUGGCACCAUUGCUAGCUUUUAGGAUCAAUACUUAGUUAAGAGAUAGAUCUCAAGAACGCUCGAUGUGCUUCAAUUUUUCUUGUUGCAGGCACUUGGUGGCAAGCUACAUUUAACUUGUGGUUUGUCCUUAUAGGCCUCCAUAAACAACUCUGAUUCAACUAUUUCCUCACCGUCCCAUAUCAUUUGAUUCUGUUACUCGUAUAACCACUGCCUAUAUUUUUUCAUGACGUGUUGUCGCGGCCACCUUCUACGACUCUCAACCAUGUCAUAUUCACAUAUCAAAGAAAUGACCCGCUCAGAAACUUUAUUUAGAAAAAAUCCUAACUAUUAAACCGCAUCACUGACCUCCCUCCUCUUUUUCUUUAAGGUAGCAAUUUUACGUUCAUAUGAAAUAUCCUAAUUAACUACUCCUGGUCAAACAUUCCUAUUUGGCUCCCUUGUUUCAACCAACCGAUUUGAGUUGAAACGCAGAAUGAGUUUUAUUUUCAUCACAUGAAAAAGGAACUUUGAGAAAGAGUAUUUAGAGAUCAUCAGCAAAUGAAAAUCAAAAUGAUAAGGAGAGGGAGCAGAAAUUGAAGCUUACAAAUUUAGUACAAUGCUGCGAGAUCUACUAUAGCAUUGGCAAUUUAUUUGCCAUACUUGUAAAACUUCAGAGAAGGUGGUUAUUCCCUAUUUUAUUUCAAAGUCGGUAAAUUUCCAAUGGUGUCGUUAAGUUUGAUAAGUCAUUUGACAAUCAAAUCGACGGCCAUGCUUUCUUUUAGGGAUUGUACUGGAUAUUUUGGUUGGUCGGGUCCGCCUCUGUGGGGACCAGCUAACAUUAAUAAAUAAAAGAGAAAAAAGGUGAAAAAGUCAAAAAAGCAAAAAGAAGAAAUGAAAGAUGGGUGGCUCGUGCGUGGAGUAGAAAAGAGAGGGAGAGAGAGAACGCGGAAAAGAUAGAAAAAGGGCUGCCGGAGAUUGAACCCGUCGUCGCUCCUUCCAGAAUCGGUGUGUCGAUGUUAAUUUUCAGUCGCCGACCCGCCGGUGGGAGCCAUGUCUACUCUAAGUGGGUUUUUUUUUUUUUUUUUUUGGUCUGAAAUAAGUCUUUCAUUCAUAUAAAGCAAGGAUUACAAGUAGAUGAUAAGUUAGCUUCAGAACAUAAGAUACUCACAAGAGGUUGGGGAGGUGCAUUUACCCAAUUUUUUAAUAGGCAUUUGAGGCAAUGUGCUUUCGCGACCCAAUCGGCAGCGUGGUUUGCUUCUCUCGGACAAUAGGAGAGCUUGACAAGAGGUAGAUUUUGUAGAAUAUCUAUGCUUUCAAUAAGUAAACUGGUCACAACCCAUGGAACCUCAGCCUGGCCCAAAAUUGCCUCCACAAGUGCACGGUUGUCACUCUGUACUUCCCCUUUAAUUUCCCUGAACUGAACUUCCACGUGACUUCUUCUUCUCCGGUUCAGAAAGCGCAACCCGUGCAGGAUCGCUAGGGCUUCGGCGUGCAGGGGAGACGCGGCAUAGAUCUCAGCGGUGAAUCCGUCAAUCAGCAGGCCGUUCAAGUCUCGGAUGAUUCCAGCGACGGAACUCUUCUCUUCUCCUUUCAUCCAAGAACAAUCCACGUUGAGUUUGAAGCUGCUGCUGUUCGGCGCUGUCUAGAUCUCGAAUGAAUCUGGCCUGCUGGUUUCCUGCUGCUUUUUGCUCGGAAUCCAUCUGGAGUAGGCCCGAACCUCUGCUUGGGUCAGAUCGACUAUGUAUUCAGUUUUGGGAGGUUGGGAUCUGAAGAUGUAGUCGUUUCAAAGCUUCCAAAUUAACUAGAUCGUGCUUGCCACCAUAUCUACUGAGGGUAAAUCAUUUUUUGCUGCAACAAACUCUGCAAACCACUUAUCCAUCCGAGUAACUGAGAUUGUUUUGUUAUAGAUGUUGAGGCGCGGGUCACUCCAUAUUUGUCAAGUCCUUUUAUAGAGGAAGAACAGUUGUUCUACUGUUUCAGGAUGCCGAAAACAGAGGGGACACAGGGGUUUAGGUAAUAUUCGCCUUUUAUAGAAAUUAUCCUUUGUUGGGAUUGCAUUUUGGCAUAUGCUCCACCGGAAAAACUUUACUUUGAGGGGGAUUGGAGUAUUCCAUAACCUAGUCCAUAGGGAUCUGGGCGGCUGAUAGGAAGUUGUUGCUCUGUUUGGGUCAGGAAAAUUAGUCAAUGAACAUACCCUGUUGUAGCCACUUUUGACUGAGUAGGAGCCUGACUUGUUCCCCGUCCAGAUUAGCCUAUCUUGCUAUGGGUGUGUGCUGAUUAGAGUUGUAAGAAUUUCAUGAACGACUUGUUCGUCAAAUAGAUCUCGAAGUUUAGGCUCGUCCCAUAAUCUCCUUUCAUUGUUCAUUAAUUCAGCAACUGUCUCAGGAUCAUUCUUAUUCACCAGACCUCCUAUCACUCUCCUUGGAAGCCAUCUGUCUUACGGAAUGUUAAUACUUUUCCCAUCUCCCACAAUCCACCUUACCUCCGAUUCAAUAGUGUCUCGACCUAUUAGGAUGCUGCGCCAACCCCAAGAUGGUCGUUGUCCUAUUUUUGCCUUCCAUAAGUCCCCAUUUGGAUAAUAGACUCCUUUAAGGAUCUGCCCCAUAAGGCUGAUGGUCAUUGAGAAAGUCUCCAGGCUUGUUUUCCUAACAUUGCCUUGUUGAAAUUAAUUAGGUCGUUAAAGUCGAGACCUCCUUCAUCUUUUCUACCUUUCAAAACUUCCCAUUUCUUCCAACACAUACCUCUUUUAGAAUCAUUUUGUUUCUACUAGAAAGCCGCAAUUCUUUGUUCGAUGGCUUUACAAACUGAGAUAGGAAUUUUGAAGAUGGACAUAGCAUACUGAGGAAGAUCCUAUACCUCGGCUUUUAUCAAUAUUUCUUUGCCAGCUUUAGAUAAUAACUUUUAUUUCCAUCCUUGAAGCUUCAUGUUCACUUUAGCAAUAAUUUAGGAAAACAUCUCCUUUUUUGUUUGUCCCUAAUCAGAUGGAAUUCCCAGGUAUUUCCUUGUUUUGUCAAUAAUAGGCACUCGUAACUCAUUUGCCAUAUUUCUCUUUAAGCUCAAAGGGCAGCCCUUGCUAAAAAAAAACUCAUGGUUUAUUUAGAUUGAUAGCUUGACCAGUUGUAUAACAAUACUGAUCUAGAAGAUUUGCCAAAUUUUGACAUUCUCUGACUGUCCCAUCCAUAAAAAUUAUAGCAUCAUCAGUGAAUAAUAAGUGAGACAAUGUGGGGCAAUACUUGUUCAGUCUUAUUCCUUUGAUGCUCCCAUCUUCUAUCGCUUUGUGCAUCAUCCAAGAAAACACAUUAGCCAUCAAUAUGAAAAGGUACGGGGACAAUGGAUCUCCUUGUCGUAGUCCCCGUGUGGGUGUAAAAUAUCGUGUUUGAUUGCCAUUGACUUUGACACUAAAUGUCACUGUGGAGACACAUGUCAUCACCAACUCAAUCCAUCUUACGUUAAACCCCAUCUUUAACAUACUCAUUUUUAAGAAAUCCCAUUCAACCCUAUUAUAAGCCUUUUUCAUAUCCAGUUUAAGGAUUGCCUGGAAUUUCUUUUCUCUUCCUCUGAUUCUCAACUGAUGCAACACCCCUUGAACAAUAAAAAUGUUAUCUUGUAUUUGUCAUCCUUUAACAAAGGCACUUUGUUCACGUACUAUUAUCUCAGUGAGCCAUGGUUUCAAUCUGUUUGCUAACACUUUGGAGAUUAUUUUAUAGUUGAAGUUGCAUAGACUAAUAAGGCUGAAUUGACAAAUACUUUCUGGAUUUUUUACUUUUGGAAUGAGAGAUAUGUGAGUUUUGUUGAGUAGAGGGUCAAAUUCACCUGAUUCAAAGAAGUUUCUUAUCAAAUUUAGCACAUCCGGCUUGAUUUCUUCCCAAUAAUGCUGAUAAAAUUGUCCAUUAAGACCAUCCGAGCCAGGAGCUUUUAAGGAGCCUAGCUAGAAAACUGCUUCUUUAACCUCUUCCGUAGAAAUAGGAACUAAGAGGCUUUUGUUCAUUUCCGUGGUCACUAUAGUUGGGCACAUGUCCAAAAUAGGUUGAAAAUCUCUUGGACUCGCUGAUUCAUAUAGAGAACAAUAGAAAUCAUCUGUGUUGUUUCAAUAUCUUGUGGCCCCUGCACCAAUUGUCUUCAUUGAGGCACAAUACAGAAAUUAUGUUCCAUUGUCUUCGUUGAACCGUAGUGGCAUGGAAAUAUUUUGAAUUCCUAUCACCCCAUUGUAGCCAAUUUAUCCGAGACCUCAUACCCCAAUACAUCUCCUCCUGCCGCUAAAGCCGCUCAAUAUUCUCUUUAAUUUCUUGACUAUCCACUCUGCUGGAAAAUUCAAAAUCCCCAUUUGUGAUCUCAGUAAGUUUCUGUUUGAGACUUCUAAUUUGGAGAGAGGCAUUAGAAAACUUGUUUUUGCUCCUUGCUGCCAAUUCCUUAGUAACAUGCUGUAUUUUCUGAGAAAAUGUUUUGUAACAAUGCUGGUCUCCUCCCCAAUAGCUUUUAAUAAUCUCCCCACACUCUUCUUCCUCCAUCCAAAAGGCUUCAAACUUAAAUUCCUUCCUUCUUCUCUCCCAAACAGGAUGUAGAGACAACAAAAAUGGGCUAUGGUCUGAACCUACCGCUGGAAGGGCCACCGCUUCAGCAUUUGGAAAAGUAAUUCUCCACUCCAUUGUGCAUAAGGCUCUAUCCAGCCUCUUCUUCACUAAGUUGUCACCAUCUCUAUUGUUGGCCCAAGUAAAAGCACAUCCUUUAGUAUCAAUAUCCAUUAAGAAGCAAUCAUUAAGCAUGUCUCGAAAGGCCGCUAUUCGAUGUUGAUCAGCUUCCCUCUUCCUAACUUUUUCCCAGCUAUAGAAUUUCAUUAAAGUCUACCAUACAAAGCCAUGGAAGUUGAUUGAUGGAGUGAAUAUCCCGAACCUUUUGCCAUAAUAGAAGUCUCUCCUUAAAGUUUGUGGAAGCAUGCAUGAAUGUAACUCUCAUAAUGUGGCCACUAGAGGGAUCCUUGCUUUCCACAUCCAUGUGCUCCUUAGAACUCGAAUUUAUCUUAACAUCCACAUUCUCAUUCCACAUAAGCACCAAUCCCCCAGCAAUUCCUAUUAAUUGCUCUAUAAACAUGUGUUGGAACUUCAGUUGUCUUCUGAUUUUAUCCACCAUCGUCUUCUUGUUUUUGGUCUCCAUCAAAAAGACCAAGUUGGGCCGUUCUUGAGCCACUAAGACUCUAAGCUCCUGGAUUGUCAGGGAGUUACCUAGCUCCUGACAGUUCCAGGUUAGGAUCUUCAUGGUAUCUUUGGUCGCUUAUUAGGGCUAGCCACCAAAGCCCAAUCAUUCCCCUCUUUUACCAGCUGCACAAGGGUCUCUAGUAACUCCAUGUUAUCAAGGGGAGAGAAGAAUUAGUAACUUAUGUUCUUUUAUGUUUUUUUGCUUGUUGAUACUUCAUCAUUUUCUUACCAGCAUCUCCUAUAAUUUUUUAUCCAGCUUCAUUAGGGCCUUCUAAAUACAUUAUUUGUUUUCCACUCCCCUCUUUGGUUGCUAUAAUUUUCUCUCCUCCAUCUCUGCCCUCCUUUGAAGAAAAGCUUUCUACUCUUUUUUUGUUCCGAGAAAGGUAGGUAUUUGUCUCGGUUUCUGUCCUAGCAACUAUCUCCAUAUUGACUGUCAUUAAGGGAGUUUCAGGUACUGACUCUUCUUCUUCAUAAUUUGGAUCAACCUUUCCAUAAAAUGCUUCCCAAUAUGGACUAUGAUCUCUUACUUCCGCUUUGAGCUAAGGACCGUACUUCCCAACCUUAUUAGCUGCCCAAUUUGUUGUUUCAUAUGGUAUCUUCUCACAAUAUGAUGCACAGUGACCAAUUCGACCACAUGAGUAAUAGAAAUGAGGGAGAUGUUCAUAUUUGAAUUCCACUCAUAGAUUCUUGUUCCCGAUCUUUACAAAUGCCCCUAUUUUAAGAGAGGCUGAAAGUUCCAGCUCUACUUUGACUUUACCAAUUUUAGGCUCCGUUUGGGAACAGCUUUCCCAAGGGCCUUUGAGGGUCUAAAGGCCUUUGAGCCAAAUGUUGAGUGUUUGGGAACUUUUUUUCAGUUGCCUUUGCCAAAUGCAAAGCCUUCCCAAGGCUGAAUGCCCAAGGCAGGUUGGGGGCUGCCUUGGGCAUUCUCGGAAUGCUAGCCUUGAAGAUAAUGAAUGUUUUUCUUCCAAAAUUGUCCUUGUUAAUUUUUUGUUUUUUCCGGCUUUACCCCAACUACUGUUCAUCGUCUUCAUCCUUUCGUUCUCUCUACUGAGAACACGGCCAGCAUCUACGCGCAAUCGCCGGUGAAGGACAGGUGGGUCGGCGAAGGGCAAGUGGUCCGGCUAGGGACCCACGACUCUCCGACGAGGGUCGCCGCGCAGAGGACACCGGCAACCCAGAUCGUGCGCAAAUCUGGUCACUCGAUUUGGGUCGCACAAAUCUAGGUCGCGGCGACCAAAUCGUGAGCGUCGGCGACCUCUGCGGCGUGGUGGGUCGCACAACGGCUCGGCGAGGAUCGCGGCAACCGGGAUCUCGCGAUCUGGGUCGCCGCGACCCAGAUCGAGCGGCACCGGCGACCUCCGAACGGAGGUCGCGGCAUGGCGAGUCGAGGCGACCGUCCGACGAGGGUCACAACGACCUAGACGGGAACCCUAGCCGGAUGCUGCCCUUCGCUGGACAGCCUAACCUUCACCACGCCGCCUACCCUUUGCCGCGGUAACCGGCGAAGCCUUGGCCGGCCAACUCUCAUUUUUUCCCUUUUUUUUUAAUAACAAAAGCAUUUUGCAAAUUUAAUUUAUCCAAACACUAUUUUACUCAAAGAUACUUUACAAUGGACUUUCACAAGUACCAUUUACCAAACACAAUUUACAUUUUGAAAAACUCCUUUGACUCAAGUAUCUUUACAUUUUCUCAAAGACUUUCUCCAAAAGUCUUCCCAAACGCACCCUUAUAGGGGCUGUUUCCUCUAGAUUCAAGUUGUAUUUCCUUAACUAUGCCAACCUUACUAGCAACAUCAGAGAAAACCUCUUAUAUGAUCCAUCCUAAGGGUAAACCAACAAUAUGAAUCUAGAAAUCAUAUCUAGAAAAGUCAUAGCAGUGUUCUAGAAUAUCUGACUCACAUUGUUUUAACACUAACAAGUUGUUAGCAAAGGACCAUGAUCCUGAUUUCAGAACUCUCUCCUUUUCCUCCUCUGAUUCAAAUACAAAAGAGAACAGCCCCAAUUCUUUCUGGGAACACACAAUAGCCUCCGAUUUCCACGCUUUCUUCAUAAUAUUGCAAAAUGCUUGAAAGUUAACAUUGGGUUUCGAAUAUAGCUUACCAAAGAGAGUAUGACUGCAUUCUAUUUGUUCGUUGGGUGGGAUUUCCUACUGCACUUCGAUCACAUCACUAGCUGACCAUAAAUGGCCUAAACUCUUGCACAAGGCAGCAAGACGACAUUGAUUCUCCUCCUCAUGGUCCAUGCUGGCAACAAAUCAAGAGCUCUCGCUGAGAUUGAUAAUGGGAAUCGACAUUAUCUGCUAGGGUUGAGGAUUUUUGUCGGGACAGCUUUGUUGUGGUGUUGUGAAGGGGGAGAUUGAAGGGAGCUCCGUGGAUGUUGGGUUGGAAUUUCUGGUCUGUAUACUGCUGCUGCUUCACGAUCUAGUUUCAGCGGAAGAAAAGAAGGUGCGUGUUCUGAAGGGUUAGUGUGUUUGGGUGCUGGGUCUCCAUUACAUUUGGCAAGAAAACGCUACAUUCGGAUGAAUCGGAUGGCAGGAGGCUUCAAAAGGGACUGGGUAUUUAGGGUUUAGGGUUGGAUGCUCCCAUGGAAUCGGGAGAAGUAAUCUCUACCAGCGAGAGAAAGAAGCUCUACCAGCGAGAGAGAAAGCCUACGGCAGUCCUUACUGCAAGUGGGUUGAUUUCUUGUGAAAGUUUCGAACUUUGUCGAUUCCAUUUGCCGAGAGUGUGAAGCAUGCGUUGGCCGAGUCGACCAGGUUUUUCCGGGCUUGUGCGUUAACGUGGAAAUACAAAAUUGUUCCUCGCCUUCCAGAUAAACCGAAGGAUAAUAGCUACCAGCUCAAAGGUGAGAUCUCUCCUUGUCUUGCCACGGAAGAUUCUGAAGCCACACUUCAAUUCGUGUUAUAUUAUGAUCUGAGAAAUGGAUGUUUACUGCGGGGUUCGUCCAAAUCGGUUUCGUCCAGGGGCACGAUAAAAAGAAAUGCUCCAAUAUUCCUUUUUUCAAACUUUCUUGCAAGAUUGAUUGCAGUUUUAUUUUUCAGGAGUCGGGCUUUGAUUGGAUAAGUUCAUGUUUCAAAGGAGCCUUGUGAAAUUUUGAAGACAACUGGCGUCAUACUUGUCAGCAUGCAGGGAUGGAACUAUCAUAUAAUUUUAGUGGGGUCAAUGCCCUAAAGACUGUAAGAUAAGGCAUUUCAUUUAACAAAAUAAUUAUAAAGAUGCAAUCCAGCUAUUUAUUGAUUUGAAGUAGUUUUUCUAUGUAAAGUCUACUUGAAAUCAACGCUUUGACAUUGAAUCAUGAUUAUGAACAAAAUUCGGUUUCAAAUCCCCGUGCUCGAGCUCAACUCAAUAUAGUAUAUAGGGCUCGAAAUUGAACUCGAUUCAACUCCAUUAUUAAAAGCUCGAUUCUACUCAUUUGACUUGUUAAGUAGGAAGUUUCUUUCUGUUUUUCCUAUUCAUGUAUUGUACCUUCUGCAUAGCCUGGUCAUGCCAUUCGAUUGCUUUAUCUUCCGACUCCAUCAAGCCUCAUGCUUGAUUGGUGGUGUGGUUGUCUUGUAGUGCAAUGUCUAAGCGCGCUAAUUUUUUUUAUAAUUGUUUAUCUUUUUACUUUUCUAUUUUUUGUGUCAUAAAGAAGUUCAUAGUACAUGAAAAGACAAGUUACUGGUUUUGAUUUCUUGCAAGUUAGCGCAUGAUCCCUUAGAGGGCCACGAGGCUAAGCCUAAUUACAUCGAUGAACAACGGAAGUUACUAAAAAGCAAAUGUGGGGUUUCAUUAGGUAUCAUUAGUUGGAUUUUAUUUCUUUAGAUAAAAUGGUUAAUACCCUGAAAAACCCCAAACUAUUUUUUUGACCACCAAAAACCCCAAACUGGUAUACUUUUGACAAAUUUACCCCAAACUGGUACACUUGUGACAAAUUUACCGUAUGUUAGUUUUCGUUAAUUUUAUUAUAAAUUAUUAAGUUAAAUGACACGUGACAGAUAUACUAAUUUGGGAUUUUACGCAUCGUUUGUCGUAGUUUACAAUUUUUGUGAUUUUUUUUUUUGUAUUAAUCUAAUUUAGCAAAUGGUAUAUUUGUCAUAAAUUUACCAGUUUGGAGUUUUUUGCGGUCGAAUAAAGUAGUUUAGGGUAAAUUUGUCAUAAAUGUACUAGUUUAUGGUUUUUUAUGGUCAGCCAGCGUAAAUUUGUCACAAGUGUACCAGUUUGGGGUUUUUCAUAGUCAAAAAAAUAGUUUUUGGUAAAUUUGUCACAGAUGUACCAGUUUGGGAUUUUUCAGGGUAUUAACCCUUAGAUAAACUAUAAGGAUCCCAUCCCACUGCUCCUUUUGCUCUUCCAAUAUCCAUCUUUUGGCAAUGGAAAACCGUAGCCACAACAACACCGAUAUAAAUUAAGGAAUCGUUAUGCUAGCUGGAUCCUAUGAGAAACAAUUGAUGUUGUCUCAUCCAUUGAUCAUCAGACUUUUAGGAUUAUAUGUCACAAUCGCACUUCUAUUCACAUACGGAACACUUCUUGGAUAUGUCCUUCCUCAGCACUUCAUUUCAAGUAGGGAUUAAUAGUUCCCCCCUACAUAUUGGAGUACGAAGCCCACCCAAAAAAUCGAAUAAAAUAGUCCGUUCUAUUUUGCCGGUAUUACUAUCUGACUUAGUUCCAAUGACUCUCUUCAGAAUAUGAGGCAAUAAUAGAGCAAAUCUGUCAAACGGUUCUCCACCAAGAGCAUGAACUCUUUUAUUAUGUAUGUUGGAUUCAUUGGUCGAUUUAUGACAUUUUGUAUAGAAAUUGUGAAAAAAUGCAAAUAGUUAUAAUUCGUUCUAAUUCAAAAAUUUAUUUAUUGAUGACCAUAAAACUGCUCAUGUAUUAUAAGAAGAAAUUCGAAAAACCCUCCAACACAAAAGUUAUUCAUCACAUCGAAUCUCCAACAUUUUAUAGUAGAGUAGACAAUGUAUCACCGUGCAUCAUUCAAGUUUCACACACAAACAUAAAUAGAAGCUUCUAAAUUCAUAAGCAUACAAUAAUAUAAGAAAGACUAUUGUAAUUUCUAUCUCAUUUAUUGUCUAGAUUAGACAGGCCACUCCAUCCAAUGCCCACAGUUAGGGCAUUUUUACUUGAAAAAAGCUAGUACUCUUCCGUGCUUGCACUUCUCACAAAUAAAUGGGCCAUCUGUGCUAGCUAAUUGCCCCACCGCGGUCGUUGCCACCCCCACUUUGCCGCUGCCACCGCCACCUCCACCACCCUCACCACCGAUGCCCUCAUUCCCAUGGAUACCGCUCCCAUGGAUACCGCUCUCAUUAAUAACACUCCCGUGGAUACCACCGUGGAUACCACUCCCGUGGAUACCACCACCACGGCCCCGGCGGCCCCUGUGGCCCUUGCGGCCCCGGCGGCCCCGGUGGCCCCCAAAACCCCUGCGGCCCUCGCUCCCCUUGCAGCCCCUUGUCGCCCUUGUCCCCCUUGUCACCCUUGUCCCCCUUGUCCCCCUUGUCGCCCUUCUCACCCUUGUCCCCCCGCCGCCGGAUCCAACAGAAAAGGAAACCACAAAGCAUGAUGGCAACAAUGACUAAACCAACAAUAACAACAAUAACCCACGUUGGGGUGUUAUUGUCAUCGGAUGAUACAAAAUUCGGAUCGAUCCACGCCAAUGGAGGAGGAAAGUACUGGAAACACGGAUGAGUUCGUGGACAAUUAUUGUUCUCCAUCAAGAAAACUCUGUGGAGGUAGUUCAAUGCGAGCAAUGAGUCUACAAACAUAUUAUGAAGCAUCAAUCCA